CUGGGAAAUUUUAUUUUUUUUUUAAAAUGUCCGGGCUAUUUCCGCGCAAUCCGCUAUUAGGACAGCGUAUCCAUCGACAAUUACUCAUCACAUAUAUUUAAAACUAGACCACAUUCAGAACCAAUACACAAAUUGGCACAUCAAUAAUAUUCUCAUUCAUCCAUAUCAAAUGUGUACAUAUAUAGUCAUGUCACUAGCUUAAGAUGCUUGCCAUCAAGCCAACAUACAAGCAUGCAUAUAGCAGCUGAAAAUAAAUUAAAAGCAAGGAGUAGCAUCACACAGCUGCUAUAUAUGCUAGCACACGUCGAAUCACUAGCUACUAGUUGCAUGCAAGUUCCAAAGCAAACAGGGAGACGACUGCCUGGAUGUAUGGAUCCACAGAUCACACAAAGACACAGCAGAAACCUGCAGAGACGAUGCAUGGAUGUAUGGAUCCGAUCCUGUGUCCUGUAGGAGUAAGAUCUACACAGCAAAUUGAAGUCUUUUCUUCAGAAACAGGGAUCUCUUUUUGGAAGAGAACAAUAUGGAGCGCAGCAGGUAGUACGUGUGGCGUACUACUAGCUAGUAAGGAAAUAAACAUCUACUUCAACUUCUCCUUUUCCUUGCAGAUAUAUACAAAUCCAUAAGCAUAGACCGUGCGUAUAGUAUACUGUACUCUGCGUUGCAAGAUUAAUUAAUUGAAGGUGUAUAGUACAUACAUACAGAUUACUCAACGUACGGUACGUACCAGGCGCCGUCGAAGUCGAAGGAGCCGGGUCGGCGGAUGGGGACGAAUCCGAGCACGUCGGUGUAGAAGCGCAGCGACGCCUCCACGGAGCGACACACGAUGCUGAUGUGGUUCAGCGACGCCAGCGGCAGCACGCCCGCCGUCCUCACGCCGCCAACGCCAACGCCAACGCCGCCGCCGCAGCUCGCCGCCGCCAUCGUCGUGCUGCUCACCAUCCUCUCUGCUCUCUGCUCUCUCCCUCUGGUGGAUCGAGGGAGCACCCUUCAGUCUCGAGUGGAAGGGGAUCUGGCGUUCGUUGGCGUCGUCGAUCCGGAUCAAGGGGCGGGCGGAGGAGGAGGCGAAGACGAGGACGAGGCACGAGCGGAGUCCGGAGCGGCGGGCGCCGGAGCGGCCGGGGCCAGAGCGGCCGGGUAGUCGACGGUGGGGGCGCAGGGUGCAGGGGAGGCGGGGGCGCAGGGCGCAGGGGGUGCGGCGAGGCUGCGUGCGUGGUGUGGGUGCGUGCGUGCGUGCGCGGCCGGCUGAGUGCGUGGGGUGGGGAGCGGCUGAGCGUUUCUUUUUUUUUAAACUGAAACACGCACUUCGCCGAGUGCUAGAUCGGCGGCACUUGGCGAAGAGGGGGUGGGGACGGCUUCGCCGAGUGCCAGAUCGGCGGCACUCGGCGAAGAGGGCGCAUAGAUCCGCUUACCUGUUCAAACGUACGUAUACACUUCGCCUAGUGCCACGUGGCAGGCACUUGGCGAAGGGGUCUUCGCCAAGUGCCAGCAACGUGGCACUUGGCGAAGAGCGCUUCCAGGCAAUUUCCCAGGGUCCUCUCUUCGCCAAGUGCCACGUGUAUGGCACUCGGCGAAGCCUCGUCUUCACCAAGUGCCAGACGGAGGCACUUGGCGAAGCCGACGGCAAGGGAUGGGGAUGGAUGCCGUCAGGCUUCGCCAAGUGCCUUUCUUCGCCGAGUGCUUGGCACUUGGCGAAGAGGCCAUUUCGCCAAGUGCGUUUCUUCGCCGAGUGCUUGGCACUUGGCGAAGCCUUCUUCGCCAAGUGCUGGCUUCGCCAAGAGCCAGGCACUUGGCGAAGCCUUCUUCACCAAGUGCCCGAUUUUUGGCACUCGGCGAACUCUGGGGCACUUGGCGAAGCCUGGAUUUCCUGUAGUGUACACUUUUUUUUUUUUGGUUUUUGCUUCCGCCUACAAGAGGUUCGGGUCAACCCUCUUGCGAACUUGACCCGCUCCUCAAAUUAGCCCAUGAAGCGAAGCGGUUUGACCCCAAAUAAAUACAGCCGAGGGGCAACAGGGUCACGACCCCAUCGACCCUAAUCAAAUAACCCUGAGUCGCUCCUCUCUCCGCUGCAACGCUGUGCAUCGUUACUCCUCUCUUCGUCAUAGCCACCGAAAAGUCCCGCUCCAUGGUGUGGCUUCGGUGUCCCUGACGUUUUUGGGAGCAGGCUCCGACUCCAUCGGUGGUGUGUUGCGUGGUCUGGCGCGUUGCAUGCUGAACUUCGCAUGCAUGACGGUGCUAUUGCCGGCUGCAGGGCACAACAGGGUGGCAUUUUUGUGUCACCACACGGGAAGUCGGAAACACGAUAUGGUGGUGACAAUGACAUUAUAUAUUGGCAGGGCACACACAUGAAUGGUACAGUAUACCAUAUCACAUGCUACGACGACAAUGGUGGACAAGGGAAUGAAAAUAAUGUUCAUCUGCUAAUUGCGGACUUGACAGUUGACAUUACAAGACAACUCGGGGCUCCACAAAGUUUGUAUUUAGCAUAAGGCUAGUCCCGAUGGUAAUUUCAUCGGAGUUUCAUGUAUAUUAAAUAAGCUGAUGCGGCAUAGUUUAAAUGAAGAGAGAGGUAAAAAUAGUUUUAUGGGAUGAAUUGAGAGUUUCCUGAAGAUAAAACUUGCUUACACUGUUUCAAUCAGAGAGCCUUAAAAAUAAAGUUACGAAACUUUCCACUGAGACUUGGUCUAAGGACCUAUUUGGAAAUUGGAAUAGCUCUAACUUUAGGAUCUGUGUUUUGAGAUUCUAUAAGAUCAGUUUAGCUCCAUGCAUGAUCCAUACAAAUAUUUCCAGAAUCCAAAAUAAUAAUGUCAAAAUUGCUUUAAAUCAAAUGAACACGUUUGGGGUCUAUUUGAGACUGUUAUAAUUUAGCCGAGCCGUCACAUCCGCACUGGUUUUUUUUUUUUUGAAGAGGUCUACACUAAGGCUAUCUCCAACAAUAGAGACCUAAAUCAGAGACCCAUUUAAUGAUUUGGGUCAUGUACAGCAAAAGGGUAACCCCCUCAAAACUUAGCUUCUCCAACAGCUUACGCAGACCCCAAGCAUCACCCGCUCCUUGAAACGCAAGACGCCGCCCACCGCCCGCUCCUUUGUCGCGUCGGCGGUACCUGGCCAUGGCUGCUUCGUGGCUGCAGCCGCCGUGGAUCCGCCUAGCCCUGCCAGUCGCACGCCACCUCCGCAGACUCGCCUCGCUCUGCUCCCUGCUCCUCACCGUGGACCCACACCAGGAGCAGUUCACCGCCGCUGCCUUUGAUGAGGAAGAAGGGGAGGGCCUCCCGUACCGAUGAGGAUGAGGUGCUUGUCGGGUUUGGAGCUGCACUUCUGCGGUGGAGCAGUUCGUGCAUCAGAUCCAGAGAUGGCACGUCCUCUUGAUUCGCGGCCAUCUCCGCCGCUGCCGCAACGGGAAGAGUUUGACGACGGUGUUGUGUGCGUACGUGGUGGGUUCAAGUCUGGGUUGCUGCUGGAACGACGACGAAGAUGCAAUAGAGCUCCCCAGUCCCCACCACUACGGGUGCCAGAGUUUGAGUCGCCUCUCUGGAAGACGCAUAUUUGUGUUUCCUCUCGGCUCGUACGCAUAAUCGGUUGUCUGUUUGGGUCUUCUGUUGGAACCUGAAUUUGGGUAUGCAAAACACUAUUUAUGAUGUAUUCUGCGUUUUGGGGUGGCCGUUGGAGACAGUCUAACCCCGUCAUUUUCUAGAGCAGCCAACUACAUUAGACAGAUCAAGCCUCUAGGUGCAUUUUUGGUGUAGGGAAAAGAGGUGCUCCAAAUAUUCAACUUUUUUCAUGUACUAGUAAAUAUGCACGUGCAAGUGCAACACACACGUGUUUAUUGUUUUAAUUAAUUUUAUAUAUAUAUAUGGUGAGUUUUCUAUACUCCCGGGAGUAAUUACUCCCACCUAGCUUAUUGGAUUUUGUUAGACAAUCAAAACCCAUUAAGCAUUUUUGCACUGUCAUUUGCAUGCGUUCAGAUUCAAAGGCCAGCGGCAGCCUGUUUUGCGUGCUCAGGUCAAUCAGGAGAAGCUAACGGGUUAACGGGUUGAUAGAUGACAGUGGAGGGAACCAUGCAUAUGUACGUGACGUAUGACUUCACGUGAAAAACGGAUCAGGUUGAAUUCUUUGCUUUUGACGUUGGGUUGGCAUAGGGUGGGGUAUAUAUCUUUUUGAAAUAUGUGCACUAAAUAGUACUAGUAUGUGUAUACCUAAUAUUUUAGAAGUAUGCAUAGAGAUAAUUCUUAAAGGGAUGGGUAUGUCAUUCAUACUUUGUUUAAUAGAUGGAACACUCAUUAGCAUAUUUGUACGGGCAAAAAUCUAGAGGUAUGCACAGAUGCUAUUGGUUAAAAAGGUAUAAACAAAUACUUGUCCAACAUAAUAGUACAACACAAUAGUAUGGACCAAUACUUUAUGAUAAAGUUAAAUAGUAUGGACAAAUGCUGCUUAGAAAAUACGCCACUGUGGCUCUGCAUAUAUUUCUUCCAGAUACCGCUGGUGGGUACGUACGCUCGUAUACAAAUCUUUUAGAGUAUGUACAUGUAUACAUACUAAUGUAUAUGUUCAUACUAGUUUUUAGAAGAACGUAUGCAUUCAUACUGGGUAUAUUUGUGUACUUUUCGUGACCGUAUGCAUUCAUACAAGUAUAUGUAUAUACUUUCGUGACAUGUACUCUCUUGUCAUAAAAUGUAUAUACAUAUACAUCUACUACUCAUUACAUGCUGUAUGUACAUAGUAUUUUAUUGUAGACACAGAUUUCAAAAAUGAGUAUAUUUGCGUACUUGGAUUUGACAGAGUAUGAGUACAUACACAUUAACAUAAAAUACAUAUAUAUUUGUGUGAAUGAAUAAGUAUGAGUGCAUACUUCAAUUAUAAAAAAUGAGUAUAUUUGCAUACUUUUGUACUUGAAAUAGUGUACUCAGGAGCUUAACUAGGAUUAAGGACAAACAAAUUAAUGUAAUAGAAAGAGCGGGAGAUCUCUAUAUGCACCAGAGUGAAUGAACGCCGUAUGAUCUUCGAUUAUGGCCAGCAGGCACGCCACGGCCGCCUAUCAGAGCUAGUUGCAGAUGAGGCCGAGGUACCAGGUUGCGAGGCUCUCCGCGACGCCGCUGCUGGAGCCGAAGUUGCGGAUGCAAAGGAGGUAGCAGACUGUGUUCAACAAGCAGAUGCCGUUCCCACUUCCCAGCAAGGCAGGUGAGGAAGAACAGGUGCCUGCCAGUACCGGAUCGAUCCCGUAGUAGCCAAUGAGGCCGAACGUGGUGACGACGAAGGCCACGAGCCACAGCUACAGGUAGCGCAAUUCGUGGCGCCGAUGAAUGCCCACGACGGCACGACCACCACGGCGGUGACGCGGAGAUGGGUUGACGGCCGCUGAUGGUGAAGGGGAGUUGGGGCGCGGCCACACUAUCGUCGCGGGAGCACCGUCCAUGCGGGAUGGUCGUGCGGCAGCCGGAUGGGCUGGCCAUGAGCGCCGCCGUGGGGUGCCCUCCACGUGAGUGGGCGGCGCAGUCGUGUGGCGCUGUGCGGUCGGGCCGCCACCGCCGCCGCCAGGGAUGCCUACCGAACGAGCUGGCGGUGUCUUGCGCGCUGGGAAGACCGCGUCGUCGCUAUGGGAUGCCGGUGCCUCGGCCGCGAUGUCGCCUACCGCAUACGAGGAUUUCGGUUGGAUUAGAUCUAAUAUUUUUAUAUUCAAAAGUUAUUAACGGGUGAGACUGCAAUUUAGAUCCGAAAAAUAGAACCGAUUGAAUUAAUGGGUGGGUUCACGAUCCAACAAGAGUAGGCACACCUACAUCCAGUUGGGAGUAACUACUCCUAGGGAGUAGAGAAAAUUUAAUAUAUAUAUAUAUAUAUAUAUUAUCCAAAUUAUAUAUGAAUAUGAAAUUAUAAACUAAUUAUCUCUUGCUUUUGAGACUGGCCAUACAUUGCAACAGGACAUAUAUGAUGUUUAUAUGAUUUCAUAUAAAUAGUAAUAAAAUAUCUAUUUUAUUGAAUUUAUUAAUUAGGCUAGAGAUGAUUUGCUCUUCGCCGGCGCCCCUUCCUCCUAGCUAGGCACUGUUCCCGAGGCCCAAGACGUGCAUAUGCUUAUAUCUUCAUAGCUUUUCAAUACAUGCAUACUUUCUGACUAUUUAUCUGUUUGUCAUCCAGUUUGACGUAUGCUAGGUGUAGUAGCUGGUCACAUAUAAUGCAUGCACGAUCCUAAACAUACACGACAACAUGCGCUUAAUUUUUUCUUAAAAUAAAAAUAGUCGAAACGGCUAACGAAUCUAAACAACCAAACACCAGGACCAAAAUAAUCAAAAAAACUAUGCAUGAGAUUGGACUCUGAUAAGCAAAUAUGGACCGGUUCCAAGGAAGCAAGACUACACCGACCAAAACUAGGGUAUUUUUAACUUUAUUAUUUUUCCUUUUUGAGUGUAGUAGAAAUAUUGGUUUAGAAGAAGUCUUACAUCUUACGUGUAAGUCUGAUGAAGGUUAAACGAGAUUUUUCUACGUUUUAGGACCUUCAUAAUUCAGGAUGGACCACAAGUAAGAUUCUGGGAAGACAGGUGGUUAGGACUGUCAACUCCGCGUCAACAAUAUCCUUGCCUUUAUAACAUAGCCCGGCAUAAACAGGUUACUGUAGCAGAAGUGCUAACACGUCUCCACCUACUCUAUCCUGGCAAAGAGAUCUAAUUGGACACGAAUUAGUGGCUUGGAACAAUUUACUUCCACGCAUCAUGAAUAUUGUGUUAAGCCAACAAGAAGAUGAAUUUCGCAGGAACUUGCAUCCUAAUGGACAGUUCUCAGUUAAAUUUCAUUACCUAGCAAUGAUCCAUAAUGAUGUUCCUAAUAUUAAUAAAGGUUUGUGGAAACUUAAAGCUCCAUUGAAGAUCAGGAUAUUUCUUUGGUAUCUACGUACAGGCGUAGUGUUAACCAAAGACAACUUAGUUAAACGUAAUUGGCAUGGCAGCAAACAGUGUUGUUUUUGUCACAAAGAUGAGACAAUUAAACACCUGUUUUUUGAAUGUCGUUUUGUUCGUGCUGUCUGGUCUGUUAUCCAAGCGGCUUCAGACUUGUCUCAACCACACAAUGUCUCAAACAUGUUUGGUUCUUAGCUCUGUGGUCUAAGUAAAUAACUGAAAUCACUAACCUUGCUAGGAGCAACAGCUACAUGUUGGUCUCUUUGGUUAUGUAGAAAUGACCUGGUUUUUGAAAAGAAACGUACUUGUUUUCCUUUAUAGGUUAUCUACUCGAUUAUACAUUGGCUGCGUAUAUGGGAUGUCCUGCAGAAGUCGACUUCACAAGAUUUGGUUGUAGCGGCAUCUCAACAAUUGGCGCAAAGGAGUUUUUUACCCGGGCACAUGGGUGGCAGUCUAGUCUUCGGAUUGAGUGUUAUUAGUGUGUCUUUAUGUUUUAAGUUCUUUUAUAAGGCUGUGUGUAUCUUUGCUAUACAGAGGCCGGAAGUGUGUCAAGGUCUUUGUAUCACCUCGAUGUAACAAUCUUGAAAUUAAUGAAGCUUUCUUUAUCGAAAAAAAAUAUGACGAAGGGCUCAUAUAGCAUGACGUAUAAAUCGAACGGUUGUUAAUGAGGGAGAGUAAGAUCUCAUACCGCGAAAAUCUCAUAUGAAACAAUGAUCAAAGUUAUGAAAGAGGAAUAGCCCCCAACAAAUUAUUCUCUAUUUUUAUAGUGUGAUGAUGAUGUGAUGUGAUGAUGAUUUAGGCCAUGUUUGGACCUCCUAAGAAAAAUGAGUAUGACACCGAAAAACAAGAAUGUGAGAUCCAAACACUUGGAUUUCAGAAAUCCAACCUAUCUAAACUAAACCUAUUAUUUGUAGAAUUUCACGAUAUACAAAGGCAAUAAUUACUAUGAGAAUUAAUAAGAUUCAAACACCCUUCAUUCACGGGCGGAGUGGCAUACCCGGCGUGCUCAGCAAAUACAGCACACAUAUACAAGUAUAUUUGUUUUUUUUAUACUCGUAGAUAUAAAAGUAUAUAUUUGUAAAUAAAAGAAAUAACGAGAUAACCUGCUGGAAAUUGUGCAAUGGAGAACGGACGUGCGCCAUCGGCCUUUUGUAGCAUUCAGGGCUUCAGCAGGCCCACGGCUCCACGUGACGCAAGCUUUGGGCCGGACGACGACGCCACGACGGGAUCGGGGAGUCCAGUCCAGUCCAAUGCUCCGUCGCUCGGAGCCUGAUCGGAGUCCGGGCAGGGAUGACCGUGACCUCGAGACUUCGAGAGGCCGUGGGCGGGUGGAGACUGGAGAGGGUAGGAUCCUGAGGCUCAAGAAGGAAGCUGACGAGUAGGCCGAAGAGUCUGCCUGCCUGAGCAAGGCCACGCCGGAGGCACCGGGGGCCGGCCGGCCGGGACGACGACGAAGAGAUGAAAAGGUGGUGGUGGUCACGAGGAAGUUGCCCAAGGAGCUCAUCAAGUACAUGGCCGAAUGUCCCUUUAGGCUCACCGACGAACGCUGUGACGAGGAGCUUGCCUAGCGUGACCCAGAGUAUAGCAACAUCGUCCUUGUCGCCGUCGCAGGUGAAGAAUUAGGUCGGUCAGGGAGCAAAUUUUUUUUAUUUUACGAAACUAAAAACAUAGCAACAGAAUAAUUUACGAGACGAUUUUGAUACUGCUAACGUCCAGACGUCCGGAUGGACGCGCACGACCGGACGCCCAAACCUGUACUCUAUCUCCCCACGCACAACUGCAUCCCGCUUCAGUCUAUGUGGGUUCAGACUGCUUGGACCCACCCGUGCUGCCUCGAUUGCACCUACGGAGUCCUCGCUCGCACCCCCACCGCUGCUCACGCGCAUGCACACGGCCAGCAGUUGCAGCAGGUGACUAUAGAAAGGUGGCUAAGCCAACAUCCAGAAAAAGGGAGAGAGGCAACAGAUGCUCAGUCGGUGCCGAAAGAAGAAGAAAGAGACACGAGCUGAAGGUGAGGAAGCAGAAAAGCAAAGACAUGGAUGCAAUAUCUGGUCUACUUUUGAAACAUCCGAAUACAAUGUUUGCAACAUACGCUUGAAGGCAGAUGAAACAAAUAAAAUAUACAUCUGAAACACGCUAUCUGCAACACCAUAUACUUUUGAAACAUCUAAAUGAAACACUUACAACAUUAGUACGAAACAACUAAAACACUCAAAACAUGCUAAUGAAGCACUUGAAAAAAACACCAUGCAACACGCAUCCAGUUCAAAACGAUUGCAACAUGUCUAGAGAACAAUUACUUAUUGUGGGGGUAUAAACCCCUAUACCCUUACGGCUAGACUUGGGCCAGGAGGCUUGGCCCAUUACGAGACAAGCUCAAGGUUUGAUCCGACGGCUUGGAGUUUCGCGCAAGGAAACAAGACGUGGAGAUCAAGUAGGAUUCUAGUCGGUUAGAAUAGGAAUUGAUAUCAAACUAUCUAUGGCAAUUGUAACCGACUAGGAUUAGUUUACAGAUCUGUAACCCUGCCCUCCGGACUAUAUAAGGAGAGGCAAGGGACCCCCUAGGACAUCAGAUUCUCUCAACACAAAUCAAUACAACCAGACGCAGGACGUAGGUAUUACGCCAACUCGGCGACCGAACCUGGAUAAAAAGCUUGUCCGUGUCUUGCGUCACCAUCGAGUUCGUAGUUUGCGCACCGUCUACCGAUAAACUACUACCAUGGGUAUACCCCAAGGUAGACUGCCGACUAGCUUUCGUCGACAGUGGCGCGCCAGGUAGGGGGUGUGCGUGCAACUUCUCCGGCGAACAAGAUGGUCACAAUCCCAGCUUCCGCGACCGUGCCCGGAGGCCUCACGUUCACCGUCGGCCAGAUCACGUGGACGACGCGCGGCGGUGGCCUUACGACCACGGUUUCGAAAGAAACUCAGAUCCAAUCUGAGAUCACGUCGUCUCCGACCACCUGGAUGGCGGCACCGAGCGCCCGACCACCGUUCCCGCUCUACAAGGGAAAGAAGAUCGACUGCUCGGACCUUCUCCAAGCGCUUGAUCGCGCUGAUUCCAAGCUACUUGAAGCCUCCCAACUAGUAGAUGGAAUCCUGCGCCAGCCUGAUCAAGCCGCUUCAACGGAUUUUUUCAAAUCCCGCCGGCCAACUCGUGUCGUUACACACGAACGACUGGGAACGUCUCUGACGAUAACCUCAACUCCAUCAGGACGGACCGUUAAGCUCAAGGAGGAAGAUUAUCCUUGCGGCCUGAACAACUCAGCCUCUCUCUACUCACGGCACAUCCAAUCCGUUUUCAGCAAGGCAGAUUGGCCGCCGAAAAGGAACGAUCGACCUGCUCGUCACUACGUCAACAUGGUGACGAUCCGAGAGCUACGGGACGGUCAGGCUUCCAGCACCAACUCAAGCACCGGUUCCGUCCCCACCGAAGUUAUAAACUCCGAAGACGAGGACUACGACCUGGAUUUGCCUUCACACCCUCCGGGUUUCCCUCGCUUCCCGGUAUUUCCCCCCCCGGCGAGGGGACAUUGUUUUCAACGUCAGCGCCGACAAGCCGGUCGUUGAUGGAGAAACGGACGAGCAGAGCCAGCUCCGCGAGCAGCGCAACGCCGAUCGCGCCCGACGACGCGCAGAUGAGCAACGACAAAUUCCACCGCAUAACCUCAGUGACGCUUUUGACAUGGUCGGGGACCAGCCAGUCUACAAAACGCCAAGCGCAAACGUGGCUGUCGCCAUGGCUAAUCUAGAUCGGCUCCCUGAUACCCCUGAGUGCCAGGGAGUCCGAACCAGCGUCCGAGCGCACCUGAUUGCCGCAAUGGGACAGACAGCUACUCUGCUCAAGAGAGUCCAGGACGUCUCUUAUACGGAAGCCACCUCCGACCAGACUAAUCGUAGCCAGACCUCACCGCCUCCCAGCAGGCAUCACCGCAGCCGCUCUCCCGACAACCAUCGAAAAGAUUCACGGCGUAACGAUGGUGGACGGGACACUGACGGUCACCGCGAGCAGAACCGAAGGCGCGGUCAAGAAGUAAACCAGCACAAGGAUCUCCGAUACAACAUCCCUCCCAAAGAUGCUCGGGACCGCAUCUACAGGCGCGCCACAGAAAGAGCAGUCCACGAAAACCUACGCCGUAUCGAGUACGAUGCAACGCACGGCCCCCCGGGCCUAAGACAGUUCUCCUCACACCUCCGCCAGGUCGUGUGGCCCCGCAAUUUUGAAGCUCGAAAAACUUAAAAAAUACGACGGCAAGGAAAAUCCAGAGAACUGGAUCACUCUCUACGAAAUUGUCGUCCGAUCAGCAGCGGGAGAUGAGCACGUCAUGGCCAACUACUUCCCUGUAGUCCUCGACCAGGCUGGUCAUCAGUGGCUCCUUGGCUUGCCCGAGGACUCCUUCGACUCUUGGGAAGAGCUACACCAGGCUUUCAUCGACAACUUCAUCGCCACAUGCGAGCAGCCUGGAAACAAGUAUGACCUCGAAAGGAUAAGGGACAGGAAGAAUGAACCUCUGCGCGAUUACAUCCGACGAUUCUCGGAUAUGCGCCUUAAGAUCCCGAAGAUUUCCCACGACGAGGCCAUCUCCGCCUUCAUCAAGGGCUUGCGUUUCCAUGAAGCGCUGAGGAACAAGCUGUUGUGCAAACGGCCAACAACGGUGGCGGAGCUCCUCGCCACGGCUAAAAAUUACGCCGAUGCCGACGACGCAGAGAAACUAAUCCGAGACGAUGCGAGAGGUCCCGACAAGCCUCCCCGGCGAGAUGACGGUCGCGGUCGCUACAACAACAGGAACCACCGCCGCUCCGACAACCGCGAUCACAGAGAAGGUUGGGAUCGGCGCCGCGACAAUCGCGACGAUUUUAGAGGAAAGCGCCCCCGCGACUACGACCAUGAAGUGAAUACGGUCAAACGUCCCAACGGGCGGCGGGACUACCAAGAAGACUACAACAAAACGUUGAAGGGACCGUGCCAACUGCAUCCAAAGUCUAAUCAUACCAUGGAGGAGUGUCGCGUCCUCAAUAGCAUCUACACACGGCGGGCCGCCCAAGAUGACUCCACCAAGAAAAAUGGCAAGCGAGACGGGCACGACCACAAAGACGAGGACGAGGACCAAGAUAGGGACCCCCGACACCAAUACGUCAGCCCACUGAAGUGGUCCACUCCAUCUUCGGGGGCAAGGUCUCCAUCGAAUCUAAGCGAGAGAGAAAGCUAUUAAAGAGAGCCUGCCUCAACAUAGACAGCACGGACGGGCUGAUCGCAGACCCAAAAUUUCCCCCAUGGUCGCACAGGGAGAUCUCAUUCAGCAGGAAGGAUCAGUGGGCCGCUAUCCCAGAGCCAGGUCGUUUCCCUCUGAUCCUGGACCCUUGCAUCAACAGCAUCAGAUUCGAGCGCGUGCUCGUGGACGGGGGAAGCUCCAUCGACAUCCUCUUCCGCAACAGUCUGCCCGCCCUCAAAAUAUCUCCUGCACAACUAAAACCCUACGAUGCUCAAUUCUAGGGGGUUUUGCCAGGUCAGAGUUCAGUGCCCCUCGGACAGAUAACAUUGCUUGUCCAAUUCGGCACACCCGACCACUUUCGGACAGAGUUCAUCAACUUUGUGGUCGCGGACUUCGACGGGACCUACCACGCACUACUCAUACCUGGUCCUUAAAAUGCCUACAGAGAAGGGUGUCCUAACCGUCAGAGGCAACGUCUACACCGCGUAUACCUGCGAAGAGGAAAGCUUCAAGAUUACCGAGGCAAUCGACCUCUCAAUCCGCAUGGCAGAAACAGCAACCCAAGCCACGCAGCUGCCUCCCGACCAACUCCCAUUACCCGAGCAGGAGACCGCCAGAAAGAACUCAAAAUCCAAGGAGUACAAAGAAGUGCAGCUGGUCGACGGCAGCCCCGAGAAGACGGCCCUCAUCGGGGCCAAUCUGGAUCCAAAAUAGGAAGACGCGCUCGUCAGGUUUCUAAGGGACAACGUGAGCGUUUUCGCAUGGAAACCCGUGUUGAUAUUUGGUAACGCAAUUAGAAAAUGAUCCGCAAGCGCACGGAUAUCGGUGAGCAUUUCACCCGGGAGGUUAUCCAGAGUUAUCGUAUUUAUAUUUUUACCACUGGGAGAAAGGGUGCAUCUGACUAACCAAAUCUAUUGCUACUAUCCCUUUAGGCUACAAAGAAUGUCUCUCGAUGUGAGUGAUGUAUAGAGAAGACUGCAACUGUAGUCUCGUUCUAACCUUGGUAAGGAUGAUCUACUGUUCUAUUGGGGAGGCUCACGGAAUCUAGACAACACAAAGGAUGUUCGACCCGCACCUAUAACCCUACCCGUCCUGCUAACGAGAUGUGAUCUGCAAAGGUAACUCGGAAUUGUCACGUUCCUCGCUACUACCACGGUCUAGCUAGUCAGGGGAUAUCUAUGAGUACCCUAGCCUAAACACCACGUUUACGCUAACAAGUGAUUACUCUAAUACUCAACCGGAAGAGGAUUAAAGUAAACUCAUAAACCAAAGAACAAUAAAACAAGAACUUACUAGUAUUAGAAGUCGAAUUACUGAAGAAUCUUAGAAGCAAGCCUCGGGUUAGGAGACUUGAUCCCGUAGGUACAACUCGGAGUAGACACCGACAGGCCGGCCUUCCUCCGAUCCACACCUCCACUCUAUCUCUCUCAAUCUAGUAGAAACUAGAAGAUCUAUUUCUACUUUACAUUGGUUGCUAAGCCUAAAAAGAAAUAUUAUUUAGAGAAGAGGUUUUCCUUCGAGGGCACCCCUCAAUCUCUAUGAUAAUUUCUUCUCUCCUCCAGGGGCCAGAGGGGGUCUCCUUAUAUAGUCCUCCCCUUCUAUGCGUUUUUGGGUCGAUAGGCGAGGUGGUACUAUGUUAUUCUGGAUCCAAUAGGUCGGUGGAACGUCGUGUGCGAAGAGAGUCCGGAACGGGGUCCAGAGGUGGGCAGGCGCCCAGGUCCUCAGGGCGGGCGCCCUGGGCCUGGCCCCUUUCGGGCUCCGCUUCCUUCCCGUGGCUUCUGGAGUCUUCUAGAUGGUAGAAAAUUGCACGGUGGGUUGAUAUCUCUAUGUAAUCCUGACAUGUGGGCCUUUCUUCCUUAUUUCCUGAUAACCCCCUGCAGAAAUAGACAAACACCAAAACUCGUGGAAUUCUGUCAGAUAAAACCCUAAGUCUAGAUGUUGAUUUCAUUUGGAUCCUUUUCUUUGUUUAUUUGAUAAUUAAAUUUGAUACUUAAGGACCGUCAACAAACUCCCCCAAGCUUACCUCUUGCUCGUCCCUGAGCAAGGAUGAACUCAAGAGUUUCUACAGUGGUUUCAUUUCUUAGAAGUACACACGCAUUUAAGCAAGAUCUCAUCUCUGAGUUAGAAUAAACUGUUAAGACUUAAAACUUACUUACUUUACCUACACCAUAGGACUUGUAACCGUCACUUCUGUCUUGAGUGGUUAAAAGAUAGAACAGUCUAGCCAAGUGCCAUGUCUCUUAUUCUUGAUCAGCUAUAGCUCUGGGGUUUUUGCAGAUUUUCAAAUAAAACUCAGAAAUUCCUUGUAUAAUUCUCUCUAGUCUCUCUUUUGUGGUAUUUCUGGAUCCUUACCAAGGCAGUAAUGGGAUAUGCCUUCUCUCACAGUAUGUGGUAUUUUUGGUAUGAGGCAUAGUGAUAUUGUCUUCUCUCUCACCCUACUCUAAUAAGGCUUUAAUAUCUGGAGCUCAUAGGUGGGAGAUAAAGUAUACAUACUUACAAGACAUUUAUUGCAUAGUCAAACCAUGGAUACAAAGAAACAAAUCAAUAAGCCAAAUCAAGAUGUGCAUGUGUGGCGAAUGAAUGGUGUAUGGUGAUGAUGGUGAUAACAAUGGUGGUGGAAGUGUAAUUCUACUUUGCUCUUUGAGGGGAUACAUACCUUCCUUGCUUUUGCAACUUUAUGAGGAGAAUGAGAUGCUCUUCUUUUUUUUCUUUUCUUUCGAGGUUCCGAGCACUUGCUCCUUUUUAUUUCCUCGUAUCUUUUAUUUUCUUUUUCUCUCUUUUUCUUUUUUUUCAAAGCAUUCAUCUCUUGAGAUAAUAUAGCAAGUGGUAGUAACAAGAUAACUUGAGCAUUUAUUUCACAAGGGGAAACAGAAAUAUUUUUGGUUAUUCUCUCCCGGAUUAGGAGUAGAAUACUUUUGGGUGGUUUUGGAGAUGGAAAUUAGUGGAUAUAUGUGGAUGGUACUUCCGGAGUAGAAGUAGCAUGUAUGAGUGAACGUGCAAGUGAAUCUUGAUUUAACCACAUGACAAGCUCCUAAGGGUCUACACAGCUUGACCACACUCAAUGCUCAUAAGCAAUAAAUAGUAAAUGUGUGGCUCAAGGUCUAGCAAGCAUGUAUAUAUGGCUGUGGUAGGAAUUUAAACUCUCAUCAUACAGGAACUCAUCAUGCAACAUUUUAAAGAUUUUCAAAGAUAAAAUUCUCCAGAAUUCUAGCAUCUCUAGGAACAGAUAAACAGCAGCUCAACCUUCCCAUAUCGUAUCCGUUAACAACUUAGACUUCAGAUCAAGUUUUCAUCCCACAAGUUUAGGUCUAGAGCAAGCCUUAAAUUAUAACAGUUAUAUCUAAACUUGAGAGAGAGAACUUCAAAUUUGCAAAUUAGGCAGAGCAACUAUUCAUCAUAUCCAUGCUUAAGUUUUAUUAUUAAGAUUCAGAUUAGCAUAGCCACUUUAUUAAACACACUAAGCAAAAGAUAUAUAAGCAUAAAAUCUUUAUUUGGUUUUUCAUAGUUAUGUGUAUUUAUAUUCUAAUAUAGUAUAAGUAUAAAGAUAGAUAGAAAUACUUAUCGAGAUAAAUGGGGGUGCUCUCCCCCAAGCUGAAUUUUGACGUAAUUUCUCUUGAUGUAGCUAGUAGGUGGCAGAGGUGUGUUUGAAAGUCAGCAGUAUUUUGACAGUGAUUAGAAUGUCCUCCGUCUGCUAGUCUUCUUGAUUCUUAAAUUCUGUGGAGCUCAAAUAGACAACAAAGCUUGUGGAACUGAUUAAGUGUUAGCAUAAAUAUCUAGCCUUUAUCAUGUUGAGACUCCUUAAUAAAUAUUACUCCCUGUUUUUAUAUUUUUGUUUUUAUAAAGCAGAAAAAUAUUUAUUUUAUUUUUAUGCCACCACAGUGAAUGUACUUAUGGGUUUUAUGCCACUCGUCUACUCACAUGGGGCUUACAGUUUUUUUCACAUUUUUAUUUUUAUUUUUUUACAUUUUUAUUUUCUUUCUAGGAUAACACGAACAUGAUUAACUAAGCAAACUAUAAUUGAAUAAUUAAAAGGAAAAGGAUAACUACCAAGUUUACCUUUUGGUAAGGCGUUCGGUGUUUUUAAGUCCUCCGAACGGGACUCUCCAUUUUCUUAAUCGUCCUGAGGUUCAUUGGAUGGCGUAGUCGGUACUUCCGGCAGCGCCUCCUCUUCAUUUAUAGUUAUCUUCAUUUUCCAUACCUGACUCGGUGUUACGGUCUCCUCAGGACAGUUCUGUUCAAGUUGUAUGUCUUCAGUCCUUAUCACUUCUCCUUCGUAGUCUACCCAUCCGUCCUUGAUGAUUUGCCUCCUCUGGUUUCGGUUGCGUUGUCUUCUUCUUGUCCUGACCUGCUUAGAAUCUUCAACUAUAUAGUUAGAAUCAUUAAAGUAGUGGCGUACCUUCUCAGAGGGGAAGUACAUGUGGACUUCUCCGGUUCCAAUAUAGAUAAUGGCUUUGAUAGUGCUGAGGAACGGUCUUCCAAGGAUGGUGGAUGGAUCAUACUCGUCUUCUCCCAUGUCAAUGACCUGAAAUUGUCUGACACUGAAUGUAUCUUGGUUGUAGGAGCAUGGUUCCAUGCAGGAGCUGAUAAGUGACUACGGCCAUUAUGUUAUCGUUAGAUCCGGUGUCGCAAAUUGUCUUGUAGAAGCUAUAUCCAUUUAUGGAGCAGUAGAUGCUUGACAUUCCUGGGUCGUCCUUCUUGGUCAAAAACGGUGACUUAAGUUGAUGAUCUUGGCCUCCAUGAACUACAGUGACCAUCUUAGCUGACUCGGUCCACAUUUGCUUGUUCCUGUUCCUCCUGUUGGUCCUCUUCCUUGAUUUACGUCUGGAUUGAUCUUGAAUUUGUGUAGUCUUGUUCUUGAAGAAAAAUGUCUCCUUCUUCCAUUUGACGUAGAAACUGAUCUUGGCAGCACUAGCGUAGAUGAUAGCUCCCGUGGUGUUCAAGAAUGGCCUCCCUAGGAUGAUAGGUGCUCUCUCAUCAUUUUCGGUCUCUACCACUACGAAGUCUGCUGGGGCAUACAAGGUACCAACUUAGACACAAAGGUUCUUCAAUAUUCCUUUUGAAAAAGUUAUCGCCUGAUCUCCAUUGUGUUUGUGCUUGUAGAUCCCGGUUCUUCACUUGAUGGAAUCUGGGAGUUGUAAAACGCCUUCACGUUUCUCAAAAUGUGUCCUGCUCAUAGAGACAAGGCAGAGAUCAAGUGCAUGGGCCCUGUUGGUGGAAAACACCAACAGAACCAAAAGUGUAUUUGUUCUUCUCUAACCUUAAUCAUAGUGAGCAAGACAAAGUUGAUGGAUCAUGAGUGUAGCAUUUAAAACAUUUGUUAGAUCAGAUGGCUCAACCUAAUGGAAAGAUAAUCUAUCUAUAUUUAUGUUUUGUUUAUAUCUUCCAAAGAUUGAAUGUGCAAUACUUUAGCUUAUAUGAUUAGGAGUGUGGGAUCACGAAGGUAGUACUAAGAACAAAGAUUAAAGGACUAAACAUGUUGAAUUAAUUGAGUUGGUUAAUUUAGAGUUAUAAAUCAUACAUGUUUGUCUCUUUAUUUAUGUGAAUGCCAGAACCAAGGAGAACUUAUAAAAGUAAUCAAGUACUUUAAGAUGUUAUUGAAGAGUUAUGGUAUAGUAUCACCUUGUGGAAGCUUUCCUUUCUUAGUGGUUGUGCAUCGUGUUUGUGGCACCCUCCAUGGAUCAUCUCUUUAUGAUGAAUGAGCUAUGUCCUUCUUGUGCAAAUUGUUAAACUUCAUGUGUCUCCUUUAUCUCCAAUGAGUUUGUAUCUCAGGACUUCCCAGGUUGAUAUUGAAAGUUUUCCUGCAGGGGUUAGUCCAACAAAAUAUCCCAUAUCUACUAUAGCAUACUAUCGGCUCAAAAAUCAACCUAGACACCAUGUCUAAUUUGAUUUAGGAGGGCAUUUUAACCUAAGCACCAUGCUUAAUUUAAAAAUCCUUUGGAAGUAAGAUCAUCAUUCCUAAACUAAGCACCAUGCUUGAUUUAAGAGAUAAAUGAAACUACUCCAAACCUAGACAUAUACUAAAGCAAAUAAAGGUAGCAUGAGAGCAUUUAUAGCGAUCUACUCAAGUGGAGGUGAAGUAGUGUAAUUAGUACUUAACAAAUUGAGCAUCUCUCAAAGGUAGGAACAACCAACAUAGCAACAUGGCAAAUGAUGUUUUUAUGUAAAGUACUCCCCCAAGCUUGAAUUUUGCAAAAUUCAAGUUUGGAUGAAUUUAAUUCAAUGUUGUGUGAUGGUUGGUUGGACAUACCUUGUGCUUGUCAUUCAUCCGAUCUUCUUGCUCCAAUCCUGGAAAGGUUAGUGACAAGAAUACCCGAAGGAAUAUUUCUACAAUUAUCUUUAUAUGCUCAAUACACAAGUCAAUGUUGCAAAUAAUUAGAAGUGCUUGUUUUAGGACACUAAGCUUGUCCUUGGGAAACCAUCAAUUAACUCUAUGAGAUCUGCAAUAUUUAUUAUAGACAUAUGCAUCGACAACCGCUCUUUUAAAGUUUUUAUAAAUAGAAAAGAAGAGAGGGUUGGAGAUCUCAAAUGUGAUAAGGAUGGAGAGACUAAUUGAUUGGAGAGAUGUUUUAUAUGAGCAAGGACUGGGUAAGGUAUUUAUGAAAUAACUUCCAUGCUCACUGUUGUUUCUCUCAUUCUCAAACUCCAAGGAUGAUUCUUCAUGAAUGCUAAAAAUUCCUCUAGGAUUGUCUCUCAAGUUUGUUUUAUCUAUCCAUUCAAUGGUGAUAGCACAUGGAUUUUUAAUGCCCUUUAGCCAUUGAUGUUGCUCUUCUCGAUCCUCCUUCUUAUGCAUGGGAUGUCUAGAUAGAUUCAUAGGAUUAUCGGGAGGUUCAAGAGAAAUAGCAUAGUAGAGAUUAUUAAGCUCAAGAAUGGGAUGGAUAGCCGAAUCAUGGGAUUGAAAUGUUUGGAAAUUGGCUAUUGAAACUUCCUUUCCUCGUCUGGGAGAUGAUUCCUUCUCUAUCUCUAAGAUUUUUCUAUGAAGACUAGUACAAGAAGGAUAUCCACGAAUGAAGACAUACCUUCCUUUACUAAUAGAUAAAGAAAGAAAGACUCUACCAAAGGUUAUAUGAUUAAGACCAAUGUGAAAAUAUCUGGGAAAAACAUGGUCUUGUAGGGCUAGGUCUAAACCAGAAUUUAUAGAAAGAUUAAUAAAUUCCCUAGGUGUAGCUAAAAGUGCAUUAUCUUUUUGAUUAAAAGAUAGGACCUCAGCUAUAGAAAAGGGUUGGUUUUGACCUAUUGCAAUCAACUCCGGACACAGAUCAUAAUUAGGGGCAGGACGUGUUGACUCCCAUGGUCUAUGGCUGGUCUCCGAAGGUGCAAAGAAUUUAAUAAUAGGUAUGGCAUUUGAGUUAUCCAUAAAGAUAAAAAUAAAAAGAUAAAAGAAUAAAAGUAUAAAAGUAUAAUACAAGAUAAUAGCAAGACUCAAAGUUAUCUCAGCAAACCGUCUUUCUCCCCGGCAACGGCGCCAGAAAUGCUUGUUGAUAUUUGGUAACGCAAUUAGAAAAUGAUCCGCAAGCGCACGGAUAUCGGUGAGCAUUUCACCCGGGAGGUUAUCUAGAGUUAUCGUAUUUAUAUUUUUACCACUGGGAGAAAGGGUGCAUCUGACUAACCAAAUCUAUUGCUACUAUCCCUUUAGGCUACAAAGAAUGUCUCUCGAUGUGAGUGAUGUAUAGAGAAGACUGCAACUGUAGUCUCGUUCUAACCUUGGUAAGGAUGAUCUACUGUUCUAUUGGGGAGGCUCACGGAAUCUAGACAACACAAAGGAUGUUCGACCCGCACCUAUAACCCUACCCGUCCUGCUAACGAGAUGUGAUCUGCAAAGGUAACUCGGAAUUGUCACGUUCCUCGCUACUACCACGGUCUAGCUAGUCAGGGGAUAUCUAUGAGUACCCUAGCCUAAACACCACGUUUACGCUAACAAGUGAUUACUCUAAUACUCAACCGGAAGAGGAUUAAAGUAAACUCAUAAACCAAAGAACAAUAAAACAAGAACUUACUAGUAUUAGAAGUCGAAUUACUGAAGAAUCUUAGAAGCAAGCCUCGGGUUAGGAGACUUGAUCCCGUAGGUACAACUCGGAGUAGACACCGACAGGCCGGCCUUCCUCCGAUCCACACCUCCACUCUAUCUCUCUCAAUCUAGUAGAAACUAGAAGAUCUAUUUCUACUUUACAUUGGUUGCUAAGCCUAAAAAGAAAUAUUAUUUAGAGAAGAGGUUUUCCUUCGAGGGCACCCCUCAAUCUCUAUGAUAAUUUCUUCUCUCCUCCAGGGGCCAGAGGGGGUCUCCUUAUAUAGUCCUCCCCUUCUAUGCGUUUUUGGGUCGAUAGGCGAGGUGGUACUAUGUUAUUCUGGAUCCAAUAGGUCGGUGGAACGUCGUGUGCGAAGAGAGUCCGGAACGGGGUCCAGAGGUGGGCAGGCGCCCAGGUCCUCAGGGCGGGCGCCCUGGGCCUGGCCCCUUUCGGGCUCCGCUUCCUUCCCGUGGCUUCUGGAGUCUUCUAGAUGGUAGAAAAUUGCACGGUGGGUUGAUAUCUCUAUGUAAUCCUGACAUGUGGGCCUUUCUUCCUUAUUUCCUGAUAACCCCCUGCAGAAAUAGACAAACACCAAAACUCGUGGAAUUCUGUCAGAUAAAACCCUAAGUCUAGAUGUUGAUUUCAUUUGGAUCCUUUUCUUUGUUUAUUUGAUAAUUAAAUUUGAUACUUAAGGACCGUCAACAACCCGCAGAUAUGCUUGGCGUCCCACGAAACCUGAUCGAGCACUCCUUAAAUGUCUCGAAGACCGCAAGACCAAUCAAGCAAAAGCUGCGACGGUUCGCUCGUGACAAAAAGGAGGCUAUUAGGACAGAAAUAACACGGCUUCUAGUAGCCGGAUUCAUAAAAGAAGUGUAUCACCCCGAUUGGCUCGCCAAUCCGGUUCUUGUACGCAAAAAGAAUAAUGAAUGGAGAAUGUGCGUUGAUUACACUGAUCUCAAUAAACACUGUCCUAAAGAUCCUUUUGGUCUCCCUCGCAUCGACGAGGUGGUCGACUCAACGGCCGGAUGCGAACUCCUCUCUUUUCUAGACUGCUACUCUGGUUAUCACCAGAUCUCGCUAAAGGAGAACGAUCAGAUAAAAACAUCUUUCAUUACUCCUUUCGGCGCAUAUUGCUACACGACUAUGUCAUUUGGACUCAAAAACGCCGGAGCCACCUAUCAACGGGCCAUCCAGCAAUGCCUCCACGACGAGAUUCGUGAUGACCUCGUCGAGGCCUAUGUCGAUGACGUGGUCGUCAAAACAAGAGAUGCAAGCACCCUAAUCGACAACCUAGACCGAACCUUUAAGGCGCUUAAUAGAUACAAGUGGAAGCUUAACCCCAAGAAGUGCAUCUUCGGCGUUCCUUCUGGUCUACUGCUCGGCAACGUUGUCAGUCGCGACGGCAUAUGGCCGAAUCCCUCAAAAGUAAAAGCAGUACUCGACAUGCGACCACCUAAAAAUGUCAAAGAUAUUCAGAAGCUCACCGGGUGUAUGGCCGCGCUCAGCCGUUUCAUCUCAAGACUAGGAGAAAAAGGCCUCCCUUUCUUCAAACUCUUGAAGGCGUCGGAAAAGUUCUCCUGGACAGAGGAAGCCGACGCUGCGUUCACCCAGCUUAAGGCUUUCCUCACUUCCCCGCCUGUUCUUACAGCACCUUAGCCCAAUGAAGACCUACUCCUUUACAUUGCUGCAACCGACAGGGUUGUCUCCACGGCAAUAGUGGUCGAGCGAGAUGAGCCCGGUCACAUCUACAAGGUCCAGAGACCCGUUUACUUCAUAAGCGAAGUCCUAAACGAAUCCAAGGCCAGGUAUCCACAAAUACAGAAGCUCAUGUACGCUAUUCUAAUAACAUCAAGGAAGCUGAAGCACUACUUCGACGGCCAUCGAGUCUUGGUUACCACCAGUUUUCCUCUUGGGGACAUUCUGCGCAAUAAAGACGCCAACGGCAGAAUUGUAAAAUGGGCGAUGGAGUUAUGCCCAUUUUCCCUGGAAUUCCAAAGCCGCACCACAGUCAAGUCUCAGGCCCUGGUCGAUUUCAUUGCUGAAUGGACGGAUCUCAACGAGCCUCCCGUUCCCGACGUCUCCGACCACUGGUCAAUGUUUUUUGACGGGUCCUUGAACAUCAACGGCGCCGGCGCCGGGAUACUAUUCGUAUCACCUAACAAGGACAAACUGCGUUACGUCCUUAGGAUCCUUUUCCCGGCAUCAAACAACGUCGCCGAAUACGAAGCAUGCCUGCACGGCAUAAGGCUAGCCGUUGAGCUGGGAGUCAAACGCCUCUAUGUCUAUGGCGACUCUGCUUUAGUUAUCAACCAGCUCAACAAGGAGUGGGAUGCGACCCACGAGAAGAUGGAUCUCUACUGCAAAGAAAUUCGCAAAUGGGAAACCAACUUCUACGGCAUAGAGUACAUCCACGUGGUCCGGGAUAAGAACCAGGCAGCUGAUGCGUUGUCGAAGUUAGGGUCAUCUCGGGCCCCGAUCCCGCGGGGUGUUUUCGUCCAGGACAUCCAUGAGCCAAGCGUGGGCUCUGGCCCGGUCGAAAAGCAACCCACGGAAACCAUGCUCAUAGACGAUGCCACUCCGACAACCAGUGGUCGUGAUUGGCGUGCCCCGUUCAUCAAGUAUAUAUCGGAUGGUACGGGUUUCCAGGACAAAACAGAGAACGAACGCCUCAUUCGACGAUCAAAGAAUUACAUACUGGUGGAUGGCAAACUCCUGCGAAAAAAUGCAAGCUCCGAGGUACUACUCAAGUGCAUAUCUCAAGAUGAUGGCAUCAAACUCCUCGAAGACAUACAUGCCGGAUCCUGCGGCAACCACGCUGCAUCCAGAACCCUGGUCAGGAAGGCUUUCCGAGCAGGAUUUUAUUGGCCAACCGCGGUCAACGACGCCGAAAAACUGGUCCGACACUGUGAGGGGUGCCAGUUCUUCGCUAAAAGGACCCACGUACCUGCUCACGAGAUUCAAACUAUCCCAUCAUCCUGGCCUUUUGCCUGCUGGGGACUCGACAUGAUCGGGCCAUUUAAACCGGCCCCUGGUAACUUCAAGUUCGUCUUUGUAUUAAUCGACAAGUUCUCAAAAUGGAUCGAAUACAUGCCACUGGUAAAAGCGACCUCCGAGAAGGCUGUGGAAUUCCUCAGUCAAAUCAUACACAGAUUCGGGAUCCCGAACAGCAUAAUCACCGACCUGGGUACUCAGUUUACUGGCACUGCAUUUUGGGACUUCUGCGAUGACAGGGGCAUAGUCAUAAAAUACGUGUCAGUAGCACACCCACGGGCAAAUGGUCAGGUCGAGCGUGCGAACAGAAUGAUCAUUGACGCCCUCAAGAAAAGGCUGUACACCGAGAACGACAAAGCACCUGGUCGAUGGAUGAAAGAGUUACCAGCUGUGGUCUGGGGCCUCCGAACCCAGACUAGUCGAAACACGGGAGUGUCACCCUACUUCAUGGUCUACGGCGCCGAGGCAGUCCUACCGUCUGACAUAACCUUUAGUUCUCCUAGGAUUGAAAAUUUCGACCACUCAACAGCCGACAGCGCCAGAGAACUCGAAAUCAACUGCAUGGAGGAAAAGCGUCUGAAUUCUUGUCUCCGAACAGCAAAGUAUCUUGCGGCAGUCAGGCGGUACCAUAACAGGAACAUAAAGGACCGUUCUUUCAUGGUCGGCGAUCUGGUGCUCAGGUGGAAAACAAGCCAGGAAGGAAUGCACAAGCUAUCCACUCCCUGGGAGGGACCUUUUGUGGUCGCCGAAGUCACACGACCUACAUCCUACAGAUUGGUGUAUCGAGACGGAACACGCGUGCCUAACUCUUGGCACAUAGACAAACUGCGCCGAUUUUAUCCAUAAGUUCCAGUAACUUUUGCUUGUAAGUCUCUUAUAGUUGGCAGUAAUAAAAGUUUUUCUUUUUUGGCUAUACUUUGUUUACACGCAGAGUUUUCGGCAAAGAACAACAAUCUCCUCUGCGACGGAAAAUCUUCACGACCAUGAAUCAAACACAGUGACACGUCACUCAGACAACUUCACAGCGCUCAAAAUAGUAGUCAUGACAAAUUCAAAACUUUAUUACAAACUUUACAUACAAAGUUUACAAUAAACACCCUGACGGGCGGACACUAGUCUACUCCUACAGGCUAUCCUGCUGGCCAACUGCUCGGGCUGAUCACCCGCCUGGCCUUGCUGCCCGGACGAAGGGGUCGGGGCCACCGGCGCCUGGCUGGUCGAGACCGUAGGCGUCGACCGCCCAUCUCCCGCAAUAGACGCGCCUGACAGCUCCCUGGCCGACCUGUCUGAACCUGGCUGGUCGGGGGGAGUGGCCGUUCCGCAUAGAUUGAUGUCGCCGAUCACCGUCGACGACAAGUCCAGCAGACCACCCCGAAGCUCGUCCGCCUCCUGCGGGCCGACCUCCUUGGGGUACCCCUUCUCCAGCCUGGUCAAAUCGACCAGGGGGUAGUGGGCGCGUACCAUGCUAAGGAUGUGCGCACCAGCAAACUCCCCAGCGUCCUUCACGAACUGCUGAAGCCAGUCCCACGCCCGUUGCGCCUUUUCGACUGGCGUCAAUUUCGGCGCGCGGGGCUGGCUCUCCGGGAGCUCGGGGCUGAUCAAGUCCAGGACCGGGGACACUUCUUUCCAGAUCUUACAACAAUUGACCUUCCAGGAGUCCCGGUCCCUGACCAGCUCGUCCAGGUGCUUCUUUGCGUUCACCUUGAGCACUGCAAGUCAAGCAAGAUGUUAGAUUCAGUGUAUCAAAAAUAAAAGAGCGAUAAACGGUGAAUAACGGAGGCGGUGCGUAUUACCACACAACUCCCGGUCCUUCCGGCUCAGCUCCUCCUCUGCUCGGCGUCCGGCCUCCAGUGCUCCGGAAAGCUCUUGGCUGAGCCGCUCUUUCUCCUGCCGAAGGCACGCGACCUCCUCCUCCAUGUCUACACGAAUAAUUCCCAGAUCAGCAAAUUCAAAUAACGCGGUCACAUACAGCCGCCUAAAAGUACGAGACUAACCUUCUCGCAGCCGAUACUGGUCGGCUAAGCGUCGGGUAAGCUCGAGACUGUGCUCUUCCUGAGCGCUCAUCCCGGCUACCUUCUCCCCAAUCUCCGACCGCAGACGGUCCACCUCUGCGGACAGGGCCUUAUUCUCGGCCACAAUACCUUCUAUUUGGUCGAAGCACCUCUUUCGGUACUUCGCCAUUUUCAUUGCGCCCUACACGAAAAACAUGUGUCGACCCAACAAUACAACAUAACAAGUGUCGAACAGCGCUAAGGAUCACUUACCUUGACUUCAUCCACGAGUCGCUUGGCCGCGCGCUCCACUCUAUCGGCCUCCUCCGUCUCCGCGAGCUCCUCAUGCCCGAUGAAGUGGUCCCCGCGUUGGCGCCACACAUACACGUGCUGGCGGCCAUCACGGGGGCGACCUUCAAUUUCCUCCACCUCGUCGUCGGAGGAUGCCCGGGCUUCCUCGUUCGCUGCACCGCCACCAGUCGUGGUCGAAGGCAUCACCGGCCCCUGGGCCAGGCCCGGGGCGCCUGCGGACGAAGAGGCCCCUGCCCGGGGUGGCGUUGGGACCCUCCUCUCUUCGGCAGGAGGAGGGGUUGGUGCUCUAUCUUCCCCUUCCGCGACGCUACUCGGGGGAGCGGUCCUUCCUGCCUCCCCAUCCCUCGGCGGAGUGCUCGCCGCGGCACUCGCCGGGGCAGACUCUCCCUCGAUGCCUGUAGCAGCAGCUGCCGCCGCAGGCUGAUCUGUGGUCUGCGGCGCCGCAUCUUCAGCGGCGCAAGCAGGCUCGGCCACCCUUUGUCCGGCGGCGUGGUCGGGGUUGACGUCUGACGCCGCGCUAAAAAUCAAAGCAGCAUUUUCAGCAAAAAAAAUGCCAAAAUACAUAAGUCGAACACUUACAGAUCCGAUCGACGGUGGGUCGCGGUGAACCUCCUCCGAGCCCGGCCGGUUGGCGCUUGGGCUCCCAUCUCUGUAACGCGCGGCGAAGGAGGAUCGCUGGCCACCCGACCAGUGGUGGACGGCGCACUGUCCGGACGGCUACGAGGCCGGCGGACUAGCGACGGUGCGGCUUCCUCCUCCUCGUCAUCGUCGUCGGUAAUCCGGACGAGCCGACGGCGCUUCGGUGCUUGGCUGCUCUCCGCUGGCAGCGUCGCCGCAGGCAAAGGAUCCGCCGCCAUUGGCCUUUUCCCCGCCACUCUCUCCUCGGUGGUCGGGAUGGGACGGGCCUGGUCCUCCUCGCUGCUGGUGUACCGAGUACACCGAGCGUCCUCCUCUGGCGGCUCCUCCACUGCAGGAUUUUCCAUCCCGGGUGCAAGUGACACAUACACCGCGCACCGAUCCACAUCUCCGAUCUGCAAGACGUAACAAAAAUAAGUCAGCAGCAGACAAUAACGAAUGCUAAAGAAAAAUAAUCAGUAAGAUACCUUAGGUGCUGGUCGCCCCAACUUGAAGGCUUGCACCCGAUCACUACCACGGACGAAGCCCCCAUCCGCGAAGUUGAACAGCUCGUUCAACAGCUGCUGCACCUCCGCCUUCUCCAAGACUUCAGGUCGCAUCCUGGUCGGGUCAAGGCUUCCGGCGUACUCGUACGCCGAGUGCACCCUCUUCUGGCAGGGCAUCACCCGACGACAAAUGAAGUUGCCGACCACGCCAAGCCCGUCCAGGCGCGACCAGUCGAUCAGCUUCAUGAGGUCCGCCACUUGACCGUCGAACUCUGGGCGGUCGGUCCAGCUCACCCACUUCUCAGGGAUGUAUCCCACGUCGCAAAACGUGGAGAUGCCCGGUUCCUCCCUGAUGUAGAACCACUUCCUGUACCAUUCGGUCAGGGAAGUGUUCCAUGGACAGUGCAGGUAGCGGUUUUUCAUUCCGUCGCGAAGGUUGAGGUAUACUACACCAGCAACCUUGGAGCCUCCAACUGCUCCCUUCUUUCUUAAACAAAAAAGAUAGCGGAAAAGGUCGAAGUGCGGCUCUAUGCCAACAUAGGCUUCGCACAAAUGGAUAAAAGUAGAAAUAAGAAGGAUUGAGUUCGGGUGCAGAUUGCAAAUCCCGAUCUCAUAAUAAAGAAGUAGACCCUGAAGAAGGGAUGAACAGGAACCCCAAAACCCCUCUUAACGAAGUCUUCGAACACCACGAUCUCACCGGCACGGGGGUCGGGGAAGCUCUCUCCUUCUGGCGCUCUCCAGCCGCCGAGCUCUGGGCCGUGCAGAAGCCCCAUAUCGACGAGGUCACCAAGAGACUUGGCGGUGCUGUGGGACUUCUUCCACUCCUUGGCCAUCAGCUCGGCCCUCUUCUUGGAGUCGCUCUUCGCCAUUGGAGUCGAGGAAGUGGAUUCGAGUUUGGAAGGUGUAGAUGAUUGAAGGAGGUAAGAGUGGAAGGCUUGAAGGCAAUGGCAGGAUAAGCAGUAAAGGGGGAACUGUCGAGCUCUUAUAACCCACAACUUCACCCCUCCCACUUCCCGUAUUUUCGGGAAGUGGGCGGGCCAUACGGCGGAUGCGGCGUUUCGGUUUUCAAUGAUUAUCGACAAUUAAUGCGGCGGAGUUUUCGUACAAAUUGAUGGUUUCCUUUUCUCAAACCGCGCAAAGGGCGGCUGUACAGUUGCCAGGCGCAACUUUUCAUGCAUCCAUCUGACAUCCCGUCAGAAGGUCUCGUCACGUCAACUCUUUGUGUGAAAAUUUUCAAAACAAGCAGACAAAACUGGUAGGGAGUCAACAAUCCAGGGACUGUACCGACCACCGAGCACUUGAUGCUCGGGGACUGGUCGCCCAGUCUAUCGGUUCGGAACUUCAAAGACUGCACCGACCACCGAGCACUUGAUGCUCGGGGACUGGUCUCCUAGUCUAUUAGCUCGGAACUUCAAAAUAUCGCACCGACCACUAAGCGCUCGAUGCUCGGGGACUGGUCGUCCAGUAUAGCAACGCAGAAUUCUAAGGAGUGCACUUGGUGCUUGGGUCCUGGUGGUCAUACUAUUGUACACCCGGGGACUGGUCGAUCAGUCUAUUCAAUUGCAGACGGACUGGUAAAUUUAAUUUUUUAGACCUUGCUACAAGGCUCAUACUUCGCCUUCCAGCAAGCUCGGGGACUACAUCGGUACGAUGCAUCUGGCGAUGCAUCUCAGUUACAGAAUUUCUUUGAGGACUUUUUUUUGACCCUGGCACCACGUACCUACGUCACCUACUACCAGGCUCGGGGACUAAGUGGGCACACUUCACCUUGCGGUGAAUAUGCUUGCUUUUUUGAGGUUUAUACUUUUCUUAAAAAUAAAGUGGGCACACUUCACCAGGAAAGAAAUCUUUUUUAAUUUAGAGCACCAUGCAUUCUUCGAACAACCAGCUUCUUCGAUGUCAACGUUGAUCAACUGCCUUUUGAGUUGGUCAAAGUACCGUUGCAACUAUUUGGGCGACUUUUUUGUUUACUGAAGACGUCAAGCCUCACUGAUCGAAGAAGCUCAAGACGGCGUGUUACAUCACAAUACAUGGUGCUCGGGGACUAGCUGUGGGGGUAUAAACCCCUAUACCCUUACGGCUAGACUUGGGCCAGGAGGCUUGGCCCAUUACGAGACAAGCUCAAGGUUUGAUCCGACGGCUUGGAGUUUCGCGCAAGGAAACAAGAUGUGGAGAUCAAGCAGGAUUCUAGUCGGUUAGAAUAGGAAUUGAUAUCAAACUAUCUAUGGCAAUUGUAACCGACUAGGAUUAGUUUCCAGAUCUGUAACCCUGCCCUCCGGACUAUAUAAGGAGAGGCAAGGGACCCCCCUAGGACAUCAGAUUCUCUCAACACAAAUCAAUACAACCAGACGCAGGACGUAGGUAUUACGCCAACUCGGCGGCCGAACCUGGAUAAAAAGCUUGUCCGGGUCUUGCGUCACCAUCGAGUUCGUAGUUUGCGCACCGUCUACCGAUAAACUACUACCGUGGGUAUACCCCAAGGUAGACUGCCGACUAGCUUUCGUCGACACUUAUCAAACCAAAGCUACUACAAUAACAAACAAAAAGCGCAACACAAGGUGCAACAUAAAAAAACUAAUGUAAGAUCUCAUGCAGUAGUAUUGCAACAUGGUGAAAACGACAUGAAACAUGAAAAGAUGGAAACCACUCAAUAAUCACCGUUUAGUGCUGCAAUAUUUGUAAAAGAUAAUUUCAAUAGUUGAAAAUUCGCUAUUGCAACAAUCUCAACAAUAGUACUCUCUUUCUGCAACACAUGAUUCACACCUAUUGCAACAUUUGAAAAUCAUUUUUUACAGCAUCUCCAAAAAUCUAUUACAAGAGAGAAACAGCAAAAAAACAUACAAAAUAGUAAGGGGAUGGUUCCGAGGUGCAGGAUAUGAUCCCAGAGCUCAUCGGAACCCUAUCCAAUGUUGUGUCCCUCAUAUCCAGAGAAUGAGGAGGAGGCUUAGAUCUAGAAAAUGAGCAUAAUGAUGAUGAUGAUGAUGAUGAGGAGGAGGGCUCAGAUCCAGUAGAGGAGUAGGAGGUGGAGGAGGAAAAGGGCUCAAAUCGAGAGAGAAAACCGGCCUACCUCGUUCAAGCCACCGUCGUCGUCCUUGUCUCUUGGUAGGGAAUUGAGAGUGAGAUCGCAUGGAAGUCGUGGAGGAGGAAGAGAGAGAGGGAGCGCUGAUGAGCGACGCAGGACGACAGUGAAAUGGCAUGGUGUGCGGUGUGUGACGUCUGUCUGUGGGAGUGAGCGGUGGAGAAAAAGAUAAGGAGAAGUGAGGGAGUCAGCAUAGAGCACAUAUGGGUCGGGUUAGUGCAGGGUUGCAUGCGUCCGUGAUGGAAUAAAGAGUGGGAGCGUGUGGGAUCGGUGCGUCCGGCCGCACGGACAGUCGGUCUAUAUCAUUAUUGCUUUUUUAAAUCUAAUUAGUAUAUAAUUAAAUACUAAUUACUAUAGUUACAAAUAUGCUAAAUAUCUAUUAAACUUUAGUUCUUCUAUAUGUUAAAAGGGUGAUAUAUCUAACUCCUCAUUCUUAGCUCAUUCGGUUGUGUAGGAUAUGUCCAUGUACAUUUUCUGUUUUCCUUCUUGUGUUGUACUCCACGGCUGCAUGUUGACAUGCCGGUUAGUUAGGGGUUGCGGCUCAUUACUUGUAACACAAUCUAGGUUGUACCCUACCGGUAUAUAACAUGUACCCGAGUACCUAUGAAAGGUAUCUCGUUCCAUCUACUUUCACAUGGUAAUCAGAGCCUUUCUCCACACGGAAUUCCGCAAUGGCGUUUACUUCUUCCUCCUCCGCUGCUCCUGCUGUUCCCUCCAUCGCCGGGUUCAUUCCGGUGAGCGAGAAGCUGACGCGCACUAACUUCGCAUCCUGGAAGGCGCAGGUGGUGUCUGCCCUGAAAGGUGCCCAGCUCUUCAAGUACGUCAAUCCGGCGGUGAAACCGCCGCCCGAGUUCCUUGUCAAGAAGGAGGACGACAAGGAGCAGUCUGUGACCAACCCUGACCACGACCAGUGGGUCGCCAAGGACCACUUGGUCCUGAAUUUUAUUCUCUCUAAUCUGUCGAAAGAGAUUUUGGCUCAGGUUAAUGACGAGGUCACCACUGCUGGGGCCUGGACGACGAUCCAGGGCCUCUUCACCGCGCAGUCCCGCGCGUGCAUCAUCGCCACCAGGAUGGCCCUGGCCACUACCUCCAAGGGGUCAUCUACUGUGGCCGAGUACUAUGUCAAGAUGAAGGGGCUCGCAGAUGACAUGGCAUCUGCUGGGCGUCGGCUUAAAGAUGAUGAGCUGAUCUCCUACAUUCUCACCGGGCUAGAUAGUGACUUCAACCCGGUGGUGACUGCGGUGUCAAACCGCGUUGAGCCCAUCUCCAUGACCGAGUUGUACACUCAGCUGGUCAGUCACGAGCAGCGUUUGGAGAUGCAAUUGGCGGCGGACAGCAGUCCUCCGUGAACCUUGCUGCCAAAUGGAAUCGCGGCGGCAACACCAACAACUUUAACAACUUUUCGCGUAGAAAAGGGGGCUGUGGCGGGUUCGUUCGCGGUGGCAAGAGCGGCCGUGGUGGCAGUCGCCCUCCUGCCGCACCGUUCCAGGCUGGGGUCUUCUGCCAGCUGUGCAAGAAGGAGGGUCAUACCGUGAUCAACUGCUUCAAACGGUACGAUGCCACCUUCGUCCCGCCCUCGCAAAAGUCUGCUUCGUCCGCGAUGACAUCCUCCUAUGGUGUAGAUACCAACUAGCAUCUUGACUCAGGAGCCACUGAUCACAUCACUGGCGAACUCGAGAAACUCUCCAUGCACGACCGCUACCAUGGUGGUGAACAAGUUCAUGCCGCCAACGGAUCCGGUAUGGAAAUUUGUCACAUCGGUCACAGUACUUUACAUUCCCGAACUAGAGAUAUUCAUCUAAAUAAUAUCCUUAAUGUUCCUUCUGCUCAUAAAAACUUGUUAUCUGUUAAUCGUAUUGCUAAGGAUAAUAGUGCCUUUUUGGAAUUUCAUCCAAACCAUUUCUUUGUUAAGGAACUAGAGACGAGGAAAACACUUCUCACAGGCCGAUGUGAAGGCGGCCUUUACCCCUUGAAGUCUUCAUCAAAUAAAAUCAGGAAUAAGCAAGCCUAUGGUGUUGCGAAGCCGUCAACAUCCCUGUGGCAUUCUAGACUAGGACAUGCAUCCACUCGAGUAGUUCAGCAUCUACUUAGUCGAAACAAUUUACCUUUCGUUAGGGAUUCAGAGAAUAAAACUGUAUGCGAUGCAUGCCAAUGUGGCAAGAGCCAUCAAUUACCCUACUCAUUGUCUUCUCGUGUUUCUUCCGGCCCUUUGGAUCUCAUUCACUCGGAUGUGUGGGGGCCGGCACCAAGCUCUGUUGGGCAUCAUUGUUAUUAUGUUAGCUUCAUUGAUGACUACAGUAAAUUCACUUGGAUCUACCUUCUGCGUUUUAAAUCGCAAGUCUUCCAAUGCUUUACUGAUUUCUAGAAACUCAUAGAACGGCAGCUUAACAGAAAGAUACUCACUAUCCAAACCGACUGGGGAGGCGAGUAUCAGGCCUUGCAAUCCUAUUUUAAGCGCAUAGGCAUAGGCCAUAGAGUCUCGUGCCCCCACACUCAUCAGCAAAAUGGGUCUGCUGAGAGAAAGCAUUGCCACAUUGUUGAGAUGGGCCUUUCCCUCCUUGCUCAUGCAACUGUACCCCUGAAAUUCUGGGAUGAUGCCUUCUUAACUGCGGUCUUCAUUAUCAAUCGACUGCCCACUCUAGUUCUAAACAAUGACUCACCCUUCUUCCGCCUUUUCAAUACUAAGCCAGACUACACAUUCCUCCGUACUUUUGGGUGCGCUUACUGGCCGAAUCUGAGGCCAUAUAACACAAAGAAACUUCAGUUCAGAUCCAAACAAUGUGUCUUCCUUGGCUACAGUAAUCUUCAUAAAGGGUACAAGUGUCUAGACCCUGCUAGUGGCCGGGUUUACAUUUCCCGCGAUGUCCUUUUUGAUGAGAAAAUCUUCCCAUUUGCCUCCCUCCAUCAUAACGCUGGCGCCCAACUCUGAUCGGAGCUAGCACUUCUACCCGAUGUCUUGCAAAAUCCAUCAUCUAGUUUUGGGGAUGUAUUAGUGCAUGAUCGGUCUGAUGUUUUUCCUAAUACAACUGAUGCUUCAGCAAGUUCUAGCUUGCCUUGUGACCCUGCAGGAAAAAAUGCAGAUGCAGGAGGCGGUAACGCGAGUGCAAGCACCUGUGAUUUCAUGUGUCGCGUGCAUGGAGACAACACGGUUGUCGAGAUUGAUCCCCAGGAGCAGCACUCGACAUCAGGCGCCGGCGUAUCCGUCUCGGGAUCGGUGGCGAAUCCGAUUAUGCUGUCGCCAUCAACCGCGCCAGCACCCGCCGAACAGCACCCUGGAUCUUCUGCGGCGUCCUCAUCUGCCUCUCCCACGCCAGACAGCACACAUCCGCCACAGCUAGAUCCCAUCGGUGGGGAAGUUGCUGCCGCGGCGCCUGGCAGCGGUUCUGCUGCCCUAGAACCUCGAUCCCCUGUGGAUCCUGCUCCUGUGGCCUCACCUGUGCUUACUGUCCCGUCGGGCCCUGUUACUCGGCUGCAACAGGGUAUCUCCAAGCCCAAGCGAUUUUCUGAUGGCACUGUCAGAUGGUGCAUGUCUACUGAUGUCAGUGCAGAAGAGUCACCCAGUAUUGCUGAAGCCUUUGGUAACAAAGAUUGGGUUGGCGCCAUGGAUGCUGAGUUUCAUGCCUUGCAGCGCAAUAACACCUGGCAUCUUGUCCCGCGGCCACGGGGCAAAAAUAUCAUUGGUUGCAAGUGGGUUUACAAAAUAAAGCGUAAAGCAGAUGGCUCCAUUGAUCGGUAUAAAGCACAGCUGGUUGCAAAAGGUUUCAAACAGCGCUAUGGCAUUGAUUAUGAGGACACCUUCAGUCCUGUUGUGAAAGCUGCUACUAUUCGACUCAUUUUGCCUCUUGCAAUUUCUUGUGGAUGGAGUCUUCGUCAGCUUGAUGUUCAAAAUGCAUUUCUUCAUGGCAUCUUGGAAGAGGUCUUUAUGCAACAGCCUCCUGGAUAUGAGAGCAAGAGUCACCCUGAUUUUGUUUGCAAGCUUAACAAAGCGUUAUACGGCUUGAAACAAGCCCCACGUGCGUGGUAUGCCCUGUUGUGUGCUAAGCUGGUUGCUCUGGGAUUUCGUCCAUCCAAGACUGACACCUCUCUGUUCUUCUAUCAAAAGGGGCAGCAGUGUAUGUAUAUUUUAGUCUAUGUUGAUGAUAUAAUUGUUGCUAGCUCCUCUCCAGCCGCCACAGCUGCUCUUCUCGCUGAUCUACACUCGGAGUUUGCACUCAAGGAACUAGGCGAUCUGCAUUUCUUUUUGGGCAUUGAAUUCAGCGUACACUUGGUGCUCUUGUGCUCUCGCAAGGGUGCUAUGCCAUGGAUGUUCUGGCUCGGGCUGGCAUGAAGAAUUGUAAACCUGUGGAUACCCCGUUGUCCAUCACCACCAAACUCAGUCUUGAGGAGGGAGAGAAGCUCAGUUCAGAUGAUGCAACCAAGUACAGAAGUUUGGUUGGAGCACUACAGUAUCUUACAUUGACAAGACCAGAUAUCGGUUUUGCGGUCAAGAAGGUCUGUCAAUUCUUGCAUGCUCCCUCUACAGCCCAUUUUAGCGUUGUCAAGAGGAUUCUGAGGUUCGUUCGUGGGACCUGGAAUUCGGGGAUGAAGAUUGUUCGGUCGGACUCAACUCUGGUCAGUGCGUUCUCCGAUGUCGAUUGGGCUGGGUGUGUAGAUGACAGGCGAUCCACUGGAGGCUUUGCCGUGUUCCUUGGACCCAAUUUGGUGUCGUGGAGUGCUAGGAAACAGCCUACAGUCUCUCGCUCUAGCACUGAGGCGGAGUAUAAGGCUUUGGCCAAUGCAACUGCUGAAGUUAUGUGGGUACAGAAACUUUUAACCGAACUAGGAGUUCACCAUCCUCCAGCAGCGCGCCUCUGGUGUGACAACCUUGGUGCUACUUAUCUUUCAGCAAACUCAGUGUUUCAUGCUCGUACAAAACACAUUGAGAUUGAUUUUCAUUUUGUUCGAGAGCGUGUAGCCCAGAAGCUUCUGGAUAUCAUAUUCAUACACACCGGUGAUCAAGUAGCGGAUGGGUUCACAAAGCCUCUCAGUAUUGGCAAGAUGAAGGAAUUCAGGGCCAAUCUCAACCUUGUAAGUGGCUGAGAUUGAGGGGUAGUGUUAAAAGGGUGAUGUAUCCAACUCCUCAUUCUUAGCUCAUUCGGUUGUGUAGGAUAUGUUCAUGUACAUUUUCUGUUUUCCUUCUUGUGUUGUACUCCACGGCUGCAUGUUGACAUGCCGGUUAGUUAGUUAGUUAGGGGUUACGGCUUAUUACUUGUAACACAAUUUAUGUUGUACCCUACCAGUAUAUAACAUGUACCCGAGUACCUAUGAAAGGUGUCUCGUUCCAUCUACUUUCACACUAUAAACAAGACCGAAGGGAACAAAGCGAGAGCACCCAAACUAUAGACAAACAUGGAGUGCUAAAGUUGGAGAGAAGAUAAUAAAAAGCUGUAAUGUACACUAAGCUUUCUGCAGGUAUCUACAUAUCUCUUGUACCUAAGCUACGAGUACUAAUUAAGAGAGCCCUGUGCCACAAAAAUUCGCCGCGCUAAAAGGCUGGGCCAAACUCGCCGGCUGGCCGGCUGCUCCUUCAAACGAACCAGAGGCCAGCCAAAGGAUAACCAAGUAAAAACAGGCGAGGUAAAAAAAAACACACACACACACAGGUAGACUCUAGACUAUUCCUAGUACGCACGCAGCUAAUAGCUUUACUUACGUCUAUAAUAAGAAGUGGAAAAAAAAGAACAACUAGGUAGCUACUAGAAUGGCGCCGUAGCGACGUCCCUGUCGUCGUCCAUGGAGCGCCGCCGUCGACCACGGCGGCCGCCUUUGCUCCCGCCGCCGCAACAGCCUUUGUUGGAGCCGGCGGAGGAGCAGCAGCAGCAGCAGCCGAGCUCGACGUCGUCGUCGGACGAGGAGUCGAUGGAGCUGGACUUGCGGACGGUCGCCGUCGUCAUCUGCACGGGCUUGAGGCCCUCGGUGAAGAUGCGGAUCGCCUCCUCCUCCGUCUUGGUGCUCACCACGUACAGCGCCGCCUCCUGCAACACAUGUACACAAAACACUCACUUGGUUAAUUACGUUAAUUUAGUGUUGUUAACAAACGUAUAUACGUAUAUGGACGUAUUUAUAUAUAUAUAUCGUGCACGUAUUAUGGGCUAUACGUGUAAAUUAAAGUAGGAACGCAAAAAGACGUCACACGGUCGUCGUCGUCGUCGUCGUUGUCACAAGUUGAUGCGUACGUAUGUACGCAGAGGGUCGUCUAGUCGCGGUACACGAAUAGUCCAUUCUGCGACGUGUUGUAACAGCACACAGAAGGAAUAUUAAAUUAUUGCAAUGUGCCGGCCGGGCACGUCUCUGUCGGUCACAGUUGCACCCGUUAACGUGUGGCCACAGUCGGCCGCAUGGGGUACACGUACGAGUACGACGUUGAGGUUGCGUGACGGAGACCCCCGUACGUCAUGGACACGUGUGCACGUCAAUCAUGCGUGUAUCAGUGCCCGUUGUCAUAUGUUUCGUUUCUUUUUUAUACAAGAAAUAAAGAAGAAUAAAAUUUAUGGCAUGUGGCGUUCUAAAUUACAAAUCAUUUUUUUGGCAUUAAAGUAUCUCAAAUUUAACCAAAUUUAUAUUACAAUACCAAUCAAGUAUUAUUAGAUUUUUCAUUGAUUAUAUUUUCAUUAUAUAUCUACUUAAUAGCAUAAAUCUUUAUAUUUUUUUCCAUAAUUUUAUUUAAACUUGAAAUGCUUUGGCUCUGACUUAUAAUUUAGGACAAAAGAGUACAAGAUAUACUAAAAAUUUAAAAUAAAAUAUUAAAUAAAACAAAUGACUUAUAACUCCUUUUUAACUAUAUAUAGAGAGAUUUUAUACUUGUUGAUAUUUUAAACCUCAAGUUUUUGACGCAAAAGUUUUAAACCUCAAGUUAUUGAAUAAAACAAAUAGCACGUACAUGUAGCUCUUCUUUAACUAUAAAAAGAGAUUUUAUGCUCAUAAUAUUUUAAAUCUGGUGGUAUACAAUAAUAAUAGAUAUAUAAUUAGUAUGCAUUUAAAUAGUUUGUCUAAUUUGAAGGAAGUUAAUUCACCUAAAAUACAUUUUAAUUUAUAGUAUAAAAUUUUGAACACAUCAAUACAUUAUAUUUCUGGAUACCUUAAAUGUCCUACAAGCAGUAAAACAUUAAGGCUUUUAAUUAGGCAUUACCUAAUAUUUGUUCAGUGCAUUUUGUGGAUGGAGAAAGAGGUAGGUGAGUCACUACAGGGAAAGAUGGAGUGGUGCAAUGGAACCUAACCACGUGGAAAGGACUGCCUAAUUGAAUAGGUUUUCAAGAACAGUGACACUCCAAUUAUUUGGGACUUAUUAUAUAUUUUACUAUUAUUAUUAGUUAUCAUAGUAGUACUUAGGAAAGAAAAUAUAUAAAUUCAUAACAGUUCGCAAGCGAGGAAACUUUGUAUACCUAUUAUAUAUUUCGAAUAUGAAUUAUCAAAUAUGCGUGCUCGACAAUGUUUUUAUACGAGAGAAAAAAAAAGGGACUUUCGAUGCAUGUAUGGAGGGCCGGGAAGAUGCAUGUAUGUACAAAUCAAGAGGAAAUGUGAUACACUCGUGUACUUCCUUAUAUAAUUAUAACAAAGUCUUGGAUUUUUUAGAAAUUUGAUAUCACACAUUAGUUUAUGAGGGCAGGGGAAUUGCAUUCAUCACCGUCAGAGAGAGAAAAGGGAAAAUAAAAUCGCCGAGAAAGAUAUGCAAGUGUUCUGGGCUAAAAUAGUCUCUCACAAAUCAGAAAUGUAUGAUAUAUACUUAUAUAGAUAUAAUGCACUAUAUACUAUAUUCAUACGUGUGUGCUUACCCUUGCGAACUUGAUCUGGUCGAGGGUCAGCGUCUUGGGCUCCCACUCUAUGGACGACAUCCGCCCCGCCGGCGCCUCCUCCACCUGCCUGCUGCUCGUCGUCGCCGUCGUCGUUACCGCCAGCGCCGCCAUGGAUGCCGCCGCAGCAGCCUCUCUUCCUCUUCGAUGUCGGUUGUAUAUAUACAAAUCCGAAAAAUACUCCAAGCCUUUUUUUUAAAAAAAAAAAUACGACGUCGUCGUCGACCUCUCCUGUGUCGAUUUUCGAAAUUUCUACUAGCUAGCUCUGCCUCUGCGCCCUGCGUUCGUGAACGAUGGCCUGCAGGUAUAUAUACCAGGGCAGGGGGGAGACCAAGCGGGGCGGACGUGUCGCGGCCGUACGGGCGGGCGGUCGGUCUCCCACGUGGCGGCCGCGGAGUGGGGAGGGGGGUCGCGCGGCCACGCGGCGCCCUGCUGCAUGCAUGCGUCGUGGUCGUCGCCCCCGGCUUUGUUGUUGCGUCCGUCCGUGCCGGUCCGAGGUGCCCUGUAGACUGUAGUACGUGUGGCUGUGGUUUGCAGUCAGGUGCGGGCGGGACACGUAGCGGGGGGUGGGUCAGCCGACUCGCCCAAUCGUGGCUCGCCGCGUCGCCCGCGCUUGGCUUUGACGGGAUCGGGCGCCGGCGCAUGCAUGCAUUGAUAUUGUUGCGUUUGCGUGCCGGGCCUGGACUCGCCACGCCACGCCACCGGCCGGCACCAGGCGGUCUCGUUAACGGCCGGUGGUUAUGUUCAUUCAUAUGCUACGUACCUCGUGCGUGGGUGCGGCCGUGCUCCCCGUCCAUACCGCAUGCAUGCCGACCGGCCGGCCAUGGUCCUACGUACGUGCCACGUCUUUUUUUUUUUUGAACGUAAUGGCAGGAGCUCUGCCUUUCAAUUAAGAGAGGAAAAAAGAGUUUAUGUACACAAAGGUCUUGGAGGGUAAAAAGAAACAGUUACAGAUUUUGCUUAUAUACUACCCCUCCAAUUUAGUGCUCUCUUCCUUUGCUCGAUAUCCUCUUUGGUCCUUGCAGCCACUUGCAUUGCCGAUUUAUGGACGUUGUUGAAAAUUCUUCUGUACGUGCCACGUCUUGUACGUGGAUCCAAAGCAUGCAUGCAUGCAUGGAUGGCUUGCUCUCUAGCUCGAUCGACUAGUGCAAUUCGAUCACGAUGAUGAUGACAGAGAGAAUGGGGAGGCCAAGAUGUUGUGGUGCGCUAUUCCCUGUCUCGAACCGUACCGUCGUCGUCGCACGUGUGCACGCUGGGGUACGGUUUGUUAACCGUUGCUGCGCGCGACACGCUUGCGCUAGCUGCAUCACACACGUGACAUGCAUGACGCGGCGCAAUGUAAUGCAUACCGUAACGUAAAGUACUCCCUCCUUCCAUAAAUAAAUACACAUCUUCCUUCCCAAUAAAUAAAUACACAUCUUCCUUCCCAAAAAAGAAAUGCUAAUGGUCAACCGGUUGAUUUGGAGCUUUCAAUCAACCUAAUUCUUGGCCAUUUGAUCCGCCGAGGCACCGCCUUUGCCAAGCAUGCUGGCCACCGAUACUAAUGUCGUGGCCUGGUCCAGUGCACGUCUCCGAGCAUUUAUCCUGUAUUAACAUGCAGUCGUCGUCUACACAUCGCAAUUUUGCAAACUAGCUAUAGUGUGAUGCAGAUCAACUUUCCAGUUCGUUUGCUUUCAUCUUUUCAGUUCGUUUGUUUUCAUCUAGAUAAUUUGUUCUAAAAUUUAUGAAUAAUUUGAUGAUAUUUGUGAAUAAUUUGACAUAUAUUUCUAUGCUGCCUGGAAUACAUAGAAAUAAUUUGUAAUUUUUUUUUAAAAAAAAAUUGGCAUAUAUUUGUGUUAUUCUUAGAUUACAUCACUGUGUCCAAUAAAUUACACUGAAGAAAUUAUUAUAAAAAUAAUAAUAAGUGGUGUAAAUAUAACUAUAAGACAGUGUAAAUACAUGUAAAAAAUUCAGUUGAUGGAAAAAGCUAAAUCAAUCGGUUAUUGGCUAGACAUCUCCUUCCAAAAAGCUAAACUUUUUUAGCUUGAUGACUAAAAAUAUAUCGAAUAAAUCAAUAUUUGUAUCUACAAAUAAAUAUAUUGUAAAAUAUAUUUUAUACUUAAUCUAAUAAUAUAUAUUAUGUAAGAUAAAUAUUAGUUUAUUUUUGGAGGGAGUACGUCGCGCAGGCCCGAGGGUCGAUCUGCGAUAUCGAGACACCAGAGGUACCUACAUGCGAAACCGGCGCUCGAGCGAAAGCAAGGAGCUAGAUCUUUUGUGUGUGUGAGUGCCAGGUGCGGGCGAUAACUGCAUGCCUAUAUGCACCGAUCGGACCCUGCAUGUGGUGGGGACACAAUUAGCUUGUGACGGAGAGGAGCUCCACGUCCGGCGAGGGCACCACCGGCCGGGGCCCGCGCCCGUGAGCUGCCGCCACGCAGCGCCGCCGCGCGGAUCUCCGCGCCAUCGAUUGUCCUCAUCGCUUUCGCCUCGAUUCCCCUACUACCGCCUGUCGCGCAACACAUGGCUACUCCGCCACCAGCCUCUUAAUUAUACCUUGUACAUGUGUUCGUAUGUGGAAGAAUAUGGAGACUAGUACGUAGCUAGGUGAGUCGUUUUCGUUUGGAUCCGAUGAUCCUAUUCUAUACCCUCCUCUACAGUCCACUAGAUCAUUUGGCGCCCUUCGGGCGCCCUACAAUGACUGAGAAAACAAUAUGUGAACAACAAAUAUACACUAUGUUACGAAACAUAUUUAUCGCUAAUGUUUUAACUUAGAAGAAAUGGAACAUCCACAAACAACGAACAUGAGGGCUUCACAGCCGUUAUGGUCCUAUUCAACCACAUACUACACAAUCUGUCACUACAUGCACGGCUUCUGUAGCCAUUAUGGUUUUAUCUAGCCAUACAUCACAUACCAUGCCAUUAUCAUUGGCAGAUGCACGAGGGGGGCUGGGUGGCUGCAGCCCCCCUCUUGGGCUCAAUUUUUUUUAACACAUUUUCUUUUUUUAGCAAAAGACUUCAUAUAUUUGGUAUUUUUUCUAUGCUUAUUUUAUAAAUCUUUGCCUUUGAAUCCAUAUUGAAUUAUCAAUCUUAGCUAUAUCUAUUAGGUCUUGUUUAGUUCCCAAAAUAUUUUACAAAAUUUCUCAGAUUUCCCACCACAUCUAAUCUUGCGGCACAUGUAUGAAGCACUAAAUAUAGAUAAACUAAUUACAUGGUCUACCUAUAAUUUGCGAGACGAAUCUUUUAAGCCUAGUUAGUCCAUGAUCGGACAAUAUUUGUCAAAUACAAACGAAAAUGCUACUAUUCCUAUUUUGCAAAAAAAAAUUGGAACUAAACAAGGCCUUAGUGUACUGGAUUGAGUGAGAAAAAAAUUUUAGCAUGUAUUAUUUAGCCCCCCUCUUGGUCCAUUUCUGGAUCCGCCACUGGCCAUUAUAGUCCAGGAUCGGUAUUCAUGACUACCAAACACUAUAGUCGGUAGCUUAGAAUGCCGAUCCAAAUACACUGGCGAUCAUUAGAGAGUACAUAUAUAGAGAUACCGCGAAACCAAAAGAGCAUACGUUGUGCAGCUUGUAGAGGCAAAAGCACCUUGAUCAUCCUUCUCCGAUCAACUAUCUUCAGUUGUUGCACUGUAAACAUAAGAGAAUAAGGCGUAAUGUUGGGAGCCAUAAACAAAAGCAAUGAAAUCUUCCAUUGCAAGUGGCACACACCACGUAAUUAUGAGAAUGACAGCAUGUUAUUUCACACGAAUAAAACAUCUUAAGAUAAAUGUCUACAAAGAUAAUUCACCCAAUUCGACCGGAUAGGUAUGGAACACUAAGUAUUGCAUCGGAAUUAGAGUGCAAGUAUGGGCAUAGUCCAGAUUUCAUUUAUAAAUCGAACGGACAGCUCCACUGUUGCAGAAACUGAGGUGUAGAGCAUUUGAUUUUUAAAUUUGCAUACUGACUAAACUACAUAUGGAUACUUUAUGCAUAGAAUCAGACCAUAACAGGAAAAAAGGAGCUUAUAAUUUUAGGCAACAUGUACAUCUUGGAGUCUGAGAUUCUAUGCAGAGAUUCAAGUUUCUGAGAUGAGCUACUGGCAUUAGUAAUCUCACAUUUUGGAAAAAUAACACUAUGCAUUAACAACUUGAUCCCAUACAGCAAGAAACAACCACAUGCAUAUACAUAUAAGGAUACCAUGCGAUACACACGUGAAGAGCGAGUUCUAGAAGGAAACAGCCACAUGCAUAUACAUAUAAGGAUACCAUAUGAUACACACGUGAAUAUACAUAAAAUAGUUUUCAGCAAUGCCAACCUUUUCCUAUUCAUAUUUUUCAGUGUCUUGGUUUCAGAGUUGUCAGGAACAUCUUUGUUGGUAUCUCCAUCUAAGAAAAGUUUUUUUGCAGAUUUUUUUGGGUGAUGGGCGAGUUCUAGUAGGAAACAGCCACAUGCAAAUCAAACCAAUCUUGUGCAAAUCUAGUUGCAGUGGGUGAAUUCACAAUUCAAAAAUAAUUUUGUAAGAGGUCUAUACAUUGGAGCUAAUUUUUUGGUUCAUAUAUCUAUGUAGAUUCUACUCCUAAUAUUACAUAUAUUCUAGCUACUAAGUGCAUUUUACAUGCUCUGACUUGGCACCAGUACCUCCUGAUCCCCAGCGCCACACUUGAGCAGUCCCACGUAUACACCUCCGACCGCUGCCUGCACCCUCCUACGAGGCUCAAAAUGUUAUUUUAUACUCACUAAAGAGGGCCACAUUUUUCAUUUUCUAAAAUUAAGAAUUUAACACAUGUGCAUGCUAAACACACGCUGAAUGCAUGUCUAAUAUAGACAUUGAAUCACUUAAGUAUAAUUUAAUGGAUGAAAAUUUACCUCAAGGGCACCCAUGGUCAAGAGCAGGAUCAUGAUGAGAUGGUGAAGGCAACAGAGCACCUGGGAUUGAUGGGGAAGGUGUGCCUUGUAUGAACCUUGCUCUUAGAAAGCAAUGUUCGACAUUUUGACCAUAAGUAAUAGCGCAACACAUUUUAUUUCUAUCCUAAGCUAUACAUUGCUAUAAGGAGCAUUUGUAGUGUGGUGAUCUAAAGCAACAUGCUUACUGUAAUGCAAGCAAAAAAAAAACAAGUUGCCUGCUGCUUGCUACCAUCUAACAAGAGCCAGAGAUAAACUCGUACAUCUCAUAUGAGCAAGAUCCACAAGCAACUGGAGAAGUAAAUUUAGACAUCUCAAUGCGAUUUUCAAAUCAGAACAUCUAACAACACAUAAAAGUAUAAGAUGCUACUCUCGCCUAUAUGCUUUAUCAGAAUAUCUGAGGUUAAAAUCUGAUAGAGCAUCGAAGUCAUCAAUGGAGAGACCUGUAAUAGACAAGAUCUUUACUUACUGUAAGAAUUUAAAUAGCAGUAGAGCACAUAGACAUCAGACAAGUGAUACCGUUUGCCUACCUAACCUUGAUAGUGAUCUUCUGCUAUCAACCUGCAUAUAACAUCAAUGCCUACAUGGUAGAUUUUCUUGGAGCAAACUGCAAACCCAUUUCUUACUAAUGACUUAGAUGGACAUGCUUUGAAAUGAUCCCAACUUUCAUGAUGAAAGGUUUGAAUUCAAAGGUAUUGACAAAACAUGGAAAAGGAAAACUAGAAUACCUAAGGGCCAGCAGAAAUUCUAUAAAAUUUCAAAAAAGUGCAGGUUCAGUUGUCAAUAGGGAUGACAAACACUUGCAAUGUUGUAGAUGCACAUACAGCAGCUGUUGGGUAUUCUUAACAUCAUUACCAAAAGUAGACUAAGUUCUCUAAAUCUAGUAACGGUGCCAAAAAUGCCAAACCUAUCCCUCACACCACUUAAGCCAAGUUGUCAUCCCCAGCAUGACAUGAGAGACGCGGUAUUGAAAUAUGCAAUUGCUCUUCUAAAUAAAUAAUGAAUGGGAUCUGCAAGCGCACAGAUUAAUACCGAUGUAGCAUUUUAACCGGGAAGUAUUCCAGGUAUCGUUAUUUAUAUUUUUACCACUCAGAAGGGAUUAGCAAUCAUCAAUAUCGAUUACAGAAUAGAAUAUGAGAUUGAGCAUCUAUCAUUGCAUGUAUAAUUGAGAACAUUAUAUCUAACUCUUCAUACAGGGAUAAGUGUCACAUAAAAGAUAUAUAAAAUAAUAAUAGUGACAAAGAUAAUUAGUCUGAUCUAGCCACAUAAUAAAUAUGAUAAGCACCUCAAUUAGAUACUCUAGAAAGUCAUUAGCAUGGUAUUAGAACGAACUACAAGAAUAUUCCCUAAGUUAUUCUCAACUAUAUAGUCUAGCAUAUCAUAGUUAGUGCAAGCAUACUUAGCAAUCAUUGUGAGACAAGACUACGCCCAUGUAUAGUGAUAUUAGCAAGGUAAAUGAGAAACAUAGCAAUCAUUCUCCUGUAAUAAUGUUGCUCUGCCAGCCCAAUACACGAGAGGGGGACUAUAUAAGAAUCAAUGAAGCUGUCACUAUCACGAACCACCCCACGAUCUGGCAUAUUGGGUACAAUCGCAGAUAAAUACGGUAUAAGCACCACGCCUACACAAUAUCUAUCAUUUACCCAUGGAUCCAAUGGAUAAACGCUAUACGAUCCUAAGCAUGUAUAUAGAUCCAAUCUAACUAAGCCAAGUACAUAACUAUGAUAAACUAAGAACAAUAUAAUCUUGAAUAUAAGCAAGUAGAGCAAAGUCAUAAGCAAUAUAUUGAAGUAGAACAAAGUCAUAUUCAUAAUAUUGAAGAACAAAGAUAAUUAGAAAGCAAUUAGAAGCACAAUUAGAGAAUUACCAAGAAUCCUCUUGACAGAUCCGGAAACCAAUCGAAGAUUGACUCCUUCUAGUUCUAAUCCUAUGUAGCUAUGCUAAUCUAGAUAUCUAAUUGAUGUGGUGGCUCUAAUCUUGAUCAGAGGCUUCUUCUCCCUUGAGAAUAAUGAAUUAGGGUUGAGAGGCUCUCUCCUCCAGGGGCCAGGGGGUCUGGUUUUAUAGUCCCUUCAAGUGAAUAUGGGCCGUUGGAUCAAACCGACAUAGAUUGUAUGGUUUAGAUUCAUCCUUUAGGUCGGUGGAGAUCUCCCACGAAGCAGAGUCCUGAUUGGACUCCAGAGGUGGGCGGGCGCCCAGGAGAACAGAGCGGGCGCCCUGCCUUUGGCCCCGUUUCGCCUCUGCUUCGGUCUCGUGGCUUCUGGAGUCUUCUAGAUGUAAGAUAAUUGCGUGGCACGUUAAUAUCUCUAUGUAAUCCCGACGUGUGGGCCUUUCUUCCGUAUUUCUUGAUAACCCCCUGCAGAAAUAGACAAACACCAAAACUCGUGGAAUUCUGUCAGAUAAAACCCUAAGUCUAGAUGUUGAUUUCAUUUGGAUCCUUUUCUUUAUUUAUUUGAUAAUUAAAUUUGAUACUUAAGGACCGUCAACAAACUCCCCCAAGCUUACCUCUUGCUCGUCCCUGAGCAAGGAUAGACUUAGCUAUGGAUCAUAAGUUGUUGCAAUUUUUUUUAAAAAUUGACGGUACACAUGCUUUUUAAAUAAGAUCUCAUCUCUGAGCUAGAGUAAACUGUCAAGACUUAAAACUUACUUACUUUACCUUUCACCAUGGGACUUGUAACCGUUACUUCUGUCUUGAGUAGUUAAAAAGAUAGAACAGUCUAGUCAAGUGCCAUGUCUCUUAUUCUUGAUCAGCUAUAGCUCUGGUGUUUUUGCAGAUUUUGAAAUAAAACUCAGAGAUUCCUUGUAUGACUCUCUCAAAUCUCUCUUUUGUGGUAUUUCUAGAUCCUUACCAAGGCAGUGAUGGUAUAUGCCUUCUCUCAAUAUAUGUGGUAUUUGUGGUAUAAAGCAUAGUGACAUUAUCUUCUCUCUCACCCUACUCUAAUAAGGCUUUAAUAUCUGGAGCUCAUAGGUGGGAGAUAAAGUAUACAUAUUUACAAGACAUUUAUUGCAUAGUCAAACCAUGGAUCCAAAGAAACAAAUCAAUAAGUCAAAUCAAGAUAUGCAUGUGUGGCGAAUGAAUGAUGUAUGGUGAUGAUGGUGAUAACAAUGGUGGAAGUCUAAUUCUACUUUUGCUCUUUGAGGGGAUACAUACCUUCCUUGCUUUUUGAAAUUUUAUGAGGAGAAUGAGAUGCUCUUCUUUUCUUUUCUCUCAAGUGGGUAUCUUGUACCCCUAAUUCUACUGUCGAACACUUGUCCAUUUUUAUCUCUCGUCUCACUUUUUCUUUUCUUUCGAGGUUCCGGGCACUUGCCCCUUUUUAUUUCCUCGUUUUUUAGAGCACUCAUCUCUUGAGAUAAUAUAGCAAGUGGUAGUAACAAGAUAACUUGAGCAUUUAUUUCACAAGGAAAAACAAAAAUGUUUUUGGCUAUUCUCUCCCGGAUCAAGAGUAGAAUAUUUUUGGGUGAUUCUGGAGAUGGAAUGGGUGGAUAUAUGUGGAUGGUACUUCUGGAGUAGAAGUAGCAUAUAUGAGUGAACGUGCAAGUGAAAUCUUGAUUUAACCACAUGACAAGCUCCUAAGGGUCUACACAGCUUGACCACACUCAAUGCUCAUAAGCAGUAAAUAAUAAAUGUGUGGCUCAAAGUCUAGCAAGCAUGUAUAUAUGGCUGUGGUAGGAAUUUAAACUCUCAUCAUACAGAAACUCAUCAUGCAACAUUUUAAAGAUUUUUCAAAGAUAAAAUUCUCCAGAAUUCUAGCAUCUCUAGGAACAGAUAAAUAGCAGCUCAACCUUCCCAUAUCGUAUCUGUUAACAACUUAGACUUCAGAUCAAGUUUUCAUCCCACAAGUUUAGGUCUAGAGCAAGCCUUAAAUUAUAACAGUUAUAUCUAAACUUGAGAGAUAACUUUAAAUGUGCAAAUUAGGCAGAGCAACUAUUCAUCAUAUCCAUGCUUGAGUUUUAUUUAGAUACAGAUUAGCAUAGCCACUUUAUUUAUUUAUUAAACACACUAAGCAAAAUAUAUAUAUAUAUAUAAGCAUAAAAUCUUUAUUUGGUUUUCCAUAGUUAUAUAUUUUAAUAUUCUAAUAUAAUAUAAGUAUAAAGAUAGGUAGAAAUACUUAUCGGGAUAAAUGGGGGUGCUCUCCCCAAAGCUGAAUUUUGACGUAAUUUCUCUUGAUGUAGCUAGCAGGUGGCAGAGGUGUAUUUGAAAGUCAGCAGCAUUCUGACAGCGAUUAGAAUGUCCUCCGUCUGCUAGUCUUCUUGAUUCUUAAAUUCUGUGGAACUUGAUUAAGUGUUAGCAUAAAUAUCUAGCCUUUAUCAUGUUGAGACUCCUUAAUAAAUAUUACUCCCUGUUUUUAUAUUUUUAUUUUAUAAAGCAGAAAUGAAAUAUUUAUUUUAUUUUUAUGCCACCACAGUGAAUGUACUUAUGGGUUUUAUGCCACUCGUCUACUCACAUGGGGCUUACUGUUUUUCACAUUUUUAUUUUCUUUUUAGGAUAGCACGAACAUGAUUAACUAAGUAAACUAGUUGAAAUAAUUGAAAGGAAAAGGAUAACUACCAAGUUUACCUCUUGGCAAGGCGUUCGGUGUUUUUAAGUCCUCCGAACGGGACUCUCCGUUUUCUCAAUUGUCCUGGGAUUCAUUGGGUGGCAUAGUCAGUACUUCCGGUAGCGCCUCCUCUUCAUGUAUAGUUAUCUUCAUUUUCCACACCUGACUUGGUGCUUCAAUCUCCUCUAGAUAAUUCUGUUUAAACUCUACGUCUUCUGACCUUAUCACUUCUCCUUCGUAGUCUGCCCAUCCAUCCUUGAUGAUUUGCCUCCUCUAGUUGCGGUUGCGUCGUUUUCUGACCUGCUUAGAUUCUUCAACGAUAUAGUUAGGGUCAGUAAAAUAACGGCGUACCUUCUCUGAGGGGAAGUGCAUAUGGACUUCUCCGGUUCCAAUGUAGAUAAUUGCUUUAACGGUGCUGAGGAACGGUCUUCCAAGGAUGAUGGGUGGAUCAUACUCGUCUUCUCCCAUGUCAAUAACUUGAAAGUCUGUGUAGACAAAAUGAUCGUCUAUUUUGACUGGGACAUCACUUAUUGUUCCUUUAACUUCUCGAAAUGUCUGAUCUGCCAUCUGGAGCUGAAUGUACGUUGGUCUUAGGGGCAUGGUUCUGAACAAGAGCCGAUAGGUGACUGCGGCCAUUAUGUUGACGCCUGAUCCGGUGUCACAAGUUGCCUUGUAAAAGUUAUAUCCAUUUAUGGAGCAGUAAAUGCUUGGCAUUUCUGGGUCGUCCUUCUUGGUCAAAAACAGUGACUUAAGUUGGUGAUCUUGGCCUCCAUAAACUACAGUGACCAUCUUAGCUGACUCGGUCCACACUUGCUUGUUCCUGUUUUUCCUGUUGGUCCUCUUCCCUGACUCACGUCUGGAUUGAUCUGGAAUUUGUGUAGUCUUGUUCUUGAAGAAAAAUGUCUCCUUCCUCCCUUUGACGUAGAAACUGAUCUUGGCAGCACUAGCGUAGAUGAUAGCUCCCGUGGUGUUCAAGAAUGGCCUCCCUAAGACGAUGAGUGCUCUCUCAUCAUUUCCGGUCUCUACCACUACGAAGUCUGCUGGGGCAUACAAGGUACCAACUCGGACGCAAAGGUUCUUUAAUAUUCCCUUUGGAAAAGUUAUCGUCUGAUCUGCAAACUGUAAACACAUGGUUGUUUCUAAUAAAGGAUAUAUAAAGAAUUUUUCAUAGAGUACCCUGGGUAUAAUGUUGACGCUAGAGCCAAAGUCACAGAGUGCUUCUAGAACGUCCACCAUGCCGAUGGAGAUCGGGAUGACGGGGCGUCCUAGAUCGCCUCUCUUGACCGGCAGAAGGUCAGUAGAGAAUUCAGUGACGGGGUUACUCCAAUUAUUACCUGCAUCAAACAUGUCUACAAGAUUUGCAGAUUCUAAUCCUUCUGGUUGUGAUGGUAUACCGGGGUUAGUAGCAGGAACAGCAGCAGCUAUUUGAUUUAACUGGGAUUCAAUCAUUUUAUUAAAGCUAAUUUGAUUCUUGAUGGCAGUAGAGAAAUUAUCCAUUCUAUUAUUUAUAUUUUCUAGCAUUUUAUCAUUAGAUGCCAAUUUCUUAGAUAGAUUAUCCAUUAGCUUUCCUUGAUUAGACACUAACUCUCUCAGAGGUGGAAAAUUAUUAUUAUUAUUAUUAUUAUUGUAAGAAUUGUUACCUUGAUAAUUACGUGAGUAGUUAGGCCUCUGUUGAUUCCAACCUUGAUUUUGUUGAGGACGGUUGUAGUAGUAGUUGUUGUUGUUGUUGUUGAUGUAGUUCACAUCCUCAAGUAUCUCAGGGCAGUGAUUGCCUGAGUGUCCAGUGUCUUCACACUCCUCACAAGUCAUGUGAGAGUCGUAGAUGUGCAUAACUUCUUUCUUAUCUCCAGCUCUAUCAUCGAGCUUCUUCAUGAGCAGGUCUAGCUUUGCAGACAGCAUGUCUACCUCCUUGAGCAGAUGCAUACCUCCACUCUCUUGCGUGUCUGGGUCCUCUCUUCAUUCCAGCUUUGGUUAGACGCCAUCUUCUCCACAAGAGCUGUAGCUUGUGGUAUAGUAAGUGAUAAGAAUGCUCCUCCAGCUGCAGCAUCCAUGGUCUCUCGAGCACUGUUGCCGAGCCCAUGAUAAAACGUCUGCAUCGAUAGCCAACUCUCCAUUCCAUGAUGGGGACAUUCUAGGAUGUAGUCUUAAAAGCGCUCCCAUGCUUCUAGAACAGAUUCAUCAUUUUGUUGCUGAAAGCUUGUAAUCUUCCCACGGAGAGCAUUGGUCUUGCCCAUGGGGAAGAACUUUGCUAGGAAGUUUGUUGAGCAGAGUGCCCACGUAGUAUUCUUCUCCUUUGUAGCGUAGAACCACUGCUUCGCUCUUCCUAACAGUGAGAAUGGGAAGAGGCGAAGUAGUAUAGCAUCUUUGGAAACUCAUGAUAUGGUGAAUGUGUUGCAAAUCUCCAGAAAGUGUUGUAAAUGAGCACUAGCAUCUUCGUGUGCCUUCCCACAGAACUGGUUGGAUUGCACCAUGUUGAUAAGUCCAGGCUUGAGCUCAAAGUUGUCGUCGAUCUCUGCAGCAGGUCCAGUGCGGAUGUUGUCCGCAGUGGGAGCUAAGAACUUGCGGAUUGAUUUGUUCGCCAUGGCUUCGAACUCUGAAGACAAGUUCCGGUGAUCUUCUUGAUUGGAUGAAGCUUCUUGCUGAAGUGUUGAUGAUCUCUUCUUGAGCUUGGCUCUCGUCUUCUUGAAUAAUGCUUCGGGAUUGUCAACAAAAUUUUCUAGAAGAUGUCUUCUAUUCAUACAUUCCCCUGCACAAGAUGAAACAGGAAAAUAUCGGGGUAAAACUGUAUGAGAGAAAAGAUAAGCUCAAUCAUAUUAGUGAUGCGAAUGAUAACUCAAAAUCUUUUAUUCCAUUCCUGAUUAGUAAUCAACCUUCCCCGGCAACGGCACCAAAAAUGCUUGUUGGGUAUUCUUAACAUCAUUACCAAAAGUAGACUAAGUUCUCUAAAUCUAGUAACGGUGCCAAAAAUGCCAAACCUAUCCCUCACACCACUUAAGCCAAGUUGUCAUCCCCAGCAUGACAUGAGAGACGCGGUAGUGAAAUAUGCAAUUGCUCUUCUAAAUAAAUAAUGAAUGGGAUCUGCAAGCGCACAGAUUAAUACCGAUGUAGCAUUUUAACCGGGAAGUAUUCUAGGUAUCGUUAUUUAUAUUUUUACCACUAGGAAGGGAUUAGCAAUCAUCAAUAUUGAUUACAGAAUAGAAUAUGAGAUUGAGCAUCUAUCAUUGCAUGUAUAAUUGAGAACAUUAUAUCUAACUCUUCAUACAGGGAUAAGUGUCACAUAAAAGAUAUAUGAAAUAAUAAUAGUGACAAAGAUAAUUAGUCUGAUCUAGCCACAUAAUAAAUAUGAUAAGCACCUCAAUUAGAUACUCUAGAAAGUCAUUAGUACGGUAUUAGAACGAACUACAAGAAUAUUCCCUAAGUUAUUCUCAACUAUAUAGUCUAGCAUAUCAUAGUUAGUGCAAGCAUACUUAGCAAUCAUUGUGAGACAAGACUACGCCCAUGCAUAGUGAUAUUAGCAAGGUAAAUGAGAAACAUAGCAAUCAUUCCCCUGUAAUAAUGUUGCUCUGCCAGCCCAAUACACGAGAGGGGGACUAUAUAAGAAUCAAUGAAGCUGUCACUAUCACGAACCACCCCACGAUCUGGCAUAUUGGGUACAAUCGCAGAUAAAUACGGUAUAAGCACCACGCCUACACAAUAUCUAUCAUUUACCCAUGGAUCCAAUGGAUAAACGCUAUACGAUCCUAAGCAUGUAUAUAGAUCCAAUCUAACUAAGCCAAGUACAUAACUAUGAUAAACUAAGAACAAUAUAAUCUUGAAUAUAAGCAAGUAGAGCAAAGUCAUAAGCAAUAUAUUGAAGUAGAACAAAGUCAUAUUCAUAAUAUUGAAGAACAAAGAUAAUUAGAAAGCAAUUAGAAGCACAAUUAGAGAAUUACCAAGAAUCCUCUUGACAGAUCCGGAAACCAAUCGAAGAUUGACUCCUUCUAGUUCUAAUCCUAUGUAGCUAUGGUAAUCUAGAUAUCUAAUUGAUGUGGUGGCUCUAAUCUUGAUCAGAGGCUUCUUCUCCCUUGAGAAUAAUGAAUUAGGGUUGAGAGGCUCUCUCCUCUAGGGGCCAGGUGGUCUGGUUUUAUAGUCCCUUCAAGUGAAUAUGGGCCGUUGGAUCAAACCGACAUAGAUUGUAUGGUUUAGAUUCAUCCUUUAGGUCAGUGGAGAUCUCCCACGAAGCAGAGUCUUGAUUGGACUCCAGAGGUGGGCGGGCGCCCAGGAGAACAGGACGGGCGCCCUGCCUCUGGCCCCGUUUCGCCUCCGCUUCGGUCUCGUGGCUUCUGGAGUCUUUUAGAUGUAAGAUAAUUGCGCGGCACGUUAAUAUCUCUAUGUAAUCCCGACGUGUAGGCCUUUCUUCCGUAUUUCCUGAUAACCCCCUGCAGAAAUAGACAAACACCAAAACUCGUGGAAUUCUGUCAGAUAAAACCCUAAGUCUAGAUGUUGAUUUCAUUUGGAUCCUUUUCUUUAUUUAUUUGAUAAUUAAAUUUGAUACUUAAGGACCGUCAACAGUAGCAACAACUCCAACCUCUGCAAAACAGCGCAACAAUAGAAGAACAAUAAUACAUAAAUAAACAUAAAUAUAAUGAAUAGGUAAGUUCAGGCUAGCCAUAGUUAAUCUGUCUACAAAUUACCCAAAGGAAUAACUAAAGCUAUUAAAAUGGGUAUGUGAAAAGCAAGUAGCUCCACAAAUAUAUGGAGAAGGCUUGUAAAGAGAGUUAUCACUAUUGUGGUAAGAAAAAUGCUAGAAAGAAAAAAACCUCACAAGUUCCCAUAUCUGAGCAUCAUUCCAUUAUUAUACGACUCUAUUUAUUUUUUUAGUUUGGCUUAAGUGUCAGCUGAAGCAUAAAGCUGCUAGUUUUCCUUUACUUUGCACCAAAGAAAAGAACGAUUAAAAAUUCAGAAAUACAAUGGAAAGGUUUAAAAACAACUAAUCUAGGGAAUGCUACAAACCUUUAAUAAAAGGAAAACCAUAGCAGAACUUUGGAAGAAGGAAGAUUGCUGCUCUAGUUUCCAUAUUACGGCAAGAUCCAAUAGCAGAUGCAGUCAUAGUACCUACAACAAGUAUGUCACCACCUUGAAUAUGAGGAUGAACAUAAGCCUAGCCAUACAAAACAGCUGUAAUACCUAGAAUAAAACAAAAGAUAUACAAAAGGAGAAGUAACACAUAUAGCAAACAAGGGACUGAACCUACAAUUGCAUGAAGCCACAAACAGAAGUCACCCGCAACAUGAAACUUCACCCACCAGUACGCAACUAAGAUAUCAUCCUUUCCUGCAAGUCAAAGUAACAAAAAUAUUAGCAACUACCAGUGAGCAGCAAGGCAAAACCUACCUGACAUAGAUCCCCGAUGUACAUAAAACAAAAAUUUAGAACUAAGGGAUUUGAUUUCUAUAAAAUUCAAAAGAUGAGACACAAUUGUUCUUAUAAAUUUACAUAACCGGAUGAGAUGACAAAUCUUUUGUACACACAUGUGUAAAACUAAUGGAGCAUACAUCUGGUGAACAAGAAAAUCAAAACAAAUUUAAAUGCAUAACCUAGUCAGUAGUAGACAUAUUCAAAUUAGCCUAUCCAUGCUACAGAGUAGAAGAACUCACAAUCCACCAGAAAGUUUUGACUAAACAUAUAAGAAAUGAUCUAUUACUAAUGUUCCUCAGAUUUUCACAAAUAGAUGCACAACUCCUCUACUGCUGAUACGCCUAGGGGCAUCUCACUCAUCAGAGAUGAAUGCAAAACGUGAAGAGGGAUGGAUGGAUGAAUGGACAGGGGCACAUGGUCUACUGGAGGGGUGAUGCUUACCAAGCAGAUGAACAUGGCUUAGACCUCCUCAUGGCAACAGAAGCAGUUGCUACCACCGCGCCAGAUCUAGAGGAGAGGAGGUUCCAACAGGAUCUGGAGGAAGGAGACAAAGGAAAAAAAAACAUGAGCACGGAGCAAACCGAAUCUAGGAGCUCGAGCUCAGCCCCCCACAACGAAUUCAAUCUAUCAAUGCGGCGGACCAGCGGCACAAACUUGAACAGUCCACUACUACGAAGACUAAAAUCGAAGUGAACUAAACAACGCGAAGGCCGAGCCGAUGACGCGCAGAUGCCCAGAACCGGGUAAGUAGAGUAGAGAAGCCAGCAGAGCAUCACCUUUCCUGGGAAUCGGGGGCAGCGACCUCCCCGCCCCCGUCGGCGGCAGCGGCCGGAGGGGCAGCGGCCCUACGGCGACUGCACCGGCGCAUGGCGGAGGCCACAGACGGAGGAGGGGGCAGGAGGCCGCGGCGCCGUGCCGCUGAGCCAGGAGCAAGGACGGACGCGAGGCGGUGGGACGGCCGCGGCAACCGCAGAGGCGGCGGUAGCUGCGGAGGCAGCGCAGUGGUGGAAGGGAAGCGGUGGAUUUGUUCGGUGGGCGCUCGGAUCUAGAGAGUGCGCGAGGUCUUUGGGAGCGAGAACCCUCGUCUAUCCCUCUGCAUGCAGUAUCCGUGGGUGCUCCUCUCCGAUUUCACCCCAUCCCACGUCUAUUCUGAGGAGGAGGAGGAGGAGGAGGAGGAGGAGGAGGCGGUGGCGGGGGGGACAUGAGAGAAGGGCUGAAGAGUUUGAGAGUCGAGUUAGGGUUUGUGACUGGGGGCUGCGAGCGGAAUCGGGGACUGCGGAUUGAUUCAGAGAAGUCGAAGGACCUUUUUGCAAAAUAGGAAGCAACAAGUGUCAACAUGCCAGGAAGCCACCGAUGCUUAGAAUGCUGUGGUGCUUCCAAAGUGGAGUGACUUUUAAUAACUCCUGAUAUCUAUCUUUUUCUCUAUCAUGCAAGAAUAAAAAUUAGGGUAAAUUUGCACACGGUGGUAUUAAUUAGAUCUCCUAACUCAUAAAUUCUGAUAUUUGAUUCAUUAAACUUCACACGCGCUGAAAAUAAGAUUUCCAGAGAUAGACCACCUUAGAAUGAAGGUCACCGUUAAUCAUUAUUAACAUAGACGAAUGGAGGCGUGCCACCGGAUCUGUGGUCUCUACGCCAAUCAAGCACACGCCAGAAGGUGAUGGGGCCGUGCCGAUGCGCUUGUCAGUGACGAAUGGAGCUCCUCUGGGCACGGGGGCGAAGGUGGAUGGGGAUGCCCGAUCAAAGGUGAAUAGGCUGACAAAGGAGGAUGUGCAAGGGAGGGAGGGAGAGAGAGAGAGAGUUGGGACUUAGGAGGUGGUGGUUGCUACUGGAGAGAGAGAGAGAGAGGAGUCCUACGAUUUACUCUUGUUUUUAUAUAUGGGCUAAUUGGUAAGGUGGAUCUAUUAAAAGGUUCAUCUCUAGAAAUGGUUCAAUUAUAGAGAUGUAUGUUUUUCUAUCUUCGUAAGUAAAACGUAUGUCUCUGAAAAUCGUCGUUUGUUUUGGGAGGCGUCCAUAUUUUUUUGCCCGCCUCUAUUAAUAAAGUCAACAAUUUUGUAUUAGUGGUAGUGCCAUGGGGUUCCAAAUUCUUCAAUUGCGAUAUUUGGUUCUCCAAACUUGUACAUCAGUGUUACCUAGGUCCUAGCUUAUAGGCACUAGCACCUGAAAUCCACUAAAAUCCGUUAAUCACAAACCUUGACUCUAUUGCUUAAAAAAACUUAACCCUAACUUCAAAUUGUAGUCAUAACCCUUAAUUUCACCAACAUCGAAAUUAAAGUAAUUUAGUUGGUCCAAUUUAACCCCAAACAACAUUUGUUUUUUUGUUUUGUUUCUCUGCAUAAGUUAGAUUUUGCUUUCAAAUUUUAUGAUGUGAGAGGGAACAUCAUAAUUUAUAUUCAAAAAUACAUUAUAAAUUUUCAUCAUUAUGUUUCAUUUAAUUUUGUAUCUAUAGUCUUUAUUCAUUAAAGCUCAUACCCUAUCGAAAUAACAAUGAACAUUGAACUUGUAAGUGUAGAGAAACAAAAAAGACAAGAGAGAUUUACUUGUAUGACCCUAAAAAAUGUCUCUUUCUUGUAUGGCCUUUUUUUGAACUUUCUUCUAUGGCCCUCAAACGAACUUUUAUUUCUUUUAUGACCUUCCGUCUGUUUUCAGCACUUAACGGGUAAAAAGACCAUAUUACCCCUUGCAUGAAAAAACGCAAAGUUUAGUUUGUUUCUUUUAUAUUUUGAGUAGUAAACAAAUAAAUUGACAAUUUAGAUAUUAUAACAGUACAUAUGUGGAUCACAGUAAUAUAUUUGGACAACAUCACAGUAUAGUACAGUAUGUGCUCAAAAAAUUUUAUUUAUAUGAGAAACAAACCAAAUUUUGUGAUUUUUUUAACAUUACAAUCUUUUUACCCUCCACUUAACACCGUUAAGUGCUGAAAACAGACGGAAGCCAUAGAAAGAAUGAAAGUUCGUUUGAGGGCCAUAGAAGAAAGUUAAAAAAAAAAGAGACCAUACAAGAAAGACAUAUUUUUUAAAAGGGCCAUACAAGUAAAUCUCUCAAAAGACAAAUCUUGUUAAGUGGUAAUUGGACCAACUAACAUACUUGGAGGGAGUAAAACGAUCUAAACAUCAGUUAGGGGGGGGGGGGGGGGGGCUUUUAGACAUUUGCUAAACUUGUGGGGGAGAAAUGUGGACUUUUUUAUACAUGCUGAUAGGAAAUGAAUAAUGUGAUAUAUAUCUAAGACAUCGUACUUUUGCAAAUGAUAUGAGUGUAGUACUAGUUAAUCCGGUGAUUGGGUUGCUUACACCGCUACCCACAACCACCACGCCAGCCGAUAGGAGCCGGCCAGGCCGCGAGGGUCUAUAUAUACAAUUCAAUGAAUAUAUAUGGGGGUGGACUCGUGUGGGACUGUUGUUGGUUAGACAGCGCAUCGAUCAUCGAUGCAGAUGUUUUCGAUCAAGAGAAGUAUAAUACACGCCUGUUCAUGUUCUUAUAUUAUAUAUAUAUGACUGCAAAGGAUAUGCCAUUUGAUUACUAUAAUGGAGUUGACUAAUACAAUUUUCGAACAAAGCUAAGUUAGACGUGACUGAUUGAGAGGUUUGGUCAGGUCGGUCUCCCUCUCCCACUACCACUGUGUCCUCAAAAGAGUAGGAAGAGUAGGACGACCCGCAUGCAUGCCUACGUGUAGAGUUCUCAGGGCGACGCAUGCGCAUUUCUGUUCCUUAAUGCUAGGUUUGUGCGUCGUUGUCCAAAUGCAUUCCAUGAUUGAUUGAUUGAUCUGGGCCAUCUGCGUUAUCCAUUGCUCCAGAACCAAAAGAGUUAGCCAGCUGUGCACAUGUUAACGAUGCAAAGCUUGAUCAAAGUGAGCACUGAUCUCCGACAGAAUUAAAAAGGCAACAUCGUACUACCUCUCCGUUCAUUUUAUAUGUCGUUAUCACUUUGUAAGAAGUCAGACAUAUAUAUUUAACUUUAAUUAUAUAUAUAUAAUGUUUAUGUUAGAUUAUUAGGCAAUUUCCAUAUCAUUUUAAUUCCAUAAAUUAACAAUAUGAUGAUGACAUAUAUGAUAUUACUGAUAAAUAUAAAUAUGACAUGAAUCAUAAUUACGACAUGUAACCAUGAUCCAUAAAACAUAUCAAAUAUCAAAGCAUAGCAUGUUAUAUAAUUAUCUGUAACAGCACCAAACAUGAUAUAACUAUCGAAACAGAUAAACAGAUGUACUGAAAAAAAACAGAUACUAGCGAAACAACAGAACGGUAGAACAGAGGCAUAUACACAGAACUUAAACAUAACAUGAACAGACAACAGAUAUCUUCUGAAACAACUAAACAGACCUACUGAAACAGGUAUGACACAACUAUUGAACCUGUACGACAGAGCUACUGAAACAAACAGAAACAGAACGACGUAAAACUGAGGGAAGACGAACACAUCAAACCCUGAGACUUGCGCAUUCAGAUUUCCAGAACUUUGUCCUUCCUCGAUCGCCAUGGAGUAGAGACAAAGGUGAAGACGAUGAACCAAUCAAUGGGAAGGAGAAUACGGCGACCGGAAAUACCAAGAGACCUCCGGGAAGAAGAUGAACAGCAGCAAUGGAGUUGGGCAGUCGCGUAGACGCUCCCCAAAAACCUAAUUGUCGAUCCCUCGUGCAAGGUCUCGAACGGCAAGGGCUCCGGAGGCACCUGCCCUCUCGAUCCUCCGUGCGCGCGGAGUUACGAGAUGGGGAUUCCUACUUUGCAACGAACUGUGAUCCUGAGUAUUCUCUCCUAUUGUACCAAGGAGAUGAGUCUCCUAUUUAUCCUUGUGGCUGGAGAGUUGAGGAGGGGAAGGGACUCCCCUGCUGGCGGUUGAGGAGACGGGCAUCUGAAGAGUUUUCACGCGGAGUUGAAACUCCCUCAAUUAGUUAUCGAAACACCCGCAGAUAAUGAGUUGAAACUCCCACAUAAUUGAGUUGAAACUCCCGUACCAUCAGCCAGCCACUCCAACCCUUUGACUUACUCCUAUUUGGUACAAUAUAUAUAUUGUCCAUAAUUACACACCAUAGAGUUUAUUGAUUUAUUAAAUCUAAAUGGGUCUAACCCAUAAUAAAUCCAACAAUCCCCACCAAACUCUAGGGUUUGUAAUGAUGAAGCAUCAGAACCACAGUUCUUUGAUAUAUCAGUGUUUCGAUAGAGUCUGUUAAGUUGAACAUCCAUCUAGAACAAGAGUUUGACCCACUCACAACUGAACAAUGGACUAUGCCUUGAAUUGACAUUUUUGUGCGAGAUGAGGUCCACUCAAGCCCUUUGCUGAUACUUGGCUGCACAAGGCAUCCUCGCUGUUUGAAGUAUAUAAGUCACACUUCAGUGCCUUUUAUGAGUAUUUAGGGAUUACCCAAGUCCCAUAGACUGUGACCAGCAGUCUGACUCAUAUAGGUGUUUUCCUCAAAAGAUAUUUUGUAGGCCAACAUCUCAUCUGUAUAAGACUCUUGGAAUACAUUAAGGUAAAUACCAACCUGCCUUACAGAAGGAAAGUUGUACAUCAGAGAUAGGUUCAAAAGGGAACUUUCCUCUCAAUCUACUCAUAGCUUGUUUCACCACUCUACUUCACGGGAUCUCCGAUCACAUAGAGCAGGUUACCACUACAGUAGAUUAACUUGUGGGUCUCAUACCCAUCUCUCUCGAUGCACUUUCUAUCACAUUACGUGACAGUCCCUUAGUAAAUUGAUCUGCCAGAUUAUUCGACGUAUGGACAUAGUCCACCGUUAUAACUCCGGAGGUUUUCAACUUUCUGACAGAUUUUAAUCGUCUCUUAACAUGCCUUGUAGACUUCAUGUUAUUCCUGGAACUGUUGACUUUAGUAAUCACAGUUUGGUUGUCACAGUUCAUGGAUAUAGCCGGUAUCGGUAUUUCAACUACCGAUAAAUCCAUCAGGAGUUCACGAAGCCACUCGGCCUCAGCCCCAGCAGUGUCUAACGCUGUGCAUUCUGCUUCCAUUGUAGACUUCGUUAAGAUAGUCUGCUUGCAAGACUUCCAGGAAACAGCACCACCUCCAAGCAGGAACACAUAUCCGCUCGUGGCAUAAAGCUCAUCAGCAUCAGAGAUCCAGUUGGCAUCACAAUAGCCUUCCAACACUCUAGGGUUUCCGGUAUAGUGAAUACCGUAGGACAUAGUCCCUUUCAGGUAGCGCAACACUCUCUCAAGAGCACGCCAGUGAUCAUCGCCUGGUUUUGACACAAACCGACUCAGCUUGCUCACAGCAUAUGAAAUAUCAGGUCUCGUUGCACUCGCAAGGUACAUAAGCGAGCCAAUGAUCUGGGAGUAUGUUAAUUGAUCCCUUGCUAUUCAUCGAUUUUUCCUCAAUAGCACACUAGGGUCAUAAGGCGUGGGAGCAGGAUCGUAGUCACUAAACCCAAAGCGACUUAAUACCUUUCCACAUAAUGGGAUUGUAACAAAGUUACCCCACCAUCACCUUCUCUGGUAAGCUUGAUGUUAAGAAUGACAUCAGCUUCUCCCAAAUCUUUCAUAUCGAAAUUACUCGAUAGAAGUUUCUUUACUUCCUCAAUCACAUUGAGAUUAGAUCCGAAGAUCAAAAUGUCAUCAACAUAAAGGCAUAGCAUAACAGCCUCACCCCCACCAUAUCAAUAAUACACACAAGUGUCUGCUUCAUUCGCAACAAAGCCAGCAGCUAUAAGUGUACUAUCAAACUUUUUAUGCCAUUGCUUAGGUGCUUGCUUUAGGCCAUAUAAUGACUUUAACAGCCUACACACCUUGCUUUCUUGACCAUCCGCAAUGAACCCUUCUGGCUGAUCCAUAUAGAUCUCCUCAUCUAACUCUCCAUUAAGGAAAGUCGUCUUAACAUCCAUCUGAUGAAUGAUAAGACCGUAUGAAGCUACCACGACAAUCAAAGUGCGAAUUGUAGUCAAUCGAGCGACCGGUGAAUAGGUGUCAAAGAAAUCUUCCCCCUCUUUCUGGGUAUAUCCUUUGGCCACCAGCCUUGCCUUGUACCUCCCAAUUGUACCAUCAGGCCUAAGCUUUUUCUUAAAGAUCCAUUUGCAGCCUAUAGGUUGACAGCCAUAGGGACGGUCAACGACCUCCCAUGUUCCGUUGGACAUAAUAGAUUCCAUCUCACUCCUUACUGCCUCCUUCCAUAAGUCGGCAUCAGGAGAGGAAUAUGCCUCAACAAUAGUAGUUGGCGUGUCUUCCACAAGGUACACUAUAAAGUCAUCAGGAUUUUGCAAUCCUUUGUCUCUUGCUCUUUCGAGUGACUAUAGUGUCAUCCUCCUCAGGGAUGUGCAUGUGAGUCUCCUCAGCAUGAUCUAUAGGAAUAGACAAUUCUUGCUCAUGGGGUAUUAUAGUCUCAUGACUUAUUUUACUAGGUGUAUUUUUCAUGGGAAACUCAUUCUCAAAAAAUGUAGCGUCUCUCGAUUCCAUGAUAGUAUCAACGUACAUAUCAGGCACAUCAGAUUUUAUAAUUAAGAACCUAUAUCCAACGCUGUGGAAAGCAUAACCAAGGAAAAUACAAUCAACAGUUUUAGGUCCUAAUUUACAAUUCUUGUUGAUUGGCACAUUCACCUUUGCCAAACAACCCCAAGUGCGUAAAUAUGAAAGAUUUAUUCUCUUCUUUUCCCAUUCCUCGAAUGGAGUGAUCUCUUUGUUUUUAGUAGGAACUCUGUUUAGGACAUGACACGCGGUCAAAAUUGCCUCACCCCACCAUUCCUUGGAUAAUCCCGCUGUAUUUAACAUGGCAUUCACCAACUCUGUUAAAGUGCGGUUUUUCCUUUCAGCAAUCCCAUUGGAUUGUGGUGAGAAUGGCAAUGUCCUCUUAUGAAUAAUAUCGUGAUCCACACAAAAUUCAUCGAAAUCAUUUGAGAAAUAUUCUCCACCUCUAUCAGACCUUAAAUGUUUUAUUUUCCUCUCUAGUUGGUUUUCAACUUCAGCUGUAUAGGUCUUAAAAUAAUGGAGCGCUUCAUCCUUUGUUUUUAAGAGAUACACAUAGCAAAAUCUAGUGGAGACAUCUAUAAAUGUGAUAAAGUAUCUUUUACCGCCUUUAGUCAAAAUACCAUUCAUUUCGCACAAAUCGGAAUGAAUAAGUUCUAGAGGUGCCAAGUUCCUCGCCCCAGCAGUCUUAUGAGGCUUCCGGGGUUGUUUUGAUUCAACGCAUACAUGGCACUUAGAUUUAUUGACCAAGUUAAAUUUAGGAAUUAAAUUCAGAUUUGCUAACCGCAUAAGACAACCAUAACUUGCAUGACAAAACCGUGAAUGCCAUAAAUCCGACUCAUCAGAAAUAUCAACAGAAUUCACUAGUUAUUACACACAUCAUGUAGAGAUAAGCGGAACAAACCUCUGCAAUCAUAUCCUUUACCAACAAAGGAUCCAUGUUUCGACACAACACAUUUGUUCGAUUCAAGGACAACUCUAUAACCAUCUCGACAUAGCAUAGAAGCACUAACAAAAUUUUUCUUGAUAGAGGGCACAUGUUGCACGCUCUUCAAUGGCACCGUCAUCCCCAAAGUAAACUUCAGAAUGACCGUACCAACACCAAGAACAUGAGCACGCGACCCAUUUCCGAUCAACAAGGCACCAGACCUCCCGACCUGGUAAGUAGCAAACAAGGAAACAUCAGCACACACUAUCCAUCCACCACUCAGGUGAAUUACAAACUGAAAGAACAUAUGGCAAAGAAUUACCAUACCCAUAUGUUCCUACAGUCUCAGUGGUAACAACAUUAGGUGAUUUUUCCCUUGGAAGAACUUGCGAUCAAGGCACUCACUUGCCCAGUGUUCCUCACUGCCACAAACAAAGCAGCCUCCCUUCUUCUUGUUAUUGUUGGUAGUUUUCUUGAAUUGAGUGGACUGAUUGGGCUUAUGGUUGUUCUCUUUCUUUUUCUAGAUUUUCUCCUUGUUAAACUUGUGGAAGUUCUUCUGCACCACAUUGGUAGUAGAAGGCCCAACACUUUUCCCAUUAUCCUUUGCUCUCGCCCUCUCCUCAACAUCAAGAGUACCAAUGAGUUCCUCAACAUUGAACUCUUGCCUCUUGUGUUUGAGAGAAGUAGCAAAUUCCUUCCAAGAAGGUGGUAACUUGGUGAUAAUACCGCCAGCCACAAACUUGUCAGGCAGGGGACAAGGGAAAAGUUCAAGUUCCUUAGCCAGUGCUUGAAUCUCAUGAGCUUGUUCCACUACAGAACGGUUCUCAACCAUCUUGUAGUCAUACAACUGCUCCAUAAGAUACAGCUCAGUACCAGUGUCAGUAACUCCAAACUUAGCCACAAGAGCAUCCCAUAACUCUUUCCCGCUUGGAAGAAUUAUGUAGCUUUUAUGGAAUUUUGGAACAAGUGCGCUAAUCACUGCACCUCGAAAGAGGUUGUCAUCAGCCUUAAACUUAGCCUCAUCCUCAGGGAGACAAGUUAGCAGGCUUGCCCUCAGCGGCAUGAUAACAUGACAUAGCAGUUAGCCACAAUUCCAUCUUAGCUUUCCAGAUCAAGAAGUUUUUACAAUCAGAAGGAUCAGGUUUCAACACGGCAGCAAAACCUCUGACAGAAAAAUGCCUAUAAUUAGGUUUUUGGAUUGUUAGAUUAUUAGGCAAUUUCCAUGUCAUUUUAAUUCCAUAAAUUAACAAUAUGAUGAUGACAUAUAUGAUAUUACUGAUAAAUAUAAAUAUGAUAUGAAUCAUAAUUAUGACAUGUAACCAUGAUCCAUAAAGCAUAUCAAAUAUCAAAGCAUAGCAUGUUAUAUAAUUAUCUGUAACAGCACCAAACAUGAUAUAACUAUCGAAACAGAUAAACAGAUGUACUGAAACAGAAAAAUAGAUACUAGCGAAACAACAGAACUGUAGAAUAGAGGCAUAUACGCAGAACUUAAACAUAACAGGAGCAGACAACAGAUAUCUUCUGAAACAACUAAACAGACCUACUGAAAUAGGUAUGACACAACUAUUGAACCUGUACGACAGAGCUACUGAAACAAACAGAAACAGAACGACGUAAAACUGAGGGAAGACGAACAGAUCAUACCCUGAGACUUGCGCAUUCAGAUUUCUAGAACUUUGUCCUUCCUCGAUCACCAUGGAGUAGAGACGAAGGUGAAGACGAUGAACCAAUCACCGGGAAGGAGAAUACGGCAACCGACAACACCAAGAGACCUCCGGGAAGAAGAUGAACAGCAGCAAUGGAGUUGGGCAGUCGCGUAGACGCUCCCCAAAAACCUAAUUGUCGAUCCCUCGUGCAAAGUCUCGAACGGCAAGGGCUCCGGAGGCACCUGCCCUCUCGAUCCUACGUGCGCGCGGAGUUACGAGAUGGGGAUUCCUAACGAACUGUGAUCCUGAGUAUUAUCUCCUAUCUCCACUAUAAUUGAAAACUUCUUGGACCGUUAGACCACACAAACUCACGCCCCAAUAAACUCAUCUCCACCGCAGCCCUCUAAUUCGGCCCACUAAUCUCUACCAUAACCAGAUCAGGUCAAUCACGGUUAAUCAAUCUACAUCUCAAGCUAACGACGACUGUCUGCUGCCGGAUCUGCCGGACCAGGAAUGACGGGAAGGGCAACAGCCUGCGUGCACGACGGGAGCGACGAGGGCGCUGAGGGGGUUCUACGGGACAAGGGGCAGUUCCUGUGCCUGGUGUGCGAGGGGAGCGGCGCCAGGGUGGGCAAGAGGUUUGCCGGUUGCGCCGCGCUUGUGCUGCACGCCGGGUCAAUCGCCCGGACCAAGACGAGGCUGGCGCACCGCGCGUUCGCCGACGCCGUCGGCCUCCUUGUCGGAUGGGGCGCAGGCCGGAUCGCUCCUCCGCCGGUAAGCAUCAUGUUCUCUCAUCGUGGUCCCGCGCUCAUGUGCCGGUCUGCCAGAUUGCUGAAUGAUUCGGUGUUUUGAUCUUCUGAAAUGCAGGCAGACACUGACAGCGAUGGCGCUUCUGAUCAAGUUGAUCACGUAGAAAUGGAGCUGUCGUGACUCCUGAUAACUGCAGUCUACGGCAACAAGCUUUUUGUUGUUUUUUCAUAACUACGCGGUUUUAGAGUGGAGACUGAUCGGGAUGGAAACAGUGUGUAGCAUGGUUCCAAGCGCAUUAACAAUCUACGGUUAAUCAAUCUAGGUCUCCCUUCCUCAAGCGCGGUAUUCUAAUCUAAAUGGUGGAAUGGUUUUUUUGAAUUAGAGUGUAUUUCAUUACUCUCCGAUCACAGCUGAAUCGCUGAAUCGCUGGACACAAAAUCUAAAAUAGGAAGAAGAAAAUUCUGUUGCCUUUAGGUUCAAAUGGUUCAAAUGGGUGAUGGGUGAUUUCUGAACUUAUAUACAUGUACAUCUAAAUGGUUGCUUAUUUCUGUAGUAAGUAACUAAUAAAAGUGUAUGUGAUCAUAGUAUGUCUCUGACUAAUCAUGCAACGUCUAAUGAUAAAAUUCAUGAAUGCCUUUUUAAAGUUCCUUUUUCUUCAUUCAGGAGGCUUCAAUGUCUACACCUAGAUAUACACGCGAUGCGCUAAGCGACAUCACCAACGUCACAGGUAUGCUUUUAAUAAUUGGGUGUUUUUUCUAAUUUUGUAAUCUAAUCCAAAUUGGGCCUUGUUUAGUUUCGAAAAGUGAAAAGUUUUCGAUACUGUAGCACUUUCGUUUGUUUGUGAUAAAUAUUAUCCAAUCAUGAACUAACUAAGAUCAAAAGAUUUGUCUCGUGAUUUACAGCUAAACUGUGUAAUUAAUUUUUGUUUUCGUCUAUAUUUAAUAUUUCAUGUAUGUAACACAAGAUUCGAUGUGACGGAGAAUCUUGAAAACUUUUUGGUUUUCAGGGUGAACUAAACAAGGCCUUGGUCAAAAUUCUUGCUAAAGAUAAGGCCUCGUCGACCUUGUAACAAAUAUUUCAGAUUUGUACGCCAAAUAAACAACUGAUCUUGUACAGAAACUUGGGAGGCUUUCUUGUAUACAAUUUUAUGAAGCUGUGGGAUGGUGUAAGAUUGCCGCCGAUAAAUAAUGUAAGCAGAUGCAGUCUCCAACUAUAUUUGCGUCAAUGAACGAUUAAAUAUUGACAAAAUAUUAUCUGUCAUUCACAGCUAUCAAGAUCACUAAGGACGGAGUUCUUGGCUGAAAUUUUGGUGAGUCGUGCAAACGAGUGCUACGACAACAUCCCUGAAGAUAUCCAAUAUUUGAUUAAAAAGUUAGAGAAAAUGUAAAGAUGUCUUUAUGUACUGAUGAUUUAUAAAUAUAUAUAGACUUAAAAACAAUUAACCAAAAUUAAAACUCUAAAAAAUUAAUAUAGUAUUCCCUAAAAAAAAACUGUGGCGUUAGCACGGGCAUUAUACUAGUUGUACCAAGGAGAUGAGUCUCCUAUUUAUCCUUGUGGCUAGAGAGGAGAGGAGGGGAAGGGACUCCCCAGCUGGCGGCUGAGGAGACGGGCAUCUGAAGGGUUUUCACGCGGAGUUAAAACUCUCUCAAUUAAUUAUCGAAACACCCGCAGAUAAUGAGUUGAAACUCCUACAUAAUUGAGUUGAAACUCCCGUACCAUCAGCCAGCCAGUCCAACCCUUGUAUUUACUCCUAUUUGGUACAAUAUAUAUAUUUUCCAUAAUUUACACACCAUAGAGUUUAUUGAUUUAUUAAAUCUAAAUGGGUCUAACCCAUAAUAAAUCCAACAGUUUUAUAGUAUAUAAUUAAUAUCGCUAGAUAGAUUGUUGACUUUAUUUAUAUAAAUAUUUUUCAAACUUGAGAAAAUAUAACGGGCACUAAUCCGACGAUCGAAGCUUAAAUAUGGACGUGAGUAUGUAUAGUGCCAGCUCUUGAACAGUCACAUCAUCUCCUCAAAAUAGCGGUUGAUAUUCAUACAGCUAGCUAUGCAGAAUACUCCACGUCACUGUUGUUUUAGUUACUUGCAACGAUGCAGAAGGAGCAGGGACUGGGACCCGCGCGGACGGCUGGAUGCUCAUGUUUGUGUGUGCAUGAUAGCUCAGCUCUAUGAUAGUGCAAUUAUUGAUAAGCCGAUCGACCAUAUACUUACAUACGACUGAGCCCCUGUUUAAUUAGUUCAUCAAUUUUUUUUGAAUUGGCAACUGUAGCAUUUUAUUUUAUUUGAUAAUUAGUGUUCAAUUAUAGACUAAAAAAUAUAUAUUCAAAAGAUUUGUCUCGUAAAUUACAUAUUAAUUACGUAAUUAAUUAUUUUUUAUUUAUAUUUAAUGCUCAAUGCGUAUGUCCAAAAAUUUAAUAUGAUAGGAUGAAAAAAAUUUAGAAACUAAAUAGGGCCUGAGUAAAUCCUCUGUAGUAUUGAUUAAUUACACGUGUAUACUCUUACUGCUGUUGUGAAGCGGCUUUACUACGAGUACGUAGUGUGUGUGCAGUGAAGUUCACAUUUUGGUAGUGUGUGUGCAGUGAAGUUCAAACUUAUGACUGGUAUAUUCAUUUAUCACAAUUUCACGGGGCAAAGUAUGGAUCUGUUGAUCCAGAAAUACCAGCAUACGUGCGCUACUACUAAACAAAACACACUAACCAUCUUUCUGUCCUGAAACGAUCGAUUCCUAGAAUUCAUGCCAGUCAUUUUUUUAAAUUUAACUAACUUUAUAGAAAAGAGCAUCAAUAUUUAUGACAUAAAAUAAGUAUUUUAUGAAAAUAUAUUCUAUAAUAAAUCUAAUGAUACUAAUUUGGUACUAUAAAUCUUAGUAUUUUUUUCUAGAAAUUCGAUCAAAAUUAAAAAAAUUUAACUUAAUACAAUUCUAGGAAUUAAUUCUCUGAUAACUUUUUACAUUUGAAAUGAUUUUAGAACUAAAAGCUUGAAUUUUAAAACAUAAAGAACUUCAAAUAGAAUUUAAAAUGAUUUUAAAUGAAAACGCCGUCGUCUACAAAGUUGUACUUCUCUUCGAGACAUACAACAUAGACACAAAGUUUGUCUCCAUCUAACUCUGUUUGAAAAGAGUUGUGAAUUUUAACAUGUCACACCUAUUUUCAGAGGUGGCUCUAGAUCCGGUUGUCUCUAUAAAUUAAGUUUCUAGAUGUGGCUCUAGAUUCAGUCACCUCAAUCAUACGUGGCAAUUUUAGAGGUAGCUUAAAAUACUAUCCAUCUCUAAAAAAUGGAUUUUCAAAGGUGGCUUGUUUUAGAAAACCAUUUUUAGAGACGAUUUUAGGUAGAGCCGUCUUUACUUAAAAAUGAAGGUGUUACAAUAAAUCAAUUAUAUAAUAGUAGUGAUAUCUAAGUGCAUAGCAAAUAUUAUUAUAUUAUAAAAUUCAGAUUAUCUUAUAGUUUAGAAUAUAAUAAGGAAUAAGGAUACAGUUGCCGUUAUUUUACGAAAAAAAAAAGAAAAAUAUGGGCAGCCCAUCUCUCCCUUUACGGGCCGUCAGACUGCUGCCAGGCCGCGCGGAUAGAAAUUUCGUUGCGUUUCGACUUCGCUGACAUCAUCGUUUCGAGAUCGAGUGGGCUAGCUGACACCAUGGGCUGUUGAACGAUGACCUCCCAGCCCAUCUGCAACCAUUGGGCUGACUCCCUCUAUCCACAAAUAAAUACGUAUCUCAUUUCUCGAAGAGUCAAACUAUUUUAAGUUUGACUAAAUAUAUAUAAAAAUAUACUAAUAUUUAUCAUGUAAUAUGUAUUAUUGAUUGAGCAUGAAAUAUACUUUUAUAAUAUACUUAUUUGCAGAUACAAAUAUUGAUAUUAUUUGAUAUGUUUAUAGUUAAACUUUAAAAAAAUUAACUUCUCUGGAAGCGAGACAUGUAUUUAUUUGUAGACGGGGGGAGUACAUCUCACAGUUGCCAUACCAAGCUUGUUUGUUGUGUUUAUUUUCUUUUGCACUGCAUGACAGUAUGAUUUAUUUUGGAAGUAAUUAAUCUAUCAUCUACACCUUUUUUUCCUCUAAAAAAAUAUACGCUCUACCUCUACAAGGUCAAUUCUAUAAAGAAAAUCUUUUUUUGUCAAAAAAAAAGAAAAUCCUUGCGAGGUGACAAUGUGUGUUUUUGAAAUGCUUGAAAGAAACUGUACUAUCCUUCCGUAAUGCAGUGCACUAAAAAAGUAAUACUUUGUAUUCAAAAUAACGCCAAAAGCUUUAGUAGAGGACUCUCACCCUAGCCCCAGAAAACUUCCUGAACCCCAUAUGCCCCGCCCACACAUAGGGGUUGUUAUCCGGUGAGAGGGUCGCCCACACACAAGGGUUGUUACCUAGUGAGAGAGUGAGUCCACGUACCUGUGCACCUGGUCACGGGGACACCCUCUAGAGGCUUGACCAACUGGCCUAGCAACUGGUGGCAUAAAGCCGGAACAUAGAGAAGCGUUAUUACUAGUUUGCUACGAUAAUUGGUUUCUUCAAAAGAAUUGCAUAAAGAUCUUUAAUUUUCUUCUAGAAUCUAGAAUGCAUGACCAAAAUAAAGAGCCUUGCCUGUGCGUUUGAACCUAGGCCUAGUACAUGUUAGGAAUGAUCGACACAUGUUAUUCUCUCCCUUGUAAACUAUAAGCCAACUUAGCUUCUCUAUAGGUAAAUAAAUAGUUUCAUUAUAAUAUAACAAAAACUAUAUUAUACUAAAUGCCAAAGCAACAUGUACGAAGUGAGUAGCCCAAUCGACCUGGUUACUUGAGCUGGGUUCGAAAGCAAAAUAGAAAAUUUUCAUUCAAAUGCCCAAGAGCCAAGUAAAGGCAAACGCAAUGCCACUUGAUAUAUGGAAGAAUCAUGAUAGCUCCAAAUAAAAUUCUCAGUUCCCAAAGAAAGAGCAAAGGCUAAACAACCAGAGAGUCAAAUAAGGCCUUGUUUACACUAGUACACAGAGGUACUAUACAGGCGGUUCUAAAUCUCUUUUUACAGGCGGUUUGGCGAACCGCCUGUGAUUGGUGGCCUGUGGAAAUAAAUUUUUCCACAGGCGGGUAACUGAGAACCGCCUAUGAAAAUGUAUUUCUACAGGCGGUUCAGUUAUGCCAACCGCCUGUAGAAAUAUUUUUUCAGAAAAUAUGAAAUCGGUUUUUAAAAAUAGGAAAAAAAACAUUUUAUUUCAAGGAAGGCUCACUGGUUAUUCGCAAGUCGCGUAUUUUUUCGCGUAAAAUCGCGUGCUACGCGGUCGGUGGGAUCGAACAUGAGACCUCACCCUCGCGCGUACCGUCCUCUACCACUCCACCUAUCACUCAGUUGUUGUUUGAAAUAGAGUUUAGUUCCCCACAUACUAUCAUAAACCAAGCAUAAAUUGAUUAUUUGAGGUCCUAAACGGAUUCAAAUGGAAAAGUCGUCAACUACAAAGUUUUACAACUUUUUAAGACCUACAACUUUUAUAUUGGUAGUUUCUUCAUCCGAGGUCAUUUACAAAAUUUGAAUUUCAAAUUUGAGAAAUUCAAACGUAGUUUUCGAUGACAAGAUGAUUUCAAAUGAAAAAAUUAUCAACUACAAAGUUUCAUAACUUUUCAAGAUCUACAACUUUCAUUUUGACGAUUUUCUCAAACGAGGUCAUUUGAAAAACUCAAAAAAUUCAAGUUCAAAUUAUUUGUACAGGCGGAUUUCUUAAGAAACCGCCUGUAGAAAUAUGAUUUUUACAGGCGGUUUCUUAAGAAAUCCGCCAGUAGAAAUACAUGAUUUCUACAGGCGGUUUUGUUAGAGAAACCGCCUGUAAAAAUUGAUUUUCACAGGCGGUUUUGUAGUCGGGUAAGCCAAUUUCUUUUCACAGGCGUUUUUUAAUUAAAACCGCCUGUAAAAAUUAUGUUCCACCGCUGGCUUUGAGCACUUUUGUACUAGUGUUAGUUCCGAUUUUUUUUUUAGUUUUGGAUAGUGUAGCACUUUUAUUUUUAUUUGUAAUUAUUGUUCAAUUACUCAAAAGAUUCAUCUCGCGAUUUACAGGUAAACUGUGUAAUUAGUUUUUGUUUUUAUCUAUAUUUAGUGCUUCAUACAUGUGUCGUAAGAUUUUAUGUGACAAAGAAUCUUGAAAAAUUUUUGGUUUUUGGAGUGAACUAAACAAAGCCUAAGAAAGAUAAGAGCUUCAGGCUCUCAAAAGCAACUUCAUGCAAUCCCAAAAACAUUAAAACCAUUUCAUCAAUUGUCAAUCGAUCAUCACAAAUUAAUGUACUAAGGUUAUCAUCAACUUGGUUUUCACGGUAGUGUGCAAUCUUUUCAAUUUUUAAUUGCCAAUGAUUUUCCAUGUUUCUGUUAAUUCCUUAGUUCCAAAAUAAAUCAACUUCUAACAAAUCUUAAAUAAAUUAUUAUAUCUAAACAUAGUAUAUAUCUAGAUACCCCAAAAAAGUCCAAAACAACUUGUAACUUAGAAUGGAGAGAUUAUAUUUAUUUGCUAGUAUAUCUGAUUACAAAUCUAUCCAUAUUGAGUUGUAUUAUAAUAAUUAAAAAAUGUUAGCUAAAUUAUUGGUAAAAGAUUUUUAAAGUUUUAAUGUUGAUAUGCGUGUGUGCCUUAGAGGAAUAUUGAGGGAAUAUAAGUUAAUCAAUAGAGACUCUUGAUACUAAGGAAAUCCAUCCUAGGAAUGUUGGACGUAUGCUCCCAUGUUAGGUUUUUUUCCCUGCCUAUAGGGUCAUUGUCAUCUGUGAAUCAGGAACUGCUAAUAUCAUGUUACUCGGAGGCACAAAGUACAGUUAAUCACAGAGAGCUGGUAGAAUGGAGGCCUGAGGCCUCGAUAGGCUAGGUGUACCAUUACCUACAUCCAUAGAGCGUUUGGUGCCAGCGCUAGGAUAACCACCCAAGUGCAGCACUGUAACAUAUAAGUACAUCCUACCAUUAUGGCCGCGUGUGCUAGUGUACAUACACAUGCAAAUAUUGGUAGCAAAAAGGAAUUCCCAAGAACAACUUUGCGUGUGUGUACAAGUACUAGCGUGAUUGGUACUCACUCCUCAAUUACAUUGUGAGUUGUUUUUUUCUAUGUCAUAACUUUUGCUAUAUAUCCUAUAUUUUGAAAAGCCAAAACAACUUACAAUUUAAAAUAUAUAGAGCGAGUAAAAUGUAGCAUGUAGAAAUAGAACAUUAGAACUACACUGGCGUCCUGAAAUUCAAUAUAUCUUCGAAAUUCUAGUAACAAUUUCUUAAGAUAUCAUUAUUAUCACCAUAUAUAUAUUUUACCUAGAAUCUCUUAUAAUUUACAAUAAAUAGAUUUCAGGGAUGGAGUAGCUCUCUCAAAAUGCUAGGAAAGAUGGGAUUGGCGAUCAUUGAUGAGAGAGUUGGUGGGUAAUGUUAUGUGUCAACGCCAUUAGAGUGGGUAGGGUGGUUGACACUUUUUUUUUUUGCAAAACACUCUUAUACAUGUACACAGACUCACCCUUAUAAACAUGCACACACAUCCCAUUCCUAUGAGCAUUUUUGAAACUAGGUUGGAUGGACAGAUAUCAAGAUUAAUAAAAUCUCUACAGACGCCUUGCUGCCGACCAAUAUCAUUUACCAAGAUUAUAUAUGCGUAUGUCACCUAUGACUGAAAGAACAAUGCCAUCAAAUUGAAGAUAAGUUCAGAAAAUGAAAUCACCCAUAUUAAAUUAAGAAAACGUGCGCUGCACGUGUCUCAUUAAACGAAGAUGUCAAAUUAAAGAACAAUACCAUCAAAUUUAGGAUAAGUUCAGAAAUGAAAUCACCCAUAUUAAAUUAAGAAAACGUGUGCUGCACGUGUCUCAUUAAAGGAAGAUGUCAAAUUAAGAACUUAAACCUAGAUAGUCAAGUUCCACGAAGAAAAUCUAACUAGCUAGCUAAGCUACACUCAAUUCUCAGGGUCGUUGAUACAAUGAUACUUGAUACUCGUUUCAUUUACGAUUUACGACACCCCCAAAAUCAGGUAGGAAGAUAGUUGGUUUUGUCAAGCUAAGUAUGCGGUUGCUAAAACUAGCCAGUAAUCUCAACCAAUGCAACCAGCUAGUUAAGGCUUUAGUUCAUGUGGCUAUAGGCUAACAACCGAUUUAAUUUGGUUGGCAACAACAUGCGUAUAAUCCUGAUCGGGUCCUCCGUUGAUAAAUGAUGGGCGCUAGCCUAGGAUUAAUUAAUUUGUUUACGCGUAACAUCAGGAACAGGCAUGUCUGGUCAACUAUAGUCUAGUCGUACGGGUGACAUACAUGGGUGCAAAUAAAUGAGAUUGCGUUGUAAUCAAUUAUAGAAUCUGUUUAAGUUAACCUAGCUUAAUUUUAACCAAAUUAAUAUACUCACUCCAUCCUAAAAUAUAAGGAAUCUCCGGUUUCCUAAAGAAUAUUGUUUUAGGCAGUGAUACGGUCUCCAACAAACAACUUAUUAUGCUUUUACGAAACUACAUUUCGAGAUGAACUUAUUUACAUCACUUUCUCCAUAUAUUCAAACUCAACUCAAAAGUUUAAAAUGUUUGAUUUAAGAUAAUCUCAAAACAACAUCUUUUAAAAAAAACUAGAGAGAGUAUAUAUUAGGUGUAAUACCCGAUUUUAAGGACAAAAUCAGAUACGCACCAUAUGUGAGUCUUAGAAGUCAAAUCUCACAUAUAGCUACAAAUAAGGGGCAAUAUCAAAAGACAAUGCACAAAUAUAUAACGUACUUAGUAUAAAAGAGAUAACCUUUAAAAGCAAACAGCGGAUAGACAACUCCAACUUCGGGUAUUAACUUCUCUCUACAGGAUCCAACUGACUGGUUGAUCACAAGCCUAAACUUCUCCUGAGGUUUGGGGGAAAUGGCAAGAGUGAGUCCAUGUCGAACUCCACAAGUAUAGCAACUAGAUUGUAUAGCUCCCACAAUCUCAUGAUCAAUGUGACAUAAAUAAUGUAAAGCAUUAAAUAAUAAAUAAUGAGCAUAUUUAACACACAGGAAUCAUCAUCGUCGCAGCAAGAAUCCCCAAGGCCGCUCCUGACCGUGAGCUCGGCUAGUAUACUAGUUUUUAACCCUCUGCAGAGGUUGCACAUCUUUACCCAUGAGUCAUGAUUUACCCUUUCGCCCGAGGUAGCUAAUCUCUUAACCCCCUUCCUAGGGAGGUCGGCAGGGAUCACUAUGAAGUCUUUCAAAGGUUUGUCUAACAAGUUAGGGCUGCUUGGUUUCAUCAGUCAGUCCGUGUGAUUCACCCGCAGGAAUCCACGGUCUGCUAUUCCCCAAUUGCGCCACAACGGGUAACCCCUAAUGAGCUAGAAAAGUUACUCAUACUUAACUAAAGCCAGAGCCAUUAUAGCCCUCAUGGUUGCACUGUUGUCCCGGUUAUCACUUACAGAUAAAUCAUCAAGUGGCUAAAAAGUCAUUUUUAUCAUUUGUUGCUUAAACAUUAAUCAAGUCACAAGAUCAUGGCCACAGAAAUAAAACCCAAAUGCUAUACUUGCCUUGAUCCAAAUGCUCUUGCUGAUCUUGCUAAAUGUCCAAAUACUGAUCUUGCUUGUUGUAGCACUCUUGAUCACCACAGAUUAUUCACCGUCUAAUCACGAUCAUCGAUCACACAAACAGUCGAAGAAAACAUACAUGAAACAAACAAGGCUACAAUUAGAACAGUACACCAAUCAUAUGAAAACAGUAUGAAAAGUUUGUAAAACGAUUCUACGCAUCGCUACGAUUUUAUAGACGUAAAGAUCACGAAAAUCGGGGUUGAAACGGAAAAGAUAUGGAUUUUCUAAGAUUUCAAAUAGAAAAGUAAUUAAUUAAUUAAAGUCACGAAAUUUAAAAGUUCCAAACUGAGUAAAUAAUUUUACUAACAUGUAGAGCUCAUUAUUACGAAUCCAACGCAAUUUGAAUGGAUCAAAACAGAAUUAAAACGAGUAUUUUAUGGUUAAAACAAUCUCGAUGGCAAAACUGUAAAUACUGAAAACGUAUUUUCGGAGUCAAUCUGGUUGGUUUCCGUUUUCUAAAAGAGAAAGCGUAUUUCUGAAAUCCUCUUUGGACUGCGGGUUUAUUCUUAAAAAGAGCAGGGACUCUUUAACAAAAAUACCCCCCGAAGGGGUAUCUUCUAAUCUGAGCCGUAGAUCGUGGUUUGAACGGCUAAGAGGGAUCCGGGCGCAUUCCGGCCGACCGGCUCACCGGAGCAGAGCACCAGCGCGGUGGCGCCAUUGGGGCACCUCGCCGGAGUUAACGAAUCGGCGAUAUAGAGCACCAAAAACGAAUCUGAGAACAUGGGGAGCAAGAGGGAAACAAGGGAAACUCACCCAGGGGGAAACGAGGGGCGCGCAAGGCUCGGGGACGGCCGGCGUCGUGAUUCGGCGGACAGGAAGCUCCUGCAAGUUUCGGCGAGACCGUGAACAUCCAGGAGAGCAUUAGGAAACACGGGGGAAAGCUGGUUGACUUCGUUACCCAAUUUCGGAGCUCGGCAGCAAAACAAUUUCGGCCGAACACUCGCGAAUUGCAAGAGCCACGGCGGCGGCGAGCUUAGCUCCCGGUGAGAUCCUGACUGAGGCUUACGGCGUCGGCUAGGGCUCCUUCCGUGGCUUGGAAAAAGAAAAACGGAGUAGAGAGGAAACCGCAGGGCUUUAGAAGAGUUGGGGCGAUCAAAUCCCGAAGGAAUCGGGAUUUCCUAAUGUGGAAGAUCGAGGCCGGCUCGGUCACGGUUGGGAGGAAGGAGAAGGGUGACAGGUGGGCCCAAGGUGGCAGCGAGAGAGGGAAAAGGGAGAAGUUGGACCCGGCUGGCUGACGCGCGGGGCCGAUCUGUCAGCCAGAGAAGAGAGGGGGAGGCGCGCGCUGCUGGGCCGAGUGGGAGGAAGUGGGCCGGGGCGCGGACUGCUGGGCCUUUCAGGCCGAAACAGAGAGAUGGGGAGGUUUUCUCUUUUUUUUUUCUUUUCCUUUACUCUAAAUCCAUUUUCAAAUCCAUUUUAAAAAUCACUUUGAAAUACUUUUAAACUUUAGUAAAACCACUCAGCACAAUAAAUCAAAAUGCAUAAGCAUGAGUGCACAAAAUGUUGCUACACUCUAUGAUUAAUUUUAAUUGAAUAUUAUUUUUCCUAUAUUUUGAUGAGCACAAAAUAUAAAAUUAAAUCAUUUUUCUCAUAUUUCAAAAGUUGUAAAUUUUUGGGUGUUACAUUAGGACGGAGGGAGUAGUAUAAAGAAUCGAGAGUAGGUACAAAGUAUUCUAGAGCACCCUCUCUCGUAACAAUCUUUUUUUGAGAGGAAAUAUUGAAACUAGCAUUAAGUAAGGAAAUUGAAUUACUCCCUCCAUCCUAACCAGCUAGUCGGGGAAGAUGGUCUUUGAUCAAGUUCCUUAUUUUAUCUGAAAAUUAUUAUAGAACUCCUUCUAUUCAAAAACAAAGGGAGUAGUAUACUGUGCUUUGCCCUGCUGGCGUGGAUUAGUUAAAGAUUGUUGAUUGGUACUGGACACUUGUGGACAGGGUAAUAAUAUUCAUAUUUACAAAAUGAUUAUUAUUUGGAGUAGUCAGGAUGUAUAUAUCUCUCGUACAAUAGAUCUAUAACUACGACUACACGAGAAGCAAUGGAAAGCAAAGCAAAGGAAGUGUGUCAUCAUGCAUGAUGAGAAACUGAACUACCUUAUCAGUGAAAACUAGUAACGGAUCUUUCUUUAAAAAAAAAACGAACUGUGGUUGCCAAACGGCCGAAUAGCCACGUGUACGUACGUCCGCCAGCGAGGCUAUUAUAAUACGGCCAGAGUAGUGAUGAUGGACGAUCUCUCCCUAGCUAUCGAUGCAACCAGGCCAACAAAAGCGCUUAAUUGAGAAUUAAUCAAUUAUUAAUUACAAUUGCAAGUAGCUUAGCUAGUAUAUAUAUAUGGCCGCCAACCACACAACCGGCAUGCAGCAGCUGUAAUGUAACCACUGUUUGGUGCACCGGCUCCUCCUCCUCUUGAGUCCUGCAUCUGCAUCUGCAUGCAUGCGCUAGCUGCCGCACCACGCGUAAUGUAUCAUCGUAUCCCCCGGCCCGUGACAAUUUUUUUUUCCUUCAUGCAUGGGCAUUGGCGGUUAACUAAGCUAGAGGUAUGGUCUUGUUUAGUUGUAAAUUUUUUAACAAAAUUGACACUACAGUAUUUCCGUUUAUAUUUGACAGAAGAUUCGUCUAACAAAUUAUACUAUACAAUUAGUUAUUUUUAAUGCUCGUAAGAUUUGAUGUGACGAGAAAUCUUAAAUAUUUUAUAAAAUUUUUCAGAAAGUAAACAAUGACUUAUUUAUCGGGAUCCAUGGACUAGCUGUCUGUUUGUCGCAUGGACGCUCGCUGUCUGGAUUAUAUUUGGUUAUUAAUCGAGAAAUUUGAAUUAGCAGUGGGGUUGGGGAGUUGGACUGUAUGUAUUAAUCGGGUUGUUACGUUUGGCUGUGGUUGCUGGUGAUCCAAUGAAAGCCUGUUUGCUUAAGUUUAUUUGCUCAAUCUAUCAGUUAUUUAACAAUACAUUUUUCUUCUUAUGAUAAAUCAACUACUAAUACUUUUAGCUAUAACUACAAGUAAACAUAAACAUACUCACAAACCGCCGGCUGCCGCGCCGGUGCGCUCUCCGCUAUCGCCGGAGGUGAUGACGCCGGCGAUACGCCCGCGGGGUCGUCCAUCGCUUGUCACGGGGCACCCAGUGAAUAAUAAUUUAUGUAAUAGAAUGUAUAUAAUAAUAUAAAUUAAAACGUGCGUGCUACUGUUCCAACUGCCGCUUUCUGCUGGCCUCUUCCUUGCUUCAAGCCACUCCUAGCUAUAGCUCUCGCUCCCUGCGAUUCCUUUUUCGUCCGUGUCUAAUCGCAGAGAAUUAUUAAGCCUCAGCAACCAAACAACAAAUUAAGGGCCGGGGUUAUAGUAGUACUAAAUAAGAUUGUGAUCCAACUGCACCACAGAGAGAGGAUUAAUUCUAGUAUUCCUCUUCGUAUUGGAGGGUACUCCUCCUACAACAGAGCCGGCGGGGGAGCAUUGGUUGUCAACUUGUUUUGAGGGAUAUUUGGUUUGGGUGUGGAGCUAAAUGUUAUCAGCACGAACUAAACGGGGCCUUAGUUUAAUCCCUGAUGAACGGUGGCAGAGGCUGCAGAAAAGUUAAGAUCCAAAUUUUUUUUUUGGAUUUUGACAUUGUAGCACUUUCAUUUUUAUUUGAUAAACAUUGUGCAAUCAUUGAGUAAUUAGGCUUAUAAGAUUCGUCUUGUGGUUUAUAGACAAACUGUGCAAUUAGUUUUUAUUUUUAUCUAUAUUUAAUACUUUAUGCAUGUGCCGCCAGAUUCGAUAUGACGGUGAAUUUUGAAAAAGUUUUUUUUUUUUUGUUUUUGAGUGCCUUUUGUUUGCACCAAAAGCAGAGCCGAGUGAGUAUUACAAGGCAGGCAGGCAGGCAGGCAUGCGCGAAUCAUGAGGGCUGAUUAAUGGGUAUGUGUAGGCGCGGCAACGGUAGGAAAUUUUGAGCAGUGAGAUUAUAUAUGAUAGCAGAUUACCGGGCCGGGCGGCCAUGGGACUACUAAUCUACACGAAAAGCUCAAGCUUUCGCCGCUUUCGAGCAACGAAAGCCAAGCCAGGAGUACGUGUAGAUGAUGACGUGGCUGAUGGUAGAGCCAUAAAAAAUUUAUAUGCCGUUGCGCACAAAAGCUGCAAGGCCGGGCAACUUUGCUUCCCGCUUUCCCCGUACACCCCAUCUUUAUUAUUAUCACUACAGUGUUAAUUAUUAUCAGCCGUUGAGCACGCCACGGCCCAACCUCGCUCCGUUCACCGGCCAACUCGACUCAUUCAGUACUGCAGACAUGUUUGAAAAUUGAAAUAAGUACAUGAAUUUCACAGAAACCGUCCAAAUAUUCAACAUGGUUGAUGGACUCAAAAUAUCAAGCAUGCAUGCAUGCCGAUUUGGUUGGGGGACAAAAGUUGAUAUUGUUUGUUUUGACGCAACUAUUGCAUCGUCUUCUCAUUGCCGUACAAAUUAAUGAUUCUACUGCCAUUUCACAUUCACUCAUGGGAAGCAUAUAUAGGUACAGUGCCAAGGUGGCUUUGGUUUUAUGAGGUAGUAGUAUUAAACUUUAUGCCAGGAUGCUUGCAACCUUAGUUCAGCUGGAUGAUUUGGUGAUCUGGUCUUACAAAAAAUAGCAUUGCUCCAAAACAUUGUGAAUGAAUUACCUCCAUAGUAAAACUAGAGUACUUUAAAAAAACUAAAAAAAAAUCAUAUGUUAAGGGAUUAUUGACCAACUCUCCGUGCAACACUAACAUCGGGUUUAUCUACGUAACAUAACAAUGUCUUGUUCUAGAAGUUAACAAUAUAAAACCACCCGGAGGUAGAAUCUAAGUUGCAAGGUUCAGUUAAUUAGUUACGUACUCCCAUGCACACUAUGAUUUCCUUGAGGGUAUCUACCUUGUUCCUCAUAAACAUCACUUCUUUUUAUUAUUUCAUACGAAAAGCAUAAAUGUUCAAGAGUCAAAAAAUCAUGUAGAGUGUUUUUUAUUACAUUAAUUUUUAAAUAUAGUAACACUUUACUUGGAAUCAACGACAAGAAAGAUAAAAAAAAUUAGUAUUUAGUGUAAUCCUAGCCCCAUGAUGAGGGAUAUGUAAUCGAGGCAAGAUAAUUUACUAAUGACAUAUCAAGUUGCGUCAUCUAAACUUAAUAUAAAAGUUCUAAGAUGUCACUCUAUGGCGCUAUGCCACAUUGGAUACAUUUGAUUAUGAGCUUAAGGACACUAAAAUAUAAGAUAGGUAGUAGUUUAUUUCUUUCUUAAAAUUCCAAACAGUGAGAAAUAUGUCUUUUUCUCAUCUGUCUCAAACAAAUUCCACUAACUACAACCACCAAAUUCUAUAGUCAGACUGACAUCUCAUUGAACAUAACUUUUAUUUGCAACUAAUAUUUUUUAGGGUAUGAACAAUAAACUAAAUAAUCAUUACAAUUUGGACAAUGAUGAGUCCAACACAAGAAUAUAGUACAAUUCCAACAUACAAGAACAAUUGCAAUCAUCAUCAUUCACACGCAUGUACACAAACCUUUGGGUACAGUUGGCGAUGCCACCUAGCAAAAACCGCCACAUAAACAAAACUGAGUAGCUCGCACCUACAUAACGUGCUCCCCUUCCGCUUCCUCCGACCGAUACGCCAACCCGAUGCCGACGACGACGAGCUCGUCGACGGCGGCGGCAGCGCAGCAGCGCCGCCGGAGUCGCCGCAAGGCGCCCCCGCCACGCCAGCCCUGGUGCUGCUCCUUCGGCCUCGACCCCUCCACGGCCGCCGCCACCGCGGCAGGCGGCGGCCGGAGCCUCCUCCCCGCGCCGCCGCGAGCCAAGCCGCCGCCGCAACAGCUCGCGCCGCCGCUCUCCCGCCGCAUCCGCUCCCCGGGACGCGUAUCCCCCAUCGACGACCUGACCUUGCCUGGCUCCGCGGGUUCGUCUGUUUCCGCGCGGCUGUCGUCCGUCACCGAAUGCCCGCCUCUGCCUCCACCGCCGCCGCCGGUGGCGGCGGCCGCUGUGGAGAAUCCGAGGGAAAUUCUGAAGCUAAGGUUGGUCGAUAAAGGCGUGAUCUUGGAGGUGGAUGAGUUGGGGAGGGUGCGCAGGGAGAGCAAGGUGGUGGGGAAGGUUCUUGGGGAACGAGGCGGCGAGGUGACGGUGGAAGGAAUGGUGGAGGUGGAGGCCUUCAGGGAGGCGGUGGACAUGAUGCUGGAAGACGAAGACGAGGCUGCUGCGAUGAGGCGGCUCGGGCGUGGUGGUGUCGCGCGAGCCAUCGACGUGCUCGAGGUGAGCUCUUUAUUGUCACACUGCUACUGUUGGUUGAUUUGUGCGCAAAUUUCAAUCUUUAUUUAUAUUUACGGUUGUCGCUUAUAGUUAUUAUAUGUUGUAUUCAUGGGUUGCACAUCUUGCCAUCUUGGGGAAGAUUGCAACUUUUAUUGGUGGUGUUCUUCUAGUGUAGUGGAGACUGGAGAGUGCUAAUUUUAGAAUCUGGUAAAUAUUAAUGUUGAGAGGUUUGGUUAUUGCCUUGUUGGUGGUCAAAUUGGCAUAGUAGAGAAAUACCAGUUUUUGGUAUCCUUGAAUUUGGAGGGGAUACCAUUUCUGGUGUCUGCAAAUUUGGUUAUGGGACCAUGUUGUUGGGUCAUCAUUACAUCAUAUUUUGCUGAGUGUCUAAAGCAUGGAUGCUGAAAUUUUGAAAUUUUAAAUUGUUUUGGCUCUGUUAUUUUGCCUGACUUUUCUCAUUGGGAACAUCUUCAACUUACAAACAGUAAAGCGUCUAUAUUUUAAUUAUUUUGAAUUAUUAUAACUCUUUUUUUUUCUUGCUGCAAAAAAUUCAGUCUGUUUUCAUGCCAUUGUUUUUGUAAUAUUUUACCUUUCUUUCAUCUUAUCAGUUUUAGAAUUUUGAAGUUCAAAACUUCUAGCUUUAUCUUGUACUUGCCUUUACACCUAUAGAUGUAUACUGAAUCUUUGAAUUUUGUUAUAUGUGAUUAGUGCUGUUGAUUGUGCACUUUUUAGUGUUUGCUGCUUGGUAUAUUGAAGCGAAUCUCUUUCAUUGUAGAUGCAGAACUAAUAUCAUUAAUGUGGUGACAAAGGGAUCUUGCUAAACUUUUUAAUAUUUGGAUGUCUCAUGUACUAGAACAUGGUACUCUUUGAGUUAUUGAGAAUAAAUGCAGACCAGUCUAGAGAAAUGCUCCUCUUAUUUGACAAAUUAAAGCUCUUAAUUAUGUUUCUUAGGCUCUUAUCUAGAAGUAGUAGUUAAUUUGGUUGUUGCCUGAAAUGGUACAGAAGGUUGACCGUCAGUUAAUUGAGGCUGUGCAGUAAGAUAAGUAUUUUGCUCUUCACUCUGGAAAGUAACUUUGAGGGAACUGUAAACCGAAGCAAGUUUGAGGGAGUUACAUCCUUGCUUCCACUUGCACCGGUGUCGAGUUUAAUUUUGUACACUUAGGCAAUUAUAUGCAUUAAGCAAACUCCUAACUAUUGUGUAGAUUUAAGUUUGUGUAGCCUGCUGAAUUGACUAAGUUUCCACCAUCUUCCAUUCAUGUCUUAAUUUUAAUACAGAGCUCACUGAUGUUUAGUGAAUUGCUAAGAUUGCAGUUGAAAUGACUGCUUCAUUCUAAGACAGCCAUCUGAUUUGAUAAUCGAUACCUUUUAUGAUCUGUCCCUGAGAACACAAGAACUAAUAUCAAUUUUGUUGUUAGAAAUUGACUUCUUCACAAAGGCCUUGUUUAGUUCACCCUGAAAACCAAAAAGUUUUCAAGAUUCCCCAUCACAUCGAAUCUUGUGGUACAUGCAUGAAACAUUAAAUAUAGACGAAAACAAAAACUAAUUACACAGUUUAGCUGUAAAUUACGAGACGAAUCUUUUGAUCCUAGUUAGUCUAUAAUUGAAUAAUAUUUAUCACAAACAAACGAAAGUGCUACAGUACCGAAAAAUUUUCAUUUUCGGAACUAAACAAGGCCAAACUAAGAAAUCCCAUCAGUGUGACACUGAUUUGUACACCUUCUCUAGACACAUGCCUACCUAAUUAUGCUUUUGCCUUUUUAGGAAUAUGACUGUAGAACUAUUUCCUUGAGUUUGGUAGUUUCACAAAUCAAAGACAAGAUAAUAGCAACUUUAGCAAGUCCUAUUUUGCAAUCUGGUACAGUUUGCUUUUUUUUUUUUCUCAGACAUGCAAGAGGGUUGUGUAUCAUUUCAUUAAGAGAGAAGACAGUUCACUAUUUUUUUCUCAAACACGCAAGAGGGUUGUGUAUCAUUUCAUUAAGAGAGAAGACAAUUCGCUAUUUCAAGCUACUAUUCUUAAGUGUAAAAUCCGGUGCUUCCAAGUAACAAAAGGAACCUGUCUGCCUCAUCUUGUAGGUGUAGGGCGUGUUUGGUUCCCACCCUAGAAACACGCCUGGUCCAGACAUCAACUCCAGCCAUUCGAUUUUGAAUGCCUAGGGUUGGAUGUGGCUGCCUGGUGGAGGUCCCUAGGCGAGGGCUCGAACCAAACAUGCCCGUAAUCUUCACUAAUGUAUGAUGGCAACAGUAUACUAAGAAGUAUUGCUGUGAAAAGCUACCUAUCAUGCUGUUGGCUUGCAACAGCAAUCAUGCUGCCCAUAAAUCGACUUUAACAUUUCCAUAUGAUCUUUGAGGGGGAUAAUGACCCACUUUAUUAUAUUGGAAAUCAGGAAAUGUAGACUACUGAAUGCAGAUUCUUUGAAGUGUACUUCUAUACAAGAGAAGUUUGUGUCAUUAUCACAUUCAUUUUACCCAUUUUAUAUGUCUGUUAAUUUGUCUAAAAAUGUGUAUUAGUUUAUGCUUACAUUAUUCUCAACACAUUUCACUUAAUUCCUAAACAAAUUUCUCAGGUAUCCUUGUCACUUAUGUUUGACAGAGGAGUUAACAAUUGUCUAAGGUAUCUGGAUGCUGUUCCGUGGAAUGAAUCUGAAGAGGAGGCAAUUAAGAAACUGGUGUACCAGCAUUCUUCGUACAAGGCAGCUUUCAGAGAUUUGCUGGCAAGGUUACAGCCAGAAAGCCCUGCCUCGUCUGCAGAACUGGUAGUUGAACUAGCCGAUUCCAUCACAAAGGGGACCAACAACAAUGCUCGGAAAGAGCUGCGGAAUUUAGUCAAUGGGAUCUUAUCAAAAUCAUCCGUCUACAUAAAGGGUGAUAAAGAGCUGGACAGCAGGAGCAUUUACUGUAUCUGCCAUUCUUGCCUGAACUCCCUGGUGGUAUUAUUCGAAGAAUCUUCGGAGUUGGCCCAUGCUGAUCAAACAUCACUAUCGUCAAUUGGAAGAAAAGGACCACUUGAGAGGAUCUACAAGCUAGUCGAGGACAUCAACUGGUUGCUGCAGAUUCUAAUAGACAGGCAAAUGGGAGAGGAAUUCAUCGACCUAUGGGCAGACCAAAAGACCCUCAGCAGCAUGCACGAACAACGGGUGUCCCCGAUGGUACGCCACGAGCUCAGCCGGAUCUCAGCCACGGUGUUCAUCGCCAUGGGGAGCGGCAAGCUCCACUGUACCGGAGACAGGAGGUUCGCCGUCUUCCAGGCCUGGUUCAGGCCAAUGCUGGUGGAUUUCAGUUGGCUCCGGAGAUACCCGAAGGGCCUCAACAUGACGGCCCUGGAGGAAGGGAUCGGUCAGGCGCUGCUGACGCUCACGCUGAAGCAGCAGCAGGCGCUGUUCUUGCAGUGGUUUGAGGCUUUCAGUGGUCAAGGCCGGGAAUGCCCUGACCUUAUCAGAGCCUUCCAGGUCUGGUGGCGCCGGUCGUUCGUGAGAUCCUUAGGUAGUAAUGGGUGAGUGGCCUUUCAUUAAGAAAAAAUAGUUUAGUAGGGUUCGAUUCUUUGCAACUCGUCAACUGAAUGUGCGCAUGGGUAUGUGCUUGUUUUUGUUUAUGCUGUGUGAUGGUAUUAUGAUAUAGCUGGUGUGCCAGAUUCCCCUGACGAAGGCAGAAGGCUGGCUGAUCUGUAUGGUUUGCAAAUUGUUUAGGUCUCUAGAGAUGUAAGAAAACAUUCUUCAGUUCAGUUUCUCCGUGUGGAGCUGAAGGUAUAUACAGAUAUCUGCUGUGGCAGUUGAGAAGCUGCACUGAUGAAUGGUGUUUAAUAAAAAUCAAUGUGACGAGAAGCAGUGGUCCAAUGCAAUGGUGAAGAUUGGUGGGAGCUCACUGGAGGAGAUGACGGGUGGUGCCCUGAGAGUUCUACAUGCAGGAGCCAGGAGAACCAGCAGAGCUUUUCUGUCUUGGGGCCCAACUAGGCUUCUGAAAAGUAUCAGCUGUAUCCAUUUGCAUCAUGUCUCGGGGGUGUAUAGUUCGUUCAAAUUUGUUUUGGUUUUGGUUCAUCAUUUUGCAAAAUGAAACUAAAUACAAUGUAAUUUUUUUGUCAAAAAGUGGUUAUUUUUCAUUUUAGAUUUUAGCCUCAAGAGACUAACCCCCCCACCCCCCACCACCACCACCAAAAAAAAAAAGCCUCGAGAUGCCUUCAUGAAGGCAACAAAUCUGCAUUUUUGAUAAGCAUAACCUUGAAAAUUUUAGCAUUUUAUAUUCCAUUAUUCUAAAGUAGUUGUCAUUUUGCAUUUUUUUUAACUAAACACACCUAUAGUAGUCUACUGUUGCCUGUUUUUUCGCUGGAUUGGAAUCGGAAUCUCUUACGACGACUAGUAGCACUGAAACCGAAUUGCUCUUUGCCGAGGCGGCUAGGUUAUAUUUAUAUAUGCAGUUAGGCUUUGUUUAGUUUAUCUCGAAAUCCAAAAAGUUUUCAAGAUUUCCUGUCACAUCGAAUCUUGCGGCACAUGCAUGAAGCACUAAAUAUAGACGAAAACAAAAACUAAUCACACAGUUUGCCUGUAAAUCACGAGAUGAAUCUUUUGAUCCUAGUUAGUCUAUGAUUAGAAAAUAUUUACCACAAACAAACGAAAAUGCUACAGUAGCGAAAUCCAAAAAAAUUUCACAUCUAAACGAGGCCUAUGCACCUCACGUGCUCCACUAAAAAUUGAGAGUGUAUCCAUGGGUUGCAAGAACGGCAAUGCACAUGCGUUCUGUAGGCCAGCCUGCCUGCCAGUGCAGUAUUUUUUUUUUCGUUCUUGAAGAAAGGCAUAAUUGUUUCUAGCCUGGUUUCUCAGGGCCUUAUUAGUUCCUACCUUGAUGGAAUUGGCAAGCAUUCAUUUGAGCUUAUCAGUCUAAUUUAGGCCUUGUUUAGUUCACCUAAAAACUAAAAACUUUUCAAGAUUUCCCGUCAAAUCGAAUCUUACAGUAUAUGCAUAGAGCAUUAAAUAUAGAUAAAAACAAAAACUAAUUACACAGUUUUCCAUGAUUAGAUAAUGUUUGUCAAAUAAAAAUAUAAGUGCUACAGUAGCCUAAUCCAAAAAUGUUUUUGAACUAAACAAGGCCUUAGCUAUUAUUCAGUGGUCUUUUUUUCAUAAUAAAUCAACAAAUAGUGCGUGCUGCUAUUUUUUUUAGCCAAACGAACACGGCGUGUAUGGCGGCAGGUUGUUUUUGUUUUUCAUUUAGGAUUUGAGGAUUCUUUUCUUUGGGUGGGGAGGGGGGUGGCUGGCCAGGUGUGCAUGCCUCAGUAUGGUCAUGAGUUGCGAGUGGGCCAGGAACCUAUUUAUUAUGGCUAUAGUAUGAGUUGGAAUGUCAUCAUCAGUCAUCACUCAUCACCCAUGAAAAGCAUCCAACCACUGGGACUGGGCACGUGUCCACUGGCCACAACUGCCAUAUUGCUAUUGCCAACCCUGUGGCCACCGCUCUGCUUCUUGGCAAUAUAUUUGUAAUAAGCCAUAUUUUUUUAAAGUCAUACUAUUUAUCUCAUAAUAAAUCAACAAAUAGUACUUUUAAUCAUGGCUUUUUAGAUAAGCAAAUAAACUUAGCUUAAAAAAUGAAGUUAAAAAAAUAUUUAUAUAGAUAUUGUUGGUCAGUAAAGUUAAAAAGACGAACUUAUAAAACGCUUGCAUUUACAAUCGGAUGAAGUUGCAUGAUGUCUCUACAUUACUACAUUGGAUUCAUAAUUAAAAAAGGUAAUUAAAGUUUGAGGCGUUAACUAAUGUUUUCCUAAACGGUAAAUAAUUGGCCACUUGCCAUUUAGUUAUUAUUUGGACUAAACAGUCCACUAAACAGGCUAAACAUAUGACUAAACGGAAACAGUGUACCAAUGUGUAGCGUUUAGCGUUUAAAUGGUCUAAACGGCCGUCUAGGUGAACAGUGGCUUUGACAAUUGAGAAAAUAUUUAUCGCAAAGAAACUUAGGAUGCUUGUCUAUGCACAUAUAUAUACAUAGAUCCCCGCACAGAAUAUCUUGACAUAGAACCAACCACCGGCUCCGUGUUUGUUAUACUCAAAUCGUGUUUACAAUUUUCCGUCACAUCGAAUUUUACGACACAUAUAUGAAGUAUUAAAUAUAGAUAAAAAAAUAACUAAUCAUACAGUUCACCUGUAAUUUGCGAGAUGAAUUUUUUGAGCAUAUUUAAUCCAUGGUUGGACAACAAUUGUCAAAUACAAAUGAAAGUACUAAAGUAGCACUUUGCAAAAAUUUUCACCAACUAAACAAGGCCUUAGUUCCUAAAAAUUUGUCUUAUUUAUAAAACAAAAAUAAAACGAAAAUACUAUACUAACCAAAUCCAAAAAUUUUGGUGAACUAAAAAAAGGCCUAAACAUAUGGAAGUAGACACGGGAUGUAGUAACUGUAACUAAAGUUGUAUUCUGCAUUUGACAAAACCCAGCUAGUCAAUAGGACUUCAUCUGGGAUCGAUGUUGAUGACAUGACAUCAUACAUAUAAACUUGACUUGACAGUGGACUCGGCUCUUUUUCCCCCUAUACGGUUAUCGGCCAGGUAAUCUUGUCCUUUGGUCCUUCUGAUUACUCCCUCAUCUCAAAAUAAGUGCCACUAUAAUAUUUGUGCUGGUUAAUUUUUAUUAUAAAAAUAUAUUUAGUGCUCUAUCUAAUAAUACUAAUUAUAUAUUAUCUUCAUCCCAAAUUAUAAGUCAUUUCAAAUUUCAAGAAUCUUAAAAGUUAAAACAUCUCAAGUUUGACUAAAAUUAUAAAAAGAACUGUAAAAAUUUAUGACAUCAAAUAGAUAUACUAUGAAAGUAUAAUUAAUAAAGAACCUAAUGGUACUUAGUUGGUACCAUAAAUAUUAUUAUUUUAUCAUAUAAAUUUGAUCAAACUUAAGAUGCUUUGACUCUCUAAGAUUCUUACAAUGACUUAUAAUUUAAAAUAGAGGGAGUACUUUAAAUAUUAAUAUUUAGUCAAAAUUGAAAGGUUCUAACUCCUCAGAAAUGAGAACGACACUUAUUUUAAAACGAAUAGAGUAAGCCUCGCUGUCCUUGUGUAACGGGCUACUAUUUAUACUGGCAUAAAUAAAAAGAAAGAAAACCUGGUUGCGUUACCAUAUUUAUAUGAAAAAGUUGACAACAUUACUUAGCAUGGCGUCCAUACCAUUUCUUUUUUUAUUUUAUCUAUACCAUUUCUUUGUAGUUUAUUUAUAUAAUAAGCCUCUACUAGGGUCUAGAGGUAUCUAUUUUUUUUUGAUAGAACACCGGGGGUGAGCGCCGCACCUGAAUAAUUCCAUUGAUCCCGGUAAACCGGUGAUGGAGGGUGCUAAGCACCAAAACGACACAUGGCCAAGUUUUUACAAUCACCCCAUGAUUGGGCACGAGGAGGGUUAAGGUGGGGGAGAGAAGAGGUUACACCAUUGAUGGAGGAUCCAUCUAUCAUCUACUUUUAGUCUAUGCACCCAGAGCUUACAAGCCUCUUGACAGGCGGAGAGGAGGCGUCGACGGCAGGGACGUAGCCCUCUAAAGACCACGUCAUGCCAGUGCAACCACAGCUGCCAGCAGCAGAGAAGAAGUAUUGUGGAGCGAAGCUUCGAGGGCGCUGUCGUCGGGAGCUCCAACUCAAGCAGACAAUCCACCGUGGGGGAGUUCGGGAGCCGGAAUCCCAAGGAUUCCCAGAACUCAUAGGCAAAGGGGCACCCGAGGAGCAAAUGGUCGCCUGUCUCCGAAGCAACAUGACAGAGCUCACAGGUGUCACUAUUGAUGAUGUGCUUCUUCAGAAGAUUAGCCCGGCAUUAAAGCCUACUGAGCAUGAGCAGCCACCCAAAGAACUUCACCCGCGGGGGCGCGUAGUUUCGCCAGACAAAAUUGUAGAAGGGGCAGGUGGAACCGGAGGAGGUGGUGGCUCUGUAAACCAUAGCUGUGUGAAGUUUAUUGUCAUCUGCGAACUUACAGACUCUUCGAUCUGGCUCUUCACUCAAGACGGUGGCGUCGAGGAGGGGAGCAAGCACCCAUCUCUCUUCCGCUGCUGCCGCUGAUAGUCUGGGUUGUAGGGAGGAGUCCAGCCCCGAAGACAGCACUGCCGCAACAGAGAUAUGUGGCUCAGUCGCAUGACUGAAGAGGGCUGGGUAGCAUUGGGCGAGGGGAGCGUCAUCAGCCCAGUUGUCGAGCCAGAAAGCCACCGAUGAACCAUCUCCUACCAAACAGGAGUAUAUCCUAAACAUUACUAGCUAUUUAUUUCACGUGCAAGCUCUAUACAUAGGAUGGAGAAGUUGCAUGCUGUCUCUACAUUGCCACGAUUUCUAAUAAAAAAUAGUAAGAGGCUUGAACAAUUGAAAAUGUCGUAUUAAUCACAAAGAAUGUAUGUAGGAGUAGUGUCUUCCCACACACACACACCACCACACAUGUAUACAUAGAUCCCCCCACGGAAUAUCUCAAUGUAGAACCAACCCCCUUGGCUCGUGUUUGUUAUAUAUGGAAGUAGACAUGAGAUGUUGCUUGGAACUAAAGUUGUAUUAGGCCUUGUUUAGUUCCCUAAACAUUUUGUAAAAUUUUUCAGAUUCUCCGUCACAUCAAAUCUUUAGACGUAUGCAUGGGGUAUUAAAUACAGAUGAAAAUAAAAACUAAUUGCACAGUUUGGUCAGAAUUGACGAGAUAAAUCUUUUAAGCCUAGUUAGUCUAUAAUUGGACAAUAUUUGUCAAAUACAAACGAAAGUGCUACUAUUCCUAUUUUGCAAAAAAAAUUUAGAGUAAACAAGGCCUUGACAAAAAACCAGCGAGUCAAAGACAAGGACUUUAUCUGAGAGCUUGUUGGCUAUGAGAGGAUAUAUAAACUUGACUUGACAGUGGGCCAACUGUAACGGGUUGUUGUUUCUGCGCAAGACCGGGCUUUUCUUUUCUACAGUUAUUAUCGGCCAGGUAAAUCUUGUCCUUCAGUCCUUGUACUUAUACUUCCCUUCCAGUAAGUAUUAACGCUAGCCUUCGUUGUCCUUGUGUAAUGGGCUGCUUCUUCCCCGUGUUGUACUGGCAUGAAAAAGAAUGAAAAAAAUGGUUGUGUUACCAUAUUUAUACGAAAAGGUUGACAACGUAACUUAGCAUCGUGGCCAUACCAUUUCUUUUUAUAUUUUAUCAAUACCAUUUCUUUUUAUUUUAUCUCUAAGAGCAUCAGCAGUGUAUACAAUCAGCCCUGAUUCUAUAUGGUGAUGUUACUUCGCCUGUUCAGUAGAUGAAAAUAUGCCACAACGUAUAGAACCAUGCCUAACUCUAUACAUGGGCCACAUCCUCAAAAAUACAUAGUUCUGCCCAAUUGCUUUUUCCUUCUCCCACCCAACAUCCCGCAAAUCAACCACACAUCGCCCGAACUUCCUUUCGUCUCUUUCUUCUUCGCACCGACUGUGGCACCUUCUCUUUCCUCACAUGGUUAGGCUUCGGCGCCUCCCUGGUGCCUUCUCCUCCCUCCUCCACCAACUUUCUCUUCGUCAGAUCUGAUGCGGCUCGGCACCCACCGUUGUCGCCUUAUUGUCCAUCACUUGGAGCUCGCCACUGCCACCAAGGGGUCCUUCGUCUUUGGCACCACAGGCUCCUUUGCCCAGAUCUAGGGAUCGACGACGCAAGGAUGGCUUCUUCUCUAUCGACGGGAGUGUCAACGACAGGAAAGAGAGAUAUAAAGAGAGAGCGAUUUCUUUUUUCGCUCGGGGCCAAUUCGAUAGUAAGGAGCAGCUCCUUCACAAAGUUGGCCUCGCAGUGUAUGGGAGCGUGUUUGAACUUAGCAUUUAGUGUAUAGGAGCGGCUGCGAACCACACACUGCGGACAUUAUGAGCCUCUACUAGGGUAUAUGAAAAGCUGACAAUUCCACUCUCGAAGCAGUAUCAUGGCCAAACUUUUUUUUACACAAAACACUUGCAAUUUGCAUCGGCAGUUAAUUUAAUUAAUCAAUCAUGAAAGCAUUUGAUUUACUCAACCCUUUGGAUUAAGUUUGGUUUGAACGGGAAGGUCUAUGGAGUUUAUGUGCGUGCGUGUGCGUGUGUCAAAGUGUCAACGACCACCAAGUGUCUGUCAACAAGUGCCGCCUUCCUGCACACCGGGUUCAGAGAGAGACUGGUACAGGGAAAACACAGUAAGCUCGUAGUACAUCAGGUGCUACACGUGCGGAUAUCUGGACAGUGCAGCCCUCCUGCAUGCUGCUGCGGCCUCAUCGUGGUCCACGUGACAUCUCAUCUCAAAUCUCAGAGAUGGUGAUGCACGUCGUGCAAGUUAAGGCCUUGUUUAGUUCCGAAAAGAUUUCGGAUUUCGGUACUGUAGCAAUUUCGUUUGUUUGUGACAAAUAUUAUCCAAUUAUGGACUAAUUAGGAUCAAAAGAUUCGUCUCGCGAUUUCCAGCUAAACUAUAUAAUUAGUUAUUGAUUUCGUCUAUAUUUAAUGCUUCAUGUAUGUGCCGCAAGAUUCGAUGUGACGGGAAAUCUUGAAAACUUUUUGCUUUUUGGGUGAACUAAACAAGGCCUGAUAAUCGGCCCUGAACUCUCCAAUAAGAAAAAGGAAAUAAACUUUAAUCGGGGUCUCUUUCGAACAGUAUAAAUAAAUAGAUAAAGUAACCACGACGAGCGCGCGAGGCGCAUGCAUAUGGCUGCUUCACCCAAGAGAUAUUUCCACACUUUUCAAAAAAAAAAAACAUUCUUUCGGUGCGUUCUUUCUUUCCCCUUGAAAUCGUAGCAGUAUAGCAUGAACAGUUUGCACGUGUAUCCAGCACUAGAACGUUGUUUGCACCUCCUCUAAGUGAAAAAGAUGUUCUCUGCAACUCUAAUCCUAACCACGUCAUCAGAUAGCUCAGCUACGGCUUUAGCACUACUACAGAAUGAGACAUUGGUCGAUGUCCAAAAUGGCCAAAAACCUCGGCCUUUUUGCGGCCCGCGGUUAAAGGCCCCUUUAACACCAGUUCGUAACACGAACCGAUGCUAAAGGAUCCUGCCCAAUGGCUACUGACAGGUGCUGUCGGGGCAGGGACCCUUUAGCACCGGUUCGUGUUACAAACCGGUGCUAAAGGGUCCCCUUUAGCACCGGCCAGCGCCACGGGCCGAGGCAAAGCCUUUAGCACCGGUUUUUGCCCUGAACCGGUGCUAAAGGUCCGGUUUAUAGGCCGGAUCCCUCCUCCUCUCUGCCCAUUUGAAACCGAGAGCACCAUUCACCAUUGUUGUUCUUGGAGCUUCUUCUUCCUCAUUUGUUCUUCAUCUCCGACGCCCAUCAUUGAUCUUCUUCGACUCCGUCAUCGUUUCUUCAUGUUUGGAGGUGACUAACUUUUGUCUUUCUUGUCUUUUUCAUGUUGUUUUUGACUUGUGAUGUUCCCAUUAUUUUUAGCUCAAAUCCACUUUGUUAUUUUGAAUCAUUCACAUGAAUUAGUAUCCAUAUAUAUAUAUAUAUCAUAUUUCAUGGUUGACCUAGUAUUAAUGUAGUUUGCAAGAAUGAAUUAUAGUAUCUUUUUAUGAUCUUAGAAAGUAGGAUAGUUCAAAUUAAUUGGUUUGUUAAUAUCACUUGAUUUAUUUUUAUUACUACAUAAUGUCCAUUGUAUAAUUUAGAAGAUUUGUUGAAGUAACUAGACAAAUAAAGGAUAUUAUUAGGUUCUUCUUUAAUCAUACAUGUUUACUAGUAAAUGUGGAAUUUAUAAUUGUUUAAAAAUUGAGUAUGGAUAGUAGAUGGCAACCGGGUCCUGGUCUUCAGCUCAUUGAAGGCUCGAAUCCUCAGCCUGGGCGCCGAACCUUGGACGCUUCUACACCGAAGGUCCUUCGGCUUGGCCACGCCGGAGGUUUCCUGACGCAGGCGCUCCGAAGGCUCGCCGGCCCCGCUGCGUCCUCCAGCAUUCCUUCGACCAUCCUUCGUCGCGGGGAGGAUUCGAAGGUUCAUUCUUUCUCCGCUUGCGACCUCCGCCUUCGGCCAUCCUUCGUCGCGGGAGGAUUCGAAGGUUCAUUCCUUCUCCGCUCACGACCUCCGCCUUUAUCUUGGUUCCUGCAUUUGCUCAGUACCACAAGAGAUGCAUUAACAUUAGGCUUGCCUCGAACCUCCGCACUCUUUCGUACGAAGGUUCUUCGGGCGGAGGAGAUCCUUCGGAGUGACUAGGGGGAAGGAAGCGUCCAGCCCCCAACAAGUUGCUAUCACGCCGCGAAGGAGAAGCCGAAACAAUUUACUCCUGAGGAGCAAACGUUUCUAGCAGCCGAUAACCUCUUUAGAGGUGCCGUGAUUAGUGCGCUCGAUAAAAAGUAUGUUGACAACUAUAUCAUUUGCACCACUGCUAAAGAAUUACGGGAUGCGCUUGAGGCCAAGUUCAGGGUUUCUGAUGCUGGUAGCGAGCUGUACCUCAUGGAGCAACUGUUUGAUUACAAAAUGGUGGAUAACCGUUCCGUGAUUCAAGAAGCAUAUGAGAUAUAGGCACUAGCUAAGGAACUAGAACAAUUUCCUUGUGUGUUGCCUGAAAAGUUUGUGGCCGGCGGUAUAAUCGCUAAGCUGCCACCUUCUUGGAAGGAUUUUGCUACUUCUCUAAAACAUCAGAGGAAAGAGUUUGGUCUUGCCGAACUCAUGGGAACUCUUGAUGUUGAGGAGAAGGCGAGAGCAAAAGAUACACAUGAGAAAGGUGUUGAGUCUUCUAGUGCCAAUGUGGUGCAGAAGAAAAAGCAAUAGACAUUCUGUAAUAAGAAAAAGAACAAGCAAAAGAACAAGCAAGGGACAAAUCUGAAGCCAAAGCAAACUACAACUUUUAAGAAGAAAAAGGCAGAUGGAGGCUGCUUUAUUUGCGGUAGCGAUGACCACUGGGCAAGUGCUUGUCCAGACCGCAAAUUCAAACGAGAAGAGAAAAAGUCAGUGAACAUGGUCAUUAGAGAGGCUGAAGGAGGAACAUCUGGGUAUGGUAAUUAUUUACCCACUGUUCUUUCAGUCUAUCACUCACCUGAGUGGUGGAUGGACACUGGGCUAAUGUUCAUGUAUGUGCUGACAUCUCUUUGUUUUCUUCUUAUCAGGCCGGCGACACUAGAGCCUUACUGAUGGGAAACGGCUCUCAUGCACGUGUUCUUGGUGUUGGUAUGGUCAUUCUGAAGUUCACUUCGGGAAAGACGGUGCUGAUGAAGAACGUGCAGCAUGUCCCCUCCAUCAAAAAGAAUCUAGUUAGCGGCUCACAGCUUUGCAGAGAUGGCUACAAAAUAGUCUUUGAGGCCAAUAAAGUUAUACUUUCAAAGUUUGAAACUUUUAUUGGUAAAGGUUUUGAUUGCGGAGGCUUGUUCCACUUAUCUAUGCAUGAUGUGUGUUGAUAUUUGGUAACGCAAUCAGGAAUUAAUCCGCAGGCGCACGAAUAUCGGUGAGCACUUCACCCGGGAUGUUAUCCAGAGUAUCAUAUUUAUAUUCUUACCACUAGGAGAAAGCGUGCAUCUGACUAACUCGGUCUAUUACUACUAACCUUUAGGCUACAAACUAUGUGAUUCGAUGUGAGUGAUGUAUAGAGAAGACUACAACCGCACUCUCGCUCUAACCUUGGUAAGGAUGAUCUACUAUUCUGUUGGGGAGGCUCACAAAAUCUAGACACCACAUAGGAUGUUCGACCCGCACCUAUAAACCCUAUCGAGCCUACUAACGGGAUAUGGGCUACAAAGGUAACUCGGAAAUGUCAUGUUCCUCGUUACUACCACGGUCCAGCUAGUCAGGGGAUAUCUAUGAGUAUCCUAGCCCAAACACCACGUUUACGCUAGAGAUGAUUACUCUAAACUCUACGCGAAGAUAUCAAAGUAAACUCAUAGACCAAAGAACAAUAAAACAAAGAAUUUAGAAGUCGAAAUACUGAAGAAUCCUAGGAGCAAGCCUCGGGUUAGAAGACUUGAUCCCGUAGGUACAACCUCGGAGUAGACACCGACAGGCCGGGCUUCCUCCGAUCUACACCUCCACUCUAUCUCUCUCAAUCUAGUAGAACUAGUCUACUCUCACAUUGGAUGCUACGCCCUAUGAGGUGGGAACCCUAAGGAAUCUCUCUCUCUGAAUCCUCUCUAGAAAAAUAUGCUAAUGAAUAAUUGGAUUCUCUCCCCCAGUGGCCAGGGGGCCUUGCUUAUAUAGCCUUUUCAAAUGAAUCUGGGCCGUCGGAUCAAACCGACAUUGAUUGAACGGUUCUCCUUGAUCCUCAAAGGCAGUGGAGCAUAAUCCGCGUGAUUCACCGUGAUUGGCCACCAGAGGUGGGCGGGCGCCCAAGGGGGGAGGGCGGGCGCCCUGCCCCCGGGCCCGAUCGGCCUCCCGUUCGUUCCCGUGGCUUCUGGACUCUUCUAGAUGUUGAAUAAUCACGGUGCAUGUUAAUAUCUCUAUGUAAACCCGACGUGUGGGCCUUUCUUCCAUAUUUCCUGAUAACCCCCUGCAGAAAUAGAUAAACAACAAAACUUAUGGAAUUCUGUCAGAUCAAACCCUAAUUCUAGGUGUUGUUUGUAUAUUAGUCCUUUCCCUUGUUUAUUUCAUAAUUAAAAUUGAUACUUAAGAACCGUCAACAAUGUGUGUAAUAAAAUCGUGAACCAUACUGUUAUUUUGAAUGAGUCGAAUAUUUGACAUUCGCGAUUUUGUCAUGUUAAUUAUGGUUGUUUAACGCGGCUAGCAAAUAUGAAUUUAAUCCCGAAAUUUAAUUUAGUCAAAGGUUCUAAGUGCCAUAUAUACGUGCAAUCCAAGCAACCUCGCAAGCCUCACAAGGCUGCAGAGGCGAGGAACUUGGCACCAUUAGAACUAAUCCAUUCCGAUCUAUGCGAGAUGAAUGGUGAGUUGACUAAAAGUGGUAGACGACACUUCAUUAUAUUUAUAGACGAUUGUACUAGAUUUUGUCAUGUGUACUUGCUUAAAACAAAAGAUGAAGCAUUACAAUAUUUUAAAGCCUAUAAAGCUGAAGUAGAAAAUCAACUUGAGAGGAAUAUUAAACGCUUAAGGUCUGAUCGUGGUGGAGAAUAUUUUUCAAGUGAUUUUUCUCAUUUCUGCGUAGAAUAUGGAAUUAUUCAUGAGAGGACACCACCAUACUCACCACAGUCCAAUGGGAUUGCCGAAAGAAAGAACCGUACUCUAACUGAGAUGGUUAACGCCAUGUUAGAGACUUCGGGACUAUCUAAGGAAUGGUGGGGUGAGGCGAUAUUGACAGCAUGUCAUGUCCUGAAUAGAGUUCCUACAAAGAAUAAAGAAAUCACAUCAUUUGAGGAAUGAGAAAAGAAAAGAAUAAAUGUCUCCUACUUGCGUACUUGGGGUUGUUUGGCUAAAGUGAAUGUGCCAAUAAACAAGAAACGCAAACUUGGAUCUAAGACAGUUGAUUGUAUUUUCCUUGGUUAUGCUACUCAUAGCGUAGGGUAUAGGUUUUUAAUUAUAAAUUCUGGAGUAUCAGAUAUGCAUGUUGGUACUAUAAUGGAAUCCAGAGAUACAACAUUCUUUGAAAGUGAGUUCCCUAUGAAAAGUACACCUAAUAUUUAUAGUCAUGAGUCUAUAAAUUUCUAUGAGCAAUUUAUUCCGAUAGAAUAAUCUGAGGAACCCCAUGUUCACUAUCCUGAGGAGGAUGAUAAUGUAGUCACUCGAACGAGCAAAAGACAAAGAAAAGUGAAGUCUUUUGUAUAUGACUAUAUUGUGUACCUCGUGGAUGAUACCCCAACAACCAUUAAAGAGGCAUUUUCCUCUCGUGAUGCUGACUUGUGGAAGGAAGCAAUAAGGAGUGAGAUGGAUUCAAUAAUGUCUAAUGGAACUUGGGAAGUGGUUGAACGGCCUUAUGGGUGUAAACCUAUAGGGUGUAAAUGGGUGUUCAAGAAAAAGCUUAGGCCUGCUGGUACAAUUGAGAGGUACAAGGCUAGGCUUGUGGCUAAGGGUUAUACCCAAAGAGAAGGGAAUGAUUUCUUUGAUACUUAUUCACCAGUUGCCCGUUGGACAACAAUUCGAGUGUUACUAUCCUUGGCUGCCUCUUAUGGUCUUCUCAUUCAUCAGAUGGAUGUGAAGACAACUUUCCUAAAUGGAGAGUUAGAGGAAGAGAUCUAUAUGGAUCAGCCUGAUGGAUUUGUAAUAAGUGGUCAAAAGGGUAAGCUGUGUAAGCUAUUAAAAUCCCUAUAUGGCCUAAAACAAGCUCCAAAACAAUGGCAUGAGAAGUUUGACAGAACUUUAACUUCUACCGGCUUUGCUGUUAAUGAAGCUGACAAAUGUGUGUACUGUCAGUUUGGCGGGGGUGAAGGUGUGAUCCUUUGUCUGUACGUGGAUGACAUACUGAUCCUUGGGACAAGCCUUGAUGUGAUCAAGGAAGUUAAAGACCUUUUGUCUAAUAACUUUGAGAUGAAAGAUUUGGGAGAAGCUGAUGUUAUUCUAAACAUUAAGCUUUUAAGAGAAGGCAAUGGUGGGAUUACACUAGUGCAAUCCCACUAUGUGGAAAAGAUUUUAAAUCGCUUUGGGUACAGUGACUGUCAAUCUGCUCCUACGCCUUAUGAUCCUAGUGUGCUAUUGAGGAAAAAUCGAAGAAUAGCAAGGGAUCAACUAAGAUUCUCCUAAAUUAAAGGCUCACUGAUGUACCUUGCAAGUGCCACGAGGCCUGAUAUCUCGUUUGUAGUUAGCAAACUUAGCCGGUUUGUGUCAAAUCCGGGAGAUAUUCACUGGCAAGCUAUUGAGAGAGUAAUGCGCUAUUUGAAAGGUACUGUGAGCUAUGGCAUUCACUAUACCAGAUACCCUAAGGUAUUAGAGGGUUAUUGUGAUGCUAAUUGGAUAUCUGAUGCUGAUGUUUUAAAGGCCACAAGCGGAUAUGUGUUUCUGCUUGGAGGUGGCGCUGUUUCAUGGAAGUCUUGCAAGCAGACUAUCUUAACGAAGUCAACCAUGGAAGCAGAACUCACAGCAUUAGACACCAUCGGCGCUGAGGCCGAGUGGCUUCGUGAACUCCUGAUGGAUCUACCGGUGGUUGAAACACCUGUGCCCGCUAUUUCCAUGAACUGUGACAAUCAAACGAUGAUCACAAAAGUCAACAGUUCUAAGGACAAUAUGAAGUCCACAAGGCAUGUCAAACGGCGUUUGAAGACUGUCAGAAAAUUGAGAAACUCCAGAGUUAUAGCGUUGGACUAUGUCCAUACGUCUAAGAAUCUGGCAGAUCAAUUCACAAAGGGACUAUCACGUAAUGUGAUAGGUAGUGCAUCGAGUGAGAUGGGUUUGAGACCCACGUAAGGUCUGCCAUGGUGGCAACCUAUUCUAUAUGAUCGGAGAUCCCGUGAAGUAGAAUAGUGAAACAAACCAGAAGUAGAUUGUGAGGAAAGACCCUUUACUUAACUCAUCUCAAUUGCACUUCUUUCCUAAGUCUGUAAGAAAGGCUGGUUAUAUACCUUAAUGUAUUCCAAAGCGGCUUGUGAAGCGAUAGAUGUUGUCCUACAGAACAUCUUUAAGGAAUACUUCUAUAUGAGUUUGACUUUUAGUCACAGCCUAUGAGAUUUGGGUGGUCUCUAGAUACUCAUGAAUGGGCCAGAAGUAUGACUUAUAUGCUUCAACCAGAGGGGAUGUUCAUGCAACCCGGUAUCAGUUAUGAGUUUAGAUGAAACUUAUAUCACACAAAACUUGCAAUUCAAGGCAUAGUCCAAUGUUCAAGUUGUGACUAAGUGUAGUCUGUACUCUUGGUGGAAGUUCAACUUAGCAGUCUCCAUCGAAACAACUGAUAUAUGAAACGACAUGGAAAUUUGAGAGCUUUUCUUAUGUGCCCUAGAAAUAGGUGGGGAUUGUUGAAUAUAAAUGGGCUUUUAGCCCAUAAUUAUAUUUGAUGAUUAAUUCAAGGGCCCAUAAUAAAUGCUAUAAUAAAAACGGUUUAGUACCGUAUUGAUGAUUGACCAUGUGUUAACUCAACUUAAAUAAGUGGCCUUUGAUAGCUCCUAUGGAGAAGUUGAGGAAGGGAAAAGGGGUGCCACACGCGCGCGCCGCCGCCGCCACCGAGCCGAGCCGAGCGUGCGUGCUUGCUUGUCUUGUCUAGGUCGAGUCGAGACGUGACGUGGCACACGCGUGGUGAAUAAGGAAAGGGAGGAAAACGGGAUCUGACCGUUGUGCAAUUAAUGACAAUUAAUUACUAAUUGAUUGACUCGUUAAUGACAAUUAAUUGUUAUUGAUUGUCAUUAAUCAUGGGGCCUAUAUAUUUCAUACGCGUGACACACUUUCCUUCCCUGCGAGAAACAACACAAUCAGUCCUCUCCUCUCAUCUUCCUGUCGAGUUGCUCACUGUUCGUCCCCGUCCUGAACCUCUGCGCGCACAGAGAUCGGGAGAGCAGGCCUCCGGAACCCGACGCCCUGCAUCGAGACACCUGCUCGGGUGUGUGGGCAAUCAGGGUUUUGGGGAGCGUCUUCCGCGACUGCUCGCCAGCGAGAUCGUCUUCUUCCACUCCGGUGGAUCGGGGUCGUCUUCUUCCUAGUGGACGUUCGGGACUGCGACUACUUCGUCUCCGUCUUCUUCCUGGUGGACGUUCGCGGGACUGCACCGCGAAUAUCUUCUUGCAUCGACUGAGGUCCACUACUUCAGGCAACACACUGUGUCGACUAGUGUGAAUGGAGCCGCCGGUGCCUUUGAUACUGGUUCCUUCUCGGGGUAAAAUCUUAAACGAUUUUUUUUAUUUUCAGUAUGUCUACUGUAGUUGCAGUAAUAUUUGCAAUGUUUAUCUCUAAUCUGAGUAGUGAAUUGCACACGUGUACAUAUAUGUCACUACACUAUUAUGUGUAAUUUUUUGGAUUAAAUCAAAUAUUAAAAUAUCUAAUUUUCUAACAAGAUGCAUGGAGCUGUAUAUAUGCUGCUUAUCCAAAAAUAGCUAUCUAUAGGCGUCUUUAUUUACAUACAUAUAUAUUCUUUAAUUAGAACGGGAUCGGAGGCGCGCUAUGAAAACGAGAAAGAGAGAGAGUAAAAAGCAAGUGCAUGCGUGGAUCGGAUCGUAUCGGAGGCCGCAAAAUUAUGAAGAAGAGACGGAUGAUCGAUCGAUCGAGGAAAAGUUUGAGUCCUAAGGGGAAGUCCCGACGCGAGCGGUCGGUAUCCGGCGUUGGAGCUAGCUGCGUGUCGUACGAAUGUGACCGGACGGUGGAGCGGCUGUGAUCCAGCUGAGCUAAGUAGCCCGACGGGGAGAACCCCUCUAUCCCGGAGCAGGAAGAGGACGUGGGCGUGGCAUAUAGCAUUAGAUUCCUGCUACUGGGCCCACCACGACCUCUAGCGGGGUUUUUCUUUUUUCAGCGAAAUUUUGCUGAAAUUUUCGAAAUUUCACAUUUUUUGCUAAGGUCUGAAAUUUUUUUAUAUCAGUCAAUUUUUUCGAUUAAAUUCAUGUUUUGUUUCAAAAUUACUCCAAAUCACACUAAAAUGACCCACCACAUAUCUCUUGGCCCUAUCAAAGCCCUAAUUUUUUUUCAAAAUUAUUUAAUUUUCUCACUCUCACAUAUUCCAUGGCACUACCAUAUGCAGCUCGCCCAGCGUCAGCUCGUUUCGUUAGUAUUAUAUAAAUUUGUAGUGAGUGAUAGAUUAGAAAGUUUUUCUAGUGAAAUGAAUCCAAAUUUUUUUAUAAAAAUAAUUUGAAUUAAUUUCAAUUUAGUCCAAAAUUUUCGAAAUAUCUUAUUUAUCGGUAGGUGCCGAAAAAAUUUUCUACCGAAAAAAGAAAAGGUUCCAGUCUGGUUCUUUUGAAUUGAAUUGUUCAUGUCUUACCCGGCCUAAUACUGAACCAUGAAUAGUUAUUUUUUAAAAAAUUUCAGUCCUUUUUUCUAUUAAAUCAUGAAAAUUUUCUUAGUUUCUGCCAUUUUCUAUUUUCUUCAUAUUAAACCGCAAAAAGGUUUUCUUUACCUUUUACCAUAUAUAAUAUAUUAGUGUCCAUAUCUUCCAUGCUAGCAACAGCGCUAAUGGGAAUGGUAAAACGUUAGUGCUGCCUCCAAAUUAAUUAAAAGAUCAGGCCAGGAACAUGGGAGAUGCAACACACUAUUACCGAAACUUUUUUUAGGUGGGCUAAGCGAGGGGAGCAUCAUAAAUGCCUCUAAUAUUAAAGGUCUUGGUAAAUGGAUCUUCGCCAAGGUAUUUUAAAUAUCCGUCUCGAUAAAUCAAAUAAAACAAAAAAAGAAAACUUGUGGACAAGCAUAGUGAGCCCAUCCAUGCACUCUACAGAAUGAGGCAUUGGUCGAUGCCCAAAAUAGUCAAAACCUCGGCCUUUUUGCGGCCCGGAUUAAAGACCCCUUUAGCACCGGCCAGCGCCACGGGCCGAGGCAAAGCCUUUAGCACCGGUUUUUGCCCUGAACCGGUGCUAAAGGUUCGGUUUAUAGGCCGGAUCUCUCCUCCUCUCUGCCCAUUUGAAAUCGAGAGCACCAUUCACCAUUGUUGUUCUUGGAGCUUCUUCUUCCUCAUUUGUUCUUCAUCUCCGACGCCCAUCGUUGAUCUUCUUCGACUCUGUCAUCGUUUCUUCGUGUUUGGAGGUGGCUAACUUUUGUCUUUCUUGUCUUUUUCAUGUUGUUUUUGGCUUGUGAUGUUUCCAUUAUUUUUAGCUCAAAUCCACUUUGUUAUUUUGAAUCAUUCACAUGAAUUAGUAUCCAUAUAUAUAUAUAUAUCAUAUUUCAUGGUUGACCUAGUAUUAAUGUAGUUUGCAAGAAUGAAUUAUAGUAUCUUUUUAUGAUCUUAGAAAGUAGGAUAGUUCAAAUUAAUUGGUUUGUUAAUAUCACUUGAUUUAUUUUUAUUACUACAUAAUGUCCAUUGUAUAAUUUAGAAGAUUUGUUGAAGUAACUAGACAAAUAAAUGAUAUUAUUAGGUUCUUCUUUAAUCAUACAUGUUUACUAGUAAAUGUGGAAUUUAUAAUUGUUUCAAAAUUGAGUAUGGAUAGUAGAUGGCAACCGUGACCGGGUCUUCGGUCUCUCAACGGGUUCAAAAGCGAUACCGGCCGGAACUCCCUCUCAUUACUUGUGGCAAGUGUGGGCAGAAGAUUGUGAUGGAGUACAAAGUGUCGAAAGAGGGAGUAAACAAGGGUCGUAUAUUCUACAAGCGUCCAGAUCGUAAUGUGAGUUAUUUCCAGACAUUUGCUUAUAUAUGUGCAUAUUUUUUUAAAUAAUAUUAAUUAAACUUUUGAUUCUCUAUUUUAAUUUCAGUGGGACGGUACCGGCGGAUGUACAGGUUGGUACUGGGAGGAAGAAUACAUUGAACACAUUAAGAAAUCUUUUGCACAGGUGUGGGGGUAUAAACCCCUAUACCCUUACGGCUAGACUUGGGUUAGGAGGUUUGGCUCAUUACGAGACAAGCUCAAGGUUUGAUCCGACAGCUUGGAGUUUCGCGCAAGGAAACAAGACGUGGAGAUCAAGCAGGAUUCUAGUCGGUUAGAAUAGGAAUUGAUAUCGAACUAUCUACGACAAUUGUAACCGACUAGGAUUAGUUUCCAGAUCUGUAACCCUACCCUCCGGACUAUAUAAGGAGGGGCAAGGGGCCCCCUAGGAUAUAGACACAUUAUCUCUCAACACAAAUCAAUACAACAAGACGCAGGACGUAGGUAUUACGCCAACUCGGCGGCCGAUCCUGGAUAAAAAGCUUGCCCGUGUCUUGCGUCACCAUCGAGUUCGUAGUUUGCGCACCGUCUACCGAUAAACUACUACCGUGGGUAUACCCCAAGGUAGACUGCCGACCAGCUUUCGUCGACAGUGGCGCGCCAGGUAGGGGGUGUGCGUACAACUUCUCCGACGAACAAGAUGGUCACAAUUCCAGCUUCCGCGGCCGUGCCUGAAGGCCUCACGUUCACCGUCGGCCAGAUCACGUGGACAACGCGCGGCGGUGGUCUCACGACCACGGUUUCGGAAGGAACCCAGAUCCAAUCUGGGAUGACGUCGGCUCCGACCACUCGGAUGACGGCAUCGAGCGCCCGACCACCACUCCCGCUCUACAAGGGGAAGAAAAUCGACUGCUCGGACCUUCUCCAAGCACUUGAUCGCGCUGAUUCCAAGCUACUCGAAGCUUCUCAACUGAUAGAUGGGAUCUUGCGCCAGCCUCCAAGCCGCUCUAGCGGAUUCUUUCAACUCCCACCGGCCAACUCGUGUCGUUACACACGAACGGCUGGGGGCGUCUCUGACGAUAACCUCAACUCCCACAGGACGAUCUGUCAAGAUCGAGGCCAACCCGGAGGAAGAUUAUCCUCGCGAUCUGAACAACUCGGCCUCUCUCUACUCGAGACACGUCCGAUCCCUCUUUAACAAAGCUGGCUGGUUGCCAAAGGGGAGCGGUCGACCAACUCGUCAUUACGUCAACAUGGUGACGAUCCAAGAGAUACGGGACGGCCAGGCUUCCAGCACAAAUUCGAGCACUGGUUCCGUCCCCACUGAAGUCAUAAAUUCCGAGGACGAGGACUACGACUUGGAUUUCCCGUCACAUCCUCCGGGCUUCCCUCGUUUCCCGGUCUUCCCACCCCGGCGAGGAGAUAUCGUUUUCAACGUCAGCGCCGACGAGCCGGUCGUUGACGGAGAGACAGACGAGCAGAGGCAGCUCCGCGAGCAGCGUAACGCCGAUCGCGCCCGACGACGCGCGGACGAGGAACGUCAAAUCCCGCCGCAUAAUCUCAGCGACGCUUUUGACAUGGUCGGAGAUCGGCAAGUUUAUAAAACGCCAAGCGCCAAUGUGGCCGUCGCCAUGGCCAAUUUAGAUCGACUCCCUGAUACUCCCGAGUGCCAGGGCGUCCGAACCAGCGUUCGAGCACACCUGAUCGUCGCAAUGGGGCAAACAGCCACUCUGCUCAAAAGAGCCCAAGACGUCUCUUAUACAGAGGCCACCUCUGACCAGACUCACCGCAGCCGAACCUCACCGCAGCCCAGCAGGCACCACCGCAGCCGUUCCCCCGACGAUCAUCGGAAAGAUUCACGACGUGACGAUGGCGGUCGGGACGCUGGCGGUCACCGCGAGCAGAAUCGCAGGCGUGGUCAAGAAGUAAACCAGUACAGGGAUCUUCGAUACAACAUCCCUCCCAAAGACGCCCGGGACCACAUCAACAGGCGCGCCACGGAAAGGGCAGUUUACAAAAACUUGCGUCGUAUCGAGUACGACGCAACGCACGGCCCCCCGGGCCUGAAGCAAUUCUCUUCACACCUCCGCCAGGUCGUGUGGCCUCGCAAUUUCAAGCUCGAGAAACUCAAAAAAUACGACGGCAUGGAAAACCUAGAGAACUGGAUCACUCUUUACGAGAUCGCAGUCCGGUCAGCAGCUGGAGAUGAGCAUGUCAUGGCCAACUAUUUUCCGGUAGUCCUCGACCAGGCCGGUCAUCAAUGGCUUCUAGGCCUGCUCGAGGACUCCUUCGACUCCUGGGAAGAACUACGCCAAGCCUUCAUUGACAACUUCAUCGCCACCUGCGAGCAGCCUGGGAACAAGUACGACCUCGAAAGGAUACGAGAUCGGAAAAAUGAGCCUCUGCGCGACUACAUCCGACGAUUUUCGGAUAUGCGCCUAAAGAUCCCGAAGAUUUCCCACGACGAGGCUAUAUCUGCUUUCAUCAAGGGGCUGCGCUUCCAUGAAACACUGAGGAACAAGCUACUGCGCAAAAGGCCAACAACGAUGACAGAGCUCCUCGACACGGCCAAAAAUUAUGCCGACGCAGAUGACGCAGAAAAACUCAUCCGAGAUGACACUAGAGGUCCUGACCAGCCUUCUCGGCGUGACGAUAGUCGCGGCCGCUUCGACAACAGAAACCAUCACCGCCCCGAUCAUCGGGACCACAGAGAGGGCUGGGACAGGCGCCGCGACAACCGCGAUGAUUUCAGAGGCAAGCGCCCUCGCGAUCACGACCACGAGGUGAAUACGGUCAAGCGCCCCAACGGACGGCGGGAUUACCAAGAAGACUACAACAAGAUGUUGAAGGGACCGUGCCAACUACAUCCCAAAUCCAACCACACCAUGGAAGAAUGCGGCGUCCUCAAAAGCAUCUAUACACAGCGGGCUGCUCAAGACGAUCCCUCCAAGAAAAACGGGAAACAAGAUGGGCGCGAUCACGAAGACGAGGACGAAGACCAAGAUAGGGACCCACGACACCAGUAUGUCAGUCCUACUGACGUGGUCCAUUCCAUCUUCGGAGGCAAGGUCUCCAUCGAGUCUAAAUGAGAAAGAAAGCUCCUAAAGAGAGCCUGCCUCAACGUAGACAGCACUGAUGGUCUGAUCGCCGAUCCAAAAUUUCCUCCCUGGUCGCACAGGGAGAUCUCCUUCAGCAGGAAGGAUCAGUGGGCCGCUAUCCCGGAACCGGGUCGUUUCCCUCUAAUCUUGGACCCUUGCAUUAACAGCAUCAGAUUCGAGCGCGUGCUCGUGGACGGAGGAAGCUCCAUUGACAUCCUCUUCCGCAACAGCUUGUCCGCUCUCAAGAUAUCUCCGGCACAAUUAAAACCCUACGACGCUCAAUUUUGGGGAGUCUUGCCAGGUUAGAGUUCAGUGCCCCUCGAACAGAUAACAUUGCCUGUCCAAUUCGGCACGCCCGACCACUUUCGGACAGAGUUCGUCAACUUUGUGGUCGCCGACUUCGAUGGGACCUACCACGCCAUACUGGGCCGACCAUCGCUGACAAAAUUUAUGGCGGUCCCGCAUUACUCAUACCUGGUCCUCAAAAUGCCUACUGAGAAGGGCGUCCUGACCGUCAGAGGCAAUGUCUACACUGCAUAUACUUGCUAGGAAGAGAGUUUCAAGAUCACUGAAGCAAUUGAUCUCUCAAUCCGAAUGGCAGAAACAGCAACCCAAGCCGCACAGCUACCUCCCGACCAGCUCCGACUACCCGAGCAGGAGACCGCCAGGAAGAAUUCAAAAUCCAAGGAGCAUAAAGAAGUACAACUGGUCGACAGCAGCCCCGAGAAGACGGCCCUCAUCGGGGCCAAUCUGGACCCCAAAUAGGAAGACGCGCUCGUCAGGUUUCUAAGGGACAACGUGAGCGUUUUCGCAUGGAAACCCGCAGACAUGCCCGGCGUCCCACGAAACCUGAUCGAGCACUCCUUAAAUGUCUCAAAGACCGCAAGACCAAUCAAGCAAAAGCUAUGACGGUUCGCUCGUGACAAAAAGGAGGCUAUUAGGACAGAAAUAACACGGCUUCUAGCAGCCGGAUUCAUAAAAGAAGUGUAUCAUCCCGAUUGGCUCGCCAAUCCGGUCCUUGUACGCAAAAAGAAUAAUGAAUGGAGAAUGUGCGUUGAUUACACUGAUCUCAAUAAACACUAUCCUAAAGAUCCUUUUGGUCUCCCUCACAUCGACGAGGUGGUCGACUCAACGGCCGGAUGCGAACUCCUCUCUUUUCUAGACUGCUACUCUGGUUAUCACCAGAUCUCGCUAAAGGAAGACGAUCAUAUAAAAACGUCUUUCAUUACUCCUUCCGGCGCAUACUGCUACACGACCAUGUCGUUCGGACUCAAAAACGCCGGAGCCACCUAUCAAUGGGCCAUCCAGCAAUGCCUCCACGAUGAGAUUUGUGAUGACCUCGUCGAGGCCUAUGUAGACGACGUCGUCAUCAAAACAAGGGAUGCAAGCACCCUAAUUGACAACUUAGACCGAACCUUUAAGGCGCUAAACAGGUACAAGUGGAGGCUUAACCCCAAAAAGUGCAUCUUUGGCGUCCCUUCCGGUCUACUACUCGGCAACGUCGUCAGCCGCGACGGCAUACGCCCGAAUCCGUCAAAAGUAAAAGCAGUACUCGACAUGCGACCACCUAAAAAUGUCAAGGAUAUUCAGAAGCUCACCGGAUGUAUGGCCGCACUCAGCCGCUUCAUCUCAAGACUAGGAGAAAAAGGCCUCCCUUUCUUCAAACUCUUGAAGGCGUCGGAAAAAUAUUCUUGGACAGAGGAAGCCGACGCUGCUUUCACUCAGCUUAAGACUUUCCUCACUUCACCGCCUGUUCUUACAGCGCCUCGGCCCAAUGAAGACCUACUCCUUUACAUUGCUGCAACCGACAGGGUUGUUUCCACGGCAAUAGUGGUCGAGCGAGACGAGCCAGGUCAUGUCUACAAGGUCCAGAGACCCGUUUACUUCAUAAGCGAAGUCCUAAACGAGUCCAAGGCCAGAUAUCCACAAAUACAGAAGCUCAUAUACGCCAUUUUAAUAACAUUGAGAAAGCUAAAGCACUACUUCGACGGCCAUCGAGUCUUGGUAACCACCAGUUUCCCUCUUGGGGACAUUCUGCGCAAUAAAGACGCCAACGACAGAAUUGUAAAAUGGGCAAUGGAAUUAUGCCCAUUCUCCCUGGAAUUCCAGAGCCGCACCACAGUCAAGUCUCAGGCCCUGGUCGAUUUCAUUGCAGAGUGCACGGAUCUCAAUGAGCCUCCCGUUCCCGACGUCUCCGACCACUGGUCGAUGUUCUUCGACGGGUCCUUGAACAUCAACGGCGCCGGUGCGGGGAUUCUUUUCGUGUCGCCUAACAAGGACAAACUGCGUUACGUCCUUGGAAUCCUUUUUCCGGCAUCAAACAAUGUCGCCGAAUACGAAGCAUGCCUUCACGGCAUACGAUUAGCCGUUGAGUUGGGAGUCAAACGCCUUUAUGUCUAUGGCGACUCCGCUUUAGUUAUCAACCAGCUCAACAAGGAGUGGGACGCAACCCACGAGAAGAUGGAUCUCUACUGCAAAGAAAUUCGCAAAUGGGAAACCAACUUCUAUGGCAUAGAGUACAUCCACGUGGUCCGGGAUAAGAACCAGGCAGCAGAUGCGUUGUCAAAGUUAGGCUCAUCUCGGGCCCAGAUCCCGCGAGGUGUUUUCGUCCAGGACAUCCAUGAGCCAAGUGUGGGCAAAGACCCGCCCGAAAAGCAACCUAUUGAGGCAAUGCUCAUAGACGACGUUACUCCGACAACCAGUAACCGCGAUUGGCGCACCCCAUUCAUCAGAUAUAUAUCGGACGGGUCAGGCUUUCAGGACAAAACAGAGAACGAGCGCCUCAUUCGAUGAUCAAAGAAUUACAUACUGGUGGACGACAAACUUAUGCGAAAAAAUGCAAGUUCUGAAGUGCUGCUCAAAUGCAUAUCCCAGGAUGAUGGCAUCAAGCUCCUAGACGACAUACAUGUCGGAUCCUGCGGCAAUCAUGCUGCCUCCAGAACGCUGGUCGGGAAAGCUUUCCGAGCAGGUUUUUAUUGGCCAACCGCGGUCAACGACGCAGAAAAACUGGUCCGACACUGUGAGGGAUGUCAGUUCUUCGCUAAAAGGACCCACGUACCUGCUCAUGAGAUUCAAACUAUCCCGUCGUCCUGGCCUUUCGCCUGCUGGGGGCUCGACAUGAUCGGGCCAUUUAAACCGGCCCCUGGUAACUUCAAGUUCGUCUUCGUAUUAAUCGACAAGUUUUCAAAGUGGAUUGAAUACAUGCCACUGGUCAAAGCAACCUCCGAGAAGGCUGUGGAGUUCCUCAAUCAAAUCAUACACAGAUUCGGGAUCCCAAACAGUAUAAUCACCGACCUGGGUACUCAGUUCACUGGCACCACAUUUUGGGACUUCUGCGAUGACAUAGGCAAACGGAACACGCGUGCCUAACUCUUGGCACAUAGACAAACUGCGCCGAUUUUAUCCAUAAGUUCCAGUAACUUUUGCUUGUAAGUAGAUAGUUGGCAAUAAUAAAAGUUUUUUGUUUUUUUGGCUAUACUUUGUUUACACGAAGAGCUUUCGGCGAAGAACAACAAUGUCCUCUGCGACGGAAACUCUUAACGACCAUGAAUCAAACACAGUGACACGUCACUCAGAUAACUUCACAACGCUCAAAAUAACAGUCAUGACAAAAGCAAACUUUAUUAUAAACUUUAGAUGCAAAGUUUACAAUAAAUACCCUGACGGGCGGUCACUAGUCUACUCCUACAGACUACUCUACUGGCCUACUGCUCGGGCUGAUCACCCGCUUGGCCUUGCUGCCCGGACGAAGGGGUCGGGGCCACCGGCGCCUGGCUGGUCGAGACCGCAGGCGUCGACCGCCCAUCUCCGGCAAUGGACGCCCCCGACAACUCCCUGGCCGACCUGUCUGAACCCGGCUGGUCGGGGGGAGUGGCCGUCCCGAAUAGAUUGAUGUCGCCGAUCACCGUCGACGACAAGUCUAGCAGUCCAGCCCGAAGCUCGUCCGCCUCCUGCGGGCCGACUUUCUUAGGGUACCCCUUCUCCAGCCUGGACAAGUCGACCAGGGCGUAGUGGGCGCGCACCAUGCUGAGGAUAUGCGCGCAAGCAAACUCCCCGGCGUCCUUCACGAACUGCUGGAGCCAGUCCCACGCCCGUUGCGCCUUUUCAACUGGUGUCAAUCUCGGCGCACGGGGCUGGCUCUCCGGAAGCUCGGGGCUGAUCAAGUCCAGGACCGGGGCUACUCCUUUCCAGAUCUUACAACAAUUAACCUUCCAGGAGUCCCGAUCCUUGACCAGCUCGUCCAGGUGCUUCUUGGCGUUCACCUUGAGCACUGCAAAUCAAGCAAGAUGUUAGUUUCAACAUAUCAAAAAGAGCGAUAAGCGGCAGAUAACGGGGGCGGCGCGUAUUACCAGACAACUCCCGGUCCCUCCGGCCCAGCUCCUCUCCUACUCAGCGCCCGGCCUCCAGCGCACCGACAAGCUCUUGGCUGAGCUCUUCUUUCUCCUGUCGAAAGCGCGUGACCUCCUCUUCCAAACCUACAUGAAUAAUCCUCUAGUCAGCGAAGUAUAACACCCCGAAAUUUCUAUUUUGGGUUGUUAUUAGAAAAUACUAAAUAAAAUGAAUGGUUUUAAUAUACGGAUAAAAUUUGCCAACAAUAGUUUAGAUUUUUAUAUAUUUUUAUCAAAGAAAAGUGGUGCUUUUCAAAUGUUUUGUAUUUAAUUAGAGCUUUAGUUGAUGUGAUGCUUGCUUGUUGCUUGAGUUUUGUGUUUUUGAGUGUGCUAGGUUUCAUAAAUGUGUUUAGACACCGUCCGGUCCUUCCCGAGAAUUUUCCAAAACUUUUUCGGAACUUUUUCCCAUUUUCCUAGAACAAAAUCUAUUUUUUAUAUGCUCUAAAAUUCUUUUUCAUGGACACCAAAAACUUUAUUUGGAUUGAUCAACUCUCAAUAUAUCUCUAAAAGUUUUCCUUUAAUUUUUAGAAUUUUGGAAAUAUUUUUCAGGGCUUUAAAAUGAUUUCAGCUUUUUCUGGAAUUAUUUUUGAACUGAAAAUGAAUUUCUAAAAAUCCCGAAAUUAAUAAUUUUGAAACUUUUCCAAACCCUAGACCUAUAUAUAUGCCGCCGUUCUCCUUCUCGCGCUGAUUCCAGAAGUACAAACGCUAUCUCGAGCCGCCACUCCGUUUGCUCUAGAUCUAAUGCCGAAGUUCCACCGGUGAACUUUUCCAGCGAACACUCCGGCGAGCUUUUCCGAUCAGUUCGUCGCGUUCCAGUGAAUUCUACCACCACUACGAGGUAGCCCUCGUCAUUCUCUUCGCCGUGGUAUAUUUGUUUACAAAAAUCCAUCACCGUUUAACAUAUUUUCCAUCCCAUCUUCAUCUCCGGCGAGAGGUUUCCAUGGCCGGUCACCUCUUUCUCCGACCAUUCUUUCCACUUCUCCCUGCGUUGUCUUUCCCGCACCCCAGCGCCUCCUCCCCUCGCCGAACCGCGCGUAGCAUCCCUGCCGCGCCCCGCCCCUCCCCUGCGCUGCACGCUUGCUGUUAGGCAGCAGCAGCCGGUGUUCACCGUGGCCGCGUGGGCACAGGCCGCGCUCUGCCCUGCCCUGCCCUGCGUGGCCCCCGCCGCAGCGGCCUAGCGGUGCUGCACCGUCGGCCGUGCCCCAGCCGGGCCGAGCUCUCCUCCCAUCGGGUCCUGUCCGCGAGAACAGAGAGCUUCCAUGGCUGCCAUCUAAGUCCAGGAAGAGGAGAUGCAGACUCAAGGUAGAAGAAGACAUAUUUACAAGUUUGCCACUGGUCAUUAAUCCUUAGCCUUUUAAUCGUUCUAACUCUGUUUCAUUCCGUUUCAAUUGCGUUAGUUUCGUAACGUCGCGCUCUACGCAGUAGUGCUAACUUUUAUUAUGUCAUAUAUUUUUUUUCCAUAUUUAAUUGAAUAUUAGAUUAAUUAAUAUAUGCACCUAAUUUUAUAAUUAAAAGCAAUAUAGAGUUAUAAUCAUGUUUUCUAUUGUUUUAUGACCAUGGCAACGUAAAUGACUUAUUAGCGAUACUGUUUUCCAUGUCCCAUGUUUAUAAAUAUAAUUAGUUUAAUUAAUAUUUUUUGAAUGUCAUUUUUAAUUAACAAAAAAACAAUCUAAGUUUACACUUCGCUAUUUUUAUAAUCUAAUAUUAACUUGAUUGAAGUUAACUUAAAUAUUUAUUAAUUAUAAUUCUUUUAGUUAGACAUAAAGUAUAUAAUUAAUUUGUUUAAUAUUUAUUUAAUGUCUUUUUGGAUUAAAAGUAACCUAUGUAUAUAAUUUAGAUCUUUUAUAAAUAAAUAAAUGUUAACAUUAUUAAUAUCAACUUAAAUGGUUCUUUAUUAGUUAUAACUUGUUUAAUAUACAUGCGACGCAUGUUAGGAUUUGAUUAGCUGCUCUUACUUGCUUUAUGUUUUCUAAAAUUACAAAGGCGUAAAUGGCUUAAAUGAUAUAUAACCAUCUACAAUUAAAAUAUGACUAAAGUUUAACUCCAUCUUUUAUAAUUCUUUAUAAUUUGGUCAAUUCAACUUUGAGAUAUUUCUCUAAAAGUCUAUCACCUUCUUUUAUUAAAUAAGAUACGACAAGCGUAUAGUCGUCUUUUCCGUUACACUCCGAACCUCGAAAGUCGUGUCCGUUUAACGAUAGCUUCGUUCUCAAUCGUUCUUGCGUUGUCACGAUCGUAGCAAUAAGUCGUGUCGUUUAGUGCGCUCUUUCUAAGCUUUUCUUUUGAUUGAUGCUUGUUCUUAGUCAUGAUUGUUUGUUUGUCUGUUUGUGUUGCUUGGUUGCUACGAGUAGAAGAAGCGUGGUUCGUCAGCAUUGAAGAUCAGGCGCUGAGGACCGAUAAUCAUAGCAGAAGUUGGAGAUCAGAAGAAAGAAGCCAAAGAAUUCUGAGCAGAUAAACACUGGGAAUUAAGGCAAGUGCAGGCACCCUUUGAUCAUAUUGUACCUAUAAACUUUAAAUACAUUUACUUUCCAUUGCAUGUGUCUUAAUACUGCAAACCCUAAGGACAUGACUAGUCUUCUACUAUAUUCCUUGUAUACCUGGGUUUAUAUAUGGGUAGUAUAGUGAACAGUAGAUAUGCUUAGUUGCUCUACUCAUCUAAUCUAUAUAAUAAUAAUAAUAAUAAUCUUGUUUAAUGAAUUCUUCAAUGAUGAUAAAUGAUUAAAUGGUGAACAAUGGUCACUUCGGUGAUGGAGAUGUUGCGGUGCCUGCGAGCAUCGUGGUUUGGUUGAGGACAGGGGGAGCGGGUACUGUUGGUGGUCCGGUUUGCCGGGCGUACCCGUCUCUGCUCUCCGUAAGGACUUAGUCAGGGAGCGGCCCCCUGGGACUUACAGUGCAGCUCCAAGCUAUAUGGCUCUGGCUUGACUAAUUAUGAGGACCUCCGCUGGUAGGGUGUUAGUUUCCGGGUAGGCGUGAGGAAUGUAGCUUGGGUAUUCAUAUUAAGAGGUCGGUCAGUUCGGGGUCCCAUUGCUAUGGGCACGGCUGCCGCGCGCCCCGGCAAAAACUUACGAGUGGCAUCCUAUUAGUUGGACCCUGUGAAAGGUCUCGUAGUGAGACCCUGCCUGCUCACCUUGGUAGUGUUUUGGGGAGUCGCGACCCCAGGCGAAUGGGAAUCACGACUUGGAGUGAACGUGCACACCUCUGCAGAGUGUAAAACUGAUAUAUCAGCCGUGCUCACGGUCACGAGCGGCCCAGACCCUCACUUGAUGAGCAAAUUGGAAUCACAUGGAACUUGGAGGCGGAACUUGGUUGAGGUUGAUACCUCGUGCUUUGGCGGAAUGGCUAUUCCGUGUUGGCAGGAUUGCUAUCCUGUGUUCUUAAUUGGGAUUGCUAUCCCAUGACCUUAAUGGGGUUGCUACCCCGAGUUACUAUCUGAGGUUGCUACCUCGGUAAUAAUAUUAAUAAUAAUGAUGAUGAUUAAUAAAAUGGUUAAUCUACUUCCAUCUAAUUAAGGGUUGGGAUGCUUUACCCAUAUUUAGUAAUAGGUUGUUUUAAUGAUAGAAGUUGUAAUAAAAGCUUGUUCACUUAAAAAGCUCACCUGCAGUUAAACAAUGUCAGCUUUUCCUUUGAUUAAGCCUUGCAUGUCAUUAUACUUUCCGCCUGUACUUGUUGAGUUCGACAUGAACUCACCCUUGCUAUUUCCCCCCCACACCUCAGUGUGUAGUAAAGUGCUGCUCAGAAGAGGGAUAAAGAUGCUAUGGAGUUUUCUAGAAGCUUAUGAGAAGUGCUUGGCGUACGGAGCCCCCAGUCAACCGUCCCUAAGAAGAAUGGAGCCUAAGAAGUUUUAGCUACUGUUUCCGCGUACUCUGAUGUUUGUAAGUGUUAAUAUAAAUAUGUUUUCCGCUAUAUAUAACAUUGUUUCUGAUAUUUCUAUUCUUUUGUUGUAUGUGUGGACUUCCUGGGCACACAUAUGACGACUCUGGUCUUAUUUUAAAAGCCAGGGUGUUACACGAAGUCAACCAACGCGGCUACAAACAGCUGCCUCGGAGUACGAGACUAACCUUCUCGCUGCCGAAACUGGUCGGCCAAGCGUCGGGUAAGCUCGAGACGGUGCUAUUCCUGAGCGCUCAUCUCGGAUACUUUCUCUCCAACUUCUGACCGAAGCCGGUCCACCUCUGCGGCUAGGGUCUUGUUCUCGACUACAAUGCCUUCUAUUUGGUCGAAGUACCUCUUUCGGUACUUCGCCGUUUUCAUUGCGCCCUGCAAGACGAACAUAUGUUGACCCAGCAAGAUAACAUAACAGUGUCGAGCAGUGCAAAGAAUCACUUACCUUGACUUCGUCCACGAGACGCUUGGCCGCGCGCUCUACUCUGGCGGCCUCUUCUGUCUCCGCGAGCUCCUCGUGCCCGAUAAAGUGGUCCCCGCGUUGGCGCCACACAUAUACGUGUUGGCGGCCAUCACGAGGACGACCUUCAAUCUCCUCCACCUCGUCGCUGGAGGCCGCCUGGGCUUCCUCGCCCGCUGCAUCGCCCCCGGCGGUGGUCGCAGGCAUCACCGGCCCCUGGACCAGGCCUGGGGAUCCUGUGGCCGAAGAGACUCCUGCCCGAGGCGGCGUUGGGACCUCCCUCCUUUCGAAGGGGGGAGGGGUCGGGGCUCUGCCCUCCCCUUCCGCAACGUUUCUCGGGGGAGGGGUCCCCAUAGCCUCCUCAACCCUUGUCGGACUGCUCGCCGCAGUCCUUGUCGAGCCCGGAAGCUCCUCGGCGCUCUCAGGCACGGCUGCUGCCGCAGGCUGCUCCGCGGUCUGCGGCGCCGCGUCCUCAGCGGCACAAGCAGGCUCGGUCACCCUCUGGCCGGCGGCAUGGUCGGGGUUGACGUCCGACGCCGCGCUAAAAAACAAGGUAGCAUUUUCAGCGAAAAAAAAUCACCCAAGUACGUAAGUCGAACACUUACAGGUCUGAUCGACGAUGGGCCGCGGUGAACCUCCUCCUAGCCCUGCCGGUCGGCACCUGCGCGGCGCAGGAGGGUCGCUGGCCACCCGAUCAGUAGUGGCCGGUGCACUGUCCGGACGGCUACGAGGCCUUCGGACCAGCGACGGUGCGGCCUCCUCCUCCUCCUCGUCGUCGUCGGUGAUCCGGACGAGCCGACGGCGCUUUGGCGCUUGGCUGCUCUCUGCUGGCAACGUCGGCGCAGGCGAAGGAUCUGCUGCUAACGGCCUUUUCCCCGCCACUCUCUCCUCUGUGGUUGGGACGGGGCGGGCCUGGUCCUCCUCACUACUGGUGUAACGAGUACACCGAGCAGCGUCUUCCUCCGGUGGAUCUUCCCCCGCAGGAUUCUCCAUCCCAGGUGCCAGUGACACAUACACUGUGCACCGCUCAACGUCUCCGAUCUGCAAAAGUAACAAAGAUAAGUCAGCAGCUGACAAAAACAAAUUCUAAGGAGAAAUAAACAGUAAGAUACCUUAGGUGCUGGUUGCCCCAACUUGAAGGCUUGCACCCGAUCACUACCACGGACGAAGCCCCCGUCCGCAAAGUUGAACAGCUCGUUCAACAGGUGCUGCACCUCUGCUUUCUCCAAGACCUCAGGCCGCAUCCUGGUCGGGUCCAGGCUCCCGGCGUACUCGUACGCCGAGUGUACCCUCUUCUGGCAGGGCAUCACCCGACGACACACAAAGUUGCCGACCACGCCUAGCCCGUCCAAGCGCGACCAGUCGAUCAGCUUCAUCAGGUCCGCCACUUGGCCGUCGAACUCUGGGCGGUCGGUCCAGCUCACCCUCUUCUCGGGGAUGUACCCCACCUCGCAGAACGUGGAGCUGCCCGGUUCUUCCCUGACGUAGAACCACUUCCUGUACCAUUCGGUUAGGGAAGUGUUCCACGGACAGUGCAGAUAACGGUUCUUCAUCCCGUCGCGAAGAUUGAGGUAUACUCCACCUGCAAUCUUGGAGCCUCCAACCGCUCCCUUCUUUCUUAAACAAAAAAGAUAACGAAAGAGAUCGAAAUGCGGCUCUAUGCCAACAUAGGCCUCGCACAGAUGGAUAAAAGUGGAGAUGAGAAGGAUUGAGUUCGGGUGCAGAUUGCAAAUCCCGAUCUCAUAAUACAAAAGAAGACCCCGAAGAAAAGGAUGAACAGGAACCCCAAAACCCCUCUUAAUAAAAUCCUUGAACACUACGAUCUCACCGGCGCGGGGGUCGGGGUAGCUCUCCCCCUCCGGCGCCCUCCAGCCGCCAAGCUCCGGGCUGUGCAGUAGCCCCAUAUCGACGAGGUCACCGAGGGACUUUGCGGUGCUGCGGGAUUUCUUCCACUCCUUGGCCAUCAGCUCGGCCCUCUUCUUGGAGUCACUCUUCGCCAUUGGAGGCACAGGAGUGGCUUCGAGUUAGGAAGGCGCAGGUGAUUGAAGGAGGCAAGAGCGGAAGGCUUGAAGGCAAUGGCAGGGUAAGCAGUGCAGGGGUAACUGUCGAGACCUUAUAAACCACAACUUCACCCCUUCCACUUCCCGCAUUCUCGGGAAGUGGGCGGGCCAUACGGCGGGCGCGGCGCUUCGGUUUUUAAUGAUUAUCGUCAAUUAAUGCGGCGGAGUUUUCGUACAAAUUGAUGGUUUCCUUUUCUCAAACCGUGCAAAGGACGGCUGCACAGUUGCCAGGCGCAACUUUUCAUGCAGCCAUCUGACAUCCCGUCAGGAGGUCUCGUCACGUCAACUUUUAUGUGGUAAAAAUUUUCAAAACAAGAAGACAAAAAAUGGUAGAGAGUCAACAAUCCGAGGACUGCACCGACCACCGAGCACUUGAUGCUCAGGGACUGGUCGCCCAGUCUAUCAACUCGGAAAUUCAAGGACUGCACCGACCACCGAGCACUUGAUGCUCGGGGACUGGUCGCCCAGUCUAUCAACUCGGAAAUUCAAGGACUGCACCGACUACCGAGCAUUUGAUGCUCGGGGACUGGUCGCCCAGUCUAUCAACUCGGAACUUCAAGGAAUGAACCGACCAUCGAGCACUUGAUGCUCGGGGACUGGUCGUCAAAUUUGUUGGGACUGCACCGACCACCGAGCGCUUGAUGCUCGGGGACUGGUCGCCUAGUCUAUUAGUUCGGGAAUCAGCGGGCUGUAUCGAUCUUCGAGCAUUGUACACCUGGGGACUGGUUGACCAGUUCGUCAAAUUGAUAAGUCUAUUCGAUGGUAAAUGAGCAUGAGAUGCUCGGGGAUUGGAUAAUUUUAAUUUUUUAGACCUUGCUACAAGGCUCAUACUUCGCUUUCCAGCAAGCUCGGGGACUACAUCGGUACGAUGCAUCUGGCGAUGCAUCUCAGUUUCAAAACUACUUUGGGGAAUUUUCUUUUGACCCUGGCACCACGUGCCUACGUCACCUACUACCAGGCUCGGGGACUAAGUGGGCACACUUCACCUUACGGUGAAUAUGCUUGAUUUUUUGAGGAUCCGUACUUUUCAGAAAAGUAAAGUGGGCACACUUCACCGAAAAAGAAAUAUUUUUUCGCAAGAGCACCAUGCAUUCAUCGAACAAUUGGCUUCUUCUAUGAUGAUGUUGAUCAAAUAUGUUUAGAUUUGGUCAAAAUACCGUCGCAAUUGUCUGGGCAAUAUUCAUGCUGAUUGAAGAUGUCAAAGUUUCAUUGGUCGAAGAAGCUCAAGAUGGCGUGUUACUUCACAAUACAUGGUGCUCGGGGACUAGCUGUGGGGGUAUAAACCCCUAUACCCUUACGGCUAGACUUGGGUCAGGAGGUUUGGCUCAUUACGAGACAAGCUCAAGGUUUGAUCCGACAGCUUGGAGUUUCGCGCAAGGAAACAAGACGUGGAGAUCAAGCAGGAUUCUAGUCGGUUAGAAUAGGAAUUGAUAUCGAACUAUCUACGGCAAUUGUAACCGACUAGGAUUAGUUUCCAGAUCUGUAACCCUGCCCUCCGGACUAUAUAAGGAGGGGCAAGGGGCCCCCCUAGGAUAUAGACACAUUAUUCUCUCAACACAAAUCAAUACAACAAGACGCAGGACGUAGGUAUUACGCCAACUCGAAGGCCGAACCUGGAUAAAAAGCUUGCCCGUGUCUUGCGUCACCAUCGAGUUCGUAGUUUGCGCACCAUCUACCGAUAAACUACUACCGUGGGUAUACCCCAAGGUAGACUGCCGACCAGCUUUCAUCGACAACAGGUGGUUGAGGCUGAAGGUGGUGAGGCAGUGAGCCGACGAAAGGAGUUCAAUGAUGUUGAUCAAGCGAAUGAUCUAUCUAUUAUAGUUGGGAUCGGACGCGAACAAAUUAUGUUGCUUAAGUGCAUUUUAGUUUUGGUUUUUUUAGUGCUAGUUGCGAUUGUAUUUGUUGUAGCCAAGCUUUCCUAAAUUAAGCAACUAUGUAUCUGUCACACCCGGAUGUAAAAGAGCAUUCGGGUGCCAAAUCACAUGUGCGCCAGGAUCUCAAAUUCACACACAUGGACCGACAUCAUCAAUGGUACAAAACACAGUGUUCAAACGAAUUACAUAAAUGAGAGUAAACGUACCAUUAAUACAAGCCAAAAGUUUAUCAAAGUGCGAAGGCGAAACAUAAGCUAAACUGUUCCAUAAAUAAAAGGGAAACUAGACGUCGACGCAGCAGGUCCACCUUGCCACAUGAAGGUCGACGGCAGAACCACACGAGCCUAACAACCAGGAGACUCAGGGUAGUCCUCAGGGAAAUCGCAAUUGUACUCCUGAUCGUCCGAGCAACCUUUAAUGAUUAUAGCAAGGGUGAGCUCAUGUCGAACUCAGCAAGCACAGACGGAAAGUAAUGACAUGCAAGGCUUAAAACAAGGUAAAGCUGAUUUGGUUUGACUGCGGUAGCAUUUUAGUUGAACACUUUUAGUUAUGACUAUUAUUAGAACAACCUAUUACUAAUUAUGAGUAGCAUAAACCCAACCCUUAAUUAGUGUAAGUAGUAAUUAGCAUAUUUUAAGUACUAUCCUAAAAAUUAUAGAAGUCCAGGGAUUAACCCCAAUUAUUACCACAGGAUAGCAAUCCUGCCAUCACGGAAUAGCCAUUCCGCCAAAACACGAGGUAGCAACCUCGCCAAGGUCCAUCUCCAAGUAACCAGUGAAUCCAAUUUGCUCAUCAAGUGAGGGUCUGGGCCGCUCGUGACCGUGAGCACGGCUGAUAUAUCAGUUUUACACUCUGCAGAGGUGUGCACGUUCACUCCAAGUCGUGAUUCCCAUUUGCCCGGGGUCACGACUCCCCAAAACACUUCCGAGGUGAGCAGGCAGGGUCUCACUACGAGACCUUUCACAGGGUCCAACUAAUAGGAUGCCACUCGCAAGUUUUUGCCGGGGCGCUCGGCAGUCGAUACCCAUAGCCAUGGCGUACCGAUCAACCGACAACUUAAUAUUCAUUACCCAAGUUACUUCCUCACGCCUACCCGGAAAGUAACACCCUACUAGUGGAGGUCCUGCUAAUUAGUCAAGCCAGAGCCAUAUAGCUUGGAGCUGCACUGUAAGUCCCAGGGGGCCGCUCCCUGACUAAGUCCUUACGGAGAGCAGAGACGGGUACGCCCGGCAAACCGGACCACCAACGAUACCCGCUCCCCCUGUCACCACCAUCAUCACGAUGCUCGCAAGCAUCCAACAUCGCCAUCACCGCAGUGACCAAAGAUUCAGCACAGUUUAAGCAUCAAGUUAAGUAGAGAGUAAUUCUUGUUUAGACAUGUGUAUAAGAUGAGUAGAGCAGCUAAGCAGACCUAGUAUAGCCUAGUCUACCCAAAUACAUAACCCCAGGUGAGCAAGGAAUAAUAAGUAAAGCUAGUCAUGUCCUUAGGGUUUGCAUUCAUUGGACACAUGCAUAUAAAGUAAAUGACAUUAAUGAGUAGGUUCAAAAUGAUCAAACGGUGUCUGCACUUGCCUUGAUCGAAGUCGGGUUGCUCGAACUCAGCGGGAUCCUGAACCUCUUCCUUCACGAACGUCUCGUUGGCUAUACGCGACAAUCAUCAAUCAUAGGAACAAUACAUGCAAGCAAACAAACUUAAUCAGAAACAGUACACCAAAGCAUGCGAAAGCAUAAAGCAACUGCACUACUGUAUUCUACUCGAUGAAACGAAACUAUAGCGACCAGAAUCACCUAAAUCGGAGUUACGAUGCAAAAGUUAUGGCUAAAACAAGUUGAAUGGCAUUUCUGUAGAUAAACUGAACUAUUUUUCGUAAUUAAAACUAAUUAAAACUCAUUUUGGAUUAAAUACAUAAAUACCAACGGGUGCAGGGGCUAAACUGUAAAAGCAGGGGCAUAUUUUAAAUGAAACUAUAACUGAGUUGGAUCGCGGGUUAAAUUUGAAGAAACGCGAGGGCCUUUUCGCAAAAAGGCCAGGGGGCGCGCGGGACCGUGGCCGGCCUGGCCACGUGGCGGCGCGCGGUUGGCCGGUCCAUGGCGCGGGCUGUGGACCGGGGGAGGGGCGGCGGUCCACCGGUCCAUGGUGGACCGGGGGAGGCGCUGGCUGCUGCGUGGACCGAGUCCACGUGGACCGGCCGCACGAGGCGCGGGGCCGCGGUCCACCGUGGACCGCGCGCCGGUGCGGAGCGGGUGCGCGCGCAGGGGCGGGCGGCGGUGGCGCCAUUGGCGCCACCCGGUGCCCGCCGCGGCGGCGGUUCGGGGCGCGGGGAGGCGAGCCAAGGGCACCGGCGGGGUCGGCACGACGAGGCGAACGCGAUGGGACUCUCACCUUCGCGAAACGUCGACGGCAAAGAGAAGCUCGACGGCGGCGGCGCGGACUUCGACGAAAACGGCGGCGGCGCUGCGAACUUGCGGCUCGGGGUUUGCGCUAGGGUUUUUGGGGGGGCGCGGACGGUUGCGGCGGCCUUUAAAUAGGUGGGGACGGGCCGGGGUCCUCGAUCCGCGCGCGGCACGGAAGUCGGAGCCGGUCGUUCCGGUCCGUCUCCGAUUCGGCCGGAGGUAGGUGAUGACAGGUGGGUCCCACCUGCGGGGCCCACCAGUCAGCGGGCGGCAGAGAGAGCAGGGGCAGGGGGCGCUGCUGCCGUGCGGCUGGGCCGCGCGCGGUUGUGGGCCGGGGAGGGGAGGCGCUGCCCACUUCCCUUUCUUUUUUUUUAUUUCAAAAUAGAUUUCCUCCUAUUUAAACCUUUCUUCCAACAAAAUAAAAACCGAGCGCAACCAAUCAUUAAAUAAAUCAAGCAAAAACAAUGCAGCAGCAUGAAUGCAGAAAAAAAACAUGUUUCUACCUUAUAUUUCUUUUUAUUUAAUUUUGUAAAUUAUUUAAUAAUUCCCAAAAAUUCAAACUAAGCCAAAAUUAAAUCAAAUUUAAACUAAAUUUGAAAUUCAAAAAUUUGGAGUGUUAUAAACCUACCCCCCUUAAAAGAAUCUCGUCCUCGAGAUUAGGAUGAACCAGGGAAUAACUGAGGGUAUUUGGAUUUCAAAUCGUCUUCUCUUUCCCAGGUUGCCUCUUCCUCAGAAUGGUGUUUCCAUUGAACUUUACACAUCCUGAUAGUUUUACUCCUGGUAAUUCUCUCUGCUGUGUACAGGACUUUGAUAGGACUCUCUUCAUAAGUUAGAUCAUCCUGUAAAUCCAGUUCCUCUAGUGGCAACUGUUCCUCAGGCACUCUCAAGCAUUUCUUGAAUUGGGAGACAUGGAAAACAUUGUGCACAUUGGAUAAACUAACAGGCAGCUCAAGCUCAUAAGCCACUUCUCCUUUCCUCUCCAAAAUCUUGAAAGGAUCUACAUAUCUUGGAGCUAGCUUUCCCUUGACAUUGAACCUCUUUAGACCUCUCAUUGGAGACACUUUCAGGUAUACAUAAUCACCUGCCUGAAACACAAGUUCCCUUCGUCUCACAUCAGCAUAACUCUUCUGUCUAGACUGAGCUGCCUUUAGAGUCUGUCGGAUGAACUGAACUCUUUCUUCGGCUAUUCUCAAUGAAUCAGGGCCGAACACUUGCCUUUCACCAGUCUGGUUCCAGAACAAUGGAGUCCUACACUUCCUUCCAUACAAGGCUUCAAAAGGAGUCAUCUUAAGACUAGUCUGAUAGCUAUUGUUAUAGGAGAACUCAGCGUAGGGCAAGCUAGUAUCCCAACUAUCUCCAUACUGUAAAGCACAAGACCUAAGCAUAUCCUCUACUAUCUGGUUGACUCUCUCUGUCUGACCAUCGGACUGAGGGUGAUAAGCAGUACUGAAUCUGAGCUCGGUUCCCAAAGCAUCAUGUAACUUCUCCCAAAAUUUUGAUGUAAACUGUGUACCUCUAUCAGACACAAUCCUCUUAGGAACUCCAUGCAGACACACAAUCCGUUCCAUAUACUUUUCUGCUAACUGAUCUCCACGGUAGUUAGUUCUGACCGGUAUGAAAUGAGCUACCUUGGUCAAUCGAUCUACUACAACCCAUAUUGAGUCAUAACCUCGUUGAGUUUUCGGCAAUCCCACUAUGAAGUCCAUGCUGAUCUCAUCCCACUUCCACUCAGGUAUCUUCAACGGUUGCAACAACCCUGCUGGCCUCUGAUGUUUCGCUUUCACUCUCUGACAGGUGUCACACAAUGCCACAUAUUCACCAAUAUCUUUCUUCAUACCAGGCCACCAAUAGUUUUGCUUCAAGUCCUGAUACAUCUUAGUACCUCCUGGAUGAAUAGAGUAAGCAGAUUCAUGGCACUCCUUCAGUAUCACAUCCUUGAUUCUUUGAAUAUCAGGCACACACAAUCGGUCCUUGUGCCAAACAAUCCCUUCUUGAUCAACUUUGAAUCCAGGUGCUCUACCUUCCUCUAUCAGCUUAAGUAUCUUUUUGAUCUCUUCAUCCUCUUUCUGACCUUUUCUGAUCUCUUGCUCAAGAGUUGGUUCUAUGUCCAUGGAAGUACCUUGGGUAUUAGCAACAAACCCCAAAUUGAGAUACUCAAAUUCUGCCAGUAGUUCCAUCGGUAACUCCGUGGCUUCCAUCAUAUUCACUUGACUCUUUCUACUCAGAGCAUCAGCAACUACAUUAGCCUUGCCAGGGUGGUAAUGAAUCUCCAGUUCAUAGUCCUUGAUCAAUUCUAACCAUCUUCUCUGUCUCAGAUUCAAGUCAUUCUGAGUGAAGAUGUAUUUCAGACUCUUGUGAUCCGUGUAGAUAUCACACUUAUGACCCAGAAUAUAGUGUCUCCAGAUCUUCACUGAAUGGACCACAGUUGCUAACUCAAGGUCAUGAGUUGGAUAAUUCACCUCAUGUUUCUUCAAUUGUCUAGAUGCAUAGGCAAUCACCUUUCCCUCUUGCAUCAGUACACAUCCCAAACCUUGCUUGGAAGCAUCACAAUAGAUAGAAAAACUUUUAGUCACAUCAGGCAAAGUCAGAAUUGGUGCAGUAGUCAACCUCUUCUUCAACUCCUCAAAACUAGCCUGACACUGUUCAUUCCACUUGAAUGGCUUACCCUUCUCUAACAAAGCGGUCAUGGGCUUGGCAAUACUGGAAAACCCUUCAAUGAACCUCUGAUAGUAACCAGCCAUUCCAAGAAAACUUCUGAUCUCUCCAACAGUCUGAGGUGGACUCCACUUAAGAACAUCUGCCACAUUCUUCGGACUCACAGCAACUCCACCAUUUGAAAUGACAUGACCAAGAAAAGACACUUCCUUCAACCAGAAGUCACACUUACUCAACUUGGCAUAGAGCUGAUGUUCCCUCAAUUUCUGCAACACAAGUCUCAGGUGUUCCUCAUGUUCUUCCUCAGUCUUGGAGUAGAUCAAGAUAUCAUCAAUAAAGACUACCACAAACUUAUCCAAAUACUCCAUAAAAACUUUAUUCAUCAGAUACAUAAAGUAAGCUGGAGCAUUAGUCAAUCCAAAAGACACAACUGUAUAUUCAUAAAGUCCAUAUCUGGUGGUGAAAGCAGUCUUUGGAAUAUCACUAGGUUUAAUCCUCAACUGGUGAUAACCUGACCUCAGAUCUAUUUUGGAAAACACACAAGCUCCUUUCAACUGGUCAAACAAGUCCUCUAUUCUAGGCAAAGGGUAUUUAUUCUUAAUUGUGACCUCAUUCAAAGAUCUAUAGUCUACACACAUCCUCUGUGUCCCAUCCUUCUUCUCUACAAAAAUAACUGGAGCUCCCCAAGGUGAGGAACUAGGACGGAUAUACCCCUUAGACUGUAACUCCCUUAGUUGUUUCUUAAGUUCUUCUAACUCGUUAACAGCCAUUCUAUAAGGUCUCUUAGAUAUGGGUGCAGUACCAGGUAAUAAAUCAAUAACAAAUUCAAUCUCACGUUCAGAUGGCAUACCUGGCAAAUCCACUGGGAACACAUCAGGGAACUCUUUCACAACUCGAAUGUCUUCUACUGACCCACUGCUCACAUGGUAAACUGUUCCUUCACUGCUAGGUGACAUAGAAACUAUGACCUCAAUUCUGUUCCCACUAGGUGCUGUUAGAGCCACUGUCUUCUCAGCACACUGAAUAGUACCCUUAAACUUGGACAACCAUCUCAUUCCCAAUAUCAUAUCUAAACCUUCUGAACCCAACACAAUAGGAUUGACAGGAAAAUCUACCCCCCUUAUUCUAAUGCUCAUUCCCGGACACAAAGUAUUAGAAUGCAUCUUUCCCCCAGGUGAUUUAACUAGCAUGGUGUUUUGCAUGGUACAGGUGGCUAUACUAUGUUUCUCAACAAACUGUGCACUUAUAAAAGUAUGUGAUGCUCCAGUAUCAAACAAAACAGUAGCUGGGCAAGAGUUGACAAGAAACGUACCAACUACCACAUCUGGAGCCUCCUCAGCAGUUUCCAGCUUCACAUGGUUCACCCUUCCAUUGUUGUUCUUCUGCUUCUGGGGGCAAGCAUUCGCGUAGUGUCCAGGCUAACCACACUUGAAGCAGGUAUUUCCAGUGGGGGCGGGGUUGACAUUGGGCUUCAUUGGGACAGUGUUGGAGUUCUGGCGAGAGCCUGAUGGUGCUGGGGCAUUCUGACGAGGCGCCUGACUAGCGGGGCGCUGCACUUGGUUGUUGUUGUAGCGCUGGCUCGUCUGCUGACUCUGGUUGCUGUACCUGACAUUCUGCUGUUGUCCUUGGUUGCCUGACUGAUAUGCAGGGCGAGACUGAGGGCCCUGCUGGUUGUUGUAACGGGGACGACUGGCACCAGCCUGCUGCUGAGAGGAAUUAUACUUCCUCUUCUUGUCUUCCAUCUUGCGGCGCUUGCUCUCAAGCACUAAUGCCCUGUCCACCAUCUCCUGGAAACUGGCAUACUUGACAUUUGACAUCAUGUAGGACAGACCAUCAUUCAAACCUUCCAGGAAGUGGUCUUGCUUGUCUUCAUCAUUCUCCACAUCAUUGGGGCAAUACCGCGAUAACUGAGUGAACUUGUCACGGUACUCACAAACUGUCAUGGAGGCCUGCUUUAGAGACAGAAACUCCUUCUUCUUCAGCUUCACCAAUCUAGCAGGCACAUGAUGAGUCUUGAAGGCGACCUUGAACUCAUCCCAAGUGAUAGUAUCCGGGUCCUGAUGUGCAAAGCAAUAUGAAUCCCACCAGUCCUGUGCGGCUCCCUGAAGCUGCCCAGAGCCAUACAGAACCUUCUCCCGGUCAUUGCACUGAGCAAUGACCAGCUGCUUCUCCACAGCUUUAAGCCAAUCCUCAGCUUGCAUAGGAUCAGCUGAGUGAGAGAAGAACGGUGGACGUCCCUUCAUGAACUCUCCACGCUUGUCCCUGGGUGGGGCAAACGCGUUGUUACCUCCUUGAUGUUGAUUCUGAUUCUGAUUUUGGUUCUGCUGCAUGUGGUUCAUAAUAUGGGCCAUCCCUUGCAUCAGCUGAGUCUGCAUAGUCAUCAACUGCUCUAUGGUCAUGGGCUGAUUCCCAGGAGGAGGAGGGUUGGCAUUAGUCCCGCUGUGAUCAUUGUUGUUGUUGUUGGACUGCCCGUUGUUUCCUCCAUUGGUGUUGCUCCUGGUGUGGACAGGCAUCUGAUGUAUAGAAAUAAUAUAAUAAAAUCAGAUGUAGUUCAUAUGUGUAAACCUGAGCUGUAAUGUAAACUGCAAUGUAAUAAUCUUUCCUCAAAGUAUGAACCAGCUGAUAGUCACUUUCCUUUCUCAGUUGAUAAACACAGUACUCAGAACAGAUGUAAUAUAUAGAUAUUGAACUGAUCAUGAUAAAGUAAGACUGAUAAGAUAAAGCGAUUAUGAAAUAUGAUAAAGCACAAAUAAAGGAGACCGAUGAUAACCCAAACUAACUAUCUCAUAUAAACUUAAUACUUAAUCUUGUUCUUGAUGCGUCGUGGACAUGACCCACAACUCAUCGCACUCAUUACAAAGAACCAAAUCACACCAUUAACACAAUAAUAAAUCAAGUUCUCACACAGACCAAGCAAAGCACACUAAGCAAACGACUAAACACUAAGCUCGCAUAACUAAGAUCGUGCUAACGUUCUAAGCGUGGCACUAUUUAUUACUAAGCUGGGAAUAGCUCCUAUUCUAUAGUAGUACGAGCGCUGGCAUCUCCAUAGGCUGGAUCUUCACGAGGCGGAGAGAAAGCAGGCCACUUAGGUGAAGGCGGUGGCACUCCAGUGAUCUGAGCCUCCAGCUGCGCUAUCCUCUUCCUGGCGUCGUCCAGCUCCUUCCUGACUUGCUUCAGCUCCACUAGUGAACUGUUGAGCUCGGUGUUAGUGACCGCCACCAGCUUGACAGUCCUGUGCACGCGGGGGUCUUGCUCAUCAGUGGUGGAAGCAAUAGUCAUUGCCAACUCUCCACGGCGACGGCGAGGGUAGUAGCGACGCUCAUCUUGGCUGAUCUCCUCGAAGAAGUGAUCACGGUAUGCGUAGAAAGCCUGGCGAGCAGCAUCAUUAAUGCCCGCCAUCUGGGUAGACCUCUCAGCCACAGCUUCAUGUAUGGACACGAUCCUCAGUGCCCUCAACGUCGGGUUAGGCCUGCCGACGUGUGCCCAGACCUUCCAAUACGCCGGGUAGUCUGGGUGACUCCAGUGCUCACUGCGGUACUCCACUGAGAACAUGCCAUGUCCCAGCUGCUGGUCAAGGAGACGCUUCAGCUCGCUGUGGAAGAAACACUCUCCACCAUCCCUUGUGCAGACUGUCACAAUCCACCCAUCAUCAGCAGCAAAAAGUCCAUCUUGACCUCCAGGUCCUCCAGGUCCACCGGGUCCUCCGGGUCCUCCAGGUCCUCCAGGUGCAUCCUCAUCAUCAUCAUCCAUGUCAUCAUCACCGAAGGGAUCAUCUCCUCCAGGUGCCCAACAAGGCGCCGUUCCAUGCACCACCAGAGCUUGAGGUGGUUGCUGUCCUUCAUAGGGUUCCGCGUCUUGGAGGUUAGCACCGUCAUCAAGAUGCUGGUUAGGCUGGAACACGAUGUUAUCCACGCGACCAGUCAACGAGAACUCCACAGCUUGAACGGGGCGGAAACGAAUAACGCUCUUGCGGCAGGUCAGGUGGCGAGUCAUCUACUUAUGCAUAAGAUCAUAGACAUGCAGGAAACGGUUAAUAGAUCAUGACAAUGAUAGGUAAAUAAAUAACAUAAAUGAAGGUAAAAGUGUAUGUGUAAUGAAGAUGAACCAAGAUUAUACAAUGGAUGGACAAUAUGAACUUUGGUGGUAUUUAUGGUAAGAUAUAAAAGCAAGUAAUGAAGGUAUAAAGUGAAAACAAGGUAAUGAAAUUUAUUGUCAAGGCAGAAAUAAAACAUAACUCAAGUAAUAAAUGAAAAACAAGGAACAAGAAGGUAAUAUGAGUAGAAUGAUAAUAAAAGACAAGGUAUAAAAGAAAGGUUCAAAUAACAAGUAGUAAAAGUUGAAACAAGAAUAUAAAUGCAAUAUGAGAAAUAGAAAGCAAUAAAUGAUAACAAGGUAAUAAAUGUAGGAAGUAAGUGAAUAAACUGAAUUGUUAGUAAAAGUAAGUAGAUAAGGCUAAUAGAUAAAGUCUAAUGAGACAGGUUAGUAAGGUAGUUAAUAGAUCCAAUGGUGUAUUCCACCCAAAAGGGACAAUCUAAACGGCUGUUUCUAACUAGGCUGCGUGAUCCUACGGUCAACACGGCUUUGGUACCACUUCUGUCACACCCGGAUGUAAAAGAGCAUUCGGGUGCCAAAUCACAUGUGCGCCAGGAUCUCAAAUUCACACACAUGGACCGACAUCAUCAAUGGUACAAAACACAGUGUUCAAACGAAUUACAUAAAUGAGAGUAAACGUACCAUUAAUACAAGCCAAAAGUUUAUCAAAGUGCGAAGGGGAAACAUAAGCUAAACUGUUCCAUAAAUAAAAGGGAAACUAGACGUCGACGCAGCAGGUCCACCUUGCCACAGGAAGGUCGACGGCAGAACCACACGAGCCUAACAACCAGGAGACUCAGGGUAGUCCUCAGGGAAAUCGCAAUUGUACUCCUGAUCGUCCGAGCAACCUUUAAUGAUUAUAGCAAGGGUGAGCUCAUAUCGAACUCAGCAAGCACAGACGGAAAGUAAUGACAUGCAAGGCUUAAAACAAGGUAAAACUGAUUUGGUUUGACUGCGGUAGCAUUUUAGUUGAACACUUUUAGUUAUGACUAUUAUUAGAACAACCUAUUACUAAUUAUGAGUAGCAUAAACCCAACCCUUAAUUAGUGUAAGUAGUAAUUAGUAUCUUUUAAGUACUAUCCUAAAAAUUAUAGAAGUCCAGGGAUUAACCCCAAUUAUUACCACAGGAUAGCAAUCCUGCCAUCACGGAAUAGCCAUUCUGCCAAAACACGAGGUAGCAACCUCGCCAAGGUCCAUCUCCAAGUAACCAGUGAAUCCAAUUUGCUCAUCAAGUGAGGGUCUCGGCCGCUCGUGACCGUGAGCACGGCUGAUAUAUCAGUUUUACACUCUGCAGAGGUGUGCACGUUCACUCCAAGUCGUGAUUCCCAUUUGCCCGGGGUCGCGACUCCCCAAAACACUUCCGAGGUGAGCAGGCAGGGUCUCACUACGAGACCUUUCACAGGGUCCAACUAAUAGGAUGCCACUCGCAAGUUUUUGCCGGGGCGCUCGGCAGUCGAUACCCAUAGCCAUGGCGUACCGAUCAACCGACAACUUAAUAUUCAUUACCCAAGUUACUUCCUCACACCUACCCGGAAAGUAACACCCUACUAGUGGAGGUCCUGCUAAUUAGUCAAGCCAGAGCCAUAUAGCUUGGAGCUGCACUGUAAGUCCUAGGGGGCCGCUCCCUGACUAAGUCCUUACGGAGAGCAGAGACGGGUACGCCCGGCAAACCGGACCACCAACGGUACCCGCUCCCCCUGUCACCACCAUCAUCACGAUGCUCGCAAGCAUCCAACAUCGCCAUCACCGCAGUGACCAAAGAUUCAGCACAGUUUAAGCAUCAAGUUAAGUAGAGAGUAAUUCUUGUUUAGACAUGUGUAUAAGAUGAGUAGAGCAGCUAAGCAGACCUAGUAUAGCCUAGUCUACCCAAAUACAUAACCCCAGGUGAGCAAGGAAUAAUAAGUAAAGCUAGUCAUGUCCUUAGGGUUUGCAUUCAUUGGACACAUGCAUAUAAAGUAAAUGACAUUAAUGAGUAGGUUCAAAAUGAUCAAACGGUGUCUGCACUUGCCUUGAUCGAAGUCGGGUUGCUCGAACUCAGCGGGAUCCUGAACCUCUUCCUUCACGAACGUCUCGUUGGCCAUACGCGACAAUCAUCAAUCAUAGGAACAAUACAUGCAAGCAAACAAACUUAAUCAGAAACAGUACACUAAAGCAUGCGAAAGCAUAAAGCAACUGCACUACUGUAUUCUACUCGAUGAAACGAAACUAUAGCGACCAGAAUCACCUAAAUCGGAGUUACGAUGCAAAAGUUAUGGCUAAAACAAGUUGAAUGGCAUUUCUGUAGAUAAACUGAACUAUUUUUCGUAAUUAAAACUAAUUAAAACUGAAUUAAAACUCAUUUUGGAUUAAAUACAUAAAUACCAAUGGGUGCAGGGGCUAAACUGUAAAAGCAGGGGCAUAUUUUAAAUGAAACUAUAACUGAGUUGGAUCGCGGGUUAAAUUUGAAGAAACGCGAGGGCCUUUUCGCAAAAAGGCCAGGGGGCGCGCGGGACCAUGGCCGGCCUGGCCACGUGGCGGCGCGCGGUUGGCCGGUCCAUGGCGCGGGCUGUGGACCCGGGGAGGGGGCGGCGGUCCACCGGUCCAUGGUGGACCGGGGGAGGCGGUGGCUGCUGCGUGGACCGAGUCCACGUGGACCGGCCGCACGGGGCGCUGGGCCGCGGUCCACUGUGGACCGCGCGCCGGUGCGGAGCGGGUGCGCGCGCAGGGGCGGCCGGCGGGCGGCGGUGGCGCCAUUGGCGCCGCCCGGAGCUCGCCGCGGCGGCGGUUCGGGGCGCGGGGAGGCGAGCCAAGGGCACCGGCGGGGUCGGCACGACGAGGCGAACGCGAUGGGACUCUCACCUUCGCGAAACGUCGACGGCAAAGAGAAGCUCGACGGCGGCGGCGCGGACUUCGACGAAAACGGCGGCGGCGCUGCGAACUUGCGGCUCGGGGUUUGCGCUAGGGUUUUUGGGGGGGCGCGGACGGUUGCGGCGGCCUUUAAAUAGGUGGGGACGGGCCGGGGUCCUCGAUCCGCGCGCGGCACGGAAGUCGGAGCCGGCCGUUCCGGUCCGUCUCCGAUUCGGCCGGAGGUAGGUGAUGAUAGGUGGGUCCCACCUGCGGGGCCCACCAGUCAGCGGGCGGCAGAGAGAGCAGGGGCAGGGGGCGCUGCUGCCGUGCGGCUGGGCCGCGCGCGGUUGUGGGCCGGGGAGGGGAGGCGCUGCCCACUUCCCUUUCUUUUUUUUUAUUUCAAAACAGAUUUCCUCCUAUUUAAACCUUUCUUCCAACAAAAUAAAAACCGAGCGCAACCAAUCAUUAAAUAAAUCAAGCAAAAACAAUGCAGCAGCAUGAAUGCAGAAAAAAAACAUGUUUCUACCUUAUAUUUCUUUUUAUUUAAUUUUGUAAAUUAUUUAAUAAUUCCCAAAAAUUCAAACUAAGCCAAAAUUAAAUCAAAUUUAAACUAAAUUUGAAAUUCAAAAAUUUGGAGUGUUAUAGUAUCUUAGACAUGUUGUGCAAUAAGAUGACAAACUAUAUGUGUGCAUGGUUUUCAUAAUAUAUAUGUUAUAUUUAAUGCAGAUGGUAACAUGUAAUUGGAUGUAUAAUGCCGAUCGGCGCUCCGAAGAGUUCAUUAAUGGCGUGCACUAUUAAGUGUGGCUGAGACAAAUAAGAGAGACGGUUUCAUGUGCUAUCCAUGUGCCGUGUGUAAGAAUUUGACGGAAUAUUCUAACUCAAGAACUCUUCAUUCGCACUUAUAAAAGUCUGGUUUCGUACCAAACUAUAUUUGUUGGACCAAACAUGGAGAAAGCGGGAUUAUAAUAGAUGAAGGUGAAGAAGAAGAAGAAGAAGAAGAAGAAGAAUUGGACCAUGCCAAUAUUAUUGCUCAGUACGGUGGCUUCAAUGAUGUUGCAAUGGGGGAGAUAAUGAAGAAGAGGUAGCGGCAGAAGAUGAUCGGGGCGAUGAUGCUUUUGGUGAUGCCAUCCAUGAUGCACAAAGAGAAUGUGAAAGUGAUAAAGAGAAAGCCAAGUUCGAGCGCAUGCUAGAGGACCACAGGAAAUCGCUAUAUCCCACCGCUGAAGAGGGGCAAAAAAAGCUGGGUACCACACUGGAAUUGCUGCAAUGGAAGGCAAAGAAUGGUACAUCUGACAAGGCAUUUGGGCAGUUAUUGAAGAUCAUAAAAAAGAUGCUUCCGAAAGGCAACGAAUUGCCCACCACUACGUAUAAAGCAAAACAGGUUGUCUGCCCUUUGGGAUUAGAAAUCCAGAAGAUACACGCAUGUCCUAAUGACUGCAUCCUCUACCGUGGAGAGGAAUACGAGAAUUUGGAUGCAUGUCCAAUAUGUAAGGCAUCACGGUAUAAGAUUAGACGAGAUGAUCCUGGCAAUGUUGAGGGUGAAGAACGUCAUAGGAAGAAAAUUCCUGCCAAGGUUAUAUGGUAUGCUCCUAUAAUACCACGAUUAAAACGUUUGUUUAGAAAUAAGGACAAUACAAAGUUGUUACGGUGGCAUAAAGAAGACCGUAAGAUAGACAAUAUGCUGAGACACCCUGCCGAUGGAUCCCAGUGGAGAGCGAUAGACACAGAAUUCCUAGAUUUUGCAGAUGAUGCUAGAAACUUACGGUUCGCCUUAAGUACAAAUGAUAUGAAUCCUUUCGGUGAGAAGAGCAGUAGUCACAGCACUUGGUCAGUUACUCUAUGUAUCUACAACCUUCCUCCAUGGCUAUGCAUGGCAGCGCAUGAAAAAACGAGACAACCUGCAUCUAGAAAGACAGAUGAUGGACGUCAUUACUUAAGCUCUGCUAGCUACACUCUGAGCAAAGAAGAGAAGGAAAGCAUGUUUAAAUGUCUUAGCAGCAUCAAGGUCCCAUCUGGAUUCUCCUCCAAUAUCAAGGGAAUAAUUAAUGUGCCAGAGAAGAAAUUCCUGAACUUGAAGUCCCAUGACUGUCACGUUCUAAUGACGCAAUUGCUUCCGGUGGUUUUAAGAGGAAUUUUACCACCAUACGUACGUCUAACCACCGUAAUGCUAUGUGCAUUCCUCAAUGCAAUUUCUCAGAAGGCAAUCAAUCCAGAGCAACUAGCUACUCUGUAGAAUGAUGUCGUUCAAUGUCUCGUCAGCUUUGAGUUGGUGUUCCCUCCAUCCUUCUUCGAUAUCAUGACACACCUCCUAGUUCAUCUAAUCAAAGAGAUUCGUAUUCUCGGUCCUGUGUUCCUACAAAACAUGUUCCCCAUCGAGAGAUUCAUGGGUGUCCUAAAGAAAUAUGUCCAUAGUCGUUCCUGGCCAGAAGGAAGCAUUGCCAAGGGCUACGGAACAGAGGAGGUCAUAGAGUUCUGUGUUGACUUUAUUCCAGACCUUGACCCAAUUGGCAUUCCUGAAUCUCGACACGAGGGCAGACUCAGCGGAAAGGGAACACUUAGGAAGAAAAUAUAUAUUGGUACAGGAGACGAUUACUUCAAUAAAGCACACUACACAGUUCUCUAGAACUCCUCAUUGGUGGAACCAUAUGUUGAGGUACACAAAGAUUUCCUACGGUCCCAGUGGCCCGGGAAGAAUGAAGCUUGGAUAAUGCGUCAGCACAUGGAAACUUUUGGCAAUUGGUUGCGCAAAAAAUGUCAAGGUGAUGAAAACAUUGAUGAGCAGCUUUAUUUGUUGGCCAGACAACCAUCAUGGCAUGUCAUCACGUACAAAGGGUACGAGAUAAAUGGUAACACAUUUUACACAGUUGGCCAAGAUAAAAGGAGCACCAACCAAAAUAGUGGUGUACGCGUGGAUGCCACGGAUCCAAAUGGGAACAGACAAACAUAUUAUGGACGCAUAGAAGACAUAUGGUAACUAGUCUAUGCAGCUAAUUUUAAAGUUCCUUUGUUCCGGUGCCAAUGGGUGAAGAUGACCGGAGGUGGGGUAACAGUCGACAAGGAGUAUGGGAUGACAACCGUGGACCUUAACAAUAGUGGGUUCAAAGUCGAACCAUUCGUCCUUGCUGCAGACGUGAGUCAGGUGUUCUAUGUCAAAGAUGUCUAUGAAACCAAAGAGAGGAAAAAAUGAUGACCACCCAAUCAUCAAUGAGCCAAAGCGCCACAUUGUCCUUUCUGGGAAAAGAAACAUUGUCGGGAUUGAGGACAAGUCAGACAUAUCAGCCGAUUACGAAAGGGAUGAUCGAAUUCCGCCCUUCAUAGUCAACAAAGACCCAAGCAUUCUGUUAAACAAUGAGGAUACUCCAUGGUUACGGCAGGAUCAUAACCAAGGGUCAUACGUCAAGAAGAAGUUCACUGUUGUGUCGGCUUAACAUAAAGUCAUGUUUAAUAGUAUGUGUUGUAAAAUGUACGAAUUCUGAGAAUUGUAUGAAACUAUAUUUGAGAAUUGUGAAUUUUGAUGAGUGUAUCAAACUUUGUAUUCAUGACUUUUUAUAUACACAAUUUUUCCAUUUGAGAAAGUUUAAGUUAACAAUACCCACCAAAUCUUGAAUCUCACACAAACUAUAUGAAACUAUAUGUGUCAAUUGUGGAUUUUCAACUACACCUUCCCAAAACUUUAUCAAAUGCAAAAAUGCUCUAUAUAUUAAAUGUAGAUUUUGAUGAGCGGAACAAUAUUGGUAUUCAUGACUUUUCCAUUCGAGACCAUCUAGGGUUCCGAAACCGCUACGUGCCUAUGAAUUCUCUGAAAAUUCAAAAUUCAAUGGUUCAAACUUUUCCAAAUGAAAAGUUGACCAUUAGACAAUUUGUAUUCAUGACUUUUCCAUUUAGGACCAUCUAGGGUUCGGUCAAAGGGUGUUUUUGUAAAAACCAAUGCUUUGACUUUGAUCAAACUUGAUCAAAUGGCCCAUUUGAUGACUUCAAAUGAAAAAAUUUUGAAUACAAAGUUGUUAGAGAUCAUCAAGAUCUACAUUUUAUAUAUUGUCCAUUUUUCCAUUUGGAUAAUUUUAAGCCAAUCCUAAUCACAUUUCUAUAAAAUCCAAGACGGGUUUUGGUCAAACUUGGUCAAAUGACAAACUAAAUUACUUAAAAUAAAAAAAUUUUGAAUACCAAAUUGUUAGAUAUCAUCAAGAUCUAAACUUUUUAUAUACACAACUUUUCCAUUUGAGAAAGUUUAAGUUAACAAUACCCACCAAAUCUUGAAUCUCACACAAACUAUAUGAAACUAUAUGUGUCAAUUGUGGAUUUUCAACUACACCUUUCGAAAACUUUGUCAAAUGCAAAAAUAGUCUAUAUAUGAAAUGUAGAUUUUGAUGAGUGGAACAAUAUUGGUAUUCAUGACUUUUUCAUUCGAGACCAUCUAGGGUUCUGAAACCGCUGCGUGGCUAUGAAUUCUCUGAAAAUUUAAAAUUCAGUGGUUCAAACUUUUCCAAAAGAAAAGUUGACCAUUAGACAAAAUGUAGAACUUGAUGAGUGUAACAAACUUUGUAUUCAUGACUUUUCCAUUUGGGACAAUCUAAGGUUCGGUCAAAGGGUGUGUUCAUCAAGAUAUAUAUUUUUAUAUGAUAAAUAAAUUUUUUAUUUCAUGAAAACAAUACCCUACUAGCAUUCCGAGUAAUAAAUAACAAAAAUAAAAAGUUUAACGUCAAUAUGAUGUGAAAAAAUAUUUCCAGUUGAUUGGAUAUAGUUUUUGUAAAUUUAUUGGAAUAAUAUAUUUUUGCAUUAACAAAAUACUAAACAUUUCUUACAAAUCAUUGCAAAUUAUAAAAAUAUAGUAAGAUAUUUAAGGUUAAAAAUUUUCAUGUGUACAUUAAAAAAAUUACAAUAUAUGUCACUGUAUUAUGCAAAAUAUUUAAUUUACUAUACAAUUUAUAAUAUAAACUGUAUAUAUAAACAAUUGAAAAACCCUAAAGUAGAAAACAGGGCCUUUAGUACAGGCCCAUAGUGAGAACCGGUGCUAAAGGGUCCUGAAAAUUUUUAGAACCCCGCCUAACACCAGCCUUUAACACCGGCGCGUAACACGAGCUGGUGUUAAAGGCCCUUUAGCACCGGUUCCAGCCACGGACCGGUGCUAAAGGGUCCGCCCCUAUAUAAGCGCACAGGCGCCCUAGAUCUGAAGCAGUCUUCGUCUUCGUCGAGCAGAGAAGUUUCCUGCGCUGGCGGCCGUUCGUCUACCGCGCACGACUCGUCUCCAGCGCCGCCGCCGCGCCGCCGCCUCCGCCGCCAGCGCCGCCGCAGUCGCGGCCAACUCCGGUCAUCUCUACACCGAGAACCGAUCUCACGUAUAUACCUCGAUCCACAACCGCCAUGCAUGCAUAUCUCUAAAAAAUAAAUAUAUAUAAAAUGUUAUUAUAUAUAUACACUAAACCACACUGAAUUGUAUAUAUAUAUAGGUAUAUAUAUAUAUUAUAUACACUAAAAAAUAUAUUAUUCUAGUAAUAGUUUUUAGUAUAUUAGUAUAUAAGUGUAGUGUUGACCUGUUAUAAAUUAUAUUAUGCUAGUAUAUAUUUGUAAUAUAUUAAUAUUAUUCUUGUAUUGUUUUGUAGUAUUAUUUUUUUAGUAUAUUAUUUAUAGUAGUAUUUUUUUUAGUAUAUAAUUGUAGUAUAUUAUUCUUGUAUUAUUUUUGUAUCAUAUUUUAUUUGCUAGUGUCUUGUAUAUAUUAUUGUUUGUACUAUUAUUCUAGUAUUGUUUUUUAGUAUAUUAUUCUAGUGUAUUACUUAGCUUAAAAGAUUCUAGUAUUAUUUUUAGAGCACUCCAACACUUUCAUUUGUAGUAGUACUAGUAGUAGUAUAUAAGUCUCUAAUAUAUAUUCUAGUAGUGUUUACCCACCAAAUUUAUUCUAGUAGUGUUUUGUAUAUAUUAUUGUUUGUACUAUUAUUCUAGUAUUGUUUUUUAGUAUAUUAUUCUAGUGUAUUACUUGGCUUAAAAGAUUCUAGUAUUAUUUUUAGAGCACUCCAACACUUUCAUUUGUAGUAGUACUAGUAGUAGUAUAUAAGUCUCUAAUAUAUAUUCUAGUAGUGUUUUGUAGAAAUGGUUGACCGUCCUCAUGAUGAUCCUGAUUAUAUGGAAGAUGUCAUUCAAAAUAUGAUCGAUGACGGUAGUCAGUACUUUAUUGAUUACCACGAGAUCAUGCAAGGCAAUCCGACUGAGCAACAAGAGGGCAAUGCCCCUGAGCAACAAGAGAGCAAUGCACCUGAGCAACAACUUGUUGUGCAACAAGAAGAAAAUACUGGCGAGGUAUAUGUAAAUGUAAACAUAUAUAAUUAAUGCAUCUCUUACAUUAGGUUUUAGACUUACUUGGUUAUUAAUUUAGUAUUUUUUUCUAUAUCUACGUGUAGCCUUCUGGAUCGACCUUUACGGGGAGAAGCGUACCUCCACGAGGGCCAAAGAAGCCGUUGGAGGGCCGCUAUGUAAUCUCCGAGUUUGAGAUAGCUACUGGCAAACCACUUGGUGAACAUGCAAAUAAAUAUGUUAGUCACUCCUCGUGAAUGGAGAGAGAAGCGAGGUGCUCCUGAGAUCAGUUUUGUCUCUGAUCGUGACAAGGAGUUAGUUUGGAAAACCGUCACAGACGUUUUCACCUUCGACACCAACGACGAAGAGUUGAAGGUGUGAAUUUAUGACUGGACUAUGAAGAAGAUGGCAGUACUGUUCCAGAAUUAGAAGAAGACUUUGUACAAUAAAUUUGUCAAGAAAAACGAGACUCUAAAUUUCAACCUCAAUCAAUAUGUAAAGCCGAGGGCCUCCUGGGAUGACUUUGUGCAGUACAAAACAUCAGAAGAGGGCGAGGAACGAGCCAUUAGAAACAAAGAGAAUGUAAGUAAAAAGACAUACCACCAUCAUAUGGGAUCAGGUGGUUAUAAGAGUGAUGUUCCCAAGUGGGACCGAAUGGAACAGGAGAUGCUUGCUAGGGGGUCACACCCGAGACAACAGCAAAGAAUUGGAGCGAGCGCUCCAAGCAUUGGUUCUACGGUCAUGGGGAAAGCGUGGACCUAGACACCGGGGCGCUAGUUUGGGGCCAAGAAAUCUCUAGAGCAGCAGAGAGACUAGUCCGUACACGAGAGGCAGUUCAGUCUGGUGAGUUCAGGCCUAACAGGGAGAAGGAUGAACUCACCUAUGCGCUUGAAAAUCCUGAGCACGGUGGGCGUACGAGAGGCUAUGGGGCAGUUCCGUGGCUGCAAUCGUUCCAAGCCGAUCAAGAUACCUACAGAAGCCGCCAGAGAAAGAAGGAUGAGGAGGCAGAGCGGAUCCGCCGCCUGGAAGCUUUUGUUCUGCAAUCAGAAGAGCGCGAGAAAGCUCGUGAAGAAUGGAUGCAGGCGGAGAUUCAAAGGCAAGUGCAAGCAGCACUUAGUCAAAUGACGAAAGGGCAAGGUACAUCACAGCCUGAGGUCAACGUUAGCCCUCCAGGCCAGUUGAAAAGCAGCUGCGCAUCCACGGAAGUACCAACCAUUCAGGAUGACACGAAGCUACACUUCCCCGUGGAUGAUGUCACAGAGGCUUUUACUACCUGUGAGCUGCAUGUACCAGAUGGGAAUGCAACAAAAAAGGUGGCUAUCGCUCUUGUCAACCUUAUCGACCGAACGAGAACUCCAAGAAACUAUAAUCGACCAGUAUCUGGUGGAUAUGCUAGCGUCUCGUUUGAUAGGGUUGAGAAAGGUUGUGGCAAUGUGCCUCUAGACAUAGAAGGAGGAGACGGAGAGAAGACCUUAGGUGAAGCCGAGAAGAGAUUUAUUUGUUGGCGUAAGCGCUUCAUAAUUAUUCCUCAACAUAGGUUUAUGUGUGAUUUUACUUCUUAUAUUAUUUAUUAUGUAUUGAAAUUAAAAAAAAGUUUGCUCACAAAACUUGUAAUUAUUUUCUUUGCAGGGACUCCUCCAACCUAAGUCCAGUUCUCUCCCCAGCGCCUCAUAGUGUUGCGGGCGGUGACAAUGCUGGAUCUCCUCCAACACCUGCGGCGGCCACACCGACCCCGCCACCGCCUCCACCACGGUCUCCACCUCCUCCACCGAGGUCUCCAACUCCUCCACCGCGUUCUCCAACACCGAAAAGAUCGGCCCCACCACCUCCACCGCCUGCACCGCCCUCUCCAAAGAGUGCACAGUCGGUCCUCUCGCCUCCAAAACGAGGUAGUCAGAAGCGGUCCGCCCAAGAACGACCGAAGUCAUCGAUCCCACUUCCAAAGAAGGCUGUCUCAGCAAAGAGAGCUAAGACACCAGAAAAAUUACCUUACGAAAAGAGUGAAGAGGAGGUAAUUGCUACAUCCAAAGCUGAGGUGAAACAAUUUUUUGAUAAAUUGAAGUAGGAUAGAAAAAACGGCUAAACCCAGAAAUGUCGUACUUUUAUGUAAAGCCAUCGGAACUGAGGCAGAAGGUGGCAGACCAGCAAAAGAAGCAACGCGAAGCUCAGAAAAAGCCAACACUUUUGGACUAUGAGCGGUCUCUGGUCAAGUCUUCACAGUCUAGGAAGAGAGUAGGAAAGGGUGUCCGACAGCUCAGAGAAGUAUCAAAACCGGUGCCCCCUUUGAUUGUGCCAAAUCAAUACGGCUCAAAUGAAGACUUGAUGCUAAAGAAAUCCUUAGCGUUGUCUGAGCUAGACUCGCUUGAGCGUUACUUUGGACAGAGCGGUUUAAAUAUGGAAGAAAUUGUGGCCAUUCUUGGAUGCCAAACAUUUGAAAAAGCCGAGGUAGUUGAUCAAUGGAGGGUAAGAUAUGAACCGUGCAGGAGUCUAUUCGACCCUCAGCGUUUACAUGAGCUCGGCACACAAAUGUUUGCAAUAAACAAAUGGUGCAUUGAGGCGUCUAAAAGGGGAUAGAAUUGAAUUUCUGUUCGUAUUAGACACCAUCACUAGUUCCGUGGAGAUGACCUCAUAUACGUGCAGUUCGAAGAAGUGCACCAAUUAUGUCACCUCGACGCUCUCGACAAAUCUCUUGUCAGCUGCUUUUGUCUGUAAGUAUUUUUUUAUUAUACUUCUAACUUCUUUAAUUAUAUGUAUAUAAUCCUUACACACUUAGGAUUUGUAUGUAUAUAUGCAGGCACCAAAUGAGAGAGCUCAGAAUCAGAAAUGACAAUAGUAUUGGGUUCGUUGACCCUUAUAUUGUUUUCAAAGCUCCGCAGGCAGUGUGGACAGCAGCUCAUGAGACAGAAGUCUGCACCAAUCUUAUGAGGUUCUUUGUGAAACAAAAAGAAAAACAAAAAAUAUUCUUCCCCUUCAACUUCGAGUGAGUUGUAUAGUUAUUAAGUGCAUGCAUAUUUUAUUUUAAUAAUUAUUACUCGAGACAAGUUUUAUAUAGUUAUAUAUAGGCCUGACUAUAUAUGUGUGUAAACAGCUUUCACUGGAUACUCAUAGUCAUUGAAAUUCCCAAGAACUGGUUGAUAAUCUUUGACUCAAUGAGAAAACCACAAGAAAAUUAUCAACAAAUGGUAAACAUUAUUCAAAGGUACGUAAUGUCGAUCUCAGCUAGAAGAAUAUCAUAAUAUGACUCUGUAAUUAUUAGUUCACGAUCCACAAUGGCUGUGUGUAGGGUUUGGGAAAGAUUCAUUGACCGUGAACAUCUCAGUGGAUGUAAAGCGUCGCUUAACAUAAUACAUCCACAAGUAAGUUCUACUAGCUAGCAAACUUUCGCUAACUUUUAGCCUUCUUAUUGUCGUGGUCGUGAAUAUUUUUUUUAUAUAUAUAACGUACAGUGGUGUUUAAGACAAGAAGGGGGGAACAAUCUAUGUGCAUAUUACGUGUGCAAAUUCAUGAUGGCACAAGUCAAUCAAACACCCACAGAGACGCUCAGAGUACGUUACAUGUCUCUUUUCAUUAACUCCUGAAUUAUAUUGAAUAACUUAGAUAACUAAUACCUUUUUUAUUUAUUUUAAAUUAAAGACGGAAUGGUUGAGGGAAAAGGUCAUACAAAAAGACCGAAUCAAAGCUAUCCAAGAGACGAUAGCUGGAUUUCUCCGCGAGCAAGUGAUCAAUCCAAACGGCGAGUUUCCCUUCAACGGCAACGAAACUCUUAUUCCAAACAACGAUGAUCAUUUGUAUCGUUUGUAGACAUUGGGAGAAAAAAACUCUAUGUAUAUAUGUGUUACGAAUUUUGUACAUAUAAAACUAUAUAUAUAUAAAUCUUUUUACAUAUCUAUCUAAUUUUUGAUGUGGCCUAUUCAUUUUAUUAUAGGCAAAGCUUAAUUAUUAAGCUAAGCCUAUAAUUUUCAUUUAUAUAUGCUUAAUAUGCGUGUAAUAUAAAUAUAUUAUUGUAUCAGCAAAAACAUAUAUUGAAAAACCUAUUAUUAUUAUAUAAAAACAAUAAACAGAACCGAAGAAGUGAACCAAAAAAAAGAAACCCUUUAACACCGGUUGGUGGUCCUGCAACGUGGUAGCCCUGGCAGGACCGGUGUUAAAGGUGGGGGGCUUUAGCCACAGUUGCCAGAACUGGGACUAAAGGGUGGGCCUUUAGUCCCGGAAGGGCAACACCGGCUCGGGAACCGGGGCAACAGGCUGUUCCCGACCGGUGUUAAUGCCUAAUCCUGCAGCAGUGUAGGUAUCCCUCUUUGUCUCGUCAACAAGUUCUACUUAGGCCUUGUUUAGAUGUGAAAACUUUUUGGAUUUCACUAUUGUAGCACUUUGGUUUGUUUGUGGCAAAUAUAUACUGUCCAAUCAUAGACUAACUAGAGUCAAAAGAUUCAUCUCACGAUUUAUAGGCAAACUAUGUAAUUAGUUUUUGUUUUCAUCUAUAUUUAGUGCUUCAUGCAUGUGCCGCAAGAUUCGAUGUGACGGAAAAUCUUCAAAACUUUUUGGAUUUUGUUGCUGGGAACUAAACAAGGCCUUAGAGGCCAACAUGAUCGUUUAGGCCUUUGAACAUUUCAUCUUUUCUCAUGUCAACAAGUUCUCUCUAUCUUAUCUUUUCUUGUAGCAAGUCAAAGCUUGAAAAAUCAUUGGGGUAGAAUUCAACAAGUCUUUGUACCUUGUUUGUGUCAAAAAUAAGCAAAGGAAUCGGCUAGACUCGAAGCAUCCAUACACUAGAAAGAAACUCCAUAUUUGUCUCGUCAAAUCAACCGUACACUAGAAAGAAACUCCAUAUUUGUCUCGUCAAAUCAACCGUCAAGCUCUGUAACACCCAAAACCUGAUUUUUAAUUAAUAGGAUUUAAUUUGAUUUAAUUAAGCAUUUUUUGUGAGCAUUUAAUCUAGUAAAUAAAUAAUUUUUGUCAAAAUUAAAAUUUAUCAUAAGUUUAGAAACAUGGUGGUGCAUUCAUGCUGGAAUUAAUUUAUUUAUUUGCUUGCUUGUUUGCUUAUUCUCCAUGUAUUUUGUUUAUCUUCAAAAAGGAUUUAAAAUCUCUUUUCAAAAAGACUUUAGAAAACAAAGGAGAAAUAGGAAAAAGAAAACAGAAAAGAAAAAUAAAAAAAGGCAAACCCAGCCACCCCCUGGCCUGUUUCUUCCCCCCAGCCCAGCAACCCCGCUCGGCCCAGCAACCGCGGCCAAACCCCGCCCUGCAGCACUUCUUCCCUUUUCCCUCUCUGGCUGACAGCUGGGACCGCCCCCUUUCUCUCGCUGACCACUAGGCCCCGCGUGUUAGUCUCCUCUCCCUACUUUCCUUCUUCUCCACUUCAGCGCCGAGCCGGACUCUCUCCCUAGAAAGCAACGGAUCCCGGCUUUCACAUGUUUUGGCACGGAUCGAAGCCCUGGUGCCCUAUAAAACUUCUAAAUCAACCUCGAAGCUCUCCUUUCACAUCCAAGUCGCUUCAACCAAGCCCUAGCCGUCGUUUCUGCAUGGUUUGGAUCUCGCCGAGCCGCGAGUCAAGACACCACCGUCGCGGGUCAUCCCUGCCCCUUCCCAGCUCAAGAAAAACACAUGGGUGAGUGCGCAAGGAGCUCCUUUGCGUUUUGGUGUGCUCGGUUUCGUCCUGAGUGCUCGGCAGCGGGUUUUUCUCGAGCUCCGGCGAGACCAACCAUGGCGCCGCCGUGUCGGGGCCAUCUCCGGCCGGCCGGCCGCCGCUAGCGCCCUUAUCAAUUUGUAGCCGUUGGAUCCAAGAUCAACGACCCCCGUUAGAAGAAAACGGUUCGGCUGUAAAAUUUCUAUCCCUGGAGUCUGGGGAAAUCAAACCCACAGUCCCUCAGCGUACUCAGGAAAAUACGUUUUCCCUUUUUCGAAAGCGUAGAUUUGCUGGUUUAAUUUGAAAUACGUUUUCCGUUAUUUACAAGAUUACCACUGAAUUUAUAAUGCUUAUAAAAUACUCAUUUUAACUCCGAUUUAAUCCAUUCAAAUUUCGUUAGAUUCGUAUUUACGAGCUCUACAUGUUGGAAGUAUUAGUUCACUGUUUCGAAACUUUUUAUUUUCGCAGUAGCAUUUAAUUAAUUAUUUAUCUAUAGGGAAUCUUAGAAAAAUCAUAACUUCUACGUUUUAAUUCCAAUUUUCGUGAACUUUAUGUUUGUGUGAUCAUAGCGCUGCGUAGAAUAUUUUGAUAAACUUUUAUCUUUGUUUUACCACUGUUUGGUGUAUUGUUCUAAUUAUAGCUUGUUUGCCUCGUGUAUGAUUGUCUACAUUGGAUUGCGUGUUGUUGAUUAAUGAUCGGGUAUAGACGGUGAGCGAUAUGUUGGUGAUCAAAGUCAAUCUUUUGAAGAUCAGUAGCAGGCUCAGGAGAGCUUUGAUCAAGUAUAACUUGGGAUCAUCCUUGUUACCUGUUCACUUAUAAAUAUACAUAUAUAUAUCAUAUGCAUGCUUUCACCUUGUCGACCUUAGCAAAAUCAUAGAUGAUUGUUAUCUGGAUUCCUUGCUACCUACUUGAUAUGCAUUUGGUGUAGAUGUGCUAGUGCUUGAUAUAAUCCAUGAUCUUGUAAGAUGAUUAAUAGCUAUGCAAUGAACGUUAAAAGAUGACAAAUAACUAUAUGAGAUCUUGUCUGUAUGUGAUCAUCGGGACAACAGUGCAACCAUGAGGGCUAUAAUGGCUCUGGCUUUAGCUCAGUAUGAAGACCUUUUCUAGCUUGUUAGAGGUUACCCGAAAGGGCGCUAGAGGGGCUGAACCGUUUUGGGUAUAGUGCGAGCCCCUGUCCUUAUGUGUAUAGGCUACGCGUCAUUGUGCCAUUUGGAAGGAGGGCAUCUAUAUCUGCGCGCGAAGGAAACCUUGCGGCCCAACAUGUUAGACGAACUUUUGAAAGGCUUCAUAGUGAUCCCUGCCGACUUUCUUAGGAAGGGGGUUAAGAGACUAGCUACCUCGGGCGAAAGGGUAAAUCAUGACUCAUGGGUAAAGAUGUACAACCUCUGCAGAGUGUUAAAAACUGGUAUACUAGCCGUGCUCACGGUUAAAAGCGGCCUUGGGGGUUCUUACAUCAACGAUGAUGAGCUUGUUAAGUUGUUAUGUUCAUUUGAUUAUCAUUUAUGCUAAGAGUUAAUUAUGCAUACACUUGAUCAUGUGAUUAUCGGAUCAUUUAUGCUACCUUGAUAUUUGCUAUUUUAUUAUGAACAUGCUAUCCACUAUUAAAAGCUAAAUGCAGUCAAACCAGUGUCAGCUCUUUGAGCCUCAUGAACCCCUGGUUAUACUUGUUGAGUACGAUAUGUGCUCACUCUUGCAAUUUCCCAACACCCCAGGUUAUGCUAAGGAUGAUGAUUGGAUUGAGGACUACCGUUAUAAGUAUUAGGCUUGGAGUCAACCAGUCAACAGUGUCCCUGUGUGGUGCUUCCGUCGAGAGCGUUGUUUAUUUCUAUUAUUAUUGUUGUAUAAUACUAUUUGAUUUAUUAUGUUCCGCGUGUAAUAAACACUGCAAUGGUACAUUUGAGAUUUGUCUACUUAUGUGUGCGACUGUUUUUGGGCACAUAUGAGUCUUUUAUGCAUCCUAUUUUGUUCUUAAAAUAUGGGUGUGACAAAUUGGUAUCAAAGCUUUGUUGACUGUCGGACGCAAGCCUAGUUAGAAAUUGGCCGUCUGAAGGUUUUGAAAUUGCUAUAAAAUCCUUGUUCUGUAAACCUUGAUAUUUUCUCCUAUACUAUAUCCUUUUCAUUGCUAUUCAUCUUCACCUUGAUGCUUAUUUUAAAGACUUGUUCUCAUCCCCACUCCUUGCUUGAUAUGCUUUUAGAACCUUGUCUUACCACUUUCUGGCGUCAUUGAAAUAGGAGUUUUAGGAUCUUUACCCUUAAUAGGAAGAGAACGAUAGUACCACAAGUUGAGUCAAUGCUUGAAGUGUUAAACUUUGAAUGCUUGGUUUGGGUUGUUAUUAUGCUUAUGCUUGAUUUGGAUCUUUGUAAUGAGUGUAAUGAUCUUAUACAUUUUCUCCAUAAUUUCAUUUAGUUUAUAGGCCUAAGGCAUAAGGAUUAAUGAAUUAAAUAGUUGGGUUUGGUUAAAAUUCUGUUUCUGUCCUUUGCUGUUUUCUGGAGUAGUCUGCAAUAAAUCUUGUACAAAUCAAAAUCUGUUUGUGCAAAGUUCAUCAAAUUUUUCUAGGAACAAGUAGACCUUCAUAACUUUCCAAUGCCACAAGAAUGACAUUAUUAGCUGUUAUGAGCUGUGAGUUAUGGUUGUUCAAAGUUAAGGGUUUUGCGCAGUCUGAAAUUCUGGAACAGUUUCAGUUGUGCCCAGUUAUUGGUUAAUUUAACAAUGGAAUCUGUUAAUAUGGUCCAAAUAAAAGUUGUAUAUAAUUUAUUUAUCUUUCCAACGGUGUAUAGAAUGUAAUCUUUUGGUUUCUAGAACUCGAGAUAUGACUGACUUUCUGAUCUGCUGAUGUUGGAUGCUACCAGAAAAAUUUUAGAUUCCAUUAGCUCUUGUAAUUGUUAUGUUGGACGUUACUAAGACAUGUUUCUGUAUCAUGAUGGAAUGCAGAUGGCAGCAAGAGGAAGAGGCAGAGGCAGAGGCUGUGGCAUGGGUGUCAAUGAUCCAAUUACCGAGGAAGAGCUUAUGCAAACUCAGAAUGAGAUGAUGCAUGUUUUCAUGCAGCACCUACAGCAGCAACCUCCACCACCACCGCCACCUGUUCAUGUGAGAGAUAAGCGUGGCGAAUUUAUAAAGGGAAGACCUUCGGUGUUUACACACUCAGCUGAUCCUAUGGACGCAGAUGAUUGGUUACGUGCUGUAGAGAGGCAAAUAUAUUGGUCUCUUUUACUCUUUGUCAAACAGACAAGUGACAUUGCAUGGAAUAUAUUGGUCUCUUCUUUAUGAACACUCGAAUAAUUCAUUUGUGUGUCCAAGAAUCUCAAGCAUAAAAUGAGCACUAAAAAAAAUAAAAUGACUCAAGAACUCCAACCAUAGUACGUAUUUUUGGCCAUUCACUUCUUUGUGAGUAUCUUCUCCAAGAGCUAUGAGUCUAUCAUAAAUUGUGCAAUAAAUAGCAACCAUAUUGGCCACAAUUUUACAAUGAGAGCCCCACCGAGUCUCGCAUGUCUAGGCAGCCCCGUCUAUUGAUUUAACCCAUUCCAUAUUCUAGUAUUACCAUAUUUAAGUGUUUUUUCUCUCUUUGGCGUUGCACCUAAGAACAGUAGGAGAGCACUAGGAGUUCUACUGGGGCCAGCAGCGGUAGGGGGGCUGGAGCCCCCCUAGCCCCACCGCUGGCUUCGUCCCUGCUUAUAGCGUCUGAGCGUGCAAGGAAUCGAGUAAUGCAUCGUGCAUGAACUAGCGAGAAGAGAGACAUGGAGAAAAACGAUAUUUUCCCAACUAAUAGGUGUACCCCAAGUUUGAAAGGGGUGAUGAUUUUCUCAAUCCGUUGAAGCAUAUUCCAUGUAUAAUUCAGAGUUUUGUUUUCUUAAUUUCCUUUAAUAAUCUAAAUAUAAGGAAUUGAAUUCCCCUUUAAUCUAAUAUAAGGAAUUGAUGGGCUAUUUGGUUGCUAGCCACAGUUUGCCACACUUUACCUUAGGCAAGUUUGAUUAAGUUGGCAUGUGUUUGGUUGAUAACUAAGUUUAGGCGUGAUUUUUUUUAGGCUCCACAUGUCAUAGAGUUAAAAAGUGUGGCAAGAUUCCUUUAGGCAUGAUAAAAUGUGACAACCAAUUUGCUAACCACACUUUUUAUGGCUUGCCACAAUUGCCUUAAGUUAGUUGUCAUAGACUAUGACUAGCAACCAAACGUUCCUUGAGUUUUCUCCAUCUUAUGAAGGCCCUAGCUACAUGGUCUUGUUUUGUAGACAGAGCUCGAGCCGGAGCCGUAGCCCUUCAUGUGAAGUUAGGACUUGUUUUAGGCCUUGUUUAGUUGGCAAAAAAAUUUAAGUUUCACUACUGUAGCACUUUCGGCUUUAUUUAAUAAUUAUUAUUUAAUUAUAGACUAACUAGAUUCAAAAGAUUCGUCUCGCAAAUUGUAGGUGAACUGUGUAAUUAGUUAUCUUUUUUAUCUAUAUUUAAUGCUUCAUGUAUGUGCCGCAAGAUUUGAUGUGACGGAGAAUCUUGGAAAAUUUUGGGAACUAAACAAGAAGGCCUUAGUUCAAAAAAAUUUGGGAAAACGACACUAUAUCACUUUUGUUUUUAUCUAAUAAACAUCCAAUCACGUAGUAACUAAGCUUAAAAGAUUUGUCUCACGAUUUACAGCUAAACUGUACAAUUAGUUUUUGUUUUUCUCUAUAUUUAAUGCUUUACGCAUGUGCCGCAAGAUUCGAUGUGACGAGAAAUCUUAAAAUUUUUUUGGUUUUUGGGAUAAACUAAACAAGGUCUAGUUUGGAAUUCUUUUUGGUUUUGGGUACCGUAACACUUUCGUUUGUAUUUUGCAACUAUUGUCCAACCAUAGACUAACUAGGUUUAAAAGAUUUGUCUCGUAAAUUACAGACAAACUGUACAAUUAGUUAUUUUUUAUCUAUAUUUAAUGCUUCAUUUAUGUAUGUACCAUAAAAUUCGAUGUGAUAGAAAAUCUUUAAAAUUUUUGGAACUAAGGCCGUGUUUAGUUUCUGAAGGGAAAAAAAUUCACGACACUAUAGCACUUUCGUUUGUUUGUGAUAAUUAUUGUCCAACCAUGGACUAACUAGGCUCAAAAGAUUCGUCUCAUCAAUUUCAACCAAACUGUGCAAUUAGUUUUUAUUUUUUGUCUAUAUUUAAUACUCCACGUAUGCGUCUAAAGAUUCGAUGUGACGGAGAAUCUUGAAAAUUUUUGAGUUUUAGUUGGAAAUAAACAAAGCCUAAACGAGACUCAUUUCUAGGGGUGUUUUUGUUGGAGUUGUUAAAGUUACCGGGUACUUAGCAUUUUUGUUUUAUUUGGUAAUUAGUGUCGAAUCAUGAAAUAAUUAGAUUGAAAAGAUUCAUCUGGUAAAUUACUCUCUAGCUAUAUUUUUAGUUUUGUAAAUGUCUAUAUUUAUAUAUCUAAACAAACAUUUAAUGUGAUGAAACGAUAAACUUUAACUAGGCUUUGUUUAGUUCAACUAAAAACCAAAAACUUUUUAAGAUUUUCCGUCACAUCGAAUCUUGAGGCACAUGCAUGAUGCAUUAGAUAUAGAUAAAAACAAAAACUAAUUGCACAGUUUACCUGGAAAUCAUGAGAUGAAUUUUUUGAGUCUAGUUAGUCUAUAAUUAAAUAAUAUUUAUCAAAUAAAAACGAAAAUGCUACGGUACCGAAAUCUUUUCGGAACUAAAGACCGAUCAAACCGGUGGCACUGGCACGUUGCACAUCGGUGGACCUUUUUUUUUACCGAACAUGUUUAGUUCACCCUGAAAAGUAAAAAGUUUUUAAGAUUUUCCGUCACAUCGAAUCAUAUAACACAUGCAUAAAACAUUAAAUAUAGACGAAAAUAAAAACUAAUUAUACAGUUUAGCUGGAAAUCACGAGACGAAUCUUUUAAUCAUAGUUAGUCUAUGAUUGGAUAAUAUUUGUCACAAACAAAUGAAAGUGGUAAAAAAUUUUCACUUUUCGAAACUAAAAACUAAACAAGGCGGAACCGUUGAAGGACCAGUAAAAACAGUGGUCGAGGCAUCAGAAUGACGGGAGUCAUGUAGUGAGAGCGUCCGCCCGCGCGCAACCGCGUUCACACGGCGAGCGACAGGACUAGUCGUGGGUAGACGUGACGGCUCCCAUCCAUCCAUCCAUCCAUCACCGCUUCACUGACACCGCAGACGCCAGUCGCACCACCAUGCCGUCACGCGCCGCGCCACCGUCCGUCCUCGCCCUCCCUCCCUCCCCGCCGCCACCCCACGCCACUGACACCACUUACCCCACCACCCGCCGGGCCCCUCUCACCGGUGUCCUCCGCGCGUGCCCACGCUGCGUCCGACCCCCGGCACGCGUCCCUUUUGACUUCCCCCCACCCCCCCCUCUCGCACACCGCAGCAGCAGGCGCCAGCGGCGGAAAGGGAAGACGCUUCGGGGAGGAAAAGAAAAAAAAAGUCCUUUUAAAAAAAUAAUUUUUAUUUAAUAAUCAAUAUAUACGUCUAAAAAUUUUCGUUUAUAUUUAAUACUCAAUACAUGAAUACGAUUAGUUUUUAAUACAUGAACUAGUUUUUAAAAAAUUAAUUUAUAUUUAAUACUCAAUACAUGCGUCUAAAAAUUGUCUAAUUAUAGACUAAUUAGGUUGAAAAAAUUUAUCUUGUCAAUUCCGACUAAACUGUGUAAUUAGUUUUUAUUUUCGUUUAUAUUUAAUACUAAAAAUUUGAUGUGACAGGCGAACCGAAAAAAAAAAAAACAAAGCCGCACACACAAACACGAACGCGAAGCGAGCGAGCAGCGAACCGCAGGGGCGCCGGAACAGCGAGUCGAGGCGGUUGCUACCGGGGGUCCAGCGAACCCGCCCGGCGUGACGUCUCCCUCGUCCCUGGGGUCCACGCCGGGCCCGCCACGUGUCUGGCCCGCGCGUCAGCGGGCGCGGGGCGAGGAGGCGGCGCGGCGGGCGCGGGUACCUUGACGGAAUCCAAUGCGGUUGUGAGCGUUUUGACGUCCGCAAGGCCAAGGACGGGUCCCUCCCCCCGGCCCCGGGGACACGCGCACACACGCACCCGAGUCGCAGGAUUUUCUACUGCUGCUACUGCUCCCUGCCCUUCUCGGCUUCUCUCCCCUUCCCUUCCCUUCUCGCUCGCUUCCGCUUCCGCUUCCUGCUGCUGCGCGCCUCGGCUCGCGGGGAAAGUCCAGCGGAGUCUCGCCGUCGCGGGAGUGCGGAGUCCGGGGGCGCCACCUCGGCGCCGGAGGAGGGAGGGUCGUUUGUUCGCGGUGCUGCAGCGGAGGAGGAGGGGUUGAGUUGAGGCCCGGAUCGCCGGAUUCCGCCGCGGGCUCGCUCGGAUCGAGGAGGCGCGGAGGGCUGUGGCUACGCCGGCCGCAAUUCCCGCGGUGUCCGCCUUGCGUUCCGACACGCGGGGCUAGGGGGCGGAGCUCCCGUGCCUGCUUCGCUUGCUUCCUUGCCUCGUCCUGCCUGCCUUGCCUGCCUGCCUGCUCGGUGCCGCUACUCGCUCCCUCGCUCGCUUGGUUCCGCGCGCUGGCGUACAGGACGAAAAAGGUGGUGGGGAGGUGACGCGUUCGCGCGGCUCCGGUUUCGGCUGCCACCGGAGGAGUCGCAAUCUCGCCUAGAUUUGCCUUGCUGCGGCGGGGGAUGCUGCUUGGACGCGCGGCGGAUCUCGACGACCGUUGUUCCUGCGCCGCGGAGUGAAAAGGUACGGUUCCCUCCGGCAGGAUUUUGUUGAUGGUGCCGUCGGGGCAGCCCAACCCGAUGGGCGGCCCGGGCCACCAGCAGGUGGUGGGCGCGUCGCUGCUCCGGACCAGCUCCAGCCUCCUCGGCGGCGGCGGAGCCGGCGCGGGUGCCGGUGGACAGCCGGGGAUGGGGAUGGGGAUGGGCGGCGGCGGCGGGGUGCUCCCUUCGCAGUCGCCCUUCUCGUCCCUCGUCUCGCCGCGCACGCAGUAUGGCGGCGGCGGGAACGGCUUGCUGGCGGGCGCGUCCAGCGUCGCGUCCAUGCUCAGCAGGCAGCAGUCGUAUGGGAAUGGGGGGACUGGGGCAAUGCCGGGCACCGGUGCUGGUCUCCCCAUCGGUGGGAUGCAGCAUAGAGGCGGCCUUGAUGGCGUUGGUGAUUUGGUUGCCACUGGAGGGCCCGAUUCCAUGGUGUUCUCGUCCUCGGGCCCUGGUAGUUUGGGCAACCAGCUUGGUGCUGACGGCUUACAGCAGCAGCAGCAGCAGCUGGAUGCACCACAAGAUUCACAAAAUCAGCAGCAGCAGCAGCAGCAACAGCAACAGCAAAUGUCAAUGGCAUAUAAUCAGCAGCAUAUGAUGCCACAAACUCAGCAGCAGCAACAGCAGCAGCAGCCUGCAGUGAAGUUGGAGAACGGAGGCGUCCUUGGCGGGGUCAAACUGGAGCAGCAGAUGGGGCAGCCUGAUCAGAGUGUUUCCACACAGAUGCUGCGCAGUUCGAGUGGCGGCGUGAAGCUCGAGCCGCAGUUGCAAGCGUUGAGGAGCUUGGGUGCUGUCAAGAUGGAGCACCAAAGCUCAGACCCAUCUGUGUUCCUACAGCAACAGCAGCAGCAACAUAUGAUGCAGCUGUCUAAGCAGAACCCCCAGGCUGCAGCUACUCAGUUGAGUCUCCUACAACAGCAGCAGCGGUUCUUACAGCUGCAGCAACAGCAACAGCAGCAGCAGAUUCUCAAGAACCUGCCUUUGCAGAGAAACCAAUUGCAGCAACAGCAGCAGCAGCAGCAACAGCAACAACAACAGCAGCAGCAACAUCAGCACCAGCAGUUGCUUCGUCAACAAAGUCUGAAUAUGCGAACUGGUAAAACACCUGCUUAUGAACCAGGGACCUGUGCAAAGAGAUUGACACAUUACAUGUAUCACCAGCAAAACAGGCCACAGGUAAACAUUUCUCACAAAUAAAUAUUUCCAUUAUUGCAACCUUGGUGGAUGCUUAUUAUUAAAGAUAUGGUAUUAGGACAAUAACAUCGAGUACUGGAGAAACUUUGUCAAUGAAUACUUUGCCCCAAGUGCCAAGAAGAGGUGGUGCGUUUCUCUCUAUGGCAAUGGUCGUCAAACUACUGGAGUUUUCCCUCAGGUUUACCUUUUCUCUCUGACAUUGAGUAUAGGCUGGUAGUUCAAUUUUAAUGUUGAGUAUAGGCUGGUAGUUCAAUUUAAAUGUCCUGAGUGUUGUUAUGAUUGAUAGCAAUCAUGCAGUCUUUUGUUUGCAUGUGAUAUGUUUUUGGGAAUACCCCAGUUUGGUCUUUUUGAUUAUUCUUUAACCUGUAUACACUUUCAUUUUAUGUUUUAGGAUGUUUGGCAUUGUGAGAUAUGCAAUAGGAAGCCAGGCCGAGGUUUUGGUGGGUAUAAUUGUGAUUGAAAUCUAUCCUACUAGACAUUUUCUAUUUCUGUGCUAUUAUGCAUCACUAAUAACUAUUUGAUGGUAUCCUACCUUUUAUAGAAACGACGGUUGAGGUCUUGCCACGGUUGUGCCAAAUCAAAUAUGCCAGUGGUACACUUGAGGAGCUUCUGUAUGUUGAUAUGCCAAGAGAGUCCCAAAAUUCAUCUGGACAGAUUGUUUUGGACUAUACCAAAGCGAUCCAGGAGAGUGUCUUUGAGCAACUGCGAGUAGUUCGUGAGGGGCAUCUAAGAAUUGUAUUCAACCAAGACCUGAAGGUAAUAUGUUCUCUAGUUGAGAUACUUUCUUAUUUUGUUGGGUUGGUGUUCCCCGCAUUUUCUUUUUGGCAUUCUAGGGUAAACUGAAUGAUAGUCUGGUCUGAAAAUACCAUUCUAGCCUUGUUAAUUAAUGUCAUCAAGCAUUAGUGCUUUUUUUCUCAUGUGAUUAAAGAGACAUUUUACUAAAAUAUUGCAAUUACUGAAAUUUAUUACACUAGGCAAUCUUCUUGCCCCCAUGCAUGCAUGCACUCAUGAAUUCACUCGUAGAGCUAUAAUUCAGAGGAAGGCAAAGGUAGCCUUUUUCUGUCUCCCUUCGUUAUGGAAGGCAAAAGGGUUUAAAGGAAGGGAUACUAGUAAAGCCACCUCAAAACAUAGGAUGAUGUACAUUUGUGAAUGAAGAAAAGACCUAUAAUGAAGCAUAAUUAUGUAGUACGAGUAGUUUGUUACACUUCUGCUAAAUUUAACACUGUUAAACUGUUGCCCAUUGUACUCAUUAGAUUGCAUCUUGGGAGUUCUGUGCCCGGCGUCACGAGGAACUUAUUCCUCGGAGAUCAAUCAUACCACAGGUAUUAUUUUCCCAAAGAUAAUGGAAUGUGUAUUUUUCAUCUGCAUUGUGAUUCUGAUCAUGGACUUAAUUUCAUGCACCUUUUGUUCUUCUAUUAGGUCAGUCAACUUGGUUCUGUGGUGCAAAAGUAUCAGUCUUCCGUUCAAAGUUCAGCAUCGCUCUCAAGUCAGGACCUGCAAAACAAUUGUAACUCGUAAGGACACUUUGAACUUCAAACCCAGUUCUUUGUUAAAUUCAAUAUUUUGCCAAGCUUUUGUUCUGAGCUUAGUUAUCCAGUCUGGCAAUCUCCCCACAAUCCUAUGCUGAUAUAACUAUCCAUACUUGUGGCGCAUGGUUUCUUGAUCUUUGCAGAUUUUGCCUCUUAUUGAUUAGCGCUUCUAGUGCUUGUAUGGUUGUACCUCUAUACAUCAACCAUAGUUUGCAUCCUCAUCAUAGAACCGGUUAUUUGCUAUUUGCUAUUUUUUUUGGCAAGAUACUGGAGUCGUGAUUUAAAUUUUGCAUGCCAUAACCUUCAUUUUAUAAAAUAUUAGUGCAUGUGAGUAUCUAGUACUUUGCAUUCGAACACUGCACAAAAUGGAGAGUUUCAAGGUGCUUUGUUAAGUUAACUAGAACAUGCAUAGACAUCAUCCUAUGUGUGCGUUGGAAGCUGCUUGUAUAGCAUGCAUGCCAGCUGCGUUAGUAAGUAGUUAAUACACUUAUACCAGAAACAUGGUUCCUGUUUCAAAAGAAUAUUUUAUUGAGCCAAAAAAAAACUGAAACUAAACUGGGAGCAGGAGUAGGAGCAUCAAAAUACUGCAAUGAAUGAACAAGUAAACCUGUUGCUAUUGGACAUUUGAGCUUCCUUUGACAUAAGUACACUAUCUGAAAUUAUGAGACGUUUUGGCUUUUUUCUAGAUACAUAGCUUUUGCUGUGCACUUAGAUAUACAUGUUAUUAACCUUGGGGAUUCAGAAGAUAAUAACUUCAGUAGUGGAGAUGACUGUAUAUAGAGAGAGCUACAUGGGCUAUAUGGGCCUAUAUUAGAUGGGCAUUUAUAGCAAUGUAUGUAGAAAAGCGUGUCUUACAAUUUGGAACAGAGGAAGUAGUAUACAAGCUGUUGAACACAUACAUAUUUUUCUAUGCUGCUGUGAGCCACCUAGAUUUUGAAUGAUACUGUUAUCCUGUACUUGCAGGACCUGCUAAUAUUUAUAAAAAAAUAGGUGGGGAACUUCCCCAACCUCCUAAAAAAUUAUACUGCUCUUUCUUCUUUUCUUUUGAUCAAUUAUACUGCUCUCUAUAUAGCCGACAUUUAUAUGCUUCAAGUGGUGCCCUUGUAGUUAAUAUGGCCUCAUUAUUAAUGGCCCCUGACUUGCUUUGUUAUUAUCAACUUAUGGCAUUUCCGUCUUGGUUGCUGCUGAAUUGAUUUUCAGUAAUGGGUUGAGAGCAGUAAUGGGCACCAUUAGUAAUAACUAUGGCCUUGUUUAGUUCCCAAAAAAUUUCAAGAUUCCCCGUCACAUCAAAUCUUAUGGCACAUGCAUGGAGUAUUAAAUGUAGACGAAAACAAAUAUUAAUUAUACAAUUUAUCUGUAAUUUGCAAGAUGAAUCUUUUGAAUCUAGUUAGCCCAUGAUUGGAUAAUAUUUGUCACAAACAAACGAAAGUGCUACAGUAGCCAAAACCAAAAGUUUUCCUCAACUGAACAAGGCCUAUGUAUCCUGCAUGGGUUUUGGGCUGUAGCUCCUGCAUGGGUUCACGGGAGCAAUGAUUUAUAAUUCCUUGCCAUACAAGUCGCUGGCCUGGCCACAUGAAGUUUGGUCGUGUGUAGUAUGUACAGAUGUUUGUUGCUCCUGUAAUCUAGUGCUCCCUGGGUCCUAAAAUAUAAGGCGGGAUUUGACUUAGUGCAGUCUUCAAGAUUGCACUUUGACCGCUUAUAUUUAAUUUAUGGCAACAAAAGUUUGAUCAUUUGAAAAUAUUUUAAAAUACAAAUUCAUAUGAUUAAAGUAUUUGUUGGUCAAAGAUAACAAAGUUUGAAUUUUGAAAUACGUGCAUGCUUUAUAUUUUAGGAUGGGGGAGUUUAACGUCAAACCUCCAAUAUUUGAUGUCGUGUUACCCUGAAUUAAGAGAACUGCUUUUAUUUCCCUUGUUAUAAUUUCUGUUUGUAUCGGCACAUGUGAUUGCCACUUCCGUGUACUCUGCAUUAUAUAGUUGUUCUAAUAUACAAAAAUUAUUGAACUAGGUUUGUCGCAUGUGCUCGCCAGUUGGCUAAGGCAUUGGAAGUGCCGUUGGUAAAUGAUUUAGGAUACACGAAAAGAUAUGUCCGCUGCCUCCAGGUACUGACUAUUUCAUGGGUCCUUACGCAUUUCCAUUUAAGUUUAACUUUUGAUUCAGUUAAUAUUAUCCCCUACUUUCUUGCAAUUUGUGUCCACAACUCCACAUGAUUCCAUUAUACUUAGCGGUGUAGAUUUAGCUACCAAUGUUGUCUUCUUUUAUGCCACUCCUAUUUAAGUGAAGUUAUCACCAUGAUUAAUCUUUUCUUUUGUCUAAACAUUGAUAAUCAGAUUGCAGAGGUGGUCAAUUGUAUGAAAGAUUUGAUUGAUCACAGCAGGCAGACUGGGUCUGGUCCAAUAGGUGCAGUAUUAUUCACCUUUUUUAUGCGUUCUUGUUGCUUAAGUAUUCUUGCUUUGAAACAUAAUUUGUUCAAUAUGGAGAAAGGAAAAUGUUAUCUGUACCACUUCACUCAAUUCUGACUCCAGUUGUUUGUAACUUCAAGUACAGUAUCAAUGUUAAUUUCUCAUUUGUCAAGUGGUACAAGUUUUAUUAGGGAUUUUGUCUGUUCUACCAUUGAUUUUGAACCAUGCUACUUACACAUAUCUCCUGCCGGCUAUGACCGUAUCACAUUGGAACAGUUCUGUUUCUUUGUUUUGCAGCCCAUAUGUUUCUGACACUAUCUUGGUAAGGGAUGUCUUUGAUGUUCCAACAAAAUCAGGAUAACUAAAAAACAUAUGGACACUAUCUGUUAAUGUUCAUCAUAUCUUUGUUUCUUAUAUAGUUCUUAACCAUCCAAAUUUCUGUAUCUUAGUUUCUCUAGGAUUUUGUCUAGAUGAAAAGCUAAUGAAAUAUACAAUUGAACAUACAUCAUGUAGUUAUUGGCUAUGAGUUGGCAUGCAUUAUUAUAGUAUUAUUAUUCAUAAGUUGUUUAACAUUUUUAAUGUGGCAAGCCUUGGUAUUAAUCAGUUUCUUCUGCUUGUUUUUAACAUACACAAUCAUGUUCUUUUUUUCUCCAGAGAGCUUGCAUAAAUUCCCUAGGAGGGGGAAUUCAGGGGGGGUUAGUUCUGUUCAAGCCCAGCAGCCAUCUGAGGAGCAGAAACCUGUUCCACAGAAUUCUAACCAGAGUGGUCAAAAUUCUGCUCCUGCAACUGGAAUGCAAAUCUCUGCCUCUGUCAAUGGUGAUGCUGCGUCAAACAAUUCACUCAAUUGUGCACCAUCUACUUCCGCACCAUCUUCUUCAUCUGUUGUUGGUCUCCUCCAAGGCUCAGUAAGUGGCAGACAAGACCAUCCAACAAGCAGUGGCAAUGGUCUGUAUAAUGGUGGAAACAGUGCUUCAGUUGCUAAGGCCAACUCAACGAACUCCAUGCAAUCAAAUGGGCCAGCAUCGUUUCCUUCACCAGCACCCUCGGCAUCAAAUGGCAAUAUGAUGCCUGCUCCUCAGCACUCAAGCCAAAUGAAUUCGCCAACCAUGUCAUCAAACCCACCUCCUAUGCAAACACCUACAAGUCGACUUCAGGAACCUGAGCCAAAUGAGUCUCAAAGCUCGGUCCAGAGGAUAUUGCAAGACUUGAUGAUGCAGUCCCAUAUUAAUGGUGUUGGACCAGUGGGAAGCGAUAUGAGGAGAGCAAACACAAUUACUCCUGGUCUUAAUGGUGUCAACUCCUUAGUUGGUAACCCUAUGACAAAUAACCCUGGAAUCAAUGGAAUGGGAUUUGGGGCUAUGGGUGGCCUUGGUCAACAAAUGAGAACGGCAAUGGGGACCAACGCAUUGGCAAUGAAUGGAAGGACCGGGAUGAAUCACAGUGCGCAUGACCUGACACAGUUGAGCCACCAGCAGCAACAGCGAGAUUUAGGAAACCAAUUGCUCGGGGGCCUUAGAGCUGCAAACAGCUUCAAUAACCUUCAAUACGACUGGAAAUCGGCUCAGUAGAGUGAGCAGGAGUCAGAAAGGUCGCACCUGAUAUUAUACAGUUAUCCUUGCUGGGUCCAUCACUGACAACACAAAAGUUACGUCGCCACAACCUGCCCUCCCUCGGAAGUGGCGGGUUCUUACUGAUGGUGCAUGCUACAUGUUACAGCAAAAAGGAAACAUUAGCGAUGAUCGGUACAUGUUACAACAACUGUCUGUAUGGCUGUGUUCCUUUGUAUUCCGCCUGUGGAAUUCAUGUCUGCUUAGGCGAUCCUACCGCAAAAAUGAGAUCUGUGAAAUGAGAGCCUACUUUCACUUGUGCCCAUUGGGGCAAGUGUUGGCGGAUUCCAAACUGGGGGGAAGAUCAGAGCGUCUUUCCCCUGUUUUUUCGGGUUGGAUGACGAUGAUUUCUCUCUUCCAGUCUGUACUCUUGUGUACCAUGGCUCUCCGUAAGUUGUGAAAGCAUGAGUACCUAUUUCCACCUUUGAUGGCCAAGAAUCUCAUUGUAGCUGUGCUAUACUAUGUAUAAGCUGUUAUUUACUAGUGGAAAGCAUCAGGAAAAUUUUCUAAAAGAGGGUGUGAAUCAUGAUGUCUCAUCUGUGUACCUGUUCUUCGGAUGAAUGAUCUCGUUUGGUUGCUUGAUAGCAGCAGGUUGAUCUGUAUACAUGAGCACAGCGUGUUGUCAUUCGCUGACACUCACUAGUAUUGCUAAACACCGCUCUAGGGCAUUCUUGCUUCCUCUUUUCCUUUGUUUGAUUAACAUGGGUUGGAAGCCGGGCUCUGAGUUUACUAUGUGUAUCAUUCAUGUGCAUUUGUAUUAGGCAACGGAUCUAGUGUAAACUCAUCUCCCGUGCAAACUGUGUAAACUCUAAUCUGGACCAUAGGAUGUUGAUCUAAGGGGCGGAGAGAUUGGGUAAUUUUGCACUUAACCGUCUGCUCUUAAUCACACUUUUACAAAUCCCUCCUUCCACCUCUCUUAUGCGUCUUCUUGGAUCAACAUCCUGCGGUUCAGAUUAGAGUUUGCACAGGAGAUGAGUUUGCACUAGAUCUGUUGCCUUUGUAUUAUGACCUGUAGCUGGAGAUGUGUUGUUCUGGAGAGUAUGCGUGUGUGACAACACAUACGAGUUCACCUCGUCAGGUUCAGCACAAAUCUCCACAUGUGCGGAGAUGGAAGCCCAAGCACCCGUGUGCUAGCACUAGCACCGGCAGAGCUGCCGAGAGGGAGAGAAAAGGGGCUUAUGAUUAUAUAUAGGCUUUGAAGGACCAAAAGUUGUCCUUUUCAUGGGGUGUUGGUACAUUUUUGUACAAGCGGAUAACUUUCUAUCUCUACGGCAACAGCAAAUAUGGUACAAACUAAUAUUGCAUGUUUCAUCUUCACCUAUUAUGGGCACAUUAUUAGUACUAUAAACUAAUGAAUUAUGGUUUAGCCCAUUUAUGGAUAUCCAACCCAUAAUAGGCAUGAUUGCCUCCUGGGCACAUCACCAACAAUAUAUACACAUAUGAAUUAUACUAACAUAUGAUGAAGUGAAAUCAUGCACUUAAUAAACUAAUUAAUGUACUUUGGAUUUGACAUAUAGAGAAGUAUACAUACAUAUAAUAACUGAGCAGUAGCAGAUGGCUGCCCUGCCUGAAUUAAUUAACGCGUCGAUCAUGACAUCCGUAUGCAAGACUAGAGGAGAUACAUGGGUGGUGUAUAUGCGCGAGCAUAUGGACACUUAUGUAUUUAAUUAAGUUGUUCAUGCACGCAUCGAUCGAUCCCAAUAUUACGAUACAACAGUGAGCUAUUAUAUGCUCAUGAGGUGCCGAUGUACUUGUCGAUGAGUGUGGUGAGCGUGGACUUUGGGACGGCGCCGAUGACGCUCUCCUUCUUCUCGCCGGCCUUGAAGAUGAGCACGGUGGGGAUGCUGCGGAUGCCGUAGGUGGACGCCACGUUGGGGCUCUCGUCCGUGUUCACCUUGCAGCACGUGAUCUUGCCGGCGUAGUCCUUGGCCAGCUCGUCGAUCACCGGCGCGAUCAUCCUGCACGGCCCGCACCACGGCGCCCAGAACUCCACCAGCACCGGCGUCUCGCACGCCAUCACCAUCCCGUCCCAAUUCUUCUCGUCCGCCACCAGCACUGCAUCCAUGCCCCAACCGUCAGUCUAUCUAUCUUUAUAUAUUUGCCGCCGGAAAAUACUCCUAUAUAUAUAUAUAUGGUUACCUUCGUCGACGGCGUUCUUGGACUGGCAGACAUGCCGCGGCCGGCGCGUGGCGACGCGGCCGACGGACAGCGGCGCGACGACCGCGGCGGCGGCGGCCCGCUUCGACGGCAGAACCAGGUUACUGCCGCUGCCGCUGCUGCUGCCGACGACGAGGAGCCUGCUGUCCUUGCCACCAGCGGCAGGGGCGGCGUGCAGCGCCCACGCUCUGAAGCACGUCUCCAGGGCCAUUGUUGUUGUCGCGGGUGUGGUGGUCGUCUCUCACACUCACCUCACGCGCGUCCGCGGCGAGAAGGAAUGUGGUGACUAUUCCAGGUGAGCCGGCGUAGGAAGGGAUAGGAUUUGUUUCCCUGCCACUGGAUGGAUAUUUGGGAGCAGGCUGGGGUGGCAUUGUGAGGUGGGCAGGAGCCUCCGGCUGUGCAUGUGGAUGAGGUGGUUUUUUUCAGCUCCGAUCCUGCGCUGUCCACUUGUCCGCACGUGAUGAUCUUCCUUUUUUUUUUUUGUGGUAACAUUUCUCUGCGCUGCUGUCUGGCCUGGGCCACCUCUAAUUCAAGUAAUAUCGUGGUAAAAAGAUCUUGGGAAAAAAUAUCAUAGUAAACCUACAUAUGUCAGUCUCUCCGGUCUCCAUCCAGAAUUAUAAGGUGCAUAUUACAUGCAUUUUGAAAUCCAAAGAAGACCAUGCCAAGUUAAAUAGUGUUUUUUUGGGGUAGAAAUAGGAUUACUAACACAAAAACCAACAAGGCAGAGUUCUACAAAUAUAUAUGACAACAUGCCAAACAGUAAUCAACCUUCAUAAAAAUUAUUUGACAAAAAAAGGAACUAUAUGGCAUAUAUGAAGUUAGCACGUGGGACCCAAACUAUAUACCAUACUCCCUCCGUUCCAAAAUAGAUGUCGCUAUGGGAUGCAUGCGGGUCAAUUUUUCGCAACUUUGACUAGAUUUAUUAUAAAAAUACAUUCAACGAUCUAUUUAAUGAUAUUAAUUAUGUGUUAUAAAUAUUAAUAAUCUUUUAGAUAUAUUUAGUCAAAGUAAAAAGCGUUUUGACUUCUCGGGAUGUGAGAAUGACAUCUAUUUUGGGACGGAGUGAGUAUAUAGGGGGUGAUUGGUUGCCGCGACGGUGGCAUCCUAAUGCCCAUCCGAUAUGAUUCUGUGCACCUAGCCCGUGUUUGGUUCCUCAACUUGUAUCGUUUGGUGUAUCUUCUCAUUCUCUUUUCCCCCUCCGUUCCGGUUGAGACCUCUUCUUGAGGCGAGCUUCCCUCGCCAUCCCGGACGGUGCGCUCCUUGGCGGGAAGGGGAGGCGCGAGCGCGGGAGAUUGGAGCGUCCUAGCGCGCGCGGGUGGGUGUUAGGCUUACCUCCCUUAUUUGGUGCCUCUCCUUUCUCUCCUCUCCCGGUGCGGUGAAUCCUCUUCCACCUUCUCGGCCUCCCUCCGCCAUCAUUGUCGUCGAUCUCUGGCGGACCGUUGGCGGUCCUCCCUAGAUCGCGUCGGUAUACAAGUCACCUCCCCCUCCCCCUCCCCCUCCUCCCCCUCCCCUCUCCCCCUGUAUGAGCUUUGAUGUGUGCGGUGAUUUUGUUUGCGGUUUAGAGCUAGGGUUCUUGAUGUUACCCGGUUAGAUCUGUGCGGUGCUUGUGUAGAUCUACCAGUCAACUUGUGAUUUCACAUGUUUUACAUUCAGAUCUGUGAUGGUUAAACCCUUUUUUUGAGCUUUGGACAUGUGGUGGUCUGCCCUUGCACUUGCACAUGAUGAUACUUUGAUUUAUUACAAACUGAGCAAAGUACCUAUGGUUGAUGAUGUGAAUGUAACUGUAGGCGCUGGAGGAGCACCUUUGAGUGUGGCAGCCGCGCCUUGUUUAUCUUGUGAUGGCUGAACUUUUGCUUGCAUUCUCUAAUAUGUACUGAUAAGGGUAAAUUUCUGUAAUAAGCACUGAGACCUAUGGCACUUUGCAAUGAUGUAUUGUUUCUUCUCUUGCAUUUUUGUGCGGUUAAUAGAACUUUGGCGCUAUCGAAUUGCCAAUGAUGAUAUCUUAUUUGCAUGUCAAGUGUGUUACCAAAAACGGAUGACCUUGAGCUUGUGUUCAGGUACUAAAACUUUGUUUCUUAUGCUCCAAGCUCAAGGUCAACCGAGGAGCAUCUAAUAUCUGAGGCCAAUCUGUUCAAUACUACAUCAUUUAUUGCUAUGGUUCAGUCUUUGUUCUUGCUGGUGACUAGAGUGGUAACCUCACCAAAACCAUACACGUGUGCUCUCACCUUUUAUCAUGCACCAAACCAAACACAGCUGGUCACACCAAGUCAUACCACAAAACUGUCUAGACAAGCAACCAAACACGAUUCCUAUGAUCCAGUAUGCUACACUCAUUUGCAACCAAACAAACCAAGGUGCAUGGUUUCAUCUGGAAUAGUUUGAGCCUGCAGAGGCCCUCCAUCCCGGAUGGCAGACCAAGGAGCAACCAAUCACCCCCAUAGCUAGGGAAGUUGUAUCCACAAGGUUUGAUAGUUGGAGACUUUGUUUUUAUAUAGUAUAUGUUUGGAGCCCUAUGUUGGAUACUUGGAUUAGUCCCAACAUGAAUCUUGGAGUGAUCGAAAUAGGGGUAGAAACUAGUUUGACCACACAAUAAAUAUCAAAUUAUACAUGAAAUAUAUAGAAAAUUGCAAUGGAGAAGAAACGAACAGGCAAAAUACAUGCUCCGUUGACCUACCUUGAUCACUAUGACAGGAGGAUAUGAGCUCUGGAAGUGUUACCGUAGAUGCUAAAACACAUGGUUGGCCACACUCCGUUCAAAAAUUCACGAAGGUAGGAGUUCUAAGUUCUAACCAAAGCUAUGUCGCAACAAUACCAGCGCACGGCAUGCUUGUCAUGCUUCUACCACACAAAAUCCAGUGAUGAGUUUGGUACAAUGACAGGUAAGUUCAGGUGGAGCCAGCAAAAUGAACAUAAAAAUGACCGGUUGAAUUGGGAGAAGUUGAUGAGGCCAAAAGAAAAAGGUGGCCUGGGAUUUUGAGACCUGCAUAAUUUCAAUCUUGCUAUGUUAGUUGUUAGGUUAGGGCAUCAGGCUGUUAGUUGUUAGGUUAGGACAUCAGGCUUAAGAGCCUCUGUUGUCACUCCAGUGGCCGGAACAGAUACAUGUCCACCCUUUGUUGUCACCCUAAUGUCAGUUUGGGUCUUGCGGACAUGCAAACCUAGUCUGCAAAAUUUCUUUUCUGAGGCAAGCCAUGUCAUUUGAGACCACAUUCACAUUACAUUUACAUAAAUAUAUUUUUGUGGCACCAGAGACAAAUGGGCACCAGAAACAAAUAGAAUGCGUGGUAGACAUUGCUCAACUUACAUUAGUCAGAUCAAGCUGAAAAUGUUUGAGAAACAUACAUGGCCUCGAAGAAAGAUUUAGACUUACUAUCUGACAUUUUGUACAUACUCCAGAGCAAGGAAAAAACAUAAAAAAGAAGAAGAUGCAUCUCUUGAAGGAAAUUGAAUACUUCACUUUCAAGUAUUUGCACCUCUUUCUCGUCGCCCCUGCUGUCCAGAAGAUUUAUGGGACCUAUUAUCUGGUCCGGCAGUGGGAAUAGUCUGCAAGCUUGCUCGCUCUUUAAUCAUUGCUGCGCAUAUGAAUGAUGAAAAACAAUUAUAAAACAUAAAUGUGGUAAAGAUGAAUGGUGAAGUUCUCUCAGGAAAACAUACACAUUGCUAUGUCCUGCAUUUGUCCCAUGCCAGCUUCCACUGCUUGCGCAACCUUUGCUGACUUAUUGACACCAUCUGCUAUCUCAUGACUGCAAAUGGAUAUGCCACACACUAGUUAGACGACGGUAUAUGCCUUUCUUAAAGAAAAAUAGCUAGCACCUUUUCCAUUUGCUAGUUCUAGAUUAGUGCCAUCUGUCUUAGGAUAACAGAUCCUACUUGAAUAUGCAUAGUCUGUGACUUGACUUUAUAAAGAAUACAUCAAAAUCGCUUCUAAAGUUAAUUCAGCUAAACUAUUUUAUGGAACUAAGCACAUCAAUAUCAUAAUGGGCAGGCUUUUUGGCUACCAAGUCAUUGUUGAGCCCUCUCCAUCAGUGCUGCAUUCUCAAUCUUGCAAGGAGUCCAACAACCCAAAAUUUGCUACUCCACCAUUUGCUUCCAUUUGUCAUGUGAAGCUAUUGGCUUCCUCGGUAAGCUUGGCCGCCACAGCCAUAUGAUGGUGGGCUGGUGGCACAUAGGUGCUGCUUUUUUUACUAACAUCAAGCAUCAUCGUUCGCAAAAAAAAAAAAAAAAAAAAAAAAAAAAAAAAAAAAAAAAAACAUCAAGCAUCAUGAAUCUUCUGUGGCAGCAACUGCUCAUUCGCAAAAGCCAUAACGUCCAUCUGUUGACUCUGAAGAUUCAAUGGCCAACAACUUUGACCACUACCAAACCUCGAGGACAAGCUGUCUUGGAGAGGUCAUGUAAUGUCAUGGGCAGUAUAGGCCCAUGAAGGAGAUUAGUGUGCCUCCAAAAAAGGAAAAUGGCCCAAGUUAAUAAGGUUGGCAGUUGGCUAGAUGUUAAUUAGCAAAUAAGAUAGGGUUAUCUAGAGAUAAGGAUUUAUUAGGUGUCACCUCUAUGUAAACAGAAACAGAUUAGAAUCAAGCAAGAAGAAAACUAGAAAGUAGUCAGAGCCUGCAGAGGGAGGGCGACUAACUGGUUCUUCCCUCUAUCCCAACCAAAUCCAUAUAUCACAUAAUAUAGACUAAACAUCAAGGAUCGCUGUCCAAAGAUAUGAACUGGAAUUGAGGUCCUUUGGAAUUUAUGAAUGUCUGAAACUAUAAACCAGCAGAUGUUAGAAUGAUCUGUUACAGUGUAUGUUAACUGGCGCCUGAACUACUAAAGGGAAAGAAUGUGCCUAUGUUGACAGGAGUACUACUCCCUCCAAUAAAAAAUACAAGUCCAUAUAGAUUUAUCCAAAGUCAAACCUCUUUUUAACUUUGACCACAAUAUUUAAAAUUUUACAUAGAACAAUACAAGAAUAUGAAAGUAUUUUCUGUAAUGCAUCUGGAACUAUCAAUCUUAUGUUACUAUAAGAUUUUUGAGUUCAAUGGUCAAAGUUCAAUAAUUUUGACUUAGGGCAAAGACGAACCAAGAUGGGUUUAUAUUUGUCAGAAAGUAUAUUGAACCCAAACAUCAUUUCACGCAAUAUGUACUCCAUCUUUACACUCUUACCUCAAGUCACUAAGUCCAAGGGUAAGAUCAGUGACUUCCAUGCCAGAAAGCCUUAUAGCAGCCAUUGUACUCGGUAAUUCCUCAAGAGCUGCAUCUGCCAGCAUGGUAAAUGAAUUUGCAGCUCUCCUCAUAGCCUGAUGAGCAGCAAAGUCUUAAAAUUCUAUCAGACUAAUUACACUACGGGAAUAUAUAACCAGUUAAGGAAUAUAAUAGGCAAAACCAACUGUUUCGAACUGAAGCAGCACAAACUUCUGAGUUACAACUGGCAUGUGGCCUCAUCAGAAAUAAGCAUAUAACAAUUGAAAAAUUCUCAAAUCACUUGUGGGUAUAUGGGGAUGGUGGUCUCUACAUGAGCAUAAAAAAAAUCAUGAACAAACUCAAUUGCAUUUGGGAGAAACAGAAAAAGACAAGUUCAGGUAUAUGGCUGCUACUAUUUCUAUCAAGCUUGAAUGCUUGAUCAUGAACAAAAUGUCUCUGCCCCCACACCCACGAAAACUUAGAGAAAUUCUGACCACUUGUGGACUAGCUUCAUGAGGUUUUUCACCGAGAAGUUGGUUUGGAGUUGAUAGAAUCUCACAGCCCGAUGUAUAUACAUUUGUCUGGGUCAUUAAAGAAAGAGUCAUGGAGCUUAGGAAUAUUGAUAUUCUUAACUAACAAGGAGCUGCCAUGUAAUUAGUUCCAAGUAGAAGAUGUAACACGAUAAUUGCACUUUGACAACCCUUACAAAUCUUAUUCCUGGGACAGACAUUGUUAUUAAUUCCAAAUAGAAGAUAUACUGCAUCAUAGAGGAUUGCCUUUACCCAUUCAUUCAGUAAGUAUGAUGGACUAUAUAUAUCUCCUUUAAGUUUUAACCGCCACGAACCCUCAAAGCUUCAAUGGGGGUAAAGCAGCAUAAAGCAGUAAAAUUCUAAUCUUUUUGAAAAAUACUGGAAUGGUUACCAAUUGCAGCAUUCCUAACUAAAAGCAAAUUAAUCACAAUAGAAACAGCAAUUGCAGAGCUCAACUUUACAGGUUAAGCUAGGAUCAGUAUCGCAAGACUUACUAGCAUCGUCGGAAUCGCGACGGCCACCAUGCUCGAGAACGCUACUGACGUCUGGCCGGCCGCACAACAAAAGGCAGAACAGCCGAUGAGCUUAUAUUGCACAAAAGGAAAGGAGCCAACCAAUAGAGGCCAAGCCCAGGCCAGGCGAGUCUCACCGUGACGGCUACGGCGGUCAGGAGGAAGAACACCGGGUCGCCAGCCGGUCCUGCGCGGCCCGCGCGAAGAAGCGCCGGGAGGCCAGCGGCGCCCACGCUCGGCGUGUACACCCCGUCCCCGUACUCCAGUUGCUCCGCCGCCGCCUCUGUCGUAUCAUCUGCCACCGCGCCGCCCAGCUCCCCGAAAUCAGCCGCGGCUUCGUGGUCGGAGCGUUUCUUUGGAAAAGGGGAAGGGAGAGACUGCGGCGGCCGGGGCAGGUGCGUACGGAAUGAGGCCGUGGGAGGCCGCGUACGGUGAAGACUGCGGAUGGGGAGGGAGAUGUGGUGCAGGAGGCCGGGAGACGGGGAAGCGUGCAGGCGAUGGUGGUGCUGAUGGUGGCCUGACAUGUGAAAACCGCGGAUGGGGAGGGAGGGGCACCGAGCUCCGAGCUCCGAGCGCCGAGCUCGACAGGACGGCUGCUGUGAGGAGCGAGCGAGGUUUCUCCGCGGUCGAGUUCCAGAACUUCGGGGGCGUUUGGAUUGGUUCUUGUUUGGCAAAAUUUGCCACAAGACACUGGCCUUGAUUAGUUCCAAAAUAUUUUGCAAAAUCGACACUGUAGUUUUUUCGUUUGUAUUUGACAAAUAUUGUUCAAUCAUGGACUAACUAGGCUCAAAAGAUUCGUCUCGUCAAUUCCGACCAAACUGUGCAAUUAAUUUUUAUUUUUGUCUAUAUUUAAUACUUCAUGCAUGUGUCUAGAGAUUCGAUGUGACGGGAAAUCUGAAAAAUUUUGUAAAAUUUUUUGGGAACUAAACAAGGCCACUGUUAAAAUGUGGCUUUUGCCAUAGACCAUUGAAAAAACUUGUCUUUGCCAAGAGACACUGUAAAUCUGGAGUAAUAUGCUACAAGACACUAAACUUAUUAUUAUAUUUGAUAUUAAUAGACAGUCACACAAAAUGACGAAUAUACCCUUUUUAAGUAACAAAAAAUCAAGCGCUUAGAAGACAUGUAGCCAGAAAUCAAGCGAUUAUUAGGUGUCUAUAUUAGAUUAGAUCAGAUCAAAACGAGAUUAGUCUACAAUCUAGAUCCAAUCCAAGCAUGUAAUAGUGUUUGAUGAUCCAGUUGAGCUACUCACGAGGAUGCAGCGUGCUGCCGGAGAUCCGCGUGACCCACAUGAGCCAGCGGCGGCACACAUCGACAUAGGCCCGCCGCGUCCUCGCCCACGCGUACACACCACUGCCCCCACGCCGGCGUGCCGUUGCGGAACUGGUCCUCCGGAGAUAGCCCCUGGCCCCGCUGCAGCCUGCAGCUGAUCAUGUGUAGGGAAUGCGAACGGGUCACACUGUCGUCAUCACACACAGAGGCCGCAUCGCCAUCGUUGUCGUGGUGGUGGUGUCGAUGGUUGGCGCCCCCAUUGGUGGCGUGGACGGGCAGGAUGCAGUCGGAGAGCAGGGCGUGGAUUGGGAGGUCGGGCUAGGUCUUGUAAAGGCCAUGGAAGACAAAGGCGUUUGCCGGAGACUUCAGCGAAAAGGGGAGAGGAAGGGAGCAAUGGAUCGCAGGAAUCGGCUGCAAGGGAGGAGAUAAAAGAAAAGGACAUAUUCGUCAUCUGGCGUGGUUGUAAUGCGUCUAGUGUCCUACAGCAUAUUAGUCCAGAUUUACAAUGUCUUUUGGCAAAGACAAGUUUUUUCAAUGGCCUGUGGCAAAAGGCACAUUUUAACUGUGUUCCCUGGCAAAAUUUGCCUUCUUGUUUUCGACUUGGUCUGGCCAGCCAACUAAGCCAGGUACCUCACAAUCUGGCUCUCCCAACAUAAGAGGUAGUUGUUUGGUUCACUUGUCUUAACUAAAUAUGGAUUACUUUGAUUAUGUUUGGUUGUCUUGCUCAACUUGAAUACAAUCACCUCUUUCUUGUUCUAGUAGCUUUAUCUCUUUGAGGGAUUACAUCGAACGGUUGGUGAGCAUUAGAAUCUCCAUUGCACUGUAGACGAGCUCUGCCUCGCCGAUGCUGCAGACGUUGCAGACGAGCUCUGCCUCCGGCCAUGGCUCCCACUUGACGAACUCCUGACCAUGGCAUGGGCUCGAGGACCCCCGGCCAUGGCUCCCGCUCGAGGACCUAGCUGUGCGAGGAGGAAGGGGAGGAGGUGUGCAGUGACCUUGUUGGCGUGGAUUUGGAGGUGGGGGCGAAUUUUGGGUCAAGCCACCGCAGGAGUGCGAAGACAGCCUCGAUGAGGAGAAACUCCCCGAUGGAGUCCCAGCCUCCCAGGUGCGAGCCACGAAGAGGAGGGACACCACGACACCCACCUCGCUCCUCCGUGCGGCCGUCGAGCAACUCCACCACCACAGCAUCAAGCUCCUCACAGUCGCGCUGCUCGACAAGCCUACGCCGGCGAUGGGAAGGAGUGGGGAAACAAGCAGGACUCGUUCACUCAAAUGUGGAGCUCGCCGCUCGGGCGAUAGGGGGAAGAGGAGGCUCGCCAGCCGGUGGGGUGGAGGAAGAGGAGGGCUCACCGACCGGGUCUUUUGGAGGAGGAGCACCAAAGUCGAAGGGAGGGACCAAAGGUGACGAGAACCGUCACUCGUCUCUAGCUAAGCCAGGCUCCGCGAAAACGCCCGAAUUAGGUGUUUCUAGCAAGCCACCUAAUUAGUAUAAAAUGAGCUUGUGAAAAUCUGACUACCAGGUCUGGCACUCGUAGCCUCAUUGCCUGACGAGGAUGUGAACCGGAUCUCCAACCGGAGUAUCUCCAAUUAAUUUUAAGAGUAAAGUCUACCACCGGUCCUUAAACUUGUAUUGUUAUAUCAUCCUGGUUACUAAAUUUACAAAUUGAUCGUUUAGGUCCUCGAACUUGUUCAUCUAUGUCAUCUCGGUCCCUAAACUUGUUUAGUUGUGUCAUCCUAGUCCUUAAACUUAGAAAUCACCCGUUUUAGGUCCUCAAAAUUGUUCAGUUGUGUUAUCCCGAUCCCUAAACUUGGUUUUGAAUCUCAUCUGAGUCAAAACAAAGCGAUCUAAAAACUCUAUAUCAAAAAAUAAUUCAUAAGUUUUUCAUAUGAACUCGAAUGAAGACAAACUUUAUACCAAAGUUAUAGUCCUCAACAUAAUCUACAAUUUUAUAGUUGAAAAGUUUUUUAUUUGAAGUCCUUUAGUAUUAUAAAAAUUCAAUUUUAAAUUUUAAAUUUCAAAAUCUAUAAACCUAUAAAAAAAUAUUUUGGGACCCUAAACGGUUUUAAUUUAAAAACAUUUCAACUGCGGAAGUUGUAGAUUGCGUUGUUGUCUACAAUUUUGAUAUAAAAUUAUCUUCAUUUGGAUUCAUAUAAAAAAGUUAUGAGUUAUUUUUCUAUAUAUAGUUUUUAGAUUCGUCCUGUUUUUAUCCAAAUGAGACUUAAAAACAAGUUUAGAGACCGGAAUGACAUAAGUAAAUAAGUUUGAGGACAUAUAUGAGAGAUUUUUAAGUUUACGGACCAGGAUGAUAUAAUCGAACAAGUCUAGGUAUCUAAACGGUUAUUUUGCGAGUUUAAGGACUAAGACGACACUUUCGAACAAGUUUAAGGACGGUUGAUGGAUUUUACUUUAAUUUUAAUAUAUUUAAACACGAUAGCUGAUACGGAGUACAGUUGGACUAACUUUUUAGCCAAAGUUUUAAGCAAUUGUUUUUUUAACUAGCUUUAAGUAGUUGUGAGUUAACUACUCCCUCCGUCUGCAGUGAAAAAGUGUAUAAACGUAGACAUAAAUUAUGGCCUUGUUUAGAUACACCUAAAAACCCAAAACUUUACAAGAUUUCCCAUCACAUCGAAUCUUGCGGCACAUGCAUGAAGCAUUAAAUAUAGUUAAAAAAGAUAACUAAUUGCACAGUUUAUCUGUAAAUCACGAGACGAAUCUUUUAAGCCUAGUUGCUCCAUGAUUGGAUAAUGUUUGUCAAAUAAAAACAAAAGUGCUACAGUGUCAAAAUCCUAAAACUUUUUGCAUCUAGGCCUAUGUAUAGAUACAUUGAAUACUGAGUGAACCUGGAUAUUGAGUGGCCCUCCUAAAACAACGCACAAAGAGGAACAGAGGAAGUAGCUAGCCAACUAUAAUUAGUUUUAGAUUAGACUAUUUUUUUUAGCCUCAACAAGUAAUUAACAGUGUAUCAAAAACAGACCAUUUAAACUAGCUUUAAGUAACUGUUAGUUAACUAGCUAGUCAACUAUAGUUAAUUUAGACUAAUUAUUAGCCUCAUCAAGUAACUAACAUGUGUAUAAAAAACAGACCCAAAGCUAGCAAAGAAAUUAAAUAAAAAUAUCCAAAUUACCUGUAGGUGGGUUUGCUACCACCGUUUUAGUAGAAAUAGUAUUGGAUUGGCACAUUGAUCGUUUCUAAUUCUUGCGACAAUAGACAAAAUCAAUGACGUUUUACUCCACAAUCACUAGAUUUGUUUCUCUCUUUUUUUUUGUCUACUAGUAAAGAGAAAUAGGAGCUGCCAGGUUUCACAUGAUUCUUAUUUUUGCCCCCAUUUAUACUAGCAACCAUAAUUUUUUACAUAAUCUUUUAAGCAAAAUAAAUUAAGUUGGGUUGUAUUUAGAUUGUUCUUCACCUGUUUUUUAUUUUUAAGAGUAUUUUCAUCCAUAUGGUUUUUAUGAAAAAAAAUUAUUUUUUAAAUUAGAAUCUAGCUAACUAUCCAAACAAUCUUAGAAAGUGAUUCCGGUUCAUCGUGUAUUACGUUUUUGAGAGAAUUUUAAUCUAAAAUGUUAUAUGAGAAUUUGAAUCCUUACAACCAUAUUUUUUUCAUUACAAUAUUGUUUAGUUUACGAAAAAUAUUGAUUUUGGCUACCGUAGCAUUUUUGUUUGUAUUUGACAAAUAUUAUCCAAUCAUAGACUAAUUAGGCUUAAAAGAUUCGUCUCGUAAAUUACAGACAGACUGUGCAAUUUUUUUUAAUUUUUAUCUAUAUUUAAUGUUCCAUGCAUGCAUCUAAAGAUUCGAUGUGACGGAGAAUCUUAAAUUUUUUUUGAUAUUUAGAAGGAACUAAACAAGGCCUAAUUCGCGGAACCUGGUUGAUGGGUACCACCCUACAGCAAGCCGAACUACACUAUGACCUCGUUUAGUUGUCAGAAAAUUUUGCAAAAAGUUUUAGAUUUCUCAUCACAUCGAAUAUUGCGGCACAUGCAUGAAGUACUAAAUAUAGAUAAAAAAUAACUAAUUACACAAUUUAUCUAUAAUUUACGAGACGAAUCUAUUGAGCCUAGUUAGUCCAUGCGAACAAUAUUUAUCAAAUACAAACGAAAGUGCUACAGUGUCUAUUUUAAAAAAAAAAUAGAACUAAACAAGGCCUAUGUUUAUUGAAAAUCAUUUUCCUAUAAGAACAAUUCUAAUGAGACGGAAAUGUUUAUUCCAGAACUCAAAAAAAAUGGUAUCCAGCUCGCAUUUAACACAAUAGUCAUAUAAAGUAUCUCCAACAGUUUGCCAAAAUUCACUUAGCAAAUAUUGUGAUUUGUCAACUCUCUAAAAUAUAUAGCAAGUGAAAAAACGGACUCUCUCUAAUAGUUUGCUAUUUUAACUUAGUAAACUUUUAAAAAAUAGGCCCACAACCUACUGUUCCCAACUUAAAGAACCUGCAUAUUAUCUAGAUUUAUAUUUCAUUCAGUUUCUAGUAGAAUAAAUGUCCACAAUAUUUAUUGUCUUGUGAAAAUUUUGGUUUGCAUUCAGAAAAAGGAAACAAUGAGCAUCCACAUUCAGAAAUAGGCAGCAAAAUCAGUGCGUCCGCGUCCGGAACAAAGGCCUUGUUUAGUUCACAAAAAAAACCAAAAACUUUUCAAGAUUCCGUAUCACAUCGAAUCUUGUGGCAUAUGCAUAGAGCACUAAAUAUGGACGAAAAUAAAAACUAAUUGUACAGUUUAUUUGUAAAUCGUGAGAUGAAUCUUUUAAAUCUUAUUACUCCAUGAUUAAACUAUGUUUGUCAAAUAAAAAUAAAAUUACUACCGUUUCGAAAACCAAAAAAUUUUCGGAACUAAAUAAGGGCCAAAGCAGAAACUGCCGGCCGGCCACCAGCAGCAUCAGCAGAUAUCUGACAACGGCGAGGCGUGGUGCAUCACCUAAUAGCAAGUAUUAUGGUGGGCUGUAAGCUGACUAAAUGCUGAUGUGGAGGAGAGAAGUGAGGAGAGAGAGGAGAAGCAGGCUGUAAGCUUACAGCCAGCUUAGACACAAUAACCAAGAAACUUUGUGAGAGAGAUAAGUAGGCCAUGUAUUAAUAGUGAAUAGCUACCUAUUGUAUGGAUAGGCUGGGAGAAGGCUGUAAGAAACCUUACAGUCAGCAAGUGGGCUGUAUUAUUAUACUUCUCUAACAGCGGACAGCAACAUCACAAGAACGGCAAGGUGCUGUGCAUCACCUGACACCUGAUAGCAGGACCGACGGUGAGACGUCCGUGGCUAGCGAUGCGAAGUGCGAUGCGCGCGCGGAGGGGUGGAAUAGCAAAUUGUUAAAAAUAGCAACCUCAUUUGGUAAUUUGUUGGAGAUGAAAUUUUAGUGUUUUACCAAAUUUUUAAAGAUGACAACCUUAUUUAGCAAACUGUUAGAGAUGUUCUCACAACUUAUUUCCACCGAACAAUGGUCUCAAUGUAUUACUGGGCGUUUCAAUACGUCUAAUUGCAGUGUUAAAAUGGGUUUUUGAGUAUACGUCUACACAUGUUUCAUGUUUAAGCCUACCUAGUUUGGAGCUGUGUAUAAUGAACCGAGUACACUUUGCUUCGAGCUCUUUUUAAAAAAUUAACAUAAUUUUAUUUAUUAUAGUCACUUGGUUUAUUUGAGACCUACUUUCAGCGAGUCAAGCCAAAGCCAAAAAUCAUUCAAAAUCAACUUAUUAUUUUUAUUUAAAAAAUAUGUUCAAUCAGAAUAAUCUUAGGCCUUCUUCAGUUGGUAAAAUUUUUGAUAUAAGAUACUAUAACAUUUCCGUUUGUAUUUGAUAAAUAUUGUCCAAUCAUAAACUAAUUAGACUUAAAAGAUCCGUCUAGUAAAUUACAGACAAACUGUAUAAUUAGUUGCUAUUUUUAUAUAUAUUUAAUAAUUUAUAUCGAUAUAAUGAAAAAAUUAAAAAAUUUUAGAUACUUUUGGAAAGCCUAUCCAACCAGCUAGGGAUGAAAACGGAUCGGAUAUGGACGGAUAUCACCGAUAUCUUAUUUGUUUUUAUAUUUCUGAUCGGAUUCGGAUUCGAAUACGGAUAAUGUAAGAUAAGAUUAAAUGUCGACAUCAUAAAUAUACGAUUUAAGUAUUCGGAUACGGAUACGAUAUCGGAUGUUAAAUAUUCAAACUCAGAUAUAAACAGAUCUAAAUCUCUUUAAAUAAUUCGAUCUCAAAUAGAAAAUAUCCGCAACAUUUUCCUCCAAACAACCGGCUCAGACUCGCCAACUCUAUAGUCGACACUCGACACUCGAGUCCCGGAGGCAGGACACUCGCAAGGUCGGCGCCCCUCCUCGGCUCCUCCCAAUCUCCAAACAGCCCAACGGAAAUGCUAUAUUUGCAGAAAAGCCCCCGUUCAAGUCCGACAUCCCGAAAGAAGGCGACACUCGGAGGGCUUUCCUGCAAGUUUCGAGAGCGGCAAAGAAGCACUAGGGCAUCCACCUCGGCGGCGGCGGCGGCCUCCAUGUCGACCCCUUCCGGCAACGGCAACGGCGGCGGCGCCACCUCCUCCUCCGCGCUCUACGAUUUAUACGGCCCUAACGUACGUGCUCUCUUGCUUCUUCGCCUCCCGCUCCCCCGUCCCCUCUCGGAAAAUUAAGGUUUCGGCGUGGUGUGACAUGAAGGGGAAUUUGUCAUCGAGUUGAGCUGAGUUGGUCCGUUAUUGCAAAAAAAGAUCGCAUUUUUUGCGUUCUCUGUUUCUCUGUUAGUGUUAUUUUUUUAAUCUCCGAUGUGUGGCAAAACUGGGUGCUGCGGUGGUUGGUUUUAGCUACGAGUAUGUUAAUUUGAUUGGUUGGAAUUCUUCCAGUAGGAGUUCUGCUGAGAUUGAAACAGGGGAUGUUGUAUUGCAUCAUGACUGAGGGGACUGUGAUUGACAUCAAUGUUCAUGGGAUUAUGUGUAAAUUUUGCUACUAGCCUACUAAUGGGGGGCUUACUGUACCUAUGAAGUUUGCACUGUUGUUUCAAAGCAAAUUUGUGCAAAUGGAUGUUAUGGAAAUUAAGCAAUGAUGGUGGGUUGGGACUUGGGAGACUGGCUUACUGGACUCAUCCAUUGAUCAACUUUUAGCCGGCUCAACAUUUUUCAAGGACAAAGCUUGAAACUUCCAUAGCUUGUUUAUUUAGGAGUUCUAUACUUUGAAUUUCGAAGGUGUGAAUCCAGAUUGAUUGCUUGAUAGAUAGCAAAAUGGGGCUCCUCUAGUUCAAAUAGUGAAGUGAUACUGCACUUGUAGUAAUGCUAUCUGUAUUCAAAUAGUAAUGCACUGGGAGCCUGCUCAUCAACUUAGGGAUCGCUCAUCAAAUUAGUGACUUUCUAAGUUGAAUCCAAUAUCAGUUGUUUGUACUAGAGCUAUCGACAUGGCAUAAUAAUUGACUAUUUGGUGAUGGCAUGCUGCCUAUUUAUUAAUUUAUAAUAGUGUACUCUCUAAUCUUCAUUUAGUUGAAAAGUUAGCUGUUAGUUGUGUGCUUGUUGGUGAAUCAUUCUUGUGCUGCUGCCUGAUUACUUUGCUCAUAGACACUGUAGCUGUCUUUUUUUUUUUUUGUAUUUUUGGUUUCCAACUCAUACUGUCUCUUCUUGUUUAUCCUGUCCAGGCGAAGCCUGAUGUUGUUUUCAAGGAGGCUGCUUUAAACUCCACACUAAAUCUGCAGGUUUGUUCAUAAUAAAAGCUUAGUGAAAUUUGGCUCGUGAAAACUAUUCUUGUUCUUGUAUUUUAGUAAAGAGCCAUUUUGUUGUAAUGCAGGACGUUCAGGGUCUAGUUACUUGGGUUAUUGGUGAUGGCAUGCUGCCUUCUUGGGUGUUUGUUAAGGUACCCCCUUAUUUUUUGAGAUUAAGGUACUUUGUCCUUCUGGUUGUGCUCUUUCAAACAUGUCUUACUUUUUUGAGGUAUUGAUAUGUUAUCUUAGUUUCAAUUUGUAGAGCUUGGUCUUUUCUUGCUGUUAUCUUCAUCACAUUCUAUGAAUCUUAACAGAGUUUUUUCCCCCACUGCACUUCAGUGAUCAACCCACUCUUCAUGCAUUUGAUUUCUUCUUCUAUUAGUUUAGUUGUAGGUUAUUUGUCAGCUUUCACAAAUAUUAUCUUUAUUAACACUACAAAUAUUCCUGUUGGUUUUCAGAACAAACCUCUUAUACCCAGAGUUGUCCUACUAUAUGUUCCUGGCCUUGAUGCAGCUUUAUAUAUGUCACAAACUCGACUUCUUUCUUCUCUGAAAGAAUUAUGUGGCAAUCCAAAACCUGUUCUAGCUUCAAGGUUUGUGUUGUUCAUUUUGUGUUAGUCUACAGUUAGGGACUUCUUCCUAUAUUGAUUGAUAAUCUAAUCCUAUUCUAGCAGCUGUAUACCGGAUGAGAGGCACACCAUUGAUGCACUCCUAACCUGCAGAAUAAAGAGAAAGCGUGAUGUAAAAACAUCAAAUCAGUCAUCUAAACCUGACAUAGAUGGUAUGUCCUGACAUCUUGGCACUGUGUUGUCAAUGUGGUUCAGGAUGAACAGUGUCCUGCUUUAUUGGGCCUAGUGUUGGUCUGUUUAUUAUUGUGAUAGCCACCAGAAGAUUUGAGCUUGACUAUGAAGAAUGGCAUGCUUUUUUUUCUUCUUCUCUCGAACAUGGAGGAGAGCUGGCAUUCUUAUUUCAAAGAUUCUCAUACUGAUUUGACAAUUUCAAUCCUUUUGAUUGCCCUUACUUGGUCACAAGUUUUUCAUUUUAAGCUGACAUUACAGAUGAUGAAUUUUUCUUUAUACACUUAUCUAAAUGCUAAUUGUGUUUUUAUCAGUCAUAUUUCAUCACUGUCAGUAUGGCAUCUUGCAUAAGUUUAUGACUAUAGCAGUAUUUCCCUCUUAAUUCAUCUUGUAGUAUCAGCCAUAUACAUCUCUUGCUGACCACUUUUUAUCUGGUUCUCUAAGCUGAAGAUGCUCUCUUAUUUCUGUAGCAUUUAUUCUAUUUAUUUGUUGUAUAUGUAUGUUUAUUGACAUUAGAGUAGAUAUAUCUUUGUCCAUGGAAAAGCAGGCACUUUUGAACCUAGAUUGAGAAUUUAUGUUUUAUGCAACUGGUUAAUAUUUUUAUUUUGGUCGCAGGAAAACUAUCAAGUCUGGAUGAUCUUGGGGACAUACCAUUUCCUGUUACAUAUUACACACUUUCGAUGAAAGACUUGGAAGAUAAUGGCUACUCUUUCAAUUUACCAGGUUAGCUUCUAUUCCUCUGUUCCAACAUGUAGGUCGUUUCAGUUUUUUUUCUAUGUCAAACUUCUUUGGUUUUGUCCAAAAUUAUUGAAAAAUGUUAAUUGCACCAUAAAGAUGUUUCAUGGUGGAUUUAAUGAAAAUAAUUUGUUAUUGUCGAUGUUGGUGUAUUCUUCUAUAAAAUUGAUCAAAGUUAGUAAAGUUUAAUGGAUAAAACUGAAACAUCUUGUUUUUUUUUUGUUUUUGCGACAAAACAUCCUAUAUUUUGGAAGGGAGUAUUUCAUUGUCCCUCUCCUUGCCCUUUAAUGCCUAUUAUUCAAAUGACAUAUCUUUAUCAUUGCCAUUUUAGGUUUUGUCCCUACUGUUUCAGCUCCUUCAGGUUCCUCACCACAUAAAGUUCUUGCACUUGAUUGUGAAAUGGUAAUGUGACUCCUGAUAAAUGUAAUGAUGUAUGGUUUGAAGCCACUGCUUUGUUUUAAAUAAUUGCACUACUAUUUUAGUGUUAUUGUAUUUGAGAAGGCAUUAUUACAACUGUGCCGGACUGCUGGUGUCAUAAAUACUUAUUGCUAAUAUUUGUUGAAUAUAUCUAGUGAUAAUUUUCAACCUUUGCAGUGCGUGACAGAAGCUGGAUUUGAGCUUACAAGAGUGACACUAAUUGAUAUUAAAGGAUCGGUAUGAACUUUUCUUUCCUACUUUCCUUACCUUUUUUAUGGCUAAUAGUUCUUAAAACAUUUGUUUUCUUAGUGCUUAAUUCCACCUCCUGUCAAUAGUAUGAGGGCAUUUUCCUUUGUUGCUCCUGUAUGAUCCAUUCUUUUCAUCACACUUCGCUGUUCAAUGAGUUCUGAGUUUGUUCUAAUCUUUUCAGGUGGUGCUAGAUAAACUAGUUAAGCCUGCUAAUCCAAUCAUUGAUUACAAUACAAGGUAUAUGGUGCUUUUACCUCCCCUUUAAGUUAGCAUGCACUAUAUUGUGUUUUUUAUGCCAACCUUUUCUUUUGGCACGGUUAUUUUAUAGCUUGGUCUCAAAAUACAUGUCAGAUGUAUUUUGAUGCUUGUCCAUUCUAUUAUGAAUAUUAAAACUGAUUAUUUGUUAUAUGAACUUCAUUUGUCAUAAUAUUCUGAACGGGUUGUUAAGUGUCCAUUACAUGAUGUAAUUGUUUUUUAAUAGCACAGGUUCAGUGGAAUCACUGCUGAGAUGUUGGCUGACGUGUCCACAACCCUACAGGAAAUUCAGGUUAGUUCUUAGAUUUUUUUAGUGAUCUUUUCAUGUGUAUAUUAGGAUGUCAUGAAACAUUGCCUGUGCUUUACACUAUUUUGUUCAUGUUUCCAGGAAGAGUUUGUUGGACUUGUACAUAAAGAAACAAUUCUUGUCGGGCAUUCCUUGGAAAAUGACCUUAUGGCAUUACGGAUAUCCCAUGGUUUAAUCAUCGAUACAGCUGUUUUGUACAAGUAUAAUCGAGGGUCUCGCUGUAAGAUUGCAUUGCGUGUCUUGACAAAAAAAUUUCUCGGCCGGGAGAUCCAGAACACAGGAUCUGGGCAUGACAGUGUGGAAGAUGCUAGGGCUGCUCUAGAACUUGCUAUAUUGAAAAUCAAACAUGGUAAGGACUAAGAAGGCAUUUUUGCUAUCGCUUUUGUUUGGUUAUAACAUCCAUUUCUGUAAGCUGCUAAUGCGGAUAGGGAGACAGACAACAUGGCAUAAGCAUAUCAUUGGUACUUUCUAAUAACUUGUUAACCAGGUCCUGAUUUUGGUUCCCAACCAUCAUUGUCAAGGCGGAAAUUGACAUCUAUACUGCAUGAGAGUGGGAAAAAAUGCUCCCUUAUUGAUGACGUGUCUGUUCUUGAGCGAUAUUCAGAUACUUCUUGCAAUUCAAUUGCUGUUUUUUCUGAUGAUGAUGCCCUCUCCAGAUCAAUGAAGGAGGUUAGUGCAAUACAUUUCUAGGUGUAGACAUUCUUACCAAAAUGUUUUAAGAUGUUUUCAUAAUCAUAAGUUGAAAUCCUACUGCAGGUGAAGAAUGACAAAGUUGCCUUCGUUUGGACUCAGUUCUCAGGAUUGAUAUCUUACUUCCACCGAAGAGCUCAAGAUCCAGAGAAGUUGAAAUCAUGUGUCGCAGAGGCUAUUGCAUUAAAAACAUGUGAUGGAAAAACUGCUUCAAAAAAAGCAAGAAGUCAAAUUUGUCCCGAAUUAAAGGAAAUUUUGUGUGAAUUGGAUAAAAAGAUAAGGCAAUUAUAUAGUGCCCUACCUGAUAAUGCUAUGCUUAUUGUAUGCACUGGCCAUGGUGAUACUCCUCUAGUACAAAGGUAAAGUUACUCGUGGUAAAUCAUCAAUACAUAGUUUCUCAUGGCAAAUUGGCAAUACAUAGUCAUUGCAGAUCAGCAAUACAUGUACCUUUUCCCUUUCUAGUAUAAUUUGGUCUGUUAAGAUACAAGUAAAAGAUGCUCACAAGCUAUUUUAAGUUACAAAGUCAUUGUCCGAUGUUACCUUUAGUAGAAGCAUUAUCAGUUUGUCUUGUAGAGCUGUUCUAUUGCGGUUGCUUACUGAGUGAUGAAAUCACUAUGCUGCCUUUAGGGCCACUUUGUGUUUGUUGCUUCGUGCUGGGCUGCAUUGUCAAAUAUAGUUUAUUUGGAUGAAUCUUAUUUGUUCCAAUAUAAUUGCUAUUAUAGCUCAAAAGUUGAUGCUUAUAUAACCGACAUUAUAGCUCAAAAAAUGAUGCUCAUAUAACCGACAUUAAAAUUUGGAUGUUAAUGCUUUAAAAAGCAUAUGCAAUGCAUCAAUACAUUGUAACUGUGCUACUUCAUGAAGAUUACGGAAAAUGCUUCACCAUGAAGAAGAAACAAUAGACAGCCGGGAAACUAUUGUUCAAGCUUUGGGAGAUUUACAAGCCCAAGCGGAAGUUGCUCUAUGCUUCUGCUGCGUAAAACAUUAAUUGUAAGUGUCUUUAUGCCCUCCUUUUCCUACAAUUUUUUCCCUGGAAGCAGAACAGUGCACCGUUCUGAAUUGUUUUAAACAGGCAUGGCUUCAGCGAUUAUAGAAGGGUGUCAGGCAUGCAUGCUGAAUUGCUGACCUGUUGAUGUGAAAAGUUCUGGCUGACAUAGUUUUGUGGAUUGAAUUUUGAAAGAGAUUCUCAUGCUGUCUUUUUUUGUCAGGCUAGGAUUAGUCUGUAGAUGUCAGCAUAGGGCAUAGUGAUGCAUGAUCGGUGUAUCUUAGCAAGCAGCGUGUCAGCAUAUUGAUAGCAUUCGUUUUCAGAUGAAUAUACGGAUUACGGAGGAAUGUAGGAAACUGUUGUAACAACCAUGUUAUUGUGAUAUUAAAUCAAGUUCUGGAAUCCAUAAUACUAUGAGCCUUACCAUUUACAGUUGCGAAAAAUGUAGCAAAGCUAAAGUGUAUACAGCAUAUAUAUAUUGCAUUCCCUUCUCCUUGAUAUACAGAGGAGGAAACUGUGUUAUAUCAAUCAUUAUAUGAUAUCAAACCAUGUUUUGCAAUUCAUAAUAUGGCCCUUACCAUUUACACUCGAGGAAACUUUGUUCAUGUUUCAGUGGUUUAAUUUUGUUGCUCCAGGGGAAGAAAAUUGUUUUGGGCAUCAACAUGGUGCCUUCGAAACAACUUUUUAUUUGUUUCACCAAUGAUAUGUUUGUAUUUUUUUUAGAUAAUGGAAUGAGGUAAAACAUAAAGAAAGAACUUUAGCCACUGCUGACAGAAGCGCGGUAAAUUGACAAUAUGAAACGUGAACCUGAUCCUGGAUGCAGCAGAAUGCUUGAUGAAUUCCAAUUAUAUGGGCAUCUAUUGAGUUUGUUGACCCCAAACUGUUCUUGAUGGACAGAAGCUCAGAGCUGAAUUCAUUAAUUUAUGGCUAGACCAGUAUGUUAUGGUUGCUUGUUGCUCUCACUCAAAUCUUCAAGUGGGUUCGUUGUAUAAUACAAAAUUGGGUGUAGUUCUGGAGCCAACUAUGUGGCUUUCUUACCUUCAGUGACAGAAAUAUUAGUUACCUGUUCAUGACUGCUCUCUGGAAAGUUCUUAAAUUAGUUGAUGGUGUACUUGCCACUGAUGCGCGGCUUGUUUUAUCUUUUAAGGAAGAACAAAUUGGUAGAUGGGAGCAUGAUUGAUCGAGGAGUUUGCCAUCACUAACUUAUAUUGUAAGAAAUAUUUUCUAUACCUUUUAUAAAAGAACCAUGUUCAUUAUAGCAGACAUCUCAAAUGCUAGUGUGAACUGAUAAUGGAAAUUCAUGUAGCCUGAGAUGAUUCAAUAAUUUCAGCAAGAAUACACACACAUAUAAAAUGUGCGAUAAAAAACAACUGAUUUUGCAUGUCAUUAGUAUGUCAGAAACUAAGUCCACCACGUCUAGUCAGCUACUUGAUCAUAAUCGAUUGAGAACACCUCCAACAAACCAACCUCAUGGACUUAAUUAGUGUGUUGUUUGAGAGUAAUCCACAAACUCUGAUCUACAGACACCUAAAGAGGAGUUCUAGAAAUUUUAUGUUCUCUUUUCUAGAGUUUGCGGAGCCACACAUGUUUGGUUGAAAAACGUGGAGUGGAGCUGUUACAAACAGAGACUAAGGCAAAAAAACAUUAUGAGUUGCUUAAUUUAUUUAGUCCUUGUUUAGUUCACGAUUUUUUUUUGAUUUGGCUACUAUAGCAUUUUCGUUUGUAUUUGACAAUUGUUGUCCAACCAUGGACUAACUAGGCUAAAAAAUUUUGUCUUGCAAAUUACAAAUAAACUGUGUAAUUACUUAUUUUUUUAUUUAUAUUUAAUGCUUCAUGUAUGUGAUAAAGAUUUAAUAUGAUAGCAAAUCUUGAAAAUGUUUAGAAACUAAAACAAAGUGAAUCACUGGUCAGUACGCAUGCAUGCAGGAGCUAUGUCCCCAACUCAUUCACAUUGAUGAGGUAGAACGAGGUCUUGUUUACUUACACCUGAAAUCUAGAGAACUUUUCAAGAUUCCUCAUCAUAUCAAAUCUUGUGGCACAUAUAUAGAACAUUGAAUAUAGAUAAAAAAUAACUAAUUACAUAAUUUAUCUUUAAUUUGCGAAACGAAUCUUCUGAGCUUAGUUAGUCUAUGGUUUGACCAUAAUUGCCAAAUACAAACAAAAAUACUACAAUACUCAAAAAAUUUUCACCUAAGAAACUAAACAAGGCACAAAUCUAGUUGGUUUGUACAAGUGCAUCAUCAUUCACACGACACAUGAACCAAACCAUAUAUAUAAGUUGGUGUGAACUCAGUUGUUUAUACCAUAACAUAACUUGCAUGGUCAGUUGUCGAGAUGUACUUUGGUUAGCUCGAUAGUUUUCUUGGUAUAUCUUUUUUUUAUCCUUUGGUCACUCGUUGUUUGUCCCUUUCAGUUACGUUGCCUUUGAUCAAGAAUGGUUCGAACUUGGGCUCCUUUCGAGUCAUCCUACUAUUAAAAAAACUAUAAUUGGUGACAAUGGUAACCUUCGGAACCUAAGAAAGUAACCUCAACUUGUUUUGUAGAGAAAGGGGAAAAAAAGUCAUUUCAGCUACAAAAGCUAUAUAAUUAAUGGCACCUAACAAAUAGAAAAAAAAUGUUAUCCUGACUACGCAUUUGCAUUUACCACCUGAAGCAACAUAUAUAUAUUUAUGGAAUGCUUAUAAUUCCAUUCUGCAGUGUAUUUCCCUUUUUGGCCUGCUAAGCAGAUGCACAGUUGAUCUUCUACUGUUAGUAGUUAGCAAAAUGAAUUUGUUUUUGUUAUUGACUUAAUUAUUGAGCCAGAAUAAUCUCAGUUUACAUGGUGUUAGCUAAUAACUAGUGCUAACAAAUGCUAAAUUGUUACGACUUGCACGAUACUGACGUGCCAGCCUCUGAACUGUCCAUUCAUAGUUUUACCAGACACGAAACUACUUGCCCAACAACACCUCAUUCAUGUAGUCCUUCCAUACCACUUUUUGCAAUAAACAAUACUUCAGAAAACACUUCUUCACUAUCACAAGCUAAAGCUACAUUCUGAGAAAGCCAAGUCACGCUUACACUGACAGUGUGACUCUUAAGCUUGGAUUUGGUAACCAUAAAUGAUUUUUCUAUUACCAGCAGUUGCAAGGGUGCUUUCAUGUUUCGAUGGUUAUCAUGAUCUUAUCUGAGAGAAAGCAACAUUCUAAUCAGUGUAAGUAUUCGACAUGACAAACGAAUAUACAUCAAAACUUUGGGCUUUCAUAUAAAGACUCCCCAUACAUUUGUUUGUUGUGUAUUGAUAGCAAGGCCUGAACAAUAUAAACCAAUUAUUAUAAUUCAAAUGUCAAAUGCUUACAUGGGGAUCCACAAUAAUAAAAUCACUAAGUUACAGCAUCGGCAUCGUUAACUCCCUUUUAAACGAUACUGUAACCAAUGCAAAAAAAGAAAUAAAAACAAAUGCAAUUACUACCAACAACAAUAUAUAAUUAUGUUAAACUUAGCGGAAGUUUGUUGCGCAUGCCACUUAUUUUGCUAUUAGUUAGUGUGUCGGCUCUUCUUUCUUGCGCCACUUUUCUAAUGCAAACUCACAUACAUUUAGAUACUUUUGUUUCCCCCUUUUUUGGUUCCUCUUUCCUUUCCUUUUCUUUCAUAAAUCAUUUUUUAGAUAAUACCUGGCUUCAUCAAUAUAUAGUUAUAUACAUAAUGUAGAACCUGUAUUUUUAAGGCUUGAGGGUGCAACCACCUUCGAUUCCUCAAAGAGCCUAGCUAGUGCUUGCAUGCUCACAUCCUAAUUGCUUGGAUUGCUACUAUUUGUAUACUCAUGGUUCGUUGUAAUGCAAGAAAAAAACUCGAUCUGCGAGGGCUAAGACAGCCCCUGGACAUUGUGCUUAAGAAGAUCUUUUCACAUAGAUUGAGAAAACCCUCAAAUCUCUGCUCUACCCAUACACAGCGGUAUCGCUGCUCCUGUGAGAUUUGGUUGGCCUUAGACCUGUGCUUUGAUAUGAGAUAGACGAGAAGAUUUUUUUCGUCCCUGGCCAACAAAUUCGCUCCCGUAGAGGGUCGAACUCCGUCCGCAAGGAUGCAACGUGGUGCAGCUAGCCAAAUACAACUUGUUUCUGUUGCAGCAUUCGUAAAGCUCGAAACAAAUUAACAGUGGAGAUGAAACAAACUCACUAAGCUCGAAAUUGUGCAGGCAUGAACAAGAACAUCAAGACGAUGACGUGGAUGACCAAUGAGGCGGCGUAGAUGCAGACCAUCAGUCGUUUGCCCUACUAAUGCACGAGAGAAAUAUCUCGUACGUGAUGACGAAAGAAUAUUGUUAAGGAAGUUAAGCAUGCAAGACGCUAGCUAUUCUCCAUUGUCUUACGAGAGCUGUGACACAUAGGAUAUAUAGCUCAUUGGCCAAUUGCUGAACACGCAUAGGUCCGGUCGGUGAGAUGCAUAGUAUAGACACGAUAUAUAUUAGCUGGGUAUGUUUCCGCAAAGUUAAUAUAGAGAACAUAUAUAUAUAUAGGUACGGUGGUGGAUUGAAAGAGGCUUGUUAAGCCGCCCUCUUGUCGUGCAAAACUAAACAAGCUAGCUAGAGUGACCUCCAUUAUCCAAACCUUACAAACAUCCUAUUUAAUUACCAUGCGCGCUCGAUCAUCCAAGCAAUAAAUUAAAGCUCUCUCAUUCACAACUUAGUUCUUUUGGCUAGCUAGCUUAAUUGUUCCUCGAUCGCUCCAGCUAAUCAAUCAAAGUAGCAAACCCAUCGAUCAGUUUCUUGGGGAAAUUAAACCAGGCCACACAUCGAUUGCAAUGGAGAAGUCGUCGAGGGUCAGGCCAUCGAGGGGCCACUGGCGUCCCGGUGAGGACGACAAGCUGCGGCAGCUCGUCGACAAGUAUGGCCCUCAGAAUUGGAACUCCAUUGCUGAGAAUCUGGAGGGGAGAUCAGGUAUGUAUAUAUCUAGGGCUUCUUUCAAGCUCUCCUGAUUAAUUGUUUCUCCUCCGCUUUCUGAAGCACAUACAUGCAUGCACAUGCAUGAUGACGUGAAGAAAAAGUUUUCUCACCAUGGCUUUGUUUCUUUAAUUAAUCUUGUAUACUUGUGUUGUUCCUUCUCGUUCGUCUAGGCUUUUGUCAAUUCUCGCAUGCAUGAUCGUUUUGGAUGGUCGAGUGACAAGAAAAGUUUGAUCGAUGUUCAUCAUCGUUUGUGUUUGUACACAUAUGUGGAGAAUGUUUAAGUUGGUUUAUGAAUGUGUAAUAAUUAAGAUACUACUAGAUACUAAUUAUAUAUUCGAAUGUCACCUUGGUUCAUUUCAAGUUCGUGAGGCAUCCAUGCAUCUUUGCCUGCCCUACUUUACAAAUUUUCAUCUCUUUUCACCAUGCCGUACGUACCACAUGUUGGUGCUGCAGAAAAAAAUGUAUAUCAUCAUCAUCAUCAUCAUCACCGUUUGCUUGAUUAUGGAUCCACGACCCGUCCAUAUGCAUAUACUGUAGUAGAAACUAUAUAUCACAAGGACAAUUAAUAUAUAUGUCUGCAACUCUGCAUCAGUAUGUACAGUAGAUUUUCUUGCUUGCGCAUCCAAUUUUUUCCAUUUCAGAGAUGAACGUCCAGAACGCUACUGACUGAGUGACUGAUGCGUACGUGUUUAUGCAUACAUGGCAAUGGCACGGAUGAAACAUAUAGGCAAGAGCUGCCGGCUCCGAUGGUUCAACCAGCUGGACCCGCGGAUCAACCGGCGGCCCUUCACGGCGGCGGAGGAGGAGCUGCUCCUGCAGGCGCACCGCGCCCACGGCAACCGCUGGGCGCUCAUCUCCCGCUUCUUCCCGGGCCGCACCGACAACGCCGUCAAGAACCACUGGCACGUCGUCACGGCGCGCCGCCGCCGCGGCCACCACCACCACCAUCGUACCCUCGUCGGCGACGGCGAGCAAACCGCCACCAGCACCGGCUAUGUCGCCGUUGUACCGCCUCGUCAUCAGCCGCCGUUUCAUCAUCAGUACUUCCAUUUCGGAAGCUGCUGCCUGCCGGCGACGACGACGAAGAUGACCACCACCCGCUCGCUGUGCUUCGCGGUGCCAGCUGGUUCCGGGCCGCUCGGCCUCAGCAGCAGCCGAGCUGGAACGUACGGUGUCGUCAGGAACUGCAACGUGCCCACUGCCGCCGCUGCCGUCGCAUUAUUGGACGGCCAUCGUCGUCAUGACAUGAGCAAAGACCAUGGCCGUCGUGGCGGUGACGAUGGCGGUGCCGGUGCGGUUGCAAACAGGAAGGACGUGCAAUUCUUCGACUUCUUGGGCGUCGGGAUCUGAAGAAAAAUAAAUAAUGAUGGUAUAAGUACAGAACAUUAUUGGAACGAUAUACGUACUGCAAUAUAUUAAUGAGGCGUUGUUACCUAGAAAAUUGGAUGUUGGUGGCCUUGUUCAGUUCCCAAUUUUUCAAAAAUUUACGAGAUAAAUCUUUUGAGCCUAGUUAGUUUAUUAUUGGAUAAAAUUUAUCAAAUACAAACAAAAAUACUACAGAGUAGGCAAAAUAAAAAAAAUUUCUAAACUUUCUGAUUUUUUUAGGUUUUAAAUAUUGUAGCACUUUCAUUUUUAUUUAAUAAUUAUUGUCUAAUUAUAAAAUAACUAAGCUUAAAAGAUUUAUCUUAUGAUUUACAGAUAAACUAUAUAAUUAAUUUUUAUUUUCAUGUCUUUUUAAUGCCUCAUGUAUGCGACGCAAGAUUCGAUGUGAUAGAAAAUUUUUAAAAAAAAAUUAGUUUUUAGGGUGAACUAAACAAGGCCUACGAAUGGGCAUUCCUUAUGAGAGUACUCUCUCACUCUCUCGACACCACACGCUCGUGAGAUGUGCCAGGGGUCCCACAUGUCAGCAGCAUAAAUGACAUGACAAAAACGAUGAUGUGAAGGUAAGUCAUUAAUCCCCAAAUACUUCAUUAGUUUUAGAACGUAGGUAAAAUACAUGUUUUUAUUUUGUUCAAGUCAAAAGUUUUCUAAUCUUGACCAAUAAGCCAAGACCAUGAAAAACAAUAGGCGAGGAAAGAUCAGCUAAUAGUGUGCAAUAGAUAACUAAUGCUGGAGUGAUGUUUAGAUUUCCUGUUGUAUAAUAUAAUCUCCCUUAGCUUUUGGUAGCGCAUGUCCAUGUUGCCACCAACCAAACGGGCUUGAGGGCCAGCGCUACGCUUCGCUUCGAUCGUCUGGGAUUCAUGCUCACUAGUGGAGCUAGAAAGCAACCAUAGAAACCAAAAAGCUACUGUAGUUGCUUCGUCUGGCUCCUCUGUCCAUACAUGUGGAUCCCUCCUUGGAUGCAUGGUGGACGACGAUUAGAGCACGAGGCAGAGGCGCCGAGAUAUGAGGCAAGUGAGGCAUCGUGGAAGUGAAGAAGGUGGCACGAUGACCGGGGUGGGGAUGAGGGAGGCGACCACGUGUGAGGAGGCAGAGAUUAAGAAGGGAGCGUGGCUGAGGUAGAGGCGAAUGAGAGGAAGGAAAGGGAGAAAGAAACUACAAUAGAAAAAAGAAACAACAUUAUGGAUAUUUUACUCUUUUUACUUAUCAUGAGAAAUUGUUUUAAUAAACAUUUUUCUAUGGAGUUAUCUAGAUCUAAAGAAAACUACUCCAGCAAAAGAUCGAUCUAGAGUCAGAGCAGUUUUAGUUAGAGUAGAGCGAGCUCUACCAAACACACCCUACAUUUAUUUAAUAAAGUUAGAAAAGUUUGAUUUGAGACAUAAAUAAAACUAUGUUCGUUUUGUACAAACAUACGGGUAUGCAUGUUUCUUUCCCAACUAAUUGUCCAACUUGCCAAACUAUAAAGGAUAAAAUAGAAAUUUCUCACUUUAACCAACUAUCAAUCACUAUAAUCUACUCCCUCCGUCCCACAAGUAAACGUAUUUCUUUGACUUCUACGAUACAUGUUUGACUGUUCGUCUUAUUCAAAAAAAUUUAAUAAAUAUUAUUUAUUUUUUAUGACUUAUUUUAUUGUUAGAUAUAUUUUUACAAUAAUUUUGUUAUUUUAUUAUUUGUAUAAAAAAUUUAAAUAAGACAAAUGAUCAAAUAUGAAUCGUACCGGUCAAAGAAAUGCAUUUAUUUGUGGGACGAAGGUAGUAUUAUGUAUAAUUCAGAUUAUAAUAACCAAGUCAUGAUCCAAACAGCUAGACCUUAAAAUAAAAAGCAAUGCUAAGUAAUGUAAGUAGAACGCUAUAUAUCAAGUCGUGGCUCCAGAUAUUAUAGGAAACAUUAUAUAUAGCAAAAAUAUGCCACUAAAUAAAAUUGGAAUGGGGUUGGACUCUCUGAAAGUCACAGGCCUCUCCAUCCAUGCCACCUAAGCAAGCAAUGCCUUCCUCAAGAUCUGCAUACCCAAGGGUCACCCGCCACGUGUCACACGGGCCCACCGACAUUUGGAUAAUUUGUGCCACGUGUGCAAAGCCCAGCCAAUGGGAUGGAAGCAGCCUCACCCUAUCCACACGCCCGGCACCACAACCACAACCCUCUACAGCCUCCACACCUGCAGGCACCCACGAUCAAAAACAAAACCAUCCUCACUCUCCCCUGCUGCCAGCCAACCAAGCUCCAAGCUCCAAGCACGCACAGCCACUCAGCCACACCACACCAAGAUCAUGGCCGGCGUGAACUCCAGCGUCGUCGGACUCAAGCCCGCCGCGGCAGUGCCCCAGGCCGCCGCCGCCGCCGCCUCGUCGCAGGCGAAGCGGGUGCAGCUGGUCGCGCCCGAGGGCCGCCGCGCCGCGCUGCUCGGCCUGGCGGCCGUCUUCGCCGUCACCGCCACCACCGGAUCGGCCAAGGCCGGGAUCAUCGACGAGUACCUUGAGAAGAGCAAGGCCAACAAGGUCUGUCGUCGUUUCGUGUGUAUUAUUUUAUGAGAGCUGUUGCUAGCUUGUUUCAAUGCAUGGAAGUGAAACCUGACAGGAUUUUCCUUUUUUUUGCUGCGAUCGAUCGAUCAGGAGCUGAAUGACAAGAAGAGGCUGGCCACCAGCGGCGCCAACUUUGCGCGCGCCUACACCGUCGAGUUCGGCAGCUGCACGUUCCCCUACAACUUCACUGGGUGCCAGGACCUCGCCAAGCAGAAGGUUGUUCACAUAUUCUCAUCACACUCAUAAGAAACUUUUUAUUUUUCGAGAACAAGUUCGCUGAUGUGUGUUUCAUUGAGAGGAGAUCGAUACUCAUAAGAAACCUCACCUGAUCGAUCGAUAAUAAUCUGAAUUAUUGAUUUCUUCGAUCUCAUGUUGUGCCAUAUAGAUAUCAUGUGUGUCGUCCGUGCUUGCUUGUGUUGUUGCAGAAAGUGCCCUUCAUCACCGACGACCUCGAGAUCGAGUGCGAGGGGAAGGAGAAGUUCAAGUGCGGCUCCAACGUUUUCUGGAAGUGGGGUGAAGCAAAAUGAGGAGGCGACCUGGUGGUGUACAUGUACGUGUGUGUGUACCUAGAUGUGCGCCCAAACUGCAGGAAGAAUUUGGAUGUGUAAUUGUGGUCAGUGUAUUUGUGUCAUCUCAUCAUCUGAUUGAUCAUCAUGAACCUCUUGCAUUAAUUGGGGAGAGUGAAUUAUAGUAUUUUGUCCUUGAUCGCCUUCUCGUUUCAUAGGCGCUUAUGAGUUUUCCCUACAAAACACGACAAAAGAAAGAUAUAAUUUUUCUAUUACGAUAAGCCCUGGAACUCGAUUAAUAUGCUGCUCAAAUUUUAUAUAUUUGUUGAGCACUUAACGAUCUCAAAUGACAAAAAUCAGUACUAGGAAUAUGUGGAUCUCAUCAAGGGUUAUAAUUUUGAUAUACAAAGUAUCUUUAUCUGACACCAUGCAAGAAAAAUAUAAUUUUUCUAAUAUAAUAAUUAAUAUGCUUCCCAAACUUAAUACUCCCUCCAGACUUGUAAAAGAAAUCGUUUUGGAUAGCGACACAGUCUUCAAAUCAUAACUUUAACUCCUUAUUUUUAUAAAAAAAUAUUUUGAAAACUAUAUAUUUUAUGAAAGUACAUUUCAAGACAAUUCUAUUUAUAUGACUUUUAUAUUUCCAAACUCAAUAACUUAAAAAUUAUUCAUGAUUUCCAUUCCCAAUAUUUAACUCAAACCUUGUCAAAAUGACUUCUUUUACCAACCUGGAGGGAGUAUAAUUUUUUUAGCAUCUUAACGAUCUCAAAUAAAAAACUCAAAAACUAGAAAUUAAUUGUAGAUCUUGAUUGAAUCUAUAAAUUCCUAGUUGAGCUUUGUCAUUUGAGAUUGUUAAGAUGAUAAAAAGAUAAUAUAAAGUUUGAGCAGCAUAUAAUUGCAUACCAGGCUUUGUUGUGUUAAAAUUUAUAUCUUUCUUAGAUGGUGUCGGAUAAAACUACUUUGUACAUGAAAAUUAUAAUGCCCAAUGCGAUCUACAACUUUCUAAUUUUGAGUUUUACCAUUUAAAGUUAUUAAGAUGCUCAGAACAAUAAUAUAAUGUUUCAGCAGCAUGCCAAUCGUGUUUCAUACCAUUUUUUAGAACAUCUAAACAACUCCAAAUAAAAACUAAAAACUAAAAAGUACUUUUCAGCGGUGUUUUUCUCUCAUAACAAUUCAACGAAUAAUAUUUUUGAGUAUCAGUAUAAGCAAAAUUUCAGCGAGCGCUACAACUUUCAUGUACAAAGUAUCACCGUACAUAAAAGACUUGAUUUUUUUUCUAAGAUGACAUGCCCCCGUACGUGAUUGAUAUGCUAUUGAAAAUGUAUAUUAUUUUUUAGCAUCUUAACAAUCUUAAAGAGAAAAAAAAUCAAUACUAUAGGAAGUUGUAUCUCACACUAGUAGACAGGCUCAUAGCUGGCGCCUCCUUUUUAUACCACAGACGGUUCCAGUUACGACACGCUUCUGGUAUAAAUAGGACGGUGUCAGAGAUUUUCGGCCGCCUGUGCAAACGUUUUUCACAGGCGGUUGACUUAAGCCAACCGCCAGUGUAAAUGCUUCAUUUACACUGACGGUUGGCUUAAGUCAACCGCCUGUGAUAAACUAUUUCCACAGGCGGUUGGCUUAAGCCAACCGCCAGUGUAAAUGCCAAAGAGUUUUCAGCAUAGUCAGCAAACUCAAAUUUGUUUUUGGAAAGAAGACAAAAGAUGGUGUUGAUGCAAAACUAAUCUGCAAACACAAAGGGCUAAUACCCGAUUCAAACGUUAAGGCGUGCCAGCCGAUUUGACCUUACUAUCGGCAAAGGUGAUAACUCGAAUACUUUAGUCCUGACAACAGCGAUGCGCCCGGAUGUCACGGCUAAGAGGUACUCACACGGAACUUAAGGAUACGCCGAGCUUGAGUCGACGAAUUCCUAAGAACUCGUAACAAAAAGAAAACGUAUGACGAAGUCGUCGAAAAGUAAAUGCUAGAAUAUGAGUAAAAACGUGUGUUUGAUUGAUUGAUAGAUGUCCCGAUUACAAGGUCUUAGGGCUUAUAUUUAUACCCUGCUCAAAGAGCUACGACCAGACACGAUUAGAAUUCGAAUUCCAAAUUACACGGAACCCGUAUACAAAACGAUAUGAAUAACAUAAGGAAAUAAUAAAACCAUCCUUCGUGACAAACCGAAACUCCUCUACAUGACAACUGGCAGCUUCCGGACUCCUCCUUCGCGUCAUCGGCAAUCCCCUUGCCAUAGUCAUCGGCAGACCCUUUUACUUGGUCAUCGGCACCAUAUUACUGUCUGAGGACUUAGCCACGUUCAACCUUUCCCUCAUCGGUAACCAUCCUUACCAGCAACCCGCAUCGUACUGCCACCCUGUCCUGCCAUCCUGGACACGUGCCCAAAAAUGGUGUCAACACAUGCCCCCCAGUUUCGGAGUAUAAAACUAUUAAUGCUCCGAAAUUCUCUGCAGUAAUGAUGUCUUCUCCGCAAUUAAUGCUCCUAACCUGGUAACCGACAACCUCAAUCUGGGCAACUCUGAUCCUAAUCCUCCGCAGAUCCCUCGAAAUCCACAACUUCCCAAACGGGCAUCUCUCUUAGUCGUACAUCGGCAACAAUACCGUUACAAAGAUCUGCCGAUGCUCUGCCCAGGAUAUUCGCAAAAACGGUUACUUUCCCUCUAUCCGUCCAUCGGCAGGACGACCGUUAUAGAAUAUCACCGAUGGACCGACCAGGAGAUCGCGCACAGUAAAAUAUCUUUAAAUAAUGACCGCUUCCUGUCAAAUCACCUGCACAAUCCCUGGAUUAUCGUGCGAACAGUUACCAUAUCCACUUGAGUACCCUCGGGUUUCUCGGAUGCGGCAAAGAAAUAAGUCAGAUUUGCCCUUGUCCAUCUUGCCCUAUAAAUAGUUCCUUCUUGGGUACUCCUCCCCCAUUACAUCAUUCUGCCAUCCAACUUCACUUUUCCAGCGGCGGCGCCAUUCUCAAUCCUCAAGAUCUUUGACAAGCAUUCUUCUUCAUCAACUCCGGCGUCUUCCAGCGUCCCCUUCACGACAAGAUGGCCGUUGGCUUCGUCGUCCCUGAGGUCAAACUUCCAUCUCAUCUGCUGUACCUUUUUCCUGCAUUCCUGUUCAUCUGCGAUUUACCUUACCGAAUAUUUUCCUUCUCCUUUUUCUUUGUAUCUUUAUUCCCCAAAACACCAGGAGUUAUCCAAUAAAAUCGUCAUUCCUACCGAUCAACCACAUCUCCAAUGCCUCGGCCCUCUAGGGGAUCCAGAUCCAACCGACCUUAUCAACGCAGAAACCAACAGGGUUCCCUUUAGAGCUGAAAACUUUGCUCUAGAUCUAUGGAAGGACACCUUUCGCUCUUGGCCUAGCCCUACUGUAGGGUGGAAAGACUGGUUCUUGAGGGUCAGCAACUCUUAUGAAGUUCAAUGGGGUGAGAGGAAAUUAGCUCAAUGCAUUAGGCUGUCCAUUGCCGAUAUGCACAGGAACGAGUCAUUGCUGAUAGCCGCAUCUUACUUUUGGUCAGACACUCUCAACGCUUUUGUUUUUGGCCACGGCCCUGCUUCUCCUACCCUUGCCGAUGUAGCCAUGCUUACUGGGUUAGACAUAUCUUCUGCCGAUAGCACCCACUUUUUUGAUACCGCCCCCAGUGCCAAAGUGGAGACUCGCGCUAUCGGCGGCUGGUCAGGGUACAUCCAGAAGUACCGCGGGAGAGGGCCUGUCACCAUAAAGGAACAAACCACUUUUCUGAACAUGUGGCUAGACAAGUUUGUAUUCUGUGGUCGAUCGGCAGGACCGACUUCUGUCUAUCUAUCGGCAGCAGAAAGAUUGGCUAGCGGUGGUCAAUUUCCUCUCGGCCGUUAUUUGCUCGGCGCCGUUUAUCACCUUCUUCAUCAGGUAGUCCAGAAACUCCUGCUCGGCCAACCUAUCGGCAACUUGGGAGGUCCUUGGUGGUUUAUUAAUAUGUGGCUCAAUCUGCACCUGCACAAGCGCCUCGAUCUCAACUUGUUCUCUCAGCACUUCCCAAGAGAUAUAGCCGAGAACCAUGUGUUGGGUGAAGAGGAAUCGGCAACACGUGCCCCCCUGAACUUUGGCGAAGCUGUUAUAGUUCUACCCGGUUCAGGGAACACCCCGGAUCAGAUCGGCCGAUUCUUCGAAACGCUGUAUGAGGGUCUGGCCAAAGAUGAACGACCAUGGCUGGCUUAUGACGACCCGGAUAGCAUGCUCCCUCUGACCUUCAAUCCGUUCGACGAAGCUCUUGAUAGGGACAAUGAGGUGAUGAUGGCAAUCGUGACUCCCAGAGCCAUACCAGUGAACUUCUUCGGCAGCACGAAAACCUCUCCCCAAACCUAUGAAUUUUAUAAUCCAUCGGCAUUAGCUCGCCAGCUAGCUUUCGGCCAAUUACCGAUCGCACUUCCUUAUGCCGAUGUAAUAAAGCCCAGAGAACCCAUCGCUAACCUCCUCGAGUGGACUCGAGUAGCCCAGCUACCACCAAAUGCCGAUACAGAUGUAGAUCUGUCAGAAUGGGUUCCAGCUGCCUUUAUCACUCAAGCAUACAAGCUAUGGUGGGCAGAAUGGAAGGAGAAUCUAUUCUGCAGAUCGGCCCUCUCAUACCGCGGCAUGAUCGACCCCGAAUACGAAGUCCCUGACGACACUGUAAGUAUUUUAAACCGAUGUCUCAUUUUCCAAUACUAUUCCCAUCGGUAACUUACCCCUGUAUUCUUUUUGCAGAUUGACAACACCCCCCCAUCGGUUAGCAGGAGUGGCAAGCCGAUCGACUUAUUCCCAUCAGGCCCGAUCUCCUCAAUCGGCCACAAUGCUCCCACUCUGGCUUCCAUCGUCACCCAAGCAUCGGAGAAGAAUUCCGUCGAUAGUUCGAUAAUACAAUUCAUUUUCAAGGAUCACAUACUUGGUUGCUUGAAAUCGAACCCGUCUUUCAACUUUUUUGGAUGGAUCUUUUAGAUAAUCAAUAAUUUCUUCCCUCCAAUCACCGGCACUAACUACCGAUGUCGCAUUAAUCAUUGGCUGAUAUCCCGAGGCAUGCUGGGCUAACCGAUUAGCGUCUUCAUUAUGCAAUCGGGGAAUAUGCUCCAAUUGGAAAUUCUUGAAUUCCUUUAACAGUUGUAUACUUCUCUCGAAAUAGGUUAUGAGAACUUCACUCCGGCAUUCAUAGCUUCCGGCCAAUUGAUUUAUAACCAACAUGGAAUCUCCGAACACUUCAACAGCAUCAGCAUGAACUUCUCUUAAUAACUCCAAUCCCCUGAUCAGAGCUUGAUACUCAGCCUGAUUAUUUGUUGAUGUAGCAACAAUCGGCAAGGAAAAUUCAUACUUCCUCCCCUUAGGAGAAACUAAUACAAUGCCGAUUCCUGCUCCCUGGUCACAGGUAGAUCCAUCAAAGAAGAGCGUCCAGGGUGCAAUUUCCAAGGUUUCCACUAGACCGCAAUGCUGAGUCACAAAAUCGGCCAUAACCUGCCCUUUGACCGCCUUAGCCGAUUCGUAACGCAAAUCGAACUCCGACAGCGCCAAAAUCCAUUUACCGAUCCUACCACUCAUAAUCGGCAUAGAUAGCAUGUAUCGGACCACGUCAUCUUUGCAAACAACAGCACAUUCGGCCGACAACAGAUAAUGUCUUAGCUUGAUACAUGAGAAAUAUAAGCACAAGCACAGCUUCUCUAUAGCCGAAUACCUGGUUUCAGCAUCAAUCAACCUCCUGCUCAAAUAAUAAAUUACUCUCUCCUUUCCUUCAAAUUCUUGAACUAAAGCUGAACCAAUAACCGAUCCAUCGGUAGAUAAAUAUAAUUUGAAGGGUUUCCCUUGUUGGGGUGGAACUAAAACUGGAGGAUUCACUAGAUACUUUUUGAUCUCAUCCAAAGCCAACUGCUGUUCUUCCCCCCAAACAAACUCCUGAUCGGCUUUCAAUUUAAGAAGGGGACUGAAAGCACGAAUUCUCCCAGAUAAAUUUGAUAUAAAUCUUCUGAUAAAAUUCACCUUGCCGAUCAAGGAUUGGAGCUCGGUUUUAUUGGUAGGGGCCACUAUUUUAUUGAUGGCAUCAAUAGAUCUUCGACUAAUCUCAAUACCCCUCUGAUGUACCAUAAAACCAAGAAACUGCCCUGCCGAUACGCCAAAUGCACACUUGUUGGGAUUCAUCUUCAAUCCAUGCUUCCUGGUGCACUCCAACACUUUUCGUAAAUCGGCAAGAUGCUUUGAGAAAUCUCCAGACUUAACCACCACAUCAUCAAUAUAAAUUUCUACGAUUUUGCCGAUGAACUCAUGAAAUAUGAAAUUCAUAGCCCUUUGAUAAGUAGCACCAGCAUUCUUUAACCCAAAAGUCAUGACUAUCCAUUCAAACAAUCCAACAUGACCAGGACACCUGAAUGCGGUUUUUGGAAUAUCCUCCUCUGCCAUGAAUAUUUGAUUGUAACCCGCAUUACCAUCCAUGAAACUGAUGACCCGAUGGCCAGCCGCAGCAUCAACCAGUAGAUCGGCGACAGGCAUUGGGUACCCAUCCAUCGGCGUAGCUUUAUUGAGAUUCCUGAAAUCAAUGCACACUCGAAGCUUCCCGUUCUUUUUGUAAACCGGAACAACAUUGGAAAUCCAUUCGGCAUACCGACACUGCCGAAUAAACUUAGCUUCAAUAAGUUUAGUGAUUUCGGCCUUAAUAUCAGGUAGAAUGUUAAGAUUACAUCGGCGGGCUGGUUGCUGAUGUGGCCGAAAUCCAGACUUGAUGGGUAACCGAUGUUCAACAAUUGAUCGGUCUAAACCAGGCAUCUCUGUAUAAUCCCAAGCAAAGCAAUCUUUAUAUUCCUUCAACAAACUAGUUAAUUGCCGUUUACACUCAGGGUCUAGUUUAGCACUAAUAAAAGUAGGCCUAGGCUUAUCACCACUACCUAUAUCUACUUCUACCAAAUCGUCGGCCGAUGUGAAUCCUUGGCCUAAUUUUCCAUCAUCGGCGAAUCUAUCCAUUAAAAACCGUCGUCAGAACCGACUGCUUGGAUCGGUGGAAUCUCAUAAUCGGCAACUUUGAGAAAAUCUUUCUCCCAAACUUCUCCUGAAAUGCACCUAGUCUUUUCAUAAGUAUCCGCUUCUGCCGAUGCGAUAACAUAAGAAGAAUCCCCUGGGACGAUUUCAAUCUUGUCACCUACCCACUGAACCAAGCACUGAUGCAUUGUAGAUGGGACACAACAAUUGGCAUGAAUCCAAUCUCUCCCCAAUAAUAAAUUAUAGGCACCUUUUCCGCUGAUCACGAAAAAGGUUGUCGGCAAGGUUUUGCUGCCGAUCGUCAACUCUGCACAUAUCGCCCCCUUGACCGGAGACACGUUUCCCUCAAAGUCUUUGAGCAUCAUAUCGGUCUUGGUCAAAUCUUGAUCCCCUUUCCCAAGCUUCCGAUAUACUGCAUACGGCAUAAUAUUAAUAGCAGCUCCACCAUCAACUAGGAUCUUGGUCAUUGGCUGCCCAUCAACCCUUCCUUUGAGGAACAAAGCUUUAAGAUGCUGCCUCUCGUUAUCGGCAGGUUUCUCAAAGAUAGCCGUCAUCGGAUCCAGAGCCAACUGAGCUAUCUGAUCAGAAAAUCCCAACUCAUCAUCACUGGCUGGUGCAAGAAACUCCAUCGGCAACAUGAAUACCAUGUUGACGCCUGCCGAUGGACCUUCCUUCUUAGUGUCUGCCGGCUGCCGAUUUUCAGAACUCUCUCCUUUAUUUAACUCCUCCUGCCUUUCUCGUUGCAACCUCCUUUUCUGUGUCUUGGUUAAACCUUGAGGGCACCAUGGAGGAAGUGGCCUUUGCCUUACUGCCGGGCGUCGGUUCUCCCUUGACUCCAUACGAUGUGUGUUAGCAUCUCUGCAAAAUAUGAACUCAUCGGGAACCCGCGCAUUAGCCAUUUCCUCAAGCUCUUCCUGGUUCCUGGGAAAAUAUUGGACACGGUCACCGAGCCGAUCGCGAACACUAAGCCUGCCCCCCAGCCGAUCAUGAACUGACGCUCUUCCUCUGAUUGGCCCAUUAAAUCGCCGUUCAUCAUCACGAUAACGCCGAUCGUUCCUAUCGUACCGAUCAUAACCGUUGCAUUCAGGGCAGUCUCUGACAGUAGGAAGCUUGAUAUUUUCCUCCCAACAAUGGAUGAAGAAUGGGCAACUCCAAUGAUCCCUGUGCCGAUUCCACUCCUGCCGACGUCUUUCUUCCUCCCGUUGAUAAUCUUCCUGCUGGCGCCGAUAUCGAUCUUCCCGUUGUUGCCAUCUCUCUCGAGGCCUUCUAUGAGUUAUAACAAUACCAGACCGAGGAAGUCUUCCUGAGCUAGCUCCUUCCUGGACCAAGCCCUUACUUCUUGCAUCGGCGGUAGUAACUUGAUGCCGAGGAUCUACCGAUGCACUCUUCUCAGCUGUCUCCGAUGUUAAGACCUUAGCCUUCCCCUUAGCGUCCAACAUGUUUGUCGGGAAAGGAUGUUGGUCUAUCUUCAUCGGCUUUUGGGCUUUAAAACUGUCAAACUUGAUUCUCCCCGACUCUAUAGCCGAUUGCAGCUGUUGUCUGAAUACUUUGCACUCGUUGGUGUCAUGUGAAGUUGCAUUAUGCCACUUGCAAUAUCUCAUCCUCUUCAACUCUUCUGCCGACGGGAUCACAUGGUUAGGUGACAGUUUGAUCUGACCUUCCUGAAGUAGAAAGUCAAAUAUCCUAUCGGCCUUGGCGGUGUCAAAGGCAAACUUCUCUGGUUCUUUCUGCCCAAAAGGACAAGACAUCGGCUUCUUGUUUUUUACCCACUCUGCCAAACCGAUUACUGGUUCCUCGUCGGAAUCUGAGCUUGUUGCUUCGUCAACAAAUGACACUUUCUUAUUCCAUGCCCUCUUAGGCUCGAAAGGCUUGAUGUCUUGAUCAGAUAUCCUCUGCACCAAAUGACUUAAACUCUCGAACUCUUGAGAUGCAUACUUAUCCCUGAUAUGUGGCAACAAACCCUGGAAAGCCAAAUCGGCUAGCUGCCGAUCAUCCAGAACCAGGCUAUAGCAUUUAUUCUUGACCUCUCGUAUCCUCUGCACAAAUCCCUCAACCGACUCGUCAUUACGUUGCCUCAACUUAACCAAGUCGGUGAUCUUCUUCUCAUGAACCCCUGAGAAGAAGUAUCUGUGGAAUUGUUUCUCUAGAUCGGCCCAAGUAAUUACUGAGUUGGGAGGUAACGAUAUGAACCAAGUAAAGGCCGAUCCAGACAGUGAUGACGAAAAUAGACGAACCCUCAAUUCGUCCCUGUUACCAGCCUCUCCACAUUGAAUAAUGAACCUGUUGACAUGCUCCAUGGUUGACGUGUCGUCCUGCCCGGAAAACUUUGUAAAAUCUGGUACCUUGUAUCGAUGUGGAAGCGGGAUCAAAUCAUACGCUGGAGGAUACGGUGUCCGAUAAGAAUAAGUGUUGACUUUGGGUUUUAUCCCAAAUUGUUCCCUCAUUACUUCAGCAAUCUUAUCGGCCCAAUAAGCAUCGGCAUCUUGCCGAUGAGGCGGCUGCGGAUCCGGUACUUGGUGGCGAACCUCCACGUGUCUGUUUGGGACGUGACCUGUAUGGAACAUCGUAUUGGCCACCUGUCCUCCAAUCUACGGACUACCAAACUGCUGUCCACCGAUUGGCUGUCCUCCGAGUUGCUGUCCAAAAUUUAUUGGCUGGUUGGGAAUUCCCUGACCUUGGAACCCGGGAUAAACCUGCCCUUGCUGGAACCCUGUAGUCUGAUAACCCUGCUGGGGCGACUGUGGAAAGACUUGCUGUCCAAGCCAUCCAUUAUUAGCGUUCAUCGGCAUAGGUGCUGCCGAUGAUUGGUAAUUGGGUACCGUCGUUGAAUUGACAUACCCUGACUGGGCCAUAGGCCUCUGUUGCACCAGCAUUGAUUCUGCCGAUGCGUUAGGCAUCUGGAACAUUGGAUCUUGAGGAUUUCCGGCGUGAGGCCUUGCAGUAGUAGUUGUGGUAUACCGAGGACUCUGGUUCACCGGCACAUUGGAAGGUACUGAUGUCAUAGGAGUUUUACCCCUCAUGUCAGUUAUCUGUGAUGUUCCCGGCGUCAACUCUGGAGGCAUACCAUAACCCCACCAGUUAGGAGGAAGAGUUAACCCCGACAUUGCCGAUGCCAACAUAUCUGUUGUCAGUUUAUGCUGCCCAACUGAAAUUUGUGGGUUGGUUACCAUCGGCAUAGAUAGUGCACCAGUAGUCCCCAAUGUACUUGGAGGGACGGCAAACUGUGCACUUGCACUCGUCAAGGCAGCCGAUGGAGCCGUGACCUCUGGUGCUGUGGGUUGAUGAUGGGAAGGGCCCACAUAAUCCGGCGGGAUUUGUCCUUCCUUGAAGGUUCUUGCCACGGCGUUGAAAACCGUAUUAGACAGUACACCAGCUUGGUUGAUCAGCGCUCGAUUGAUGGCAUUGUCAACCAUGUCUUGAAGCUUGCCAGGAUUAGCGUCAAAGGUGACCUGCCGUGGUGCCGGCAGUGCAUCUUUCUGGACCACUUCGCCGCUCCUGUUUAUGCUGAAAGACUUCAGGCACUGCUGCUUGAACUCUUCCAUGGCUUGGGCAAUAGCUUGCUUCUGCUCAUCCUUGAGGUUAGCUUCCGUCACGGGGAUGACGUUGUCUUGGUCGAGGUCAGAGAUCGACAUCUUGAUCUUGAAUCUGUCCCACCGGGCGUGCCAGAAGAUGUGUUGAUGCAAAACUAAUCUGCAAACACAAAGGGCUAAUACCCGAUUCAAACGUUAAGGCGUGCCAGCCGAUUUGACCUUACUAUCGGCAAAGGUGAUAACUCGAAUACUUUAGUCCUGACAACAGCGAUGCGCCCGGAUGUCACGGCUAAGAGGUACUCACACGGAACUUAAGGAUACGCCGAGCUUGAGUCGACGAAUUCCUAAGAACUCGUAACAAAAAGAAAACGUAUGACGAAGUCGUCGAAAAGUAAAUGCUAGAAUAUGAGUAAAAACGUGUGUUUGAUUGAUUGAUAGAUGUCCCGAUUACAAGGUCUUAGGGCUUAUAUUUAUACCCUGCUCAAAGAGCUACGACCAGACACGAUUAGAAUUCGAAUUCCAAAUUACACGGAACCCGUAUACAAAACGAUAUGAAUAACAUAAGGAAAUAAUAAAACCAUCCUUCGUGACAAACCGAAACUCCUCUACAUGACAACUGGCAGCUUCCGGACUCCUCCUUCGCGUCGUCGGCAAUCCCCUUGCCAUAGUCAUCGGCAGACCCUUUUACUUGGUCAUCGGCACCAUAUUACUGUCUGAGGACUUAGCCACGUUCAACCUUUCCCUCAUCGGUAACCAUCCUUACCAGCAACCCGCAUCGUACUGCCACCCUGUCCUGCCAUCCUGGACACGUGCCCAAAAAUGGUGUCAACAGAUGGAAAACCAAGAAAGAAUGUCAAGCCAGCUCCAGGGGCUACAUUCAAGAAGAAGUCAAUUUUCUUCGAGUAUUUGGAAUACUGGCCAGAGUUAGAUGUCCGCCACGCGAUCGAUGGUAUGCACGUUCAGAAGAACGUGUUUGAAAGCGUAAUUGACACCUUGUUGGACAUGAAGGGCAAGACAAAGGAAGGAUUAAAUUCACGCUUGGACAUGGUACAGUUAGGCAUAAAAAAAGAACUUCACCCUGUUAGGCUAGAAAAUGAGAAGUACCACCUCCCGGCAGCAAGCUACAACCUCAACAAUGAAGAGAAACAUGAGAUGUGUGUGUGGUUAAAGAAAUUGAAAGUCCCAUCUGGAUUCUGCUUUAGCAUACGGAUUAUUGUGUCAAUGAAAGACCUUACACUCACCAACUACAACUCACAUGAUUGUCAUGUCAUAUUGACUACUUUUCUCCCUAUUGCCAUUAGGGCUAUAAACCCAUUGUGGAUAAAGGUUGCAGUUACACUAUUGUGCUACUUCUUCAACAAGAUCUCACAGAAGGUGAUUGAACGUGAUGAGUUGGCGUCUCUUAAGGAAUUCGUAGUGGAGACAGUUUCACAGUUUGAGAUGUGUUUCCCCCCAGCAUUCUUCGAUGUGAUGGUUCACCUUGUGGUUCACUUGGUUUCACAAAUAGAGGCAUUGGGUCCCAUGUAUUUGCAUGAGAUGUGGACGUAUGAACGCUUCAUGUCAAUACUAAAUGGCUAUGUAUCAACUCGUGCUCGUCGAGAUGCGUCUAUGGUAGAGGGGUACUUAACCGAAGAGGCCAUUGAGUCCGGAGGUCCAUUCUGCAAUAGGGUCCUAAAAGACCAGGUUGCAAUAGGUUUGCCUCCGUCACGACAUGAGGGUAGGCUGAAUGGAAGAGGUAGGAUGGGAAAGAAAUCAUACGUCCCAAAAGAUUACAAUUCAGUCCUCGAAGCACAUCACAGCGUCCUACAUCAGCUCUCGAUAAUGGAGCCUUUGAUCAAUGUACACAUUGAAGAGCUUCAAAAACAUAAUCAUGGGCACACAGAUGAAUGGAUAAUGAAGGAACAUAAGAAUCAGUUCACCUCAUGGCUAAGGGAGCAGGACAUUCCAGAUGGAGAAACACUCGAGGAUCGCACCAUCAAGGUCUUGGCAUCUAGGCCAUCACGCCAGGUCACGACUUGGCAAACCUAUGACAUUAGUGGCUUCACGUUCUGUACCAAGUCCAAAGACCAAAAGAGCAUGGCACAAAAUAGUGGUGUUCGAUGCGACGCCUUAGACUCUGAAACUGGUGAGGAAACAACUUACUUUGGCUUCGUUGAGGACAUAUGGGAACUAGACUAUGGUACAUUUCAGAUCCCUGUAUUUCGGUGUCAAUGGGUUGAAGACAAACAUGUCACAAUGGACAACUAUGGGAUUAGAGUUCUAGAUCUAAGCAAGGUAGGCUACAAAGAUGAUCCAUGGAUAAUGGCUAACCGUGCUGCACAGGUCUUCUAUGCUGAGCAGGUCCUCUCUCCUAAUGAUAAGAAGAAAAUUACGGACCAUCCAAAGCACAUAGUUUUCCCUGGAAAGCAACAAGCCAUUGGAGUUGAUGGUGUAUCUGACUUGGAUGAAUUUAACCAGUUCAGUGACAUGUCUCUCUUUGUAGACGACCAUCCAGUAAAGAUAAGGAAUGUUGAGCGAAGCAUUCCACAGAGCUCGUUGCCCUGGGUGCGUCACGAUGGACAAGGAAGAACAGUAGCUGCCUAGAUUUUAUUUGUCAUUUGCCAUGUAAUCUAUUUGUACCUUAUGCUAUGUGCCCUUCUCUAUUUCUACAUGUAAGGGUUACUAGUGCCAUUGAUGUCGUAUUGGUCUCAAACUUUUACUAAGGGUUACUAGUGCCAUUGAUAUUCAAUCCACCAAAUUUGGGAUUUUUCUGAUGUGGUUUAUUACUUUAUCCGGUUUAAUUGAAUUUUUGUGCGAUAUCACCCACUAAUUAGCGCUUGAACUAAGUCUACCCCUAAAAUGACUCCAAAUGGUGCUAAACUUCUUCACAGGGUCUUAUAUACCAUAGGAAAUAAAACUUCCUUGUGGUUGGUGGAAAAACCUAGUGGGAUCUAGGUGUAGUCCACCAUUUUUCAUCUCAUUUAACACAAAGAAAAAUGUAAUAAUAGCUUGCAUGACUAUAAAAUCCUAAGAUCUUGUGUGGGGUUAUCAUUUGAGUGUAGAAGCUUGUCAAAAAAAUUUCAAGACAUUUGGAGAUAGGCAUAACAUACAUGCUUCACAAAUGUAUAAGAGUCAUUCCACCGAACUAUGCUCAAACAUAUGGGUUCCUCACAUUUAUAUUGUCAACGAUAAAUUACACAAAGGAAUAUAUUUUUCAUAGCAUUUACACAUAACAAUAAAGCUAACAAAAUUAGAUUUAUAUUUUUCUGGUAUUCCUAGAAUUAUUUAUGUAUUAAACAAGAUAUGAGGCACAUAUUCAAUUUAAAUCAUUUUAAAAAAGCUGCAUAUAAAAGUACCUCAAACAUGAAAUUUCAUAAUUUUAACAUGUGUCUCUGGUCAAGAGGAACACAACAAAUAUUUUUUCACUAAUUUAGGACAAAUAUUUUUGAAGAUAUGAUUUUUUGAAUCAUUUAAAUAAUUUCUAAAAAUAUAUAUAAGGAAAACUUUAAAUAAACUGAAAAUACAUUUCUACAUGCGGUUGGCUAAGCCAACCGCCAGUACUAAUGCAUUUGUACUGACGGUUGGCUUAGUCAACCGCCUGUACAAAUGCAUUAGUACAGGCGGUUGGCUUAGUCAACCGCCUAUAGAGAUGGUUUCUACAUGCGGUUGACUAAGCCAACCGCCUGUACUAAUGCCUCUGUAUAUAACCUUCGGUCCUCCGCUCGAAAUUUUUCUAAGUCUGGCGCCCAGUUGAUUUGAAACCACGCUGUCAGGCUGUCCAAAUCUGCGGUGAGCUUCUUCCUCGCACGUCUUCCGUCUUUCGCCGCCGCGUCAAGCACUUCGGUGAGCUCUCUCUCUUCUUCUCUCUCUGCGUGUGCGCGCUUGACGGCGGUGGCUAUGGUGUGCGGCGGUGGUGGCUGUGGUGUGGUGGCGGACCGCGAAGAAGAGGCGCAGUGGUGUGCGCGGGCCCGACGACGAUGGUAGCGGUGGCGGUGAGCGGCGGGCGUGGUGGCAAGCGGCGGGCGCGGCUGGAGGUUGGGGAUAACCCCGACAUGUGGGGCCCACCUGCCAGCGUGAGGGAGAGAAGGGGAGAGGGCACGGGCUGUGCUGGGCCUGCUGGCCCGGAAACGAGUGCAAAAUAUUAUAAAUAAAAUUAGAUUUAUUCAUUUUAUAAAUAUAUGUUAUAAUGUUAUAAAAUAUAGCAAAAAAUUAGAAAAAAUCAGAAAAAUUAAAAAUAAAAUCAGGUAUAUUAUUAUGUCUUUUACAUGUAAUUUUAUUCAUAAUUAUUAUUGUAUAAAUAAUUGUUAUUAUUUUUGUAAAUACAUGUUAUAAUGUUAUAAAAUAUAGCAAAAAAUAGAAAAAUCAGAAAAAAUAAAAAUAAAAGCAGGUAUGAUAUAAUCUCUUUGUUAUAAUCUCUUUGUAAUAGGAUUCAUAAUUAUUCCUUUUAUAAAUACUUGUUAUUAUUUCUCUUUGUAUAUGUAAUAUGAUUCAUAAUUAAUUCUUUUAUAAAUACUUGUUAUUAUUUCUCUUUAUAUAUGUAAUAGGAUUCAUUAUUAUUCCUUUUAUAAAUACUUGUUAUUAUUUCUCUUUGUAUAUGUAAUAGGAUUCAUAAUUAAUCCUUUUAUAAAUACUUGUUAUUAUUUCUCUUUGUAUAUGUAUUAGUGUAGGUAUUUCUCUUUAUAUAUGUAUUUCAUACCCCAAGAUACAUAAAUUUAAUUUUAUGCAUAAAUUACAUAGAUUUCUGCGAUGAGUUCUCCGCACAAGGACGAAGCACUGCAGUCCCAACCCACGGAGCAAAUAGAAGGGUCAUCCGACCCUAUGGAACAAGCUCGUGAGGUCACGAAACAAGUAGAAACGGGCAAAGCAUUAGGAUCGUCCUAUGAACAAGAAGCUAGCGACGAUAUGGAGCCUCUAAGAGUGAGGAAGACUCGUCGUGAAUUGGCACGUGACCCUGAUUACAAUCCAGAAGCCGAUGAGGUAAAUUAGAGACAUUCAUGAUUUCAUGUAAUUAAAUGAUUUCUAUUCAUAGUUUCUACAUAUAAACACGCCCAUGAUUCACAUGUCUAUACUCAGGAGGCAAUGUCUCAGUUUAGAGAGAUGAUGUCUCAGGAGGAAGUGGCACACGAAGAUGCACCGGAACCGACGACCGCAACGACGAGCCCUGAGAGGCCAUGUCAGUCUAGGAAAAGGUAGCGGCUAGGUUUGAAACGAGGCGAGAGAGGGUUGAACCAAUUUCUAGAUGACACAUAUGCCAUCACAGAUGUGAGCCCUACCGGACAACCCCUAGCUCUUGAGGAGGCCCUACCCAAAUACAGGAACGCAAUUGGUUUCUAUGUGAGGGACAUUUUUGAUAUCACAGUUAAGAACUGGGCUGGUGUGUCGAAUAAUCACAAGAUCAAAAUUUGGGAUAAGAUUAAGACAAGGUUCCAGUUUCCUAGGAAUGUGCCAGAAGAUUUAGUGAAGACAUAUACAAUGAAGCAAUGUGCGGUUAGUUUCCAAAAUUGGAGGUCGGAGAUGAAUGUCAAGUAUGCAAAGACAAGGAUGGAUCCGACAUCCAAAUACAAUAUUACUAAAGGGUAGUGGGCUGUUUUUCUAGAGCAGAGAAAUGACCCUAACUUCUUAGCUCGGAGCGAAGCCAACUCCCAGCUCGCAAAGAGGAACAAGUAUCACCACCAUCUAGGCACAGGUGGUUACCGGCACCAAGUUCCUAAAUGGAGGCAAGAAGAGGCUGCGAAGAAGGCCGUAGGGUUGCCAGUGCUGUCCGAGCAAGUCGGUGAAAGGUCCGCGAAUUGGAUCCGUGCUCGGAAGCCAAAGGAAACCGAGACGGGUGUGUCCUUUGAAGACCCAAUGCUUGAUGAAGCAAUGAAGAGCAUCUUUGCAGUGGCAGGCAUGCAGCAGGAAGGCAAGUUUACACCACGAAGGGAGAGAGACAUCCUUAGUGUUGGCCUCGGUAACCCCGAGCAUCCUGGCCGUGUUCGAGGCAUCUCAUCCAAAGAAGGAUGGAAGGAUGGAUUCGGCCCUCAAUGGGCAAAUGAGUAUAAGAAACAUGAUCGGUACAAGGAACAAAUGGCAAAUUAUUUUCAGGAAGAGGCUAAGAAAGACUUCCAAGAGAUGAUGGGGAAGUUGCUAGAAAAUCCUCCUCCUGAGUUGAUGCAGAAACUAGCGAGUGCCAUGUCAAAUGCAGCUACCCAAAUGAGCACUCAAGCUCCCCAAAUGCAGCUAGUCCCAGUGGUGUCGUAACCGUUGGUGGCAUCAAGUGAAACAAUCAUUCCAAGCAGUAUCGCAUCUACGGCAAACAAGGAUGACUAUCCAGUUGACGACAUUGUUACUUCUACACCUUGCUCCCUUGUCAUAAGAUAUGGGAUUAACAAUCAUCGUACAAGGGAAGUAGCCACGGGCAAAGCGAUCCCAGGAGGACCUAAAUACCAUGGUGCUGACAUCCCUAAAGACUACUGCAGAGUAGAGGUAUCAACCGUGGUCCAAGGAUAUGAGGACGAGAUUCUAGACAUCCCUGGUCCCAAGGAUAUUGUGAAACUAGGACAGGCGAUAAACAAUUUCAUCCUUUGGCCUCGGAGGGACGUGCAACUAAGGGAGCCACCACCACCCUCUCAAGAGAUGCCACUAACCCAGGAGUCGUCAACUCAUGUCGAUCCUCUUCCUAACCCACCGCCUUCACCUCCCCAAUCUCUUCCUGACCCACCAGAAUCACCUCUCCAUGUUUUCCCUGUCCAUCAACCAUCUCCUCUCCAUGAUCUUUCUACCCCAUAGUCAACACAAUCUCCACCACCAUUCAAUUCCACCCCUUCCCCACAACUCAAAGAUCCAGAACCAAGAAGUGAGCCACCAAAGGUGACAAAGAAGAAAGUAUUUCCGAUACCUAAGUUGAUUUCACCAUUCGAGCCAAAGAAAAAAUCAGCUGGGCAAGUGAGAUUUUUGUCAGGCAUUGCUUCAAAACGCAAAAUACAAGAGCAUGAGAUUUCUGAGCUAGCAAAGUUAGAGGUGCCGGCGCCUAAGGUCAUAACUCCUGUCAAUUUCAAGGUGCCAACUGCAGAAGACUACAAGAAUAUCCCCAAAAAGUACGUGUGGGGAAAGCCUCUACUCAGUCGGACUAAACUUAUGAAGAAACUAAGUGGUAUAAAAAGGUUUCAUGACUGGUACAUGAGAGCCUCUUCUGCUGGCAUCGACACCAUAAGCAUGCGAAUACCGCAAAUAGCAUUUCUCAGCCAGAGUACUAACAAAUGCAUGCUCACUUUUGAUGACAUGUGGGCACUGAUGAACCACGAGAUGCUAGAUGUACAGAUCGUAACGACAUUUGCAUUGUAAGUGUUACAUAGUUACACACAUUGUAGUUGAAUCAAUUUUGAAUAUCUGACAUGCUUCUAUCUUGCACAAUGUUAUAUGAUCAACAAGAUAUGUAUUUUGGUUCGGACCUUAAUUAUUGUGCCGAAGAAAGGAAUGCCUAUCUCUGCCCAAUAGAUAUAGCCGAAGAUCGGCACACAUUUCGGAUCGGGAAUGACAGCACAGAGGUAUAGGGUUUGGAAGGUGCAGAACGGGAUGAGAAACUCUGAAAGUUGAAACUUGAUUUUGAAGCCAAAUACGCCUUCUAUAUUGGACAUUCACUAAUAAAGUUUCAAGACAGGAAAGCGGUGGUGGCCCCGUACCACUUUGGGUAAGUGUGAGUUUACAAAUAUCUAUCUAAAUUAUUUCUAUGCAUAAAUGCAUCAUGGAUUUAAUUCGAGCAGGAGGCACUGUAUAUGCUUCAUCAUUUAUCCCAAGGAGGGAAGGGUGUUGGUACUAGACUCCGCAGAUUACCCAAAAGAAAGCUAUGCUCCAUUCAUCAAACUGCUAGAGCUGUAAGUCAAGCUAUGCAUGCAUACUUAAGCAUAGUGAGAAUUUGACAAUAACAUGGUGAUUCUAUUUGAGAUCAUAGGGCAUACAGGUUCUAUUAGAUAAAUCAUGGAAAGUGCGAGUCCAAGAGACCAGGGCAACCAUUGGAGGUUAUACAUAACUGACCGGUACGUAUAAAAAUUUACUAUUAUGAAUACAAAUCAUACACAUACGACCACAAUUGCAACUAUAAUUAAAUAACCACUCUCCUGUUAUACAGUGCAUGAAGCAACCACCGUUAUCUGUCCUCUGUGGCUACUACGUGUGCGAGAACAUGAGAGAAAACGGACGAUAUGCAAGGAACCCUGACAAGGUAAUAUAAGUAAUAGUCUAUUAAAGUUAGAAGUCAUAAAAUAUAUAAUGUUUAUAAACUUUCUUUGCAGGUAUAUAAGCAAGGGACGGCGGAGCGCAUGGACGAACGUGCUUUAGACAACAUAGUUGAGGACAUCUGCUCGUUCAUCAUGAAGCAUGUCAUUCCACGUGAAGGCAAAUAUCAUGACGAUGAAAGCCAAUUAUCCAGGCCAGAGUUCCGAGUGCUAACAGAGAUUAGUAAGCUCAAACUUACUAAAGAGGGUUAUUAGAGGACACAAACAAACUUUGAUGUAUAUAUAUAUAUGAUGUGUGAUGAUGGAUAUACUCUUGUAAUUAACUUUAUGUCUUUGAGCACCAAACUUUGAUGUAUACAAAUGUAUGUAUGAGAUGAAGUAUUUAAAUUACAUGUUGCUAUGUUAGAAGACCAACCAAUAUCAAUAUAUUUAAAUAAUAACAAUAAAAUAAUAAAUAAAUAAAUAAAUAGAUAAAUUAAUAAAUAAAUAAAUAAUACAUAUUUUAAUAGGUUUACACAGGCGGCUCUCUUAGGAAACCGCCUGUGUAAAUGAACAUUUACACAGGCGGUUCUCUAAGAGAGCCGCCUGUGUAAAAGGUUUCUACUUGCGGCUCUGUGGAAAUGGACGAUUUCUACUGACCUCCAGCGCAGGCGGAUCCGAAAAACGCCUGUAGAAAUAUGUUACCAACCACCUGUAUAGUGUGCCAAUGUACUAGUGUCAGCAAGAGUUACAAUUUUUAUUUCUAAAAUCUAUUUAUCUAACACCAUAUUUUUUCUAAUACGAUAAGCCCAAGAGCACGAUUAAUAUACUGCUCAAACUUUAUAUAAUUUUUUGAGCAUUUUAACAGUCUCAAAUGAAAAAAAAAAUUAAAACUAGAAAAUUUUGGAAUUCAUCGAAAGCUAAAGUUUUCAUAUAAAAACCAUCUUCAUUCAAGGUCAUAUUAAAAGAGUGUGAUUAUUUAAUAUAGAGAUUUGUCGUUGACAUAUGGGUCCCAUAUGUCAGAUCCAUGCUACGUAGGAUAACAAGUUGGGGUAAACGUCCAUCUGAACUUGGAUGAGACCCGUUGCAACUUCAGAAAGCAAAAAAUAUAUUUUGAAACUUUCGGAAUUUAGAGGAUGAGUAUUAUUGUUCUUAUUUUUUAGGUUGCAACACUACUACAACAUUCUUUUACUGAGGCGGGCAAAAACAAUUAACUGAUGCGGUUUUUGCAACCACCUUGAUGAGAAGGUCACGAUAAAUGUGAUAUUUUCCGAGGUGGUUUCUUGCUUGCCACAGUAAUUCAGAUAAAAAAAAUUGAAAUAACCUAGAUCCAGCUCUAACUGGAUUUGGUACUGGCUCUACAGCCCCUGCGUGCCACCGUCGCCAGGGGCAGCCAUGACUGCUUCUUUCUAAGUCCGUGAGAAGGAGAGCUGUCGUGAUCCGGCCUCCACUCUACCGUCGGAGCUGAAAGGGGAGGAGAAGGAGCGUCGCCAUGGGGAAGCUAGAUCUAGCCUCCCCACCACUAGAUCCGGCCUCCACGUCGCCGUCGACGCAAAAAAGGGAGGAGCACUGUCAUAGGGAGCAGGCGUCGGGUAUUGGGUGAGGGAGAAGUGAAUAGGCGUCGGAGCUGCCGCCGAAGCUCAUGGAUCCACUCAAUCAGCCGUCGGCACAUGUGGAUCCGUUGUAGGCCUCUGCCAUCAGAGCUCGCAGUGCACGAUGCUGGGUCAUGUGACCCCCACCGCGUAGCACGCGACACCCGCCACUAGGGCGCGCAAUCGCUGCCGCUAGAGCUCGGAGCCGCAGAGAGAGAGAGAGAGAGAGUUGGGGAAGGAGAGCGGAGUGGGGGAGGGAGCAUAUGAGAGAGGAGUGUUGCGGUCGAGUAGGAAAGGAGGAGGGCCACGGGGGAGAAGGUGCCGCUCGAUCUGCUGAGGAGGGAGAGGUUGAAGGAGAGGAAGUGAAAUGAGUUAAAUGGGUUACCGGGUCUUGCAUGGGCUAGCUGGGCCUCGUCCUUUUUUGAGACGGACCUUAUAACUUGCCACCUCAGUUCAUAGGUAUUAACCGAGACGAUUCUGUUAUAUUGCAUGCCUCGGCUAAUAGAUUUUAUGAAAAGAUUUUUUAUUGCCUCGGUAAAUCUAGGUAUUAAUAGAGGCGGUUGAAAAUGUUUUAUGUCCAGCAGAUUGUGUGGAUGGAUGGAUCGAAUCUGCAUGAAAGGAGUAAGUCCUCUCCCCCUCCUAUUUGCAGCACGACAACGCCAUACCACAUGUCUACGUAUUCAUCAGCCCUUGCCAGGAAUAUGAUGUCGUCGUCGUCGUCGUCUACGUAUCAUCCAAUCUACCAUUUCUGAUCAGACUUGCUUAUACUUACUAGUCGCUUUGUCUGCUACCUUCGUCUUCAUCUCUAUACGUAUGGUGCUGUGCAAUUGCAUUAUUUUGCUUCUGUGUCGUCUGUGCUCAGCUGCCGACCGGCCGGCGAACAGAUUUCAGAAACCAAUACGGCCUGUUCAUCUCUCUUCGUCAACAAAUAUAAUUAAUUGGAGUCUGUCCUUGAUAGUGUGAAUGGUUACUACAGGAGAAUACCAUGCAUUACUUCGAAAUAUAAUUAACUGGAUGUUGAUAGAAGAAUAACAGAGUUUUUGUUUUCUCAGAAAACAGGUACAUUUACAUUUUCCGAUUUUUUUUAUACUGAAUUCACUACCGGAAUCCGGCUCUUUGCCGAGUGUCUAAUGGUUUACCGAGUGUUUUUUUUCGGGCACUCGGCAAAAAAAACACUCGGCAAAGAGGGUACUCACUACUGGAUACUGCUAAUUCGCCGAGCGUCAAAAACCGUCGGCGAAGCGCCCAAAACCGUCGGCGAAAGCUUCGCCGAGCGUGACCAUCGGCGAAGCUCGCUCGGGGAAUUUGCUGUCGGCGUAGACGCUCUUCGCCGAGAGCCGGAUCACGGGCUGUCGGCGAACGUUCGCCGAGGGUCAAGCCCCCACUCGGCGACACUUUGACGCCGUCACGGCGCUGGUUCACGGUGACGGCUGCUUCGCCGACGGCCACCGGCAACGCUCGGCGAACCUCCGGGUUUUUUUUAUUUUCUUUUUUUCUCUGCCAAAACUCUUCGCCGACAGCCUUAAAUUCCUCUCGGCGAACCGAUCGCCUUCGCCGAGCGCUAUGGCCGUUGCGCUCGGCGAAGCUGGGAACCUGGGAGAUUUGGCCGUUGUGCUGCCUCCAGCUUUGCCGAGCGCAACGGCCAUAGCGCUCGGCGAACAUGCCCUUUGCCGAGCGGUGCGCUCGGCGAAGCUGGGAACAGUUUUUUUUUGAAUUGUUUUCUUCCUUUUUGGACAUCACCAAUGCAUAGAAACCAUAUAUAUAUACCCCACAUCAUAUAUAUCAUCAUAACCACUGAAAUAUUGUUGACACUUCUUAACGCAACCACGGGAUAUCGGCGACGGCGCCAGAAGUGCCCUGGUAGGGUAACUCUAUUUACUAUUGGAUAAUUCCGCAAGCGCACAGAAUGUACCGCUGUAGCACUUCACCAAGGAGUAUUCCAAGGUAUCGUAAUUUAUAUUUUCCCAAGGAAAAGCGGCUAAGUGUGUUUAACAAAAAGGGGAAUGAGAUUCCUUGAGUUAUCUAGUAUCAACUAGUGAAUAAGGGUGGUAAAUAACGAAUAGGAAGGGUAGUGGUGAAUCCAAGGUCCUAUGCUAAAGGUAAAUGGUAGAGUUAGCUAGGUGGGAGGACAACGAGUGAGUAAAGGACUCCUAUGUAUCUAACUUGACUUCUGUGACUUACUUUAAUAGAUAAUUGUCUUAACUACGCUAGAGCCUUACUAACUGUGUGCGAGGGAUAGCCGAGCUGGUAAGACGCUUAGAAGGUUUUUCACCUAACCCCUUACCGAAAGCGACUAUUGGGCUUAUGGACGCCUUACCUUUUAAGAACUAGCCUGUACGUGAGGAGAACCUAAUGCCGCCCACGAUCUGUCACCUACUAGGGAGUGCGCUCCUACUUUCCGUUCAAGCCAGCGGUAAUCAAAGGUAAUCUUAAGUAUGAGCACCACGCUCACACUUAAUCCUACAACGCUAACUAGUUGCAGCUAGCUAGAGCUCCUAUACAAGAUAGGACGAUGAUGCACACACAGGAGUGGUUACAGGUCACUAACUUCACUAAGACAACUAUAUUACUAAAGUAAAUGCACAACAAGACUAAAAGACUUGCACUAAGUAAGAACUCAGUAAAGUAAAGUAAGAAUAAUAUAUUAAUAAAAGGAAAGUCUUACAAAAGUAGAAAGGUACAAGAGCUAUACCAGACUCUCCAGAAGACGACUCCGGAGACCCCGAGCUUCGCUCGACUCGACUCUAACUCCCACUCUAGACUAACUACUACUCUACUUGUAUGCUUGGAACUUGUAAUGCACUUGGCCUUGGAAUUGCACACUUGAAAUGAAGGAUGGAGGCUGCCUUUUAUAGAGGGAGAUGGAGUAGGGGUUACUCCAUCGCCACGUCAUCGAUCCGCGUGACAUCUUCUCUCCACCCUUGGAUCAAACCGACCUCACAACCGCCAUUUGAUCAACGGCAGGGGCAAAUCAACAUGUGGGACAUGUGGGGAAGGUCGGUGGGAGGCCACCGACCCUGGAACCGCCUUUGAUGUGGGGUCGGGCGACCCCACUUCUGGGCCUCUGGGCCCACCAGCAGUGUCCACAGGGGUCCCUUAUGUCGGUGGACUAGGUGGCACACCUGGGUCCCACCAAAGAGGGGUCGGGCGACCCCCUCCCUGUGGGCCCAGGGUGUCACCUGUUGUCCCCUCGAUCUCCUCUUGAUGAUUCUGAUGUUGGCUUUGUCAAAUAAUGUCUUGAAUUUGUUGUUCCUGCAUAAACAAGCUAAGAGUACAAGUGGAACUAGUUAUGGAUAAAAUAUGUUCAUGUCAUGUCGUUUCCUCUUGCAACCGAGGCAUGUUGACGGUGUUUUGUAUGUGGAUUUCUAUGGUAUAUCCACCGUCAACAAGCUCCCCCAAGCUUAACCUUUGCUCGUCCCGAGCAAACAAUCAAACUUAGCCUCGGUGGAUCAGGUAUUGUUACUAUGUUCACAUUUCAAGAGUACCAUGUGUACAACAAAGUUCUUCUCUUUGCAUGAAAAAUUUAGCUAUGUAAACUUACCCCUAUUACCUUAGUCCCUUAUGGGGCUUAUGGCUUUUCCUUUGUCUUAGGUGGUUGAGAGACAGAACAGUUUGACUUGAGCACUAACUUUCUCAUUCUUAGCAAGUUUCAUAUCAGAGGUUUUGUGAUAUUUUCAAAAGAAAGCUUAAAUGUUCCUCUUAUGGUUCUCUCAUGUCACUCAAAUGGUGUAUGAUUCCUCACCAAGGCAUAUGGUAAGAGUUGCCUUCUCUAUUUCAUCCUAUUUCUAAAAGGCUUAUGUGGAGUUCAAGGUAGGGAUGAAAGGAGAUAGCAUACUUACUUUGCAUGUAUUGCGAAGUCAAAGCUCGGAUCCUUGAAGAGAAGUGUCAUACUCCCAGAUCAAGAUGUGCAAGUGUGAUAUAUGGUGGACUAGGUUGCUCCUUUAUUUGAUAGACUCUCUAUGUAUUGAGACAUGGCUAGCAUUUUUUUCUUCUUUUUUUUAUAUAUGAGCUUUCAUGUGCUCAAUUUUCUUUUUCUGUGGACUUGCACAUGUCCAUCUUUUUAUUUCAUUUUGCCUAGCCCUUUUGAUGUCUCAUUUACCAAAUAAUGCUUAGAGAGAUGUUCUAACAUUUAGAGUAUGGAGCAACCUAUUUAGUGGAUGCGAAAUACAUGUGGUUGCGUACUUCCAGUGUAGAAGCAGCAUAUAUAUAUGUGGUGUGUACGUGAUCUUGAUCUUAGGAGCAUGAAAAGUCUCUUAACAAGGGUCAACAAGACUUGACGACACUCAACACAAAGCAAAUAGCUUAUGUGGAAAGGUUGCAAUUAUGUAAAGUAGAUAUGGCUGUGGUAGGAAUUCAUCACCAUUGAGGAACAAUUAAGGUUUUGAUCAUUUUAAGAAUAAAUCUCUGAUAAUCAUGCAUGCUUAGAAAAAUAUUAUAGUAGCUCUUGUCUUACUAUCUCAUGUCCCACAACAACUUAGACUUAGUUCUAGCACUUGCAACCCACAAAGUUUUUAGGUUCAUGGCAGUUUAAGUGAGCUAAGUGAUCCAUACUUAGAGAAAUACUAAGUUGUAUACUAGGCACUAGAGAAACAUUAACAAGCAACUAGUCAUAAUUUCCAUGAGGGAUAUAAACAUACAUGAAGCAUAUAUGCUAAAGGGAAAUGCUAAUAAAUAUUUAUUUUUUUUUUAAGUAAGAAUGAUAAAAUGCAUGAAAAUAAAUAGGAUAGAAUACUUACCUUAGUGGGGGAGAGGAUCUCCCCCAAGCUAGAUCUUCGCUCACUGUGGUGGCGGGAAAUUCUGGUACCAUCCGGCCCAGCGUUGUGCGUCUUCCUCUCGCACACUUCGGAUAUGUUGGCCGUUUUGUAACGCCAGUUGCAAUGUUGCUUCUUGCCCAAUCUGCAAUUCGCCCAUGUCAUUAAUGAGACUGUCCAUACCUGUGGGCUGGUGACGCCUAGCCCUGUCCCUUGGGCGUGGAGUGCGUUGUGGAGGUAGACCCAUGGAGUCUGAAGCAUCCACUGACAUCGCUUCAUCGCCCUCUUCAACGUCAUGGUGCGAGGAUCCUCCUUGCUCCAUCUGGGCGGCUUGCAUCAUCCUUCUUGUCACCCUGCGUGUCCCUGCAACAUCUGGACUUGCCACUCGGGCUAGUCUAAUGGUAAGUGUGCGGACCCCAUACAACCGGCGCCUCGCACAUGGGAGAGGAAUUUCGGUUGUAUAGCCCGGAUAAAUCAUUUUAAGUUCACCAUUUGGAUCUCUUAUGAGCAUGUUAGCAUUGAUAAAGAAGUUCUCAUCUACCACUCCUCUAACAUAGCCAAUGUCUUCAAAAUAAUGUGAUUCAAGUAAUCCAAAAGUAUCGGCUAUUCGAGUAAUAAAGGAUGUGAAAUAGAUGGGCUUCCCAUACUCAAUAGAGUUAAGCCAAUAGUUCACUAGCAGUUUCACAGGGGAGACCUUGAUUUUACUAACCAUGGCAUAGAGAAUUUUAAGUUCAUCAUCAAUUAAAGUAUCAGUUCCCAUGCCAGGAUAUAGAGUGCACAUGAUCCAGAAGUGAAGAAAGCGCAAGGUUGGAUUAUGGAUUUCAAUGGGAGUAGGAUUUGAACAAUCAUUAGAGCCAGAAAUUGCUUUCCAGAAUCUAAAUUUAUCGAACAUUCUAGUGGCAUGAUCUAGAUCAAGUUCACAUUCAUGUUCACACCCUAAAGCAGUGUUUAGAAAACUCCAAUUUAAUUGAUGUUCUUGCUCACACAUGCGAAAAGAUAUUCCAUUAUUUGUGAGUUUUAGGGUGCAUAGAAAUUCCUUAGCAAGCAAUUCUUUUCGAAAUUCAGGCACUUGCCAAAAAACUACUCCAACCAAUUGCUCUAAACACCUUAUCGAAUUCAACAUCCAUACCUGUGCGGGCCAAAAGGUCCGGAUCGAUGAUGCUAGUGUGUAGGAAGAGACCCUCUCGGAUGAUGUAGUACCUUUGCAACUCUUCUUGGCUUAACAUGAGGCCGCUCUCGGGCUCUCUCAUCCUUGAUGGAGGCUCGUAGGGUACCAUCCCAUGGUAACCUUCUUCUUCCUCCCUUCCAUGAGCAUGGUGAGAGCCUUGAGAAGAGCUCUCACCCUUUGCUUUCUUGAACUUGCCGAAGAUAUGCUUCUUCAUCCUCCUACACAAGUGAGGCAAACCAAGCUCCUACUACUACUACUAUGCAAGGGGAAUCUUUUUGGGUUUUUGUUUUGAUGACUAUUUCUAAACUAAACUUGAGAAAUGGCUUGUAACAAAGAGAGAAGAGAAAGGAUUGUGAGCUCGAAAUGGUUCUGGUGGUUUUGGGUGUGGAGUUGAGCUCACAAUGCUGUGGUAUUUAUAGGGGGAGAAGGGCAAGUAGUGGACCCACAAUAUAGGGGUCGGCCGACCCCCCCUAGAAGCACUUUGAAUUUGAGUUUAGCUUUAUACAGGGAACCAUUCUGCAUGCUUUCAAGAUUUUGCAGAGAUGGUCCAAAAUGGGGGUCGGCCGACCCCCAUCCUAGCCCCUCCUCCACUUUAAACAUUGUGUCAUUGAUUGUCCGGAAAAGUAAAGGCUAGGUGUGGACCAAAAGUUUUCAAAUUGUUUCUGAGAUUCCCUGUUUUAGUGCUUUGUGAAAGGUAAAAGAUGAAUGGCAAAAGUGGAGACAUGUCUAAAGUGAUUCCUAUGGACCAUGGGAGCACUCAAGCAUGCCUAGGUGACCACUUUGCAGAAUUUAAGCUAGUGGAGUGGUCCCAAAUGAAUCAAAGAUGAAAGGAGCAUCUUAUGACUAAAGUAAAGGAUCAAGGGACCACUCUUUUUCAAACUUUAGCUAGUGUUACAAGCAUAGGACUCCAUUGUGAUUCAAAUGGUGGCCAGCAGGAGGCAAGUGGGGCCAAUAUGGGGGUCGGCCGACCCCCACAUUGGAGCUCCCAGAGCAUCCAAGUGCUGGGUUGGAACCUCUAUGACUAGCAAGGUUGAAAUGUGGUGAAGUGGGCCCCAAGGUGGGGUCGGGCGACCCCCCUUUGGGAGCUCCAGCAGCUCAAAUUUUUAUGACAAGUUAUUCUCAAGAUUUUAUUUAUUAUGGCUAAACAUUUUGUCGAAAUAAGAUAUGCAAAAUUCAAAGUAAGAAUGCAAUUGAAAAGUGAAUAGUAGAAAUUGAAAUGCAGAAAAUAAAUAUGGGAUAACUACUGAUUUACCUUAUCAGCAAGGGCUCCAUGUUUUAGGUCCGUAGAGCAGGACCUCUCCAUCUUGUUCAUCCUUCGGGUGCAUCAGAUGGUCCCGGAGACGUGGACCUUGAUUGCACCUCUUUCUCCCGCCAUACUUGCUUGGUAUUGAUUUUUGGUUCAGCGGGUUCCUCUUCUUUCUUUUCGGCCCUUUUGGCCGAAUUACCUCUCUUGUCCCUUCGGCGUCGGAUGUGGUGAGGCUUAGUCGGAGGUUCUUUGUCCUUCACCUGCAUGUUAGCUUUAUAACCAUUGAAUGGACAUUUUACCUUCCAUCCUGGGAAUUGGAGGUGAAUCUGGCCGGACCCCACAUAGAUGACUGCAUUGACCGUGUUGAGGAAUGGCCUUCCCAAGAUGAUCGAGACAUCAUUAUUGGAUCCCAUAUCCAAAAUGAUGAAGUCGGCAGGGACGUAGUCGUCUUGGACCUUUACCAGUAUGUCCCUUGCCAACCCCUCAGGGAACCUGAUCGUCUGAUCUGCCAUCUGCAAACGAACAAAUGUGGGGUGCAAAGGCCCCCCUAGCAAAUUAUCAUAAGUUACCUUGGCCAUGAUGUUGACACCCGAUCCAAGGUCGCAGAAGGCGUUGUGGAAGAUUUGCGGUCCGAUCUCACAGGUGAUGGUCGGCAGGCCUGGGUCGUCCUUCUUGGUGAUGAAGGGCGAAUCCAGAAGAUAGCUCCAGUUGGAUUGUACCGGAGGCUUACCGAACCUCGUAGUAACUAGUUUAACUCCUUCAAUUGGGUCCUCAGGUUUCCCUGGGAUCUUACCUUGCUCGAAGGAUGGGACAGCUGCUGCUAAUUGAGCUAAUUGUGUUUCUAGCAUUUUGUUAAAGCUCAACUGAUUUUUCAUAGCAGAGUUAAAGCUAUCCAACUUUUCACUUAAGUUUUCAAGGAUCUUAUCAUUAGCCAUCAUUUUCUUGUUAAUGCUAUCAUUGAUUUUAGAUUGGCCUAAGACAAGAUCUCUAAGAGAAGGUUGGUUACCAAAAGAAUUAUUGAAAUUUUGAUUGUAACCAUUACCUUGAUUACCUUGGUAGAAGGGGCGCGAGUUCCAUUGCUGUUGUUGGGGCCGGUACCCAUUGUUGUUGUUGUUGAUGAAGCUCACUUCCUCCUUUGUUUCGGGACAAUUGUUUCCCGAAUGAUCAUCUCCUCCGCACACUUCGCACCAUGAAUCAGAUUCAAUGGCUCGUGCAGUGGCGUAAGGUUGAAUGGUCUCUUGCUUGGAACUUUCUUCCAUCUUCUUCGUUAAGGGGUCCAUCUUAGCAGAGAGCAUGUCCACCUCAUUCAAGGCAUGGACACCUCUUCUCUUGGGUUGGAGGCGUUCCUCAUUCCAUCCUUGGUUUAUAACCAUCUUUUCAAUGAGGUCCUUGGCAUCCUUGACAUUGUGUUGCAAGAAUGCUCCUCUAGCGGCAGCAUCAAGGUGACUACGGGCCAAACCGGUCAGGCCAUGGUAGAAACCUUGGAUUAGGAGCCACUCCUCUAUCCCAUGAUGAGGACAGGCGCGAAUGUACUCCUGCAGACGUUCCCAUGCUUCGGGAAUCGUCUCAUCCGCUUGCUGUUGGAAGCUGGAAAUCUUUCCACGAAGGGCGCUGGUCUUGCCCAUCGGAAAGAACUUCUUGAGAAAUGCAUUGGCGCACCUCUCCCACGUGGUCACUUCACCCUUGUUGGCGUAGAACCAUUGCUUCGCCUUCCCCAAUAACGAGAAUGGGAAGAGGCGAAGACGGAUGGCGUCUGCGGCGACAUUCUUGAUGGUGAAGGUGCCGCACACCUCCAAGAAGUGUUGGAGAUGGGCAUUGGCAUCCUCGUGUGGCUUUCCACAGAAGGGAUUAGCUUGCACCAUAUUGAUAAGCGCAGGCUUCAACUCAAAAGUCGCAUCCCCUAAGUUAAGCUGCGGACCCGUGGCGACAUUGUCAGCCGACGGCGCAGAGUACUCAGAGAUGGUCUUCUGGGCCAUAGCUUCUUUGAUAACCGGUGCAGAUACUCCUUCCUCUAACGGAUUCAGGUUCGAGAUGAACCUUUGAGGUGGAACUUGACGACGUCUAGUUCUCCUCAACAGUUGCUCAGGAUCUUCAACGAAGUUUGACGGCAAUUGGAAACCGCUCAUACACUGUCAGGCUUCACAAUAAAGGAAGACAAGACAAGUGAUGGGUUAUCCCUAUCACUACUUGAUAACUAGCAAACUCUGGAUUCUCUUUUUGUUAAAACUCUUAGACAGACGCUCUCCCAAGCAACGGCGCCAGAAAUGCUUGUUGACACUUCUUAACGCAACCACCGGAUAUCGGCGACGGCGCCAGAAGUGCCCUGGUAGGGUAACUCUAUUUACUAUUGGAUAAUUCCGCAAGCGCACAGAAUGUACCGCUGUAGCACUUCACCAAGGAGUAUUCCAAGGUAUCGUAAUUUAUAUUUUCCCAAGGGAAAGCGGCUAAGUGUGUUUAACAAAAAGGGGAAUGAGAUUCCUUGAGUUAUCUAGUAUCAACUAGUGAAUAAGGGUGGUAAAUAACGAAUAGGAAGGGUAGUGGUGAAUCCAAGGUCCUAUGCUAAAGGUAAAUGGUAGAGUUAGCUAGGUGGGAGGACAACGAGUGAGUAAAGGACUCCUAUGUAUCUAACUUGACUUCUGUGACUUACUUUAAUAGAUAAUUGUCUUAACUACGCUAGAGCCUUACUAACUGUGUGCGAGGGAUAGCCGAGCUGGUAAGACGCUUAGAAGGUUUUUCACCUAACCCCUUACCGAAAGCGACUAUUGGGCUUAUGGACGCCUUACCUUUUAAGAACUAGCCUGUACGUGAGGAGAACCUAAUGCCGCCCACGAUCUGUCACCUACUAGGGAGUGCGCUCCUACUUUCCGUUCAAGCCAGCGGUAAUCAAAGGUAAUCUUAAGUAUGAGCACCACGCUCACACUUAAUCCUACAACGCUAACUAGUUGCAGCUAGCUAGAGCUCCUAUACAAGAUAGGACGAUGAUGCACACACAGGAGUGGUUACAGGUCACUAACUUCACUAAGACAACUAUAUUACUAAAGUAAAUGCACAACAAGACUAAAAGACUUGCACUAAGUAAGAACUCAGUAAAGUAAAGUAAGAAUAAUAUAUUAAUAAAAGGAAAGUCUUACAAAAGUAGAAAGGUACAAGAGCUAUACCAGACUCUCCAGAAGACGACUCCGGAGACCCCGAGCUUCGCUCGACUCGACUCUAACUCCCACUCUAGACUAACUACUACUCUACUUGUAUGCUUGGAACUUGUAAUGCACUUGGCCUUGGAAUUGCACACUUGAAAUGAAGGAUGGAGGCUGCCUUUUAUAGAGGGAGAUGGAGUAGGGGUUACUCCAUCGCCACGUCAUCGAUCCGCGUGACAUCUUCUCUCCACCCUUGGAUCAAACCGACCUCACAACCGCCAUUUGAUCAACGGCAGGGGCAAAUCAACAUGUGGGACAUGUGGGGAAGGUCGGUGGGAGGCCACCGACCCUGGAACCGCCUUUGAUGUGGGGUCGGGCGACCCCACUUCUGGGCCUCUGGGCCCACCAGCAGUGUCCACAGGGGUCCCUUAUGUCGGUGGACUAGGUGGCACACCUGGGUCCCACCAAAGAGGGGUCGGGCGACCCCCUCCCUGUGGGCCCAGGGUGUCACCUGUUGUCCCCUCGAUCUCCUCUUGAUGAUUCUGAUGUUGGCUUUGUCAAAUAAUGUCUUGAAUUUGUUGUUCCUGCAUAAACAAGCUAAGAGUACAAGUGGAACUAGUUAUGGAUAAAAUAUGUUCAUGUCAUGUCGUUUCCUCUUGCAACCGAGGCAUGUUGACGGUGUUUUGUAUGUGGAUUUCUAUGGUAUAUCCACCGUCAACAAAUAUCACAUAAAUCAUCACAUACACAUCAACAUCACAUGAAUAUCAUACAUAAGUUCACCAUGGGCAUAAGUUCAUCACAACCAUAAGUUCACAUACAUAAGUCCACGACGACAAGUGAUAUACAUACAUAAGUUCAUCAUCACAACCAUAAGUUCAACAGAAACAUAAGGUCGACACGUCCAUCACGACAUAAAGUCCAUCACAAAGGCAAGAGAAGGACCUACUUAGUGCGUCCACGCUGGCCACGACGACGGUGAAGGAUUGCCUGUACCAGGCUGCUGCUGGUUCGGGUUAUUAGAACCCACGGACUGAGGCUGCACGAAGUAGGAGAUUGAUCGUGAGAUAAUCCAAACAGAACCGGAAUUGAGAUGACAUGAACCAUGUUACUCACAGGAGUGCCUAAGUGGAGCUGGUGCUGAGGCUGAGACGGCUGCGGUGUCGGCGAAGGAGUAGGUUCGGCGAGCAGAUCAUCCACCGAUACCCCACAGUGAUGGCCCAUCCUGGCGACGAUCUGGAUCAACUGCGCCACCCGCCUAUCCUGGACUGCCCGCUCGGCCCUCUCGGCAGCUAGCUGGGCCUCGAUGUCCAUGGAUCGCUGAUCCGCUGCCAACACUCGUGCCUACAGAGUAGAUGUCAGUAUAGGUCGGUACGUAUGUAUGUACAAAGAAUGGAACAGAAAUAACCUCGAGUGCCUCGACACGCUGCUGUGAAGGAGUCGUCCGUUGGCGUAUGGGGACGCUGUCGUCCGUGCUAGCUGCUCGGAUCUGGGAGAGAGUGGGAGUGGAGGCGGUGUCGAUGACGGAGUCCGCAAUCCAGUACCGUCCGUGCUUCUUGCCUCCGCCUAGCCUCAUCACGAGCUCGGUGUCGAGCUCGUUCCUGGUCGGAUCCCACUCUGGCCCAUGGACCGACCUUCCCGCCUCCGUGUACUCAGAGAGACGGGAGUGCACACUCGCGUUGGUGUACACCUCGGGCGGGUCGCUCGGGUUGUAGGAGACAGAGGACGAGGCCUUCCCCUUGUGGGCCAUGGCGUAGGCCGUGAACUCGUUCACCUCCUGGCCUGGGUGUGCAGCUGCCUGCAAGGAAGACAUCAAGAAGGUUACAAGUAAUGCAGACUUAAGGGUUAGCAUAAAAAAUGAGUUCUCAUACAUAUGCUUGGGCGUAGGCGGCGAGGUUGCGGCUGCCUUGGUGGUGCGAGACACCUGUCAUCAUCAUGCGUCGGCCGCGUGCCUCCUGGUGCUGCGCGGCCCAAUCCUCAGAUAGCCACUUGUCCACGAUCCUCUCCCAACAAUCAGGGAAGGCCUGACACCAAGGUAGGAUCAUCUGCACAUGAACAAACACAAACACCAAGGUAAGAUCAAAUCAUAGUAACUCAUUAUAAAAACGAAUCCAUGGAAAGGUUCGAUGGCGACCUGUAUGUACUCGUCCCGGGUCAGCUGCAUGGUCCUAGCGUCUUCCUUGGUGAUCUUCUCUCCAAGGAUGGCGCGGUGCCAGUUCACUAUGCACUGGAGACGCCCCUCAUGGUGCAAUUGCACGACUAGUUUCUUGCAGGAUUUGGUGACCACCAACUCCGCCGCCGCCUGCGUUCCCUCCUCGAAUUUGUAGUAGUUCAGUUCUACACACAUAAAUAGGCAAAGAAGGCAUUAAUGAUUUCAAUUACAAUACAAUGCAUGGAUGUGACUUAGUUCCAAGAAGACUUACCAAGAGCUCACCCCUCACCCGCUGGGCCUUGUUGCCAUACUGGGGGUCAGAGGCCGCGGCGUAGUGGUCAAACGUGUAGGUCGGCUCCCUCACACUAGCCAGCUGCACUAGGCCAGGGUAGUUGUUGCGAACCAGAAGACCCAGGAUGUGGUUCACGGGACGCCCUUGCCCCUGCACAAACACCCAGUUCCUGCAAAAACUAUUAAAAACAAAUAUUAUAAUUUGUAAGUAAUAUUGUAAACAUAGCAUACGAAUUAGUUUGGAAGUAAACUUACUUGGCCCCUAGAGGGCGGAUCGUCGGCCGUCGAUCCUCAGCUACCGCGAACCGCGGGAGGCUCGAGGGGCCUCUCAAGUAGGGCCGCUGCUGUGGACCAAAACCAGAGGCACCGGACCCCUCCCCCACGUCGGCCCCGCACCCCUGGGUGUCCAGGUCGUCGUCCUGCCCGCCUCCCUCGUGGGUGUCCUGGUCGGGGUCCUGCCCGCCUCCCUCGUGGGUGUCCUGUUGGGUGUCCUGGUCGGGGUCCUGACCCCCCUCGUCGUCCUGGGGGGGAGGAGGAGCAGGAGUAGGACUAGGAGGAGGAACAGGCUGCCUCCCUGCCCCCCUGGCCCUUCGGGUGCUCCUCCCCCUCCUCGGCGGCCGCCCUCCCGACAGGUCCACGUCCUCGUCCGCCGAAGGAGCUGAAGCCCGGUACAGCGUGUGCAACGACCUUUGUCGCCCGCCACCCGGCAUCUUCCUUCGAUCACCUGCAGUUACAAACAACAAACAAAUAUUGUAUUAGAAAUAACAUAAUAGCAAAAUGAAUAAAACAUAAUUACAUAGAUGCAAAAUGAGUUACAUAGUAUUACAUGUACUAGAAAUAUUCUUCAGGAUCUGGAUUAGCUGGAUUAUAAGACUCAUCAUCACUAUCAACCAUGUCGAACGGUUCGUCGGAAACCACAGGAAUAUUCUCUGAGUUGUCAUUUUCUAAACUUAAUCGAUUUAGCAUUUCUAGGUCCCUCUGGUCUUGCACCUCAUCUCCCGCAUCCUCGUCAACAACCACAGCUUGCAUCUCAUCUUCCAUUCCCAUCGGUUGGGUUAUGUCUACCACGAGGGUCCCUUGCAGCCCAUCUUCUUGAAAGAACUCUCUGGCAUAUGUGUUUGGGUUAAAGUUGUAAUCUUCGUCAUUUGGGACAGGUAGUUUAGCACGCGGAGAUAUCUUGUGCACCAUAUACCAACCCAAAAGAUUUCUCACUUUUUUGCACGGGUAUGGAGUAUAAUAAACCCGUGUGGCUUGUUGAGACACGAUGUAUACAUCGUCUUGUGUAUAGACGGAAUCCUGUCGAAUUUCCACUAGCCCAAGUUGAGGGGUCUGUCUCGUGACUCUAGGAUCAAACCAAUGGCAUUUGAAUAUAACGGGCUGAAGGGGUUUGGCACCAUGAAAUGAAAGUUCGUAUAUUUCUUCCACUUUUCCAUAAUAGUCGAGUUCAUCAGUUCCCUGAGUAAAAACUCCGCUAUUUGUGGUCUUUCGAUUGGGUCGAGUCUGCUCGUAGCUUGAUGUGUGAAAGCGAUAUCCAUUGACAUCAUAACCGGUGUAUGACUUGACCCGUGGGUCAAAACCGCCUGCAACCUGUCUCAAUUCGUCACUCAUAGACAAAUCGGUUUGGGCCUGCAAAAGCAACAUAGGUUAGCAAAAGCAAGUACAAGCUCAAUAUCGAGCUAAGUACGAGCUAAUCUGUACAUUACCUUUUGUUUAAACCAAGAAAUGAAAUUGGGCCUUCCUUCUCCCGCACCUUGUGAAACUAGAAUAUCACACUCUUGGGCGGUAGGCUCCCUCCUUGGUUCAUUCCAGAAUUGACGAAUAAAUUGCCCAAUGUAUGUUUGAACCUCGUUAAGGUUCGUCAACACAUACAACAUGAUAUUGCGCCACUCAUCAUUUGUCAACAUCUUAGAGGUCGAUCCGCUUGCACUUCCGAGUUGGCCUCGAAAAAGGCUAAGGUUCGACUCACCUUCACUAGCAUUGUAUCGAGGUGGUGGAUUAUGGACGCUAGGAAGGUUCUCAGAGUAGUAUGUUGUUGUGAAGUUGGACACCUCCUCCAAAAUGCAUGCCUCUGCAACUGAAGCCUCGAUUUUGGCUUUAUUUCUACAUUUUUUGCGAAGAAUCUUCAGGCCUCUCUCGACUGGAUAACACCAACGAAACGUGACAGGGCCCCCCAUUCGAGCCUCAUACGGGAGGUGCAAGAUCAAAUGCUGCAUCGGAGUGAAAAACCCGGGUGGAAAUAUCUUUUCCAUCUUACAAAGCAACACAGGUGCCACUUUUUCCAAAUUCUUAAUGACUUGUCGAGAUACCUCUUUGGCACAAAGCUGGCGAAAGAAAAAGCUCAACUCCGCCAGCACUUGCCAAACAUUUUCAGGGACAUAACCUCGAACCAUCACCGGAAGAAGCCGCUCCAUCCAUACGUGAUAAUCAUGGCUCUUCAUCCCUAACACUCGCAUAGUAGACAAGUUCACUCCCCUCUUCAGAUUCGCUGCAUAUCCGUCAGGAAACAUUAACGUUUGGAUCCAUUCGAGUACUUCCCUCCUUUCAUCCCUAGCCAACACGUACUCGGCCUUAGGCUUUUUCCAAUUCUUCCCGGAUGUAGGAGGUUGCAUAUGCAGCUUUGGUCUAUCACAUAAAGUUUGCAAGUCCAAUCUUGCCUUGGUGUUGUCCUUAGACUUUUCAGUGUCCAUGAGUGUUCCCCAAAUUGCCUCAGCGAUAUUCUUUUCGGUGUGCAUGACAUCAAUGUUAUGUGGCAAGAGUAGGUCAUCAUAAUAGGGGAGCCUCUCUAAGCCAGACUUAUGAGUCCACAUAUGAUGCUCACCAUAUCCCUCAAAUUUAUUUGUAUUCUCAUUCCACUCUAGAGAGUCAAGCUGUGCACGAACCUCGGCACCGGUCAUUAAGGCUGGCUUGGGAUCUGUCACUACCACACCUUUGAUGAAAUUCUUGAUGUCCUGUCUGAAAGGAUGAUCAGGAUCCAGAAACACUUGAUGUUGGUCGAAGCAUGCAUACUUGCCACCCUUCUGCAACCAAAUGAACCUCAAAACUUCCUUGCAUACUGGGCAUGCAAACUUCCCAUGAACACACCACCCGCAGAAUGACCCAUAUGCCAAGAAGUCAUGGAGGGAGUAGUGGUACCAGACAUGCAUUAUGAAGUUUGACCUUGUCGCUCGGUCGUACGUCAAAACCCCUUCAUUCCAAGCUGUCAUCAAUUCGUCCACUAGAGGUUCCAUGUACACACCCAUUUUAUUACCAGGGUGUCCGGGGAUUAUCGACGACAAAAAUAUGGUAUGACGUUGAAAGAGGACACCGGGUGGGAGAUUGAGGGGGAUAACAGAUAUGGGCCAGCAAGUGUACGGGGCAGCCAUCAUCCCAAACGGAUUGAACCCAUCUGUUGCAAAAGCGACACGUACAUUACGAGCCUCUCUAGCCUUUUCACGGUGAAUGUCAUCAAAGUGGGUCCAUGCUUCACCAUCGGCGGGAUGUACCAUCUUGUCAGGAUUGUACCUAGUGCCUUGUUUGUGCCAUGUCAUCUGUUUCGCACUCUCAGAUGACAUGAAUAGCCUUUGGAGCCUUGGUAUGAACGGAAGAUACCGUAACACUUUCACCGGUAUUGUAAGCUGCCUCUUCUGACCAUCACUGGAGUCUACCUCUAUGUACCUACUUCUCUUACACUUUGGACAAUAAUUUGCCGCCAUGUGAUCUCCCCUAAAUAGGACACAACCAUUCUCACAACAAUGUAUUUGCUCAUAAGGCAUCUUUAAUGCACCAAGCAGUUUCUGUGACUCGUACAUGUUCUUCGGUAGAAUGUGGGACUCCGGAAGCAUGCUGCCAAAUAGAGCCAACAUCCCAUCGUAGGCAUCUCGACUCAGGUUAAACUGGGACUUGAACCCCAUUACACGUCCAACGGCAUCCAGUUGAGAAACCGUGGUCCCAUUAUGAAGGGGUUUUUGUGCCGAAGCAAACAUGUCCUCGAAGGCCUUUGCAAAUGCCUCCAUCUCUUCCGUCGUACGUCCUUCAGCAAACUCUGCUUGGUGAUAGUCAUCUAUCAUGUCUGCUACCCCGCCAUCACCAUCAAAAGCCUCCACCCGUGCUCUCACCACCUCCUCUCUCAUACGAUGACUUUCACCAUGGUAGAUCCACCGGGUAUAGCCCGGCGUGAAUCCAUGCUUAACAAGAUGUCUGCCCAUUUUGUCCUUAGUUAACCUUUUUCUGUUGUCACAGUAGCUACAGGGACACCUGACUAGAAUCUCUCCUCUAGCAGCCGGGCCAAAUGCAUGCUCCAAGAAUUCAUUUGUCUUGAACACCCAUGUCUCAUCAAAAUCUCUCAUACUUCUCUAUUGUGUGUACAUCCACUGACGGUCUUCCAUCCUCUAAUAUACACUAAGACAAGUAACUUAAGCCUCAAAUGCAUCUACAUGGUGUUUCUACUCUCUAAUAGGUAAGGAUAGGUCCUAAACCCACCCGUAUAUGCGCAGAUGGAUUAGUCUCCAUGCUCCGCGCCGAUCCGAGACGAAAUUUUGACAGCACCUCCCCGCUGUUCUUCAGAUACACGUCCCGGAAGGGAGAGUGUGUAUCCGAAGAACAAGUGGGAGGUGGUGCCGAAACUUCAUCACGGAUCAGAGCAGAACAAGGAGACUAACACAUCUACGCAUAUAAGGGCUGUCCAAAAACGUGGACAAUUCGAAACAGAUAAGGUUAUCGAUAUGCAAACAUGUGCAUACCGAUAACCAUAUCUCUUCCGAACGGGUGACGCCUAACGGGGUUUUGUGAGGUGAGACCAGGACGGGCUGUACCUUAGGUGGCGGUGGAGUGUCGAGGUGACGUGGUGCAGGCAGGAACUCCCCGACUCGCCUCCUCGGCGCGUCUCACUACAAAAUGAAAACAUACACUAUUAAUUCAAAAUUUCGGCAGCACCCCCCUAUACGUAGAAGUAUCCAUAACCUGCAAGAAACAACGGCACGAUGGCCGACAUCCACAUUUACCAAGCAUAUAUCACAUCUAUCAAGCAUAUAUCACAUCUAUCAAGCAUAUAUCACCACAUCGAGUUAACCGCCGACAUAUAUCACCAUACGGAUUAUCAAACUAGCAUCCAUGCGGAUUAUACCUUCGUCGAGGGCUUCAGUGGUCUUCUCCUUCUCCCUCUCGUCCUCCUGCCCUACUUGUCCAAUCCUCUUCCUGCUCGGAGCGGACGAGGCCAGCGGACGAGGACACGGCCGGCGGAUCGGGCAGCGGACGAGGCCAGCGGCGCGGGCGCGCACUAGGCGGGCGGCGAGGGCGCGCAGCGGACACGGCCGGCGGUGAGGGCAGCGGACGAGGCCAGCGCGGCAGGGCGUGCGCGGCCGCAGGGAUAAGGGCGAGGUCAGGGAGGGAGGGAGCAGGGCGCGCGCGGCGAGGGGGGUGGGAGGGAGGGAGCAGGGCGCGCGCGGCGAGGGGGGUCGGGGAGGCGGCUGCGAGGGAGGCCGGCGAGCCCGCGGGGCGCGCGCGGCGAGGGGGGGUCGGGGAGGCGGCGACGAGGGAGGACGGGGAGCCCCCGCGGGGCGCGGCGAGCCCGCGGGGCGCGCGCGGCGAGGGGGGCGGGGAGGCGGCGGCGAGGGAGGACGGGGAGGCGGCGGCGCGCGCUGGCGGCGAGGUGAGGGCGAGGGAGGCGGCAGUGGGCUGGACGGGGAGGCCCUGGCGGCGAGGUGAGGUGCGGUGCAGCUGCGGCGGCGGACGCGGCGGCCGGGCGGCGCUGUGGGGGCGGAGCCGGCGAGCUGAGGAGGCGGCGGCGGCGGUGUCUGUGUGUGGCACACACACAGAAACAUUCGGAUAAGGGCGGUCAGGGCCUUCGCCGAGCGCCAGAUCAGGGAGCGCUCGGCGAAGGGUGGUUCAAUUUUUUUUGAAUCUGCAAAGGGUUCGCCGAGCGCAGCAUUUACCUCUCGGCAAACUCGCUUCGCCGAGCGCCAUUAAUAGAGCUGUCGGCAAAGGACCCCUUCGCCGAGCGCUUUAUGCUGCGCUCGGCGAACUAAUUUUUAAUUUUCUUUUAUUUUGGCCUGAGUUUUUUUUGUUAGUUUUCCCACUUAUAUUUGGUUACAAUAAUGAAAGUUGAGCUAUUUUUGGUACAUAUAUCUUUUUUUUUUGCAUUUGUUUCGUUUCGUUGAUUAUUUCCGAUAAAUGCAUGUUUGAACUAUAGGUGCAUGAAAUAAUGAGUUUUUAUGCACAGGAAGUUGACAUUGUUGUUAUUUAGUGUGAAAUAAGACCGUGUGCAAGAAGAGGCCCGAACUCUCGCACCUUGGAUUGACGGAACACGACUUCACAUUCGCCUGUCAAUCUUUUUUAAAUAAUAUAAAUUGAAAAUGAAUUCAAAAAAUCAUGAAACUUGGUGGGGUGUCACGAUAUCACAUGUGGAGCCUAUGAUAAAAAUUUGAGAAGGUUUCGUACACGGCACCUCGCAACAUGUUCACAAACCUAGAGAUCCAACUUAUGAUCACAUGGUUUGUGAACAUGUUGCAUGAUGUCGUGCACCAAAACUUCUCAAAUUUUUACCACGGCCUCCGCAUGUGAUAUCAAGACACCACACCAAGUUUCAUGAGAUUUGGAAUUCAUUUGUAUUUUAUAAAAUUUAAAAACAUUUCACCCACGACUUUGAACUUGUGUUCCGUCAACACCAGGUGCGAGAGAUCGGGCCUGUACAUCCACACGGCCAUAUUUGACACUAAAUAACAACAACGUCAACUUACCGUGCAUAAAAACCUAUUAUUUCAUGCACAUGUAGUUCAUAUAUGCAAUUAUCGGAAAAAUUCAAGGAAACGAAAGAAAUGCAAGAAAUAUAGCUAUAUUUAAUAAAAAUGGCUCUACUUUCAUUAUUGUGACCAAAUAUAAGUGGGAAAAGUAACAAAAAAAUCUCAGGGCAAAAGGAAAAAAAAUUAAAAAUUAGUUCGCCGAGCGCAGCAUAAAGCGCUCGGCGAAGGGGUCCUUUGCUGAGCGGCCCGACAAAGCGCUCGGCGAAAUAUGCAUAUUCGCCGAGCGCCCCCUGUAGCUCUCGGCGAAGAAAACAGCCGAGGGAAGUUUCAGACCACGGCGUCAUCCUUUGCCGACAGCCGGUCUUUACCGAGCGCUCGACCGUCGGCGAAAUCCUUUUUGCCGAGCGUUCCUCUGUGCCGAGCGGUGUGCUCUCGGCGAAGAGUGGCUUCACCGACAGCGUUUCUUUGCCGAGCGGAGCGCUCGGCGAACUAUCUCUUCGCCGACAGCCCGAUAUCCUUCCCUCGGCGAAGAUUCGGCUCUCGGCGAAUUUACUGUUUCCGGUAGUGACUUUGCCGAGUGUCAAAAAAACACUCGGCAAAGAAGGCCGAGUGUUUUUUUACACUCGCCCCGAGUGUUUUUUUGACACUCGGCAAAGACCCUAUUUGCCGAGUGCAAAAAAAGAAACACUCGGCAAAGAAAAUUUCAAAUCAAAAUUUGAAGCCCUAAACAAAUUCAAAUCAAAAAGUUUGGAACUACAAAGUUGUAUAACGUCUCAAGAUCUAUAAUCUUUAUUUUGACCAUUUCUUCAUUUGGCAUAAUGAAAAUAAGUUUGUUCAUAAAUUUUAUAUCUCUCUCUUAUAGUUCCUAGAACUACAAAAGAGAUAUAUAAGAUUUAUAAAAAAUAUUAGAAUUACCGUGUCAGAUGAGCAAAUGAUGAAACAACCAAAAUAAACUUUAUAGAUUUUGACAAGUUAUGAAAUUUUAUAGUUGACAAUUUUUUCAUUUGAGUUUACCUUAUCAUUUAAAACUGAGUCUUUAUUUGAAAAUUUUUAAUUUUGAUUUUCUGAAAUUACCUCGGAUGAAAAAACUGACUAAAUAAACUUUGUAGGUCUCGAAAAGUUAUGAAACUUUGUAGUUGAUAACUUUUUGAUUUGAAAUCUUGUUGUCAUGCAAAAAUUAUGUUUAAAUUUCUCAAAUUUGAAAUUCAAAUUUUGUAAACGACCUCGGAUGGAGAAACUUUCUAAAUGAAAAUUAUAGAUCUCAAAAGGUUAUGAAACUUUCUAGUUGACAACUUUUUGAUUUGAAAUCGUUUAGAGGCUCAAAUAAUCAAUUUACAUGUGAUUUAGUAUGAUAUAUGAAGAACCAAAACGUAAUGUAAUCAUAUUUGAUGGUGUAGUGUAGUGGUGAAGGAGGGAGCUCUGUGACCUCAAGGUUGUGGGUUCAAAUCCUGGUUGUGGCAUAUUUGCUGAUUUUGUAGAAAAAAGCUGAAAAGGAGAUGGAGGAGGGUGCAGCUAGCGGGUGCUCUAAUGGUAGCCCAACCCCCAAAAAAAACAAUUUCUUUUUCUAUUUUUUGGCUUUUUUUUUAUUUUUUUCUUUGCCGAGUGUCGGCACUCGGCAAAGCCUUUGCCGAUUGCCCGAUAAAAAACGCUCGGCAAAGACCCCUUUGCCGGCCAGAAUUGUCGUGUGCUUUUUGCCGAGUGUGGCACUCGGCAAAGGCUUUGCCGAGUGUAUUUGAGCCUUUGCCGAGUGUUUUUGACACUCGGCAAAGCGGUCUGUCUCCCGUAGUAAUUUUACACAAAACUAUUAGUAUUUACUUUAUUAUAUAUUUAUUUUUAUAACUUUUGGUGUACUUCUAGCUAAUGGUAGCCCUACCCAAAAAAAACAAUUUUUUUUCUAUUUUUUGGCUUUUUUUUAUUUUUUUCUUUGCCGAGUGUCGGCACUCGGUAAAGCCUUUGCCGAUUGCCCGAUAAAAAACGCUCGGCAAAGACCCCUUUGCCGGCCAGAAUUUUGUCGUGUGCUUUUUGCCGAGUGUGGCACUCGGCAAAGGCUUUGCCGAGUGUAUUUGAGCCUUUGCCGAGUGUUUUUGACACUCGGCAAAGCGUCUGUCUCCCGUAGUAAUUUCGCACAAAACUAUUAGUAUUUACUUUAUCAUAUAUUUAUUUUAUAACUUUUGGUGUACUUCUAGCUAAUGGUAGCCCUACCACAAAAAAACAAUUUUUUUUUCUAUUUUUUUGGCUUUUUUUUAAUUUUUUCUCUGCCGAGUGUCGGCACUCGGCAAAGCCUUUGCCGAGUGCCCGAUAAAAAACACUCGGCAAAGACCCUUUGCCGGCCAGAAUUUUGCCGUGUGCUCUUUGCCGAGUGUGGCACUCGGCAAAGGCUUUGCCGAGUGUAUUUGGGCCUUUGCCGAGUGUUUUUGACACUCGGCAAAACGUCUGUCUCCCGUAGUGAUUUCACACAAAACUAUUAGUAUUUACUUUAUUAUAUAUUUAUUUUUAUAACUUUUGGUGUACUUAAUUUUAAUCUGUUCCGUUGAUAUUGAGACUAGAUGAGUAAAACACACUUAAAGUAAAUAUCUAUCCGCAUAAAUUACUUAUCCUAACACGUAAAAAAUUUUAUCCACCCAUAACCAUAUUUUUGUAGUCCGACUACUCGUAUCCACCAGUCGAAUAUAAUACCGUAUCCGCGGAUAGAAUCUUCUAAACCCAACCAAGGCCUUGUCUAAUUCUAAAAUAUUAUGUUAAGUUUUUCGCAUUUCCUAUCACAUCAAAUAUUAUAUAUAUAUAUAUAUAUAUAUAUAUAUAUAAAACACUAGAUAUAGAUAAAACAAAUAACUAAUUAUAUAAUUUAUUUAUAAUUUUUAAAUGUCAAAUAUAAAUAAAGUAAGGCCUUGUUUAGAUGAAAUGUUUUUGGAUUUUACUACUGUAGCAUUUUUGUUUGUUUGUGGUAAAUAUUAUUCAAUCAUGGACUAACUAGGAUCAAAAGAUUCGUCUCGUGAUUUACAGACAAACUGUGUAAUUAGUUUUUAUUUUCGUUUAUAUUUAAUGCUUCAUGUAUGUGCUGCAAAAUUCGAUGUGAUGGGGAAUUUUGAAAUUUUUUUGGUUUUUGGUGGAAACUAAACAAGGCCUAAGGCCAGUCUCAAUGGGGGUUUCACGAGGAUGUCAUGCACAUUUAUUAGAGCACCAUGUCAGCAAAACUGCACUUUUUGCAUGAAAUGAAGAGGAGAGAGAAAGAAGUAGUUUCACCAUGGUGAAACUCCGCUGGCAUUGUUUCCCACGCGGUGAAACAGGAUGAAAUUCACACUGAGGACAAAAUUGUUUCACCAUUUUGCAUGUGAUCCAAUCAUUUUGCAGUAAUUAAAUGUUUUGCCCAGCCUAGGAAACAUUAAGGUGAAACUCUUGCAUUGUAGAGGUUUUAUUAUUCGUUUUAUUGAUGCUCUGUCAGCGGAUUUUUUUGAAAACGGUUUCUUGAGAGUGGCCCUAACGCCGAAAGAAACCGGUUUCAGCGUCUCAUCAUCAUCAGUAAUCAUCAGGCGGGCCUCGAGCCCUCGUCGUGUCAGCCUGCCAACAGGUAGAACCGGCGUGCCGCCGAAAAGAUGCACCCGUGACCGUGACCUCCUCGGGAGUCGACACGCCGCACAGCCACAGCAGACGCACUCCCCAACAACCCAGUGCCACUCCAAUAAGGCCUUGUUUAGUUCGCAAAAAUUUUCGUUUUUGGCUACCGUAGCACUUUUGUUUUUAUUUGACAAACAUUGUCCAAACAAAGAGUAUCUAGGCUCAAAAGAUUUAUCUCACAAAUUAUAGGUAAAUUGUACAAUUAGUUUUUAUUUUUAUUUAUAUUUAAUGCUCCAUGCAUGUGACCAAAGAUUCGAUGUGACAGGGAAUCUUGAAAAUUUUUACGAACUAAACAAGGCCUAAAAGUGCCGCCUGCUCUCUACCUCUCUCUCUCCCUCCCCAGCUCUGCUCUGCUCCCGUCACAGCAGUACAGCCACAUCCCAGAGGCGGCGAGUCCUGUCCGGUGGCCAGCGGCGGGAAGGCCAUGGGCGGGGCUACCUCCCCUUCGCCAUGGAGGCGUCACUGCGCCCUCCACUUCCUCCUCCUCUUGUUCUGGUCAGUGCGCACUUCUUGCCAGUUGUUGUGCUUCUACUUUAUGCACUUUGGGUGGAUUUUCUUUUCUGUUUGGUUGCAGCGACGACUCCGGUUAGUUCGCGAACAUGCUGCCGCGACUUUCGCUCCAGCGAUUCAGUUAAUUGAUUCGUUGGAGUUGUGUUAUCUUGAAUCUUUUUUUUUUCUUUUUUUUAACGAACAGGAGGGUUUUUUUUUUGGCUAUUUUGUAUCUUAUUACUAGCAAGACUGUUGUAAGACUGAGUUAUUUUUAGCUAAAUGUUUGAAAUCUCUAGACCAAUGAAUUGUGUCACGAUAUUUUGAGAGACAUUUCCCAGUCACUGAGUAGCCUGAUUUGUAUGAGGAAUCGAGGAUAUGAAUAUGAUGAUCUGUGUUGAGCCUCGUGUGCCUGCUUUACAGUACAUGGUUGCAUCUCAAGCAUUUAUAGAGAAAACUAAUCUUACCCUAUCAUAACAACUUUAGAUUGUUCCUGAUUCUUACCAUAUACUGUACUCUAAUAUCCCCCGUAAUUGUAGAGUGAACAACGCGGACACUCGGACUGGAGUAGAAACCGACAGAAUUUUGCUCAAGUAGAUGAGAACCCUUUUGCUAGCCAAAUUGAUGCGUCAUGGAUAUUGCUGUGUAGUAGUUUUAGACCCGUGCACAAAAUCAGCUUGAUGAAUAUACAUACAUUGGUUCGUGUCCAACACUGUUUUUCUUUCCUAACUUAAUCUCAAUCAAGCAUUUAUGAAUAUGAUGCAAUGCUACUCUCAAAGUAGAAAAAAAACUACAGUUAGGUUCUGUAUAAUGAAGAAAUUUACUUACAGAGCUUCAAGAUUUGAUCUACUGUAACCAAAACAAAAGAAAACUGACUAUUACUUUGAUUUAUUCGUUUGUGUAAAUUUCAGGGGUACUUCCGAGGCAAAUGAAGAACAUGCCGUGUUACCUCCAAGAGGGUGGAACUCGUAUGAUUCUUUUUCAUGGACUGUAGACGAAAAUGCAUACCUGCAAAAUGCACAGAUCAUGGCAGAGAAGUUACUCCCACAUGGAUAUCAGGUUAUUCCCCUAACUCUUUAAUUUGGUGAAUGGUGAUAGAUAAAAACAUAAGAAAUGCGAUCCAGUAAAAUCGUGACGACUCGUUUAACGUUUUGUUCUGUCUCUAUGGAUAGUAUGCAGUUAUUGAUUUCCUCUGGUACCGGAAAUAUGUUGAAGGUGCAUACACAGAUUCAUAUGGGUUUGACAACAUUGAUGAAUGGGGUCGACCUUUUCCGGACCUUCAAAGGUUUCCAUCAUCUAGAGUUGAUAAAGGGUUCAGUCAAAUUGCCAGUAAGGUUCAUGGAAUGGGCUUGAAAUUUGGCAUCCAUUUGAUGAAAGGGAUAAGUGUGCAGGCUGUUAAUGCAAACACACCUAUCUUGGACAUUAAGACGGUACAGUUCUUCCUUUUAAUAUGCUAGUACAUGGCAACUAAAAGUUUUUAAUAUUAGCAUUUUACUUUGGGAAGUCUUGUUACAUUCAUUCUGUCAGGGUUGUCCAACUCUGCUAUUAAUCCUUGUUAACAUCAUGUUGUAUACCCAAAAACCAAUAAUCAUUGUUAAAGUUAACUUGUAUACACAAGAACCAUUCUUAAUCCUUUUUGAAUAUCGAGAUGAAAGAUGAUUUUAAAAUUUAAUUUUACAGGAUUAUCUUAUGUGUUGGAUAAAUUGUGUCUGAAACAUUAUCCUUUCUUGAGGUGUUUUUGAAACAUUGCAAAAUGUUGGAUAAACUGUAUCUUUGCUCAUCAGAAUACUGGUUCCCCUGGGCACCAACAAAUUUCUGAUUUACUUAUCUGUUCCAUUAUUCUUUAAUCUUGUGUGAAAUGUUCUUUCCCAUAGUAUUUUUUUAAUUAUCUAUACCAUAUGAUAUUUCUGUGGUUUCAUAUUAUCUGAUGUUUUGAAUGACUUAGCCACUGUGCUUUCUAGAUUCUUGAGUGUGUGGGUGUGUGUGUUGUAAGGGUUAUUACCCCUUUUUUCUUCUUAAUACAAAUAUGUGCAGCUCUCCUGCAUGUUUGACAAACAAAAACUGUGUUUUUUCUGUGAAAUUUGAACUUCUAUCUACAAUUGAACAAAUGACUCUUGGAAACAGGACAGCACACAUAGCCAUACUGAAAUGCAGAUAGAAGUUGCUGUACUCUAGUUUGAACUCUUAGAAUGGUCUCUUGUGAUUCUUUUCAGGGAAGGCCGUAUCUAGAGGAUGGCCGUCAGUGGACAGCACGUGACAUAGGCCUCAGUCACAGAACUUGUGCAUGGAUGACACAUGGAUUUAUGAGUGUUAAUACGGAUAUUGGAGCUGGACGGGCCUUCUUAAGAUCUCUUUAUCGACAGUAUGCUGAUUGGGGUGUUGAUUUUGGUAUGCUUAUUCUUUAGGUUCAUGGUUCUGUGGAUAGCAUACAUAUAUCUCAACUCUUAGUUGAACCUUUCCAUCUGCUGCCAAAACUAAGGAUUGAAUAAAUUCUUUCAUACUGACCAUUCUGUUUUGUUUGCAGUAAAGGUCGAUUGUAUCUUCGGCACAGAUUAUAGCCCAGAAGAGAUCAUCACUAUUUCAGAGGUAUAACUCCCUAUUUAUAAUUAAUUACACUAGUUCAUUGAAAUCAGAACACUUCUGGAAUCAGCUAAUUCCUAUAUUGCAGCUAUUGCAAGAAAUUGAUCGUCCGAUCAUCCUGUCAAUCUCACCAGGAACUGAAGUUACUCCAGCAUUAGCUGAGAAUAUUAGUGAUCAUGUUAACAUGUAUAGGAUAACUGGAGAUGAUUGGGACAACUGGAAGGAUGUGAGCUCACAUUUUGGUGUGUCGAGGUAAAUCGAACAGAUAUUUUCUUUUUUGUUCUGUUUCAUUGCAUGUAUACUCACUAGUUUUCAUACCUUGUAUACGUAUGUUGUGUAGUAAAGAAAAACUUAUUUAUUAUUUUAUUUCCCUUUGCAUAUUGUAUGCAGUUCCUUCGCUGCUGCUAAGAAGAUUGGGGCCACCGGGUUGCGAGGAAGAUCUUGGCCAGACUUGGACAUGCUUCCAUUUGGAUGGCUUACUGAUCCAAGUAUGAUUUAACUCUAUGUUAAGAAAUAAAACUAAUCUUGAUUGUUAUCUGGCUCUAGUGACUUUUAACAAUGAAGCAAAUUCACAAUAUUCAGGAGAAAAUGAAUCAUAAUUUUCUACUAAAUGCAUGUUAGUAAAUUUUUGUAUCAGUAAACAGAGUAAAUUUCAAAGUCAAAGUAGCAAACAAUAUGAAUGCAUGCUAUCCUUUCCAUCGUUCAAAUAUAUUCUUUGUGGCAACAAAAAUUCCAUUAAGGCACUGUGGACAAUGUCUGUCCCAGCUUGGUACUUUUUAGUAAUUGGGGUUGGUGUAUGAAAUAUCUGAAGUCUGCAUAGGAAAUGUGGAAAAUUUACACUUUUAUGGCAUUAAUUAUUCUCUUUAAUAGAAUGGUAUUAGUUUAUUUUAGCCAAAGAGGGAAACUGGUCUAGCUCAGUUGGUAGCAGGUGUGGGUGUAUUAAUUUAUUCAGCUACAUUUAACUCAUCUUCUUGAAAGUUUUCUUGAAUGGUUUGAGUACAUCAUAUAUCUUAUCUCUGUUUUUCUUUUCAUUCCCUUGUUCUUUUUCCAAGAAUAUCUUGAAUGAGAUAAUAUAUAUGCAGGUGUAUCAGAGACAGACUCUUUUUUCUUCUAUUAAUGCAGGUGUAAAUCAGGGCCCUCACAGGAAAUGUAACCUUACUCUUGAUGAACAAAAAUCACAGGUUGUUGAUGAUCACUUCAAAUUUAAGUGUUCUGUAUCUUUUUUUGUAUAGUAAUGAACUCCUUUUUCUUUGACAUGACCUUACAGAUGGCACUUUGGUCAAUGGCUAAAUCACCUCUCAUGUAUGGAGGAGAUUUGAGGAAUCUUGACGAUAGUACAUUAAACAUAAUUACUAAUCCUGCUUUGUUGAAGAUAAACCACUAUAGUAGAAAUAACAUGGAGGUACCUGCAUUGGAGACUUCCGAUUAGAAUGGUGUCUGCUUUGUAAGCACAAAUGAGUUGUAAACUGACCUGUAGAUAUUUUCAGUUCCAUUAUGUGUACAGUGAAAGGACAUCAAAUGAAGAACAUCCUGGUCACUUUAGGUCUCCUUAUCCUGUUCACCUUACCAAGAAUGAUGGCAUGUUUGUCAGUCUCACUACUUGCAGUGACGAUGCAGCUAAUGGAUGGUAUAUGUUUCCACAAGAUGGGAAACCAGAUCAUAUAUGCAGGAACUAUGAAAUACUGAAUGAUAAAAAUGUCUCAUUUUGCCUGGGAAAAACAAAACGUCUGCUUCCAUCGUAAGAUCCACCCUAUUAAUAAACAGAGAAGUGCUCACUCAAUGAUUUGUAUUAACACAUUUUAUACAUUGUAGGAAGAAGGAACACCUUUCCAAGUUUCAUAUUUCAGUUACAAACACUGAUGAUACUUGUUUGGAUGCAUCUGCUGGUCAAAGGCGGACUGCCUCAGAGAUCAGGUUUCCUAUGUUCUCUGCAUGCAGGUGGCAUGCAAAACAGGUAAGACCUCUACUGUCACCACCACCUUCCCAAUCUUUUCAAAGAGAAUAUUCCAUGAAGUGUUACUUACUGCACACAAAACCAAACACAUUACUAGUUAUGAAUUUCUGGGAGUGAGUACUAUCUAGUUGAACCCAAAAGCUUCCUCAUGCAGUCAUGCCUCAGACAUGGAAUAGGAGGGAGCAACAAUUAUUGUUUAUUUGAGACCUCUGGUUUCGGCCAUUUCAACCCCAAAGCUUAAGCUAUUAGGGAAAGAUGGGCAAUUCACUUUAUUUCAACUAGUAACUAUCCUGUUUGGCAACUGAACUUAUGGCAUUUGUUACACAUGAAUGAUGAAUGCAGAUGUGGGAGUUAAAUGCGAAUGGAAAUCUUGUGAGCAGCUAUUCAGGAUUAUGUGCCAAAGUGGAAUCAAGGGACGAAGGAGGUAUAUAUUACAUAACUUUGUUUGUUUUGAAUUACUUGAUAUCACUACAGUUUCCUAUGAAAUGUAGGUACCAGUGGAGGUCGUGCAUGGGUUGCAACUGGAAGUAAAGGUUAGUUAUCCAAGUAUCCUACAGGCAUCCUGUAAAUUAGUUUACUCUUGUGAGAAAUCUAAAUAUACGUCGAUUAGUAACAUACACAACUCUUUUAAUUGGCUCCUCUGCGAUAUAUGAAAACUUGCAACCACAAUUACAAUAUUUCCAUGUGGUACAUGUGCUUCUUCUGUGUUAACAAAAGGUCUUUUUUUUUGGGGCGAGGAUAACAAAAGGUCUUAUUGGUAGACUAUGAUAUUCUUAGACUGACCACAUGACACACAAAUCAUACCAAGACUGCAGGAUAGAGAUAUUGCAAGAGUGGAUAAUAGAGACCGAGGUUGCCUGGAAACCAUAUUUUAAUUUUUGAACAGAGAAUGCAGGAACUGAUUUUCAUAGUUUGAACUGUAAGGGGAGAAGUCAUAUUAUAGUCUCUAUGUGCCUAGCGCUAGAGGUAGUUCUUCCCCGGAAUAUGACUGAUUUCCAACUCACCAAUCCUGUAAGUCCAAAGUUUCAACCAGACACAUGACCAGUAGACCACCAUAGCUGUUCCUGUACUUCUUUUUACAAAUAUGCCUGAAUAUCAGGGUUAUGAUCAACUAUUAACCCAUUUCUAGGCAGACAAACCCUUGAGGGCCUGGAUGGUAUGGGGACAGAACUUUCUUUGUACAUAUUAGACGAUGUGGAUAAGCUUUUGUGCUUUAUUAUUUUCAUCACAAGGAAUAUACUACUUUACUACCAACACUCUCAUGGUGCAACUGGUCAGUUCAACACGCCAAAGAAGCUUGGCUGAGCCAGCCGGGUUCGAGUCACGGCACCAUCUUCUUGAGAUGAAUAUCAGGGGGACGUCUCUCCCCCUGGUCGAGUCUUUUUAUAUACUACUUUACUGAUAGUUUUCUAACUCCUUUUCAUAUUUCAGAUACGUUGAACUCUUCUUCCUCUGUUUUGUACAUACAUAAACCUAACAGAUCUACGUACCUUUAAAUUUAACAGUAAAUAGAAGUCACGAAAUAUUUGAAUCUCCAAAUUUAGCAGUCUGAUGUGUAUUUUGUAUUCCCUAUCGAGAUGGUUUCAGCUUCAAAUGAUGACCGUCUCAUCUUGACAUCUUGUUUCUAUUUUUGGGUAAUGCGUGAGAAAAUAUAUUUUGUCUGAGCUGUCUUCCAUGGUGCAGGAGAAAUCUAUCUUGCGUUCUUCAACCUCGACUCCGUGAGCAGGAAGAUGACCGUACAAAUAUCAGAUCUUGGAAAGGUUCUCAGAAGAACUUUUUUGAAAAAAGAGCUAUGCAGCUGCACUGAAGUUUGGAGCGGAAAGAAUUUCGGUCCUGUGAAGGAAGAGAUUUCAGCAGUGGUUAAUUCGCAUGGCUCCAUGGUGUUCGAAAUCACAUGUUGAGAUUGCAGUACUGGGCCAGUAGUUCGAGAAGUUCGCAGUGAUAAUUUGCUGUCAGCUCCAUUUCUAUUGAUCCUUUACUUGUAGGCAGAGGUGGAAUGGAUACGUUGAUAAACCAUUAACUAGAUGGCUGCUGGAUUUGACUGAAUGAAUAACAAAAGAAACAUGGGGAGAAAAUGAUGUUUAACUGAUCUUUUUUUUUUUUUUUUGCUUUAUGUCCUAAUGGACUCGGUGACUUCUAUUUAGUGGUACAAAGUUAAGGUAUUCAUAAUACCUGGUGAUCCUAAUUAACAGACAGAUAAACAUAGCACUACUAGGCAGGGAUGGGACGGGACGAGCAGAUUUUACAAGCAGCAGCAUCCCUGAAUGUUGCGAUCCUUUUGUUAUGUACGCCAGAGAGGAAUGGAUAUGGAAACCUGAAGCUCGUAACAGAACAAAUGCAAAGAAUGGCACCAGGCCACGAACACAGAAAAUUAAAAGCACUACACCACCGGCAACUAAUUAAAUUCACCGAGUCAAGGGAAUGCCUGUGCAUUCAGCCAACGAUAUUAACCCACCGCUAAAACAUUCCUAACGACCAUCUUAUAUGGAAGCCUGCUACUUCGACAUGCAAAGAUCAGCUACCACUAGAACAGUAGAACUACAUGGAAACCCUCUUCGUCUUCACUUCUUCACCGACACAAGACUGGGUGUCUAUGGAGCAGCAGGAGAGGAAUGCUGUAACCAAUCUUUUGCGCAGAACAGUGCCUCCAAGGUUUCAGGGUGCAGUGAGCUCUGGUAGUCGUCAAGCAUCUUGGCUUCCGUCCCAGCUGCGAACACGGAGCUGCCACGACCAACGGUGGACACCGGUAUUGCAAGGACAUCUUGGGCCAUCCUCGAGAGUGUUGGGUACCUGACGGCAUUAACCUUCCACCACAUCAGAAUGUCAAACUCCAGCAUGCGUGGGACCAGGGCUUCUUCCAAGUACUGAUCUAGCUCUGACUUUGAGAUCUGGCUCAGGGCUACCUCUGAAAGGUACGUGUCGAAGCCUGACAGUAGAUUGCCAGUGGAAGUAGGAUCUGUUGGAAUGUUGUUCUUAUUGUCAGGCAGAGCGCCAGUGACCUCUUGCUCAACAUGGGCUGGCGUCGACGGAAGUGGCUGUCUAACAUACUCUUUGUAGAGCUCAUGUACAGCAUCAUCCACCAACUUGACAUACUUAGAGCCCUUCAUCAGACCAUAGAUUUUGGAGUAACUGAACUCAACAAUCUUCAUUUUGAAACGGGGAUCCAUCACAACAGCAAUGGCCAGCACAACAUUGCAAUCUCUCCAAUACUUGUCAAAUAUCUCAUGCAUGCCUUUUGUGAUUGUACCGGAAAUAGAAUCUUGAUCAUCUGUGGCAUUUGAAAUCUCUCUCUGAAUUGUCCAAGCCUCAUGGAAAAAUAUGUUUGAAGUUGGAUCUUCUGUUGCCAUAAUGCUGUUUGCAGAGUCGUACAACAGCUUCAGAUACCUGCAAGCAACCUCGACUUUCUCCCAGUCCACUGCCGAAGGUGCUUGAUUGUAGUUAUCGUUACAUUUCUCCAGCAUGGUGAAUGCCUGCUUAUAAUCCAGAGCUGCCAGCAGCAUAAGAUAGGUGGUGUUCCACUGGGCUUUAAAGUCUAGACAUAGGGUCUGGUUACUAGGAAUUUGCAGUUGCAAAAUGAUGUGAGCAAACAUCUCCUCAUGGCUAACACAGGAUUUUAUGAACUUUAUACUUUCACGGAUUUUGUAGAUGGCACUUUGAACUGAAGCAGUGACAUCACUUGCAGCUGCAUUCAGUAUAUGGGCAUAGCACCUCACAACCAAAAAUUGCCCCCCAAGCAUCGGAAUAUUCUUUCUGGAGAGUUCCUCUCUCAAAUUCAAACUGUAGAUAUCAUGUGAGGAGGACUCAUAAUCUCCAGUAACGGUGAAGAGUUUGUCAGUCAUGUUCCACUGAGGAAGGCUUCUGCUGAUAGCUUCAGAAACUGCAUUCUCUGAACAACCAGGCCAAGGGACCAUCACAAAGUUGAGCAUUCUUCGGUGCAGCUUCCACUCAGAAUCAAUGAAUUGCCCUGCAAGGGAAACAUAUCCAAGAGUUUGGCUAGUGGUCCAAGACUGUACUGUGAGAUUUAUCCUUCCAGGAAUAUUUCCGACUUGCUUCAGCACGCUCUCUCUUUCCUUCAGAUAAACUGCAUAAACCUCUGCCUCCAUUGCGUCUGUAUUCACCACCUUGAAACUAGGCUGCAGGCCCUCAACAAAGGAUAUGAAGGUUGGCUGUUGAACAAUUAGCAGAGGGUAGUCAUGCAGAAUGAUCAUCUUCGCCAGGUAUGAUUUACUGCUGUCUGGAUUGAAUCGAGCAUUUGCAUAACCAGUACAAGUGCGGCGCCGCCUCUUAGAAGGCUUCUCUACAGUACCCUGAAAAUAAUUUUCUGUCCCUCCUGCUGCAGGUUCUUGAACUUUAAUCUCAGGGCAAUGACCCUGGGUAAUGUGCCUCUUCAGAUGGCUAGUGCCUGACAUUUUUGAUCCAGAACUGUAUGCAAAUAUGCCGUUACAAUGCUUGCAGCAAGCUCGUGUGCAUCCCUCAGAAUCUUCGGUAGUGAAAUGUUCCCAGACCAUGGACGUCUUUCUUCGGCGUUUUGAUGAGGUUUGUGGUUUCACCCCAGUGGUAACAUUGCCACUAGCUAUCUCACUACCUUGAACCGUCUGAUUACAAUGGAGGACUGUUUGGUCAUAGGGGACCAUCUCACCACCAGGAUCCACCUUGCUACCAACAGGGACAAUCUGGUUGCUGUGAACCAUCUUGUUAUCAUGGAUGUUGUCGACCAUCUUGUAACCAAGGAUCAUUUCGGCAUCAUGACCCAUCUUGUCACUGAUAAUCGCAUCACAGACAUCAACCAUCUCAUUGCCACCAGGGAAAAUCUCGUAGUCUUCGAACACUGUCUCAGUGCCAUGCACCAAGGAAGAGUCAUUGCUGUUUGGAUCACCCAUGCUUUGCUGAGAAUAAUAGCUAAAAUGGUUGGAAGAAAUACGAUCAAGUCAGAUAUAAUGUAGUCAAACUAGAACACAGACAACGGGUUAAAGAAGCUAUAAGUAAAAUGCAAUAUCUAUCUAGUGAAAACGUCACAGAUAUUUGCACAAUAUAAGUUUUUUCGAGAACAUGCGCUGCAUGUAUUUCAUUAAGCGAUUUGCACAAUAUAAGUUGAAUAUACAUUCAGCCAUUACAUAUUUACAUCACGUUUUUGUAUGAGAGAAUCAGUACCACAGCACUCAGUCGUUGUAUGAACUAACAAUGGUUCAAGGAAGUGGAUCCAAAUCACAAAUUCAUUUUUGUAAGCUAGCUACUCCCUCCAUUCCAAAUUAUAAUUCAUUUCAAGAAUCUUGGAAAGUCAAAGCAUCACAAGUUUGACAAUUUAUAUGAUAAAGUAAUAACAUUUAUGAUGCCAACUAAGGCAUUGUUUAGUUCCCAUCAAAAUCUAAAAAGUUUUUAAGAUUCCGUGUCGCAUCGAAUCUUGCGGCACAUGCAUGGAGUACUAAAUGUAGAUACUGUAAAUCGUGAGGCGAAUUUUUUGAGCCAAGUUAGUACAUAAUUGAACAAUAUUUACCAAAUACAAACGAAAGUGCUACAGUAGCGAAAUCCAAAAAGUUUUCACAAUUAAACAAGGCCUAAAUUUUUAUUAGAUUAUUCAUUAAUUAUAUUUUCAUAGUAUAUACCUAUUUGAUGUCACAAAUCUUUUUAGUUUUCUUUAUAAUUUUGAUCACAUCUUAGAUGCUUUGACUCUCCAAGAUUCUUGUAAUGACUUAUAAUUUAGAAUUGAGGGAGUAUUUAAAUAUGACAGAAUUUCUAGUCGGGAAGUAAUGUACUUGCCAACAAAAGAGGACGAUGUAGGAAAAAAAAAAUGGAACUGCGAGCAGAAAGCAUAUCGCCAUCCCCCAUAUACUGUCCAUUGCUUCUAUGCCAAGCACAUAUGCCAUUAUUUAGUUAGUGUCCAUCGCUUCUAUGCCAAGCACAUAUAACAUUGUUUAGUUGUUGAGUAGACACAGAGCAUUGAGAAUAAGAACUCUAACCACGUGCCGUGACAAUAACAACUCACACUUGUUGAACACGCAGAGGAACCAGACUGGCAGUAAGUUCACACGACACAGAUUAAACACAAGUCCAGAAAACACCAUACUAAAAAAAAAGAAAAUCAUUGCAUGCUUUUUUGGUUCGAGAACAAAUCGCAUACUGUUUCAUCUGAUGAUGAUGCUGAUGUUCUCCGACCACAUGGCGUCGUUGAUUAUAGCAGGCGAAAAUCAUAAACUGGAAACCAAUCGAAACGAAAAACCUCAGGGUCCAGCGAGCUACGACGAUCAUCGAACAGCUUCCUACCACUGCAACAAACACACACACACACACUACGGACAGACGAUACAGCGAUUCGGACCAGCAGGUACCAACCAAUGCAAUCAUCAAGCACAGAAAACCCCAUCCAACUCACACACCAUCGACGAUCGAUCUACCCGCCCUCCAUACAGUUUAAGGAAGGCCCAAUCCAAGGCAACGAUCACUGCAAACACCCCCCAGACCCAGCAAUCAAUCCGCGCGGAGGAAGAGGAACACACGAGGUGGGGAGGGAGAGGGCUUGCAGUUGGGUGCGGUGGGUUACCUUGCAGUGGAAGGAGAAGGGGGGGACGAGGUGAGGUCCAGGAAACCAGCCGGCGCGGCGGGGGGGCUACUACUGGAUCGGAUCGCGGCUCGCCUCGGCCCAGCAAGGAACAAACCCUAGAUCGUGUUCGUCGUCCUUUGAGUCCACUCCGUGGGCAGAAGAACGCGGCGGGGACGCGGAGGCUUUUAUGGGCUCGUUUCGUGUCCCAGCCCAUGACGGAGAGAGAGGGCGUGGUUCGCUCCACUUCCCGCUGACAGGUGGGCUUCCGGACCCGUUCUUGGUUUUGGAAACCUUUUUUUUUUCCUUUUGUUUCCGUAUAUAUAUAUAUAUGUAUCCUUUACGGUAGGAGUUUAUGCGCUUUUAUACGGAGCUAAACCGGCCAAGCCCAGACUGUCCAUAACUAACCAUAAAUAAAUGCCCCUCCGUCAUGUCGUAUAAUACCUUAGUUCACUUAAAGAUUCUCAGCCACAUGAAAUCUUACAAAAUAUAUAUAUAUAUAUAUAUAUAUAUGUAUAUAUAUAUAUAUAUAUAUAUAAAUAAAAAUAAAAACUAAUUAUACAGUUUGUCUAUAAAUUACGAGAUGAAUUUUUUGAGCCUAGUUAGUCCAUGAUUGGACAAUAUUUGUCAAAUAAAAAUAAAAAUACUAUAGUAUAUAAAAUAAAAAAAAUUCGGAACUGAACAAGGCCUACGAUACUUUUAAAACUAUAGUUUAUUUAUAUAGCUACUAUACCCAUCUUAAAUCAUAGUUCAAUUUUGAUUUUCAAGGCUAUAGGUUGUACCAUUUAUUUAAAUAUACGCUUUGUCUAGAUAAAUGGUUUGUAGACGAAAUGAUUAUCCAAAAAGGCUUCUACAAUUUAGAACGAUAAAUAUGAGAAAUACAUAUAGGGUUAUUACAAGUAUAUAUGUAUCUCGGAGAUAGUUAUAAGUCUGCUCGAGCGCUACCACUAGCGCAGCGAAGGGGCCGCCGGCUAGGGCUGGGGUUGGCCGUAUCUGCUCGCUACCGCCAGCACCCGAGCAGGGACUGCAUCGCGCAUGGGGCAGCUCCCGUGCUUGCUCGAAAUGGGCGUCUGGCUGGGGCUAGGGCUGCCUGCAUCCGCCGCUCGCCGCCACAGGGGUAGCGCUCGUCCCCAUCGGGGCCAGGGCCGGCCGCGCCCUCGACCGCCGGAGCCAAGGCCGGAGCUGCGUUGCCCCGAGGAUGCAUGGGGGCAUACGAUCGAGUGGAGGUUAGGGGCAAAGCUGCGCAGGGAGCUUGCACCGCCAUAGGGAGGUGCACCAUGCACCGGUUAGGGACUUAGGGUGGGGAUGUCUGCGUGAGGAAAGCCGCUCCGCCGGGGCCGCCAUCGGAGCGUGGCGGGCCACCGCCACGAUCAAGGUUGCAGAGGUGCGUGGUUGUGAGAUGUGGCCAUGAGGCUCCGCCAAUGUCGCGGUCGAGGUAGAGGACGCCGCCCAUGGUAGCUCCUCCACCGCCGCUAGUGUUGGAGCUGGCGAUCCAGAAACGGACCAAGGGGGGGCUAAAGAACAAGACGAACGUUUUGCUCGGUAAACACAGAAAUUGAUAAUUUGAUAUGGAUUCAAAGUAGUUGAAGUCAAAGAUACAUAGAAUUAAGGAUAGAAAAGUACCAAAUACAAGGAGUCUUUCAGCUUAAGAAUUGACACCACUUGAACCAAUACGACUUGAACCGCCACCCUCAAUGCUACAUAAUUUGCAAAUAUCAUACACUUCUUCAAUAAUCAAGAUAACAAGCAAAAAGAAAAGUAUUAAAACAAUACGCACCUUGGGACCUUGCGUGGCAAGUUUAUCUUAUGAUUUCUUAUGCCCUAAAAGCGCUCCAAAAUUUUGUCAUCUUCAAUAGAUACAAAGAAAUCCUGCUCAAUAUUUUUUCAUUCUAUAAAUUCAAACCAAUCAGUAAAUCAGUAAUUGCUUGAAUCUAAAUCUAGUCAGUAUUCAGUAAUGAAAAAAAAACAGAGGGAUCUUCUCACCUUGCUUGCACAAUCCCUACUCUAACCCUAGGGCAGUAGGGCUGGCUGGCUGCCUGCCUGGCUCUAGCGGCUGGCGCUGGCCACUGGCUCGCCGCCUGGCCGCACUGGUGGGCGCCCCGCGCCUGGCCUAGCCGGUGGCCGUUGGCUGGCCGGCUGCUGGCUGUCCUCCCUCGCGGCCUCGCUGUCCCGGCGGGCGGCGGCGGCGCGGUCCGUGGAGGCGUGGAGCAGCGAACCAGCGGUGGCCGGUGGCGUCCGCGCGGAGAGGGGAGGGGCAGAGGAAGAGCCAGGCAGCAAGCCAGCAAUGGCGGCGGCGGCGGCAGUAGAGCGGGGCAGCGGGCGUGCGGGAUGCGAGCGAGGGCGCGGCUGCGGGAUGCGAGCGAGGGCGCGGCCGUGCGUGAUGGGAGCUGGAUGCGAGACGCGUCGAGUUUUUUUUUAGGUUAACAAUUUUUGGGCCGGGCUGCAGAUCCGCUCCAAACAAUUUCGGCCCACGGGGGGGCAGCCCCCCGUCCGUCCGCCACUGGGAACAGCCGUCGAUAUUGGAGUUGAGGGAUGGGAGGGGAAGUCACACCGGCCAUGGAAAGACCUCACAAAGUCGAGAUAGGAAGACGACGUAGAUGGGAAGGAAAAGAAAGAAACGAACCAAUACGCACAAAACCAGUGGCAGGUGGGUAAAUUUUUACCCCAAAUUAAAGCAGCUGAAAGAAGGGGGUUGACAUGCUUUGAGUUUUGUACUAGAGUAAAAAUAGCUUUUGGUCUAAAGCGGCUAUGAUUUUUCACCCUUUCGAUUGGCUUUUGGCUUUUACAAAAGGAAAAAAGAAGAUUAAGAUGCCCAACCAAAGGAGAUUUUAUAAUGUAGAACCAAUGGGCUUAAACUAAGAGCAUCUCUAAGAGUUGUUCUAAAUUCAUUUGUUUCUCCUAUUUUCACAGCAUUUAUAUAUUCUCUCCCAACAGUUUCUUUAUCUCAAAUAACACAUAGGGUGAAAACAUAUUACACCAAAUCUGAAGGAGAUGGAGAAGGACUUGGGAAAUAAAAAAAGGAAAAAUAUACUUGAUAGGAGAACAGGUAAAAAUGACUUUUGAUAGGUUAGGUAGGGAAACUAUUAGAGAUGCUCUACCUUAGGCCGUUCUUCUGCUAUAUAUCCCAUUCACCUAUUCCUUUUUAUAUCAUGACAUAUGGGACCCAUAUUUUAGUGAGCCAAUUUAUUCUUUUUACUUCUUUUCAUAUAUAUCCUUGGUUAGUUGCCAACUGGCCAUGGAGUAGUAGUAUGGGGAUAAGUGGAAAAAUGGCUCCUUUUCUCAUCAGGUUGUCCCUUAGUACCUUUAUCAAUAAUGAAGGGAUCAUGACGUCUUUCUCUAACUAUGCCCCCUAAUUUCCAACCUUAGAGAAACGCAUGUAAUAAGUAAACUAUCUAAAUGUGCAACUAUGAUUCUGCUAGGUGUGUUGAUAUCUCUACCGCAAAAGGAUUAUGCAACCUACAUUCCAAUCCUACCAACUAGCCAACAACUAAGGUAGGAAAGGCAAAUAACACAACCAAGGUAGCAAUGUAAAGCAAAAGCUUAACUGAGAUAGAAAUGCAAACUCCUGUCGAUGACUCUGAUAUUUUUACCGAGAUAUCAAGAAGCGCGCAAGCAGUUUCCCCUAUUCCUUGUUGGACCCUAUAUGACACCCUUUGUUUUUUAUCACGAUAAAAUUCACUAAAAAUUUAAACUUUUGGAAGUUUACAACAAAUUAAAACUUGAUUAGUUUAUUUCCCUUGAAAUCAUUUUAUUGAAAGUGUUUUUCCAAAAAACCUUGCAUUAAAAUUCAGCAUAUGCAUUAUGAGUGUUCGUGUGUUGUUUGUGUGUUUUUCUAGAAUUUAUUUGCGGCACCAAAUUGUUUUCCUUGUAUUCCCAAAUCUCAUUAUUUUCUUUAAAUUCCAAACCCCAUUUUCUUCCAGCAGCUGCCUACCAUGCACUGUAACUCUUCAACGGAUGCUGGUAAAAAUCUCAAUGGCCAGAAAAUAUCCGAGCACUGCCGGCGUGAGCCCGCGUCAACUCCCGAAUGCUCAGAUGUCGUCUUCUUCGUGGCGUGUCCUUCCCAGCAAUAGAAGCAUAUGCCUCCACACCUGCUUACACGCUGUGCUGCUGCCAUAUAUAUGCUGUGCUGCUGCCAAUCUGCCAUGCUCCAGUAAAGGCCAGCUUGAGUCAAGCAUGCGCAUGUUGACUGACAUUGCUGUGCUGCAGAUCAUGCAUGCCGGCAAAAAUCUCCCUGGCCGGGAAAUAUCGGCUGUCUCCCCACCGCCUUACCCAUGGCUAUAAAAGCCGGCGAUGCACCAUGGCUAGUCACCUCCGUCAAGCUCGAGCGCAGGCAACUUGAGGACGAGGACAAGCUUUGCUUCUCUCCGGCUGCUGGCUCCAUCAGUGUCGAUGAGCAGAGCUUGAGCUCGCUUACCACAGUCCACAGGGUCCUUGCCCUUGCCGUACGCGAAGCCGCCGAAGGCAGGCACCACCACGCUGGGGACGCCAACACACGAAAGCAACGCCGGAGCUGCUGCUACACCAGUACGCGACGCCACCGCCGGCAUCGUGCCUCGAUCUUCUCGCCAAGCAUCGCUGGAGCCACCCUCGCCUUGAACCGCUAAGGACCGCACAGACGAGAACUCCACCGGAGCAUGACACCGCGCUUCGCUCUGCUCUCUGCUCCACCGUCACGGCUGCUCAGAGCCACCCUUAAAGACAGAGGACGCGAACGGGAGGAUGCUGCCGUCGCGCCGACGCUCUAUGCUGCCACACCAGAGCUCCGUCCCGGUCGACUACCGUCGUUGCCACAGAAGGUCCACUGUCCGUCCGCCGUGAUCUGCUCCCUCUCUCCUCCCUCGACGGCACGGAAAGACACAGACAUGUCGACGCAAAAUCAACUGAGGUCAUCUACCUGUCAAGCCACAUCCCCCAGCCAAUGGGAGCUGGCCACGCCAUCCCAUGAAUGGCAACCAAUGAAAACAAGGCAAGCUCACAACACAGUGCACGAGCGGGAUCACGGAACAGUACCAUGCAAAGCAAAUGUUCGAUAGACACAAGGUGCAUGCCAGCAACUAUGCUGAGUAGAAAAUAGUGAGCGCACCUAGGAGAUAUGUAUGAGAAACUGAGGAAACCCAUUUCCCUUUAAUUUUCUAGAAAAAUCCCAGAAAAUUCCUAGAAAUACCAGCUCCAAAGUCUACGCAGACCUCUCCCACGCCUUCUCCACCGUCUAAAAUUCCUGAAAUAAUUUCCAAUAUCCUUGCCGUACCCCUUUCUUUAAUAAAGCUAUGAUGAUCCAUAUGUCCACCAUCCCACAUCUGAACCCCUUGAUUCUUCCACUAAAAAUCUUCUAAAAUGAAACCCUGCACACCCAUAUCCUUUUUCAUAAUUUUUGGUGCCCAUUUAAAUUCUAGUUAUGCUUGUCUUACGUUUCUUUUAUUAACACUAACCCAUAGUUGCACCCACCUACUAACGCAUACAUGUGAACUCACCUAGAUAACAAUCUGUCAUCCAAUAGGAUCAACCCAUCUAGGACCCUUUUCUCUUCCUUUGGUCGAUUAUGCCUGUUUGUUCCACCUGUUGGGGUGUUUUCCUUGCUUGAUUGUCAAUGCUAGACAACGUAGGGCAGAUAAAUCGGAGAGAAGGUGAUGGAACCCAAAAGCAGAAUUACACAAGGACGAAGAAACAAGAAGCAUAGGAAUCAGAAUCUCAAAAUAAGAAUAUAAUCGCCAGCGAGCGGAGGCAAGUCCUAACACCCAUCUACCCCUUUUUCCUCCAUAUAUGGUGCCACAUCCACCCUAACUCCCCAUUUUUACACCACCACCAUGUUGUACUAUUUCCGCCACAACACCUACCACCCUUCUUUAAUAAACCUAAUUUAUAUUAACUACACCAUUCUUUUAUAUGUAUAUGAGUAUGAGUAAUAUGAGAUAUUGUGUCACGAAAUGAGCUAUGUGAUAUUACAUGAAUACUUGUGAUAUGUUGCAAGCUCUUAUAAUAUAUAAUAUGAGUACGUGUAAUAUAUGAUACAAAUCUUUAUGAUAUUCCAUAAGCCCUUAAAAAUAUGGAUGAGCUUGAGAACAUGAACCAUGUUGUUAAUCAGAUACAAUCUGGUGAACUAAAACUUGUCUCCGACGGGAGCGAGUGGAGGUAUUUCACGUGGUGUGGACUACCUUGGCAAGAUCACCUAGUGAGGGUUCCUGUGGGAGAUACUCGCUUCGGUCAUGUAAGGAUCGGUUCAUUUGCCAUCUCACCUAGCCAGAAUUUUCAUAUAUCCACAUGUCUGUAUGGGCAGACUUGGUCUCACACCCUGUUAGGUGGAAAUACAACUACUACUAGGAGGCCGGAGUGGCAACAGACUAUCAAGAGAGGACAAUGGUCUGGUCAGCAUGGUUGCUAUGUGUUCCAUGUAAAAUUAUUGUUGUGCCUUAUGCGAGCACUGUUUAUUGAAUUCGGAUGCUAUGUGAUCAUCCCCUAAAAUUGGAUGAUGUGUGAUCAUCCAACCUUUGUGUGUAUCCGACCCCUAAGUAGGUCGUGGUAGUAUUGUAUGGAUAUCUAAGGUCAUUCCGUCCGGGUACGAGACCUCAGUGAGCUUGUUGCACCACUGGCUCUGGUGUCGGCUAUGCUUACCAUGUGGGGAAAGGUGUACAACCUCUGUAGAGUGUAUUAAAUCUAUUCGAAUAGCCAUGUCCUUGAAAUCGGCAAUCACCGGGAUGAGGUCUCAAAUGAUUAGAUGCUUUUAUGUGUAAUGAAAUUGUGAUACUAUGGUAAGUUGUAAUCAACUAAUCUAAUAAGUUACAAUUUAUAAACUCCGGGAGCUGGCGAGAAGGGGUAAUACUCUCCUAGGGCCCACACUCACAUGUUUAUAUAUGUAACUCCACUUCCAACAUAAACACUUUCACCAUCAUCAAACACCUCCACGUAUAGCCUCUGCCAUCCACCUCACUUUACCUUAAAGUUAGGGCUUGCUGAGUACUUUAUGUACUCGAUCCCCCUCCAUUCCAUGAUUUUAGGAGAGAAGCUGUCAGAGCACAUAUGAGGAUGGAGCUAUCAAAGCUACGCUAGGAUGGGACAAUAGGAGUACGCAUGCGGAUGAAGAUGUAUGAAUAUGCAAAGGAGCUACUUGUGGAUCACUACGAUAAAGAUAUAAGAAUGAGUUUAGGGAUAAGGUUUUUGUCCACACUCCAAGUUGCCUGUAGGAAUGGAACGUAGGAUCACUGUGUUAGAACUCUGAUGUAUAUCACAAGGACAUUGGCCCAAGCUAUGUAGAUAUAAACUUUGUAACAUAUUUUUCCUAUUAUUAAUAAAAGUAUGGUUUUUGAUAUCAAUCUUGUUCGAUAUCAGCUACUGAUCUAGGAAAUAAUACGUGAUGCACAGUGGACCCUAAAAUAAGGGCCUGACAUACCCCUAACCCUAACUAGGAUGCCCUUGCAAGGGCCAAGCUCCAGGUCGGGUAACUCUAUGGAUAGCCUCAGUCCUUCCCAUCCACCAGUGGGUCUUCGAUGUGCCUUCUGGCAAGCCUCUCUUGGACCACUCACUUCCAUCUUCACUAUAAUCUUCUGGUUGAAAUGCUAUAUGCCUUGUUCCCUCUAGUACACAGUGAUGGCCACAUCAUAAAUGCAGUUGGGCCCUACCGAGCACUAAACACGGUGCACACUAUUGGUAUUUCAUAACACAUACGGAAAUAAUCCGCAAGGACAUAGAUAUACCAUUAUAUGAAUUUAUAUUUUUUCCAAAAGGAAGGCAUGGUGUAAAAGUCUCUAGUAGGGACAUGAAUAAGAUAAUAUGAUAUAAUAGACCAAUGUUCAUAAUAGGGGUAAGCUAGGAUAAAUAUUGGGAUAGUGUGACAUAGACACAAGCCAAUAUCAAGGAUAAAAGAGAAAUGAAAGAAUAAAGAAUAAAAGAAAUUUUCUAAAUGGCAGCAGACAUUUCCUAAAGUUGUCAUGCUAAGAUUAGCAAAUGACCAUACAAAUACACGGUUAAGACUAAGCCCUAAGAAUGCAGAUGGACACUAGUCUGGCAAUAAUCGUGAGAGGCCUUUAUGAACUCCUACACUAUACCUGAACAUGGGGGAUUAUAAGUGACAGAUAUGGCUAUCACCACCUACUGCCUACCCCCUCAAUUGUUGUACCCAAGCACCACAACCAUGUACAAAGGAACUAUCCAAAUUCCCUCAAGACUCUGACCCUACAGAUGGUUUGGCUUUGACUCUCACAGUGUCUCCUAUCGGACCAUUAGGUUUGGCUCUGACUCUCACAAUGUCUCCUGUGUCAGAGAGAGCCGUUGGCUGACCAUCGGGGGGCAUGAAUGCAUGCUUGGGUCCGAGGUCGUAACGUCAGAUUAGGUCUAACUCGCAACUCAACUCUCAGGAGCAUUCUGGAACUGACGAGACACUAGCUGCAAAGGUUUGAUGUCUAUGCUAAUAAUAGGGUCUGACACUUCCUUCACCUUUCUACCCAAUGAAUAGUGGGACCAUUUGGUUCGAUGCAUGUUCUUCUCAAGGUUUGAUGCAUUGCCAAUGUUGCUUUGUCUUGGGCUUUGCACCCGUCAAACUCUAGUUUAUCAAUAGUUUGAUUGUCCUGUAAUCUAUCAUCAAAUCUACCUACUAGACAUAUUACACAACUUGUAGUUAAUUCAUGUUCUCCAAGUCAACUACUAAUACAUGUCCAAUCAUUAAACCCAUCAUUUUCCACCUGACCUUUAAAUGCCUUUUGUAGAUAAUGAACAAUACCAGUGAAAUACUAAAUCAAGAUCUUUAGAAUAUUAAUAAACAAACCAAUCGACUCCUCUCCAUGAUAACAUUCUAGUACACAAUAGUGCAUAAAAUCGUCAAAAAUAUAUAUCCUUAGGACAUUUAUAAAUUAACAAAACUCUUUUAGGACACCUUUUGUGCUAAAUCUCAACAUCUUUAGAAUCAACAGGAUCUAGUGUCAUGGGGUAGAAACUGCGACAAGCAAUGUUGUUAAUUGGGUGUCACUAAGUGUGGGUCUCUGGUGGCUCGGGUGGACUAAAAAACAUAGAGAAUACACAAUGACAUAUCUUGGUACGAGCACCAAAAUGGGAGGGCUACAAUAGGAGUGUGUAAGAGAUUUGAAAGGGAUCAAUCAGUGUUAUCCUAUGGCUCGUUGGUGGUGAGGUCGCUUUCCUAAUGAUGGAGAAGAAAACUGGGGGAAGGAGCACUCGGUCACUCCUCUUGGGUUGCUCUGCCCUCAGUGUAGAGCUCAGAGUGGUCUAGAAAACUCUAUUAUAUUAUGUUUCAAUCUUUCCUCUUCGUAGGAUCUGACCUCCCCUUAUAAACUGGAGUCUAGGAAGCUAUGUCAUUGUUGUGGAGUCAAAGGAGCCUUGGGCACCGUCCUUCUACUCUGUUUUGAUGCUCUAACCGUCAGGGGUUAUCGGCUUGGACCAGCCUCCAAUAGGUGAGCCUUCUUGAGACUUUCUUGCUCAUGAAGGUGUUUGGCUUAAGGGGCUAAGGAGCAGGCUUGGGAGCCCCUGAUCCUCUUGUGGAGGGAUUUGUCAUAUUCUAUUAUGCUGCAUGUGUGACCUAAUCAAAGGAGGAGUGGGCGACGGUGUUGUGCCUGUUGACCAGGGCAAGGCUAGCAAUGGGGGUGUCACACCACAAUGUACAAGUGGUAUGUGGAAAAUGUUAUCAUUCUUAGGAAUAUAGGAGAGGAUCAUGAAUUACUUGGGGAGAGGCAUGGAAGCGGAAAAGACUAGUCAGGGAGACCAUGUCAAGAUAGAGGCAAGUCCUAGUUGAGGCCGAGUCCAGCUCGCUUCCUCCCUCAUCAGCCUAUGCUAAAAUCAUCACCCAAGACACAUAUGGAUUCAAUUAUCGUUGUUCUCCAUGUGUAUAUGAAGCUAAGGACAUAGGAUUUGUAAUUCAUUUGUCUCAACAAAAACUCAUCAUAAUCAAAGGAAAUCAAUGAAAUAACUCUAAAUCCAGAAUCUAUCCUGGUGUUGAGAUGUCUUUUGGUCCAUUGAGUCAUGUAUCAUGUCUGAGCCUACGAUUAGGGUUGAGUGCAAGAAGUAUGCAUGCUCGAAAGACCUUAUAAUUAGUAUUCACUUCCCAUGUUUGGGUUUGGUGUUUUUCAUACAUUAGUCCUCCUGUGAAUGGUCACAAUUCAUUAGUUAUUGAGACCCUAAUUUCUAGUGCUUAUUCAUAUAUCUACUAUUCUUCAUCAUACAAUGUUCUUUUGAUUCUUUCUUGUGUUAAUUCUAUAUUCGUAUGUAGGGAUUAGCCUUCUAGCUAGGCAAGGUUAACCAGGUAGUGACAUGGUAUAACUAGGGUAGAUGUACUACUAAUGUUGUAGGGUUUGGAUUUUAUGAUCUGAAGCCUGAUUGUUGUGUCAAGUCUCCCAAAUCAACAUUUGUUCCCACACGACGCAAGAUAUAGAACUCUGUUUCCACCAAGUGGUAUUGAAGCAUUAGGUCAUACCCUCGUAUUAGUGUUUUUACCUUCAUCCCCUAGUCCACCAAAACAUUUGUUUUCCCCUAUCAUCCUACAACCAUCUUGUGCCAUAUAUGUGGCUUAAUUAAGGUUUAGAGUCUGCCAUGUUAAGUUUUUGUCAUUGGACAUGAUGUUGUUGCUGGUGUAGCUCAUGUUUGAUUCCAGUUUGUGUGGUCCCUAUGCUCUUUUCCAUCAACUCUAGGGACCACCACAGAAAAUCUAGUAUCUUGUGCCUAAAAGCCCUUAAUUAGAGGCCAGACAAACUCGAAAUAAGGCAAAUUUUAGAGUUUCGAAGAAUGUUGGAAAAUUGUAUAUAAUACAAUUACUAUAUAAUAUCUUGUCUCCUAGAUGCAUAAGGACAUAGCAUUAUACCUCUAGCACACAUAUUAUUUAUCCAAUAGAAGUUUAAUAAUACAAUUAAGGCAACAGAUCUAGUGCAAACUCAUCUCCCGUGCAAAGUGUGCAAACUCUAAUCUGGACCAUAGGAUGUUGAUCCAAGGGGCGCAGAGAGAUUGGGUAAUUUUGCAUUUAACCGCCCGCUCUUAAUCAUACUUUUACAAAUCCCUCCUUCCACCUCUCUCAUGUGCCCCCUAGGAUCAACAUCCUACGGUCCAGAUUAGAGUAUGCACAGUUUGCACGAGAGAUGAGUUUGCACUAGAUCCGUUGCCUACAAUUAAAUACUAUAUGUAGUCCCUAGGGGAUAGAAUUCAAUAUCUCCUAUAUGCAUGAGGAGUAAGCAAUAUAUCUCUAACAGACAUGCAACGUAUCAUCUAUCUAAUAGAAAUUAUAUAAUACAAUUGAAUACUAUAUGUAAUACCCAAUAGAUAUAAUGUCUUAUCUCCUAGAUGCAUAAGGACAUAGCAUAAUAUCUCCAGCACCCAUGUAUCUUAUAGAAGUUUAAUAAUACAAUUAAAUACUAUGUGCAGCCCCUAGUGGAUAGAAUUCAAUAUAUCCUAUAUAUAUAUGCAUGAGGAGUAAGCAAUAUAUCUCUACAGACACGCAACGUAUUAUCUAUCUAAUAGAAAUUAUAUAAUAAAGUUAACUAUAUGCUGCACCUAUUAUAUAGAGUCCAAUAUCUCUUAGAUGCAUGAGGACUAAGCAUAUUAUCUCCAACAGACAUACAACGUAUUAUCUAUCUAAUAGAAAUUAUAUAAUACAAUUAAAUAUUAUAUGAAUUACCUAGUGCUCUUGCAUGCAUGACAUAGUUGCAUCCUCUACAGAUAGACGAUCCACAUAUCAUUGCCAACUUUAUAUUUGGCCCAUUGGCAUCUUCAUCGACGUCUAUACCUAUAUAUAAAGCCUAGCUGUAACAGAACCGCCCAAAUUAUAAGAGAUUAAGCCUAAUGGUGACCAUUUGCACAGUCGAACCAUCGAGCUUAAGCCCAUAUAAUCCCGAUAGUCCGUGAAAUCUCGAAGGAUUUCAAACCACGAAUCGUACAUACAGCCAAGAUCGUAAUAAGUUCAGCGGUCACCAUUCACAAUUACAUCCAGUUGGCAACAUUCAUCACAUACAUUGGAGUUACUUAAAGUUAUUACAAGCCAAGUUCUCAAGUAGCAGAAGCUUCAUAGUUUGAAAAUAACACACACACAUUUAGUCUGAUACAGUGCCAUAGUUCGGUUAUUCCCACAAAAGCAAAGAGAAGGUAGAGUGACCAUCGUCCUUGGUCUAGUCAUCACCCAUGGCUAGGUACAAGCAGAGAAUGCAAUAACCAUAGUACAUCUGCCCAUCUGCAAAACAAUAUGGGAAUAGAACCCUGAGUAUGGGAAUGUACUCAGCUAGACUUACCCGUCAUAAACCAAAAAUAAAGACUCUUCAAGGAUCAUGAAGGCUGUAUAGUGGGGUAGCUGAGACUUUUUGCGUAAAAGUACUACUCAACUAGAAGUACAUCCUAACAGUACUCCCUCUUCUUUUAAUUAGCUCAGGUUAGGUAUUAUUACCUAUCAUCUAGAUUUGCACCUGUACUAUUUCAAACAAGUGUGGUGAUAUGAUGGUACCUCAUCAUAGCAUUCAUAAAUCAUUUAUCAUCAUAACCCAAGUGUUCCAUAGUUCUUACUACGAGGACAGGGCUCCUGUCAAGUGCUCACUAUCCAGGAGCGAUGGCGAUUCGAAUCGAUUUCUGACCAGCUGGCGAGUUAUUUCCCACACAAACCACACUCACUGAUCAAGUGAGCUACAGAUCACCGUAUUACACUAUCCAGGACCAAAUCGUGGGUUCGGCAGGCACCGCCAGUACCCGAGGACCGUUCCGACGACCGAGGUAUCCAAGGUAUACCAAGGUUGCGCGUCGCGCCCUCGUCGUUCUCCUCAACCAUCACCAAUACAGCGCAUGGCAGCUCGACUCCCGGCCCGGAUAGUGUUCAGGCUUCACGGUCGGAAUGACUUAUCCUUCCAGCUAAGUGUGGGGCAUGCGUUCAACAAGACAAGAGGGCCGUCAACGAUCGGUCCUUAAUCGACACAGGCAGGGGCACUACGGUCAACUCCACCAUAAGACCCUGCCCGGUUUCAAGUUCAUUCCCACACUUGGCUACUUUUCCUCAUAGCAUUAACAGCUAAUCAAGAAGGUGUCUACCUAUAUCUCGCAGGUGACAGGAAAUCACACGACUUCUACCGUACUAAGCAAGCUAAGCAUAGACUCCAAGCCUAUCUACAUAGGACAAGGUAGAUAAACAAGUGGUGAUAUCAAGGAGUAAGUAUGCAUGAACGGUAUCAAAAAAUUCCUAUCACUUAAAUGCAACAUAGUAGAACAAGCAUGAUAUACUAAUUAAGUUAGCGAGAAUAGGGAGACUUAGAAUGCUCCGGGGCUUGCCUUUCUCAAACGUGCUCGGCUUGUGGUCUGGGCACUCCUGCAGCUCUUCUCCCGGCUCUGGUCCUCCCAGAAGUUCCUGCUCCUGGGUCUCCUCCUGCUCCUCGGGUCCCACCUCGUUCUCCUGCGAGCCUGUAUGAUGCAUGUGUGCUCAUGAGUGGAGUGCGAGAUGCCUGGGGUGCAAUGCUUAUGCAAGUGGGUACCAGAUGAUCAUGACAUGGUGUAUAGAUGACACAGGUGGUUAUUUCUACAAGGUAGUCAACAUCAUCCAAGAACAUAUACUUAAAUUAAGCAUCUAUUGCAUUCUCUUCUAUAAGUUGCUUUCAUGGUUAACCAACAAGCUAACAUGAUGCUUCAAAGAUACACCAAACACCCCUUCAUUCUAUUUAACUUAUGCAUAACAAUUCAUAAUUUAUUUUAAUUAUUAUUGGACCUACAACAGUAGCAUAUAUUUUUGAUUAUCAACAAAUUCCAUAAAAAUUACAGUAGAUCACUAGCCAAGCAUAAAGCCUACCAUAAAUUUUUCAUAAUAUUUGGACACUUAGUUUGGGCUACAAUAAUUGCCAAACUACUCAAUAUAAUUAAGUAUAAAUACUCUACUAUUGACUAUGUGUCAAACAACAGAUUUUAUAUUUUUAUAAAUUACUUGUUAACAUAAGAAACACCCACAAAAAUUUCCAGAUUAAUUGAAUGAUCCAGUUAUUUAUGAAAAAUCAUAAACCGCUGCCAUGCAAUCAUUUAAAUCAUCAUAAAUUAAUUUAUACAGCAACUAAUAUGUGAAAUAUUUUUCCCAGACACUAAUCAUCCAUGCAGAGCCAAUAAAACAAGUUUCAUAUUUUUGUGAGUUAUAUUUUAAUUACUAUGCAUUUUCCAAUUUUCAGCAAAAAUAUGGAUUAAAUAUAUUUGUACAGAGAAGUGGUUCAAACAUAACAUGCAAUCAUACCAAUUGGUAGAUCUAGAAUUAUAGAACACACCAAAAUUUACUUCAUCAUUUUUGGAUUCAUAUAUCUCAAGAUAUGGAUUUUAUACCAUUUAAAUCAUUUUCUGGAAAACCUUUUAAAACGAAAAUCGACUAAAAAUGCUAAGAGCACCCGGAUUCAAACCCGCAGAGCCAUUGACAGGCGGGUCCCGUAGGUCCGCCGACCCCACGUCGGCCACCCCGAGUUCCCGCGGCCAAAGACCCGCCGGAAUCUCACCGCCGGUGAGGUCUCCGGCGACACCGAGAGGUCCUACGGCUUCACGGACGUGAGACGAAUCUGGCCCUUUUUGGCCCCUGACGAGCUUUGGAACUACCUUGUCGUCGAGAAUGGUGGACGCGGCGGCGCUGCUCGCCGUGGUCCGGCCACCUCGUGGCGAUAGAGCCUGCGCUAGCGACUGGAACGGGUGCGCAAUGCCAAGGCGGAGCUAACGCGCCUAAAAACGCAUGCAAUGGCAGAGAGGAGAGGGAGAACCGUGCGGACCGAGAGGUCGCCGGAGCUCCGACUCACUCCGGUGAGCUCUAUCGGGCGCGCGAGACUCACCGAGCGCGAGCACGGGGUGCGGAAGGACGAGGCGGAGCCGUUGGCGGUCGCGGAUGGGAGGGAGGAGGCCGGAGCUGGCAGGGAGAGAAGCUCCGAGCGUCGGCGGCGAUGGCGCGCGGCGGAGCGGCUGCUGCUGCGCGCGAGCGAGAGAGAGGGCGACAGCGCGAGCAGAGGGACGCGUCUGGCAGCGGGGACGGAGACGGACGCGGCCAGGAUCUCCUAGUGGCCGACCAGGGCGCGUCCAAGCCGUCGCAUGCGCGCCACGCGGCGACCGAGCUCUGCCGGCUCGCCACGGCGGCACGGCGCGGCCGUCCGCACGCAGACGCAGCGCGGGCGCGAGCGCGGGGAAGGGGGCGAGCGCAGGCGGGCUGGGCCGGCUUCGGCUAGUGGGCUAGAAGUGAGGCCGCGGCGUGCUAGCGCCCCCCUCUCUUUUUUUUUUCCAUUUUUUUUGAAUUUCUUUUCUCAAUUCCUUUUUUUCUAAAUUCAUUUGGACUAUUUCAAAACCCUUUUCACCCUUGGCUCCCAAAACAAAAGUUGUCACAAAUAAAAAGUUCUACAACAUUGUUUUAAGUUGAAAUCCCAAAUUCCAAAUAGAAUUUGAAGUACAGCUCAAAACUAGUUAUAGGUUUUUAAAUAAAUCCAUUUUGAGAAUUUUUGUAUUAAAUCCAUUUCUCAAAUUCUAUAGCUCCAAAAAUUUCACAAAAUUAUUCUUAAUUCUUUUAAAAUAUAUUUCAAUCUAUUUUGGUCAUUUCAAGAAAUUUGGAAGCAAGCAUACUAUUUUUAUCAUAUUUAAGUCAUGUAAAUUAAGCACAUGAAAUCACACUUGAAUUACUACUAUGCUCAUGUGAUGUUAUACUUAUGCCAUGCUUGAUGAGAAUGCUUAUGAGAGAGUUUAUGAGACUAAGUGCAUGCUUAACACCUAGGGUGUUACAGCCCUUCCCCCCUUAGGGAAAUCUCGUCCCGAGAUUUUGGGUUACUAACCACUUCUUAUGAAAUUUUGGGUAAACAGUUUUUAGGUAACUCUCGGUUUCCCAGGUACAUCUCUAUCAUCGUGAUGACUCCACACCACCUUGUAAGUCUUGACAACUCUAUUCCGGGUUACCUGCUCCUUGGUAUCUACGAUACCUACCGGUUCUUUAUAUUUCAAAUCUGCCUUUAUCUUGAUUCCUCGAGGUUCGAUCCUCUGUUCGGGUACUUUCAAGCAUUUCCUCAGCUGGGACACAUGAAAAACUAGAAAGAUUGAGCUCAACUCCUCAGCUAACUGAAUCUUGUAGGCCACAGGGCCCUUCCGUUCUAGUAUCUGAUACGACCCCACAUAUCUAGGUGCAAGCUUGCUUCUAACUCGGAAACGCUGAACCUUCUUCAUUGGCGUAACCUUGAGGUAAACAUAGUCACCCACAUUAAACUCGAGUGGCCUUCUUCUCUUGUCGGCAUAACUCUUUUGCCGUGAUUGUGCCGCUCUCAUAUGUUGUUGUAUGAUUUGCACCUUCUUCUUAGCUUCGUUCACGAAGUCGAUACCAUAGUAUCUCCUUUCACCAGGUUCGACCCAGUUUAACGGAGUCCUGCACUUCCGACCAUACAAAGCUUCGAACGAAGCCAUCUUGAUACUCUCUUGAUAGCUAUUGUUGUACGAGAAUUCAGCCAAAGGUAACCAUGAUUCCCAAGAUCCCUUUGAAGAUAACACACAAGCUCUCAGCAUAUCUUCGAGCACUUGAUUGAGUCUUUCCGUUUGACCCGAGGUUUGGGGACGAUACGCUGUGCUUCUUAUCAGACUAGUCCCCAAACUCUUAUGCAUUCGCUCCCAAAAAUGAGCGGUGAACUGCGGUCCUCUAUCUGAUAUGAUGGUCUUGGGAAUACCAUGCAACUUGACAAUCUCAGCUAGAUACAAAUCAGCAUACUCGGGAGGUCUGUAACGAGUCUUAACAGGAAUGAAAUGAGCCGACUUGGUCAAUCGAUCUAUGAUUACCCAAAUCGAGUCAUUCCCCUUUCAUGUAGUCAGCAGACCUGUGAUGAAGUCCAUACUGACCUCUUCCCACUUCCACUCUGGAACCGAUAACGGUUGCAACAGCCCUGCAGGUUUCAUGUGUAUAGCUUUGACUCUGCAACACAUGUCACAACGGUCCACAUAUGCUGCUAUCUCUUUCUUCAUUUUGGUCCACCAAAAGUGAGACCGCAGAUCUUGAUACAUCUUACUGCUGCCAGGAUGGAUAGAAAGUUUUGAGAGAUGCGCUUCAUCCAUGAUGCGAUUCUUUAGUUCCCGAUUCUUCGGAACUACCAACUGGUGCUGAAACCACAAUACACCUUUUUCAUCAACUCGAAACUGAGUCUUUGGGUCGUAUUUGAUCUUCUCUUUGAUGUGAGAAAUACCCUUAUCUAUUUUUUGACCUUUGAUGACUUGACUUUCCAGCGAACAACUGAGCUGUAUGUGACAUAAGACUUCAGGAUGCAUGAGAUUUAAACCAUCUUCAAACAAGGAUUGAACCUCUUGAUAGUGUGGUUUACGUCUUAAAGUGUCUGCUACUACAUUAGCCUUGCCUGGGUGAUAGUGGACCUCCAGAUCGUAAUCCUUGAUCAACUCUAACCAUCUUCGCUGCCUCAUAUUCAGUUCAGACUGAGUGAAGAUGUACUUUAGACUUUUAUGAUCUGUGUAGAUAUGACACUUAUUUCCCAGCAAAUAGUGCCUCCAGAUCUUCAGGGCGUGUACUACUGCUGCUAGCUUGAGGUCGUGAGUCGGAUAGUUGACUUCAUGCUUUCUCAACUGCCGCGAAGCAUAAGCUAUAACUCUGCCUUCUUGCAUCAGCACACAUCCUAAACCACUUUUCGAUGCGUCGCAGAACACAUCAAAAGGCUUCUCGAUAUUUGGUUGUGCCAGCACGGGAGCGGUGGUCAGCAACUUUCGCAAGGUGUGGAAGGCUACUUCACACCCUUCCGUCCAUACAAACUUAUGAUCCUUUUGUAGCAAACUGGUCAUUGGCUUAGCAAUCUUGGAGAAGUCGGGUAUGAAACGACGAUAAUACCCGGCUAGACCAAGAAAGCUUCGUACUUCUGAGACAGAAGUUGGUGCCUUCCAGUCCAUAACUUCCUGUACCUUUGACGGAUCCACAGCAAUCCCUUCUUCUGACAGAAUGUGCCCGAGGAAAGGAACUUUAUUCAGCCAGAACUCGCACUUGCUGAACUUUGCAUACAACUGAUGCUCUCGUAGUCGUGUUAGCACGACUCUCAGAUGCUCGACGUGAUCUUGUUCAUUCUCUGAAUAGACUAGAAUGUCGUCGAUGAACACCACAACAAACUUGUCUAACUCGGGCAUGAAGACUGAGUUCAUCAGAUACAUAAAGUACGCAGGAGCAUUUGUCAACCCCAAGGACAUGACAAGAUACUCAUACAAUCCGUAUCUGGUGGAAAAAGCAGUCUUCGGUGUAUCUUGCGGACGGAUCUUGAUUUGAUGAUACCCGGACCUCAAAUCUAUCUUAGAGAACACUUUUGCCUUGGACAACUGGUCAAAUAAGAUAUCAAUCCGCGACAAAGGAUACUUAUUCUUCAUCGUUACCGCAUUAAGGGGACGAUAGUCCACGCGCAUGCGCAGCGAUUGAUCCUUCUUUUUCACAAAUAACGCUGGACAACCCCAUUCUGAUGAACGAGGCUGGAUAAAACCUUUAUCCAGCAACUCCUUUAGUUGAUUCUUCAAUUCAGCGAGCUCAUUAGGCGGCAUCCGGUACGGCCUUCUAGAGAUUGGUGCUGUACCUGGUAUCAACUCUAUUGCAAACUCUACUUCCCUAUCCGGGGGAAGUCCUGGCAAUUCCUCAGGAAAAACAUCAGGGACUGAAAGACCACUGGGAUUUGUGGCAAAGGAACCACUUGCGUAGCACAAGAGAUGCUAGCAAAGUCAAAUCGACGGGGCAGAGGUACUUGAAAGGAGCCACUACCCUGAGGUUCUCUAAGAGAUAACACCCUUUUCCCAACAUCUAUGACAGCAUCCCACUCCUUCAUCCAGUUCAUGCCCAAGAUAACAUCCAAAACUAACCCAGGCAUGACUACCAGAUUUACUCGAAACACCCGGUUACUUAUAUCCAGGGUUGCCCCUCGGACCACUCUAUUUGUCAACACAUCUGCCCCUGCUGAGCUGAUGCGAUAGCCAUAACCGAGAUCUGUAACUGCUUGGUCAUGCUUUUGUGCAAAUGCUUGGCUCAUGAAUGAAUGCGAUGAUCCAGAAUCAAUCAAAACAACUGCAAGAUGUUGGUUGACAGGAAACAUACCAGCUGUUACUGGUUCUCCUCACUACAAGAAGUGUGUGGCUUUUUGACAUUCUAUUAUGUCAUAAUAUAUGCAAUUUAUGUCACAAAUUGAGUUUUAUGACAUCAAGGUGACAUAAACUGUAAUGUCAAAAGCCACUGUCACAAAAUGAUUUUAUGACAUCUGUUUUGCUAAAUGUCAUAAGUUUAUGACGUGUGAUUUCAGUGUCAUAUAAUCUUAUGACACUAGUUUACUGUCAUUAAAUCCUAGCCUUGCCAUAUAGGCAAUGCCACGUAGGAUGAAUUGCUGACAUGGCAGGAUGGAGAAAAACGUCACAAAUUAAAUUUGGCUUGCUAGAGCCCGCAAUUGUUUUUCAGCCCACUCACUCAACAAUUACACAAUCUUGACAAAAUCCCAGGUUGGAAAAAAUUAUAUUGUCAAACUCAUACAUCCAGGUAGCAACAUACAUCACGCUACAUCUAAGUCACAUGUCCAAAAUGACAAAGAACAUAGCCAUUUCAACAUCUUGAAUAUUCAUCAAGCUAACAAAAAGAGCUGUAGCUACCCCUAAACAUUACUGAGGCUUUUCACUUUACUGAGACAUCCUCCAUACCACACUAUUAACCAAUCUGAAAGAAGCAAAUGGUAGCCAAAUUAGUCAAAGAUAUAAAUAUUAGAGUUAGCUCUAGGUUCAUGCAUAUCUAUUGGACAAAACCAAGCUCCCUGGUCAACAUAUAACAGUUAACGAAACAAAUCUAUCCACAAAGAUAAUACUACAACUAGGAUGUACCGUGAAACAAGCUCCCUGGUUAUAAUUUUAAAAUAUUGUCCAUUUAUCUGACAUUGAGACUAUACAACAUUUGUGAACCAUUGUAUCCUAACUAUAUAGAAAAGCCAAUAAACAGUAGAAAUAGUUGGUCAAUGAAGAAGGGUUACUUGAGGCUUGUAGAUGGAGUGAGUAAAAAACGUGCUCUUAACAUAAACCUGCAACCAUGGCACCAGGAUAGCUGAUCAAAACAUUGACAACUUGUACCCUCAUCAGGUGCCUUAUUCAAUUCAAAAAUUGUAACUAAAUUGUAACUAUGUUGAUCUAACUUCAUUCUUCUACAGUUGGCUGUCUAGCUGAAUAAUAUGCCAGGCAACACAUUAAUAAUUUCUCCCUACCAGAAGCAAGCAAAAAGACAGCAGCAAGGAAUAUUCAGCUAUAGCUUAAGAAAAGGUCUUAAUUCUUUACUAAGAAAAUGUCUUGAUUCUUUACUAAGACAAGACAAGAAAUUAUUUCAGUAGAAGAAAAUGUUGCUUGUCAAUAUUGUUGUAAGUUCAAAUUUUAGAUUUGUGAUAGAAGUUAAAAGGUUACCGAAUUAAGUUAAAAGGUUACCAAAUUAAAAGGUUACCCUAGAAGAUACACUGACUGAAGAUGGGCAUGACCACUAUGUUCUGAAAACUCGUUUGUUUACAACCAUGCAUAGCAUGUUAAUAAGGCUAACAAUGAGAAAAUUUACCUGUGACUGCAAGAACUUGACCCAACAUCUUCAUAUGAUAAACUCAGUCCACCAUACUUCUUGUCAGUUCUAGUCUGUAGAGAGAAUAUCUAGAGUUAGAUAUAAUGAGAACAAUAGCAGGACUGCCAAUUAGCUGUAAAAUCAACAUAUUCCUUCUAUUCUUGCCUGAUGCAGGCAUCAGCUAUAGACUAUAAAAUAUGCCUGACCUUAAAAUAACAGAGCCAGAAUUGACAUAAUUCCAAAUUCUUUAAACAGGAUCAAAGAAAUGUAGAGUCAGGUAACACACUUGCUCACAUAAUGUGCAAAGUAUUUGAAUAUCAUAAUACACAAAGGCUUACGUACAAUCUAUAGACAGUUGCUGCCUAUAUAUUCUUGGAAUUUACAAUAGAGACAGUUAAAUAGACAACUCAUACAACCCAUAGACAGAGGCUGUCUAUUUGGUUGUCUAUAAAUUAUUUAAUGCUCAUAUUAAUCUAUGAUCAACUAUGAAUACCAUUUCUGUAUAUACCAUUGUGUUGCUAGUGCAGAAACAUAAAUGAUGAGACAUAUAUGCACACUAGGAACAGAUUCACACUACUGAAUAACAAUCAACAUAUUCACAAAUUCACUGAAAAAAUAUAGAAUAAGAAUGAUAGCGAACAGUGUGCAUACAACAUUCCAUAUAGCGACGCCCCUCUCUUGUCAUUCUCAUUGUCAUUCUUUAGCAUGUCAGUUUGGUAGCAACAGAAGCUACCAUAAUCCCAGGUGCAGCAGGGUUGCAACAAAGCGCCAUCUGCCAGAGAGCCAUUCAGUUAUACCAGGCAUUCGGAAAAUAGGGAGAUCAAACCCGUGUGUACGCUCGCCGAGACACAAGAUAAGCUCAUCCAGGAGCCAGAGUUACCCAAUUCAGAUCAGCAAGCAGGCACCAGCAAGUCUGGCACGAGCACAGCGCACCAAGACGUGGGUGCGGUGCGCGCAUGCGGGGGCGAACAAAGACGGAGGCAAGCAGCAACGGAAAACGGAAGAGGGGAGAGGGGCACAGGGAUGGAUCCGAGACCUUGGACUUGACGGAGCGCUUGAUGAGGGACCACAGCCCCGACACGGAGAGAACGAACAGCCCCAUCGACGUGUAGUAGCUCGCCUGCGAGUACCCUGUCCCGCCGGCGGCCACCGCGGCCGCGGCGUCGAGCAGGACCGCGGCGCUGUCCAGGGACGCGCGCGCCGGGGCGGCACGGACUCUCCUCCUCGGACCGUGUCGCCGCCGGGGGCCCGGCGCGGAGCGGGAGGAGGAGGCGCCUCGCAGCUGCGGCGGUGGUGGCGUCCAUUUUGUGCUGGGGAUAAGGGCAGAGAGAGAGAGAGUUGUGCGGCUGAGGGAGGGUAAGGGAGAUGGAAGAUAGGGAGAGAGAGGAAUGGGUUAUAUAGUCUAGGGUUUUUAGAUGGGCCGAUUUGGGCCAUGGUCUGCAUAGUAAUAUUGGUCGUUUCUCCAUCCAACUAUAUUUGAACAAUUGAAAAUUAUAGAAUUUUUUUGACAAAACUUAGAAUUUUUUUUGACAUACAACUUUUAAUUGUCACUAAGUCACUAUGCCUAACAUAUAAUGUCACAAAAUUGAUGAUAUAGUAACAUUCUUACAAUUGUCAUACUAAAAACGUUAAAAAGCCAUGUAUUUCUUGUAGUGUUAGUUGGGUAAAAUUUUUGGCUUUAGAUACUGUAGCACUUUCGUUUGUAUUUGACAAAUAUUAUCCAAUCAUAGACUGACUAGGCUCUAAAGAGACACGUCACAGAAUUCGUAUUAGUGACGUGGCAAUGUUCUUUGUAAAUUAUCUAAAAAUAAUUCAAUAAAUAUUUUGUGACAUAUAGAUAUACCUUAUGACAUAUCAAAUAUAGUCACUAGAUGUUGUGACAUAUAAAUAGACCUUAUGACAUAUCAAAUAUCGUCACUAGAUGAAAUUGGAUUAGUUAUAUGACAUUUGUUGUGACAUACAUUUUUUUUGUCAUUAAGUCAAGGUGUCUAAAAUAUAAUGUCAUAAAAUAGAUAAUAUAAUGACAUUAUGGACUUUGUCAUGCUAAAUACGUCAAAAAGCCACCCAUCUCUUGUAGUGCCUUCCGGGAUCUCCUCUAUCGAGGUAUGGUGCACUCGGGCUGGGUAGGUUGUCUGCUGCUUCUUGGGGUAGGGACAUUCUUUAGCAAAAUGUCCCAUCUUGUGGCAGUUGUAGCAUGGCCCCUUGGUCAUGUUGUUGGCAGCAGGUGCUGCAGCUUGAAUUGCCUUUGGCUUGGCGGGAGCUAUUGCAACCUUGUACGGCUUCUGCUGCGUUGGAUGCCCUGUGUUCCUUCUCUGCGGCGGUCGGAACCUAGCACCUGGGGCAGGAGGACGAUACUGCUGAUGUCCUGCCACUGGUGCCCUGGACUGAGACGAUCCGACUUCAAAAGCCCUCUUGCGAGACUUGGAUGCACUAUAGUUGUUAUUAUUGUUCUCCUGGGUCAGACAGUCACUGAUGUAGGCAUUGAAGGUAGCCCGGGUUCCCGUACCCAUGGUCUUCAGCAUCUUUGGGCUCAAGCCUCUCUGGAAACUAGCGAUCUUCUUGGCCUCCGUGUUCACGAACUCGGGAGCGUAAUGAGUGAGAUUGUUGAAAGCGUGCAGAUACUCUUUCACAGACUUUGUUCCCUGGGACAGCCUCAUGAACUCUCCAACCUUCAUUUCCACCACACCCGGAGGAAUAUAAUUUCCCCGAAAGGCGGUGGUGAAGCGGUUCCAGGUGAUCGGGGUCCCCUCUAGGUAGGUGGUAUGAUGAUGGGACCAGCAAAUCCCAGCAGGCCCCUGCAACUGAUGUGCUACGUACUCAGCCUUAAGCUCUUCGGUCAUUCGAAGGAGACAAAACUUUUGCUCCAUGGUGUUAAUCCACUCAUCUGCCUCGAGCGGUUCCAAGGCCUCCUUAAAGACCGGUGGUUUAGUAUCCAUGAAGUCCUUGAAAGAGUUGUACUGAUUUACUUCACGGCUGCCCUGGUUGUCCCCACGGCGGGUGUUGUCAGCGAUAUUGCGCAGGGCUUCUUCCAUGUUGUGCUGCAUCUGCUCCAUGUUGCGUUGGCUCCCCAGAAACUGUGUGAAAAACACGUCCGCAGUGUAUGGAGGAGGUGGUGGUGGUGGCGGUGAUGGUACUCUUUCCUCAUUCCUGUGAGUCCCACCUCCGGAGGAACCUACUCCAAGACCGGGGUUACUGUUACCCCCGCCACGUGUUUGCACCAUCUGCAUGCGUCAAUGAUAAACAGUCGUUAGGAGUUGCUAUCAACGGGUAGAUAUAUGUAGAAUUAUGCCGUACUGAAUUUACUAAGGAAAAUAAAUUCGCACAAUAAGCAGAGGCACAACAAUUCAUCAUCCACACACAACAUCACUAACGGAUUACUUAACAUUUGAGCAACAAGGUUCGCAUACAUCCAAAAUUGCUAGCAUACAUACACUGGACUUUCAGCGUCAUCACAUAAAGUUUUACACAUCCAAGACCCACAUAUUACAUGACAUGCCAUGCACCAACAACAGCAAAAGAAGAAAGACUAGCUCUAGAGCCCUAACAUCUACUCUCUAUGGUCGCUGUCCAUGCCAGAGCCUUCCUCGUCCUCAUUUCCACUAGCGGCUGCCUCCAUCUCUGGGUCCUCAUCCAUCUCAUCCUCAGAAUCUAACUCAGCUGCUCCAGGCAGGUGGUGAGGGUGGAGCUGGUUAUGCAGCUGGUGGAUCUCCUCAUGUAGGUUCUCAUUGUACUCCUCAGCAUUAGCUAGCUGCUGCUCAAGCUCUAGCUGUCGGGUCCUCAAAGCGUCCUCCUCGUGCCAGGCUUCAUUCUUCUGACCAAGCACAUGAACUAGCAUGCGCUCGCAGUUGCUGUGAGCGGUGGUCACCCUGUCCCUCUGCUCCCUCACGGCGAGCAGAUCCUGACUCAGCUCACUGUUCUUCUGGACUGCCUGGUCCCUCUCGAGAGUCACACGGGCCAACUCUACCUGCAGCCUCUCAACCUCACUGUCAAACUCACGCUGUAGCUGGCGCUUCUCAUCCUGAACUAUGAGAAGAGACCCAGACAGGCGUCCCAAACAAUGCUCUAGACCCCCAUAGGUCUUCAUCAAGGCGAACAUAGCACUCUUAGCUGCGCUGUCACUGUGCUGAUCCUCAUCCGCACUCCUCUCUAGAGCAUUCACCUCAGACUGAUCCCACACCAAAGUGUAGGGUUCACCCCGAGAAAACACCCCAGCGAAGGCGUGAGCCAGCUCCUGCGGAAACCUCUCCAUGAUAUCCCUUAGGACCGCAAAAGCAGCCCUGCUGGCACCCUAGAAAGGCAUGGUACCUCAGGACUCGUACACCCAGCCAUCCCACGCGGGGUCACCUCCACUGGUAGGGACCACUGCCUCGAUCCCCACCAGGGUCUCGUCACAAGAUGCUCCUUGCUCCAAUAGUAGCGAGGUUCCCUUCCUUCGGGAUACCCCAUCGAACUGAGCACUCUCCAAAGCAAGGUGGGAAUCCCAAACUCCUUCUGGAACUUGCUCUUAUGACGCGAGCUCCUAGCUGCCAACUGAUGGCGAGGGGCCCGCCCACCAGUGGACUUGCGAGCGGUGAGCCUAGUGCGUGCCAUCUGCUGCAAAUAGAAUACCUUGGGUAAGACUGAGGAUUAUCUUUUAUUAUCUUAAUUAAAAUUGGGACAGAUUUAAUUAAGGGGAGGAAGUAAGCAAUGAUAUGGAAUGAACAUGAUGCAUGCACGAACUUACGAUCUCACAAACUUAAAAAAGAAAGUUAACACUAAUCGGUAUAUACGGUGGCACACAACGUUCUCUCAUAACGUAACUAGCGUUCUAGGCGAGAACGUGGUUAGCGUACCUGCAGAAAACUCAUUUCAGCCCAACCACCGUAUGAACAUGCAAAACAAGAAUUUAAAGCUAUACACCCCACAUACAUAGACACCCCAUCCAUGCAUAUGGUGUGUUUCUACCCACAUCAUCGCCCUAGUGACGGCAUCGCCUCUCAGGACGAAAUCUCCCAACAUGCGGUACUGUUCCUAGGCACACCAAACAUGUGUGCAUGGCACAGCACCUAAAAUCACUUCCCUAGAUUGGCAGUGUAUCUGAUGAUGCUCUCACAGCUCCCACUUACCGAGGCGUAGAGAAAAAAUUGAUCCAUACAUUACCACUCAAAUGAAUGGCACUCAUACUAUUGCACGCGUAUGAGCGAUGAAAAUAGAAAUAUGAUGCAUAACCCCCAAGUCAGUACUUAACUAGCCACCUUAGAGUCCUUAGCUGGGCAUAAAGGAUAUGACCAUGGCACACUAUGUAGUUUUUCCAAAAACUUAUUUUAACACCUUGAUUAUCAUUAAUUGUAUAGUUAACUUUUUUAACCAGUUUAGGUUUAGUUUAGAACGUACUUUUUUUUGUACUUAUGAACAGUAACUCGCUAAACUUUGCUUCGAUGCCAGCUGUAACAGAACCACCCAAAUUAUAAGAGAUUAAGCCUAAUGGUGACCAUUUGCACAGUCGAACCAUCGAGCUUAAGUCCAUAUAAUCUCGGUAGUCCGUGAAAUCUUGAAGGAUUUCAAACUACGAAUCGUACAUACAGCCAAGAUCGUAAUAAGUUCAGCGGUCACCAUUCACAAUUACAUCCAGUUCGCAACAUUCAUCACAUACAUCGGAGUUACUUAAAGUUAUUACAAGCCAAGUUCUCAAGUAGCGGAAGCUUCAUAGUUUGAAAAUAACACACACACACAUUUAGUCUGAUACAGUGCCAUAGUUCGGUCAUUCCCACAAAAGCAAAGAGAAGAUAGAGUGACCAUCGCCCUUGGUCUAGUCAUCACCCAUUGCUGGGUACAAGUAGAGAAUGCAAUAACCAUAGUACAUCUGCCCAUCUGUAAAACAACAUGGGAAUAGAACCCUGAGUACGGGAAUGUACUCAGCAAGACUUACCCGUCAUAAACCAAAAAUAAAGACUCUUCAAGAAUCAUGAAGGCUGUAUAGUGGGGUAGCUGAGACUUUUUACGUAAAAGCACUACUCAACUAGAAGUACAUCCUAACAGUACUCCCUCUUCUUUUAAUUAGCUCAGGUUAGGUAUUAUUACCUAUCAUCUAGAUUUGCACCUGUACUAUUUCAAACAAGUGUGGUGAUAUGAUGGUACCUCAUCAUAGCAUUCAGAAAUCAUUUAUCAUCAUAACCCAAGUGUUCCAUACUCCUUGCUACGAGGACAGGGCUCAUAUCAAGUGCUCACUAUCCAGGAGCGAUGGCGAUUCGAAUCGAUUUCUGACCAGCUGGCGAGUUAUUCCCCACACAAACCACACUCACUGAUCAAGUGAGCUACAGAUCACCGUAUUACACUAUCCAGGACCAAAUCGUGGGUUCGGCAGGCACCGCCAGUACCCGAGGACCGUUUCGGCGACCGAGGUAUCCAAGGUAUACCAAGGUUGCGCGUCGCGCCCUCGUCGUUCUCCUCAACCAUCACCAAUACAGCGCAUGACGGCUCGACUCCCGGCCCGGAUAGUGUUCAGGCUUCGCGGUCGGAAUGACUUAUCCUUCCAGCUAAGUGUGGGGCAUGCGUUCAACAUGACAAGAGGGCCAUCAACGAUCGGUCCUUAAUCGACACAGGCAGGGGCACUACGGUCAACUCCACCAUAAGACCCUACCUGGUCUCAAGUUCAUUCCCACACUUGGCUACUUUUCCUCAUAGCAUUAACAGCUAAUCAAGAAGGUGUCCACCUAUAUCUCGCAGGUGACAGGAAAUCACAUGACUUCUACUGUACUAAGCAAGCUAAGCAUAGACUCCGAGCCUAUCUACAUAGGACAAGGUAGAUAAACAAAUGGUGAUAUCAAGGAGUAGGUAUGCAUGAACGGUAUCAAAAAAUUCCUAUCACUUAAAUGCAACAUAGUAGAACAAGCAUGAUAUACUAAUUAAGUUAGCGAGAAUAGAGAGACUUAGAAUGCUCCGGGGCUUGCCUUUCUCAAACGUGCUCGGCUUGUGGUCUGGGCACUCCUGCAGCUCUUCUCCCGGCUCUGGUCCUCCCAGAAGUUCCUGCUCCUGGGUCUCCUCCUGCUCCUCGGGUCCCACCUCGUUCUCCUGCGAGCCUGUAUGAUGCAUGUGUGCUCAUGAGUGGAGUGCGAGAUGCCCGGGGUGCAAUGCUUAUGCAAGUGGAUACCAGAUGAUCAUGACAUGGUGCAUAGAUGACACAGGUGGUUAUUUCUAUAAGGUAGUCAACAUCAUUCAAGAACAUGUACUUAAAUUAAGCAUCUAUUGCAUUCUCUUCUAUAAGUUGCUUUCAUGGUUAACCAACAAGCUAACAUGAUGCUUCAAAGAUACACCAAACACCCCUUUAUUCUAUUUAACUUAUGCAUAACAAUUCAUAAUUUAUUUUAAUUAUUAUUGGACCUACAACAGUUGCAUAUAUUUUUGAUUAUCAACAAAUUCCAUAAAAAUUACAGUAGAUCACUGGCCAAGCAUCAAGCCUACCAUAAAUUUUUCAUAAUAUUUGGACACUUAGUUUGGGCUACAAUAAUUUCCAAACUACUCAAUAUAAUUAAGUAUAAAUACCCUACUGUUGACUAAGUGUCAAACAACAGAUUUCAUAUUUUUAUAAAUUACUUGUUAACAAAAGAAACACCCACAAAAAUUUCCAUAUUAAUUGCAUGAUCCAAUUAUUUAUUAAAAAUCAUAAACCGCUGCCAUGCAAUCAUUUAAAUCAUCAUAAAUUAAUUUAUACAGCAACUAAUAUGUGACAUAUUUUUCCCGGAGACUAAUCAUCCAUGCAGAGCCAAUAAAACAAGUUUCAUAUUUUUUGAGUUAUAUUUUAAUUACUAUGCAUUUUCCAAUUUUCAGCAAAAACAUGGAUUAAAUAUAUUUGUACAGAGAAGUGGUUCAAACAUAACAUGCAAUCAUACCAAUUGGUAGAUCUAGAAUUAUAGAACACACCAAAAUUUACUUCAUCAUUUUUGGAGCCAUAUAUCUCAAGAUAUGGAUUUUAUACCAUUUAAAUCAUUUUCUGGAAAACCUUUUAAAACGAAAAUCGACUCAAAAUGCUAAGUGCACCCGGAUUCAAACCCGUAGAGCCACUGACAGGCGGGUCCCGUAGGUCACCCGACCCCACUUGUCGGCCACCCCGAGUUCCCGCGGCCAAAGACCCGCCAGAAUCUCACCGCCGGUGAGGUCUCCGGCGACACCGGCUUCACGGACGCGAGACGAAUCUGGCGUGCCCUUUUUGGCGCCUGACGAGCACCGGAACUACCUCGUCGUCGAGAAUGGCGGACGCGGCGGCACUGCUCGCCGUGGUCCGACCACCUCGCGGCGAUAGAGCGUGCGCUAGCGAUUGGAACGGGUGCGCAAUGCCAAGGCGGAGCUAACGCGCCUAAAAACGCAAGCAAUGGUGGAGAGGAGAGGGAGAACCGUGUGGACUGAGAGGUCGCCGGAGCUCCGACUCACUCCGGUGAGCUCUACCGGGCGCGCGAGACUCACCGAGCACGACUGAGCGCGAGCACGGGGUGCGGAAGGACGAGGCGGAGCCGUUGGCGCUCGCGGAGGAGAGGGAGGAGGCCGGAGCUGGCAGGGAGAGAAGCUCCAAGCAUCGGCGGCGAUGGCGCGCGGCGGAGCGGCUGCUGCUGCACGCGAGCGAGAGAGAGGGCGAGAGCGCGAGCAGAGGGGCGCGUCUGGCAGCGGGGACGGAGGCGGACGCGGCCGGGAGCUCCUGGUGGCCGACCAGGGCGCGUCCAAGCCGUCGCAUGCGCGCCACGCGGCGGUCGAGCUCUGCCGGCUCGCCACGGCGGCACGGCUCGGCCGUCCGCGCGCGGACGCGGCGCGGGCGCGAGCGCGGGGAAGGGGGCGAGCGCGGGCGGGCUGAGCCGGCUUCGGCCAGUGGGCCAGAAGUGAGGCCGCGGCCUGCUAGCGCCCGCCUUUCUUUUUUUUUCAUUUUUUUAAAUUUGUUUUCUCAAUUUCUUUUUUUUUUCUAAAUUCAUUUGGACUAUUUUAAAACCCUUUUCACCCUUGGCUCCCAAAACAAAAGUUGUUACAAAUAAAAAGUUCUACAACUUUGUUAUAAGUUGAAAUCCCAAAUUCCAAAUAGAAUUUGAAAUACAGCUCAAAAUGAGUUAUAGGUUUUUAAAUAAAUCUAUUUUGGGAAUUUUUGUAUUAAAUCCAUUUCUCAAAUUCUAUAGCUCCAAAAAUUUCACAAAAUUAUUCUUAAUUCUUCUAAAACAUAUUUCAAUCUAUUUUGGUCAUUUCAAGAAAUUUGGAAGCAAGCAUACUAUUUUUAUCAUAUUUAAGUCAUGUAAAUUAAGCACAUGAAAUCACACUUGAAUUACUACUAUGCUCAUGUGAUGUUAUGCUUAUGCCAUGCUUGAUGAGAAUGUUUAUGAGAGAGUUUAUGAGACUAAGUGCAUGCUUAACACCUAGGGUGUUACACUAGCCAUCCCCACUAAAAGUUCUCACCUGUCACACCUAAACCACACAUCUCGCUUUGUCGAAACAUUCAAUCAGGAGGUGAAGGAGAGGCCGGGCUUGCUAUUAAACCAUAAAACACAAGCUUUAACCAUGGCAAAACUACUCUUGGGUUUGCUCCUUGUCCUUGUCAUUAUAGGGACAGCAUCGGCCGAUAACUGUGAUAAAGAUGCGGAAGCCAUGAAGCAAGAGUGCAAGAAGUUCGAGGUGUUCCCCGCGAACCCAAAGUUGCAACCGUCGCCGGCAUGCUGCGCUGUGUGGCAGAGGGCAGACAUCCCAUGCCUAUGCAAAAGGGUCACCCCGGAAGUAGAGAAGGUGUGGUGCAUGGAGAAGGUCGUGUAUGUCGCCAACUACUGCAAGAAGCCUUUUACACCUGGCUACAAGUGCGGGAGUAAGUUAACACUUAGCAUAUAUACAUACUGUUAUCCAAGUUGAUGCGGAUUAUUGUUGUAUGGUGUACAUGACUACUCCAAGCGUGACUGAUUUUGUAUAUUGGUUGGUUUUUGCAGGUUAUACGGUUCCUAAAAGCCUCUAAAUAGAGCAUUUGGACAUGCAUGGUACUCUAUACUGAAGCUUGCAUUUGAGAUUUGUAACAUGUGAGGGAGUGAGGGACUAUGUUGAGGAGAAUAAUGUGUAUCGAGUACUUUGUAUGAAAAGCGUUGGAGAAUUGAUAAUGUUUGGCUUUUAUCUUACUGCUUCCUUGGUCUUGCUUUUUUUAUGGAAGAAUUCUAUGUGAUACAACGUGGGGCUGCAUUAAUAAUUUACACUACUGCAUAAAUCAUGGAGGUGGGCAAAAAGGGUUAAUGGAGACGGGCAAUACAACAGCCUCCAAUUGAUGUCCUUGGUUAAUCGUCGAUUAACGGAGGCGGUUGCUUUGUAUGUCUUCGUAAAUCAAACAGAAAGAAUAAAAAACAAAAACACGUGAACAGGCCCGCCGAGCCCAUCCAUGGACUGCCGUUGCCGCAGCCAUUCACCGGAACCUAGAUUGCACGCACCGUCGGGAUCCGACCUCCCGCUGCCGGAUCAAGAUGCCCGCUGCCUGGAUCCGGCCUCCUGCUGCUGGAUCGAGACGCCACCGCCGUGAUCCGGCCUCCCACUGCCGAAUCAAGAUGCCUGCUGUUGGAUUUAGAGGUGGUGGGGAAGGGAGAGCAGCCCUCCGUCGGGUGGGGGAGCAACACGCCGCCGGGGCUAGCCACCACUGAGACACGUUCACACCGCCUCUGUCUGCACCACCGGGGCCACCUCUGUCCAUGCUUUGAGCUUGUCCCCUUGGCCUCUAGAUCAUCUCCGCUCGGCAUUACACUUAGAGCUCGUCCCGCAGGGGCUAGCCACGUCCACGUCGCCUGGGCCAGCCGCCCGCGUCAGCUAGGGCAAAGAGAGGGGAAGAGGGAGAGUGGUCGCUGGAGGGAGGGAGAGGGGUGUGCAGCUCAGUGGAGGGAGGGAGAGGAGCACGUGGCUCGGGAGGGAGAUCACCGUGCUUCAGACACUGAGGGAGCGAGGGGAGGUGCUGAGUGAGAGAGAGAUGAGUGAGGGAUUGGAGAUGGGCUAGGUUUUAUUUGAUAUAUAUACUAGGAUGUUGUUGUUGAGCCAAGAUGGGUUAAGAAGGACUAUGAGUUGGCUUGGGUACUCCAAAAAUGGCUUGAUCUUUGGAGAAGGCCCUCCACUAUAAAUCUAUUUUAGAAGGCAGUUACUUUGUUGCCUGCCUCUAUUAAUCGAUUUUACGAUUUUACAAGGCGGACAAAUGUGACUGCCUCGGUAAAUAAAAUUAACCACCUCCGUUAAUUAUAGCCUAGUAUUUUAGGAGGCGGUUGAAUUUUGUGCUCGUCUCCACUAAUAUUUGGGCACUGUCACCUAAAUUUUUUUUGUAUAGUAGUGUUACUACCUUCAUCCCAAUAUUAAUAAACUUAUAAAGGUGUCCUAAGCCAAACUAUUUUAAGUUUAACAAAAUUUUGUAGAAAAACACUAAUGUUUAUAACACAAAGUUGGUGUCAAAGCAAACAAAAUUAAUUAGGAUACAUAUUAUUAGUGAUUUUAACUCAUAGCAAAUAUGAUAUGAUGGUGUUGCAACAGAACAAAAACAUAAACUCUACUGCACGUUGUGUCGUGUGGUUACCACCAUGCUUGGACCUUUAGUCAUUGUCGACAAUCUUGUCAACCAGAUUUGCGUUUGCAAGGACCUGUUGUUGGCAUUGUUGAAAUCCUUCUUGCAGUCCCCGCAAAAAAAGAAAAAAGAAGAAAUCCUUCUUGCAGAGCUGUCGGUGUGUAGGACAAUGGCCCCUCUCUUCGCGAGCGCUGCUGCGUGGCAUCAAUGGCUACGGGGAAGUUGAUGUCGUUUGUGAUUUUGGCGCCCUUGUCAAGGUACGCGUUGAGAAAGAAGAGAUAUAUCUCUGGCAAUAAGCCGAGAAAGUCUAUGCGCGUAGAACCUAACAAAUUACAGCAUUGAUCAGUGUACCCACACUAGAUGCAUGCAUCAGGGUUGAUUAAAGACUGCUCUGGAUUGCUGGCACCAGAGAAUUCGAAGCAUUGCUGGCUCCUCCUCCGCGUGUGACACGCGUCACUAGAUGUUUUACAAAAAAGCCCUCUAUCUUUAGGAAAUCAACCCGCCGUCCAAUAUAUGAAUGAAUAUAUCAUUUCUACACAGUUAUCACAUUUUGCAGAAACCCCUUCAAAGCUUUUCAAAGAGCCCCCUGCAGCAGCGUCCCUAGCCCUAGGCGCUGCGCCCUGCGCCUCCUUCCCACUCCCUCUCUUUUUCUCUCUUCCCACCGCCGCCGCACCAUGUGCUUUCCAAUGCUCGCCCUUCUCGCUUCCGCCACUCAGAGCGUGUGGAUGUGUCCAAUUACUCAGUUAUGUUUGGCACACAAGCAGGGAGCCUCCGCGGCGCACACGCUUGUCUCCACCACCCCAAAGGCAGGCAGCCGGGCUCCCCGUUCGCAAUGAGAAGCAGCAUCUCACAUUCCUCUAGGCCCCAUCAACACCUCUUCCUCCAGAUCUGGCGUGAUGGUGAUGACGACUGCUUCCACCAAAUCCGAUUUAUGUCGUGUCCAUCUUGAACUCGUUGGUUUGGUAAGUGUCAUCCCUCCUACACGCAAUGCAUCCCUAUUCAAUCCAUCCAUCCUCUCUUUACCUCGAUUCUGAUCUAGGUGCUUCGAAUAUGGCGUGGAUCUAAAGGCAUGGCGUUCGGCUCCGGCGAGCUGCCUCAUAUGCGUCAGCGGUAGAGGAGCUCAUGAUGUGUUCGUGAGAUUCUGUGGAUCUUUGGACAUUAGUACUAUAUAAUGUCCUCUUUGUUUAGUCAAAAUAUUCUGGUGGACUAUGAGUUUCCCUACUCUAUAGCAUGCAUAGUAGAGAAUAUAUCUAAUACUGGCUAGGUUGUGCUUCUAUAUUUGUUUUGCUCCUGUUGUUCACCGGAUGUAUUUUUUGGCUUUAGUUUUAUGGCAUGUGUACAAAAGAUUUGUCAUAUUAUCUGGUUAUAUAUGUUUAUUAGUUGUAGUCUUGCCGCACUGUCCGAGUUCUAUGGAAAUUAAAUGCCUUGCUUCUAGAUUUCUAAUUUAUGUGAGUUGGAGAGAUGUGUCAGCUAGGUUUUACCUCACCGCUCAGAUGUGGUGGCUAAUAUUCUACUUUGACUUGCAGGAAAGGAAGAUAUCUUUGGUGUCAACUGCUGGGCAAAGCUUGAGAUUGGCUGACUACUGUUGUCUUCUGUUUGCAGCGUCCUCCAACCAUAGGUUCAGUUCCUUGUCUGCUGCAGCCCCUGCUUUAACGAUGGUUGUGUGCUUCAGAUGUAUUAUGAACCAAGCUCAGGUUUCAGGUUUUACUUUACUGAAACUUUCAGUUGCAUGUACGGUGUAGCUGAUUUUUUAUUCACAUUAAAUUUUAUGUGUGAUCAGUUUGCUGCACUAAUUAUAUAAACAUACUCUUAGAGAUAACUUGUGUUUGAUUAUGGAAUACUAAUUGAUAUAAUUAAUUUGGGAAUUUCAUAUCAAGAUUUCUCUUUGGAAGAAUGAAUAUCAGGAUUGUGGUAGCUUGAUUCGUUCACUUUUCUUUGCACUGUAGCACACUUGCACAUCCUCUGAUUUUUCUAUAGAUGCUAUUGAUGCCAUAGUUCCUACUUUAGACUGCUUCCUCACAAUUCAUCUAUAUAGCCUUCUUGAUCCACCCCCAAUGCUCUGCCCUUGGUUUAAGGAACUAAAUGAUAUCAUUGUGUAUGUAGCAUGCAUCGGCGAAAUUCAACUUAGAUAACACGUAAUGUUAUUUUUUUUGGGAUUAACGCAUUUCAUCUCUGCCAAAACAUAUGUUAGAAAAAAAUUCCCUAAGACAUUUAUGUGGAAGUUUAUAUCAUGAUCUAGCUGUUUGAAUUGAUGUUGCUUCCUAGCUUUACUUUGAUUUCAAUAAAGAAUAAUCAACAUGGUCAAUUAUUCUUUUGUUGGGAGAACACUACUACAUAAAAUAUUUUGCAUGACCAAGGGAGGCGGGCAGAUUUUUCAAAACAGCCUCGGAGGCGGGCAGAUUUUUCAACCGCGUCGGAUAAUGUCUCCGAUUAACCGAUUCUUAUUAACCGAGACGGUCAUAAAAAACCGCCUCGCAAAAUCGAUUUACCAAGGCGGUCACCUUAAGACAACCGUCUCCAAAAAUAGUAUAUUUUAGGAGGCGGUUGUCUUAUAACAACCGCCUUCGUAAAUCUAUUAACCGAGGCGGGCGCGCUAUACGGCCCGUUUGAGAAAAUAGUGGCCCAACAGGCAGCCCAUCUUAGCCCAGUAUCACUCAUCAUAUAUAAACGUAGAGCAAGGGUUUCUUCUCCCUCUCACUCCCUCCCUCAGACCAACGCCGGCCCCUUCCCCUCCCCUUCUCUCAUUAGAUCCAGCAGCGCCGGCCCCUUCCCCUCCCCUCCUCUCUAGAUUCAGCGGCUCCCCCUCCCGGCCUCCCCUCCCCUCCCCUUCUUUCCUACUCUCUUUGGAUUCAGCGGCGCACGAGGAUGGCCAUGGCCUAGGCCCACGCACGGGGGUCCUUCAAGGUGGCGCAUGGGGCGGCCAUGGAGCGGGGGCUCCUCCUGGCCGUGCGUGGGGCGGCCCAGCGCCUCCCGGCUGCAAUGCAGGGUGGCUCGACCAUCCUGGCAGCGUGGAGCAGCAGCGGUGGCGGCCAUGGCUCUGCUCGAUGCUCACGCGCCCAACGAUUCCUCCACCUCUAGGUCACACGUCGGCGGUCUCGGGGCUCGCGUAUCUGGCCUCGGUGCUCAUGGAUCCAGCGAGGUUGUCAGUGGCAACGAGUGACAACAACGGCCCGUGGAUGGGCUUGGCAGGUGACUUGAUGGGCUUGUCGGGCCUGUCUAUGGGUUUUCUAUUUUUUUGUUUUUUGUUUGAUUAACCGAGGCGGGCACUUUAACCGCCUCGGAAAAGGUUUCAUUUAGUGUGACCUUUCGUUCGAGGCGGUUGCAUUGUCCGCCUCGGUUAAUCAUUUUUGCCUGCCUCGGUUAAUUUUUUGUGUAGUAGUGAAAUCUAUAGUUCCUGCUCUUGGCAUAAUUAACCCAAGGUAAUCAGCAGUCUACUACUUUCCAUGCUUUGGGGCCUACAUAUGGGUCCAUGCUAGGCUGUCAGAGUUCACACUUAGCAAGAGCCAUACUAAGCCUAUGAACUAUCUGUAUCCCUUAUUAUGGCCCUGGGCCCUGUUGUUGGUCCUGGUGCAACAAGUUUUGUUAGACAUAGCUGUGAUUGUGUGUAUCUAUUAUUGUUUCCUAUUUCUGCACCUUGGAGUGGCAUUUUUUCUAACCCUCCCAUUGUAGCAAAACACAGCUAAUGGAGCAACACAUGGACCAGGAAGCAUGUUUUUUUAACGAUGGUGAUGGUAGUAAAACUAGAAUUUUCUUUUUGCCAUAGUCAGCAUUGCAUCAGAUAACUUGGAAGCAAAACUUCAUUAUACCAAUGCAGGUAUGUGCGCUAAGUGAAAUUUGAUGAAUUUACUAUCUUGAAUACUAAUAAGGUGUGCAGUUUUGUAGUUUGGACUUUCGCUGUGAGAGAUUAGUGAACUUGUUGCUGCAUGCCAGAUGUUUACAAGGUCGUUACACUGAUGACAGUAGAACCUGCAACUUGUCUAGCGUGUACUUUAUUUAGCUCGGAUGUACAGAGAAAAGCUUUGUCCGUAUAAGAUUAUGUAAUAUUACCCUCAACGAUAAACAAUGAACAAACAAUUGUGAAUGAGAAUUUGUUGACAAUGUCUAAAAUAAUGUUUUCCAUUUAAACUUAUUUAGAAAAAUGAACCAUUAUGAUUUAUCUUGCUAUCAAUGCAUGAAGCAAUUAUUUGAUCAACCUGAUGAAAUUGAGGCUAUGGAAGAGGAGUCACGCAAGGCAACCGGGUGCCAGAUGUGCUAAAAUUAAGGCUCUGAAGAGAAAUCACGGUAGGUUCGGGCGCCAGAUGUUCUAGUGCAAAUUAAAGCCGUAGGGAAGAAUAGCGUGUUUGCUAGCUGCUUGCCUGCUUGUGCUGCAGCUACAACAUGCUAGCUAGCUAGCGGACGAGUUUUCACUGAAGAUGUACACGUAAAAUUGUAGAUGUCGUGAUGCCUGCGGCCGUCGUCCACAUGUUGCAUGCAUGCACGGGCGAAGCCACGUUGAGGCCACUGGAUGCCGAGGCACCCACUGCAAAACUGUAACUACAUUAGAGUAACUCCUGUUAGAAUAUGUCAAUUGUAUCUAUAGGAUACUCUUCCAUAUAUGUACGAGUUGUAAUUGUAAUCUGUACAAACUCUUGUAUGUUCCCUAUAUAAUGAAAGCAUCGGGAGCCCCUGCUGGUUAUCCCGCUACUGCAUAUCUUUCUAUAUGGUAUCAGCCGCCUAAACUUUCCCAACGGAAAUCUCGAUCCAAUCUACCUCUCUCUACUCCAAUGGCGGCGCCGACCUCUUCUGCCACCGCUCCUCUCGCCUUUGGCCUUCUUCCUGUUGUUUCAGAGAAGCUUACCCGCGGCAAUUAUAACAUGUGGCACGCCACCGUAUCGUCCGCGCUCAAAGGGGCUCGCCUGGCGGGUUACAUCCUCAAGACCGCGGCGCCGCCCGCAGCGUUCAUCCAAGACGAGGCAUCCACCGUCGACGGCAAGAAGCCGGACCCGGCGCCCAAUCCGGCCUAUGAGAAGUGGGUGGCUGAGGAUCAAAUUGUUCUCAGCUAUCUCUUCUCAUCUCUCUCCAAAGAGAUCUUUGGCCAAGUUGCUACUGCAACAACUGCGGCAGAGUUGUGGGCCGCUAUUCAAGACCUCCAUGCUUCGCAAUCUCGUGCGCGCGUUAUUUCGACGCGGAUGGCUCUCGCCACGGCAACCAAGGGGACGUCAUCCGUGGCAGAAUUCUUUGUCAAGAUGAAGGGCCUUGCUGAUGAUAUGGCUUCAGCGGGUCGCAGGGUGGAAGAUGAAGAACUCGUGGCGUAUAUUCUCACAGGGCUUGGCGACGAGUUUGAGUCCGUUGUGUCUGCUGUCUCCACUCGUGUUGAGCCCAUCUCGGUCAAUGAGCUGUAUGCGCAGCUUGUGGCCUUCGAGCAGCGUAAGGAAAUCCAUGGAGGCGGAUUUCAAUCGUCUGCAAAUCUGGCCACUAAGGGUGGCCUUGGAGGGACUUCCUUCAAUCAAUCUCGUGGUCGCCAUGAUAGUGGUCGUGGUGGUUUUCAUCGCGGCAGUGGUGGCCGUGGCAAUGGUGGUGGCCGUGGAAACGGGUCUCAAGGAGGCAGCGGUAGUGGCCGCAAUUUUCAAUCUGGUGUAUUCUGCCAGCUUUGUGGCAAGGAGGGACACAUGGUCAUACGUUGCUUCAAGCGUUUCGACACCAACUUCACUGGACCACCACAAAAGAGUGCCUCUUCUGCAAACAUGGCGCCCUAUGGAGCAGAUACAAAUUGGUACAUCGACUAUGGUGCCACGGAUCACAUAACUGGCGACUUGGAAAAAUUAUCCUUCCGUGACAAAUAUCGUGGUGGAGAACAAGUACUUACUGCAAGUGGGGCAGGUAUGAAAAUUAAUCACAUUGGUCAUAGUACUUUGCAAUCCCCUAUUCGUGAUAUUCAUCUAAACAAUGUUCUUCAUGUUCCACAUGCAAAUAAAAGCCUUGUUUCUGCACAUCGUCUUGUUAAAGAUAACAAUACUUUGCUUGAACUUCAUCCACAACACUUUUCUCUUAAGGAACAGGUGACGAGGAAGACACUCCUCGAAGGAACAUGUGAGGAUGGUCUUUAUCCAUUGAAGCCUCAACCACCAGAUCAUUCUCCACCAAAUAAAUGAGUUCAAGGUCUUGGUGUUUUCAAGGCGUCUACUUCCUUGUGGCAUAGUCAUCUAGGUCAUGCGUCGUCACCUGUCGUUCAUAAAGUUCUUAGUCAUCAUAAGCUUCUGUUUUCCAAAGAAACAAAUAAUGGUGUAAUUUGUGAUGCAUGUCAGAUGGGCAAGAGUCACCAAUUGCUCUAUCCCAAAUUGAAUAGUGUUUCAUCUAAACCUUUUGAGCUUGUGUUUAGCGAUGUGUGGGGGCCGGCCCCAACCUCUGCUGGCCGUUAUUCUUACUAUGUGAGCUUUAUUGACGACUUUAGUAAGUUCACUUGGAUCUAUUUGCUUAAAUAUAAGUCUGAAGUUUUUCAGUGCUUUCGUGACUUCCAGAGCAUGGUUGAGCACCAAUUCAAUCAUAACAUACUCGCUGUCCAAUCCGAUUGGGGUGGGGAGUAUCAAUCCCUUCAUUCCUUCUUUAGUCGACUUGGUAUUGCUCACAUGUAUCCUGUCCCCAUGCACACCAACAAAAUGGGUCUGCUGAACACAAGCAUCGGCACAUAGUUGAAGUCGGCCUAUCCUUAUUAGCACAUGCAUCCAUGCCUCUUAAAUAUUGGGAUGAAGCUUUCCUGACUGCCGUUUUUCUCAUAAAUCGCCUUCCUUCCAAGGUCAUUGCCGAUGACACGCCAUAUGACCGUCUUCUUAAUAACCCACCAGAUUACUCCUUUCUUCGGACUUUUGGGUGUGCGGUAUGGCCCAACCUUCGACCAUACAACACAAAGAAGCUCGCUUUUCGAUCCCUCCGAUGCGUGUUUAUUGGGUACAGUAAUCUUCACAAGGGGUUCAAGUGUUUGGAUCCCAAAACUGGUCGUAUUUAUGUAUCCCGUGACGUUGUUUUUGAUGAAACUGUUUAUCCCUUCUCUCAGCUUCAUCCAAAUGCAGGAGCUCGCCUUCGCGCGGAGCUUGAUCUUCUUCCUGAUGUUCUUAAAAAUCCAUCACAUGAGUUUGGGACUGCUAAUGUACUUGAUCAAUGCAUGGUUAAUUCUAACCCCACUAAUGUUGUACCCAGUUCCUCCUCUGCUGUGGAUGUUACAGGUUUAAAUUCGAUGCAAAUCGGUGAAGGAACGAUGUCAAAUGAGCCAUAUUUCCUGACCGCAUCCAGCUUGGGGCAAAACGACACCAAUGGAGCUGAACCCAGUGUUGCUCCGUCUGAUCCUCGGACUGACUUGAUAGAGGGAUCUGCGUCGGGAUCGGAGAUAGAUCCUGUCUCCCUCGCGUGGACGACGCUGGCCCUGUCCUCGUCUGCCAUUUCAGGGAUUCCCGGAUCUUCUACGCCUUCAUCUACCGAGACUCCCACCUCCUCGUCGUCGCCAUCUGCCCCAUCAGAUCUGACCGGCUCCAACCCGCGUGAAUCUUCUGCGGGUGCUCUCGUGGACUCUGCAGUGCCUGACUCUUCCUCACCGCCAGCUGACUCUUCGCUUCCACAUCUCUAUGGCACCCGACUCCAGCGUGGUAUCACCAAACCGAAGCAGUACACUGAUGGUACAGUGCGUUGGCUCCUUCACAGUUCAGUCGAAGCAGCCGAGCCCAUCAGUAUCAAGGCUGCUUUGAGUGAUCAACGAUGGGUCUCUGCUAUGGACAAAGAGUAUAUGGCAUUGCUCGACAAUAAAACAUGGCAUCUUGUACCGGCACCUCGUGGCAAGAAUAUUAUCGGCAGUAAAUGGGUUUAUAAAGUGAAACGGAAAGCUGAUGGAACUAUUGAUCGCUACAAAGCUCAUCUUGUCGCUAAGGGAUAUAAACAACGCUAUGGGAUUGAUUAUGAAGAUACUUUCAGUCCGGUGGGCAAACCAUUCGCCUUGUUCUUUCUGUAGCAGUCUCUAAAGGUUGGUCUCUACGUCAACUUGAUGUUCAGAAUGCCUUUCUUCACGGUGUUCUUGAAGAAGAGGUCUAUAUGCGUCAGCCCCCAGGAUAUGAAGACAAGCAAUAUCCCAACUAUGUUUGCAAGCUGGAUAAGGCACUUUAUGGUCUUAAACAAGCCCCUCGUGCUUGGUACGCUCGUCUUUGUGGUAAACUUGUUCGGUUGGGGUUCACACCGUCCAAAGGUGAUACUUCUUUAUUCUUUUAUACAAAAGGAUCUGUCACUAUAUUUGUGUUGGUUUAUGUCGAUGACAUUAUUGUCGCAAGUUCUUCCGUGGAUGCAACACGAGCGUUGCUUCGAGAUCUUGAGGCUGAAUUUGCUUUGAAGGACCUUGGUGACCUUCACUAUUUUCUUGGGAUUGAGGUUAAACGUAACUCUGAUGGUUUGCUGUUGUCUCAACAACGAUAUGCUACUGAUGUGGUCAAGCGCGCGAAUAUGUGGCAUUGCAAACCGGUUGACACACCCAUUUCAGCUACUGAGAAACUGAGUCUCACUGAGGGAGAGGCUCUUGGAGAAGAAGAUUCUACUAAGUAUCGAAGUAUUGUUGGGGCACUUCAGUACUUAACACUUACCAGGCCAGAUUUGUCCUUUUCAGUGAAUAAAGUUUGUCAAUUUCUUCAUAAACCGGCAACAGUUCAUUGGGGUGCUGUCAAGCGGAUUAUUCGGUAUGUCAAAGGCACCUUGACAAUGGGUCUACAGCUUCGGCGAUCUACUUCUACAUUGGUCAGUGCUUUUUCUGACGCCGAUUGGGCUGGUUGUGUUGAUGAUCGGCAGUCAACAGGCGGAUUUGCUGUGUUUUUUGGUCCAAACCUUGUGUCAUGGAGUGCUAGGAAACAACCUACAGUUUCUCGUUCUAGCACUGAGGUGGAAUACAAGGCGUUGGCCAAUGCUACUGCAGAGAUGAUGUGGAUUCAAAGGUUAUUAACAGAACUUGGAAUAUCCCACUCUCCUGUUGCGCGAUUAUGGUGUGACAACAUCGGUGAGAAAUACUUGUCUGCGAAUCCAGUCUUUCAUGCCCGAACAAAGCAUAUUGAGAUUGAUUUUCAUUUUGUUCGUGAAAGAGUAGCUCAGAAGUUGCUGGAUAUACGUUUUAUUAGCACGAGUGAUCAGGUCACUGAUGGUUUUACUAAACCAGUUUCAGCAGCAAAACUGAAGGAGUUUAGAUUCAAUCUCAACCUUGUUAGUGGCUGAGAUUGAGGGAGGAUGUUAGAAUAUGUCAAUUGUAUCUAUAGGAUACUCUUCCAUAUAUGUACGAGUUGUAAUUGUAAUCUGUACAAACUCUUGUAUGUUCCCUAUAUAAUGAAAGCAUCGGGAGCCCCUGCUGGUUAUCCCGCUACUGCAUAUCUUUCUAUAACUCCAACAGUUUUGCAAAUUUUAUUUGGCAAAUGUUGUUAUUUACCAAACGAUAUGGGGAGGAAACAAUGGGCAUCUCCAAGUGUUUGAUAAUUUUGAUGUGGCAAAAAAAAAUUCUGCUGGUUCCGGAGAUCAACAAAGAAGCAUCAGGUUGUCAGCUUUCUAUAAAAGCUCGUGCAUGCAGUAUGCCAAGUCUAUUCCAGACGCGCAUAAAUGCCUAGAAAAAAGAGGAGAAUUUGCCAACUUGCUAUAAAUGCCAAGCUCAAUUGCCAAACUGUUGGAUAGGAGAUUUUGAGAGUUUUAACCAAAAAAAUAAGAAUGUCAAACCUAAUUGCAAAACUGUUGGAGUUGAGGAGCAAAUUUUCAACCUUUGUGCACCCCCCAUGUCCAAAAGAAGGCACCCUCCACCGGCCCAAGCCCAUGUGCCAUGUCGCAUGUAGCUUCCAGGAGAAGGAUGCCAAUAUGCAUGGGAAAUUUUGUCAUGCCCGUGGCCACGUGCGAGUCAGCGAGGGCAAGGAGGCCGCGGCGUUUCAUAUGCCGCAGCAAGCCAGCGACGCAACUACGCAAGGGCGGCAAGGCACCAAGCCACCAAAUUCCGCUCCCCUUCCCCUUCCCGGCUUCCCCGUCAUUGACUCGUCGAGCCAAGCUGAGCGCCUAACGGCUGCGGCAGCCGAUGUGAGCACCUCAUCCUUAAAGCCUCUCUGUUCUAGACUUUUGGUCCAAAAGUAAAGCCAAGGAAUCAAACCCUCAAUUCAUUUAUCUUGUAUUUGGUGCAAGAAGUAUGCAUGCUCCAAAGACCUUAUAAUUAGUAGUCACUUCCCAUGUUUUGGGUUUGGUGUUUUUUCAUACAUUAGUCCACCUGUGAAUGGUCAUAGUUCAUUGGUUUUUGAGACCUCAAUUUCUAGUGCUUAUUUAUAUAUCUACCAUUCUUCAUAAUAUAACUUUCUUUGGAUUCUUGCUUGUGUUAGUUCUCACUACCACAAUAAUCUUAACAAUGGCGGACAUUUUGGAUUUUAGGAGGCGGGCAAAAGAAACCCCUCUGAUGAAAGGUCACAUCAUCGACCAUUAUCCGAGGCGGUUUCAUGCAUGCCUCACUUAAUCAAAUAAAAAUAAAAAAGGAAAACCCUGGAUGAGCCCACCAAGCCCUUAUCUAGGGCCCGCCGAGCCCAUCCAUGUGCAGUGCCCGCUGCUCGCCGAUGCGCCUGCUCGUGGAGGAAGGUCCAUGCUGCCACCGAAUCCAUAGAUUUGUGUGAGGAUGAGGUUACCGCUGGAUCCACGUGGGGAGGGCCGCUGCCACGCGCGCCACGCCGCCGUUCGGCGUGGCCGGCUCGUGCACCGGCCCACAGCGCCGCUAGGCGCAGCCAGCCGACCAUGCCCCACUGCGUGCAGCUUGUAGUUGGCGACAAGGGGACGAGAGGUGCCCGUCGGGAUGGGAGGGGCGUCGGGAUGGGAGGCAAGGGGAGGGGGCCGCCGAGAUGGGAGGGAAGGGGAGGGGAGCACCGGAUAUAUACUCCGUGUGAUAUAUGAGGCCAGGACGGGUCGAGAUGGGUUAUUUGGACUCUAAGAUGGGCCACUAUUACCCGAGGCGGGCCUUCUAAAAUAACCGUCUCGGUUAAUGAUUUACCAAGGUGGUUGCAUUAUAAUAACCAAGGUAAAUAUGUAAUAACCGAGGCAGUUAUAUUACAUUGCCCGCCUCGGUAAAUAGGCAGAUGGAAAUUUUGCCUGCCUCCGAGACCCAUUCUAAAACGCCACGCAAAAGAUUUUUUGUAGUAGUGUCUAGAUUCGUAUGUAGGGAUUAGCGUUCUAGCUAGGCAAGGUCAACUAGGUAGUGACAUGGUAUAACUAGAGCAGACGUGAAUGUUGUAUGGUUUGGAUGAUCUAAAGCCUGAUUGUUGUGUCAAGUCUCCCAAAUUGGCAUUUGUUCCCACACGACGCAAGAUACAGAACUCCGUAUUAGUGUUUUCACCUUCAUCCCCUAGUCCACCAAAACAUUUUGUUUUCCCCUAUCAUCCUACAACCAUUUGUGCCAUAGACGUGGCUUAAUUAAGGUUUAGAGUCCGCCGUACGUGUUGAAGUUAUUUUCAUUGGACAUGAUGUUGCUGUUGGUGUAGCUCGUGUUUGAUUCCAGUUUGUGUGAUCCCUCUGCUCUUUUCCAUCAACUCUAAAGGCACCACCAAAAAUCUAGUAUCUUGUGCCUAAAAGCCCUUAUUCAGGCCAGACAAACUCAAAACAAGGCAAAUUUUAGAGUUUCAGAGAAUGUUGGAAAAUUAUAUAAUACAAUUAAAUACUAUAUGUAGUAACCCAUAGAUAUAAUGUCUUGUCUCCCAGAUGCAUAAGGACAUAGCAUAAUACCUCCAGCACACAUAUAUGCAACAUAUUAUCUAUCCAAUAGAAGUUUAAUAAUACAAUUAAAUACUAUAUGUAGUCCCUAGGGGAUAGAAUUCAAUAUCUCCUAUAUGCAUGAGGAGUAAGCAAUAUAUCUCUAACAGACAUGCAGCGUAUCAUCUAUCUAAUAGAAUAUAUAUAUAUAUAUAUAUAUAUAUAUAUAUAUAUAUAUAUAUAUAUAUAUAUAAUACUAUAUGUAGUACCGAAUAGAUAUAAUGUCCUAUAUCCUAGAUGCAUAAGGACAUAGCAUAAUAUCUCCAGCACCCAUGUAUGUAAAAGGAGUUUAAUAAUACAAUUAAAUACUAUGUGUAGUCCCUAGUGGAUAGAAUUCAUUAUAUCCUAUAUAUAUGCAUGAGGAGUAAGCAAUAUGUCUCUAACAGACACGCAACGUAUUAUCUAUCUAAUAGUAAUUAUUUAAUAAAGUUAAACUAUAUCCUGCAACUAUUAUAUAGAGUCCAAUAUCUCUUAGAUUCAUGGGACUAAGCAUAUUAUCUCCAAGAAUCAACGUAUUACCUAUGUGUAGAAAUUAUAUAAUACAAUUAAAUAUUAUAUGAAGUACCUAGUGGAUAGAAUUCAAUGUCAUUUGCCAAUUUUAUAUUUGGUCCAUUCUCAUCUUCAUCGACGUCUAUACCUAUAUAUAAGCCUAGCCAUCCCCACUGGAAGUUCUCACAUGUCACACCUAAACCACACAUCUUUUGCUUUGUCGAAAUUCAAUCAGGAGCUGAAGGAGGGGUCGGGCUUGCUAUUAAAUCAAACCAUAAAACACAAGCUAUAACCAUGGCAAAACUACUCUUGGGUUUGCUCCUUGUCCUUGUCAUUAUAGGGACAACGUCGGCUGAUAACUGUGCUAAAGAUGCAGAUGCCAUGAAGCAGGAGUGCAAGAAGUUCGAGGUGUUCCCUGCAAACCCAAAGUUGAAACCGUCUCCGGCAUGCUGCGCUGUGUGGCAGAGGGCGGACAUCCCAUGCCUACGCAAAAGGGUCACACCGGAAAUAGAGAAGGUGUGGUGCAUGGAGAAGGUCGUGUACGUCGCCAACUACCAAACUUGCAAGCGGCGCGGCGACGGACAGCCCGUCCCAUGUCCGCGUAAACCGCAAGCUAGCUGGCGGGCAAAGGCGGCGGCCCGCACUGGACCGUUUGCUUUUUGCGGGUUACUUUGGCGGCCCGCACUGUGCCGUUUCCCACCAAGCAGGCGGAGCCGCGAGCGAACGUGGCAGUUCAGCCGUUCAGGUCCAGUCUCCAGUCCAGUACACUACACUCCCAGUGCUCUCCCAUCCAUGAUCCAUCUUGGAUCUUGCUUCGCCGGCCAUGGCUAUGGCCAUGGCGAGCAUCUGCUCAGCCAUCUAUCUACUCGCCGGCCGGCUGGGUUUAGCAACAUCUGUCGUUCUUGGAAGCCUCUGCAGUUGCAUCCACACGCCAUUUUUUUCAGACAUUCUGAAGCAGAGAACCCCAACAAAAAAAGAUUCAAACUUUUAGAGUCCUGGGGUUUGUCUUAUAGUUUCGAAAAGCCAAGAAAAAAAGAAAUCAUCCUGAGCUGUCGAGUUCUGAAGGAACAUGGCGGAGUUGCGGGUCCGGCCGGGACACUGGUGAGAUUAGAUUCAGAUUCAGAUUCAGAUACCUUUGCGGCAAAAAACGAUUUUUUGGACCAGGGGGCGAGCAGAGAGGGAGAGUACGAGGGCCGAGGGCAGGGAGACGACGCCGAGAGAUCCCCCCAGGUCGGUUCCUCUUUCUGGCGGUCGUCGUUCUGUCGCUCCACGCGCCGCCGCCCGCGUCGUGCGCCGACAUCUACGCGCUCAUCUACAAGGGCUGCGCCAACCAGAGCUUCCCGGGCGGGGUGGCGCCCGCGAGCAUUGCGGCCCCUCUCCGCCACGCUCUCGGCACAGUCCGCCUCCGCCAAGUUCUACAAGACCUCCUCGUCCUCGGCCUCGACGGCUUCCUCCACCUCCGUCUUCGGCCUCUUCCAGUGCCGCGGGGCCUCUCGGCCUCCGACUGCGCCGCCUGCGUGUCCUGCGCCAUGUCCUCCUGGCAGGGCGUCUGCGGCGCCUCCGUCGCCAUGCGGGUCCAGCUCGCCGGCUGCCUCACGCUCUACGAGGUGUCCGGGUUCCCCCAGGUCUCCGGCAUCCACCGGCUCGUGAGUCUGUUGUGAUGGGUUGAAGCGGCGCCGUUGGGCUUCAUACGUCCGUUCCCUGAACCCGCUUCGCAUAGGUGGGCUGCUGUGCGGGCUGAAUCUUGCUCGCGGCGCCAUCUGGCCCAGCAGGCUGACGGCGCGGCCCGCGCCGUUUGCAAUCGUACCAACUACUGCAAGAAGCCAUUUACACCCGGCUACAAGUGCGGGAGUAAGUUAACACUGAGCAUAUAUACAUACUGUUAUCCAUGUUGGUGCAUAUUAUUGUUGUACGAUGUAUAUGACUACUCCAAGCGUGACUGAUUUUAUAUAUUGGUUGGUUUUUGCAGGUUAUACGGUUCCGAAAAGCCUCUAAAUAGAGCGGUUUGGACAUGCAUGGUACUCUAUACUGAAGCUUGCAUUUGAGAUUUGUAACAUGUGAGGGACUAUGUUGAGAAUAAUGUGUAUCGAGUACUUUGUGUGAAAAGCGUUGGAGAAUUGAUAAUGUUUGGCUUUUAUCUUAUUGCUUCCUUGGUCUUGCAUUUUUAUGGAAGAAUUCUAUGUGAUAGAACGUGGGGCUACAUUAAUAAUUUACACUAGUACAUAAAUCAUGGUGGCAGGCAUUGCAACCGCCUCCAAUUGAUGUCCUCGGUUAAUCAUCAAUUAAUGAAAGCGGUUGCUUUGUCUGUCUUCGUAAAUCAAACAGAAAGAAUAAAAAAAAGAAAAACACGUGAACAGGCCCUCCGAGCCCAUCCACGGGUUGCUGUUGCCACAACCACUCGUCGGAACCUGGAUUGCAUGCACUGUCGGGAUCUAGCCUCCCGCCAUCAAGAUCCAUCCUCCCACCGCAAGAUUGGAUGCCCGCUGUCGGGAUCUAGCCUCCCGCUGCUAGGAUCGAGACGCCGCCGCAGGGAUUUGGCCUCCCGCUGCCGAAUCGAGACGCCUGCCGAUGGAUCUGGAGGUGGAGGGGAAUGGAGAGCGGCUCUUCGUUGGGUGGGGGAGCAACGUGCCGCCAGGGCUGCCCACGACCGUGAUGCGUGUUCGCGCCACCUUUGUCUGCACCACUGGGGCCAUCUCCAUCCGUGCUUUGAGCUUGUCUCCCCAGCCUCUAGAUCUGCUCCGCUUUGCGCCGCGCUUCGAGCUCGUCCCAUUGGGGCUGGUCGCGUCCGCUCUGCCAGGGACGACCGCACGCGCUAGCUGGGGCAAAGAGAGAGGGGAAGAGGGAGAGGGGCUGUUGGAGGGAGGUAGAGAGGCACGUGGCUCGGUGGAUUGAGGGAGAGGGGUGCGCAGCUCAGGUGGGAGACCGCUAUACUUGGGACGCUGAGGGAGGGGAGGCACUGAGUGAGAGGCCAAAAAGCUUGACUCAACUGAGUGAUCAACGUUUACACACUACAUAGCAACAGAAGGUGUUCUCCAAACUAGUGGGUCUUCAAUACCGCAUUGUUUACCGUAGGGGUACAGAGAAUAGCGUGGCUAACGAUCUCACUCGCUGUUGGGAAAUGUGCUCCUGCACUCCCUAGCAGCACGAUGCACGAAGUGCCUGCUCACGUGCUACAGUGAGCGGCUUGGGUAUUGCAGACAAUAGGCUCGAUGCCCUAGAACGGUAGUUGGGAACAAUAGGUGGGAAUAGUAAAUGAUCUCUUCUCUUUUUCUCAAGAGCAGUUACACUUCCCUUAUAUAGGUCACGGGUGUCGACCCAAGACUAUUACAAAAAUGCCCCGUGACGGCAGGGGAAUAUCCUAGCAUAUUCUUUUGUUACAGACUACUGACUACAAGUCACUUAAGUAAUUUCACACUAUGAGCUCCACUCGUGCUUCCUGCUUAGGGCUCUGGCCUCCUUCGGUCGGCCAUCGAUCCUUCAGCUUAGAGGCGCCGAAGGUUCCUCACCAACCCUGCGAUGCUUGCGGCAUCCUCAGGAACGCUUCUGCCUACCCUUCAUCUCAGGGGAGAUUCAAAGGACCGCUCCUUCCUCCCUCACGGCCUCCGCCACCGGCUCGAUUCCUGUGUUCACAAAACAUUAUAUGAGACACGUUAUAGUUAGCUCCGCCAGGGUCCUUUGUACCGAACCAUCCAAAGGUUCACGAGACAGAGGUGGCAGUCCUCUGGACCUACUAGGCUGGUGAAGGCAAGGUUGAGCCCCCAACAUUUCCCCCUUUUGAGCUUAGUGGCACUCUUGCGGGCCGUAUGCUCAAAAACUUGCUACGCGGUGGAGGUUCUGAGCACGGCUGGUGUCUUCCCCCUGGUGCGCAUGAUGUGUCCCUUAGGCGCUGUGGUGAGUGAUUGUAGUAGACAUCUUCCGCUAGUUGAUUUGUGAGAUAGCCGUUGGCAGUAUCCUCCGUUGAUUGCGCCGCCCGGUGAUUGUGGUUUUGCCAUUGUAGCAAGUAGUCAUUGGGAGAUUUUCCUCCGCUGAUAGCACAGCGUGGUUUGCGCAAGUAGCAUUGGAUUUCCCUUUUCCUUCACGGAUAGCCAUUGCACCCUGAGAAUCACAACCGUCGUGAGGUCGCAGGCCCCCCUAUAAAAGGAGGUGGGGGGGCUUGUUUUCUCACUCUUGCCUCUGAACGCUUGCCUCAAAUCCUUCAUUGUAUCUGCCUUAGUUUCCUGAGCGCUUGAGAGAAUCCUUGCCUUAGCUUCGAAAGCGCUCUAGAGAGAUCCUUCGUAUCCUUUGCCUUAGCUUCCUCAGCAUUUGAGAUUGUUUCUGCAGUGGCUCGCUUUCCUUCACCCCGUCCUUCCCGGGUGAGUUUCUUCGGUUCUUUGUAGAAUUUGCUGAGUGUGAGAUCUGGUGGUUGACUGAAGAGGUUCGAAGAUUGCAUGCUGGAGGUUGUAGCUGCUCAAGACCUAGAGGAGACUUUGUCUGAUGUGGAGGUUUCCAUCGGUAAUCUAGUUAGUGUGAAGGAAUUUGACUCCAUGGCUACUAUUACUUUUGAGUUUGGGGAUUCCAUCAUCAUGCCACAAGAUAUUGCAGAUAUGGUUGAGGCUGGAUUCUUUAAAGAGGGUCGUGCGAUGGUUCCCCCUGCUAGCCACACGGUUCCUGCACCCGAAGCAGAGUACGUAGUUGUUUUCAGGGAUUUCAUCACCUGUGGUCUACGAAUGCUGCCGUAUGCCUUCCUUCGUCAAGUGAUGGAGGCUUUCAACAUUGACCUACAACAUUUCAGCCCAAAUGGGAUACUUACACUUAGUAAGUUUGCUUGGGCAUGUGAAUCCUACAGAGUGGUGCCCAAUAUUGAGCUCCAACGAUAGCCAAAGAAGGUGAAGAAUGCCGAAGGAGAGGAGUUUGUGGUGUAGUUUGGAAGCUACGCGUUCAUGCCUCGCCGUUCAAUGCCUAGCGAGCAUUGUGAAAUCUCAUACUGUUAGAAAAACAUGUAGGAGAAGGAUUGGAUGAAGAUGUGGUUCUAUGUGAAGUCUACAGAUGCUUUGCGCACCCUUGAAGAUGGAACAACAGAGAAGAUUCAUCCAUAUGUUUCAAAGAUGAAGGAGAUGAAGCCUGUGUACAAGGUAGAUCCUUUGGUUGAAGUGUCGAAGGUACGCAAAGCUUGCGACAAAGCCUUCGUGUUGGCAUGUCGCUACUCAGGUGGUCGCGAUCUUGUGGAGGAGAUGGUUGCUUCCGACUUUUGGCCACUUGGCCAUAAAAAUGAGGAGUUCAACAUUGAGAUGGUGCAGGUUCCUAUUUUGGUCCUUCGGAGGGGCUUCCUUUCCCCUGGUUUGGUAGGUCGAUGGUGGAGGGUGAGACUAAGGAGUCUUUCCUUGACCGCGUUGAGGCCUCUGCCCGGAGAAUCGUGUGCAAAAUCUCUGAACGCGAGUUUGUUGCGUGGAGGACCACAUUGGGCACCAUGCCACGGUUCAACCGUGUUUUUGAAGAACUGAGCAUCAAACAUGAUGAAUACAUCAUUCCUUUGGACGUUAUUCUGAGGCUAGAGAAGAAGAAGGAUGCCGCCAAGAACUUGACAGUGGCGGCGGAGUCAAAGAAGAGGAGAGGUGGUGGGGUUUUGAAUGCGAUGGUGAAGAAACGAAGGGAGGUUGUUGCUACGGUGGUUCCUAUUGUAUCAUCCUCCGACCGCUCCUCCAUUGCCGAGUCUAACUCGGUGGAAACUCCUGCUGUGGGGGAGGCUCUUGUUGCGGCCGCGGAUGUCAAUCCUGGUGCUCAGCAAGUGGCCAUGUAGGAAGUCCCUUGUGGUGCUGUUUCCACCCUAGAGUCUUCGGCUUUGAACCCCAUGCCGUCGCUCCUUGGGGAAGACUCUUCUGACGCGGAGGUUCCUCCUGCUAAGCCUCCGCGACUGAUGCCUGCUAGAGGAGCUUCACUGCCGGUGGAGGUGGAGAAAGACUCUAGCUCGGAGGUGGAGUCUAUUCAUGAGCGCAGGAUCGAUCUUGCGACCGAGGCCUCGUGUCCAGCUGGUGAUGUUGGCGCAAGUCCAUAUGCUCUUUAUAUGGGUGAGUUGUUUUCACUUUAGUAUACUUACUAUUUUGCGUGCUUGAUGUUUCUGAAUGUGAAAUUUUUUCCUAUCUUAGUGGAUCCUAUCAAUGCGAUUGCUAGCACCGCCGAACUGGCCGGAGGUGUCAGUAUUGCACACGAGGGACUUGCUGUUCCUCCACCUCGAUUUCCUACGCCCGCUGGUUUAGGUACCAAGCCUUCGCCUGUUGGUGUCGCUGGAGCCGGUAAGUCAUGGAAUUAGUUUCAUCUUGGUUUUGAGGACUUUGGUUACCCUCGGAUCCUAAUCAGUGCGCUUUGAUGUUGUGUAGGAGCUUCGGACUCGACGAUCUCCAGUUGGACUACUGCCAUGCAUGAAGUUCAUUCAUUGAUCGGAGGUCUACUUUUGGCCUCUUCUUGUUUUUCGUCUUACUCUUUUUCUCUAACUUUUGUUUGAUUUGCAGAGCAUUUCUGCCAAGAGCUUCAGCAUAUGGACUAUGACACGCUGCUUCACGUGCAUUUUGAGCACCACAGCCUUGUAAGUUUCAUUUUUGAUAUGUUAUCCUUUGUUCUUUUUCUUGCAGAGGUUUGAAUAUUUGGCUUCUACAACUAGGGUCAUCACAUGGCUGCCGCCUUGGAGGAGCUUUGCUCCCGAGAGGUGAUAAAUCAUGAUGAAGCCAUUAAGGCUCUAAAAAAGGAGAAUGAAACCUUAGAGGCCGAGAAGGCUCGCCUGGCGGAGGAUGUGCCUGCUCUUCGUCAGGAGGUGGUUGCUUUGAAGAAGGAGAAGGAGGACUUGGAGCUUGAAGCCACCAACCUUCAAAAGAAUGUCUCCAAAGCAGAGACUACCAGAGACACGGCCGUUCAGAGGGCUGAGAAGGCUGAUGAGAUUUCAAGGUGUCUAUGUGAGGAGCUUGAAGCUGAGUGGAGGUCCACUUCUGUCAUGCAAAGUUGGCUCAAGGAUGCGCAUGAGCAAACUACGGCUGUAGUCGGACUGUACUCCAACGCACUGAGCCAGUUUGGCGGCAGUACCUCCGCCCCUCCUAGGUGUGGGGACGUUGGUGUUAGCCUAGCUUGGCUGAGGUCCCAUGUCAGCAAGCUCCCUGAUUUUGUUGGGGGGGCUGUUGACGUUGGUGCUUUAGUGGCUGUCUCUUCCUUUGACCGUCUCCUCUGCCGCGACGAAUUCUCCCACAUUGAGGCGUUGCAGAAGGAAAUUUUUUCUUCGGUUGUCGAUGUUGGUGACGCUACCUCCAGUCUAGGUAGGUCCGUUUGGAAUUUCUUCGGUUCUUUCUGGGCCAGGUUUGUGUGGUCUGAGGCAAGGAGUAUUGUGGAGGCUCGCCGGGCUGAGGUACUUUGAACUUACCUGCACGUUGUGUUCGUUGAGUGCUGGAGUUGUGUUUUUUACAGGUUGUUGUUUACAGGAGCUUGAAAAGAGGCGGGCAAAGGUGGGUGCUACUAGCCUGGUGGUUCCUCCUUUGGCUAGUGCUGGGAUGGGGGCUCGUUCUGCUGAGGCUAAGGACAUUGAGGAAGUUGGUCCUUCGGCUCCUCCUCCGCCGGCUCAGGUGUGAGGGCUUUUAGCUUUAGGAGUUUACGUCUGAGAGACAUUUUGUAAAAGAGGGUUAAGCUAGUUGUGGACCUUUUAACUAUCAAAUAUACUCUUGUGUGCUUAAAUAUAUGUGUUUGUUUUUUUCAAUUUAUCCUGCACAAGCCUCUAAUGGAGUACCUGCGCAGGAUGCUUCAGAUGUUGCUCCGCUGUCCAUUUAUUUCAAUGGAAUUUAUGUUUUGGGUGACUUGUGGCAAUACUAGCGAGCUGUGUUUCCUAACAUGAGCAUUGUAGAUAUGUUUGACUUUGUUGAGUUUGAUAUUGACGAUGAGAGGUCUGAGUUCCUUCGUUUGCUUGCCUAUUGAGGGUCUUAGCCUCUGACUUAGGUUGUUGUUCUAGUCUCCUUCUUCACGCAUUCUUUGUUGUUUUGUUUUUCCUUUAGCUUGUUUUAACUAUUGUUAGUUUGUUGGUGUAGUCUUCAUAUCCGAUCCUACGCAUAUUUGGCGAAGAUGAGGAGGUGUUUCGUUUGCCGGAGGAUCCUAACCUUUUGGCGGAGCUUUAUCUUCCUAAGCGCUAAGAGGUUUGUUGAUUUAAGCCUGGUUGGGCAAAACCUUCGUCUGCGUGACUUGCACUCACCUAUUUUUUGUUUGUUUUUGCUUUCAGGUGGUCAGGUCUCCCCCAGGCGUGACAUUCUUCCUCUGGGGUUUGAAGAAGGAUGUUUUGUGCCUCCUGUGACGUUCAAAUGCGGGGAUUUAUACGUGAUGGGGUGGGUCCUGGACUGGUGGCGUCAUGAUUUUCCUUCACGGACUAUAGACGACUUAGUCGAUUUCCUUGUCUAUGAUUAUUGUAGUGAACUAAGGAUCUUUAGUUCUUCAGAGGUUAGGUUUGUUCGUGAGCCGUAGAUCCUUCGCUAGUUUAGGUGACGAAGGAUCUUAGGUUAGGUAGGUUUUGUUUCCUUUUGAUGUAAACAAUGUUUGUACAUACUGUUGAGAUGAAUAAAGAUUGUUUUUUCGUUGUGGCUCUUAUUAUUACAACCUUCAACCUCUUUUGCCUUGCAUAGAGUUGAGUUAACUUAGUACGUUUUAGCGUCAAUGUGGUGUUGGUCAUGAGGAUCUUUAUCUUGCUGUUGGUGCCGGCUGCUUUAUGUCUGAUGUUGCGAAGGUGUUGGUUGACCUAAGACUGGUGAAGGUUUGCUGUUCCUUGACCAUAGUGACUGUUGAUGUCUUGUUUGCAAGGUGUCUUUGUUGGCUUGAUCUCAUCUUUGCGGUUGUGCAGCUCCAGUUGAACAUGGGUGAAAGUAGCCUUCGUGCUUGUUUAUUAGAGGUUGCGAGGGGAUGUUACAAGACUUCAUGUGAUACCCUUCAGUAACCUCUGAUACUGGUUUGCAAUGCUUUUAUUGUAGCUAUACAUGACUCUGUGGUCGCUGUUCAUCACAAUGCCAUGGGUUAGCUAAUGGUUUUCUGAAUUCUUGUUUUGUUUUGCUUAAUCUUGUUAUUACGAAGCUUUGUGUGGUACCGGAUUUUUUGGGGGCUAUGAGGCUUACUCCAACUUCCAUGCUGGCCUAACUUGUGGUCUCUAUGACUUUGGUGCUUGCACUAGGUGCUUGGGUUGUGGCAAGUUGCUCCUGACUGGGGUUUGGGGUGGUGGAGUGCUGGUUUUCAUAGGCUCCUCUGAAUUGAUUAGCUAUACGUUGUUGGGUAGCCUUUAUUGCUGAUUUACAACUAGUUGUUGGGGUUGCUGAGACUUGUUAUUAUAUUUUGAGAUUUAAUUUUUUUACUACCUUCGUCGCUUGCUGGCGGAUGUUAUAUAGGUCUUAAUGUCUGAAUAUUUUUCAUGCCUUGAACUACCUUCAUCGCUUAGUUGCGAAGGUUAUGUAAUAACUGAACCUCUUUCAGGUCUAUGGUACCUUUGCCGCUUACUGGCAGAGGUUGUAUAGCUCCUGAUACCUAAUUUUCUUUCAGGUCUUUGUCAGGUUUGGUUGCUUGUUUUGGUUGAUCGUGUUGUGAUGCCUGACGUGGACGGGGCUUUUUCACUUUUGACCAUGUUUUCCUUGCUGUCCGGCUGGUGGCCAGGUCUUUUGCCAAGAUUCUGGUGUUUUUUCACCAUUGAGGACAUUUCGAGCUUCCUUAGCCUUCGACUUGAAGCUGUGGAGGGUCCUUGUUUUCGUGCGAUGCUUGUCGAAUGUUACAGCCUCGUUGCUGGCUGUUUUCGACUUGUAUGUUAUAUCUCUAGGGUAAGUCCUCUUUAUAUUUCAGAGGUUUUUACAUAGGUUCUGCCUUGUUAGAAACCUCACCUCCGCUAGAAGUACCCCUGUGAGGAAAAGAGUGCAGACCUUGGCUUGGAAAAGAACAAAGAAAAGAAAAAAAGAAAAAGGAAUGAAUCCUAAUAGACUCGGGCGCCUUUGCUUAUGCUGCGAAGGUCAUCCUUACAUUCAAAUAUAAAAUCUCCGUAGAUUGUCAAUGUUCCAAGUGUGCAUGGAGGUUCUUCCUUCUGGAUCUUUUAGAUGGAAUGACCCUGGUCUCCCUACUCGCAUUGCAUUGUAGGCCCCCUCCCACUUGGGUUGCAGUUUCCCGGUGUUUAGAGAGUCUCGUCUCCUUCUGAGGACUAAGUCUCCAUCGUGUAUAUCUUUUCGUACGACCUUGCGGUCUCUCCAUUUUUUGGUUUCUUGCUGGUACUUAUUGAUGUUUUCCACUACUUCUAACCUUGCUGCUUCCAUGGUCUCUUUACAAUAACCCUCAUCUUUGGCCAGCAUCUAUUUCAUGGAUCAUAGGCUUUGGUGUUUGAUUUUUUCUGGUAGCAUUGCCUCUUCGCUGUACAGGAGUUAGAAUGGGGUAAAUCCAGUGGCUCUUGAAAUGGUUGUGUUGUGAGACCACACAACUCUAGGCAACUCCUCAACCCAUUUUCCCUUGCGAAGGUUGAGCUGUGUUUUGGAGAUUACGGAAAAUAUUAUUCUGUUUGCUGUCUCUACUGCCCCGUUUGAUUCCGGGUGGUAGACUGAAGCAAAGGCAAUUUUUGUUCAUAUUUGCUAGCAAAAUUCUUUGAACUUCUCUGAGUCAAACUGCUUUCCAUUAUUGACUAUAAGCAGGCUUGGGACUCCAAAUCUACAAACGAUGUUUUGCUAGAAAUUUUUUUGAUUGUUUCUCAAGUGAUCGAUGCUAGUGGCUUCGCCUCGAUCCACCUUGUGAAGUAUUCUAUGGUGACAACAACAAACUUGUUUCCUACUUGGGCUGUUGGCAGUGGUCUUACUAGAUCCAUUCCCCAUCUCUGUAAUGGCCAUGAUGGCGAUAUGAGCUGUGUUGGUGCCGAAGGUCCUAAUUGAUGCGGUGAGAAGGUUUGAUAGGCUCUGCAGGUUUUCACUGUCUCUUCUGUGUCUUUGAUGUGAGUCAGCCAAUAGAAACCCUGUCUCAGUGCUUUGGCAGACAAUCCAUGUGGACCUAUAUGCGAGCCACAUAUUCCUAUAUGUAUUUCUUGUAGGAGUUCUUUGCCUUUAGUUUGCGAUAUGCAUUUCAACACUGGUUGAACUACUCCAUUCUUGUACAAAAUUUCAUCAAUGAUGGUGUAAUUUCUUGCUCUUGCUUCCAUUCUUCUUGUUGCUGCUCUGUCCUCCAUGGCUGAUCUGUCAUUCGGUGAAUCUAAGAUCAACUGCCUCUAGUCUUCGCCUUCUGCCAACAAGACAGAGCGGAAAGCCUUCGGCAAUGAUUCAGUCGCGUGGGCUUUAAGGACCUGAUAAAAGGUUCCCGCCGGUAAGGCCAAGUUGUUCGCGGCUGCUUUUGCUAGUCCAUCUGCUUCGCUGUUCUCAGUUCUUGGGAUAUAUUGGAGAGUGAAUCCCUUGAACCUUCACUCUAGUCCUCUUACGACUGUCAAGUAUCUUGCCAAUUUCGGAUUGUGGGCUAGGUAUUCCUUCUCAACUUGUCCUGCCACUACCUGGGAGUUUGUUUUAAUAAGUAAGUUCUUUGCCCCUAAAGCCUUUGCUUUGUUGAGCUCGAGGAUGAAUUCUUCGUACUCUGCUAUAUUGUUUGUUGCUUUGAAAUCUAGUCUUGUAGCAUAUUUUGACUUGAGACCGGAUGGGGCAAUUAGAACUGCCGACGCCCCUACUCCUGCCUAUCCCCAAGCUCUAUCCGUAAAUAGUGUCCAUGUUUGAUCGGUUACCUUCUUCUCUUCUUGAGCCGAAGGUAUCCAGUCCACCAUGAAAUCAGCUAGCGCCUGGGACUUGAUUGAGGUUCUUGGGACAUAGGUGAUGUCAAACUGCAAUAGCUCGGCAGCCCAUUUUCCUAUUCGGCCAGAGGCUUCCUUGUUUUUGAGGAUGUCACCCAAGGGCUAAGAUGUGGAGACUUUGAUCUCAUGACUCUAGAAAUAGUGCUUGAGCUUUCUUGAUGGAGACAGGACUGCGUAUGCAAUUUUUUGAAUUUCUAUGUAGUUCAAUUUGGCUCCUAACAAGGCUUCAGAUACAUAGUAGACAGGCCUUUGCACAACUCCUUUGUGCUCACUUUUUCGUGCACCAGGACAACGCUGACUGCAUGCUCGGAGGCUGCUACAUACAACAGUAAUGAGGUUUCUAGCUCAGGUACGGUCACCACCAGAUUGGUGGCUAUGUAGGUUUUGAGUUGUUUGAAAGCCUCCGAUUGUUCUGGGCCUCAUUCUAUUUUAUCUCCUCCCCUUAGAACAUUGAAGAAUGGCAGGCUCCACUCAGCGGACCUUGAAAUGAACCUGUUGAGGGCUGCUACUCUGCCGGUCAAUUUCUGCACUUCUUUUUUUAGACAAAGGCUCUACCAUUGACAUGAUCGCUUUAGUUUUAUCAGGGUUGGCCCUGAUUCCUUUGGAUCUUAUAAUGUAACCUAGCAUCUUUCCCUUGCUGACCCCAAAUACAAAUUUCUCUAGGUUGAGUUUGAGUCUUGUAGCCCUCAGGUUAGCAAAUGUUUCCUAUAGGUCUUGGAUGUGGUCUUCUUUGUUUCUGCUCAUCACCACAAUGUCGUCGACAUAUGCUAUUAUGUUUUUCUACAACUGGGUGCCUAGGACCUUCUUGAUCAUUCCGACAAAGGUUGCUCUGGUGUUUUUAAGACCUUUGGGCAUUCUAGUAUAGCAAUAUGUCCCAAAUGGUGUUGUGAAGCUUGCCUUCGACUUCUCUUUUGAGCCAGAUCUGAUGGUAUCCUGAAAAACAAUCUAGCAAUGAGAAUCUCUAGCAGCUGGCAGCUUGUCGACCGAGGUGUCUAUCCUUGGCAAAGGGAAAGAGUCCUUCACGCUGGCUUUGUUGAGAUCUGUGAAGUCUAUACACAUUCUCAUCUUCUCAUUCUUCUUUAGGACUAAGACUACAUUAGCCAGCCAUUCUGGGUACAUGAUCUCUCUGAUGACAUUUGCGUCCAGAAGUCUUUGUACCUCUGCUUUAGCUGCUAGCAUCCUUUCCUCUGAAAUUUUCCUUUGCCUUUGUUUUUUGGGCCGCAUUUUCAAGUUGAUGUCUAGUGAGUGUUGUAUUAUGUCCCUACCGACUCCCUGCAGGUCGGAGGCACUCCAGGCGAAGAUGUUGUUUUUCUACAGUGCACUCAACAAUUGCAACUCCUCAUCUUUGCUGAGAGUGGCAGCUAUGGUGACUCUUUUGUCUGGUACCGCGUCUUCUAGGGGAAUGCACUUCGUCUCCUCUUGAUCUGCUAGGUCAGUUUCCCCUUUUGGCAUAUCUGGGGGUUGGUGAGCUUCUUCUUGUGUAGAGUCCACACAGUUUAUGUUUCUGUACGACUUGUAAAUUGCUCUCUCUAUGUUUCUUGCUUCUUUCUGACUUCCAUGGACUAUGAUUACCCCGUGCAAGGCUAGGAUUUUCAUGCACAGGUACCACAUGUGAGCAGCUACAUUAAACCUAUUUAGGAAACCCUACCCAAAGAUGGCGUUGUAGGGGUAGUGCAAGUCCACCCCAUCAAAACUAACGUAUUCUAUUCUUGCAUUCUUUGUGGUGCCGAAGGAUACAGGAAGAGCGACCUUCCCCAGAGCAUGUAUUUGUUUUCCUCUAAAUCCUAUCAGUGGGGAUUCCGAAGGUUAGAAUUGGCUUCUGCUGAGUUUCAUGUGAUCGAAGGUUCUGGCGAAGAUUAUAUCCACAGAGCUCCCUAAGUCUAUCAAGAUCCUGCUGAUUCCCCAUCCUAUGAUGUUUGUUGUUACGACCAUCGCAUCUGCGUGCGGGUAGCUUUCCAGUCGAAGGACCUCUUCUGUGAAGGUUAUCGGGGUUCUAGACGAGUCAGUGUAGCAGACUGGUCCCUGUACUACAAUGUUAUUGACCAAGCAGAGAUGAUCUUUCUUUUUUUAUGGUCUAGAACUCCGUCGAGGAUCCUCCGGCUAUCGGUAAGAUCAUGCCAAUUGUGGGUAAGGGUGUGUGAGGCCGAAUUUGAUUAUCUGGAUGGGGUUUCGGCUUGGGUGGUUGCGGAGCUUAGAGCAGCUGAAGCUGGCUUGGCAGAGGUGGUAGUGCUUCGAGCCUAUUCAUCUGUUGCUGAGGUUGCGUGGUUUCAAUGUAUGUUAUUUGUGGGGGCCUGGGAUUUACGUAGGUGGGUGCAGCUUCAUGGCGAUAGGAGUUCUGUUCCGUUGGCAGCUGCAUUGGUUGCCAAGCCAGUAAAAAGCUAGGAUAAGUAGGCGGAGGCUAUUGCGGUGGGCUGAAUUUGAGCUUUGGAAUUGUUGGGGUGUCCCUCCCACGUAUGAAGGGUAGCACGGCUACUAGAAAGUGUGGUUCACUUCUCUUGGUUGGUUGAGCAGCUGCGGGCGCUGUGAUGCAGCCCUGCUCUUGAUUCUUUCCUAGGUUUCUUUCGCAUCUGGGCAAUCCCUAGUUGGGUGACCCUUUUCUUCUCCGUGAAAGAAACAAUAUUAUUUCCGCUGUCACUGUUUUUGGUUCUUUCCCCAUUCCCUGCUUUGACUUCCUCCUCCGGUUUGAGUGAACCUUCACUCUGAGUUUUGUGCCUCUCCUGGGGGGCGUGUUUGCCCCAACUUGUCAUUUUCUUGGCUGCUCAAUGUUCAACAUCUGCCCAACUAGCCUCUUGUUGUGGACAACGCCCUUCAUGGCUAGGAUUGUUCUUCUGUGAGUUUGUCAUUGGCCUAUUUCUUCUGCGAGUUCUGCUCCUCCAGUCUCUUGUGGAAAUCAUUGUCUGACUUGCAGUACUUUUCAAACUCAUGAUACAAUUCAUGCAUAGAUGUUGGUUUCUCUCUAGCCAGGUGGGCUGCGAAGGGUCGUAUGCGGAGGCCCUUAAUGGUUGCUUCAAUGGCUACUUCCUCUAGCACACUGGGUGCCUUGGCCUUGGUUUGCACGAACCUUUGGAAAUAAUCCCGCAAAGCCUCUCCUAGACCCUACCAACACUAGAACAGGUCUGUGGAGGUUAAUGACUCAGCAGUGAAUCCUUGGAAAUUUGCCAGAAUCUUGUCCCGAAGGUUUUCCCUUGAGUAGAUCGAACCCAGUCUGAGCAUUGAAUACUAGGCUAAUGUAUCUCCCUCUGCUGCGAUCACAAAAGACUUUGCCAUGAUAGUCUCAUUUCCCCCUACGGAAGCCACUGCUGCCUCGAAGCUCAUCAAGAACUGGUGGGGGUUCGUCUUUCCAUUGAACUUAGGGAGGGUGAUUGGUUUGUAGGUUGCCGGCCAGGGCGAGGCCUGCAAUCCUUCGGACAAAGGAGAUCGAAGGUCCAUUGUGCCCCGUAUCACGCCAUUGGUGCUCAUGGGCUGUGUGUUCACCGUCGGGUUGACAUUGUGCUCGUAGGUUGUGGUGCUCGUUGCAUGCUCUAGAUUUCUGCCUGCAGAAUGGAGAGUUGUCGCUUGAUCUCAUUAGCUUGUGCGACAGCCAAUGCUGCCUCUUGGUUGGCCGCGCAGGGAGCCACGAUCCAGUCUCACUCCUGUUGAAGGUUCUGCAGCUACGCCUGUAACAAUUGGAGCUCUUGGUCUGCCAUAGGCUCUGCAUGCUCCUCCACUGGGGGCACCUGGUCUCCCUCCGGCUAUGCCUCCUCUGGGCCUUCUUGGCCUGCGGUCGCAUACGUGAUCCGAGCAGCCCGCCUUGGCCUCCCCCUCCUGGCGGUCUUAGCCUGUGGUCUUGUGGUACUGGUCCUCUUUCUAGCCAUCACAGAUGAUCCUUCGUGCCCCACGGUGGGCACCAAUGUUGGUAAAUGCGCUCCUUCACUCUCUAGCAGCACGAUGCACGAAGUGCCUGCUCACGCACUGUAGUGAGUGGCCUGGGUAUUACAGACAACAGGCUCGAUGCCCUAGAAUGAUAGUUGGGAACAGUAGACAGGAAUAGUAAAUGAUCUCUUCUCUUUUUCUCAAGAGCAGUUACAUUUCCCUUAUAUAGGGCAUGGGUGCCGACCUAAGACUAUUACAAAAAUGCCCCGUGACGGUGGAGGAAUAUCCUGACAUAUUCUUUUGUUACAGCCUACUGACCACAAGUCACUUAAGUAAUUUCACACUACGAGCUCCACUCACACUUCCUUCUUAGGGAUCCGGCCUGCCAGGUCUCGAUCCUUCGGUUGGCCGUCGAUCCUUCAGCUCAGAGGUGCCGAAGGUUCCUCGCCAACCUCGCGACGCUCGCAGCAUCCUUAGGAACGCUUCCACCUAUCCUUCAUCUCGGAGGAGAUCCGAAGGACCGCUCCUUCCUCCCUCAGAGCCUCCGCCACCGGCUCAGUUCCUGUGUUCACAAAACAUUAUACAAGACGUGUUACAGUUAGCUCCGCCCAGGUCCUUUGUACCGAACCGUCCGACGGUUCACGGGACAGAGGUUCAUGAUGAUGGCAGUCCUCCGGAGCUACCAGGCUAGGCAAGGCAAGGUUGAGCCCCCAACACUCGCGCCACCCAGCUCCUCCUGCUAUUUGCGCUGCAGUAUCCAGUCUUGUUCCAUCUUGGAUUUCGUCUGUCACGAUAAUAUAUGACAAUGAUCCAAUUGCUCGCGACCUCAUUACUAAGUUGACACUCAAUGCCAAUGUUGUUCCCCACUACACUCUAAACUCUGGGGGUACUACGCUACAGAAACCGCAUCUGGGAUGGUAAUGACAACAUGCUACAGCAACACAUCAUGUUUGAAUUUCACAGCAGUGCCUGGGGCAGUCACUCAGGAUUUCCAAUCACGUUUGCUAAACUCAAGUGCUAUUUUGCUUGGGAAGGGUAUGAAAACUUCAGUCCAGCUCUUUGUUCAGUCCUAUGCCGUCCGUCAACGGUCCAAGCCCGAUCGUUCUAAGGCACCUGUUGUAGCCCCUGCCUCUACCACACAGUGCUUAGCAAGUCAUUUCCUUGGACUUCAUUGAAGGAUUGCCUCCAUCUAACCACUUCAACCACUGUUGGCGUUUCUUAGCGAAACCAUUAAAGAUAGAGUUUGAGUCCAUCCCUAACACUAGAAACGUUCUUGGCAUAUCCUAACCACCAUCACUUCAGAAUGAUAACCCAAGGCUCUUUACGGCGCGGGCCUAGGCAGUGCAGUCUGGUACUGAUGAUUAGUAAUGCUAGAUUGGCCUUCCUAACCAUCCUUACUUACGAUAUGCAAAACUGUGGCCCGGCGCCGGGUGAGUGCACAAGGAUUACAAUCUUAAGUAAAGGUACUUAGGUACGCCAAUCGAUAGCUCAGUAUAAGAAUAACUCUACAAGCGCACAGAACUAUCAUUGUAGCAUUUCAACCCGUAAAUGGGUGUCGUAUUUAUAAUUCCCGUAGGAAGGCAUUUAUAUCUAGCAUGGUUAUAACAUGAUUACUUAUUAAAAAGCAUGGUAGGCAUAGAGUAAACAGGGGUAAGAUAUGAUAUUUGGAGAUAGUGGACACACAUCUGGGUCAUCCUCAAGGAUAAAAGAUAAAAUAAAGAAUAAAAGAAUAUAACUACUGAGCUGGCAUGGUUCGUAUAUAACUGUGCUAAGAACUAUUAGUAAGUCAUUUAACUAGCAUGUCUAGAGGUAGGAUCAGGUUUGAGAUGAUAGGGAGAUCCCCAUAGGUGGUCUGCCAGCAAAUAGAGACUUUACAUGACUCCUACCGAAUAUCCGAACGUGGGGGAAUACGAAGGAUGACAGGGCUGUCACCACCCUGCCACGUACCCCUCUGCCCGUGGGAUACCCGCAUAUCCACUGAUCUCCGCAUACCUAAACACCAUGUUCACGUAUUUGGAAACAACUCUUAACCCCCGCGGGCCCCAACCCUUCGGAUUGACAGGCUAGGUUAAGAGCAACCGGAACGGCCCAAUGAACCAUCAUCUCAUCCCUAAUUCUACUUCUAUUCAUAUAAGUUAGAUGAACGAUGAAGAACAAGGAUGAAUAUAUCAAGAACAUAGCACAAGAACUAAGAACUAGUUCAUAUACUAUGAACAUGAUAUAGACAUAACUAUACUACUGUUUAUAAGCACAAUUAUAUAAAGAUAACAAGAACUUGCUCAUGGAAGAAGACUGAUUAUGAUUCAUACCAAGAGGAUUCUUUCUUCCUAGGAGACAAGCUCUCCUUGGUAGCUCUUGCCUUGCUCUACUACUAGUCUAAUACUAAAGAUACAAGUGAGAGGUGUGAGGAAAUGUAGACUCCAAAUGAUGUGUGUUUUACAAAUGAGGGGGAGCCAUCUAUUUAUAGCCCAACUAAGACGGUUCGGGGGAUCUAAAUAUGGUAGUAGGUGAAACCGUCCUAUGCAUGGCGGCAUGCAACCGCCAGAGAAAGGUGGGGCCGGUUUGCCGCCACCAAGGUUGCGCCCGCAACCAGGUGCGCCCGCAACCUGGUGGGCCCCACCUGGCCACCGCCUUCACGUGGCUUGCUCCCUGCUGGACCUCCUUUGCUGCUUCGGUUACGAUUGGGUCCAGUUCGAUGUUGAAGGUGGGCUUCUUGUUUAUUUUUGAUUGCGCACUUGUGAAUUCGUCUUUUGUAAAUUGCGCUUUCUUUAUUUUAUUGUUUUCUUCCACUUGUCACAUUAUAAAUCCUGCAAAACAAAAUACCAUGGUACAAGUGGAACUAUGUCAAUAGCAAAAGCAUAUGUGAUUUAAAUAUGUUUAUUUCUCUUCUUUUUAGUCUAAGUUGGCAGUAUAAAAUCCUCCAUAGUGACUGCCAACAACCACAUUCUGGUAGUGGUGGAUCUCUUUACUAAGUAUGGACAUUUUGUGCCGCUUCGGCAUCCUUCCACUGCUCCUAUGGUCGCCAAGGUAUUCAUGGAUGUUAUCUAUCGUCUCCAUGGUCUACCGCUAUCUAUUGUCUCUGAUCGUGACCGGAUUUUCACAAGCCGCUUCUGGUCUAAAUUGUUUAAACUUGCUGGCGUCCAACUCUACCGCAGUACAGCCUACCACCCACAAUAUGACGGUCCGAUUGAACGGCUGAACCAAUGUCUCGAAACAUACCUGCGAUGCUUCGUGCACGCCUGCCCAUCCAAGUGGAGCCAAUGGCUAGCUUCUGCUGAAUUCUGGUACAACACAUCGCAACAUUCAGCCACUGGGUGAUCUCCGUUCGAAGCUCUUUAUGGGUAUCCACCUCGCCUGUUGGCAUUGCCCGCAUCCGACAGUUCUGCAACUGAUGCUGAGCGCUGGUCUGCUGACAGAUCUUGGAUGGAUCAACUGCUUCAGAGUCAUCUAUGUCGCACCAAACAUCGCAUGAAGAAACAAGCUGAUUAGCACCGCUCUGAGCGCUCCUUUGCCGUUGGGGACACUGUUUACCUGAAACUUCAGCCGUAUGUACAGACUUCUCUGGCUCCGCGCUCCCAUCAGAAGUUGGCAUUUCGCUUCUUCGGUCCAUUCCGCAUUCUGUAAUGCAUUGGAUCAGUAGCAUACAAACUUGAUUUGCCACCUCACUCCACUUGUGCACCCUGUUUUUCAUUUGUCUCAACUCAAGCAAACCAUUGGUGCAUCCCGUCAGGUAACUCCAAUAUUGCCAACAGAUUUUGCCUUGCGACUCACCCCUGAACAGGUGCUCCAGACUGGUUCCGUCCGCCAUGGUCCUCAGGCUGUCCAGCAGGUCCUCAUCAAGUGGAACAACCUGCUGAGCACACUGGCCACUUGGGAGGGUUAUGAAGCAAUCCGCCAAGAGUUCCUUUGCGCAGCUUCUUGGGGGCAAGCAGCAUUCCAAGGGAGGAGGGAUGUCAGCAGCCCUGUCCCAGGGAGCACGGCACAGCUGCCUCCUCCAGCAGUCGGCCCAGGAAGACUAGUACAUGUUACGCAGGAGAUGAAUGGAUCAAGUAGCCUAGAUAGAGCUUGCACGCGCAUUACCGAGGCAGUGCCCUCUUGUACUUAAGCGAGAGAGAAGAGGAGAGGGGCAUCACAAUUUGUAACAGAAUUAUGAAACCUUAAGAACAAAAGCACUCAUCCUACCUAUUCUGCGUCUCCAUGUUCUUACUUCUUCCCCAAACUUUCCCAGACUCUCCCCAAUCUAUCGGUUACCUCUCACAAAAUGUGACUGCCUCGGUAAAUAAAAUUAACCACCUCCAUUAAUAGCCUAGUAUUUUACACUAGUACACAGAGGUACUAUACAUGCGAUUCACAACCCCUUACUACAGGCGGAUUGACGAACCGCCUGCGCUGUUGGCCUGUGGAAAUAAACUUUUUCACAGGCGGGUAAUUGAGAACCGCCUAUAAAAAUUCAUUUCUACCUUAUAGCCUCCUCUACCAUUCCACCUAUCAUUUAGUUGUGUCUAUAUUAGAGUUUAGUUCCCCACAUAUUAUCCUAAACCGAGCAUAUAUUGAUUAUUUGAGGCCCUAAACGGAUUCUAAUGGAAAAGUUGUCAACUACAAAGUUUUGUAACUUUUCAAGAUCUACAACUUUUAUAUUAGUAGUAUCUCCAUCCGAGGUCAUUUACAAAAUUUGAAUUUCAAAUUUGAGAAAUUCAAACAUAGUUUUCGACGAUAAGAUGAUUUCAAAUGAAAAAAAUUAUCAACUAUAAAGUUUUAUAACUUUUUGAGAUCUACAACUUUCAUUUUAAUGAUUUUUUCAAACGAGGUCAUUUGAAAAUCUCAAAAAUUUAAUUUCAAAUUAUUCCUACAGGCGGAUUUCUUAAGAAACCUCCUGUAGAAAUAUGAUUUUUACAGAACCGCCUGUAGAAAUACAUGAUUUCUACAGACCGCCUGUAGAAAUACAUGAUUUUUACAGGCGGUUUCGUUAGAAAAACCGCCUGUGAAAAUUGAUUUUCAGAUGCGGUUUUUGAGUUUGGCCCGCCAAUUUAUUUUUUACAGGCGUUCUUUAAUUGAAACCGCCUGUAAAAAUUAAAUUCCACCGCCAGCGUAGAGCUCCUCUGUACUAGUGUUAGGAGGCGGUUCAAUUUUGUGCUCGUCUCUACUAACAUUUGGGCACUGUCACCUAAAAUUAUUUGUAUAGUGGUGUUAUGUAACACCCUAGGUGUUUGUCACUUGCUAAGUACUAGGUUUGAGCUCAAACAUGACAAGUUCAAUGGUAAUAAAGAGGUCAAAGUCAAUCUAUGAAAGUAAACCCCAACUUGGGCUUGGUGGAUGCAACCUUGCUUGCAUAUAUGCCUUUUUAAAAGGUAUGCUUUGAUGAUGCUAAUGGAACCUUUUCCAUGUGUCUUAUAUCCAUCCCAAUCUAUGUUGGUCUCUGGAAAAGUUUGGUGAAGUUUGGAAUCAAGAAGUCACAUGAAAUGAUAAGUUAUAUCCUUGUUGGAAUGACUCUAUUAAGGAAAUGGAUUCAUGGGUCACCAACCAAACCUUGCAAACUUACUCAUAUGACUCUAGAUGAAUUAUACAACAAAAGUCAUGAAGGGUUCAUGUUGAGCUUAUGUCAAGAAAAUGCUUCAAUUGGUCUAAAAUCCUAUUUGGAGCUUUAUCAGGAUACUGCAUUGACCAAAGUGAAAGUUUGACUUCGGUUGGAGUUAUGAGGAUUGGCCCUAAAUAAAAGUUGUAGUUUUCCUUCUGUAGAAGAAACUUUAUUCAAGGGUCAAGAACCAAAUCAGCCUGCAAAUAGUUCAAACAGAGGCUCAAAGUUCGAAUCAGCUGCUGCUUUUUAGCCCUGAGAAAUAAUUCUAAGUCCCAGGAAAGUGACAGCAGCAAGUUAGCUUCUUUGUGACAUUUUAUUAUUCAAAUUCAUAUGGUAACUCAAUUAGAUUCCUUAAUAUGAGUUGGAGUACUCUUCUUGAUGGAAGCAAUGGAUUAAGUAUCAUCAAAUUUGGAGUUCAUUUGGAUGUUCAAAAAUAGCUCCCAAAACAGCAAAAGAUUAAUUUAUCGCUAAACGGACGUCGACCCGUUGGCAUGCCGUGUUCUCGUGUUUUUGUAAAGCAACUCAAGCUAGUCCAAGAAUAAAAUUGGUGGACAAUUACUUGGAGAAUGUCAUGUAAAAAGUUGCAUCAUGUUUGACAUGGUUUGGACCAUCAAUUCUUGGUUUUGCUAAUCACCGUCAAUACGUUGACACUCGUGACUUGGCAUUAAGUUAUCUCUUAAUCUGUUAGUCUAAUGAUCUUGGUCACUUAAUCAAAGUUGGAGAGCAGGCCGAGGUGAGCAAACUUCGUUUUUGGCCCAAGGUCCAAUUCAGCCCGGAAAAGUCCCAAAAUCGCCUCCCACGCCGGCCACUUCGCUGCCCGCCACGUGCUCGACGAAAUGCCGACGCGUCCUCCAUGCACCAGAGCGCGCUCCACCAUUGCUGAGUGCUGCUGCCGCGUGCCUCUGCCUCCCUGCUCGCAAUGUGGACGCCAGACGCUUCCCCCUUGCUCUUCUUUGCAGUCCACGCACCCAUCUCCUCCCCCUGGCUCCCCCUCGCGCCCUCUCUCAGCCUCUAGCGCUGGCCACCGGCACAGCAGAGCCGGAGCUCGAGCUCCUGCUGCUGCUGCUGCUGGUUGCAGCCGGCCAAGGCCAGGGCCGGGCAUGGCCAUGGCUAGCCGAGGCCAGGCCGAUGGCUGCCUCCCUGCUGCCGCCGGCCACUCCCCCUCCCUCAAAUCCCGAAGCUCGCCCAUGUCUCUGCUUUCUGUGGUACGAAGAAGGAUCUCGGUUUGGAAUAUGAAACAACUCAGGGUUCCAGAUGCGAAGCUAAGACUCAUAUAAAUAGUGCGUUUGGACUGCGGUUGAUUUGUGGAAAACUUAGGGUUCCUGGUGCAAAGUCGUUUUCCUUUAUCUUUUGUUUUUGCAGAUUUCGUGCAUCAACUUUGGAAAUGCAUAGUAAAUUGUAUAAAAGUCAUAAAAUAGCAAAUGUGGACUUUUUGGAAUCCUUGUGAAAUUCUCUAUGCAGUAGAUCUAUAAUAUGGCAUGGUUUAGUUUGACGUUUUAGUCGUAAAAAUAGAUUUAUGCAGUUAGGUUUUAAUUCCUUGUUAUAUUUGUCUUUUUCAUAAAUGCUGUGUUGUUGCCCAAAUAAAUGUGCAAAUAUUGUGACGUUCUUUUCAUAUGAUAUUGGAUGACUGGUAAAAGUUUUAUGAAUUUAGGAACAAUAGAUUAAGAGUUAUAAAAAUAACAAGUACCCUGUGUUCCUUUGCUCCUAUUCUGAGUGGAUCUGCAUGUUUGUAUUGUUUGGCUCAGUUAAGUUGUGAAUCUUGCCUGGAUGAAAAUAUAUAAGUUUUAUUAAUUUUCAUAAGCUUUCCAAAAAGAUAAAUAUCAUAAUUUUUGGUUAAGCACAUGUUUAGUUAUAGUGGUUUAAAUUACUGUUCCAGUUUCUGUCUAAACCCAGACAGGGUUGCAUUGUUUGUAAUGUAAGACCUUGUUAGUUGUAGACUUAGCUCUAGAUGUUUAUAACAAAGUUGUUCACAAUUAGAUAAGGUUUCUAGAAAGUAUAUAACCAUAAUUUAUGGACAUGUGAAACUCAAGUUACGGCUGUUUAAUGUGGCAUGACAGAUUCUGUCUAUGUUUUAGACAGAGAUGUCUUUAUGGGAUUAAUUGACCUUGUUAACUCUAGAUUCAUAUUUAGAUGAUAAUAAGAAAGUUGUAGGUAACUUUAUAAGCUUUCCAAAAAUAUAAGAAUCAUGUUGGCUGGAGGUAUACAACUCCGGUUAUGCUGCUUUGAAUUGCCUAUCAGUUUUCUGUUUGUAAUUAUACCCCUACUGUUUGGGCAGCAUGAGCAGUUUUGAUUGUGCAAUUAAUUCCAUGAUAUAAAUGAUGUUUUCUGUGAAACUUGUAUAAAGAAAAGAUGUAGAUAACUUACUAUUAUAUCUUGUUGUAAAGUUUCAUGUCAUUUGGCUAAGUUGUUUGUGAGUUACAGUAGUAUGAAGUUCGUCCUUUGAAUUGCUUGUUCUCUGGAAAUUCCUGGACCAGAUUAUAUGGUCAUGCAUGUUUGAUUUGGUUAACUUGUUAAUCAUACUGAUAUGAUUAAAGAUGAAUUGUAGAUAAUUUUAUAUUCUUUCCAGAAUGUCCAAUUGCAUAGUUUUUGGAGUUGUGUAACUCCAGUUAUGAUUUAAUUACUGAGUUGCUGCAUGUAUAUCCAGAGUUUGCUGAAAAUGUAUGAAUGCUUGAUUGCUUACUUUGUGUAUACUAAGUGUGACACAUGUCUUUAGUGGUGAUUAAACAAUAUACUUGUGACCUUAUAAAACGUGUGCCAUGCUUGAUAUGUUGCUAUCCAUAUUUGGUUGUGUGAUGCUAGUUAAAUAACGUUAGAUGCAUGUGUUUUGAAUACUUUUAUGUGAUGCAUGUUGUGUUAUUGUUCUUUAUAUUCAUGCACUUGCAUCUUGCAUCUCAUCUAGGUGCGCUAGAUGAAUCACGUGAAGGUCAUGAUGUCGAAUCAAACUCAAAGAUGGUGUUUGGUGGACCUCUCCCAAAGGUGGACGGACUAAGCAAGUGUUGUGACCUUAGAUGUCACCAAGACGGAGCAACUAACUGAAUUGACUCAGUGUUAAUCCCAGGCAAGCCCCGGAGCAUUAUAAGUCUCCCACUACUUUUGAAUGCAGUUGAGAAUAUAUGUUAUAUAUGUAUUGUUGCAUUAAGUAUAGGAGUUGGGUGAAACCCUUGCUGCAUAUAACACUCGUUGUCCAGCAAAUAUACCUAUAACCCUAUGUAGAUUCAGGAUCGAAUCUAAAUGCUUAGCUAUGCUUAGACCGGUAGAAGCCAGGUGAUGUCCCGUCACCUGAGCGAGAUAGGUGGACACCUGAAAAGGUUGGCUAUAUAUGCUAUCAUGGAAAUAACCAAGUGAUGAGGAUGAAUAAUUGGAGACCGGGCGGGACGAUGGUAGAGAAGUAACAAGACAUGGAGGUCUUGGGUGCCUAUCUAUCCCCGCCUGCGUCGAUUAAGGACCGAUCGUUGACGGCCCUCUUGUCAUGUUGAACGCAUGCCCCACACUUAGCUGGAAGGAUAAGUCGUUCCGACCGCGAAGCCUGAGCACUAUCCGGGCCGGGAAUCGGCCCGAUGUACGCGCUGUAUUGGUGAUGGUUGAGGAGAACGACGAGGGCACGGCGCGCAACCUUGGUAUACCUUGGAUACCUCGGUCGCCGGAACGGUCCUCGGGUACGGGCGGUGCCUGUCGAACCCGCGAAUUGGUCCUGGAUAGUGCAAUACGGUGAUCUGUAGCUCACUUGAUCAGUGAGUGUGGUUUGUGUGGGGAAUAAACUCGCCAGCUGGUUAGAAAUCGAUUCGAAUCGCCAUCGCUCCUGGACAGUGAGCACUUGACUUGAGCUUCGUCAUCGUAGUAAUGUUUAUGGAACACUUGGAUGGUUAUGGUAUGAUGAUGAUGUUGGAAAUGCCACAUCAAAUAUGGGUACUACUGUUGUAUCUUAAUCAAGUGAUUGCUCUAGUACAGGUGCUAAUAUAGAUGACAGGUAAUGAUUAUUAACUUGAGCUAAAUACCUGAAAAGUUACUUACCUGUAACCUAAGCUUUUUAUGCAAAAAGUGUUUUCCAGCUAGCCCCACCAAUAAAGCCUUGCAUACUCCUUGGUGUCAUAUUAUUUCUGGUUUAUGACGGGUAAGUCUAGCUGAGUACCUUCUCGUACUCAGGGUUUAUUCCCACUUGUUGCAGGUUGUGAUGUAUCAUGGCUACUGCAAGAGUUGGAUGACUCCUACCAUAUUAGAGGAGUAAGAUCAUGGGCAUGAUCCUUCUUAGUUACCUCAUCUAUGUUGCUUUUGUUGGAGUUGACCUGGAUACUGGCAUGUAUUUGAAAUAAGGGUAAUGUUAGUUUCAAAAUUAUUCUGCUUCCGCUAUUUUUCAACUCAAGUUGUAAUAACUAUAUAGAACUCCGAUGUAUAUCAAACUACUUGUGAAAUGGAUGUAACAUGUGACUUGUUAUGUUGAAUCACUACGAUCUUAGCUUGUAUGAUGGUUGGUUUGAAAUCCCUCGUGAUUUCACGGACUACCGGGUUUAUGAGAGUUCGAUUAUGUUAAAGCAACUGCUUUGGCGGGAGUUUUUCAUAGUUGAUCUCUUGUAAAUUGGGCGGUUCUGUUACAUGUUACUACCUUCAUCCCAAUAUUAAUAAACUUAUAAAAGUGCCCUAAACCAAACUAUUUUAAGUUUAACAAAAUUUGUAGAAAAACACUAAUGUUUAUAACACAAAGUUGGUGUCAAAGCAAACAAAAUUAAUUAGGAUACAUAUUAUUAUUGAUUUUAACUCAUAGCAAAUAUGAUGGUGUUGCAACCGAACAAAAACAUAAACUCUCUACUGCACGUUCUGUCGUGUGGUUACCACCAUGCUUGGACCUUUAGUCAUUGUCGACAAUCUUGUGAACCAGAUUUGCGUUUGCAAGGACCUGUUGUUGGCAUUGUUGAAAUCCUUCUUGCAGUCCCUGCAAAAACAAAAGAAAUCCUUCUUGCAGAGCUGUGGGUGUGUAGGACAAUGGCCCCUCCCUUCGCGAGCGCUACUGCGUGGCAUCAACGGCGAUGGGGAAGUUGAUGUCGUUUCUGAUUUUGUUGCCCUUGUCAAGGUAUGCUUUGGGCAAGAAGAGAUCUAUCUUUGGCAAUAAGCCGAAAAAGUCUAUGCGCGUAGAACCUAACAAAUUACAGCAAUGAUCAGUGUACCCACACUGGAUGCAUGCAAAUUAAAGCCGUAGCUAGGGAAGAUGCGUGUGUGCUGCUUGCCUGCUUGUGCUGCGGCUGCAACAUGCUAGCUAGCUAGCAGACGAGUUUUUAGGUGUCCGAUAGAGAGAGAGUCACUGAAGAUGUACACGUAAAAUUGUAGAUGUCGUGAUGCCUGCGGCCGUCGUCCACCUUGUUGCAUGCAUGCACGGGCGAAGCCACGUUGAGGCCACACCCACUGCAAAAUUGUAACUACGUAAUGAUGAGGAUCGGAGCAAAUUUUCACCUUUUGUGCACCCCUUGGCCUAAAAGAAGGCACCCCCACCAGCCCAAGCCCAUGUGCCAUGUCACAUGUAGCUUCCAGGAGAAGGAUGCCAAUAUGCACGGGAAAUUUUGCCAUGCCCGUGGCCAUGUGCGAGUCAGCGAGGGCAAGGAGGCCGUGGCAUUUCACAUGCUGCAGCGAGCCAGCGACGCAACUACACAAGGGCGGCAAGGCACCAAGACACUGAAUUCCGCGCCCCUUCCCCUUCCUGGCUUCCCCGUCAUUGACUCGUCUCGAGCCAAGUUGAGCGCCCGACGGCCGCGGCAACAGGCGAUGUGAGCGCCUCAUCCUCACAGCCUCUCUGUUCUAGACUUUUGGUCCAAAAGUAAAGGCAAGGAAUCAAUUUCCAAUUCAUUUAUCUUGUAUUUGGUGUAACAAGUAUGCAUGCUCCAAAGACCUUAUAAUUAGUAGUCACUUCCCAUGUUUGGGUUUGGUGUUUUUUCAUACAUUAGUCCGGUCUGUGAAUGGUCAUAGUUCAUUGGUUUUGAUACCCCAAGUUCUAGUGCUUAUUCAUAUAUUUACUAUUCUUCAUCACAUAACUUUCAUUGGAUUCUUGCUUGUGUUAAUUCUCAUUACUACAAUAAUCUUAACAGUGGUGGGCAUUUUGGAUUUUAGGAGGCGGGCAAGAAAUGCCUCCGAUCAAAGGUCACAAUAAACCGACCAUUAUCACUACUACAAAAGAGGCCUUUGGACGAUUGCCAAAAUCGCCAAUAGUCUCGGCAGAUUUGGUCCCCGGGACUAAAGACCCCUUUAGUCCCGGCCCGUAAUACAGCCCGAGACUAAAGGGUCCCGCCCAAUGGCUACGGCGCAGAGCUGUCGGGGUAGGGGCCCUUUAGUCCCGGCUCGUGUUACGGGCCGGGACUAAAUGAGGGACUUUAGUCCCGGUUGGUCCCACCAACCGGGACUAAAGCUUUAGGCACGGUUGGUGGCUUGCCCUGGGGCUAAAUAGGCCUUUUUUAGUCCCCAUUUUACUUCCGGCCGGGACUAAAGUUGCACGGGUUAUAUCUUUCUCCCUUGUUCCUCUCCGAGACCGAGCCCAUUCAAAAUUUAGUGAGUUUAUUCCCUCUCUUCUUCCUAGCCGUUGUAUGUUCUUGCUUGUUCUUGCUUGUUCUUCAUCUCCGGCACCCAUUGGUGAUCUUCUUUGACGCAGUGUAGGGAAUGAACCAAUCACCAAUAUAUGAACAAUCAAACACAAUUGAGACACCAAAUUUUCUCCCGAGGUUCACGUGCUUGCCGGCAAGCUACGUCCCCGUUGUGUCAACCAACACUUGGUGGUUCAGCGGCUAAGAGUUGUAGCACUAAACUCGUCCUCACUAGGACACCGCAAGAAUCGACCCACAAGUGAGAUAACUCAAUGACACGAGCAAUCCACUAGAGUUACCUUUCAGCUCUCCUCCGGGGAAGGUACAAGACCCCUCACAAUUAACGAGAGAUGGCCAUGAACAAUCACCAACUCAUGUCAAUGCUCCUCUGUUGCUCCAAGUCAUCUAGGUGGCGGCAACCACCAAGAGUAACAAGAAAACCACAGCUAGAACGAUCCCUAAGUGCCACUAGAUGCAAUCACUCAAGCAAAUGCACUUGGAAUCACUCCCAAUCUCACAAAGAUGCACUUGGAAUCACUCCCUAAUCUAUGAAGAAGAUGAGUGGGAGGUAUUUGCUUAGGCUCACAAGGAUGUCAAGUAUGUUAGAAUGCCAAGAGCGGGAGCCCCAAGCCGGCCAACACGUAUUUAUAAUUCCCUCAAACAAAUAGAGUCGUUGGCUCUUUCACUAGGCAGAAAUCGGUACCACCGGACGCGCUCAAGUUAGCACAGACGCGUCCGGUGCACACCGGUCACGUGCGCAGAGAGGUCUACAAAUGCACGGGGUCACCGGACCCACACCACCGGACGUGCCCUGACCGUCUAGUCCCUUACCCAGAGAGCACUGCAAACACUCAGGGGCACCGGACCCAAACCACUAGACGCGCCAUGAGCAUUCGGUGCUCUCAGUCAGAGACACCCGCAGAAGACAGGCAACAUCGGAUGCAUGAACAGGAGAUACCCUGCAUCUGGUGCUCAGCGUUCGGUGCUCAACCCUAACAGAGCCAAGCAUGAUAGUACACUGGACGCGCAGGCUCAGCGUCCGGUGCCUCCGUGGCUAGCGUCUGGUGAGUGUUUCUCAGCGAGAAAGCACCAAGUGUACACCAUGAUGUGCAAGUGUGUUAGAAUUUUCAUAAUCAUUUUCUUCUAAGGAGUUAAGUUAGCUCACUAGGUUCCAAAUGCAUGCACGUGAACAAUGACACCUAGUGGCACUUGAUAACCGCUUAGCCAAAGAAUUCCCCUAUUUAUAGUACAACUAUCUAUCCUAAAUGUGAUCACACCCUCUAUGAUGUCGUGAUCACAAAACUAAAACCCUAACCAAUACCUUUGUCUUGAUCUCCAUACACUACUACAGAAAUAUUUAACCGUGGCGGGCAAAACAGGUUAACCGUGGCGGGCAAAGCAACCGCCACGGAUGAAAGGCCACGGUUAAUUGUUGCCUUAAUAUGUUAACUGAGGCGGCCGCUGUUAGAAAACCGCUUUGGUUAAUUGCUUUAACGGAGGCGGCCGUUAUAAAGCAACCGCUUUCGUUAAUAUUUUAACCGAGACGGUUUUUUUAAAAUGCCCGUCUCCUUUAAUUAAUUAACAGAGGUGGUUUUUGUAACUUGCCCGCCUCCUUUAAGUGUAUCCAGAGUUAAAAAAAACCACAUUUCAGUUUAUUUUCAAAUUUGAAUCCAAAAUUUGUUAGGUUGAAACAUAUAUAAAGCAAAAUACAUAUGUAUAAAGGAUGACCACAUUGAAUCUGAAAUUUGCUAGAUUGAAACAUAUACACAGCAAAAGACAUAAGGAUAAGCACAUAUAUUACAUCCAUAUAUGUUAUCUUUGUUAUUCCAUGGUACAUGCAUGUCACAAACUAUGUUCAUAUUACAUCAAUGUACAUAAUGUUCAUAAAAAGCACAUCUAAAAUAAUGUUCACUCAAAAAUAUCCGGCAACCUAUAGUCGUUCAUAUCUAAGCCGUUGGUUCUCCAGUUGCGUAGCUUCUCGAACCUCUCUUCUGUCGCUAGCUCACUCCCGAUAUAAAAGAACUGCCCGUCAACAUGAAAACAUUGAUCCGUGACAAACUUACAAAUGUUAGCUACUAUUUGUGUGAUGUUCCUUCGAUCAAUUGUUUCUUUUUCCCGCCAACUUUGGGAUUUUUGCAGCUGCCUCCAGCUAUUGUUGAAUUUCCCGCAAGCCCUGAGGUACUCACAAGCAUAGUACCCACACAUAACUGAGCCUUCAGGUUGCUUAGCGCACUGCAUGCAUGCAUGAUGAAGGUAACACAUGAGAAUUAUGACUGGUAGUAGUAUCCCUACAAGAGAACCAUCAAUAGUAGUAGAACUAGAGGCAGGCGGAGUAAGUACUGGGAAGUCUCGCCUCACCACCAGUUUGUGGCCAUACUUUUGCUUCUCUUUCUCAGACCUCCGAUCAUAGCAGUUGGGGGUCUUCCACGUACUUUCGGUAAGCACUGUAUGAAAACUAGUGUCAACAACAAAUUUCAUACGUACUUUGAGUGCAUGAGGUGUGUCGUCACUUACUAUCGCAUGAUACUUUCGAAAUGCUUGUAUCCUUCUUUGUUCGAGUGUCGCAAGGAGUCGAAUACGACAGCCGUUCCAUCCUAAGGAUAGAUCAUAAAUACAAUCCAGUGGCCCAUGACGCCCAAGCUGUACCAUUGAAAUAAUAUUCAUCUCAAAUUUUUAAAUAUAACAAGUGACAAACCUAGUAGCUAUUGUAAGUAUCGUUUUGACUUACCCAAACUGGUGGGCGGCAAGAAUGCAGCCAUUUCCCCUGAUCUUCUUCAUGGCUUCUAAGACAUAUUGUCCCUUUCUAAAUUUGAUCUCUCCUUGCAUCAAGUUCCGAGCUAGCACUCGCUCCAUCCCCUUCAGCUUCACCAGCCUAGGAUCCGUGUCUGGUAUAUCAAAACCAAUGACAUCUCUUUGAGAAAUAUGCAUAGGAGAUAGGUAGAUAAUAUCUUUAUCUAGUUCCUUGCACACAUAUGAUUGCAUCCUGCAAACACAAGUUGUCGUACAAGCUUUUUAGCUUGAUCGUAAUGAAUUUGCAUACCUACAGCAAUGCAGGGUUAUAAAACUUACAGGGCAAAAAGAGUGACUUGGGCGACAUCUAGAUCCUUGCACCGCAGUAGCCUACACAUGUCGUGAAAGACAACAGGGCGCAAUAAGCAUCCUCAUCCAAGUGGAAGUACUCCUUGGGGACCCUCACAAUGAACUCCUUCAUGCCUAAUUUUGCCGCUUGCAUAUACCAGAGAUGGAACCUCCGAACCGCCCAUGGCUGCUCCUGAACGAGCUGGCCCAACGACAACAUGAACUUGUCCAGCCCGGCCUCAGCUGCCUCCCUUUCCUCCUGUCGCCACUUCGGCCUCUUAGCGGCGUACCCUGUCAUGCCCACGUGGUGGUGGAGCGUAUUCCACUUUGCAAGGUCAGUGAACUUCUCACCCUUGGCCUUUGCUUCUUCGGUACUCAUUUUUUCGACGAACUCCUCCCAGACAUGAUGCUUGAUGAAGUUGUAGUCCUCAAAAGGUGUCUUCCCUUUCUACACAUAGUUCUUAUUGAGUUUUGACCUCAAGCUACGAAGUGCUUUGCCCGCAAUCACCAUAGCAUGCCCCUUGCAAAGAUCUUCAUUGAAUUGGUCCCAUGGAUAUUCGAACCGCUUCUUCACAUCGCUCCACACUUUAUCCUUGAGGUCCUCCGGGACUUUUCUCCAAUCCAUACAAGUGAUCGGCACAUGCUGUCUGACUAGACAGGAGCAUUGGUUGCUGAAGACACCGAUCACAGUUAGUGGCUCCAAGGGCUCUCCAUGUGGCCCUAUCUUGGUUAUGACAUGCACCUUCUUGCUCACCUUGUGUCGCCAGUGUUGGCCCCUUUUUAGGCCAGACAUCUUUUCACUGGCGGUGUUGGUUGAAGUGCUCGGGGUGGGAACAGAGGCAUGCCCCUCCUCUGCUGCCUUUUCUUCCCUAGGAAACUCCAAAGCCAUAGGAACCACUGGUAGCUGGACAGGAGAAGAACACACAUUAGUUUCCUUCUUUAAACAAGAUCCCCUGACAUUGUAUUACUUGAUUACUUACGCGGCCCUCUUCACUAUGUGCUGUGGUGCGUGAAUUCCGUGAUGAAGGCCCCGUCUUUUCUGGCGUAUAGGUCGGAUCCUGUUCUUCCUCCGUUCUACCUUUCUUCUCUGGCCUUGGUGUUAGCACCUCCUCCUCCUACGAGGUGUUGUCGUCUGAUGAUGACGAGCCUUCCUUAUAACUCGAUGCCGGGCUUGGCUCGCGCCAUUCUCCAGCACGCUCGACCGACAUUGGAAGCUAUGACGAAGAUAUAGUUAUCGGGACAUUUCGCAAUUAUAUGAAGAUGAUAUUAUGUACAUUCAUCUAAAAACAUAUAUAAUGGAAUCAUGACUUAUAUAUAUUCAUCUGAAAACAAGAUUACAUCAUUCUUUCAUGCUAGUAUGGUACACAUUAAGAAGAUUACAAAAGUGUUUAAGAAAAUUACAAAAGAGUUUAAGAAAAUUACAAAAGAGUAUAAGAAAAAUACAGAAUGUAGAAUAGAAAAAAAUCAUUUAUAUAUUUGGAUGAGAUUUGCCCCUUGUAAUCACAUCGCUUCUAAACUGGUUGCUUGUAUUUGGUAUACAAGCCAUCCUAGUUUAGCGGCUCACAAGUAGCGGGGCAAUUUCAUCAUCAUAGCCGCUGCCUCAGCAUAAAAAGUAUCACAUCAUUGCAUAUGCCACUGCCUCAGCACAUUUUUAAAAUUUUGAAUAGUUCAUCAUUGCAUAUGCCACUUUCUACUACUGCAUGGUCAGUUGGAGAGAGUAGAGAGUAGUAGGAGUAGAGGAGCACCAAUAGCAGAUAAGUAGUAGACAGUAUAGUAGAUGAGUGAAAAUUGACAGUGUUGCAUGUUGACGGUCCUUAAUGCUCACAUUUAACCACCAACUAAUCAUGGAAAAGGAUCCAAAUGCAACCAACACCCAGACUUAGGGUUUUAUCUGACAGAAUUCCAAGAGUUUUGGUGUUUGUCUAUUUCUGCAGGGUGUUAUCAGGAAAUAUGGAAGAAAGGCCCACACGUCGGGUUUACAUAGAGGUAUUAACGUGCUGCGCAAUUUUCUACCAUCUAGAAGACUCCAGAAGCCAUGGGAACGAAGCGGAGGCCGAGAGGGCUCAGGCACACGGCGCCCGCCCACUUCCAGAGACCAAUUCGGACACGUUUUGCGUAUUAUGCUCCACCGACCUAAAGGAUCAAGGAAAACCGUGCGAUUAAUGUCGGUUUGAUCCAACGGCCUAGAUUCACUUGAAGGGACUAUAAAACCAGACCCCCUGGCCCCUAGAGAUCAUACCUCUUCUACAGAAUCAAAGUUAGGGUUUCAAUUCUUCAUCCAAGUAGAGAGGAUCCCUCUAGUUCUUCUAGUUCUACCUCUAUUUCAUCUAGAUCUAGUUCUAGUUCAUCUAGUUCUAGUUCUAGUUCCUCUAGUUCUAGUUCUAGUUAGUUCUAGUUGUAAUCUAGAAAAUAGGGAGAGAGAAGAGGAGAGCGGAGAAGGAGGAGCCGGAUCUGUCGGAUCUUCCUCAACAUUGUACUUUUGCAGCAACUGGUUCGUUCUUCAUCGUUCUCCAGGUUCUUCAAUUCAUAAUUCCUCAGUUCUCUAAUUACUUUUAUUUAUAUUCAAGUUAUUUAUUGGAUUCCCGCUUGCAUCAAGUGCUCUAGUCUUUAUAACGCUAGAGUAGUAAUUAAUAGAUUACACGUGGUGUUUAGUCUUGCAAUUACCUGGAAUUGCACCCAAUCCUGCGGAUUGUUGUGGUAGCCUUAGGGUAGUGACAGCCCUAACGGUCGACGUAUUCCACCUCAUUCGGAUCGGUGUUUGUAGGACCGUAGUCAGACCUUCCUAGCCCCCUUCUCAUCUCUUUCUGUGGUUAGUGCUCUGAUGUCCCGAUAUAGAUAAUCUUGAAGUAAUUCUUGAUUCUUAUAUCAACUAGAGAACUAUCAGGAAACUUCCUCUCUUCCCACCAAAAAUAAUUAUAUAGUUAUCCUUGGGCGAUCUUGGAUCUUAAUUAGUACACUCACGUUCUCUGUGGAAAAUUGAUACUCUGGAAUACUCCCGGGUGAAAGCUACAUCGGUAUCCGUACGCUUGCGGAUUUUUCUAUUUGCGUUUAAAAUACCCAACAGUGCAUAUGUAUAGGACUGCAAUGUACUCCCAAUUAAUCUAAAAUUCAUCUUAAUUUUGCCUAAUUCAUCUCAAAUGGUGAGUAGUAGGAGAACAAAGUAGUAGAAGUAGUUGAGUAGGAGUAGUAGUAGCUAGGAGUAGUAGUAGCUGAUAAGAUGGUUUCAAAAUAAGCUCAAAAUCAAUGGCAAUGCAUGAUAGGCAACUAAUUAUGAAAAUCAUUGGCAUGCGGCAUAUGCUCAGUGCAAAUUGAUAGUACAAUUACAUCACAGGCAGCAUAACAUUCAAAUUCAACCAAAACAUACAUCACAGACAACAUAGGCGAGGAAGAGGGCAGCAGCUAGGGUUCACCAGAGUGGCUAUGAUGACAAGCACAAGGUAUGUCCAAGCACACCUUGUACAUAGGCUAUGAUGACAGCUAGGGUUUCGGAUGAAUGACAAGCACAAGGUAUGUCCAACCAAUCAUCAUACAACAUUGAAUUAAAUUCAAGCUUAGGGGAGUACUUUACAUAAAAACAUCAUUUACCAUGUUGCUAUGUUGGUUGUCCCUACCUUUGAGACAUGCUCAAUUUGUUAAAUACUAAUCACACUACUUCAUCUCCACUUGAGUAGAUCUCUAUAAAUGCUCGCAUGCUACCUCUAUUUGCUUUAGUAUAUGUCUAGGUUUGGAGUAGUUUCGUUUAUCUCUUAAUUAAGCUAUGCUUAGUUUAGGAAUGAUGAUCUUACUUCCAAAGGAUUUUAAAUUAAGCAUGAUGCUUAGGUUAAAAUGCCCUCCUAAAUCAAAUUAGACAUGGUGUCUAGGUUGAUUUUUGAGCCGAUAGUAUGCUAUAGUAGAUAUUGGGUAUUUUGUUGGACUAACCCCUGCAGGAAAUCUUUCAAUAUCGACCUGGGAAGUCCUGAGAUAAGCUCACAUUGGAGACAAGAGAGAGACACAUGAAGGUAACAAUUUACACAUGGAAGGCAUAGCUCACAAGAGAUGAUCCAUGGAGGGUGCUACAUACACGAUGCACAACCGCUAAGAAAGGAAAGCUUCCACUAGGUAAUAUUGUACCAUCACUCUUCAAUUGAGGUAACAUCUUAAGGUACUUGACUAUCACUUUUAUAAGCUUCUCCUUGGUUCUGGCGUUCACAUAAAUAAAAGAGACAAACAUGUAUGAUUUACAACUCUAGAUUAACCAACCCAAUUGAUUCAACAUGUUUAGUCCUUCCACCUUUGUGAUCCCACACUUCUAAUCAUAUGAGAUAAGAUGUUGCACACUCAAUCUUUGGAAGAUAUAUAUAUAUAUAUAUAUAUAUAUAUAUAUAUAUAUAUAUAUAUAUAUAUAUAUAAGUAUAGAUAGAUUAUCUUUCCAUUAGGUUGAGCAAUCUGAUCUAACAAAUGUUUUAAAUGCUACACUCAUGAUCUUAUUAUCCAUCAACUUUGUCUUGCUCACUAUGCUUAAGGUUAGAGAAGAACAAAUACACUUUUGGUUCUGUUGGUGUUUUCCACCAACAGGGCCCAUGCACUUGAUCUCUGCCUUGUCUCUAUGAGCAGGUACGCUUCGAGCAAAAUAUGAAGGACUUUUACAACUCCCAGACUCCACCAAGUGAAGAACCUAGAUCUACGAGCACAAACACACUGGACAUACUAGACACUCAGGCAAUCACUGCCCUGGGAUGCUUGAGGACGUAACUACUGGAGUAACCCCGUUGUGAAAGUAAUUACUGACCUUCUACCGUUCAAGAGAGGUAAUCUAGGAUUCCGAUCUCCAUCGGCAUGGUGGACUUCCUAGAAACAAUCUGCGACUUUGGCUCCAGCGUCAACAUUAUACCCAGGGGAGGCCAUUCCUGAACACCUCGGGAGCUGUCAUCUACGCUAGUGCUGCCAAGAUCAGUUUCAACAUCAAGGGGAGGAAGGAGACAUUUUCCUUCAUGAACAAGACUACACAAAUCUCAGAGCAAUUCCGAUAUGAACCAAGUAAAAGGACCAACAGGAGGAGCAGGAACAAGCAAAUGUGGACCGAGUCAGCUAAGAUGGUCACUGCAAUUCAAGGAGGUCGAGAUUGUCGACUUAAGUCACCGUUCCUGACCAAAGAAGGAUGACCCAGUCACCUAUCAGCUCUUGUUCAGAACCAAGCCCCUAAAACCGACAUACAUUCAGCCUCAGAUGGCAGAUCAGACAUUCCGAGAGGUUGAAGGUAUAGUAACUGAUGUCCCUAUCAAAAUAGAUGAUCAUUCAGGUGAUUGACAUGGGAGAAGAUGAGUACAAUCCACCCAUCAUCCUUUGGAGACCGUUCCUCAGCACCCUUAAAGCAAUCAUCUACAUUGGAACCGGAGAAGCCCACAUGCACUUCCCCUCUGAGAAGGUACACCGCUAUUUUACUGACCCUAACAAUAUAGUUGAAGACUCUAAGCAGGUCAGGACAAGAAGAAGACGACGCAACCGCAACCAGAGGAGGCAAAUCAUCAAGGACGGAUGGGCAGACUACGAAGGACGAGUGGUAAGGUCUGAAGACAUACAGCUUGAACAGAACUGUCCUGAGGAGACCGUAGCACCGAGUCAGGUGUGUAGAGAGAAUAUAGUUAUACACGAAGAGGAGGUGCCGCCAGAACCACCGACUACGCCAUCCAACGAAUCCCAGGACGAGUGAGAAAACGGAGAGUCCCGUUUGGAGGACUUAAAAACACCGAACGCCUUGCCAAGAGGUAAACUUGGUAGUUAUCUUUUUUUCCUUUCAAUUAUUUAAAAUAGUUUGCUUACUUAAUCAGGUUCAUAUCAUCUUGAAAAGAAAAUAAAACUGUUAAAAAUAGUAAGCCCCAUGUGAGUAUGCUCAUGGCAUAAAACCCAUAAGUACAUUCACUGUGGUGGCAUAAAAAUAAAAUAAAUAUUUUUAUGUGCUAUAAAAAUGAAAAUAUAAAAAUAAAUUUAUGAUCCUACUAAAGAGAGUAAUAUUUAUUGAGGAGGCUCAACAUGAUAAAGGCUAGAUAUUUAUGCUAACACUUAACUAGUUCCACAAAGCUUUGUUGUCUAUUUGAGCUCCAUAGAAUUCAAGGAUCAAAGAAGACUAGCAGACGGAGGACAUCCUAAUCGCUGUCAGGGUGCUGCCAACAUUCAAAUACACCUCCGCCACCUGCUAGCUACACCAGAAGAAAUUACGUCAAAAUCCAGCUUGGGGGAGAGCACCCCCAUUUAUCCAGCUAAGUGUUUCUAUUCGCGUUUAUACUUUACUCAAAUAAUAAAAAGAUGCAUAAUCAUAAAAACCCAAAUAAAUAUUUUGUGCUUAUAUAUAUCUUUGCUUAGUUUGCUAAAUAAAUAAAUAAAUAAAGUUUGCUAUGAACCCUCGUGAUAAGCUCUCAUAUGGAAAUGAUGAAUAGUUGCUCUGCCAUGACUAGUUCUCAAAAUUGAAAUCUCUCUCAAGUUUAGGCAUGACUGUUAUUAAUUAAGAUUUGCUCUAAACCUGAACUUGUGGGAAGAGUACCUGAUCUAAAGUCUAAGUCGUUAACGGAUAUGAUAUGGGAAGGUUGAGCUGUUGUUUAUCUGUUCCUAGAGAUGCUAGAAUUCUAGAGAAUUUUAUCUUUGAAAAUCUUUAAAAUGUUGCAUGAUGAGUUCAUGUAUGAUGAGAGUUUAAAUUCCUACCACAGCCAUAUAUACAUGCUUGCUAGACUAUGAACCACACAUUUAUUUUACUACUUAUGAGCAUUGAGUGUGGUCAAGCUGUGUAGACCCUUAGGAGCUUGUCAUGCGGUUAAAUCAAGAUUCACUUGCACGUUCACUCAUACAUGCAACUUCUACUUCGGAAGUACGCAUCCACAUAUAUCCACCCAUUUCCAUCUCCAGAACCACCCAAAAAUAUUCUACUCCUAAUCCGGGAGAGAAUAGCUAAAAAAUAUUUCUGUUUUCCCCUGUGAAAUAAAUGCUCAAGUUAUCUUGUUACUACCACUUGCUAUAUUAUUUCAGGAGAUGAGUGCUCUAAGAAAAAAAAGAGAAAGAAUACGAGGAAAUAAAAAGGGGCAAGUGCUCGGACCCUCGAAAGAAAAGAAAAAGUGAGACGAGAGGUAAAAAUGGACAAGUGUCCGACAGUAGAAUUAGGGGUACAAGAUACCCACCUGAGAGAAAAGAAAAAGAAAAUAUAGAGCAUCUCAUUCUCCUCAAAAAGUUUCAAAAGAGCAAGAAAGGUAUGUAUCCCCUCAAAAGAGCAUAAGUAGAAUUAGACUUUCACCAUUGUUAUCACCAUCAUUACCAUGCACCAUUCAUUCGCCACACAUGCACAUCUUGAUUUGACUUAUUGACUUGUUCUUUUGGAUCCAUGGUUUGACUAUGCAAUAAAUGUCUUGUAAGUAUGUAUUAGCUGUCUUCCACCUAUGAGCUCCAGAUAUCAAAAGCCUUAUUAGAGUAGGGUGAGAGAGAAGGCAAUGUCACUAUGCCUCAUACCAAAAAUACCACAUACUUUGAGAGAAAGCAUACACCUUUACUGCCUUGGUAAGGAUCCAGAAAUACCACAAAAGAGAGACUAGAGAGAGUCAUACAAGGAAUCUCUGAGUUUUAUUUGAAAAUCUGCAAAAACUCCAGAGCUAUAGUUAAUCGAAGAAUAAGAGACAUAGAGCUUGAUUAGACCGUUCUAUCUUUUAACUGCUCAAGACACAAGUGACGGUUACCAGCCCCAUGGUGGAAGGUAAAAUGAGUAAGUUUAAAUCUUAACAGUUUACCUUAACCUAGAGAUGAGAUCUUGUUUGAACGCAUGUGUAUCUUUAAGGUAUGAAACCACUGCAGAAACUUUUGAGUUUAUCUUUGCUCAAGGACGAGCAAAGGUUAAGCUUGGGGGAGCUUGUUGACGGUCCUUAAUGCUCACAUUUAACCGCCAACUAAUCAUGGAAAAGGAUCCAAAUGCAACCAACACCCAGACUUAGGGUUUUAUGUGACAGAAUUCCACGAGUUUUGGUGUUUGUCUAUUUCUGCAGGGUGUUAUCAGGAAAUAUGGAAGAAAGGCCCACACGUCGGGUUUACAUAGAGGUAUUAACGUGCUGCGCAAUUUUUUACCAUCUAGAAGACUCCAGAAGCCAUGGGAACGAAACGGAGGCCGAGAGGGCUCAGGCACAGGGCGCCCGCCCACUUCCAGAGACCAAUUCGGACACGUUUCGCGGAUUAUGCUCCACCGACCUAAAGGAUCAAGGAAAACCGUGCGAUUAAAGUCGGUUUGAUCCAACAGCCUAGAUUCACUUGAAGGGACUAUAAAACCAAACCCCCUGGCCCCUGGAGAUCAUACCUCUUCUAUAGAAUCAAAGUUAGGGUUUCAAUUCUUCAUCCAAGUAGAGAGGAUCCCUCUAGUUCUUCUAGUUCUACCUCUAGUUCAUCUAGAUCUAGUUCUAGUUCAUCUAGUUCUAAUUCUAGUUCCUCUAGUUCUAGUUCUAGUUCUAGUUAGUUCUAGUUGUAAUCUAGAAAAUAGGGAGAGAGAAGAGGAGAGCGGAGAAGGAGGAGCCGGAUCUGUCGGAUCUUCCUCAACAUUGUACUUUUGCAGCAACUGGUUCGUUCUUCAUCGUUCUCCAGGUUCUUCAAUUCAUAAUUCCUCAGUUCUCUAAUUACUUUUAUUUAUAUUCAAGUUAUUUAUUGGAUUCCCGCUUGCAUCAAGUGCUCUAGUCUUUAUAACGCUAGAGUAGUAAUUAAUAGAUUACACGUGGUGUUUAGUCUUGCAAUUACCUGGAAUUGCACCCAAUCCUGCGGAUUGUUGUGGUAGCCUUAGGGUAGUGACAGCCCUAACGGUCGACGUAUUCCACCUCAUUCGGAUCGGUGUUUGUAGGACCGUAGUCAGACCUUCCUAGCCCCCUUCUCAUCUCUUUUCUGUGGUUAGUGCUCUGAUGUCCCGAUAUAGAUAAUCUUGAAGUAAUUCUUGAUUCUUAUAUCAACUAGAGAACUCUCAGGAAACUUCCUCUCUUCCCACCAAAAAUAAUUAUAUAGUUAUCCUUGGGCGAUCUUGGAUCUUAAUUAGUACACUCACGUUCUCUGUGGAAAAUUGAUACUCUGGAAUACUCUCGGGUGAAAGCUACAUCGGUAUCCGUGCGCUUGCGGAUUUUUCUGUUUGCGUUUAAAAUACCCAACAUUGCAUAUGUAUAGGACUGCAAUGUACUCCCAAUUAAUCUAAAAUUCAUCUUAAUUUUGCCUAAUUCAUCUCAAAUGGUGAGUAGUAGGAGAACAAAGUAGUAGAAGUAGUUGAGUAGGAGUAGUAGUAGCUAGCAGUAGUAGUAGCUGAUAAGAUGGUUUCAAAAUAAGCUCAAAAUCAAUGGCAAUGCAUGAUAGGCAACUAAUUAUGAAAAUCAUUGGCAUGCGGCAUAUGCUCAGUGCAAAUUGACAGUACAAUUACAUCACAGACAGCAUAACAUUCAAAUUCAACCAAAACAUACAUCACAGACAACAUAGGCGAGGAAGAGGGCAGCAGCUAGGGUUCACCAGAGUGGAGCGAGAGAUGAAGAUGCAGGGUCACUCCUCUGUGCCCGAGAUAGGCAGGCCAACCACGAACACGGAGACGGCACUGGAUCUCCUCAGAGCUCAAGAAAGAGGCGGAGACGGAGACGGAGCCACCGGAGACGGAGCCGGUGACGGAGACGGAGAUGGAGCCGGGGACGGAGACAGAGCCGAACACGUAGACGGCACUGGAUCUCCUCAGAGCUCGAGAAAGAGGCGGAGACGGAGAUGGAGAUGGAGCCGCCGGAGACGGAGCAGGUGACGGAGACGGAGACGGAGCCGGGGACAGAGACGGAGACGGAGCCGGGGACGGAGAGCGCGCACCCGAGACGGGGAAGCGCGCACCCGAAACUUUGGCGGCGCUAGGGUUAGGGCGGAGCGUGCGUGCAGGAAACUUUGGCAGCCCUUCGGGGUGGGAAAGCGUGCAACCGAAUGGGGAAGAAGAGCAGGCUGACCGCAGCAUUAUAUAGAUGUAUAUUAACCGAGGCGGGCAGGUUAGGCCAACCGCCACGGUUAAUGUUAACUGUGGCGGGCGGUUAAGGGCGCCCGCCACGGUUAAUGUAUUAACUGUGGCGGGCAGAGUAGAGUGCCCGCCACAGUUAUGAUUUUCCCUUUUUUGAUGACACUAUCAAAUACUCCUUCCAUCCCUUUCUUGAAGAACUUUUAUUAAUAAACCAAUACACAACAAAAAAAGUGAUAUUUUGUACAAAACUUUGAAUAAGACGAGUGGUCAAACUUGAUAUUAAAAAAGUCAAAUGACUUACAAUUUAGGAUGGAUUGAGUAUUUUGGUAGUAGUAGUACUAAUAGUAGUAGUACGAUUACAUUUGGUUCCAUUACAUAAAAUUAGUAACAUAAACAGUUAUUGCUAAUCGAUAAGUUUGUACAUUAUUACAAAUAAAGUAGUACGAUUACAUUUGGCAUACAUCUCAUUUUGGGAGUGAUCCUAUGACACACUUCUUUUCACCGUCGGAGCGGAACCAAGGCUUCAUGCCACUCUUGGUUAAACGGUUCUCGACUUGCUUGAUCUUGCGCGGAUGGUCGGUAAAGAGCGAGAACUCUGCGUAGUGGUUGUGUUCUUCGGGACUCUGGACUCCAUCUGCUCCCACGAUCCUCUGCUUUCUAGACACAACCACAUGCCUCUUCGGGUCUUUGGGCUUUGCAUAGUAGGCUACCUGUGCGACACGGUUUGCUAGUACCCACUGAUCAUCUUUAUAGUCGACACUUUGGAGCUCCACGGUGGUUAGCUCAUACUCGUCCACGACAAUUGCCUUUGGCUUGACCCAUUGGCACCGAAAGAUUGGUAUCUGUAGUUCACCACUGUAGUCAAGUUCCCAUAUCUCUUCAAUCUGCCCAUAGUAUGUCUUGGUCUCCUCUGUGGCCUUGUCGAUGCCCUCAUAUCGAACACCGCUAUUCUGUGCUGCGCUCUUCCCGUCGUUCUGUUUUGUGCCCAUUGAUAUCGUAUCCAUGCCAUGAGGUUAUCUGGGAGGAUGGACCGGAUGCAAGCCUCGCUUCAUCAGUUUCACCAUAGGGAGGUAUGCCCUGCUGUUGGAUCCAUGUUGUGAAAUUCAUCUUGUGCUGUCUCUGUACCCAUGCCUCUGUGCAUCCGUUACAACCACGGCGAAUCUCCUCUAGGUGCAUCUCAACCCAAGUGUCCAUGACCACUAACUGAAUAAGGGUGCUGUGACGAGCCUCUUGCAACUGUUCUUCUUGUACAUCCAUGCAUACUUUCCUCCCCAUGCACCCCAUACCCAUGGUUCUGCCUUCAUGCACAGGGACGGGCAGCCCAAUUGCAUUUCCAUCCCGGAUGUAUUUCAUGCAGCAGUUAAUGCCCUCCUCUGUUGUGUAUGCCUCAAUCAUAGAGCCCUCGGGGUAAGCACGGUUAUGGACAUAUCUAUUCAGGGUCGACAUGAACCUCUCAUACAUCCACAUCUCAUGCAGGUAGAGUGAGUGUCCAGUGUCUCCACACUCCUCACAAGUCAUGUGAGAGUCGUAGAUGUGCAUAACUUCUUUCUUGUCUCUAGCUCUAUCGUCGAGCUUCUUCAUGAGCAGGUCUAGCUUUGCAGACAGCAUGUCUACCUCCUUCAGCUGAUGCAUACCUCCACCUCUCUUGCGUGUCUAGGUCCUCUCUUCAUUCCAGCCUUGAUUGGAUGCCAUUUUCUCCACAAGAGCUGUGGCUUGUGGUAUAGUAAGUGAUAAGAAUGCUCCUCCAGCUGCAGCAUCCAUGGUCUCUCGGGCACUGUUGCUGAGCCCAUGAUAGAACGUCUGCAUCAGUAGCCAACUCUCCAUUCCAUGAUGGGGACAUUCUAGGAUGUAGUCUUGAAAGCGCUCCCAUGCUUCUGGAACAGAUUCAUCAUUUUGUUGCUGAAAACUUGUAAUCUUCCCACGGAGAGCAUUGGUCUUGCCCAUGGGAAAGAACUUUGCCAGGAAGUUUGUUGAGCAGAGUGCCCACGUAGUAUUCUUCUCCUUUGUAGCGUAGAACCACUACUUCGCUCUUCCUAACAGUGAGAAUGGGAAGAGGCGAAGUAGUAUAGCAUCUUUGGAAACUCCUGCUAUGGUGAAUGUGUUGCAAAUCUCCAGGAAGUGUUGUAAAUGAGCACUAGCAUCUUCGUGUGCCUUUCCACAGAACUGGUUGGAUUGCACCAUGUUGAUAAGUCCAGGCUUGAGCUCAAAGUUGCCAUCGAUCUCUGCAGCAGGUCCAGUGCGGAUGUUGUCCGUAGUGGGAGCUGAGAACUCGCGGAUCGAUUUGUUCGCCAUGGCUUCGAACUCUGAAGAAAAGUUCCGGUGAUCUUCUUGAUUGGAUGAAGCUUCUUGCUGAAGUGUUGAUGAUUUCUUCUUGGCUCUCGUCUUCUUGAAUAAUGCUUCGGGAUUGUCAACAAAAUUUCCUGGAAGAUGUCUUCUAUUCAUUCAUUCCCCUGCAUAAGAUGAAAUAGAAAAAUAUCGGGGUAAAACUGUAUGAGAGAAUAGAUAAGAUCAAUCAUAUUAGUGAUGUGAAUGAUAACUCAAAAUCUUUUAUUCCAUUCCUGAUUGGUAAUCAACCUUCCCCGACAACGACGCUAAAAAUGCUUGUUGGGUAUUCUUAACAUCAUUACCAAAAGUAGACUAAGUUCUCUAAAUCUAGUAACGGUGCUAAAAAUGCCAAACCUAUCCCUCACACCACUUAAGCCAAGUUGUCAUCCCCAGCAUGAUAUAAGAGACGCGGUAUUGAAAUAUGCAAUUGCUCUUCUAAAUAAAUAAUAAAUGGGAUCUGCAAGCGCACAGAUUAAUACCGAUGUAGCAUUUUAACCGGGAAGUAUUCCACGUAUCGUUAUUUAUAUUUUUACCACUGGGAAGGGAUUAGCAAUCAUCACUAUUGAUUACAGAAUAGAAUAUAAGAUUGAGCAUCUAUCAUUGCAUGUAUAAUUGAGAACAUUAUAUCUAACUCUUCAUACAGGGAUAAGUGUCACAUAAAAGAUAUAUGAAAUAAUAAUAGUGACAAGGAUAACUAAUCUGAUCUAGCCACAUAAUAAAUAUGAUAAGCACCUCAAUUAGAUACUCUAGAAAGUCAUUAGCAUGGUAUUAGAACGAACUACAAGAAUAUUCCCUAAGUUAUUCUUAACUAUAUAGUCUAGCAUAUCAUAGUUAGUGCAAGCAUACUUAGCAAUCAUUGCGAGACAAGACUACGCCCAUGCAUAGUGAUAUUAGCAAGGAAUAUGAGAAACAUAGCAAUCACUCCCCUGUAAUAAUGUUGCUCUGCCAGCCCAAUACACGAGAGGGGGACUAUAUAAGAAUCAAUGAAGCUGUCACUAUCACGAACCACCCCACGAUCUGGCAUAUUGGGUACAAUCGCAGAUAAAUACGGUAUAAGCACCACGCCUACACAAUAUCUAUCAUUUACCCACGGAUCCGAUGGAUAAACGCUAUACGAUCCUAAGCAUGUAUAUAGAUCCAAUCUAACUAAGCCAAGUACAUAACUAUGAUAAACUAAGAACAAUAUAAUCUUGAAUAUAAGCAAGUAGAGCAAAGUCAUAAGCAAUAUAUUGAAGUAGAACAAAGUCAUAUUCAUAAUAUUGAAGAACAAAGAUAAUUAGAAGAACAAUUAGAAGCACAAUUAGAGAAUUACCAAGAAUCCUCUUGAUAGAUCCGGAAACCAAUCGAAGAUUGACUCCUUCUAGUUCUAAUCCUAUGUAGCUAUGCUAAUCUAGAUGUCUAAUUGAUGUGGUGGCUCUAAUCUUGAUCAGAGGCUUCUUCUCCCUUGAUGGAACAAUGAAUUAGGGUUGAGAGGCUCUCUCCUCCAGGGGCCAGGGGGUCUGGUUUUAUAGUCCCUUCAAGUGAAUAUGGGCCAUUGGAUCAAACCGACAUAGAUUGUAUGGUUUAGAUUCAUCCUUUAGGUCGGUGGAGAUCUCCCACGAAGCAGAGUCCAGAUUGGACUCAAGGGCAGGGCGGGCGCCCUGACCAACUGGGCGGGCGCCCAGGGUCAGGCCCCGUUUCGCCUCCGCUUCGGUCUCGUGGCUUCUGGAGUCUUCUAGAUGUAAGAUAAUUGCACGGCACGUUAAUAUCUUUACGUAGUCCCGACAUGUGGGCCUUUCUUCCAUAUUUCCUGAUAACCCCCUGCAGAAAUAGACAAACACCAAAACUCGUGGAAUUCUGUCAGAUAAAACCCUAAGUCUAGAUGUUGAUUUCAUUUAGAUCCUUUUCUUUAUUUAUUUGAUAAUUAAAUUUGAUACUUAAGGACCGUCAACAGGCGUCAAACCGCUUCCACUGCUUGCCAUCAGAGGGGUGUCGCAACUUGCCAUCAUCCUUCAUUCGUUCUGCUGAUGCAUGCCACGACAUCAGUUGGGCAUCCUCUGGGUUCCCGAAUAGCGCACGUAGGCGAUCGAUCACUGGUAGGUACCACACUGAGAGUGCAUGGCUUUUUCUCUGCAUGUAAACCCCUUCUUCCUCAUCCUCGGGAGAUGGGAUCUCCUUCUUGGCCGUCUGGAUCUUCGCUUUCUUGUUCCCUCUCUUUGUUGGUCCCUCAACAUCCGUGUCUGCACGACAACCGGCAUUCCUCUUAUAUCGGCUCGCGCCGUAGUGCGGAUAGUUCUACAAGUUCUCAUACUUACCCCGAUAUAGAAUACAGUGGUUAGGGCAUGCAUGAAACUUUUUAAGCGUCAUCGCCACUGGACGGAUCAUCUUGUUCGCUCGGUAGGUAUUGGCAGGCACCUUGUUACCCUCUGGGUAUGAGUCAGCAAGCCUAUCUAACAGGUCAUUAAAGCAUGUGUCGGACCACCCAUGGCGAGCCUUCAGCAUGAGCAUCUGGAGGUUAAAACGCAACACCGUCAAAUGCUUUGGACAACCCUCAUACAGGGGAUCAAUUGCUGCCUACUUCAUCUCUUUGAAAUUCUCCAACAACUUCGGAUUUCCAAACAGAACGUCAUCUUGAUCCAUACGGUUAGCAACAUUUAAAAAAUCUCCACAUCUUCAGGCCCCAAGACAACAUCACCCUGCUCAUCAUCAUCACCGCCACCGUCUUCAAACAGAUCAUGGAGGCCCGCCGAUGUAGAUGGUUGUCGUCCCCCAUCAUUCACCGUUGACGAGUUACCUCCGCCAGAUGCACCUGUCACACUUGGAUCUGCUUCUUCACCGUGAUACUUCCAGAUGGUGUAGUCCUUGACAAAGCCAUGCCGGAUCAAGUGAGACUGCACCACGUUAUCUUCCUGUACAAGGUUGUUCUUACAACUAUUGCACAGACAAAUGAUGCGCUCUCGACCCAAAGACACACGGUGCUUUUUCGCAGCGGCAACAAACUUUCUCACAUGUCCUAGAAAAGCUAAAUCGUUACUGACCCUCGGUAUCUUAUACAUCCACUCUUCCCUAUCCAUAGCUGCACCACCUAGCACACACAAAGGGAGAAAAGCAAAUAAAGAUAUAUGAAAACAUGUGAGUAGCCCUAAAUCUAGUUUUAUUUCUCUCCUCCAUUUGGAUCUAGAUCUAAAACAUUUGGAUCUAGAUCUAGAUCUAGCAAACCACCUAAAUAAUGCAAAGGGAGAAAUGAGAGUUAGAGAGUAAGAAAUCCACCUCUUGCAAUGCCCCCUUCACCAAAUAAAAGGGCAAAAAGUUUUCCCCUCUAAGAUAUUAAAUAUUAGGGUUUUGAGGUCAAAACCCUAAUAAAUGAAGAAGGAGCCACGGGGAAGAAGAAGGGGGUCGGGCUGUUGCUUUUAUAGGCACAGACUUUACUGUGGCAGGCAAUUUAAAGAAACCGCCACGGUUAAUGAACAAUUAACCGUGGCGGACGCUGUAAAAGAAGCCACCACGGUUGAAGCAUUAACCGUGACGGUUCGCUUAAGCGGCCCACCAUGGUUAAACGAUUAACCGAGGCGGUUUCCCUAAACCAACCGCCAUGGUUAAUAAAUUAACUGAGGCGGUUUAAUUACGACAACCGUCGCGGUUAACGUAAGAUUAACCGUGGCGGUUUGCUUACAGUGACCGCCACGGUUACACAAUUAUCCGUAACGGUCGCCCUGCUGGCAGCCCAGCCCAGGUUAACCGAGGCGUGCCGCCAGCCGGCCACCUCGGUGGCCCAAAACAAAAUGUCUCCUAAAAUUUUUUUUGUAGUAGUGAUAGGGUUUUGUUUUUCUCUUUCUUCUUUUCCAAGUUGAGCACUUGAUCAUCUUGUGGUCAUCACCAUCAUCACAAUGAUCAUCUCUUGCUCCAUCACUUGGCAUGUACCAACCUCAUUAAGUCUACACACACUUAGUAUAGAGGUUAGUACUAGGGUUUCAUCAAUUAUCCAAAAACAAACUAGGGCUUUCAAGGGGACACUAGGGAAGAAAACAUAUAUCGGUACAGAGAGUGAUUACUUCAAUAAAGCACACUACAUAGUUCUACAGAACUCCUCGCUGGUGGAUCGUAUAUCGAGGUACAUAAGGAUUUCAUUCAAUCUGAGUGGCUUGGGAAGAAUGAAGCUUGGAUUUGGCAUCAUCACAUGGAAACCUUCAGCGAUUGGUUGUGAAAAGAAUGUCAGGGUGAUGAAAACAUAGAUGAGCAGCUUUAUUUGUUGGCCAGGCAGCCAUCAAGGUAUAUCAGCAUAUACAAAGGGUACGAGAUCAAUGGGAAUACAUUUUACACAUUAGCCCAAGAUAAAAGGAGCAUCAACCGAAAUAGUGGUCCAUGAGUAGAUUCCACAGAUCCAAAUGGGAACAAACAAACAUAUUAUGGCCAAAUACAUGACAUAUGGGAACUAGACUACGUAGCAAAUUUUAAAGUUCUUUUAUUCCAGUGUAAAUGGGUGAAGAUGAUCAGAGGUGGGGUAACCGUCGACAGAGUAUGGAAUGACAACCGUGGACCUUAACAAUGUUUGGUACAAAGAUGAACCAUUCGUCCAUGCUGCGGAUGUGAGUCAAGUGUUCUAUAUGAAAGACAUGUCUACAAAACCAAAGAGAGAGAAAAAUGAUGACAACUCAAAAGUCAAUCAUGAGCCAAAGCGCCACAUAGUUCUUUCUAGGAAAAGAAACAUUGUCGGAAUUGAGGACAAGUCAGACAUGUCAGGUGAUUAUGAAAGGGAUGACCGAAUUCCGUCAUUCAAAGUGAACAAAGACCCAAGCAUUUUGUUAAACAAUGAGGACACUCCAUGGUUAAGAGAUGAUCAUAAUCAAGGGUCAUAUAUUAAGAAGAAGUUCACUGUUGUGCCCGCAUAAUAGUGAGUUAUAAAGAUAUUAUGUAAUAAUAUUAAUUGAGACUUUGUUUGACGAUGGAUUUAAAUUAAAAAGUUCAGUAUUGAUCACAACUACACGCUCCUUUUCGAAACUCUAGACGGCCCUAACUCGAAAAGUCAUGAAUAAAAAGUUUGUUACACUCAUCAAGAUCUAUAUUUAAUACAUAGGACAUUUUUGCAUUUGAUAAAGCGUUACGAAAGCGUAGUUCUAAAUCCACAGGUCUCACAUGGAGUUUCAUAAAGUUUGUGUGAGAUUCAAGACAUUGUGACUAGAGUUUAUUAACACUUUCUCAAAUGCAAAAAUAUCCUAUGUACAGAAUGUGUAUCAUGAUGAGCUCUAAUACCCUUGUGUUCAAAAGUGUUUCAUUUGAGACCAUUUACUACCUCAUUUGACCAAGUUUGACCAAGUCACGCCUUGGAUUUUUAAAACAUGUGACUAGAGUUUACUAUAACUUUUCUAAAUGCAAAAUUGUACUAUGUAUCAAAGGUAGACAUUGGUGAGGUCUAACUCUUUUGUAUUCAAAAAGUUUUUAUUUGAGGUCUUUUAUUGCCUAGUUUGACCUAGUUUGACCAAGUCAAACAUUUGACUUUUUAGAAAAAAUACUUUGACCAGACCCUAGAUGGUCUCAGCUACAAAAGUCAUGAUACAAAGUUUGUCCAGAUCAUCAAGACACAUAUUUUGUGUAAUGGUCAACUUUUCAUCUAAGAGAGUUUGGACCACUCAAAUUUUGAAAUUUCAAAUUUUUAAUCUUUGAUGGGUGGCAUUAUGUCUUGUAUUUCAACAAUGAGAGAUCCAAAAUUAAAACAUUAACAUUGAAAUAAUGUGAAAACAAUUUUUCAGUAGACAUAUAGGAAUUUUUUCAUUUUAAUUAAACACCACAUUUUUGCAUUACAGAAAUACUAAUUAAAACACUACUUAUUUUUAAAAACUUAUAAAGCAAACUAAAAAAAUUAGGUCACAUAAGUUUCCUUUGUGCAAUAAAGAAAAAUCAAAUUCAUAGUUGUGUUUUAAAUAAUUUUAUGCCUUGUAUACAAUUUUCUGUGAAAUUAACAAGAAUAUACAAUUUUUAUAAAAUGGAAUAUAAAAAAUAAAGGCAUCCAAAACACUGGCGGGAAGUGAAACCGUAGUAGGCCUUUAGUCCCUUAGUCUCGGCCCUGAAUGCAGACCGUGACUAAAGGUCAUUUUAAUGGCCCGCCAAAAAGGAUCUUUAGUCCCGGCUCUUGUUACAAACCGGGACUAAAGGUCAUACCUUUAGUCGCGGCUGGUGGCUACGACCGGGACUAAAGGUCUUUAGUCCCGACUCGUUGCUGCGACCGGGACUAAACGUCCACCCCCUAUAUAUGCUACAAGGUGACCUCUCUUCUUCCACCUCCGGCCAGAACACAGAAACCGCCGCCGCUCUCGAUCCAUCAUUGUCGCCGCCGUGUAGGAGCUCUUCUUCGUCAUGGCCGUCCAUCGUCCUCCUUGGCCUGUGCGCUUGUCCUCCUUCGCCACGGCCGUCGUCCCUCAUCGUCAUUGCCCCGCUCGUCCUCAUCGUCCCUCGUCUCCUCGUCUCCUCGGGCCCACACGCCCUCGUCGUUUGCUCGUCCUCCUCCUCGGCCAAGAACUCAAUAGAUGUAUAUAUAUAUUUCUAUAUAUAUAUAUAUAUGAAUAGAUGUAACGUGAUAUGAAUGUCAUAUGACUCAUUGUAUAUAUAUAUUUAUAUAUUUAUAUUUAUAUUUAUAUUUAUAUUUAUAUUUAUAUUUAUAUUUAUAUUUAUAUUUAUAUUUAUAUUUAUAUUUAUAUUUAUAUUUAUAUUUAUAUUUAUAUUUAUAUUUAUCAAUACCUAUUUACAAUAGUAGGGUUACUAUAACACAUGGAGAUAUUUACGUUAUAGUAAACCACUUAGUAUGAAGUUACUAUAAUCUCAUAAAUUAACAAAGUAAUUAUCGUAACUCAAAGGGGCUACAGAAUAAGUUAUUUUGUAGCUAGCUAUAGAGUAAUAGUUUUAUAUGUAUAUAUAUAAUCUCCAUGUGUUAUAGUAACCCAACUAUUGUAAAUAGGUAUUGAUAUUAUCGUAAAUUAGUAUAUAAAAUUAUCGUAAAUGGAGGUGGCUAUAGAAUAACUUAUUUUGUAGCUGGCUACUGAAUAUACUCUCCCUAUAUAUAUAUGAAUGAUGUCUGAAUAGAUGUAACUUGAUAUGAAUGUCAUAUGACUCAUUGCAAUAUAUAUAUAUAUAUAUAUAUAUAUAUAUGUAUAUAUAUAUAUGUAUGUAUAUAUAUAUAUAUGUAUAUAUAUAUAUAUAUAUAUUACGAGACAAAGCCUUAAUGGACGAUCCGAGGGAUCAACAAAUCGAUGAUGAGGCCAUCAUGAUGAAUCUCAUCGUCGGUGGUGAUGAACAAAUCAAGGAUGACGAUGAUGGGAGUUAGUACUUGCGGGCAGAUUACGAGGAGAUCAUGCAGGGAUCCUCCCCACCGCCUAAUGAGCAACAAAUUGUCGAGCAAGCCAAUACUGGCGAGCUAUGUUAUACAUGUUUAUUAGGGAUUAGGGUUAGGGUUUAGGGUUUAGACUUUAGGGUAUAUUGCAUCUUGUAUUAAUUUCAUGUUCGUGUCUUUACAUAUGUAGUCCUCUGGAUCGACAUCUACGACCGGGAAGAGCAGACCGGUACGAGGGCCAAUGAAGCCGUUGGAGGGUCGUCACAUAAUCUCUGAAUUCAACGAGCGUACAAGCUAACCACUAGGACCGCAUGCACAGAAAUAUGUCGGUCAUUGUGGUUAUCUAGUGAGAGACAUGAUACCGAUUAGUGCUCGAGAAUGGAAAAAGAAGCCAAGUGCUCCACACAUCAGUUUUGUCUCCGAUCAUGAUAAGGAGGUAGUAUGGACUGACAUCGGAGAGCAUUUCAUGUUUGACACGAAUGAUGAAGAGCUAAAGAGGAGAAUCUGGGAGUGGAAAAUGAAGAAGAUGACAACACUUUUUAGGCUUGGAAGAAGAACUUGUACAACAAGUUUAUCAAGAAGAAUGAGAUGCCAGAUUUCAACACUAAGGCGUAUGUCAAGCUGAGACCCUUUUGGAAUGAUUUCGAACACAUUCUUUAACGCCGCCACGGGCCGCACCGUCCCCACCACUGCCACCGGCUCAAACUAGUAAGAAGAGGUCCGCCCCAGCACCAAAGGCUUCGGUCCACAUCCUACAAAGAAGCAGGCUCGGGCUCCCUCUGGUAAAAAAGCAGCCAGUGAAAAGUUGUCUUAUGAGAAGAGUGAUGAGGAGCUAAUUGCAUCGGUUGCUUCAAAUGUGAAAGCACACUUUGAAAAAACUAAAAAGGAAAUUGAAGCGAAGUGGAACCCUGAAAAGCCAUACCUCUUCUUACCAAAAGGGGAGCUGAGGAAGAGGGUGGAAGAGCACAACCAGAAAAUGCACGAAGCUCGAAAGCCUCCGCCAAAGUCAGACUAUGAACACCAACUACUAAAAGCUGUAAAGCUCAACCUGUCAAGAAGAAAGCAGGAAAGGGUGUUCCACAGCUUGGGGACACAUCAAGACCUUUGUCCCCGUUAAUUGUGGCAGAUCAGUAUGGUUUAAAUGUGGGCAUAAUACAGAGGAAAUUUGGAGAGCCCACUUUGCCUGAGAUGGACUCACUUGAAAAUUAUUUCAUUGAGAGCGGUCUCCCAUACUCCAUGAUUGAAAAUAUUGCUGCUGGGCUAAAGUUUCCACGAGCGGAAGUAGUUGAUGAAUGGAGGAGAAAUUUUACACUGGGCAAGAGUCAAAUGAACCCCAAGCACCUACAUGUACUCGGUACGCAGAUGUUUGCAAUCAACAGUUGGUGCAUGGAGGCUUCUAAAGGUGGAGUUGAUUGGAUUUCUGUUCGAAUUCGAAACCAUCACUACUUCCGUGGCGAUGACCUUAUCUUAGUCUAGAUGAGUGAAUUACACCAGCUAUGCCACAUGGACGCUCUGGACAAAUCGCUCAUUAGCUGCUUUUGUUUGUAAGUAUUUCUUUGUUUUUAUUAAACUCUCCAGCAUGUCUAUAUAGUAGUAAUCCUUACAGACAUACUUGUCGAUGGACUCACUAUAUGAAGGCUCCAAAUGACUGAUCUCAGAUCCAAAAACGAUAAUACUCUUGGAUUUGUUGAUCCUUACGUUGUUUUCAAGGAGCCAAACCUUUUGGUGACUUGGAUCCAUAACAUGUGUAUGAAUCUUAUGAGGUUCUUCGUGAACUAAAAAGACAAAAGAAUAAUACUCUUCCCCUAUAACUUCAAGUGAGUAUAUAUAUAUAGUUACAUGCAAGUGUGCACCUUUAAUUUUACUUAACCCUAAUCUAUGACUCAUGCCUCUAUGAACAGCUUUUACUGGAUACUCAUAGUCAUCGAUCUUGCUAAAAGUAAGUUGGUAAUCUAUGACUCAAUGAAGAAACCGCAACAAGAUUACCAAGAUAUUAUAGACAUCAUCCAAAGGUAAUUUUGAUCCAUUGCAUGCAUAAAGUAGACUAAGCUUGUAUAUAUGUAUACUUAACGAUCCAACUCUCUUGUUUCAUAUAUAUCAUUGGUUUAGGGUUUGGGAAAGAUUUAUUGUUCGAGAACAUCUAACUCAAUGUAGGGUGCCCCUAAAGAUAAUACAGCUACAAGUAAGUUUAUCCUUCGUCAAUGUACGUGGUGUAUCUUAUAUCUUGUCUUUUUUACGAGAUGAAUCUUUAUAUCCUAUAGUGGAUCUUGAGACAAGAACUGGGGAACAACUUAUGUGGAUACUACGUUUGCGAGUAUAUUAUGGCAGAAACAAAUAGAAUUCUUGAAGAAUAUCUCAGAGUAUGUAACACAUGUCUCUUUUCAUAUUCUCUCAAAUUACUAUAGAUAAUCUUGAUAUAACUAAUACCUUGUUUUAAUUCAAAUUGAAGACUGAAUGGUUGAAGCAAAAACUCAUGCAACAUGAACAACUCCAAGCAAUACAAGAGGCAAUAGCAAGAUUUCUUCGGGAACAAGUCAUAAAUCCAAGCGGCGAGUUCCACUAUAAUCCUAACAAGACGAUGAUUCCAAACAAUGAUGAUCAUUUGUAUGCCCUGUAGAUCUUUGGAUGAUGGAGUACAACUUGUAAUAGUUUUAGAGUAUUAACUUUGGAGUACAACUUGUACAGUGAUAGAUUUGGAGAACAAGUUCUAUAUAUUUAUGUGCAUAUAUUUAUAUAUAUAUAUGUAGUUAUAUAAUUCAAUUAUAUAUGCAUAAUAAGCUUAUUGUCAUAUGCUGCUAAUAUUAUAUAUAUAUAUUGGAAAACCUGUUGACACCGUUUUUGGACACGUACCCAGGAUCGGUAGAGUGUAGAUUGGCAAAAAGGGGCAAUAGUAACUGGUCUGCAGGAGAGUUGCCGAUGAGGGUGGUUGCCGAUAAGGAGACAGCUGAAUGUGGCUAAGACCAUGGGUGGUGAUGUCUUUAUGCCGAUGGUCAGUAUCAACUGUUGCCGAUGGGGAGUCUACCGAUGAUACGGCAGGAAGACUUGGAGGUUGCCGAUUGGUCUGUGGUGGUGUCCCAGUUUGUCACGGAAGGAUAGUUUUAUGUUUUCCUUAGUUAUUUAAGUCGUUUUGUACACGGAUUCUGUUUAAAUUUGGAAUUUGAAUUCUAGUCGUGUCUGGUUGUAGCUCUUUGAGCAGGGUAUAAAUGUAGACCCUAGGGCCUUGUAAUCGAGAUAUCUAUCAAUCAAUCAAACACAAGUUUUUACUCAUAUUCCAGUACCUACUUUCAACGACUUCGUCAUACUUUUUCCCUUUUAUUACGAGUUCUUAGGAAUUCGUCGACUUAAGCUCGGCGUAUUCUCAAGUUCCGCAUGAAUACCUCUUGGCCGUGGCAUCCGGGCGCAUCGCUCUUGUCGGGACCAAAGUAUUCGAGUUAUCACCUUUGCCGAUAGUAAGGUCAAAUCGGCUGGCACGCCUUAACGUUUAAAUCGGGUAUUAGCCCUUUGUGUUUGCAGAUCAGCUUUUGCAUCAACACAUCUUUUGGCACGCCUAGUGGGACAAAUUCGAGAUCAAGAUCAACAUGUCGACUACUGAGUUUGACUUGGAGAACGUCAUCCCCGUGACAGAAGCUAGCCUCAUAGAUGAGCAGAAGCAAGCUAUUUCGAAGGCUAUGGAGGAUUACAAGCAACAAUGUCUCAAGGCCUUCAGCAUAAACAGGAGCGGCGAAGUGAUCCAGAAGGAAGCAUUGCCGAUGCCUCGGCAGGUUACUUUUGAAGCCAAUCCUGGUAAACUCCAAGACGUAGUCGAUAGUGCUAUCAACUGUGCCUUGAUCAACCAAGCUGGUGUGCUGUCUAAUAUGGUUUUCAAUGCCAUGGCUAGAACUUUCAAGGAAGGACACUUGCCACCAAAUUAUGUGGGCCCUUCUCAUCAUCAGUCAGGAUCACCGGUGGUCACAGCUCCAUCGGCUGCCACAGCCGCUGCGGGCACAGAAACUGCUGUUCCUCCAAACACGAUGGGAGUUACCAAUGCAUAAUCUACGCCGAUGACGACCAAUCCACCGACCUCAGAUGGGCAGAUUAAGCUUACUACAGACCUAUUGGCCUCGGCAAUGUCAGGACCGGUUCCUCCUCCUAACUGGUGGGGUUUUGGUAUGCCCCCAGAGUUCACGUUGAAGACACCUGGCACAUCUCAGGCGACUGAUAUGAGAGGCAAGGCUCCUAUGACAUCGGCACCUCCAAACAUGCCGAUGAAUCAGAGUCCCCAGUUUACUACAACUACUACUGCAAGACCUUACACUGGGAAUUCUCAAGCUCCAACUUUCCAGAUGCCUAAUGCAUCGGCAGAUUCAAUGCUGGUGCAACAGAGGUUUAGGACUCAACCAGGGUAUGUCAAUUCGAUGAUGAUGCCCAAUUACUAGUCAUCGGCAGGUCCUAUGCUGAUGAAUGCUAAUAGUGGAUGGCUUGGGCAGCAACUCUUUCCGCAAACGCCCCAACAGAAUCAUCAGGCUACCGGAUUUCAGCAAGGCCAGAUCUACCCCGGGUUCCAGAAUCAGGGAAUGCCCAACCAGCCAAUGAAUCUUGGGCAGCAGGUCGGCGGACAGCAGAUUGGCGGGCAACAGUUUGGUGGUCAGCAGAUGGGUGGCCAGAUGAUUAACCCAAUGUUCCAUGUAGAUCGCGCACCGCACAGACACGUGGAAGCUUACCAGCAGAUCCCAGAUCCGCAACCGCCUCAUCGGCAAGACACCGAUGCUUAUUGGGCCGAUAAGAUUGCCGAAGUAAUGAGAGACCAGUUUGGGAUAAAACCCAAAGUCAAUACUUACUCUUAUCGGACACCGUAUCCUCCUGCAUAUGAUUUGAUCCCGCUUCCAAAUCGGUACAAAGUGCCGGAUUUUACUAAGUUUUCUGGAUAGGAUGAUACAUCAACCAUGGAGCACGUCAAUAGGUUCAUCAUCCAAUGUGGAGAAGCUGCUAAUCGGGACGAGUUAAGGGUUAGCUUAUUCUUGUCAUCAUUGUCUGGAUCGGCUUUCACUUAGUUUAUAUCAUUACCUCCCAACUCAGUGAUUACUUGGGCCGAUCUAGAGAAGCAAUUCCACAAAUACUUAUUUUCUGGGGUUCAUGAGAAGAAGAUCACCGAUUUGGUCAAAUUGAAGCAACGCAAUGACGAAUCGGUUGAAAGUUUUGUGCAGAGAAUACGGGAGGUUAAGAACAAAUGUUAUAGCCUGGUUUUGGAUGAUCGGCAGCUAGCCGAUUUGGCUUUCCAGGGUUUGUUGCCACACAUCAAGGACAAGUAUGCAUCUCAAGAGUUCGAAAGCUUAAGUCAUUUGGUGCAGAGAAUUUCUGAUCAAGAUAUCAAGCCUUUUGAACCCAAAAGGGCAUGGAACAAAAAGGUGUCAUUUGUUGAUGAGGCAGCAAGCUCAGAUUCUGAUGAGGAACCAGUCAUCGGCUUGGCAGAAUGGGUGAAGAAUAAGUAGCCGAUGUCUUGCCCCUUUGGGCAUAAAGAGCCAGAGAAGUUCGCAUUUGACAUCACUAAAGCCGAUAGGAUAUUUGACUUUCUACUUUAGGAAGGUCAGAUCAAGCUGUCACCUAAUCAUGUGAUCCCAUCGGCUGAGGAAUUGAAAAGGAUGAAAUAUUGCAAGUGGAACAAUGCCACUUCUCACAACACCAAUGAGUGUAAAAUUUUUAGGCAGCAGCUGCAAUCGGCUAUAGAAUCUGGGAGGAUCAAAUUUGACAGCUCCAAAACUCAGAAGCCGAUGAAGAUUGAUCAACAUCCUUUCCCAACAAACAUGCUGGAUGCUAAGGGAAAGGCCAAGGUUUUAACGUCGGAAGCAGCUGAAAGAAGUGCAUCGGUGGAUCCUCAACAUCAGAUCACUACUGCCGAUGCGAAAGGAAAAGGCUUGAUCUAGGAGGGGACUAACUCAGGAAGGCCUCCCCGAUCUGGUAUCGUCAUAACUCACAGGAGGCCUCAGGAGACUUGGCUGCAACGUGAGGAUCGGUAUCGGCGCCAGCAAGAGGACUAUCGUCGGGUAGAAGAAAGACGCCGGCAGGAGUGGAAUCGGCAUAGGGAUCACUGGAAUUGUUCGUUCUUUAUGCAUUGUUGGGAGGAGAAUAUCAAGCUUCCUAUGGUCAGAGAUUGUCCGGAGUGCAACGGUUAUGACCGGUAUGACAGAUCCGAUUGGCGCUAUCACGAUAAUGAUCGCCGAUUCAGUGGGCCGAUCAGGGGAAGAGCAUUCGUCCAUGAUCGGCUAGGGGGCAGACUCAGUGUGCACGACAGGCUCGGCGAUCGUGUUCAAUAUUUUCCAAGGAACCAGGAAGAACUUGAAGAGAUGGCUAAUGCGUGGGUUCCCGAUGAGUUCAUUUUCUGCAGGGACGCCAAUACUUAUCAGAUGGAGUCAAGGGAAAAUCAUCGUCCAUCGGUGAGGCAGCAGCAACUUCCUCCAUGGUGUCCAGAGGGGCUGACCAGGACACAGAAGAGAAGACUGCAGCGUGAGAGGCGAGAAGAGUUAAACAAGGGCGAGAACUCUGGCCAGUCUGGGGAUCAGCAGCAGUCAGAUCCUAAGGGAAAAGGUCCAUCGGCAGAUGUCAACAUGGUGUUUAUGUUGCCGAUGGAAUUUCUUGCGCCAUCCAGUGAUGAUGAGUUGGAGUUUUCCGACCAAAUAGCUCAGUUGGCUCUGGAUCCGAUGACAGCCAUCUUUGAAAAGCCUGCCGAUGAUGAAAGGUAACAUCUUAAGGCUCUGUUUGUCAAAGGAAAGGUUGAUGGUCAGCCGAUGACCAAGAUUUUAAUUGAUGGUGGAGCUGCUAUCAAUAUCAUGCCAUAUACAGUAUAUCGGAAGCUUGGAAAAGGGGAUCAGGAUUUGACCAAGACCGAUAUGAUGCUCAAAGAUUUUGAGGGCAACGUGUCUCCAGUUAAGGGAGCAAUAUGCGUUGAGUUGACCAUCGGCAGCAAAACUUUACCGACAACCUUCUUCGUGAUCAGUGGGAAAGGUGCUUAUAACUUGCUGCUGGGAAGAGAUUGGAUUCAUGCCAAUUGUUGCAUCCCGUCUACAAUGCACCAGUGCUUGGUCCAGUGUGUAGGUGACAAGAUUGAGAUUGUCCCGGGAGAUUCUUCCUAUGUCAUUGCAUCGGCAGAGGCAGACACCUACGAAAGAACUAGGUGUAUUUCAGGAGAAGUUUGGGAAAAGGAUUUUCUCAAAGUUUCCGAUUAUGAGAUUCCACCGAUCCAAGCAGUCGGUUCUGAUGAAGGUUUUUAAUGGAUAGGUUCGCCGAUGAUGGAAAGUUAGACCAGGGAUUCACAUCGGCCGAUGAUUUGGUAGAAGUAGAUAUAGGUAGUGGUGAUAAGCCUAGACCUACUUUUAUUAGUGCUAAGUUAGAUUCUGAGUGUAAGCAGCAGUUAAUCGAUUUGUUAAAAGAAUAUAAAGAUUGCUUUGCUUGGGAUUAUACUGAGAUGCCUGGUUUAGACCGAUCAAUUGUUGAACAUCGGCUGCCUAUCAAGUCUGGAUUUCGGCCACAUCAACAGCCAGCUCGUCGAUGUAAUCCUAAUAUUCUUCCUGAUAUUAAGGCCGAAAUAACCAAACUCAUUGAAGCUAAAUUUAUUCGGCAAUGUCGGUAUGCCGAUUGGAUUUCCAAUGUUGUUCCAGUCUACAAGAAAAAUGGGAAGCUUCGAGUUUGCAUUGAUUUCAGGACUCUCAAUAAAGCUACGCCGAUGGAUGGCUACCCAAUGCCAGUUGCCGAUUUACUAGUUGAUGCUGCGGCUGGGCAUCGGAUCAUCAGCUUUAUGGAUGGCAAUGCGGGAUAUAAUCAAAUAUUCAUGGCUGAAGAAGAUAUUUCAAAGACUGCAUUUAGAUGUCUCGGUCAUGUUGGGUUGUUUGAAUGGAUAGUCAUGACCUUUGGCUUGAAAAAUGCAGGUGCUACCUAUCAGAGGGCUAUGAAUUUUAUAUUUCAUGAGUUCAUCGGCAAACUGAUGGAAAUUUAUAUUGAUGAUGUGGUGGUUAAGUCUGGAGACUUCACAAAGCAUCUUGCCGAUUUGCGAAAGGUGUUGGAAUGCACAAGGAAGCACGGUUUGAAGAUGAAUCCCAAUAAGUGCGCAUUUGGUGUAUCGGCAGGACAGUUUCUUGGUUUCAUGGUGCAUCAAAGGGGGAUUGAAAUUAGUUGAAGAUCUAUUGAUGCUAUCAACAAAAUAGUUGCCCCUACCAACAAGACCGAGCUCCAGUCCUUGAUCGGCAAGGUAAAUUUUAUCAGGAGAUUUAUAUCUAAUUUGUCUGGUAAAAUUCGUGCUUUCAGUCCUCUUCUUAAGUUAAAAGCCGAUCAAGAAUUUGUUUGGGGGAAAGAACAACAGUUGGCUUUGGAUGAAAUCAAGAAUUAUUUAGUGAAUCCUCCGGUUCUGAUUCCACCUCAGCAAGGGAAGCCCUUUAGAUUGUACUUGUCUACUGAUGGGAUGGUCAUCGGUUCGGCUUUAAUUCAAGAAUUUGAGUGGAAAGAGCGUGUGAUUUAUUACUUAAGCAGGAGGUUGAUUGAUGCUGAGACCAGGUAUUUGUCUAUUGAGAAACUAUGCUUAUGCGUGUACUUCUCCUGUAUUAAGUUAAGACAUUAUUUGCUAUCGGCCAAAUGCACUGUUAUUUGCAAAGAUGAUGUGGUCCGGUACAUGCUAUCUAUGCCGAUCAUAAGUGGCAAGAUCGGUAAGUUGAUUUUGGCAUUGUCGGAAUUCGAUUUGCGUUAUAAAUCGGCUAAGGCGGUUAAGGGUCAGAUUAUGGUCGAUUUUGUGACUCAAAAUUGUGGUACAGUGGAGACCUUGGAGAUUGUACCAUGGAUGCUCUUCUUUGAUGGAUCCACGUGUGACCGGGGGGCAGGAAUCGGCAUAGUGUUAAUUUCCCCUCGGGGAAGGAAAUAUGAGUUCUCCUUGCCGAUUGUUGCCACGUCAACAAAUAAUGAGGCUGAGUAUCAAGCCCUAAUAAAGGGGUUGGAAUUGCUGCGGGAAAUUCAUGCUGAUGCUGUUGAAAUCUUCGGAGACUCUAUGCUAGUUAUAAAUCAAUUGGCUAGAAGCUAUGAAUGCCGAAGUGAGGUCCUCACAAACUUAUCACGAGAGGAGUAUGCAGCUGUUAAAGGAAUUCAAGGAUUUCCGAUUAGAGCAUGUUCCUCGAUUGCAUAAUGAAGAGGCCAAUCGGUUGGCUCAGCAUGCCUCGGGAUAUCAGCCUAUGAUUAAUGCAAUAUCGACAAUUGGUGCCGAUAAUUGGAGGAAAGAGAUCAUUGAUUAUUUAAAGGAUCCAUCCAAGAAAGUUGAGAGACGUGUUCGGUUUCAAGCCACCAAAUAUGUGCUCCUCGGAGAUGAGUUGUAUUACCGAACCAUUGACGGGAUUCUUCUCAGAUGCUUAGGUGAUGAUGAGGCUAGAAGUUUGAUGGGAGAAAUCCAUGAGGGGGUAUAUGGUGCACACCAGUCGGCUUUUAAGAUGAAGUGGAUGAUUAGGAGAAAUGGGUAUUAUUGGCCGACUAUACUUGAGGAUUGCUUUAAGUAUUUCAGGGGGUGUCAAGGAUGUCAGAAGUUUGGCAAUGUUCAAAGGGCACCUACAUCGGCCAUGAAUCCCAUCAUCAAGCCUUGGCCGUUCCGAGGAUGGGCUAUUGACUUAAUCGGCCAGAUUUAUCCACCAUCCAGCAAAGGCCACAAGUUCAUUGGUUGCCAUCGAUUAUUUCACCAAAUGGGUUGAAGCUAUUCCUUUGAAGAGAGUUACAUCGGCCAAUAUGAUCGAUUUUGUGAAGAAGCAUAUUAUUUACCGAUUCGGGAUCCCUCAAACGAUUACUACCGAUCAGGGUACUAUGUUCACAUCGGGGGAGUUUGAUGAAUUUGCAAUCGGUAUGGGAAUUAAAGUUUUAAACUCUUCUCCCUAUUAUGCCCAAGCUAAUGGGCAGGCCGAGGCAUCUAAUAAAGGAAUUAUCAAGCUUAUUAAGCGGAAGAUUGAAGAAAAUCCUAGGAAGUGGCACACAUUGUUAAAUGAAGCUUUAUGGUCAUAUCGGAUGGCUUGUCAUGGGUCAACCAAAGUUUCACCUUAUCAAUUGGUAUAUGGGCAUGAUGCAGUGUUACCUUGGGAAAUUAAGACUGGGUCUAGGCGACUAUCUUUUCAAGAUCAGUUGGCUGCCGAUGACUAUGCUACUUUGAUGACAGACGAGUUGGAUGAUCUAGCAGGGCAUCGGCUAAGGGCUUUGAUGAGUAUAGAAGAGAAUAAGAAGAGAGUUGCCAGAUGGUAUGAUAAGAAGGUAAAGGCUAAGGAGUUUGCCGAUGGAGACUUAGUAUGGAAGCUAAUCUUACCGAUCGGGACUAAAAGUUCAAAGUUUGAGAAGUGGUCUCCCAAUUGGGAGGGUCCCUAUCGGAUAAGUCGAUCAGCUCCUGGUAAUGCCUAUAUCUUAGAAACUCUCGAAGGAGUUGAAUUUCCCAGGGCAUUAAAUGGCAAAUAUCUAAAGAAGUACUACCCCAGCAUAUGGGUCGAUGCAUGAAAGUGUAAGUGCCGAUAACAAUCCUAUCGGCUGGAUCAAAAUGUAUCUGGAGCUGGACUUAGUGUUUUAAAAAGUGCCGAUAACAGUCCUAUCGGCUAGACCAAAAUACUGAGAAUGUUCAAAAGGAGAUAGUGAAAUGUAUUGCCGAUGAAGAGUUCAUAUGUUCCGCAGCGCCUGGAUUGUCGAUAUGGCGCGUAGACGGAUCUGGUUGGCUUCCUCUAUCUCCUUCACGUCGUCAUCGGCAGAGCCCUCCACUGGCUUCAGCUUCUUCUUCAUUUGCAGUGCCUUGCGGCCAUGAACAUUUCGCUCUUGUUCAAGGAGUUUGAUUACCUCAGGCAGCUGGUUUUCUUCUUGCUGAGCCUGGGACAAAGCUUCCUCCACUUGCUUGAGUUCUACCAGCAGAGCCUCUCUUUUUGCCGACAGAUCAGAGAUCUUGUGUUUCAGAGCAUCUCCUGAGGACUUCAAGAUGCCGAUGUUCUUGUGCUUCUCAUCGGCAAGGAGUUUCACCUUCAUCAUCUCCUCAGAGAGCUAGGCAUGAGCCGCUCUGUCAGCAAGGCGUUGGGCAGCCCUGUGGUACUGCAGUUGACGGCUCUCUAGAUGUGCUGCUUGGAAGAGAACUUCUUCAGCAUCGGCAGGGAUUUGGCCUCUAAGGGUCUUGAACAAAGCCUUGGCCGGGUCAGAAUCAUCGACUAGUUAAGCUGUGUCCUGAUGGAGGAGGGCUGACAAUUCUUCCAAUUUUGCCCUGAUCUCUGCCGAUGUAAUUCCGACUGCCCGGGAGGAACUUGCCUCCUCACCUCCAUCUUCGGAGAUGUCGAUGGCGAAGGAGAACAAGCUGUCAGGAGAGUCUUGCUCCUGAAAAUGAAAUGAAAUGAGUUAUUCUAUGGUCAGGUAUUGAUAAAUGAUACAGACAGGGAUUGGGGAACUUACUUGUUUCAGGGCAAUCUCUCGCCUCUGACUAGAAGAUGCCGAUGGAACCACAGGCUGAUCAGCUGAGGUUGCUGAUAGAACUAUGUCGGCUGAAAGAAUAACAGAGAUAAUCGUAAGAUUGAAGAAAUAGGUUCAUCGGCAAUGAUUUCAUAGAAAGUGUGUUACCUCGAGGGGAAGCAGUACUUGUCUGGAUGGAAGAAACUACCGAUACUAUAAUCGAGCCUGCUGGAUCGGCAGUUCGCUCCUGCACCUCAGCCGAUGUGCCUUCUGGCUAAGGAACUUCUGGCUGUGGCUCUUCUGGUUGGAAUUCUUCCAUUUGGGGUGCUUCUUGCAACUGAGGAGGGGAUGGUGCUUGUUGCGGAUGGACUUCUGGAGAAGAAGGAGAAGACUCCACUAGAAUUGGAGACACCGUGGGAGGAGAAGGUGUUGCUGUCUUCUGACGCUUGGUUUGUGCUCUGGUACUCUUGGCACCUUUUCUCUUCGACUGACUGGGCUGGGGGGCAUCGGCGCUUGUGCUUCUGGUCCUUGCCGAUGCGCUGGUGUGCUGAUGCAAUAAUGGAAAUUCAUGAGUACAAGUGUAAUAGAUAUAAAGAGUGAGAUCGGUAUGAAAGAGUUUGAAAAUGUACCUUGAAAGCUUGUGCCAAAGUAGAGGAAGCUACCGAUGGAGAUGUCUUAGUCCUCUUGGUAGUGACUUUCUUGAGGCGUACGCCUCGAUGCAUGAUGGCAGCCAAAGUGGGAGCAUUUUUGCCGAUUGAAGAGAUUGGACCUGAAGGAAAAAGAUCAAUCGGCUUACCACUCCUGCUGACCGAUGGAGUGACAUUAUCAACCUGCAAUACAAUACAGAAAGUGAGUUAUCGAUAGAAGUAAAAGUGAAAGAGUUGAGACAUCGGUUUGAGAAUACUUACAGUGUUAUCAGGGACUUUGUAUUGGGGGUCGAUCAUGCCGCGAUAUGUAAGAGCCAAUUUACAGAACAAAUGCUCCUUCCAUUCUUCCCACCACUGUUUGUAUGCCUGAGUGAUGAAGAGGGCCGGAAUCCACUCUGAUAAAUCUGCAUUUGUGUCGGAACUCGGUGGCAGUUGAGCUACUCGAAACCACUCAAGGAGGUUAGUGAGGACUUCCCUGAGUUUUAUCACAUCGGCAUAACAAAGUGCGAUCGGCAGCUGGCCAAAAGCUAGUUGACGGGCUAGUGCCGAUGGGUUAUAAAACUCAUAGGUUUGGUUGGAGGUUUUCCCACUGCCGAAGAAAUUCACUGGUAUAGCUCUAGGAGAUCAGUGCCAUCAUCACAUCAUGAUCUUUGUUGAGAGCGUCAUUGAAUGGAUGGAAAACCAAAGGAAACAUGGUAUGUGGAUCUUCAUAGGGCAUCCAUGCUCGCUGCUCUCUGGUCAGGCCUUCAUACAAGGUCUGGAAGAAUCGGCUGACCUGGUCUGCAUUGCCACCGGUGCCAGGCAGAACAAUGACAGCCUCGCCAAAGUUCAGAGGAGGGCGAGUUGCCGAUUCUUCUUCAUCCAGUUCAUAAUCCUCGGCUAUAUCCCUAGGAAAGCGCUAUGCGAAGAGGUCAAACUCAAGAUGCUUGUGCAUGUGGAGGCUGAGCCACAUGUUGAUAAACCACCAGGGACCCCCCAAGUUGCCGAUGGACUGGCCGAGCAAGAGUUUCCUGGUUACUUGAUGAAGGAGGUGGUAAGCUGCGCCAAGCAGGUAUCGGCCGAGGGGAAAUCGGCCACCAUUGGCUAGUCUUUCUGCUGCUGCUAGGUAGACGGAAGUUGGUCCUGCCGAUCGACCACAAAAUACAAAUUUGUCCAACCACAUGUUCAGGAAGCUGGUCUGUUCCUUUAUGUUAACAGGGCUUGUUCGUUUGUAUUUUUGGAUGUACCCUAACCAACCGCCGAUGGCACGAGUUUCUACCUUAACACUGGGUUUGGUAUCGAAAAAGUGGGUGCUAUCAGCAGAAGAUACAUCUAGGCCGGUGAGCAUAACUACAUCGGCAAGUGUAGGGGAAGCAGGGCCGUGGCCAAAAACAAAGGCGUUGAGUGUGUCUGACCAGAAAUAUGAUGCAGCUAUCAGCAGUGACUCAUUCCUAUGCAUAUCGGCAAUGGAUAACCUGAUGCAUUGGUCCAGUUUUCUCUCACCCCACUGGACUUCAUUUGAGUGGCUGGCUCUCAAGAACCAAUCCUUCCAUUCCACGGUAGGACUGGGCCAGGAACGGAAUGUAUCUUUCCACAGAUCCAAAGAGAAAUUCUCGGCUCUAAAGGGGAUUCUGUUUGUUUCUGCGUUAAUAAGAUCGGUGAUCUGGAUCCCCUAACGGACCAAGACAUUGGAGGUGUGGCUGAUCAGUAGGGAUGACAAUUUUAUUGGACAGAUCCUAAUGGUUUUGGAGAGAAAAAAGAAGAACAAAGAAAGAAAAAGAAGGACGUUCAGUAAAAUAAAUUGCGGAUGAACAGGGAUGUGAUAAAAGUACGAGAUGUAGGGUGAAGAACUAACCUCAGGAACGGUGAAGUUGAUGGCCAUCUCCUCACAAAAAGGGUGAUCGAAGGCUUCGAGGUUGGUGAAGAAGGGGCUUCGUUGGAGUUCUUGGAGAUCUCGAACAGCGCCGCCGCCAGGAAGGUGGAGUUAGAACUGUGGAAUGAUGCGAUGGAGAAGGAGUACCCGAGAAGGAACUAUUUAUAGGACAGAAUGGGCAAGGGUAAAUCUGACUUAUCACUUCACCGUAUCCGUGAAAUCCGAGGAUACUCAGGAAGAUAUGGUAACUGUUCGCACGGUAAUCAAGGGAUUGUGCAGGUGAUUUGACAAGAAGCGGUCGUGAUUUGGAGAUAUUUUACUGUGCGAGAUUUCCUGGUCGGUCCAUCGGCAGCACCUUGUAACGGUAAUAUUGCCGAUGAACGGAUAAAGUGAGGAUAUCCGUUUGAGAGGAUAAGAUACUUUAUUGAACAGAGCAUCCUGGUCAGUCCAUCGGCAGAUCUCUGUAACGGUAACAUUGCCGAUGAGCGACUAAAGUGGAGAUGUCCGUUUGGGAUGUUGAGGAUUUCGAGGAAUCUGCGGAGGAAUCAAACCAGGGUUGUUCAGAUUAAGGCUGUCGGUUACCAAAUUGGGAGAAUUAAUUACGGAAAGGCAUCAUUACUGCAGAGAAUUUCGGAGCAUUAAUGAUUUCAUACUCCGAAAUUGGGGGCAUGUGUUGACACCGUUUUUGGACACGUACCCAGGAUCGGUAGAGUGUAGAUCGGCAAAAAGGGGCAAUAGUAACUGGUCUGCAGGAGAGUUGCCAAUGAGGGUGGUUGCCGAUAAGGAGACAGCUGAAUGUGGCUAAGACCAUGGGUGGUGAUGUGUUUAUGCCGAUGGUCAGUAUCAACUGUUGCCGAUGGGGAGUCUGCCGAUGAUACGGCAGGAAGACUUGGAGGUUGCCGAUUGGUCCGUGGUGGUGUCCCAGUUUGUCACGGAAGGAUAGUUUUAUGUUUUCCUUAGUUAUUUAAGUCGUUUUGUACACGGAUUCUGUUUAAAUUUGGAAUUCGAAUUCUAGUCGUGUCUGGUUGUAGCUCUUUGAGUAGGGUAUAAAUGUAGACCCUAGGGCCUUAUAAUUGAGAUAUCUAUCAAUCAAUCAAACACAAGUUUUUACUCAUAUUCCAGUACCUACUUUCAACGACUUCGUCAUACUUUUUCCCUUUUAUUACGAGUUCUUAGGAAUUCGUCGACUUAAGCUCGGCGUAUUCUCAAGUUCCGCGUGAAUACCUCUUGGCCGUGGCAUCCGGGCGCAUCGCUGUUGUCGGGACCAAAGUAUUCGAGUUAUCACAUUUGCCGAUAGUACGGUCAAAUCGGCCGGCACGCCUUAACGUUUAAAUCGGUUAUUAGCCCUUUGUGUUUGCAGAUCAGCUUUUGCAUCAACAAAACCUAUUAAAUGAAUAAACAAAACUAAAAACAUAACUGAAAAGAAAAGAAAAGGGAAAAAUCAGGGGACCAUUUAGUCCCGGCUGGUAUUGCUUAUUUUCUUGGCAUUGAGGUGAAGAAAAGUUUGGAUGGACUAGUGAUGUCUCAGGAACAAUAUGCUGGUGAUAUUGUGAAACAUGCAAUUAUGGAAAGAAGCAAACACAUUGAUACACCUCUUUCAGUUUUAGAGAAGCUAAGUAUAGCUGAAGGCACAAGCUUAGGGCCGAAGGACUCAACCAAACACAGAAGUUUGGUUGGAGCUUUGCAGUACCUCACUCUUACAUGGCUUGACAUAUCCUUGCAGUAAAUAGGGUUUGCCAAUACUUGCAUGCACUAACUAUUGCACAUUUGAGUGCGGUGAAACAUAUACUGCGGUAUGUGAGAGGGACUCAGAAUCUAGGUUUAAAGAUCCAAAGAUCAAGCUCUUUGUUUGUGAGUGCUUUCUCUUAUGCAGAUUGGGCCAGAUGUGUGGAUGAUAGAAGAUCGACUGAGGGUUUGCUAUGUUCUUUGGCCUAAAUCUUAUUUCUUGGAGUGCUCAAAAGCAACCCGCGAUGUCUCAUUCUAGCACAGAGGCUGAAUAGAAAGCAUUAGCAAAUGCCAAUACUAAAAUGAUGUGGUUAAAAACCUAUUGGAAGAACUUCAAGUUUAACAUUCACCGGUAGUGAGGUUCUGGUGUGAUAACAUCGGUGCCAAGUAUUUGUCAGCAAAUCCAGUAUUUCAUGCUAGAACAAAACACAUUGAGAUAGAUUUCCAUUUUGUUCGGGAAAGAGUAGCACAGAAGCUACUGGACAUUCAGUAUGUGCAUACUAGUGAUCAACUUGCAGAUGGAUUCACCAAACCCCUUGUUGUGUCAAAGAUGAUAGAAUUUAGAUUCAGUCUCAACCUUGUAAGUGGCUGAGAUUGUGGGGGAGUGUUAAAUGAUAUGCAACUCAGGAACUGUCCAGGUUCAUGGUAUAAGGUGUCGGCUAGGUUGUUCGAGUAGCAACCGUGUAUAUGCAAAUAAGUUGAGAGUUUGUUUCUAGUUUGUUGUAAUCUUCAUCUUGUUGUAUAAGCCAUGUAGGGGGGUGUUCCCUACUCUAUAUAACAUGAACCGAGAGCCCAGAGAGGGGUCAUCUCGUUCCACCUAUUUUUACAGAUGUGUUAUGUAGUUUGUGUGUAGAAUUAUUGAACUAAAAAGAGGGAUUGAUAUAUAUGGCUAAUUUGUUAAAUUUGAAACUUACUAUGUCAUUUAGUAUUUGUAUAUCGAAUGGUGCAAAAGUAUUUUAUAUGGUCGUUAACCAAAGAUUUCACUAAACUAGCCGGGACUAAAGGGUGUUGCUGCGUGGCACUGCUGACAGCACUCUUUAGUCCUGGCUGGUAAUACCAACCGGGACGAAAGGCAGGGCUUUAGCCCUGGUGCGUUGCGCCGGGACUAAAGGGGGGCCUUUUGUCCCGAAAGCAUAGUCCCGGCUCGAAAUCCAGGGCUAAAGCCCCUUCCCAGCCGGGACUAAAGGCCGAUCAUGUAGCAGUGUAUCCGAGGUGGUUUCAUGCCUGCCUUGGUUAAUCAAAUAAAAAAAUAAAAAAGGAAAACCUUGGAUGAGCCCACCAAGCCCAUCUAGGGCCCGCCGAGCCCAUCCAUGUGUAGUGGCCACUGCUCAUGGAUGCGCGGCCAACAAGGGGAGGGGGGUGCCGGGAUGAGAGGGGCCGCUGGGAUGGGAGGCAAGGGGAGGGGGCCACCAGGAUGGGAGGGAAGGGGAGGGGGCACUGGACGGGAGCCGUCGUGAGGGGGGUGCCGGUGGGAUGGGAGGGAUAGGGAGGGGGCGCCGGGAUGGGAGCCAUCAGAAGGGGAAGGGAUGCCGGUCUCCUGCGGGGUCCUAGUCUCUUGCAUGAGAGGAGUGUCGAGGGAGGGAGGAGAGAUCUGUGCGGCUGAGUGGGUGAGAGGAUGUGGAGUGAAACCCUAAGUCAUGUAUAUAUACUUCGUGUGAUAUAUCAGUCUAGGACGUGUCAAGAUGGGUUAUUUGGACUCCAAGAUGGGCCAUUAUUAACCGAGGCGGGUCUUCUAAAAUAACCGCCUCGGUUAAUGAUUUACCAAGGCAGUUGCAUUAUAAUAACUGCCUCGGUAAAUAUGUAUUAACCGAGGUGGUUAUAUUACAUUGCCCGCCUCGGUAUAGAUUUUAGGAGGUGGGUUUUUGUAACCGUCUCGGUUAAUAAAAAAUCACUGCCUCAGUUAAUCUGAGGCAUUAACCGAGGCAGUUGGAAAUUUUACCUGCCUCCGAGACCCAUUCUAAAACGCCUCGCAAAAGAUUUUUUAUAGUAGUGUCUAGAUUCGUAUGUAGGGAUUAGCCUUCUAGCUAGGCAAAGUCAACUAGGUAGUGACAUGGUAUAACUAGAGCAGAUAUGAAUGUUGUAGGGUUUAGAUCUUGUAAUCUAAAGCCUGAUUGUUGUGGCAAGUCUCCCAAAUCGGCAUUUGUUCCCACAUGACGCAAGAUACAAAACUACGUAUUAGUGUUUUCACCUUCAUCCCCUAGUCCACCAAAACAUUUGUUUUCCCCUAUCAUCCUACAACCAUUUGUGCCAUAGAUGUGGCUUAAUUAAGGUUUAGAGUCCGCUGUACGUGUUGAGUUUUUUUCAUUGGACAUGAUGUUGUUGUUGGUGUAGCUCGUGUUUGAUUCCAGUUUGUGUGAUCCCUCUGCUCUUUUCCAUCAACUCUAAAGGCACCACCAAAAAUCUAGUAUCUUGUGCCUAAAAGCCCUUAUUCAGUGGCCAGACAAACUCAAAACAAGGCAAAUUUUAGAGUUUCAGAGAAUGUUGGAAAAUUAUAUAAUACAAUUAAAUACUAUAUGUAGUAACCCAUAGAUAUAAUGUCUUGUCUCCCAGAUGCAUAAGGACAUAGCAUAAUACCUCCAGCACACAUAUAUGCAACAUAUUAUCUAUCCAAUAGAAGUUUAAUAAUACAAUUAAAUACUAUAUGUAGUCCCUAGGGGAUAGAAUUCAAUAUCUCCUAUAUGCAUGAGGAGUAAGCAAUAUAUCUCUAACAGACAUGCAACGUAUCAUCUAUCUAAUAUAAAAUAUAUAUAUAACAUAAUUGAAUACUAUAUGUAGUACCGAAUAGAUAUAAUGUCCUAUCUCCUAGAUGCAUAAGGACAUAGCAUAAUAUCUCCAGCACCCAUGUAUCUAAUAGGAGUUUAAAAAUACAAUUAAAUACUAUGCGUAGUCCUAGUGGAUAGAAUUCAUUAUAUCCUAUAUAUAUGCAUGAGGAGUAAGCAAUAUAUCUCUAACAGACACGCAACGUAUUAUCUAUCUAAUAGAAAUUAUUUAAUAAAGUUAAACUAUAUGCUGCAACUAUUAUAUAGAGUCCAAUAUCUCUUAGAUUCAUGGGACUAAGCAUAUUAUCUACAAGAAUCAACGUAUUACCUAUCUGUAGAAAUUAUAUAAUACAAUUAAAUAUUAUAUGAAAUACCUACUGGAUAGAAUUCAAUGUCAUUUGCCAAUUUUAUAUUUGGUCCAUUCGCAUCUUCAUCGAUGUCUAUACCUAUAUAUAAGCCUAGCCAUCCCCACUGGAAGUUCUCACAAGUCACACCUAAACCACACAUCUUUUGCUUUGUCGAAAUUCAAUCAGGAGCUGAAGGAGAGGCCGGGCUUGCUAUUAAAUCAAACCAUAAAACACAAGCUAUAACCAUGGCAAAACUACUCUUGGGUUUGCUCCUUGUCCUUGUCAUUAUAGGGACAACGUCGGCCGAUAACUGUGCUAAAGAUGCGGAAGCCAUGAAGCAAGAGUGCAAGAAGUUCGAGGUGUUCCCCGUGAACCCAAAGUUGCAACCGUCGCCGGCAUGUUGCGCUGUGUGGCAGAGGGCAGACAUCCCAUGCCUAUGCAAAAGGGUCACCCCGGAAGUAGAGAAGGUGUGGUGCAUGGAGAAGGUCGUGUAUGUCGCCAAUUACUGCAAGAAGCCCUUUACACCCGGCUACAAGUGCGGGAGUAAGUUAACACUCACCAUAUAUACAUACUAUUAUACAUGUUGGUGCGUAUUAUUGUUGUACGAUGUACAUGACUACUCCAAGCGUGACUGAUUUUAUAUAUUGGUUGGUUUUUGCAGGUUAUACGGUUCCUAAAAGCCUCUAAAUAGCUAGAGCGGUUUGGACAUGCAUGGUACUCUAUCCUGAAGCUUGCAUUUGAGAUUUGUAACAUGUGAGAGACUAUGUUGAGAAUAAUGUGUAUCGAGUGCUUUGUAUGAAAAGCGUUGGAGAUUUGAUAAUGUUCGGCUUUUAUCUUACUGCUUCCUUGGUCUUGCAUUUUUUUGGAAGAAUUCUAUGUGAUAGAACGUGGGGCUACAUUAAUAAUUUACACUAGUACAUAAAUCAUGGUGGUGGGCAUUGCAACCGCCUCCAAUUGAUGUCCUCGGUUAAUCGCCAAUUAAUGAAAGCGGUUACUUUGUGUGUCUUCGUAAAUCAAAUAGAAAGAAUAAAAAAAAGAAAAACACAUGAACAGCUCUGAGCCCAUCCAUGGGUUGCCGUUGCCACAAUGACUCGCCGGAACCUGGCUUGCAUGCACCGCCGGGAUCCGGCCUCCCGCCAUCAGGAUCCAGCCUCCCACUGCUAGAUUGGACACCAGCCGCUGGGAUCCGACCUCCCGCUGCUAGGAUCGAGACACCAUUGCAGGGAUUCUGCCUCCGCUGCCGAAUUGAGACGCCUGUCGACCGAUCUAGAGGUGGAGGGGAAGGGAGAGCGGCUCUUUGUUGGGUGGGGAGCAACGCGCCGCCGAGGCUGCCCACCACCGAGAUGCGUGUUCGUGCCACCUUUGUCUGCACCACUGGGGCCAUCUCCAUCCAUGCUUCGAGCUUGUCUUCCAAGCCUCUAGAUCCGCGCUGCUUUGCGCUGCGCUUCGAGCUCGUCCCAUUAGGGCUGAUCAUGUCCGCUCCGCCAGGGACGACCGCCCGCGCUAGCUAGGGCAAAGAGAGAGGGGAAGAGGGAGAGGGGCUGUUGGAGGGAGGUAGAGAGGCGCGUGGCUCAGUCGAUUGAGGGAGAGGGCCGUGCAGCUCAGGUGGAAGACCGCCAUACUUGGGACGCUUUAGGGAGGGGAGGCGCUGGGUGAGAGAGAGAUGAGUGAUGGAUUGGAGAUGGACGAGGUGUCAUUUGAUAUAUAUACUGGGACGUUGUUGUUGAGCCAAGAUGGGCUAAUUAGAAAUGUGAGUUAGCUUGGAUAUAUUAAAGGAGGUCAGGCUUUUAAGAGGUUCACCUCCGAAUACGGCUUGAUCUUUGGAGAAGGCCCGCCUUUGUAAAUCUAAUUUAGAAGGUAGUUAUUUUUUUGUCUGCCUUUGUUAAUCCUCUGUUAAUCAAUUUUAUAAGGCGGGUAAACGUGAUGUCGUGUUGUUGGAGAAGAUGUCAAAUGGGUAUUCUACCUUUUGCAUUUAGCAUUACCCAAAUAUUAAAUGAGUUUUGUAUUUUGGGUGUUGUUGGAGAUAAUGAGACUAUCUAAAAACAUUUUUCUAAAUUUUUUAAUUUAGCUACUCUCUAAAACAGAAUUCACCUAAAAAAAUAGACCAAUCAAACUGCCUCUGUAAAAUUAAUUGGCAAAGAAACACUCGACAAAGAGGCUUCUUUAUUGAGUGUCUUUUUUAAUAUUUGGCAAACAAGCCUCUUUGCCGAGUGUUUUUUUUUCCCGAGUGUUUUUUGUUUGAAGCUUCUUUGUCGAGUGCCUGAAAAAAAACACUUGGCAAAGAGGCUGUCGGCCGUAGUGUGUCAAUCCUACCGACCAAAAUUUGCGGGAUGGAGAGCGAGCUCUUUUGGAAAGGCAUUUCCACAGUCUGUUAUAGAAGCUUUUUCUUCAAUAAUAGCCAUAUUUAGUUUUAUAAAAUAUUUUAACUAGUCUUUUAGAGUUGCUCUUACGUGCACUCCAUGUGCAGCUUUAGAUAAUAGUACAAAGACGCAAACAUAUAUAUUACUAGGAGUAUAUCCUGCGCGUUGCCGCAGAAUUUUCUUAAAAAAAAAUUGUUAUAUAUAUAUAUACCAUUACUAUAUGGUUAUAUAUAUAUAUAUAUAUAUAUAUAUAUAUAUAUAUAUAUACGUGCACUCCAUGUGCAGUUUUAGACAAUAGUACAAAGACACAAACAUAUAUAUUACUAGGAGUAUACCCUGCGCGUUGCCGCAGGAUUUUCUUAAAAAUAAAUUUGUUAUAUAUAUGUACCAUUACUAUAUGGUUAUAUAUAGGAUUAAGUCCACUUUUAGCCCCUCAACUGUUGGCCGAGUUUAAUUUUAACCCUCAACUACAAAACCGUAUGUUUCUCACCCUCAACUAUCAAAACCGGUCACUUUUAGCACCCGGAGAGAGGACAUGACGGUUUUGAGCCACUUUGAGCGGUUUUUCUUUUUUCUUUUCUAUGGUUAAACCCGUGAAUUUUAUAGUGAAUUAUUUGAGCAUGGUAAAUUCAUCAAAUUUUUUGGGUAGCCUUGUCAUGAUGUUCUCUAUGCAUAAAAAAUGUGAAACUAUGAAAGUAAGUAUUUUUGGAUGCAAAAAAAUUAGCUCUUUUAAUUCAUAAAUACAUGUUCUAUGAUUUUUGUAGGAUAACAUAUACAUCCUAUGAUCAUGAAACUUUUUGUGUAACUGUUUUAUACUAAGAUAGACCUUCAAAAAAAGUUUAAGAUUAAUUUAAUGAUGUUUGCUUGUGUCCCUAAUUUAUAUAUAUUUAAUAAAGCAUAUAAAUUAGGGAUAUAAGCAAACAUCAUCAAAUUAAUCUCAAACUUUUUAUGAAGGUCUAUAUUAGUAUAAAACAAUUAUGCAAAAAGUUUCAUGAUCAUAGGAUAUAUAUAUUAUCCUAAAAAAUCAUAGAACAUGUAUUUAUUAAUUAAAAGAGCUAAUUAGCAUCAAAAAAUACUUACUUUCAUAGUUUCACAUUUUUUCUGCAUAGAGAACAUCAUGACAAGGCUACCCAAAAAAUUUGAUGAAUUUACCAUGCUCAAAUAAUUCACUACGAAAUUCACAGGUUUAACCAUAGAAAAGAAAAAGGGAAAACCGCUCAAAGUGGCUCAAAACCGCCCUCUCCUCUCUCCAGGUGCUAAAAGUGACCGGUUUUGAUAGUUGAGGGUGAGAAGCAGACGGUUUUGUAGUUGAUGGUUAAAAUUAAACUCGGCCAAUAGUUGAGGGGCUAAAAGUGGACUUAAUCCUUUUAUAUAUAUAUAUAUAUAUAUAUAUAUAUAUAUAUAUAUAUAUAUAUAUAUGUGUGUGUGUGUGUGUGUGUGUGAAUUUCACUUGCAUGUUAUUUUAUUGUAUUAGAUUUGGUAAAAAAAUUGCUAAGCUAAUAGAAUAUUUAUACAAUAGAGGAAUAGGUGAUGAAACAAAUUGCGUAUGUAAAUGACUUAUACGUUAAUAUAUUAAAGAUUUAAAGUAUUUGACAUGAUAGAGAAGGUAUUGAUAUUUUGUAAUUAAUAAGAGAUGACAUGGACUUAGUGGGAAAUGAUGUGGGCAUCUUGCAUGAAGAGAAAAAUCAUCUAGUAGAGUUUAUCAUUGUAAGAGUAUAUGAUUACACACCAUUUUCUUUCUUGUUUUCAAAUUACAUAGUACAAACACAGAAACAUAUACAACACGCACGAACACACUCAACACAGAUGACAACAUUAUAUAUAUUACACACCUUUAGGAAACACACAAAUAUACAAAGAGCUCCUAUCAAGGAAAACAAACACAAAUCAUAUACACUCAUGACAGUACGGUAGAACACAGACAUAAAGGUUCACAAGCCAACAAACAUUAUUCUUAACUAGCACCACACUGGAUCCGAGCAACCUUAGGGAAAUUGAAUAAACGCGAUUGAGCGCAUGCAGUUGACCGAUCUCCUGGUGGUAUGUUAUUAUUAACUCCAGCAAGCGACAGAAGCCAUUCAGAAUGGCCCCAUCGAAUUCAUCGCAGACUUGAUGUCUGCAGCAACACUCUUUGCAUCACGAGAAAUACCAGCCAGCCCUGCCAUUCCCAGCCCAACACAGUAGAGGCCGUUUUCACCUUUCCAAGGAUUGGUGAGCUCCCUCUUGGGCAUGCUAUUUUCGUUCAGCAAGCUCUCACCAUUCUGCAUUUUGUUAAUCACAUAAACUUUUGUAAGAACAUGACAUGCAACCAUUUUUCUGAAGAAAUUCGAUACAUUUGGUACUCGAAUUCAACAGUACUCAAGUUUCUGGUUAUAUAUUUAUUUACUCUGCCAUUCCAAAUUAUAAUACGUUUUAGUUUUUUUAGAUACAUUUCUUUUAUCAUAACUUAUCUAGAAAUGUCAAACGCUAUCUUAUAAUUUGGAACAGAGAUAGUACAAAAAAAAACUAUAUAGAUAACUUUCCUAUAAGUGGGGACGGUGGUAGAUGAUUGUAUUUCUUAUGCUUUUUAGUAACUGUCCUCUUGUAAGUAUACUGAAUCAAAACGUGCACUAUAGGAAACUCAGGCUUCGCCAAGUGCUCCAGACUUCGCCGAGUGCCAAAAAUCGGGCACUUGGCGAAGAAGGCUUCGCCAAGUGCCUGGCACUUGGCGAAGCCAGCACUCGGCGAAGAAGGCUUCGCCAAGUGCCAAGCACUCGGCGAAGAAAGGCACUUGGCGAAAUGGACUCUUCGCCAAGUGCCCGGCACUCGGCGAAGAACGGCACUCGGCGAGGCCUGACGGCAUCCAUCCCCAUCCCUUGCCGUCGGCUUCGCCAAGUGCCUCCGUCUGGCACUUGGCGAAGAGGAGGCUUCGUCGAGUGCCAGACACGUGGCACUUGGCGAAGAGAGGACCCUGGGAAAUUGCCUGGAAGCCCUCUUCGCCAAGUGCCACGUGGCUGGCAGCCACGUGGCACUUGGCGAAGUGUAUACGUACGUUUGAACAGGUAAGCGGACCCAUGCGCCCUCUUCGCCGAGUGCCGCCGAUCUGGCACUCGGCGAAGCCGUCCCCACCCCCUCUUCGCCAAGUGCCGCCGAUCUGGCACUCGGCGAAGUGCGUGUUUCAGUUAAAAAAAGGAAACGCUCAGCCGCUCCCCACCCCACGCACUCAGCCGGCCGCGCACGCACGCACGCACCCACACCACGCACGCA
This 358430-nucleotide long non-coding RNA is filed under the name Sorghum bicolor (sorghum). RNAcentral describes it as "long non-coding RNA (SBIC_LNC013594)". The stretch from base 89484 to 89577 matches the Rfam family "MIR5387 microRNA precursor family". The record is from RNAcentral. Lineage: Eukaryota; Viridiplantae; Streptophyta; Magnoliopsida; Poales; Poaceae.